Molecule: long non-coding RNA, 366009 nt
Filed under: Gossypium barbadense (sea-island cotton)
Lineage: Eukaryota; Viridiplantae; Streptophyta; Magnoliopsida; Malvales; Malvaceae
Source: RNAcentral
AAAAUUCCUCUCAAUUUCUUCAAACAAACCGAAGGCCUCAAAGCCUUAGAUUUGGUCGGAAUGCAGUUUCCAUCCCUCCCUGAAUCAAUUAUUCACCUUGCAGACCUUCGCAUGUUGUGUCUGAAAGAAUGUGCAGUUGAUGACAUAACCAUCCUUGGAGAGCUCAAGAGUUUACAAGUACUCAACCUUUCUCUGUAAGGUAUGAAAGAACUACCUAAGGAGAUGGCACAAUUGACUCAAUUAAGGUUGUUAGAUUUGCGUGGGUGUAGAGAACUCAAAAUCAUCCCAUCGAAUGUCUUAUCAGGUUUGUCUAAAUUAGAAGAAAUAUAUAUGAGUGGGAGCUUUGUUGAAUGGGAAAAGGGAGGAGUAGUUGAAAAUGAGAGGAAAAAUGCAAGCCUUGAUGAAUUAAACAAUUUGCCUUGUCUAACUACUUUAUAUGUUCAUAUUCUUGAUGUCCAAAUGAUACCAAAACACCGGUUUGUUGAAACAUUGGACAGAUUCAGGAUUUUCGUAGGUAAUUAUGGAAUAUAUGAUUGUUGCCAUAAUUAUGAAUCUCCGAAAGCAUUGAAGCUCAUGUUAUAUACAAACAUUGAUUUGGACAAUGGGAUGAAAAUGUUGUUGAUAAAGACAGAAGAUUUGUGCCUAGAGGGACUUGAAGGCGUCAAGAAUGUACUUGUGGAGUUAAAUAAUGGGAAAGAUCUUCCCAAUUUAAAGAGACUUCAUGUCAGAAAUGGUAGGCAUGUCCAAUAUAUUAAAACAAACAAAAUUGGAUUUUCUGAAUUAUGCUUCAUCAAACUUGAAAAUCUACCGCAACUUGUUAGCUUUUGCUCUUCAGACGAAAGGUGUUCCACUAAGCCCUUACUUCUUUUCAAUAAACAGGUAUUUGUUUGGCUUUACUUAUAUUUUCUUAUACAAUUUUAUUUAUAUGCCCAUUAAUACUUCUAAUAAUAGAAAUAAAUAAUAUUGUGUAAUUGUUUUUUCGGAGCUCAAAAAUAAAUUUCAAAUCCAAAACAAAUGAAAAAUUAAUUUUUAAUUCAAACCGAUUGAAAGUACAAAGUCAAUUCAAUAAUCUAAAUUUAAACCCAACAAUUUUUUUUAAUUCUAAAAAUGAAAUUUGAGCCCACAAAUCGAACUAAAAUUAUCUUUAAAAUCGAAAAUCAUAUUUCCAAAUUAUGUUACAUACUAUCUUUCCCUAUCGAAAAAGAAUUGUGUAAAUAUGUGCAAUUUAUUUUCCCUCACUUGGAAAGCUUGUAAUUGUGUUCCAUUAACACCAAAAUAAUAUGGCACAACCAGACAUGUCAUUGGGUUACGAAUUUGAGGAGCUUGAUCAUCAAAGGAUGCGGCAAGUUGGAGCAUCUGUUAUCACCCUCUCUCGCUAGAAGUCUGGUGCAGCUCCAAUGCUUUGAGAUAGAGGAUUGCAAUUGCUUAAGGGACAUCAUACUUACAGAGGAAAUUGAAGAAGAAAGGAAAGAUGUGAUUUGUUUCCCUCGAUUAAACUCCCUGCAUAUAGUGGGUCUUACAAACCUCAUCUUCUUCAACUCAGGAAACCACAAUAUUGAGUUCCCACUGUUGAAAGUGCUAAAGAUUGAGCGUUGCCCCAAGUUAAUAGAAUUCAUUAGUCAGAAUAGUAAUCAGUCCGGCAUGCACGCUCUCUUCAGUGAGAAGGUGAUUUAUUUCAUUAGUCUAACACUCUUGCAUAAAUCUGUUGAUUUGUCCUUGUUUUUUUUUCUGCCUUCAUUAUUUGAGCUAACCUUAUUAUGGGCAUUGAUUAUAUAUAUAUAUAUAUAUGAAUAGGUUGCAGUUCCUAGCUUGGAAGACAUGAAUAUCUGGGACUUGAGUAAUGUGAAGAUGAUAUUUUAUAAUGAGCUAGCACCAGGUUCCUUUAAAAAUCUACGAAAAAUAAGUGUUGUGGAAUGUGGGAGUUUGAAAAAUCUAUUUCCAGUAUCAAUAGCCAAAGAUCUUCCACAACUUGAACAUUUACGCAUCACUAAUUGUGGAGUUGAGGAGAUUGUAUCGAAAGGGGUUGGAGUGGAGGAGCAGCCUGUGAGGUUUGAGUUUCCGCAAGUAUCUUACCUUGAGGUUACAUGGGUAGAAAAGCUCAAAUGUUUCUACGAAGAGCAACAUGCAUUAGUCUGGCCGAUGUUGAAAAAAUUGAGAACAGAUAGUUCUGCUUUGCUAAAGAUAGUGGCAUCGGAACAUCUUAGAUUAACCCAAGGAAAUGAGCAGCCAGUUUUGUUGGUUGAAGAGGUAUGUAUAUCAUUACAACUAUAUUUCUUUUUAUGCCACGAUAAUACAUUUCUUAUUAUUAUAGUUUGUUUGAUUUUAAUUUUUUUGUUACAUUUAUAAUUAUUUUUUCAAUUUUUGAAAACAAGAUUGAAUAAACAUAAUAGGUAAAUAUUGAGUAUUAAUCUUGACUUUUUAGAUUAUCGUUCAAUUUGAUAAAAUUUAUAAAUGUUGAAAGUUAAAUUUAUAAAUGCUACAUUAGCAUCCUGUUAGGUGCUUUACAGCAUAGCAAUUAAGAUAUUCAAUUUCUCUAACAACAGUGAUUAAAUUGAAAUUUUAUUUGUUUUUAAGUAACCAAAAUAAAAAUAUUUUAACACUAAGUGACUAUAUAUGUAAUUUACCCUGCAUUUAAGUAGUGGGUCGAAAUUAAAUAGAACGUUUAAUUUGCUAAAAAAAAUUGCCACUCAAUAAAAAAUCAAAACUUUAAAAGUUAAUUACACUAGACAUCUCAAACUAUGACCUUCAUUUUAAAUUAGUCCUAAAAUUUAAAAUAUUAUAAUUACAUUCUUAAACUAUUGAGGUUAUAUCAAUUAAGUCUUUCUGUUAUUAAAUUCAUUAAUUUAACCAUCAAAUUAAAUCAGUGUAAUAUUUAUCUAUUUUAAUCUAGAUUUGCUACUCUUCUUUCGGCUUUCAUGUUGUGUAAUUUUUAUCAGUUUUUAUUCUCAAGGUAUUGUGUUUUCUUAAAACAAAAAAUUCAUCUAUUCUGGAUUCGUUUAAUUUAUAUUGAUUUUGUUGGGAUUUAAUCAUCAAAAUCAAACACUAAAGUUGUAUUUAUUUAAUUGAUUUUGUUUGUUUUUUUAAGGCAUAUACAUCAACAUUGAGCCUAACUUGUAUAUAUUUAAUUGGUUUCCAAGGUCAUUCCCAAAUUAGAGGAACUUGAGUUAGGAACUUUUGGAGAUAUGGACCAAUUUCCACCAGACUUGUUUCAACAUAUUAAAGUUUUUGCAGUGAGUGGUGGCUCUCCAUUUUCUUUAUUUCCUUUCGUCCGAAGAUUCUACAAUCUGGAAAGACUUGAGUUCUCUUGUUUUGAUUUCGAACAUGUAGUCCCUUGUAAAGGAGACGCCGGGACACUCCCACCAAUUAGAAAUCUGAAAUUGUUUUCUGCCAGAAAUCUUAACCAUAUUUGGAGGAAAGAUUCGGAGCUUGACCAUAUUCUUUCUAAUCUUCAAACACUCACAGUUCAGCAUUGUGAUGAUUGGAUAAAUAUUAGAGUCUUCUCAUCAUCUUUACAAAAUCUCACAAUUUUGAAUGUGUCAUUUUGUAAUAUGAUGACAAACUUAGUCACACCCUCAGUACUUAAGAAUCUUGUGCAAUUAACGACAAUAAAGGUAGAAGACUGCACUAAAAUGACAGAAAUAGUGGGAAACGAGGGAGACUGUCAUCAGACAAUAGUUGUUAGUAAAUUGAAAUGUUUACAACUAUGCAAUUUGAAGAGCCUCACAAGCUUUUCUCCACGGUAUUACAACUUCGAGUUUCCUUGUUUGGAAGAAUUAGUUGUGGAAGAUUGUCCUAGGUUAAAGAUCUUUUCUGAGGGAGUUUUAAGCACCCCACAAUUACAGAGAAUAAAAAAGUCGCGUUACGGUGAGAAAUGGAGUUGGACAAGUGACCUUAAUACCACCAUACAACAGCUCUACACAGAAAAGGUACAAAGUUAAUAAGUUCAUAAUGCUAGCUAGAUUCGUCGCGUCCUAAUACAAUUAAUUUUAUUACUACUUCAAUAACCAUUGAAGAGUGUUAAUCGUUAUUUUGUUAUUGUCUGCAUUUUCUAUUUAUGAUUGCUAUCUAGUGGAAUAAUAUCAGAUUAAUUUUUAGGAUGGACUCUAUUACCCAUAUCAUUUCAACAUCUCUGACACAUUUCCGGAGUCGAUAGAAAUAUGGACUAGAAACCCUCAAGAAAUUUUUGGCUUCAAAAACCUUGGCAGCCUGCAGUUUUAUAAAUGUAGCAGCUUGAAGUACAUAUUUACUCCGUCUAUGCUUUUGAGCCUCAAUCGACUACGAAGGAUAGAAGUGGAAGAAUGCAGUUCAAUGGAACAAGUAGUUAGGGAGGAGGAGGAAGCAAUGACACAUAAAUUUGCAUUUCUUUCGCUACGCUCCGUAACAAUUGAGUCGUGUUCCAACUUGACAAAUUUCCAUUGGGGAAGUCAAGCUCUUGAAUUUCCAGAGCUGAGUAAUAUCACGAUAGCUGAGUGUCCAAAAAUGACUGCAUUUUCUUCCUCAGUUUCAAGAGAGAGUGGUGAUGCAAGUGAAAGCGUGGUUGGCGAAGAGGGCAUCUAUGAUAACACUGCAACUUUUUUCAGCAAUAAGGUAAGUUUGGUAUUCAAUAUUUAUCUGCACAACUUAUUUCACAUUUUAUUUUGAUUUGAUCAACAUGAGUGUGUCUGGUCUAUAUAUACGUACUAGUGCUACACCUUGUCAAAAUUGAAUAUAAUAAAAUCCAUAAAAAUAUUAAUAAAUAAGAUAAUAUUUAAAAAAAAUUGGAGUUUAAAGUAUAAAUAAAUAUAUAAAAUACGAAUUGAAAGGAAAACUUAAAGUGAAAUACUAAAAAACACUAAGAAUUUAAGAGAAGUUUUAAAUUAAAAUAAUAAUAGAAAAAAGAAAACUAAUCUUCCUUUAUUUUAAUUUGUGGGUGUAUAAGAAGGAGAUGAUUGUGGAAGACCUUCACAAAGGUCAUUUGAGAUCAAAGGAGAAGAAGCAAGAAAACAAAAGAUGAGAAGUUUGAAGAAGAAAGAACCAAAUAUAUAGAGGAGAAUUGAAGUGAGAGAGAGGAUGCAUAUGGGUUUUAUUUAAAGAUUUAAUGCUUUUUUUUUUAAUUUCAUAUAUAAAAAAAUCAUUGAAAGAAAAAAAAUUCAAUAUAAUUAUUUCAAUUUACUUGUCAGGUUUUUAUAAAAGUAACUCAAAUUUUUGAUUAAUUAUGAAAAUGACUCAAUUUAAAAUUAUGCACAUAAAUUAUUCGAUUUCUAUAGUGUUUAUUGGUGCCGCUAGACACAAUGGCGCCACCGACCUACCAUCAUCGACCAAUGAUUGUAUUUUAUUUAAAAAAAUAAUAGUUUUUUAGAAUUGGCGAUAUCAAACUGAAGUGUGAUUAUAUAAAAUGUUUAUGGACUUAACGAAGUAAUUACCUUUUUUAAUUAGCGGAAAAAGGGGUCUUCACGUGAAUAUGGGGCACCAAAUUAAAUGAUUUUCAUCUUUUGGUCUAUUUGCAUGUUAGGUCUAUCCCUUUUAGAAAUUAAAUUUAAAUAACCCUUAAGAAAUAUAAGAAUAACAAAAACAAAUCAUUCUCAUUUAUUUUAUUUUAUUUUAAAAAAAUAAACUUAAAAAAUUAUAUAAAAUUCCUAUUUAAAUUACCCAAAUAUAUCCCUCACACAAUUUCCUCAAGUUUAUCUAAAUUCAAGCAUUUUCAAUUCAUUCCCUAGCAUAUUUAAAUUUAGAUAAACUUAAGGAAAUUUUUUAAGGAAUAUAUUUGGGUAAUUUGAAUUAGAAGUUUAUAUAAUUUUUUAAGUAUUUUUUCAAAAAAAUGGUUUAAUUUUGUUAUUCUUAUAUUUUUUAAGUGCUAUUUAAAUCUAAUUUCAAAAGAGGACAAACGUAACAUGCAAAUAGGUCAAAAGUUGAAAAACAUUUGGUUUAGAUACCAACAACACCCCUUUUUCAACCAAUCUAAAAACGUUAACCGCUUGAAAGGAUCCCUACACAUUUUAUAUAACCAUAUUCAAUCUGGUGCCGUCAAUUUAUUAGGCAACACUACUACAAUUUUUUUAAAAAAGCAAUUAUUGGUUUAUGAUAGGGGCCGAUGCAGUAAGCACUAUAGAAAUCAAGUCAUUUACGUACAUGAUUUUUAAGUUGGAUCAUUUUCGUAAUUAACCAAAAAAAUUUAGUUACUUUUAACUGUCUAGUUGAUGUGUGAAUAUUAACCUUUAGAUCAGUUUAUAAAUCAUCAUACUCAUCUACUCAUUUUGAUUGUCUUUCAAAGUAAAGAAGGAAGAGUGAUACUAUCUUAUAAUGAUAUUUAUGUCAACAGGUUGUCAUUCCUAGUUUGCAGCGUCUGGAUUUGUCCUCCAUCAACAUUCAUAAGAUAUGGCACCACUCAUCCUCCCCAUCUAUUGGAUACCUAAAUUUCUUGCAGGUGAAGAGGUGUCACAAUUUGAAAUACUUGUUCCCAUCUUUCUUAGCAAAAGAUCUUGUGCAACUCCGACGCCUUCAAAUUUCGGACUGUAAUAUGAUGGAACAAGUAAUAUUCACAGAUGGAUUGGUUGAGGAACAUCAAGGGAGGAAUCAGAUGUUUUUCUUUAAUCUACUUUCGCUGUGGCUAAUAGACCUUCCCAAACUCACAAGUUUGUGCUUUGAAAAUUACUUUGAAUUUCACUGUUUGGCAUAUUUAGAACUAAGAGAUUGUCCAUUGCUAAAAACAUUCAUCUCUAAAUGUGUACCCGGAGAUGAACCUCAAAUUGGCCAACAUGUACAAGCAAGUAACUUGGAGGUUCAUAACUCAUCUCUCCUCAAUGAAAAGGUCAUUUCUUCAAGGAUCCUCCUUUUAAUUUAUGUUACUUCGAUUGAUUUUAUUCAUUUCAAGUUCUUUCUUUUUCUUACAUAUUUCAGUUAUUAACCUAAUGAAAUGAUUUAUUAGGUUGUUUUCCCUAGUUUGAAGAACUUGUGGAUUCAGAAUUGUGAUUCGUUAGAAGAAAUUAUUGAGCUACAAGGACUCAUUCCAGAUGAAUCACAGUCAACAUCAGCUGCUCAAUCUAUUGUGGCUGAAACAGUGACAACCAAGUUUGUAUUUCCCAAACUAAUAAACCUUGGAUUGGAUAAGGUGCCAAGAUUGAAAAGUUUCUGCUCUAGGAUGCAUACCACCCUGUGGCCUUCAUUGAAACAAAUGAGCGUUAUUGAAUGCCCCAAAGUACAGAUAUUUACUCGACAAAGUCCUGAGAGUCAGGUUGGAAUCUCAAACCAACAACCCUUGUUUUGCGUCAACGAGGUAAGCUCACUAGCAGUUUCAUAUUCCAUGUUCAUUACUGGAGGUUACUUAUAAAAUGCCUUUUAAAUUUAUGAGAAAGAAAAUGGAAAUUAUAUUCAUUUUGUAGUCUAGUUCUCACGAAUUGAAAACUCUUUGAUCGAUGUUUAAUAUAUUCGUUGCCAUCCAGGACACUUUCCCUGUAUUAGAAAAACUAACACUGAAGACGAAUGAUAUGGUGAAGGGGAUAUGUGAUGGACAACUCUCAUUGCAGUGUUUCCAAAACCUUAAGCAUCUUAACCUCCAGUUCUUUCCUGAGACAUCCACUACUCUUCCGUAUUCCUUCAUUCGUUUGCUACCAAAGCUUCAGAAGCUUGUUAUAAAUAAUGCUUCCAUUUUUGAAAUAGUCCGGUCUGAAGGACUUAGCGAAGAGGAAAGGCACACAUCGGUAUUCUAUCAGUUAAAGGACUUAAGGUUGUCUCAACUUCCAGAGUUGACGUUAAAGACUUUUAACCCGUCUUUGCUAUCUUUCAAAAAUCUAACAACACUGAAAGUUUCAAGAUGCCAUGGGUUCAUCAAUUUAAUUGCAUGCUCAACAGCUAAGUGCCUGACGCUACUAGAAAGAUUGAGCAUAGAUGAUUGUGAGAUGAUAGAGGAAAUCAUAGCGUGUGAGGCUGAAGAAAUACAAGGCAGCAUUGUAUUUCCCAAACUGAAGUAUUUGCAACUAAGCUGUCUGCCAUGUCUAGCAAGCUUUUCCUUGGCCCAUCACUCGUUGGAAUUCCCAGUCUUGCUAAUGGUGAAGGUGACAAAGUGUCCCAAAAUGAGGAAUUUCUGCCAAGGAGAUUUAAGCACACCAAGGCUGGAACAAAUACACUUGACAAGAGAUGAGGAAGGUGAACUGCAGUGGGAAGGCGACCUUAACACUACCAUAAAACAUUUGUUCGAUGAAAUGGUACAAAUCAUUUAAAGGAUUUAAAUUCAUGUGUUUUACAUACAUACAUACAUACAUACAUACAUACAUAGUUAAUUGAACAAUUCUUGGUUUGUUAUGAUCAUGCACAGAAUGUGCAAAAUUCUGAGGUGACGGAGGUUACUGAUCAGUUGCCCAAGCUGGAAUAAGGAAAUAUUUUUGGGUGCUUAUGCGAAAAGCUCAAUUUCGUUUGAAUUCAAAACAAUUGGUAAUUGACUCUUCUAUUUUCAUCAUGGCUUAACCAAUGCUUUAUAAAGUGACCAUAGCGAUGCCCUUUUCAUUGUAGGUUGAGUUGCUCUACUGAAGUACGAGGCUGCAACUUUUGGUAAAAUGUGAAAGGUUAUUUCAGUUUUUGUAAAACUACUAUUUGAACUGUUACAUUUCACAUUAUACCUUCAAAAUUGAAGUUCAAGUGCAUCAUGCAUGGCAUUGGGCUACAAACAUGUAAACUUUUACUAGUAAGUUUGACCCCUGUUUGAAGGAUUUUCCAACUUUUGAUGGUUACCAUAUCAAUGUCAGCUUAAAGCUAUCAAGUAUCUUUAAUGAGGGAUAAAAGUAGGCAGCUAUCUAUUAAUGAUACGGCUGAUUCUGAAAAGACGGCUGAAAUUGAAUCAAUGGUUUUUUGGUAUUUGCCUGAUGGAAGAACAGGACCUAAUGUUACGUGGAUUGUAACACCCUUAACCCGUAUCCGUCGCCGAAGUAGGGUUACGAGGCAUUACUGAACAAACACAACCAUUUUUAAAAUCAAACUGAUCACAAAUAUGAAAAUUAAAUUACUUUUGCAUAGCUAUUUAUAAUUUACAAUCAAAAUAUAAUCAACAUCGUACUCAAACCUAUACAUGCCAUAAGAUUGAGUUCAAAUAUUUAACAAAAUACCAAAAGUAGUCGAUAGUGUGAUAAACUAUGCUGAUAAUCCCCGAGCUCGUAACGCGUCUCUAAAAUCUAUAAAAACAAAUGGGCAAAAACAAACAAAGUAAGCUUUUAUAGCUUAGUAAGUCUAUAGCAUACCUAAAAUACAUAUAAAAGAAUCAUAUAAUUCCUUAAGAAAAUUCAUUGAAAUCACAAUUAACAAUUAUAAUUACUAAUCAAACAUUUGUUUAAAUUUUAAAAGGAUGUAUAUUUAUCUAAUACACCCAAACAGACAAAUGUAUAUACAUUUUAUGCAUAUAAUCUACAACCAUGAAUCGCCGAAUGCAUAUAUACAUAUAUGCAUGACAAAUAUUAGAACCAAAUGUAUAUACACUUUAAACAUAUUAGCCGAGUGCACAUAUACAUAAGCUUAACAAAUAUUAUAACCAAAUGUGUACAUGUAUUUACCACAUACAUUUAUCCAAAGUCAUAUAUGUACUUAUCAUGCACAUACAAUCGAAUAUAUAUAUAACUUUAUCAAUCACAUUUCAUAUCUCAUUAUACAUGUAUAUAUAUAUAUCGAUCAUAAACUUUUAACCUAACUCAUAUUUAUGCCUAUAACCGAAUACAUUCGCAUUCAACUUUUACUUAUAAACAAAUAUUUACACAUAUAUGUAUUAGCAAUUGCACAUAAGAUUACUCAUCAGUUUCUUAUACCAAAUGCACCCAUAAAAAUAUAUAUAUAUCAACCACCUAUGUCGAGUUUAUGCACAACAUCUUCAAACACAUAAAUCUGAACAAUUCACACAAUUUUAACAGAUUCACCGGCACUUAGUCUGCUAGGCUUAAAACCUGAUUCAAUACACUGGCAAUUAGCCUGCUAGACGUAAAGUCUGAAAUAUUUCACCGGCGUCAAGCCUGCUAGACGUAUAGUCUGAAACAUUUCACCAGCAUCAAGCCUGCUAGACGUAAAGUCUGAAUUAUCUCAUUGACAAUAAUCAUUUUAGGCCCCCAAGCUCAAACACUCAAUUCACCCAAAUAUUACUCAUUUUCGAACUAUAUAGGUAUAUAAAUUCCAUGCUUAAAUAUUCAGCUCGAAACUCAAAAUUUAUAUCAUAGAAACACAUGAAUAUAUAUAUAAAACUCAACCACCAAAUCCAUUUUGACAAUUCAAUAAAUCAACUGAACAUAUUUAUGCAUAACCUUGCAUAACCUUACACUUCAAAUCCUACUACAAAUAUAAUACUAUUUAACUAAAAAUAUUCUUGAAUAAUAUACGCUUUACAUUCCAACAUAUUAAAAUUUUACACACAUAUAUAUACAUGAUCAAAACUAACAUAUGCAAAUAUCAUCUAAUAACAAAUUUCAAAACUAAAUCUUAUACAUGCAUACAUAUACACUCAAACCGCUUAUACUUUUAUAAUGACACAUCUUAAUUCGAUUCAAAAGUCUAUAUAUACAUGUAUAUUUACAUGUUUAAUAAUAAAACUCUUAUAUCUAUGUAUAUUUACGAAUCUCUAAGUACAGAUAUACAUAUACAUAUCUUUGAUUAAAUCAAUAAUUUAUACAUGUAUAUACGUGUAUGAAUUCGAACCCUGUAUAUAUAUAAAACUCUUAUACUUCAACUAGAUUCAUUAACAUUUAUGUAUAUACUUAUUUACCUUUGCACUUUAGCUAAAUUCAAUUACCUAUAUAAGUAUAAACCUCUAGGUUCGAAUAUAAAAGAAAAUACAUAUAAGCCAAUCAUACUUUUAAUUUAUUCAACCGAUAUACUUUAAAUUAUAAUUCAUCAAAAAUAAAUACAUAUACAUACUUAUAUAUUGUUUUUAUGACAUUAAAUAGCUAAUAGACUUACCUCGGAAGAUGGAAAAUCGAAGUCGGACGAUUAUUCGACUAAUUUGGCUUUUCCCCGAUCUAACUCCGUUUUCUUUGGUUCUCGAUCUAAAUAUAUUCAAAAUAAGAUAAUUUAUUUAUUAACACAUUAAAUUUAAUCCAAAAACACUUAAUUUGGCAAAUUACUAUUUUGCCCCUAAUAUUUAUACUUUUUGCUAUUUAGUCCUUUUUGCACAAAACACAAAAUACACAAAAUUUUCCCUCACUAAGCUAGGGCCGAAUGUUCCUUGUCUUCAUACUAGUCCACACAUUUCAUUUAUUUCACAUUUUAGUCCCCCAAAAAUUUAAUUUCACAAUUUAGCCCUAUUUACUCAAUUUCACUAAAAAUCCCAAUACAAAACAUAUUAAUCUAUCACAUAUCUUUCAUUUUUCAUCAUCAGCUAUCACAAAGUCCAACCAUUCAUCAAUGGCACAUUUCAAAAUCAUCAACAAUUCACAAAAUUAAAACAUGGGUUUUGAAGAACACAAAGCAACGAUCUCAAAAACGUAAAAAUUAUUAAAAAUUAAAACCUAAACAUACCUUAAUCAAGCCAAAAUAAGUGCCGAACCUAGCUUGCUAUUUUUUUCUUCUUUUUCUUUUGUAUAUUCGGCAAUGAGAAAGAUAACAUGCAUGGCUUUGUUUAUUUUAAGUUUUAUUAUUUUCAAUAUAUUAUACCAUUAUUAUUUUACUUUUAUAUUUAAUAUAUAUAUAAUAUAUAAUAGCCAUCAUUGCCGUCCACUACCAUUAAUAUUGGCUAAAUUUCAACAUGAAACCUCCAAAUUAUAAAGACAAAAAUAAUUAAGCACUUUCAUAUUUAGCCAUCAAAUUUUUAUUUUAUGCGAUUUAGCCAUUUUCUCAAAUUAAGCACACAACACUAAAAUUAAUUCAUGAAACUUUCACACAAGUAAAUUCACACAUAAUAAACACGUAAAAUAAUAUUAAAAUAUUUUUUAGACUCGAAUUUGUGGUCCCGAAACCACUGUUCCGAUUAGGGUCAAAACCGGGUUGUUACAUGGAUUUUGAUCAAGUUUUAAAAUUUCAGUUGUAGGCAUUACUGAUUGUUGCCAUUUGGUUAUUAAUACUCUGAUUUUACGGUUGACUGUCUUGCUUAUACAUUGCAAGGUUGGCGGGUUUCAAGUAUGAAUUUCCAAGUCGGCUUUCAUCCAUUAUUAACUAAGUGUUUCAAUCCAUGGAGUUUAUGGUUUAUGGAGUUUAUGGACAAUUUGUAACACCCCAAACCCGUAUUCGACGCCAAAAUAGGGUAUGAGGCAUUACCAAAACACAUACAUUUAUAAACGUAUUAAACUGAGUUAUAAAAUUUCAUACAGAUUAAAACUUUUAAAUUAUUAUCUUCGAAUCGCUAAUUGGGGCUUACAAGCCCAAUAUAUAUACUCAUUUGAUCCAAGCCUUAUAGCUAUCUCCAUUUGUUCAUUUCAUAGCCAUAUAUGAACUUAUAAUCCUUCACUUUCUCGUCAUAUGAAUUUAUCAAUUAUUACUUGCUUCUUGCGAGUACCUGAAUUGAUCCAUAUCAUUUCAUAUUCUCAUAUCGUCAUAUUUUUCCUAUUAAACCAUUGUAAUAUAUUAAAUAUUCAAUAUCUUGUAAAGAUUCACUAAUCUAUCCCAUAUACUUUCACACAGAUUAAUUUACAAUUCACAAGUCUUAUCAUUUCAAAGCUUAUAAGACACAUGUACAUGUCUACUAAUUCGUAUGAGUCUCAUACUCAUUCAUAUGCUCAAUAAAUUCGUUAAAUCAUUUCAACAUCAAAGAAUCCACAUUAUGUCAGAAACAAUACUAAUAACAAUCAUAAAUCUUUUCAUAUUAAUUUCAUAUAUCGCUUACUGAACUUCAAAUAUCAUUUCAUAAAUAUGUAAUUCACUAACACAUCUUGCCAUAUAUAGUAUCCAAUUGGUGAAAUCACUUAAUUGAAUUCAACUUCAACAAUCACAAUAAAUCUAUCACUUGAAUAUGAGUCCAUGUAACACUUACCAACUUUGUCAAAUUAGUGACCGUCUUACGGAAUUGAGUACUUAUUUUCUCGAUGUCAUAGUCCAACUAUGGUCUUACACAUAAUCACAUAACAUAUACCGAUGUCAUAGCCCAGCUAUGGUCUUACACAGAAUUACAUAUCACUUAUUGUCAUGGUCCAUCCAUGGUAUUUCCCAUCAAUUCGUCUUCAUCACUGAACGAAAGUACUCAACCCUGCAUUCUACUCAAUUUGAACUUAUAAUUCAAUUUUCGUUCUUUUACAAUUUUCACAAUUCAAUAGCAAACAUAUGAAUUAACAUAUUAUAUCAUUCCUAAAAUUAUCAAAUAAUCAUUAAAAUUUAACCAUAAAACACACCUUUAACAUAAACUAACAUCAAGAUCAAAUUUGCAUUAUGCCAUUUAUAACUCUUUUCCUGAAUCACAUAACAAAAUAUCACAAAUAUAUAUAUGAAUUCUGUAACUAUGUAUCAAACUUACCAACAUGAGUUAAUUCAUAAACCAUUCAUGACAUUACUUCAUGCCAAAUCAUAUUCCAAAUAUACCACACAUAUAAGCUAUGAAACUUUAUUUCCUCACAUGAGCUUAAACCAUAACCAAUUAUGCAUAAAACAUUCAUAUAUUUUAUUUUCCUCCUCCUCCUCUCCAUUCCACAUCCUUAAUGUACAUAACACUCUUAUAAAUAACGUUUUCUAUAAUUUUACUAUUCACUCACAUGUAUAUUCAAAGCUGUCUAUCCACAGAGUCACUAAAUUAUUUUUAUCCGGAGAUACAGAGCUCCAAAUUAAGAUCCGUUAAUUUUUCCUGAAACUAGAUUCACAUAUCUUCUUACCAUAAAAUUUUCAAAAUUUUUGGCUUAGCCAAUAAGUACAGUUUAUUCUUUAAAGUUCCCCUGUUUCACUACUCGACAAUUCUGACCUCUCUUCACUAAAAAUUAAUUAUCUCACUGUACAGAACUCAGAUGGUUACGUUUAUUUCACUUGAAAAUAGACUCAUUCAGGGUUCUAAACAUAUGAAUUUUAGCCUGUAAUUAUUUUUGUACAAUUUUUAACAAUUUUCCAAAAUCAAAAUAGGGGAUUCCAAACUCAUUCUGACCCUAUCUCACUAAACUUAAGAUAUCUCAAAAUAUAUAAGUCUUUUCUUGCUAUGUUUCUUUUAUGUAAAAAUAGACUCAUUAAACUUUCAUUUCAUAUCUUAUUCACUCUCCAAUUCAAUUUCCACCAUUUUUGGUGAUUUUUCAAAGUCACACAACUGUUUCUGUCCAAAACUAUUUUGUUGCUAACUCUACUAUUUCAUAAUUUCACUUUUUCACUUUUGAUCACUAUUCAAUUCAAUUCCAGACAUAUAUUCAUCAUUCAAUUACACUUAAUUGUUACAUGAUCUCAUGUAUUUUCACUUAGUCAAUUUCUCGUUGAACACUCAGAAUAUACACGGAUACGUAGAGAAUUAGCACAUAAGUGCCGCACUGAUAUGUAGUCGAAGCUACCAUUGAUACGUAGUCGUAGCUAUCACUAAAAUGUAGCCGAAGCUACCACUAAUAUGUAGCCGUAGCUACCAUUGAAAUAUAGCCGAAGCUACCACUGAUCAAUAACACUAAAAAUGUCCACGGGCCGGCUCACACAAGCUGUUAGGUGUCUGCAACACAUGCUAGAUCACCCAGCACCCGGGACUCACUGUAACACUGGUCUCUAGUGACAUGUCACUAGUAUCCACUUCUAUUCCUAAGUUCAACUGGGAAUUUACACUUAACACUUUAUUUUAAACACUUUAACACUUGAAUAAUUCAUAAAAAAUUUUCCUUCCACAUUCAAUAAUAAUUCACAUAUCAAGUGUAAUUCACAAUUUAUAAAAAUAUAUUGCUAUUAUUUACACAUAACUUACUUUGGUGCAAUAAUAUAAAAAUUUAGCAAUUUAGUCUUUAAUCUUUUCUUUUCUCCGAUCAAGAUCAAUCCAACUUCUUUCUUGAUUUAUAAUAACACAUCUGAAUUAUUUAAUACUCACAUUUAUCAAAACAGAUCUUCACUCAAACUUUUAAAAAUUACAAUUUUGCCCCUAAACUUUUGCAUAUUUACACUUUUGCCCAAAUUCUCGUAAAUUAAACUUCAUCCCUUAUUCUUAUGUAUUAUGACAUGCUGAACAGUUUUCCCUUCUAUGGUAACAUCAAAUUCCCACUCUAACACUUUUAUAUGAACAUUAGGUAUUUUUACCGAUUAUGUCGUUUUACUCGUUUUCACUUAAAAUCACUUAGAAAAAGUUGUUUAACAUAAUUUCAAGCUUCAUAUUCUACCAUAAAACAUCAAAAUAAACACAUUUCACCUAUGAGUAUUUUUCCAAAUAUAAACCCUAGGUUAAAUUAUUGCUAGAAUAAGCUAAAUAAAGUUACCGGGACUCUAAAAACAUAAAGAACAUUAAAAACGGGGCUUGGAAUCACUUAUUAUGGAGCUUGGAAGCUUGAAAACCCUAAAUAUGGCUUCCCACUUACUAUUUUCGUUCACCAUGGAGAAGAUGAGCACAUUUUGCCAUCUUUUUCCCUUUUUAAUUCUUUUUAUUACUAAAUUACCAAAUUGUCCCUAACUUAAAAAUUUCCUAUUUCACUUAUCUCAUGUCCAUUUUUGUCUACCAACUUAACCAAUGGUCUAAUUACCAUAUAAGGACCUCCAAUUUAAAGUUUCAUAACAAUAUGACACCUCUAACAUGUAGAACUCAACUUUUGCACUUUUUACAAUUUAGUCCUUUUGACUAAAUUGAGUGCGCAAACGUCAAAAUUUUGGAACGAAAUUUUCACGAAAUCAUUUCGUGAAAUUGUAGGUCAUAAAAAUAUAAUAAAAAUAAAUUUUUUCUCGUCAAAUUUAUGGUCCCGAAAUCACUAUUCCGACUAGGCCCAAAAUCGGGCUGUUACACAAUUGUUGUCUAUGUUGCUCAUUGCUGCAAAAAAAAAACCAAACACAAUGCAUGCAUAAACCAUUAAAAAAAAAGAACAUAAGCAACUAAUAAUGAAAUAUAUUAAAAUGAAGAAUGGCAAUUAAUUUCAGAAUUACCAAAAUUUCGGUAAAUAUAUUAAAACAUCUGUCUCUAAUCUGUUUCAAUUUUGAUAUUGAAAAAAUUGGUAUUUCUAAAAAUAUCAGAGUGAUUAAAUUAUUUUUAUUUUUGAAAGUGAUAAAUUAAGGAUAAUUAAUCACAACGUUAAUGUUUUUCACCAAUUAUACAUAAUUUUCUUGGUAUAAUGAUAAAUUUAGCCCUCAAAAUUGACACAUUCUAUCAAUUUGUUAUUGAUUUAAUAAAUUUAACCCACAACAUUUACACAUUUCGUCAAUUUGAUCAUCAUUUAACGUAUUUAACCCAUAAUAAUUACACAUUCUAUCAGCAUUUACGCAAAAUAUAUAAUCAUCAAGGAUUAAAUUUAUUUUUAUACUAAUCAAAAUUAUGUAUAAUUAACAGAAACUAUUAGCGCUUGAUUAAUUGUUCGUGGUUACUUUCAAAAAAGAUAACGAUUAAUUUGUUCAAUAUCAAAAAGAUGUUUUUUAAUUUUUUUAAUUUCAUAGGUAAGAAAAUCUCAAAAAAGAAAAUCUUUGAAAUAAAAAAAAUAGUAUGUUUUUAAUAAUUAUUUAAAUUUACUCUCACAUUAUUUUUACCCAUUCAAAGCUAGCAAGUCUUUUAUGUACAAAAUGGUAUAGCUCUGCAAUUUGGAUUAACAUUUUGGUGACCUCCAUGUGAAGUGAAAGAAAAUUGACAAUGUCACACAAUUAUUAUUUUUCCCUCCAUACCCCUAUGCCGCCAAAGAAAGUUGAAUUAUUAAGGCACAAAAGUACUAAGGAGUAGGAGCUAGAAAAAGAGGGGCAUGAAAAUAAAGAGACUUACAUUUAUUAUUUGCAUAAUACAAAAUCAGUCUUUAAUAUUUACAUAUUUUAUUAAUUUGAUUUUUAUUUUUAUUUAGUUAAAUUUGACUUUAAACCCUUUAAAAAAAAGUUGAAUUUGAUCAUUAACCUUUUAAAAAGAGUCAAAUUAUUAUUUAACGGAAAUGUUAAAUUUUGAAAUACAUAUAACAAUUCGCGUGUAUUUCAUAUUAUUUUUUUAAAAAUUUUAUGAUUUUUUUUGAAAUUUUGAUUUUUGAAUAUUAUUAGAAAGUUAUUUGGUAUCCUGUUAGCGGAAUUUUUAAAGUCCACCAACAAAAUCAAUGGGUUAGCAUGUGUCUUACAAAUAUAUAAUAAAAUAUUAAAAAAUAAAUAUUUUUAAAAAAAAGAUAUAUGUCAAUUUUUUAAAGUUACUUAUGAAAUAAAAAUAAUAUAUUAUCCGCGUACCAGGUACUCACCUUUUUAAUUAAGAUUUAAAAAUAAAAAAAUCGUUAGUAAAAUGAAUGGAUUGCAAAUUGAGAAUUUUGAUAUUGGAUAUUAAAAUUUUCUUAAAAAGAAGACAUAGCAAGAUACGAAAGUUAGUAACUUAUUUGAUUUAAUUUUAAUUUUUAAAUUUAUGCAUUUUAUUAUGAAUUUUUAUUUUUUGUGUACUCUGUAAAAUUUGUCUGAAAUUUGCAAUUUUCAAUUUCUCACGUGAGUUUGAGAUAAAAAGAAAUUACUUUUAGGAUUGGUGAAACAAGGGUUAUAGUCCAUACAUGAGUUUCGUUAAAUAUUGUCUAUAUAUAUAUAAGUAUAUACUCUUCUCCAUGCUGCACAUUAUUGCAAAAAAAGAACACACACAAGGGACCAAUCUUAGAUCUUCACAAAGGUCAUCUGAGAUCAAAGGAGAAGAACAAGAAAAACAAAGGUGAGGGGUUUGAAGAAAGAGCCAAAUAUAUAAUAAAGGAAAAAUUAAAUGAGAGAGGAUGGGUUUCAUUUAAAGAUUAAAUGUUUCUUUUUUGGUAAAAACAUUUCUUUGGUCCCUCUCCAUUUUGAUGUUGAGCAAAUUGGCCCCUUUCUAAAAAUUUUGGAGAAAUUUGAUCAUUGUUAUUUUGAAAGUAAGCAACUAAGUACAAUUAAUCACAAGUUUUAUGUUUUCAUCAAUUCUACAAUUUUUUCUUGGUAUAAUAAAAAAAUAUAACCUUCAAAGUUUACACAUUUUAUCAAUUUGAUCUUGAUAUAACAAAUAUAACUCAUAACAUUUUCACAUUCCAUCAAAUUUGUCCUGAUUUAACAAAUUUAUCCCGCAAUAUUUACACAUUUUGUCAACAGUUACGCGGAAUAUAUAAACAUCAAUGGCUAAAUUUAUUAUUAUACCAAUUAAAAUUAUGUAUAAUUGAUGGAAAAUAUUAACGCUAUAAUUAAUUGUUCGUAAUUACUCACUUUCAAAAUUGAAUAUUUACAUCUUUUAUUAAUUUGAAUUUUUUAGUUAAAUUUAAUUUUAAAUCCUUUAAAAAAGUUGAAUUUGAUUAUCGACGUUUAAAAAAGAGUUGAAUUAUUAUCUUUUAAUAAAAAUAUUAAUCAAAAUGUUAAAUUUCAAAACAUGACAAUUCGUAUAACAAUUCAGGUGUAAUUCAUGCUUGUUUUUAUUUGAUUUUUUAUGAACUCUUUUUGUGAGAAAUUUUUAUUUUUUAAUAUUUUUUUAAUUUUAAAUUUAUUGGCGUGACAUAUAAGAUAAAUAAUACUAUGUCAACAUAAUGACAUGUGGACUGCCACAUGGUUGCUAUGCCAACUUCGUUAAAAAUUAAUAUUUUAGUCAAUAUUUUAAAAAAAACACGAUUUGACUCUUUUUUAAAGGUUAAUGGUCAAAUUUAAAUUAAGAAAUAAUAAUGAUCAAAUUGAAAAAAGAUGUAAAUAUUAAGUGUUGAAUUUAUUAUUAUACUUAUAUUAUUUUAAGUAAAAUUUUUCGGAUUUGAAUUUGAAUUAUUUCAUGUUUAGAUUACAUUGAGUUCAAGUCAGUUUAGACUCGAAUAUUUUGGGAAAUUUAAAUAGUUUUGAGCUCAGAACAUUUCAAGAGAAAAUUAGCAAGUCAAAUUACAAUUAUAAAAUAAUAUAUAUAAUUUAUAUGUGUAUGUAUAUAAGUUUAAAUUACAAAUUAAUUACUAAAAGUGAUUAGGGCAUUAGUAUUUGUGUUGUCGCAUGGGAGUUUAGGUUCAAUCUCUUGAUUGAAAUAAUAUUUUUAAAAUAUUUAUUUAAUAUUUCCAUAUACAUCAAAAUCCUUGUUAAAUUUUAAUUUUGUUUUUGUUAUUAGAAUACUUGAAUCAAUAAAUUUUUAAGGCACAUAUCAAACCCAACAAUCAAAAUUAAAUCACACCAAAAUAAGGCCAAGAAAUCCUGAACAGCUCACCAAGCAACACUCAAAUAUCAUAACUUAACCCCCUUGCAAAUAAUAAGAGCAUAGACGGAUAAGCACCAAAAAGACUUGCUGCAGAUAAAAGGUCCCAUGCCCAUUACAAACUCUGCCCAUCAGUUCCUGCCAGAGGAGCCAUGGCCAAGAAAACUAUUAGUCUUAAUGCAAUCCACAAAACGUGUGGGACAUUUCCUUAAGGUCAGCUCUUUUGAGCUCAAGUCCUUUUUGCUGGCAAAUUUGUUGAUAUAGGAGCAACAUUGGUCAUCACAAUCAACAAAGGUCUUGUGAAAAAAAUAGUAUGUCUAUAAUGAUAACAUAUCGCAAAGAAAAGAGAAAUAAAAAUAAAGAACACACAGGUUUUACGUGGAAACCCUUUCGGGAAAAAACCACAGGUAGAGGAGAAGAAAAUUCACUAUGUCGAAUUCGAAUGAUUACAAGAGGAGUUUCGACUACAUCGAUUUAUAGGUUGAAAAAAACCUAAUUAUAAUCAAAGUCGAAUAUAUUAUGCUAAUAAAUACUAAAUAUAUUAUACCCAUAAAUACUAAAUCUUCUAGAAAGAAGAUAUAUUUUGUUUAACUUGACUUGCAAGCAAUCUCUUAGAAUUUGGGUUACACAACUCUAACAAUCUCUACCUUGACACGAAUUCUCAAUGAACAAGUUCUUCAUCGCGAACUCUCAACAAACAAGUUCUCCACUCUUCCAUAAAACCCUUUAAGGGUUUAACUUCAACAAUGAACACCAAUCAAGUCUAAGCAAUGCUUAAACUUGGUUAUAGGAAGUGACUUAGUCAUCAUAUCUGUAGGAUAUUCAUGAGUACUAAUUUUACUCACAACAAUAUCUCCACGAGCAAUAGCAUCACGAACAAAAUAAUACCGAACAUCAAUGUGUUUUGUUCUCUCAUGAAACAUUUGAUAUUUUGUAAGGAAUAUGACACUCUGACUGUCACAAAAUACUGUACUGAUUUAAAGGUUUUCAUUGAGUUCACUAAAGAGUCCCUUCAACCAAAUAGCUUCUUUACAAGCCUCAGCAAUUGCCAUGUACUCAGCUUCAGUGGUAGACAAAGCGAUUGUAGUUUGCAAAGUGGCUUUCAACCUGAUUGCACAACCUAUGAUUGUAAAGACAUAACCUAUGAGAGAUCUUUUUCUAUCAAGGUCUCCAGCAAAAUCAGCACCAACAUACCCAAUGACUCCAUCUCUAGUUCUUCCAAACUGUAAGCAAACAUCAGUAGUACCUUGUAAGUAUAUUAAGGGUCUGUUUGAUUGAAGGAAUUGAUUUUCCGGAAAAUCAUUUCCAACUUUUCCAGCGUUUGAUUGGCGGAAAACAUUUUCAAUUUGGAAAAUGAACUCCAAAACAAGGGAAAAUGGGUUACAUUUUAAGGAAAAUGUCUUACCCUUUCAAUUUCCGUAAGACAUUUUCCGUGCUCUCCUCUCUAUCGCCUCCUUCAUUCCUUCCUUCAUUUCUGGUAGAAAAUUGCUUCUGUUUAUCGAUUUUCCAGUAACUUGUUUUUUUAAUUAUUCAAUACUUGUUUUUUUAACACAAUUACAAUUAAUUUAUUUGAUAUUAAUUUUUUUCAAUUUAUAACGAUUAAUAUUGUAACUUAAUAAUUGAGUAUUAUUAUAAAUAAAUCAUUGCAAUAUAUGUAAAAAUAAUUUAAAAUAUAAAAAUUUAUUAAUAUAUAUCAAUAUAUGUAAAAACAAUUUUUUCAAAAAAUAUUUCCAGGAAAUCUGCCAAAUAGCCGAAAAUAUUUUACACAGAUUCAAUCAAACACCAGAAAAUAUUUUCCAGUAAAUCAUUUUACAGAAAAGUAAAACAUUUUCCCGAAAUUAUUUUACGGAAAAUAUUUUACUGGCAAUCAAACAGACCCUAAAAUCCACUGAAUUACUUUAUAAUGUUCUUUACCAGGAUUCACCAUUUAUCUGCUAACUGUACUGACUGCAUAUGAUAAAUCUGGACGAGAACAAACCAUAGCAUACAUGAGAGAUCUCACUGCACUAGAGUAUAAAAAUGUGACAUGUACUCAAUCUCAUCAUCUGAUUGUGGAGACAAAGCCGAUGAAAGUCUGAAAUAGGCUGCUAAAGGAGUACUAACAGACUUAGCAUUUUGCAUAUUAAAUCUGCAAAGAACUUUCUCAUGCACCCUUUCUAACUUAGGUACAAUUUACUUGCUUUUCUAUUUCUGAGAAUCUUCAUACCAAGUAUCUUCUUCGCUGGUCCCAAAUCUUUUAUCUCAAAUUUUUCACUUAGUUGGACUUUGACCUUUCUUAUCUCUCCUUUAUCUUUCGCUGCUAUCAACAUGUCAUCAAUAUAAAGGAGUAGAUACACAAAAGAACCAUCACUGUUUUUCUUAAAGUAAACACAACUGUCAAAGAUACUUCUUUUUAAAUCAUGAGAAGUCAUAAAGGAAUCAAAUCUCUUGUACCACUGUCUUGGUGACUGUUUCAAACCGUAAAGGGACUUUUUCAGCAAGCAAACAUAGUCCUCUUUUUUUGAGUAUAAAACCCUCUGGUUGUUGCAUGUAAAUAUCCUCCUCAAGUUCUCCAUGUAAAAAAGUAGUUUUUACAUCUAACUGCUCAAGCUCCAAAUCAUGCAUGGCCACAAUACUAAGCAAAGCUCGAAUCGAACUAUGCUUCAAAACUGGAGAGAAUACAUCUGUGAAGUCUACUCCUGGAAUUUGACUGUAACUCUUUGUAAUAAGUCUUGCUUUAUAUCUAGGUUCUUGAACUCCUUGAGUCCCCUCUUUCUUUUUAAACAUCCAUUUACAACGAACAACCUUUUUACCUUUAGGAAGUUUCACAAGAUCUCAUGUUUUAUUUUUGUGGAGUGAUUCCAUCUCCUCUUGCAUAGCAAACAUCCACUUUUCUAAGUCUUCCCGGUUAACUGCAUCAGAAUAAUUAGAUGGCUCUUGGUUUGCAUUUAUAUCUUUAGCCACAUUUAAAGCAUAAACAACUAGAUCAGCCUUGGCAUACUUCUUUAGAGGUUUAAUGUCUCUUCUAGUUCUAUUUUUGGCGAUAGAGUAUUGUGGUGGAGAAGCAACUCUAUUUUGAAUUUUUGUACUAACUUGAGGAGUCGACUCUGUUGUAGAUUCUGGAUUAAUCUGAUGCUCCACUUGCUUUUGAUUUUCUUUGUUGGAAGAGUCUUUAAGAGAUAAGUUAGGUAGCAUAACAGUUUCAUCAAAAACAACAUCUCUGCUAAUCACAACUUUUCUAUUUUCAGGACACCAUAACUUAUACCCUUUUACACCAGCUUUAUAACCAAGAAAAACACAUUUAAUGUAUCUCGGUUCCAAUUUUCCAUGAUCAAUAUGAGCAUACGCAGGUCACUCAAAAAUCUUUAAAUCAGAAUAGUCAGCAGGAUUACCAGACCAUACCUCUUGUGGAGUCUUUUUCUCAAUGGCGACGGAUAGAGAUCGGUUGAUCAAAAACAUGCAGUAGAGGCUGUUUCGGCCCAAAAUAACUAUGGUAAGUUGGCAUUUGACAACAUAUACCGAACCUUCUCCAUGAUCGUUCUGUUCAUUCGUUCUGCAACGCCGUUUUACUGUAGAGUAUAACGAACUGUCAAGUGUCUCACGAUUCCUUCUGACUUGCACAGUUUAUUAAACUCAUCAGAACAGAACUCUAAGCCAUUGUCUGUGCGGAGGUAUUUUAUUUGUUUUCCCGUCUAUUUUUCAAUCAUAGUUUUCCAAGAAGCUGCUUGCCACCAAUGCAGCUUAGUCGAAAUAUUUAGAGUUACGAGUGGAAAAUGCAGAGCAGAAGGCCAAGGAUGCUCAAAAGAAAAUAGUUGAGCUCGAAAGGUAGCUCAAGGCUUAGGUAAAGGAAGCUGCACAAGGGAGCAAUAAGCUUGAGGAGGUUGAUAAUGGACCAGAUGAUAAAAAUUCAGAAAACACUAGGAUCCUUUGACUCAACAGGUAUCAACUUUGAUAGAGCGAAGAUAUCUAAGGUUCGUUUUGUGUGCCUUUUUGAUACUAUGAUACUUCUAUAUCGAUUUUAGAUCAUUGAGAAUCGAUGAUAUGGCUGGACUAUGGAUUAAGCGGGAAGAGGAACUUCAAAAUAGGAUAAUUUAACUGGAGAAAGAAUUAUCUCGAAAACAAGCAUUGGACUCGGAAGUUGAGCGUCUAAGCGGAUCAUUGGAUGUAAUUGGCAAAAUGGAAGAUGGAGAUUACGUAAAUGUUCUAAGAAAGCUGGAGGAAUACCUUAAGGAUGUAGAGACAUUGAAUCGAUAUCUUAUUGCAAGAGAAUAACGGAGCAACGAUCAGGUGCAGGAAGUUUAAGAAAGAUUGAUCAGUGUAAGCUAUUUUUCUUCACUUACUAAAAUGUUUUCCACUCGAAUUUCAUUGCAAGAACCCCGAAGUUCUUCAAACAUUUGACCUUAUAUGUUAAUAGAUGGUAAUUGCUUUGCAAACUAAUGGUUUCUGCUGUUGUCAUGGUGUAGUAUAUUAUGGAAUCUGAAUCAACCAUUGGAAUCAAAAGAAUGGGAGAGCUUAAUCUAGAACCUUUUUUAGACAAAUACAAGAAGAAAUUUAUUAUUGACGGUGUUUGAAGUCCGAACAAUUAUCCUCGUUGUGGCAACAACAUAUUAGAAAUCCACUGUGGCUUCCUUUCAAGAGCAUUCAUACAUCAUAUCUUGAUUAUCUUUUUUGUACUUUAUAUAUGAAAGUCUGCACAUUAUAGACUACUCAUCUUGUGGUAAUGAUAUUCAAAUGAGAAAUCGUUCUUCAUUAAACCGUAAAUCCUUAUCCUUUACGCAUCAUUGCAGUAAGUGUUGCAGAACCACUUUAAAACACAUCAGGUUUUUAUCGACGAAAACACUUAUGGAAUGAUCUUCUGAGGUUUGGGUUCAUAGGCAACUUUCAACAUGGACACAUUAGUAACCAAUGUAGUUUUACUUUAUUUUUAUGUGUGAAUCAGUUAAUAGUUGAUGAAGAUAAUGAAGGAUUGAAGGAAUUGAGAAAUGAAUGGGGUGAAACGAUCUACAUGGCCGUAAUUGUUGCAUUACUGGAAAUGGAAGAGUACAAUCUAAGUGGGAGAUACAUAGUUUUUGAACUUUGGAAUUUCAAAGAUGAUGAAAAGCCAGCUUAAAAGAAGCUAUUGAGAUCUUCAUCCACCAUUUACAGAACAAACUGAGUCGAUCCCUGUACUUCUCGAACUGAUGGUAAGCUGAGUUGUUCCUGGUACUAGACUAUCAACAAGCCAAGCUAAUCCCAGUAUUUUGCGUAACAUUUCCAUGUAGUUAAUCUUAUUUUGCUAAUAUAUAAUCAAAUGACCAGUAUUUUGUUUAACCCUCAAACAUCCUGCGUGGAAGCAAGUUAUUCAUAUGAAUUGCUUGAAUUGCUCAUAUGUCCAAUGAAUUAUAAAGGAAUGCUGCUGAAUUCCCAUCGAUACAUACAUGCAUACGUAUUAGUGAAGUAUAUUCCAAUAUAAGAUCAAUAUUGGGAUUUACGUUUUAUAGAGCAGCAUUAAUGAUUGGUAAUAUACAUUGGUUCCAAGGCAAACCCAAAUAUUUUAACCUACAACUGUGGCAAAUCAAAUUUUACAGUAACCUAAUUAUAAUGUGAAGUCAAAUAUGAAAGUAACAUUGGUUUAUAUAUAUAUUUUUUUUUCUCAAAAUUCUAAUAAUCAAGUUGGUAUAAGUGAUAAACACUGAGCUUGCCACGUGUGUUAAACCACGUUUUUGUUAUGUGCCACUCCGAAGACAUCGGGCCUCUAUUCAGGCUGGCAUAGUCAGGACGUGGUAGCAUACUUCAGGGCCCUGGUUAGAAAAUAUCCCACAUCCGAUAAAAUUGGAACGAUACAGAGAAGAUUGCAAUCUUCUUUUUUUUCCCCUGGGUUUGGUGUUCAUAUUCAUGGGUUUUUGUGCACUUAAGAUUGCAAUUAGAGUUUUCUUUCUUUCUUUUACUGGGUUCGGUCUGUUUUACUCUCUUGAACUGUGAAUUUGAUUUCUUUUUUUUGCCAUUUUUUCAGCUUUGUUGCUUUUUUCCCCCUGGGUUUAGUUUUCAUGUUCAUGGGUUCCGCGCACUUGAGAUUGCAUUGGAGUUUUUUUUUUCUUUUCUUUUUACUGGGUUUUGGCCAGUUUUACUCUGUUGAACCGUGAAUACCUCAAGUUUUCUGGGAAUAAAUUGUUGCUUAUAUAUCUGCUGGUCAACAGUGCUAAUUUUCUGAUAUAUUGGCCAGAAUUGAAGGAAGAAGGUCCAAUUUUGCUUUUGAUCCUUCUACUACUAUCUUAAGAUUUAAAAGAAAUUCAAUUAAACAAUUUCUUCCAAUAAAAUUAAACAAGAAGGGACCUGCACACUUAGACAUGUUUCUCUUUGAAAAAAAUUCAAACAGGGUUUUAAAUUUUGCAAUGUGUUUUAUGUAAAUCAAAUGAUAUCCUGAAUUUUGCUAAGGGUGUUUCAUAUCCUUGAAUCCUUCUUUUGCUUGGCAAGUGAUUCAUUGAGUUUUUGUGAUCAAAUUUCAUGUUUCUUUUUUUAGUAUGGGAAUUUGUGGGAAAAUGCUUGGCAAUAUGGAAAUGAAACCAAUUUCCAUUUCCAAAGGCAACAGCAAAGUGGUGAAGCUUAUUGUUGAAAAAUUCUUCAAUAAUGUCAAUAAUGAAAAAGUAGAAAAUGGAAAAACAGAGAAUAAUUUUGGUUCUUCGUCCUAUUUGUAGUUAUAGUGAAUGGAUUUCUUUGAUUUUAGUAACUAAUAUUAUGAUUCCAACAUUUGGGGUUUUAAUCUCAAUAUAUGAACUUGGCUUUGCUUCUUAGUGUUAUUGUUGAACUUUUUAGGAUACCUCUAUCUUAAUCCAUUUAUGUGAUUUGAUAAUGAUAUUUGCAGGCACUUAAAUCUUCCAUUGAAAUGGAGAACACCAACUACGAGGAGGAGCUGAAGAAUGAUCGCAGGCUUGUUUGCAGUCUCAUAUACGAGAUUAAUUGCAGAAAAGAACAGUUGUCCCAAAUGGAACGUGAAUAUAACGAGAUGACCUCAACUCUUCGAGGACUCAUCAAUGGCCUCAUAGCAAAAAUUAACUCCAAGGACAGUAAUCUGUGGGGUUGGGAGCUUCAAUAUAAUGUAACCGUGAGACAGUUGAAGGGCAAGAAUGCUGCGUUGCGCCUUGCAUUUGCUGAAGGUACUUUAGAUUAUAUGUGUAUGUAAUGAGCAGAAUACUAUGUGUUAAUUGAAUCGUCUGGUACCCAUUGAUUGAUCUAUAUAAAUGUCAGGAUUUGAACCCCAAACUUAGCUUUUAUUACGGGAACCGGAUCAAUUUAGGCUCGGAUAAGCUUAAUGUGUUCAUAAACAGAUAAGAACAUAAUAUAUGGGAACACUUUGGCCAUACGAGGCUAAUGCUUAUAUGAUUCGCAUUACAGACUACAUGCUCCUAGUGAUAACUCUUCUGUAAGUACUAUUAGUCGAAUAGCUUUAUGAUGUAUUAAUCUAUCAAAUCUGGGUGUCAUAUUAUGAGUUCCAUUGCUAUGUUAAUCUAUGUACUAACAAUAUUAUGAAGUAAGGCAAUUUUGUGUACAUUAUAUUGGGAUGCAAGCUGAAUUCCCAUUAAUCAGUUUCAACCAUACAUACAUAUACAUAGAUAUAUAUAUGAAGUUAAGAACGUAAGUGCUGUUAAAUGGUACAUUACUCAGAUUGGUAAUAUAUUGGUGCCGAAUGUUCUAAAAUUUAACCAGCAUUACUGGUAAUAUAUUAGUGCCAAAUUUGACUAUUAUUGUUGAUAUAUCUUCAAAAAUUUCAGAUUUGAUAAAUAUAAAAGGGCAAUAAUGAAUAAAAAUACUGACUUUUUGAGAUCUUAUUUAAUGAAGGGAAGUUGAAUGUGGAAACUAAAUCGACCUAAGGGAAAUAAAAGCAAAAUAUGGAAAAGUUUUCUCGGGAAAACAAGUGUUAUCCUUCAUUUAUCUUGAUGAUUCUCUAACGCCGCCAAUUUUCCCCCCUAAGUUUACAGCAAGAAGACAAACGGCAACGUUAAGCCAUAUUCAUCCCAGGUUAAUUUUUUUUGUAAAUUAAACAUUUUUUGUAUACAUUUUGUUACCUAUUUAUUUUAUGUUUUUGAAGUUUCCAUUGCCAUUUCUACCUUUCCAAAAUGGUGUCUUUUUACUUGUUUUUUACUGGGUUAUUGACAUUUGUUCCAUAGAAUAAAUUUCUUUGAUUUUAGGGUUCUAUAUGUAUUUUUUUUAUGAAUUUGAACUUCAGUUAUCCAUAAAAAUUCUACCUUUAAUCUCAAUAUAUUUAUAGUCUAUAAGUUUUGACUUUUCUUCCAAUAAUAUAUCUCCAAAAUUCUAACUUAACCUUUUUAAACUUUGUCAUGUCAUUAUUAUUAUAGUUAAUUGCACCAAAUAUCUCCAAACUAUGGCCCUUAUUCUAAAAUAGUCCUCAAACUCAAAAUACGAGUAAUAUUUGGCCAUAAAAUGUAUAUAUUCAUUCCCUCUAAGCCAGUCGGUUAAGCCUCACAAUCCAACGUAACUGUAAAUCUUUCUUGGCAGCCAUGAAAUCAGUUCUAAAAUCCCUUGCAAACUCAAUCUUCCUUGUUCUUUUCAUCAUCUUUUCAUCUUCUACUCCACUUGUAUUGGCUCAAUGUGAAGCAGAGACCAGGACUAAUGGAUGCCAUAACUACAGAGAAUCCAUGAAGCUAAAAAUCAUUGCCAUUGUCGCAAUUUUACUAUCCAGCAUGAUUGGCGUGUGUCUGCCAUUGUUUUCUGGUCAGGUUCCGUCACUUAAACCCGACAGGGACUUGUUCACCAUUGUCAAGGCAUUUUCCUCCGGUGUUAUUCUAGCGACUGGGUACAUGCACGUGCUACCGGAUUCUUUUAACGACCUUAUGUCCGGGUGUUUGCCUGAAAACCCAUGGAGAAAGUUCCCUUUCACAACCUUCGUCGCAAUGCUGUCGGCUGUGUUGACCCUUAUGGUGGAUUCAUUUGCAAUGAGUGUAUACAAGAAACGUUGCGGUAAAGCUUUAAUGGCGGAUGCUAACAAUGGUGGUGGAUUGGAAAAUACGAACGUUGUACAAAUCGAUAAUUUUGAACACGGCCAUAGCCAUUCACUUGAGAUGAAUGACGACGUAUCAUCACAAUUGUUAAGGCAUCGAGUUAUUGCUCAGGUAUAUAUACAUGUUUGAAUCCUCAAAAUCGAUGGUUUUGCUUUUCAAGUCUUUACAUUAUGUAUUUCCUAAAUGUAGGUAUUAGAGUUGGGAAUUGUAGUUCAUUCAGUGGUGAUUGGCCUUGCAAUGGGAGCCUCUGGCAACCAAUGCACCAUUCGAUCACUCAUUGCUGCCCUUUGCUUCCAUCAAAUGUUUGAGGGGAUGGGACUUGGUGGAUGCAUACUGCAGGUAACCCCCAACAUUGCACUAUAUAUUUUCUCAUUCAAAUAUCCAUUUAGUGUACAAUAUUGAUUAACAUUAUGUUUGAUAUGUGCAGGCUGAAUAUGAGAUAAAAAUGAAAGCAAUCAUGGUAUUCUUCUUUUCAGCCACAACGCCACUUGGAAUAGUUCUGGGAAUUGGUUUGUCCAAGGUUUACAGUGAGACGAGUCCAACUUCACUUAUGGUGGUGGGACUACUUAAUGCUUGCUCAGCAGGGUUGCUGAAUUACAUGGCACUGGUUGAUCUACUUGCAGCUGAUUUUCUGGGCCCUAAGCUUCAAACAAAUAUGAAGCUCCAGGCUUGGUCAUAUGUUGCAGUUUUACUUGGUGCUGGAUUUAUGUCUUUGAUGGCAAAAUGGGCUUAGUCAUUUCAACAUAUACAUGUCUUUUUGUAAUCUUCUUUUUUUUUUCUUUUUUCUUUUUGCUUCAACAGAUAAGUUUAUAGUGGAUCAACACUUAUUCAAUCAAUUAUAAAAUUUAGGCAAAGAAUUGAGGCAACAAGGCUUGAACAUUGAUCUUUAAGAUCGUUUACUCCAUAUUGCAGGGCUCAUCACAAAGUAUAUAUAUCAGAAAAGUAUGCAAACUUCAAUUUUGUGUCAAUAUCAUUAUAAUUUAAACUGUUUAAUGUUACAUCAGAUGUAGAUGUCUUUAAGCCAAUGCUUAUAGCCACAAAGUCUCUUUGGUGCAAGCUAUAAGGACAGAGUUAUGUUAUAAAUAAACAAAUUAAAUAAUUUGUAUUUAAAAUAUCAAAUACUAAAAACCAAUAAAUAAGAUUAGAAAACCAAAAAUCGGAUAAAGAAUCAAAUUUUACUAGAUGUUGGGACUUGUUUUGCACAGUUUCCUUAAGAUAAAUUUGUCCGCUCCUACUGUACUUGGUGAAAUGUUGGGAGACUGUCUAAUAGGAUACAACAACACAAUGACCGAAAUAGUAGCAUCUCUACAGAGACCAAUGAACAACCUUGCCUUUUUCUAUCAUCAGAACAUUGGAAAAUAUAGAGAGAAAAAGAGAAGAAUUUUCGAGAGCAAAAUAAACUUGGUUUUAGAGAGUUUUUUAGUGUAAAAAAUUUUGAAGAAUUCUUAAGCAUUCAAGAUGGAGGAAUUUUUGAAAUAUCCAUAAUUAAAUAUACAAAAUCUGUAUUAAAUGAGCAAUUAAAUCAUAAUAUAUGUCCUUUUUAAAUUAGAUUAUAUAUAUUUGUUGAGAAAAAUAAAUUUUGUGUUGGGCUUAAAAUAUCCAUAGGCCCAACUGACCGGUCUAGACAUUUCACAUCGCCCAUGUAGUGCGAGUGCGCUUCAACCCCAAUGGGUUCGGAUCUACACCCCCUGCGCGUGAGACAAAGUUUCAAACUUAGUCAUUCAAUCAUCUUUCAAGUGGGUUCUCAUAUAUAAACGCAUCUCACAUUUGGUAUUUAAUCAAUGUGAGAUCUAAGCUUUUCUUUUCCUCAACAAAUAUUCACAAGUAACUUACUUUGAGUAUUAAUUUCUCGCUCAUCACUCAACCAUUUUGAGCAUACGAUAUACUGUUUUAAAGGUAUCAUGGAGUAGAAUAUAAAAUCAUAAUUUUAUGAUUCAAUUCUCCACUUAUACCAAUUGAGAAUAUGCUUCAAAGUUUCUAAAAAUUACAAUUUUUUUCAACAUUUUAUACAUCUAGUUUAAAGGUAUAAUCGAGUCCAGUAGAGCCCGAAUAAUGGCAAGCUUGAACUUGACUCAAACAUCACUUUUUAAGCUCAAUCUUGAUUCAAAACAUGAUUGAGCUGAUUAAGCUCGUUUAUCAAUUUUUAUAAUCAAACUCAUUUAUAAUUAAGCUCUUUUUAUAUAUCAAAGAUAAAAAUGUAAUUUUAUAAGUAAAAAUAUAUUUAAAUGGAAUGCUUAAUUAGGUUUGUGGGCUACUUGAAUCAAGUAUUACAAUAUUUAAAUUCAGCUUAAUCAAUAGCUCGAGCUCUACUCAAUAAUUUUCGAUAAAAUAUUAAGAUUUUUUGAAUCCAAUUCGAAUAGCUUGCAAAUAUAAUGUAUCACUUGUACUCUUAAUUUUGAGUUUGCAUUUUUAAUUCUUAAAAUAAUAUUAAAAAGUUCUUUCUUUCUAAAAAGAAACACCCAAUCAAUUGAAGGCUUUUUAGAAAGUGGUGGCAAAGUGCAUCCUUUACUUUAAGUCUCACUAUAUCUAAAAAGAAAUUAAUGCGAACUGUAGAAAGUGGUAGGAAUGUGCAUCAUUAUUGCUUUAAAAGAAUUUCAAUCUUUAAACGGAUAGAAUUAAAUUUUCAUAAUUUGGAAGAGUUAAAGUGUAAUUUUUUUUAUUAAUUUAAAAUUUUAAAAUUUUUUAAAGAGUUCAAAUAAUAAUUUUUUAUUUUAAGAGAGCCGGGCUCCUGUCAACUCCUGGAUUUGCCUCCAUAAUUUUCAAAAUUUUAAAUUAUGUUAUUUUGAAUAAAAAGUUAAUUGAUAAAGAAAUUCCUUUAGUUUCAAAAAUUCAAUUUUUUUGUUUUAAAAAAUAUUAAAAUUUAAAAAUUAAAAGAUUAAAGUAAUAAAAUUUCUCCCAAUAUUAAUGUCUUUUUGAUACAUGCACGAAUGGAGUGAAAUUUAUUAGAUUCCAAUCAUCAAAACUGCCAAUUUUUAGGCUUGGGAAAUUAGCACACUUGCGAUGACUUUGUGGAUGGGAUUCUGGCAUUUUUUGGGUUGAGAUGUCUCAUGGCAUUUGAAGAUCAAUCUCUUAGCUUCGAAACACAUUUCGAAUCACUCGAUUUUGAGUUCGGAAGCUCAAGUUAUGACUGUUUUAGUGAAGACUGCGCGAGCAGAAUUUUUGAACGAGAUUAUGACGGGAGUUACAAAUUUUGGGCUUUUAAUUCAUGUUUAAAUUAUAUUGGGUUCAGGUUUUAGACUUACUUUUUUUAUUAUAUAUGAGCCUAAUAUUAUAGUUGUUAGAUCUUAUUAUUUUAUUAUUAUUUUAUUCUAAAUUUUUUAUAAUUAUUAAGUAUUUUAAGUUAUUUAGGAGUUUUAUAUUAACAAGAAAAUUCAAUUUAAAACUACUUCUUAUUUAGAUUAAAUUAGAAUUCUAGUAUACUUAAAAGUUUUAUUUAGAUUUAUUUAGCUAGCCUAUAUGUAGGCAUUAUUCAUUAUUAUUCUAUUUAUCUUUUGAGUUAAUAAAUUCUCUCUGGGGUUUUUUUUUUCAAGAAUUUUUCUUGAGUUUCUUUUAGAAGAGUUUUAACAAUCAUUUUAGAUUGUGGGGAUCAUUUUCAAACUUUUUAUUGCCAAGGUUUCUAUCUUGAAGGGGAAAUUAGAGCCGCUUGAAGGGGAUUGUGAAUUCUUCGUGUUUCCAAGGCUUAUUAGGACUUCUACACACCACAUUCUAUCUUUUCAUUUAUCUUCUUUAUUUGCUUCCUUAUCUUUAAUUUAUUAUUUUAUUUUAGUUAUUUAUUUUAAUUGUUUUAUCUGACUUGGAUUCAAUUUCGUUUCAGAUUGUGUCAAAAUCCAAUUUCUUUCCGAACGUUUAGAACCCUAAGUCAAAUCCAUAAUUUUGACAAACUUUAUGAUCCACUUUCGCGUUCAUCCUUCUCAUCCUUUUGUACUGGCUUGAGGAGUCGACUCUGUUGUAGAUUCUAGAUUAAUCUGAUGCUCCACCUGCUUUUGAUUUUCUUUAUUGGAAGAGUCUUUAAGAGAUAUGUUAAGUAGCAUAACAGUUUCAUCAAAAACAACAUUUCUGUUAAUCACAACUUUUCUAUUUUCAGGAUACCAUAACUUAUACACUUUUACACUAGCUUUAUAACCAAGAAAAACACAUUUAAUGGUACACAAUUUUAAUUUUCCAUUAUCAGCAUGAGUAUACGCAAAACACCCAAAAAUCUUUAAAUCAGAAUCGUCAGCAGGAUUACUAAACCAUACUUCUUAUGGAGUCUUUUUCUCAAUAGCAACGAAUAGAGACCGAUUGAUCAAAAACAUAUAGUUGACAUUGCUUUGGCCCAAAAUAACUUUGAUAAGUUGCCAUUUGACAACAUACAUCGAACAUUCUCCAUGAUCGUUCUAUUCAUUCGUUCUACAAUACCUUUUUUAAAAUGUUCAUGUUCUAAAAUGAAAAACAAUAUGAAUUGCAUGAAUUGCUUAUAUGUCCUAUGAAUUAUAAAGGAAUGCGGUUGAAAUAUUCCCAUCGAUACAUACAUACAUAUUCGUGAAGUAUGUUCCAAUAUAAUAUCAAUAUUGGGAUUUACGUUUUAUAAAGCAACAUUAUUGAUUGGUAAUAUACAUUAAUUCCAAGGCAAACCCAAAUAUUUUAAAAUUUAACCUACAACUGUGGUAAAUCAAACUUAAUAGUAACUCGAUUGUAAUGUGAAGUCAAAUAUGAAAGUAACAUUGGUUUAUAUAUAUAUUUUUCUCUAAAUUCUAAUAAUCAAGUUGGGAUAAGUGAUAAACACUGAGCUUGCCACGUGUGUUAACCACGUUUUCAUCAUGUGCCACUCCAAAGACAUCAGGCCUCUAUUCAAGCUGGCAUGGUCAGGACGUGGUAGCAUACUUCAGGGAUCUGGUUAGAAAAUAUCCCAUAUCGCUAAAGAACUAUAACACAGGAGCGUUUAUAUAAGCGAAAGAAGCAUCAGAUGGUUGUCCCUUCGGGGACAUCCGAUAAAAUUGGAACGAUACAGAGAAGAUUAGCAUGGCCCCUGCGCAAGGAUGACACGCACAAAUCGAGAAAUGGUCCAAAUUUUUUUCCCUUUUUUUUCCCACAUUUUUACAGCUCUGUUUCUUUUUUUUUUCCUGGGUUUGGUGUUCAUAUUCAUGGGUUUUUGUGCACUUAAGAUUGCAAUUAGAGUUUUCUUUCUUUCUUUUACUCUCUUGAACUGUGAAUUUGAUUUUUUUUUCCAUUUUUUCAGCUUUGUUUCUUUUUUCCCCCUGGGUUUAGUUUUCAUGUUCAUGGGUUCCGCGCACUUAAGAUUGCAUUAGAGUUUUUUUUUUUUCCUUUUUACUGGGUUUUGGCCAGUUGUACUCUGUUGAACCGUGAAUACCUCAAGUUUUCUGGGAAUAAAUUGUUGCUUAUAUAUUUGCUGGUUAACAGUGGUAAUUUUCUGAUAUAUUGGCCAGAAUUGAAGGAUGAAGGUCCAACUUUGCUUUUGGUCCUUCUACUACUAUCUUAAGAUUUAAAAGAAAUUCAAUUAAACAAUUUCUUCCAAUAAAAUUAAAUAAGAAGGCCCAGAAAUUGACCUGCACACUUAGACAUGUUUCUCUUUGAAAAAAAUUCAAACAGGAUUUUAAAAUUUGCAAUGUGUUUUAUGUAAAUCAAAUGAUAUCCUGAAUUUUGCUAAGGGUGCUUCAUAUCCUUGAAUCCUUUUUUUGCUUGGCAAGUGAUUCAUUGAGUUUUUGUGAUCAAAUUUCAUGUUUCCUUUUUUAGUACGGGAAUUUGUGGGAAAAUGCUUGGCAAUAUGGAAAUGAAACCAAUUUCCAUUUACGAAGGCACCAGCAAAGUGGUGAAGCUUAUUGUUGAAAAAUUCUUCAAUAAUGUCAAUAAUGAAAAAGUAGAAAAUGGAAAAACAGAGAAUAAUUUUGGUUCUUCAUCCUAUUUGUAGUUAUAGUGAACGGAUUUCUUUGAUUUUAGUAACUAAUAUUAUGAUUCCAACAUUUGGGGUUUUAAUCUCACUACAUGAACUUGGCUUUGCUUCUUAGUGUUAUUGUUGAACUUUUUAGGAUACCUCUAUCUUAAUCCAUUUAUGUGAUUUGAUAAUGAUAUUUGCAGGCACUUAAAUCUUCCAUUGAAAUGGAGAACACCAACUACGAGGAGGAGCUGAAGAAUGAUUGCAGGCUUGUUUGCAGUCUCAUAUACGAUAUUAAUUGCAGAAAAGAACAGUUGUCCCAAAUGGAACGUGAAUAUAACGAGAUGACCGCAACUCUUCAAGGACUCAUCAAUGGCCUCAUGGCAAAAAUUAACUCCCAAGGACUGUAAUCUGUGGGGUUGGGAGCUUCAAUAUAAUGUAACCGUGAGACAGUUGAAGGGCAAGAAUGCUGCGUUGCGCCUUGCGUUUGCUGAAGGUACUUUAGAUUAUAUAUGUGUAUGUAGUGAGCAGAAUACUAUGUGUUAAUUGAAUCGUUUGGUACCCAUUGAUUGAUCUAUAUAAAUGUCAGGAUUUGAACCCCAAACUUAGCUUUUAUUACGGGAACCGGAUCAAUUUAGGCUCGGAUAAGCUUAAUGUGUUCAGAACCAGAUAAGAACAUAAUAUAUGGGAACACUUUGGCCAUACGAGGCUAAUGCUUAUAUGAUUCGCAUUACAGACUACAUGCACUGUUAGUUGAAUAGCUUUAUGAUGUAUUAAUCUAUAAAAUCUGGGUGUCAUAUUAUGAGUUCCAUUGCUAUGUUAAUCUAUGUACUAACAAUAUUAUGAAGUAAGGCAAUUUUGUGUACAUUAUAUUGGGAUGCAAGCUGAAUUCCUAUUAAUCAGCUUCAACCAUACAUACAUACAUACAUACAUACAUACAUACAUAUAUAUAUGAAGUUAAGAACGUAAGUGCUGUUAAAUGGUACAUUACUCAGAUUGGUAAUAUAUUGGUGCCGAAUGUUCUAAAAUUUUACCAGCAUUACUGGUAAUAUAUUAAUGCCAAAUUUGACUAAUUAUUGUUUAUAUAUAUUCAAAAAUUUCAGAUUUGAUAAAGAUAAAAUGGCAAUAAUGAAUAAAAAUACUAACUUUUUGAGAUCUUAUUUAAUGAAGGGAAGUUGAAUAUGGAAACUAAAUCGACCUAAGGGAAAUAAAAGCAAAAUAUGGAAAAUAUUUCUCGGGAAAACAAGUGUUAUCCUUCAUAUAUCUUGAUGAUUCUCUAACGCCGCCAGUUUUCCCCCCUAAGUUUACAGCAAGAAGAAGAAGAAAAAGAAGACAAACGGCAACGUUAAGCCAUUUUCAUCCCAGGUUAAUUUUAUUGUAAAUUAAACAUUUUUUGUAUACAUUUUGUUACCUAUUUAUUUUAUGGUUAUGAUUUGCCGAGUGGACAUUUUCAACAAUGUGGAUUGUAUCUGAUACAGCCGAAAGAGAAUGUGCCUUGUCGAGAUCUUGUUGAACUCGUGAAAACUACGAGCGAUCAGAUUGCUGCUCUAAAGGAACAAUUGGAGGAAACAUCAGAGGCGUUGAAAGAUAUGGAAAGCCGAUACAGUUGUCUUACGGUGAAACAAAUCUUAAUUAAUCGAGAACUGCAAGAUGCUCGAAAAGAAUCAGUAAGUGUAUUUCCUCGUUUUCCUUUGUUUUCUUGGAUGUUUUAUUUCUUUAGGUGCAAGAAAUACCUCUUCGGAAUCAGGUAUGAAAGUGUUAAACCGAAGACUUCUCUGGUUCUUGAUAUGCAGGGUCUAAAUGAUGUAUUGACAAGCCGAACAACUCUUGUAGUAAAAAAAAUGGGAGAGAUUGAUCGAAAAGCUUUUGAAGUUGCUAGCUCUGGGAAGUUCCCGAACAAAGAUUGGCAAGAAACAUGUGCUAAAUUAUGUUCAUUAUGGCAACAAAACGUGCAGGAUCCGAAAUGGCACCCGUUUAAGAUGAUCAAUAUCCGAGGCAACUUGCAGGUAUGGUGCAUACACCAACUAUUCUGUUAUCCGGUUAUCGAAAAUCCGUUUUUUUACUAAAUGUGCUAAACAUAUAUGUCAGAAUCGAGCCAGUUUAUUACUCAAACUUAUAUAUAUUAAGGGGAUAGCUACUCGGUAGUGUAGGAAAUAGUAGACGAAGACGACGAGAAGCUGAAGGAGUUGAGAAAUGAAUACGGUGAUGUCGUGUACGAGGCUGUUAGCACCGCAUUGAUGGAAAUGAACGAAUAUAAUGGGAGCGGAAGGUAUGCAGUCAUUUAAGCUAGUUGAGUGACCCGCAAUCUAGUUUAUCAUUUUUAAAAUAUUUAUAGUCUAUGAAUUUUGACUUUUCUUCCAAUAAUAUAUCUCCAAAAUUCUAACUUAACCUUUUUAAACUUUGUCAUGUAAUUAUUAUUAGAGUUAAUUGCACCAAAUAUCUCCAAACUAUGGCCCUUAUUCUAAAAUAGUCCUCAAACACAAAAUAUUGUAAAUUAUAUUUCCAAAUUAUCAAUAUUAUAUCAAUAAUGUUCUUCUGUUGUUAAAAUCAUUAAAUGAGACGUCAAAUGAGACAUAAUUUAAAAUAAAAAACUUAAAGAAAAAUAAAUAUAUUGUAAAAUAUUGAUUUCAAGGUUUUCGAAGCUAUUACAAAAACUAUCAUUCAUUUUCUCUUUUACUUUAUUUUUAAUUUUUAUUUUUAAAAGUUGUAUCAACAACAUUUUACUUUUCUUUAAAAAUAUCAUUUUAAAUUAAUAGUGUCAAUAAUAAAAGGAUGAGAUAAAUAGUUUAAAAUAUUUUAAAGUUGGGAGAAUAAUUUAAAAUAAAGAUUCAAUAUUGUUAAUCUAGUACUAUUUCAUAAUAUCAUUUUAUCGUAUCAACUUUUAAAGAUGACUUUUUUUUUUGAAAUAUUUUAAAGACAACAUUUAAAGAUUGAUUAUAAUAAUAUUGUUGCAUGGAAAAAGAAUUUCCACGUUAGCAGAAAGGCUUACGCCUGACGUGUGCUUAGUAUUAUUAGUAAAGUCAAAGGUCGAGAAAGUCUAAGGCGGGUCACACAUAUCACACGCCAUGCACAGGUUUCCUUAUUUCGAGGCUAAAAUACCAAAAUACCAUCACAUUUCUUGUUAAAUUUAUCACUUAAUCAACGAUCCUCUAAAACGAAGUAAGGACAUAUUAGAAAUUUUAAUUGCAAUAAUAUCACCAAAUCUGAAAAAUUACAAAUGAGGCAAAAAAAAAUACGAGUAAUAUUUGGCCAUAAAGUGCAUAUAUUCAUUCCCUCUAAACCAGUCGGUUAAGCCUCACAAUCCAACGUAACCGUAAAUCUUUCUUGGCAGCCAUGAAAUCAGUUCUAAAAUCCCUUGCAAACUCAAUCUUCCUUGUUCUUUUCAUCGUCUUUUCAUCUUCUACUCCACUUGUAUUGGCUCAAUGUGAAGCAGAGACCAAGACUAAUGGAUGCCAUAACUACAGAGAAUCCAUGAAGCUAAAAAUCAUUGCCAUUGUCGCAAUUUUACUAUCCAGCAUGAUUGGCGUGUGUCUACCAUUGUUUUCUGGUCAGGUUCCGUCACUUAAACCCGACAGAAACUUGUUCACCAUUGUCAAGGCAUUUUCCUCCGGUGUUAUUCUAGCGACUGGGUACAUGCACGUGCUACCGGAUUCUUUCAACGACCUUAUGUCCGGGUGUUUGCCUGAAAACCCAUGGAGGAAGUUCCCUUUCACAACCUUCGUCGCAAUGCUGUCGGCUGUGUUGACCCUUAUGGUGGAUUCAUUUGCAAUGAGUGUAUACAAGAAACGUUGCGGUAAAGCUUUAAUGGCGGAUGCUAACAAUGGUGGUGGAUUGGAAAAUACGAACGUUGUACAAAUCGAUAAUUUUGAACACGGCCAUAGCCAUUCACUUGAGAUGAAUGACGACGUAUCAUCACAAUUGUUAAGGCAUCGAGUUAUUGCUCAGGUAUAUAUACAUGUUUGAAUCCUCAAAAUCGAUGGUUUUGCUUUUCAAGUCUUUACAUUAUGUAUUUCCUAAAUGUAGGUAUUAGAGUUGGGAAUUGUAGUUCAUUCAGUGGUGAUUGGUCUUGCAAUGGGAGCCUCUGGCAAUCAAUGCACCAUUCGAUCACUCAUUGCUGCCCUUUGCUUCCAUCAAAUGUUUGAGGGGAUGGGACUUGGUGGAUGCAUACUGCAGGUAACCCCCUACAUUGCACUAUUUUCUCAUUCAAACAUCCAUUUAGUGUACAAUAUUGAUUAACAUUAUGUUUGAUAUGUGCAGGCUGAAUAUGAGAUAAAAAUGAAAGCAAUCAUGGUAUUCUUCUUUUCAGCCACAACGCCACUUGGAAUAGUUCUGGGAAUUGGUUUGUCCAAGGUUUACAGUGAGACGAGUCCAACUUCACUUAUGGUGGUGGGACUACUUAAUGCUUGCUCAGCAGGGUUGCUGAAUUACAUGGCACUGGUUGAUCUCCUUGCAGCUGAUUUUCUGGGCCCUAAGCUUCAAACAAAUAUGAAGCUCCAGGCUUGGUCAUAUGUUGCAGUUUUACUUGGUGCUGGAUUUAUGUCUUUGAUGGCAAAAUGGGCUUAGUCAUUUCAACAUAUACAUGUCUUUUUGUAGUUUUUUAAUCUUUUUUUUUUUAUGCUUCAACUGAUGAGUUUAUAGUGAAUCAACACUUAUUCAAUCAAUUAUAAAAAUUAGGCAAAGAAUUUAGGCAACAAGGCUUGAAUAUUGAUCUUUAAGAUCGUUUACUCCAGAUUGCAGGGCUCAUCACAAAGUAUAUAUAUCAGAAAAGUAUGCAAACUUCAAUUUUGUGUCAAUAUCAUUAUAAUUUAAACUGUUUAAUAUUACAUCAGAUGUAGAUGUCUUUAAGCCAAUGCUUAUAGCCACAAAGUCUCUUUGGUGCAAGCUAUAAGGACAGAGUUAUGCUAUAAAUAAACAAAUAAAUGUUGUAUAAAACCCUUCUCAAAUAAAUGUUGUAUAUAUAUAUUAUUGAGAAGAUCACUAGUUAAACUAAAAGUUUAGUUCUUUAAUGCACCUAAAAAACUUUGUAGUAUCCACAUUGUUAGUGGAUUAAGACUUUAACCAAGUUAAGGUCAGCGCAGAAAAACAAGCAUGCGAGUCAGUAAUAUUCUAAUGCCACCAUCCACCAUUAUUAAACAAACAAAAUAUUUGUCAUUGACAACAAGGCAAUGUGUGUAGGUUUUGAAAAAUAUCAGUAAAGGGAAAAAAAUAAAAACUGAUGAAAUUGAAACUUGUUUUUUAAUAAGGAACGAUGGUGAUGAGCUUAUCUUGUUUGAACCAAUAAUUGCCAAAUGUGAGGACCACAAGAAAGAAAUCAAAAGGGAAAAAAAAAAAAAAAGGUAGGGCUGUUUAAGUGGGGGGAUGCACAUUUGGUACUGGUAAUGGUAGCAAAGUUUUGCAGUAUGGUACCCUUGUGUGGUCACAGAAUUUCCAAGAGACCCCCCUAACAUUACUAUAAGUAACCAAUUGUUGCGGCCAAUAAAAUUUUUACAGUCUGUACUAUAAAAACAAUGCAUACCUUAACUGUUUUUUAAUCCCCCCCAGCCCCCCGCAAUGCAUGAAUACCGAUGAUUGUUUACCAUUAUGAAAGUACAAAUGCAGACACUCCUGUUGUUGGAAAAAAUGCAUUUUAAUGGGAACUUUAAGACAUAUUCUAUAUAGGUAAAAGUGGAGAGUUGAGAUAUUGUUGAGUAAAAAUAAAGGCUUGGAUCCAUAUUGGUUAAAUACCCAAGUGUGAGAUGAGUUUAUAUAUGCGAACCCUCUUAAAAGAUAAUUGAAUGAUUAAGUUUGUAACUUUGUCUCAUGCGUAGAAAGUAUAGGUCUAAAACUGAAAGGGUUGGGGCGCACCCGCACGACGUGGGCAACGUGAAAUGUUUGGACCGGUCAGGCUUAAUUGGGCUUACGGAUAUUUUAAGCAAGCCCAAUACAAAUUUAUUUUUCCUCAGCAGACAUAAUCUGCUUAUAUAUAGACAAUAUUUAAUUUGAUUUAAUUUUUAAACCAAAUUGAUUUUUAUGUUUAUUUCCUUAAUUUUUAAAUCUAAUUUGACUUUUCCUUAAUCGCAGAUUUUAUGUUUAUUUCCAAAUUUUUUUAUUAUCCUAAAUGCCUAUAAAAUGUUGUGUAUUCUGGAGGAUUACACACACAUUCAAAUAAUUUCUUAUACCGAAAUUCUGUUCAUUUCAAAACUCUUCUUUUGCGUCUCUGUAUUUUUACAAUAUUCCAGUGAUAGAAAAAGAAAAAGUUCGUUUGUUCGAUCGUUGUAGAGGUGCUACUACUUUGAUCAUUGUUGUUGUUGUAUCCUGGGAAACAUUCGACCAACAUUUCUCCAAGUACCAUAGGAGCAACCGAAUUUGCCUCAAGGAAACUGUGUUUCACAGGCCUCGACUUUUCGUAAAAUCUCGAUUCUACUUUAUUUCAAAUUUUUAUUUGAUUUUUGUAUUUGAUAAAUUAAUUAUAAAUCAUUCUAUUUAUAUUUUAUUUCAUAUGUGUUUAUUUAUAAUUAAUUAUUUUGUUCGCUAACAUGUUUUGUCCAACACCUAUUACAAUUUUUAUGGUUCGAUUCCUUUUGAUGAAGAUUUCCCCAGGAUAAUACUUACUUCAUAAAACUUCCUAGCUGUGAAACAUGGUACUUAUCUUAUAACAAGACUUUGCUAGGAGAACCGCAAAAUAUGUUCUUAUUAACAUAUGUAACGUAUUAAUCCUUAGUUUCAUCAUGAAUUUGGAUACAAAUGUGUUAAUGGAUAUAGCCACAUAUCUGCAGAUACAGGCACAAGUGAGCAAUAAGAGAGAGCGGUAGAGAGAGAGAGUUGAUAUAUUGGGGUUGAAUUGACGGGUUGUGCAAUUGGAUGCAAGAAAGGUGCAGCAGGCACCUAAGGUCACUAGUAUAAAGGACCCACUUGAGCACAAGUUUGUGUUUCAAUUCAAAUGUUGCUCUCUCAGAUGAUGUUUGGCACCAAAUGGGUUAGGUGUUAAUCCAGUCCCCCUCCGUACAUAGCACUGCUUUCGCAUUUGUAGUGCCCCUUUCGGCCCUUUUCCUUCUGCAUACUAGCUAUGCCUAUAGCAACAUAACUAGGCUAGGCAUGUAUGGGGGUAAAGAACGGCCAUUAGUGAUCCCCUUUUAUUCUUCUUUUACUUUUCAGAUUUGGAACAGAAAGGAAGGAAGGAAAGCCACCAUGAAAGAAAUCAUUCAGUACGUAAUCGGGCAACUGAAGAUUCAUAAGCGUAAAUGAAAGCGAAUUCCGUGAUCUCGAUCUGACUAUUUUCAUGGUAAGCUUACCUAUCCUUUACUAUCAAUCACUAAUCAUUUUACGGUUUAUAGUCGUUUUUUACAUAUCAUGAAAACUAAUCAUUUCGAGAUUUGUGGUUGUCAUUCCCAAUAAUUUUGUUUUCAAUACUUUUUAAUAUUAUUUUAGAUUUUAAAAUUCUUUUCCAAUUUAAAUACUAAUAUAUAUAUAUAUAUAUUAUAGCCCAAUGUUAUUCAACCUUUAAAUUAAUAUAAACAACUUAUACUGUUAUGAGUUUUUUUCCCCAUUUUUAUCUUCAAAAAUUGUGAAUCAAAGGCAAUUAGAUCUGUGAUUUUUGGCUUUGAAAACCUUAUCAACUUGAGCACAAAUCUUUGAUCAAAUAAACUCGAUAUGAUCUUAUUAGAAAAUUUAAACUUCAAAUAAUUUCAAACUUAAAUUUGAAACUGAUUUGGAUGAAAUGAUCUGAAAAUUUCUAAUUUUGAAUUAUUCUAUUAUAGAUCUAGCUAUAGCCCAAGACCCAUCACAAAUCUAUGUAUUUGGAUAAUUACCUUCUUCCUAAAAGAUAUGUUGCAGUGCACUCGAUUAUUUAUUUAGGAUUUUUUUCCCGAUGUGGGAUUAAUGACUUUGAUUAUGUAUUGAUAAAUUUUAAUUUUUAAAGUAAAAAUAGAGAAAUUAAGUUUCAAAUGUACGAACUGUGUAAGAACUUCGAGAAUAUUUUAAUCUUCAAAUUUUUUACUUUAUAAUUUAAUACAAAUAAAUAAUCAAUACAAUGCAAAACAAUGAGAGGCUAAUCUUUUUAACAACAUGCCUACAUCCUCAUUUAAUAAAUGAUUUUAAUUUUUAUAUAAUUCUCAUUCGGCUUAAUGUUGUAUCUAAGUUGAUUAUUAGUAGUGAAGUCAAAAAAAUAUUUUGAGGGUUGAAAUUAAAUUGAAUAUUUUUACGAUAGUAAAAAUAUAAUUUUACCAUUUUAAUAGUCUAUAUAUAAUUUACAAUUAUUAAUUUAAAAUUUUAUAAUUUAUAAAGGAGCCUAAAUGAAAAUUUUUUUCAUUUUAAGGAAACUGGCAUUGGUGAUUAUAAUAAGAAUCAAAUUCUGACCUAUAAGGUUAUACAUUAUUUUUCAGUAAUUGCUUUUUUUUUUCGUUUUGGGUAACAUUUUCCCUAUGUAUUCAUUUAGUUGCCUUACAAAUAAUGUACAUUAUUGUAAAGAGAGUCGAUGUAUUAUUCUUCAAUACUUACCUCGUUUUUUCUAACCCUUUAUUUGCUAAUAAAACACAACGUUUACAUUGGGACCAUAAUUUCAUGCAGAAAGGGAAAAGACUUUGCCAUUCCCUAAUAUCCUUUUCUAAGCAAAGGAUCAUCUAUGUACUAGUGACAAAUGGGUUCAUAUCGGUCUCUCUUCGGAUUAAGAUUACCACCUAUUUGAACCGGUUUAAGUUUGACUAUUUAGAAUUUGAAUACUUUUGAGUUUAGAUUGUCUCAAUUUAAAAUAAGUAUUUAGACUAGUUGAUCCACGAACCGGUUGAACAAACGACCGAUUUGAUUUUUUAAAAUAUAUAUUUUUUAAUUUUUAAUAGUUUAUUCAAUUAAACCAAUUGGAUUGAUUAAAUUGAGUAGAGGUGGUUUCUAUUGCACACAAUCUAAUGAAAGACACAAAAAUGUACAGAAAUGUUUUAAAGUUUAGGUAAAUAAUUUAAUGAAAAAUAGACAUGAUUAGUGGCGAAGUCCUGGUUCUCUAAAAUAGAAUAUUUUCCAUUUAGUCUUUUAUAAUUUUUAAAUUUUUAAAUUAGUAAUGGUAAAAUUACACUUUCCUCGCCUAAAAUUGAUAAAAAAUUGAUUUACCCUUUUAAAAAUUAUAAAGAUAUAAACUAUUAAAAUGGUAAAAUUGUAUUUUUAUUAUCGUAAAAAUAUACAAUUUAAUUUUGUCCCAAAAAUUUUUUUGACUUCGCCCUACAUAUCAUUAUCUUAAUAAAAAAGGUAAAAAUAUUGAGUAUACAAUAAUUAGGUUGAACAAUUUUUGUUGGGAAUAUAUGUUAAAAAAAUAUAGAUUAGCUAUUAAAUGUAAAAUGGCAAAAGAAUAAAUUAUAAAGUGUACACAUAAGGUUGAUUUCGUAAAACUAAAAAUUACCAAUUUUUCACAACUUUGUCAACUAUUAUAUACUUGAGAUGGCAAGAGCCUUUUUUACUUUAAUCGGUGGUUAAUGGUUCGAUCAUUGUCCUGGAUAUGGAGUAACUUUAAAACUCGUGACCAACAUCUAUCCGUUAAUGGGCCUAUAGAAUGUGGAGGGUUAGUUACUAGGUUCGCUCUAAUAGAUACAUUGAUAAAUUAAAAAAAUGGAAUAAAAAAUGUUAGUAAAUUUGACAUUUGAAGUUGUUUAAAGUUAUAAAUUAAAUUGGUAAUAUAUAAGAGAUAUUUUUAUUUGUGUUUAUAUAGAAUUGAAGGAAUAAAAUUUUAAUAUUAACCAUAAAUUAGCAAAUAAUAUCUUCAAAUUUUAAAGUUAUAAAAGUGAAAUAAUAUCAAACAUGAAAUCAAUUACUUUAUUUUAUUUUUUAAUUUUUAUUAUAUAUAGUCAACAUUAUAUUUGAAAAUCAAUAUUACAUAUUGAGAAUUAAUUAUUAUGAACACUUUAUUGUGGGGUUCUUUUACAUUAAUAAUAUAAAAUAAAUAAAUAAAUGCUAGAAUAGGAUAAAGGGAAUAAUAUUUACAAGAAUAGGUAAUGAAAUAGUGAAAUAUCGGUGUUGUCUGACCAAUCGGCGACACCAGACUAAAAUGUGAUGAUCUAAAAGGAUAAAUUGUACCCUAAGUCCCCCUUAUUUAUUAUUUAUUAUUUUUCUUUAACACCAAAAAAUAGAUUGGCCUUUUAUAAAUUAGUCUAGUUUUUUUUUACCAAAAAAUAUUUUUGUAAGUAAACCGUUUCUAUUUAGAAAUAAAUUUUAUUUAUUUUAAAAUAAUAUUUAUAAUUUUAUUAUCCAUUUGAUUUACGUACACAGUAUAAAAUUAUAAUUAUAAAAGCUUUAGAAAAAAUCUUAUUAUGUAUAAAUUAUAAUUAUUAGUUAAAUUUAUAGUUUCCAAAUAUAAUGAGAGAAAAAGAAAACUACUAUAAAUACAGUUAAUUGUAAUGUCAAACAUAAUGUGAUUUUUUUUUAAAAUAAAUAAAAUUUAUUUCGAGUUGGAAUCGACUUACUUGAAAAAAAUACUUUUUAGUAAAAAAAAAUUAGACUAAUUGAUAAGAGGUCAAUUUAUUUUUGGUGUUAAAAGAUAAUAAAAUUUAAUAAUAAAUAGGGGUUUAGGGUGCAAUUUACCCUUUUAAAUUUGGUGCUGUCAUACUGUUAGGCGGCACCCAUGAAGAUUUUUUCGACUGUCAAUUAAAACGGAAAAUUUACAGAUAAGGUCCCUAGAAUUUUUAGAUCAUCACAUUUUAGCCUGGUGCGGCCGAGUGCUCAAGCUGCACCUGAAUUUUUUUAAACUAGAAUUUUUAGAUCAUCACAUUUUAGCCUGGUGCGGCCGAGUGCUCAAGCUGCACCUGAAUUUUUUUAAAUAAAGUGAUGCCGUUGAUUGGUUAGGCGGCACCGGUAUUUCACUAUUUCAUUUGACUAUUCUCAUAAAUAUUAAUCUCUUUAUCCUAUCCUGUAUUUAUUUAUUUAUUUAUUUUAUAUUAUUAACGUAAAAAAUCCUUUAUUGUGACCUGCGGAAACGUGGAAUGAAAACCAAAUAGGUUUUUUUUUUAGUUUUUCUUGAAUUAAAAUGCAACCAAUAAGAAUAAUUGAUAUUUUAAUUUAAUAAAAAUAAAAUUAAUUAAUGUUUGAGUAUUUAAUUUUAAAAAUGAUCAAGAUGUAAUUACAACAAUUAAUUUUAAAAGUUAUUAAAGAUAUUUAUAUAUGUCAAUUUUUUAUAAUUAUUAAUGACAUACAUAUAAAUUAAUUAAUAGCGUAUCUCUCAAAGAUGAUAUUGACAGUGGCGGAGUCAAAAAAUAUUUUUGAGAUAUCGGAAUUAAUGUAAAAAUGUACAAUUUAAUUAAUUUAAUAGUUUUUAUAAUAUUUAAAGAAUUAAAUCAAAAUUUUUAUCAUUUUAAAGAAGAACAAAGUAUAAUUUUACUUUUAUUAAUUUAAAAUGUUAUAAAUUAUAAAUAUUAUACAUGAAUUUUUUUUCAUUUUAGGGACCGGAUACUGUCAGCUCCUAUGACUAUGUAAGCCUUGAAAACAUCCUUUAUUAUUGCAUUUCUUUUUCUACGUUGGCAGUGGUGUGCUUUCGUAGAUUCUAGCCACUCCUUUUUAGAUAAAAUUUCCAAAAGGAAUAGAUAUUAUAUGAGGAAUACUUGGUUGAAGAAAGAAAAAGCAAAAAAACAAAAAAAAAAAUUGGAAAAUGACCUUACAUGAAACUACUCAUGCAAUUGGAUCAACUCAUUCACUCAACCUUUCAAGAGCUUUAUUUACUACUUGGAUACUUAAUAAUUCAUUUAUUUAAUAACUUAUUAUAGGGACCGAACAUGUCUUUUUCAUUUCACCGAAAAUCAAUUUUACAAUAUAAACUCCUAUGACCUUCCCUCUAUGUCUUGCAGUAAUGAUUCCUCUAACAAUUUCUCAAUUCAAUAAAAGAAAAAAAGAAAAGAGGUGAAUAAGAUCUUAAAUAAUAAGAGAUAUGUAAAAAGGAGGCCCGAUUAUGCCCAACCUAAACCUAAAUGGAAUGUAACGACGUAUGGAUCUAUAUGUAGUAUUCUAUAUUAAUAUAGUAAUAUAAUAUUACUAAUAGUAUCGACUCCUUUUUUAUUUUCUAGUUUAUUUUCUAUUUUAGUAUAUUUUACAUCUAAAUUAUAUAGAAUUUUUUAUAUAGAUAUAAAUUAUAUUUAAUCAAUCAAUUGAAUAGAUAUAAUUUAUUUUAUUUAGUUUAGAGUUGUAAAUAGAGAUAAUUAGAGUAAAAAAUCAUUUAUAUGUUUUAUGAUUGCCAACAUUUCUGUCAAAAACAAGUAUAUAUUUGCACCAAUUCAUCCGAGUUAGUGCAAACAUAUGAAAUAUUUAUAUGUCCAUAAAAUAUAUAUAAAUUGGGGUGUUAAGAAAACCAUGAAAUAUUUAUAUGUCCAACGAAAUAAAUCAUUCAGUACGUAAUCGGGCAACUGAAGAUUCAUAAGCGUAAACGAAAGCGAAUUCCGUGAUCUCGAUCCGACUAUUUUCAUGGUAAGCUUACCUAUCCUUUACUGUCAUUCACUAAUCAUUUUACUGUUUAUAUUCGCUUUUUACAUAUCAUGAAAACUAAUCAUUUCAAGAUUUGUAGUUGUCAUUUUCAAUAACUUUGUUUUCAAUACUUUUUAAUAUCAUUUUAAAUUUUAAAGUUCUUUUCCAAGUUAAAUACUAAUAUAUAUAUAUUAUAGCCCCAUGUUAUUCAACCUUUAAAUUAAUAUAAACAAGUACUUAUACUGUUAUGAGUUUUUUUUUCCCUUUUUUAUCUUCAAAAAUUGUGAAUCAAAGGCAAUUAGAUCUGUGAUUUUUGGAUUUGAAAACCUUAUCAACUUGAACAUAAAUCUUUGAUCAAAUAAACUCGAUAUGAUCUUAUUAGAAAAUUUAAACUUCAAAUAAUUUCAAAUUUAAAUUUUAAACUGAUUUGGAUGAAAUUAUCUGAAAAUUUCUAAUUUUGAAUUAUUCUAUUAUAGAUCUAGCUAUAACCCAAGACCCAUCACAAAUGUAUAUAUGUAUUUGGAUAAUUAGCUUCUUCCUAAAAGAUAUGUUGCAGUGCACUCGAUUAUUUAUUUAGGAUUCUUUUUCUUUCUGAUGUGGAAUUAACGACUUUGAUUAUGUAUUGAUAAAUUUUAAUUUUGAAAGUAAAAAUAGAGAAACUAAGUUUCAAAUGUACGAAGUGUGUAAAAACUUCGAGUAUAUUUUAAUCUUUAAAUCUUUUACUUUAUAAUUUAAUACAAAUAAAUAAUCAAUCCAAUGCAAAAUAAUGAGGGGCUAAUCUUUUUAACAACAUGCCUACAUCCUCAUUUAAUAAAUGAUUUUAAUUUUUAUAUAAUUCUCAUUCAGCUUAAUGUAGUAACUAAGUUGAUUAUUAGUAGUGAAGUCAAAAAAAUAUUAAUUUUGAGGGUUGAAAUUAAAUUGAAUAUUUUUACGAUAGUAAAAAUGUAAUUUUACCAUUUUCAUAGUCUAUAUAUAAUUUUACAAUUAUUAAUUUAAAAUUUUAUAAUUUAUAAGGGAGCCUAAAUGAAACUGGCAUUGGUGAUUAUAAUAAGAAUCAAAUUUUGACCUAUGAGGUUGUACAUUAUUUUUCAGUAAUUGAUUUUAUUUUUUUCGUUUUGGGUAACAUUUUCCCUAUGUAUUCAUUUAGUUGCCUUACAAAUAAUGUACAUUAUUGUAAAGAGAGUCGAUGUAUUAUUCUUCAAUACUUACCUUGUUUUUUCUAACCCUUUAUUUGCUAAUAAAACACAACGUACAUUGGGACCAUAAUUUCAUGCAGAAAGGGAAAAGACUUUGCCAUUCCCUAAUAUCCUUCUCUAAGCAAAGGAUCGUCUAUGUACUAGUGACAAAUGGGUUCAUAUCGGUCUCUCUUCGGAUUAGGAUUACCUCCUAUUUGAACCGGUUUAAGUUUGAGUAUUUAGAAUUUGGAUAAUUUUGAGUUUAGAUUGUCUCAAUUUAAAAUAAGUAUUUAGACUAGUUGAUUCACGAACCGGUUGAAUAAACGACCGAGUUGAUUUUUUAAAAUAUAUAAUUUUUAAUUUUUAAUAGUUUAUUCAAUUAAACCAAUUGGACUGAUUAAAUUGAGUAGAGGUGGUUUCUAUUGCACACAAUCUAAUGAAAGACACAAAAAUUUACAGAAAUGUUUUAAAGUUUAGGUAAAUAAUUUAAUGAAAAAUAGACAUGAUUAGUGGCGAAGCCCUAGUCCUCUAAAAUAGAAUAUUUUCCAUUUAAGUCUUUUAUAAUUUAUAAAAUUUUAAAUUAGUAAUGGUAAAAUUGCACUUUCCUCCCCUAAAAUUGAUAAAAAAUUGAUUUAUCCUUUUAAAAAUUAUAAAGAUAUAAACUAUUAAAAUGGUAAACUUGUAUAUACAAUUUAAUUUUGUCCCAAAAAUUUUUUUGACUUCGCCCUACAUAUCAUUAUCUUAAUAAAAAAGGUAAAAAUAUUGAGUAUACAAUAAUUAGGUUGAACAAUUUUUGUUGGGAAUAUAUGUUAAAUAAAAUAUAGGUUAGCUAUUAAAUGUAAAAUGGCAAAAGAAUAAAUUAUAAAGUGUACACAAGGUUGAUUUCGUAAAACUAAAAAUUACCAAUUUUUCACGUCUUUGUCAACUAUUAUACACUUGAGAUGGCAAGAGCCUUUUCUACUUUAAUCGGUGGUUAAUGGUUCGAUUAUUGUCCUGGAUAUGGAGUAACUUUAAAACUCGUUACCAACAUCUAUCCCGUUAAUGGGCCUAUAGAAUGUGGAGGGUUAGUUAUUAGGUUCGCUCUAAUAGAUACAUUGAUAAAUUAAAAAUAUGGAAUAAAAAAUGUUAGUAAAUUUGACAUUUGAAGUUGUUUAAAGUUAUAAAUUAAAUUGGUGAUAUAUAAGAGAUAUUUUUAUUUGUGUUUAUAGAGAAUUGAAGGAAUAAAAUUUUAAUAUUAACCAUAAAUUAGCAAAUAAUAUCUUCAAAAUUUAAAGUUAUAAAAGUGAAAUAAUAUCAAACAUGAAAUCAAUCACAUUAUUUUAUUUUUUAAUUUUUAUUAAAUAUAGUCAACAUUAUAUUUGAAAAUCAAUAUUACAUAUUGAGAAUUAAUUAUUAUGAACAUUUUAUUGUGGGGUUUUUUUACAUUAAUAAUAUAAAAUAAAUAAAUAAAUAAAUACUAGAAUAGGUUAAAGGGAAUAAUAUUUACAAGAAUAGGUAAAUGAAAUAGUGAAAUAUCGGUGUUGUCUGACCAAUCGGCGACACCAGACUAAAAUGUGAUGAUCUAAAAGGAUAAAUUGCACCCUAAAUCCCCCUUAUUUAUUAUUAUUUAGUAUUUUUCUUUAACACCAAAAAAUAGAUUGGCCUUUUAUAAAUUAGUCUAAAUUUUUUUUACCAAAAAAUAUUUUUGUAAGUAAACCGUUUCCAUUUAGAAAUAAAUUUUAUUUAUUUUAAAUAUAUAUUUUUAUUUUUAUUAUCCAUUUGAUUUACGUACACAGUAUAAAAUUAUAAUUAUAAAAGCUUUAGAAAAAAUCUUAUUAUGUAUAAAUUAUAAUUAUUAGUUAAAUUUAUAGUUUCCAAAUAUAAUGAGAGAAAAAGAAAACUACUAUAAAUACAGUUAAUUGUAAUGUCAAACAUAAUGUGAUUUUUUUAAAAAAAUAAAUAAAAUUUACUUCGAGUUGGAAUCAACUUACUUGAAAAAAAUACUUUUUAGUAAAAAAAAAAUUUAGACUAAUUGAUAAGAGGCCAAUUUCUUUUUGGUGUUAAAAGAGAAUAAAAUUUAAUAAUAAAUAGGGGGUUUAGGGUGGAAUUUACCCUUUUUAAUUUGGUGCUGUCAUACUGUCAGGAGGCACCCAUGAAGAUUUUUCGACUGUCAAUUAAAACGGAAAAUUUACAGAUAAAGUCCCUGGAAUUUUUAAAUCAUCACAUUUUAGCCUGGUGAGGCCGAGUGCUCAAGCUACACCCAAAUUUUUUUAAAUAAAGUGAUGCCGUUGAUUGGUUAGCCGGCACCGGUAUUUCACUAUUUCAUUUGACUAUUCUCAUAAAUAUUAAUCUUUUUAUCCUAUCCUGUAUUUAUUUAUUUAUUUAUUUUAUAUUAUUAAUGAAAAAAAUCCUUUAUUGUGACUUGCGGAAACGUGGAAUGAAAACCAAAUAGGUUUUUUUUUUUUUAGUUUUUCUUGAAUUAAAAUGCAACCAAUAAGAAUAAUUGAUAUUUUAAUUUAAUAAAAAUAAAAUUAAUUAAUAUUUGAGUAUUUAAUUUUAAAAAUGAUCAAGAUGUAAUUACAACAAUUAAUUUUAAAAGUUAUUAAAGAUAUUUAUAUAUGUCAAUUUUUUAUAAUUAUUAAUGACAUACAUAUAAAUUAAUUAAUAGCGUAUCUCUCAAAGAUGAUAUUGACAGUGGCGGAGUCAAAAAAUAUUUUUGAGAUAUCGGAAUUAAUGUAAAAAUGUACAAUUUAAUUAAUUUAAUAGUUUUUAUAAUAUUUAAAGAAUUAAAUCAAAAUUUUUAUCAUUUUAAAGAAGAACAAAGUAUAAUUUUACUUUUAUUAAUUUAAAAUGUUAUAAAUUAUAAAUAUUAUACAUGAAUUUUUUUUCAUUUUAGGGACCGGAUACUGUCAGCUCCUAUGACUAUGUAAGCCUUGAAAACAUCCUUUAUUAUUGCAUUUCUUUUUCUACGUUGGCAGUGGUGUGCUUUCGUAGAUUCUAGCCACUCCUUUUUAGAUAAAAUUUCCAAAAGGAAUAGAUAUUAUAUGAGGAAUACUUGGUUGAAGAAAGAAAAAGCAAAAAAACAAAAAAAAAUUGGAAAAUGACCUUACAUGAAACUACUCAUGCAAUUGGAUCAACUCAUUCACUCAACCUUUCAAGAGCUUUAUUUACUACUUGGAUACUUAAUAAUUCAUUUAUUUAAUAACUUAUUAUAGGGACCGAACAUGUCUUUUUCAUUUCACCGAAAAUCAAUUUUACAAUAUAAACUCCUAUGACCUUCCCUCUAUGUCUUGCAGUAAUGAUUCCUCUAACAAUUUCUCAAUUCAAUAAAAAAAAAAAAGAAAAGAGGUGAAUAAGAUCUUAAAUAAUAAGAGAUAUGUAAAAAGGAGGCCCGAUUAUGCCCAACCUAAACCUAAAUGGAAUGUAACGACGUAUGGAUCUAUAUGUAGUAUUCUAUAUUAAUAUAGUAAUAUAAUAUUACUAAUAGUAUCGACUCCUUUUUUAUUUUCUAGUUUAUUUUCUAUUUUAGUAUAUUUUACAUCUAAAUUAUAUAGAAUUUUUUUAUAUAGAUAUAAAUUAUAUUUAAUCAAUCAAUUGAAUAGAUAUAAUUUAUUUUAUUUAGUUUAGAGUUGUAAAUAGAGAUAAUUAGAGUAAAAAAUCAUUUAUAUGUUUUAUGAUUGCCAACAUUUCUGUCAAAAACAAGUAUAUAUUUGCACCAAUUCAUCCGAGUUAGUGCAAACAUAUGAAAUAUUUAUAUGUCCAUAAAAUAUAUAUAAAUUGGGGUGUUAAGAAAACCAUGAAAUUAAUAAUGAUGUAAUUGUCAUUUACUAAUCCUAUAAUUAAACUUAAUCUCAUUUUCUUUCCAUCUCAAAACUAAAAAUGGAAAAUACCACUUUGCUUAGUUGGUAGAAGCGAAUAUUUUCCCAUUAAAAUAUGUUUUGGUAUACGACAUUUUAUGGUGGUUGGCUAGUCAUUACUCAGCUGUUUCCACGAGACUUCCUUUCUUUUAAAGUAAGAUGAAGUCAUCUUUCUCAAAUCAUUACUUUCUGCCUUUGCUCUGUUAAGAAGGGGGAAAAUUAUCAGUUAUUGAUCAUAGCCAAAAGGUACGCCAUCUGCUUUGCUCUUACUCUUUUGAAAUACUUGUCCGUAUAAAUAAGCUUAGGCAGGCAGAUUUAACCCUGAAAAUGGACUUCUUUUAUGCUUUAAAUCUAUUUAGCUUUAAGAUUUUGAGUCCUGUACUUUUUGGAUUUAAAAUCUUCAUCUUUCCCUUCAAAUUUACACUUAGUGUUGUUGACCUGACAAAUAUAAAAAGAUCAAAUAAAUUUUUUAGCCUUAAUUUGAUCUUUACUUUUUAAAGUUACAUAAAAAUUCAGAAUUAAGAAGAAAACAUAUUUUCAGUAAAAAUCCAUUAAAAAGAUUGUGGAAAACACUCUUUAAAGUUCGUAGAAAAAAGGUUGUGAUCUAUCAACAACUUGUGCCUUCCACAUACUGGAAUAUGGUUAUUAAGAGGUUGAGUACUGCUUUAUCUCGUAGAAGAAGGAUUUGUACUAGAUGAUCAUAGGUUGGGUCAAUGUAAAAAUUUUAAAUUUGUUUUUCAGGUCCGGACUUGGCUCAACUAAACAAAUGCGCCUAAAAUUUUAUUUAAGUUCAACCUAGAUAAAAAAUACUAAAUCUGGACCCGUAUUAAAUUUUUUAGAUUUUUUUAUAUAAAAAUAAAUUUAAAAAAUAUAAUACAUUAAAUACUCUAAACACAUUAAAAUGAAUGUUUCUCAACAAAUUGAAAAUAUAUUAAAAAAAUUCUUUAUAUUUAAAUAACACUAACAUAGUUAUAACUUAGCAAACAAACAUUUCUAAAAUAAUAGCAAAAUUAAAAAUAAAAUAAGAGUUAUACAAUAUCUAAAUAAUAGUAGUAAAAUAGUAAUAAUAUAAUAGUGAAACAGUAGCAAAAUAACAACAUAAAAGCAGUAAACAGCAGCAAAAUAAUAAUUAAAUUCGAGUUAGGUUCAAACUAAAAAAAUCUUAUCAGAGGCUCAGCCCAUUUAAAACUCAAAUCUUAUUUUUUUCGAAGUUUAUUUUUUGGGUUUAUAUUAUUGCCUAAACUCUUUAUGUUUUGAAUGGACUUUUUAAAUUCGACUCAUAAUCAAGUCUACUUUAUAAUAAACGCUAUAUAUGGUUGGAAAGAUGGUUUGAUAGGGUACUAAAAUUAAAUGAAAAAUCAUUUAAAAAACAAAUUAAAUAUUCAAACAUUAAAUAUAUAUUUUAUAUAUAAUUGGUUUGAACUAAAUUAACAAAAUACUUUGAUAGUUUUCAGAAAAUUCCUGUAACGAGAGAAUUAGUCACUGUUGCUAGCGGCUAAUAUAUUUAAUUUCAAUAAAAAAUUACCAAAAUACUUUUUGAAUAUGAUUUAGUGCAAGUUGCACAGGUAGUUUAAAAUUUGAAGAUAUUAUUACUAUUUAAGGAGUAAAUAUAUUUUUUAAAUUGAAACAUUUAAUAUGAUUUAUUAUUUUCUAUUUUUUAAAAAAUUAACUAAAUUAAAAAAUGUGCAACAAAUUAAAUAGUUAGAAGUUUUAAAUUUAAAUCAAAAUUGAAAUUUAUGAUCUACAUGAAUAUAACAUAUAAUAUAAUGAUUGUAUCAUUAAAAUAUUAAUAAUAUAAAUAAUUACGGAAGUGUGUAAAAUUACUUUAAUUUUUUACAUUGCGUAAGUAGAUCAUUCCCCUUAAUAUUAAUAAAUUUUCAUAAAGUAAAAUUACUUUACUUUAAUUGUCAUAAAGUAAAACAUUAAUCUCAUAUUUAUAUUUUUAAGAUUAUGCAAAUGUGUUCUUUUUAAAAACUAUAUAAGAUAAUUCAAGUUUUGGUCUUUAUCGUCGCUGUGGUUAUUCAGUUUGCUCUCUUACUUGUUUGUUUACAGAAGCUCUACUUUUUACUCAUUUUUACUUGUAAUUUUUUCUUCUUGUUUUGUUUUGAUUUCUGUUGCGGCUGUGGUUUUUCAGUUUACUUGCUGUUUGCUCUCUCAAUGGAGUUCGUUAUUGGCAUCGUUAGCUCUAUUUUCACUAAAGCUGCAGAGUAUACGAUUUCUCCUAUCAUAAACCAUGUCAAAUACCUUUCCAAUCAUCAGCAAAAUGUUGAGACCCUCAAGGACCAAGCUGAGAAGCUGAAAGAUGCAAGGGACAGAGUGCAGCAUUCUGUUGAUGCAGCUCAACGAAACGGCAAAGAGAUCGAACGUGAUGUUAACAACUGGAUGUCGGCAGUGGACAGGAAGAUCCCUGAACAAGUAGAGAAAGUGAUGCAAGAUGAAGAAAAGGCAAAGAAAAAGUGUUUCAUUGGUUUGUGUCCUAAUUUUUGGACUCGUUACAAGCAUAGCCUGAAAGCUGCAGCGGAGGCGAAGGCUGUUGCCGAGCUACUUGAACAGGGCAAGUUUGGCGGUGUUUCUUAUCCUGUACCUUCACAGAGUAUCACUGUCCCACCGGGUAAAGGUUAUGAGGAAUUCGAGUCAAGAACGUUGAUUUUGAACGGAAUAAUGGAGGCACUAAAAGAUGAUAGCAUCAUCAUUGUUGGGGUGCAUGGUGCGGGUGGGAUUGGAAAAACAACGCUGGUCAAAGAAAUCGCUAGAAAGGUCAAGGGCAAGUUGUUUGAUUCAGUUGUCAUAGCAACUGUAACUCAAGCCAAGGAUAUUAAGAGGAUUCAGAACGAAAUUGCAGACUUCUUGGACUUGAAAUUUGAGAAACAGAGUAUGGUUGGAAAGGCAAUUCAACUAAGACAAAGAUUGAAGAAAGAGGAGAGGAUUCUGGUUAUCUUGGAUGACAUUUGGCAAGAGUUUGAUAUUGAGGAAGUAGGGAUUCCUUUGGGAGAUGAACACAAGGGCUGCAAAUUACUAUUAACUUCUAGAUACCUCAAUGUUUUAUCAAAUGGGAUGGAGUGUCCUCAGAUUAUAGCUAACCUUCCUAAGGAGAUGGAGUGUUCAGGACUUUCCUUUUUCCAUAUGGCCUAUGAUGGCACGGAUAAAAUUCCUCUCAAUUUCUUCAAACAAACCGAAGGCCUGAAAGCCUUAGAUUUGGUCGGAAUUCAGUUUCAAUCCCUCCGUGAAUCAAUUAUUCACCUUGCAGACCUUCGCAUGUUGUGUCUGAAAAAAUGUGCAGUUGAUGACAUAACCAUCCUUGGAGAGCUCAAGAGUUUACAAGUACUCAACCUUUCUCAGUCCGGUAUCAAAGAACUACCCAAGGAGAUGGCACAAUUGACUCAAUUAAGGUUGUUAGAUUUGCGUGGGUGUAGAGAACUCAAAAUCAUCCCACCGAAUGUCUUAUCAGGUUUGUCUAAAUUAGAAGAAUUAUAUAUGAGUGGGAGCUUUGUUGAAUGGGAAAAGGGAGGAGUAGUUGAAAAUGAGAGGAAAAAUGCAAGCCUUGAUGAAUUAAACAAUUUGCGUUAUCUAACUACUUUAUAUGUUCGUAUUCUUGAUGUCCAAAUGAUACCAAAACACCAGUUUGUUGAAAAAUUGGACAGAUUCAGGAUUUUUGUAGGUAAUUAUGGAAUAUAUGAUUGUUGCCAUAAUUAUGAAUCUCCGAAAGCAUUGAAGCUCAUGUUAUAUACAAACAUUGAUUUGGACAAUGGAAUGAAAAUGUUGUUGAAAAAGACAGAAGAUUUGUGCCUAGAGGGACUUGAAGGCGUCAAGAAUGUACUUGUGGAGUUAAAUAAUGGGAAAGAUCUUCCAAAUUUAAAGAGACUUCAUGUCAAAAAUGGUAGGCAUGUCCAACAUAUUAAAACGAACAAAAUUGGAUUUUCUGAAUUAUGUUUCAUCACACUUGAAAAUCUACCGCAACUCGUUAGCUUUUGCUCUCCAGACGAAAGGUGUUCCACUAAGCCCUUACUACUUUCCAAUAAACAGGUAUUUGUUUGGCUGUACUUAUAUUUUCUUAUACAACUUUUAUUUAUAUGCCCAUUAAUACUUCUAAUAAUAGAAAUAUAUAAUAUUGUGUAAUGGUUUUUCCGGAGCUCAAAAAUAAAUUUCAAAUCUAAAAUAAAUGAAAAUUUAAUUUUUAAUUCAAACCGAUUGAAAGUACAGAGUCAAUUCAAUAAUCUAAAUUUAAACCGAAAUUUUUUUUUAAUUCUGAAAAUAAAAUUUGAGCCCACAAAUCGAACUAAAAUUAUCUUUAAAAUUGAAAAUCAUAUUUUCAAAUUAUGUUACAUACUAUCUUUCCCUAUCGAAAAAGAAUUGUGUGUAAAUAUGUGCAAUUUAUUUUCCCUCACUUGGAAAGCUUGUAAUUGUGUUCCAUUAACACCAAAAUUAUAUGGCACAACCAGACAUGUCAUUGGGUUACGAAUUUGAGGAGCUUGAUCAUCAAAGGAUGCGGCAAGUUGGAGCAUCUGUUAUCACCCUCUCUCGCUAGAAGUCUGGUGCAGCUCCAAUGCUUUGAGAUAGAGGAUUGCAAUUGCUUAAGGGACAUAAUACUUACAGAGGAAAUUGAUGAAGAAAGGAAAGAUGUGAUUUGUUUCCCUCGAUUAAACUCCCUGUAUAUAGAUGGUCUUCCAAACCUCAUCUUCUUCAACUCAGGAAACCACAAUAUUGAGUUCCCAUUGUUGAAAGAGCUAAGGAUUAGGCGUUGCCCCAAGUUAAUAGAAUUCAUUAGUCAGAAUAGUAAUCAGUCCGGCAUGCACGCUCUCUUCAGUGAGAAGGUGAUUUAUUUCAUUAGUCUUACACUCUUGCAUAAAUCUGUUGAUUUGUCCUUGUUUUUUUUUUCUACCUUCAUUAUUUGAGCUAACCUUAUUAUGGGCAUGGAUUAUAUAUAUAUAUGAAUAGGUUGCAGUUCCUAGCUUGGAAGACAUGCAUAUCAGUGACUUGAGUAAUGUGAAGAUGAUAUUUUAUAAUUGUUGGAGCUAAGUGCAACAAAUAGCAAGGUUCAACAAAAAGCUUGCCGAGCAAGAAUCGAGACUUGCGGCAGAAACAAAGAAGAAAAAUGAAAUAAAUUUUAAGCAAAGCUAAAAUAGAGAGUAUAUGGAUGAAAUCUUGAUUGAAUUCAUUCAUUUUUUUUAAAAUGGCAUAAAGCCUAUUUAUACAAGCUUACAACUUGACAACUUAGUUGGAAUACAACUAAGUUUCAUUAUUACAUCCACUUAAAAUAAAUCACCACCUACUACCACUAACAAACUUAGUUGGAAUACAACUAAGUUUCAUCAUUAUAUCCACUUAAAAUAAAUCACCACCUACUACCACUAACAAACUUAGUUGGAAUACAACUAAGUUACAUCAUUACAUCCAAAUAAUAAUAAUAAUAAUAAUAAUAAUAAUAAUAAUAAAACAUGUGAUUGCUACAUGCUAACCAUUGCUUCAAUACUCCUCCUUGGUUUGCAUGGAGCAAACACCUAGCUUCCUUCUUAGACAUUCGAACCUUGUGACAUUAAGGGCUUUAGUCAAAAUGUCUGCAAGUUGAUCCUCAGAAUUACAAUGGAUCAGCUUCACUUCCUGAGCUUGCUCCAUUUCUCGAACAACAUGCAACUUGAUGCUGAAAUGCUUUGUUCUUUCAUGGAACACUGGAUUUUUAGCAAUUGCAACUGAAGAUUGGUUGUCACAGAAGAUCUCAGUAGCUUCCUUUUGAUGCACUUUCAAAUCAGCUAAGAUUUUCCUUAGCCAAAUGACUUGGUUGACAGCACUUGCAGCUGCCACAUAUUCUGCUUCAGUAGUAGAUUGAGCCACCAGACUUUGCUUCUUCGAGCUCCAGCAAAACAUGGCUGAACCAAGGUUGAAAGCAUACCCUGAGGUGCUUUUCAUGUCAUCUAUCGAGCCAGCCCAGUCACUAUCAGUGUAGCCAACCAGCUUCAGAUUUCCUUCCUUGCUGUACCUUAAACCAUAGCUCAAAGUGCCUUUGACAUAUCUAAGCACUCUCUUAGCAGCUUGUAAAUGCUUUUUAUUGCAACAAUGCAAGAACCUUGAGAGCAAUCUUACAGCAUACAUUAUGUCUGGUCUAGUGGCAGUUAAAUAUAACAGACAACCAACUAGACUUCUGUAGGUUGUUUCACAAACCUUCUCAAAAUCACCUUGGCUCGAUAGUUUUUCUCCAACAGCAACAGGUGUUUUAGUUGCUUUACUGUUUUGCAUGGAGAACUUGGUCAGAAUCUUUGUGGCAAAGUUUCUCUGACUUAGAAAUAUCCCAUUUUGUGCUUGAGUCACCUUCAUUCCAAGGAAAUAAGACAUUUCCCCUAGAUCAGACAUUUCAAAUACUUCUUGCAUCUUGGUCUUGAAAUCGACCAGCACUGCUCGAUCUCCUCCUGUCACCAACAGGUCAUCAACAUAUAGGGAUACGAUGAGCUGUGUUUGUGUCCCUUGCUUCUUGACAUACAGUGUUGGCUCACUCUUGCUUCGAUCGAAUCCCAAAUUAGUCAAGUAGCCAUCGAUUCUGCUGUACCAGGCCCUUGGAGCCUGUUUUAAGCCAUAUAGGGCCUUCUUCAGUUUGUAGACCAUAUGCUCUCUGCCAGCUAUCUCAAACCCUUGUGGUUGUUCAACAUAGAUCUCUUCAUCUAAGAAACCAUUCAGAAAGGCUGAUUUCACAUCGAGUUGAUGGAUCUUCCACUCGAGCUGUGCUGCUAAGGCAAUCAGUAAUCUGAUGGUGUCUAGCCUGGCCACUGGUGCAAAGGUCUCCAGGUAGUCCAGGCCAUACCUCUGACUGAACCCCUUGACAACUAGCCUUGCUUUCAGUUUGUUCAAGGUACCAUCAGCAUUUUGCUUGGCUUUGUACACCCAUUUCACCCCAAUUAUCUUCCUUUUGACUGGCCUUUCAACUAAUUCCCAGGUCUGGUUCUUCUCAAUCAUGCUAAUCUCCUCAGCCAUUGCCUGCUUCCACUCUUGCUGAGCUUCAGCCUUUUCAAAAUUGCUUGGUUCAACUAUGACUACAUGAGCUCUUUCAUAAAUCUCAGUCAAUGGUCUUGUUCCUCUAACUGGUUCAUCAUCAAUGUCCAUUUCAGGAACAUUUUGAUCUGGCUCAGCUUGAUCUGCUGCAAGUCCUUCUGAAACUUCCUCAGGUUCAUGUUUUUCCCAGUUCCAACAUGACUUUUCAUCAAAUACCACAUCCCUACUGACUGACACUUUCUUUGUUGAAGGAUCCAAGAUCCUAUAAUCCUUCUUAACAGUGCUGUAGCCCACCAAAAUACCAGGUCGAGCCCUUUCAGACAAUUUGUCCCUUUUGACAGCAGGUACAUGAGCAUAACAGAUGCAUCCAAAGACCUUCAGAUGAGCCAGUGAUGGCUUGAAUCCAAACCAGGCUUCGAAUGGAGUCUUCUGAUCCAAGACCUUGGUUGGAAGCCUAUUUUGAAUGUAGUUUGCAGUGUUAACUGCCUCUGCCCAUAGUGCUUUAGGCAGAUUCUUCUGAAUCAUCAAGCACCUGGCCAUAUCCAUCAAACUCCUAUUCUUCCUUUCACUUACACCAUUUUGCUGAGGUGUAUAUGUGUUGGUAAGUUGAUGUUUGAUGCCUGCCUUAUCACAGAAGGCUUGGAACUGAGCUGAGGUGUACUCAGUCCCAUUAUCAGACCUUAUAGACUUCAGCUUGCAACCUGUUUCAGUCUCAGCAGCAGUCUUGAACUUCCAAAAUACUGAGGCCGCCUCUGAUUUCUGUUUUAGGAAGUAAAGCCAACAAUAUCUUGAAAAAUCAUCAAUGAACAGUAUGAAGUACCUGUUUCCACUUAAUGACUCAGUCCUCAUAGGGCCACACACAUCAGUGUGCACCAGUUGGAGUUUUUCAGAGGCUCUCCAGGCUUGAUUCGAGGGAAAUGGGAGUCUGGCCUGCUUUCCUAGCUGACAUACUUCACACACAUCAUCAUGAUCCACUGAGUUGAUGAAGUUUUCAGCCAAGUCCUCUCUGACCAUUCGAGCCAUCGAUCUGAAGUUGGCAUGUCCCAGUCUUUGAUGCCAAAGCUUAGAUUCAUCUGAUGUGACUGUGUAGGCAAUGUCUGACUCCCUGGUCCAGUCAACUACAAAGCUCUUAUUAGCCAUAGGAACUGCCAUCAGCUUGGAUCCACUUGGAUCAUUGAUUUGGCAUUGGUUGUCUUUGAACACAACAGAAUAACCUUUCUCCAGCAACUGAGCUAUGCUGAGCAGGUUUCUGUCAAUUUUAGGCACCAAAAGCACAUUUGAAAUCACUUUGGCACCUGUGGGGGUGCAUAUCAGCACAUCACCCUUGCCUUCAGCUUGAAUAAAAUGUCCAUUUCCUAUCUUGACUUUAGUUCUGCAGCUUCUGUCUAAAGACUUGAAGAUUGCAGCAUCAGGUGUCAUGUGGUUGGUGCAUCCACUGUCUAGAAGCCAACCAGAUGAGAACCUUUCUUGAGCAGCUGAGCAUAACACAGCAAAGACUUGCUCCUCUUGGUCACCGUCCUCCUUAGCUACUCGAGCCUCAGCUUUCUUCUGUUGAAACUGACUCUGCCUUGAUUUGGCCUUGCUCUUGCAGACUUUCUCAACAUGACCCUUCUUUUUACAAUGCUGACAUACAUCAUCUGGAUUGAACCAGCAUUUUUCUUUUGGAUGACCAGCCCUUCUGCAGUGCUUGCAAGUCUGACCCUCUUUUCUUGCAACAUCAGUCCUUGGCUUGUCUCUCUAGGCCUUCUUGCCUUUGUAGGCAGUGUUUGUUCUUGCCUGAAAGGCACCUUCUUGAUGCUCCUCCAGUCUGCUUGCUCUUCUUUGCUCUUGAGCAUAUAAAGCAUUGAUAAACUCUGUCAGGGAGAUGGUGUACAGGUCCCUUGAGUCCUCGAGAGAUGAGAUUUUUGCCUCAUACCUCUCGGGCAGAGUUGCAAUAACCUUCUCCACUAUCCUAGCUUCCUUGAGCUGCUCUCCAAGGAGCCUUAUGCUGUUAACCACAGCCAUAAUCCUGUCAGAGUACUGCUUGAUAGUUUCUUCUUCCUUCAUCUUCAAAUUCUCAAAAUCUCUCCUUAAGUUCAGCAACUAUUGCUGCCUUGUCCUCUCUGUCCCUUGAAACUCCUCUUGCAACUUGUCCCAGGCUUGUUUUGGUGAUUCACAGGCCAUAAUCCUUGUGAAAAUCACAUCUAACACUGAGUUCUGGAUGCAAGACAUGGCUUUGUGCCUCUUAGUCCUCUCAUCAGCAUGCUGCCUGAUUUGAGCCACUAUUGGAUUGCCUCUAAGUGGCUCUGGUUCAACAUCUGAGUUGACUACCUCCCACAGAUCGAAAGCUUGUAGGUAGGUCUUCAUUUUAACCACCCAUAUGUGGUAGCCUUCUCCAUUGAAGACUUGAGGUGCAGUUGGUGAAAAGCUUGAUGAAGCCAUGAAUUUGUAUAACAGAUCCCUUAAGAAAUAGGCUCUUGAUACCAAUUGUUGGAGCUAAGUGCAACAAAUAGCAAGGUUCAACAAAAAGCUUGCCGAGCAAGAAUCGAGACUUGCGGCAGAAACAAAGAAGAAAAAUGAAAUAAAUUUUAAGCAAAGCUAAAAUAGAGAGUAUAUGGAUGAAAUCUUGAUUGAAUUCAUUCAUUUUUUUUUAAAAUGGCAUAAAGCCUAUUUAUACAAGCUUACAACUUGACAACUUAGUUGGAAUACAACUAAGUUUCAUCAUUACAUCCACUUAAAAUAAAUCACCACCUACUACCACUAACAAACUUAGUUGGAAUACAACUAAGUUUCAUCAUUACAUCCACUUAAAAUAAAUCACCACCUACUACCAUGUAAUAGCCCGAUUUUAGGCUUAGUCGGAACAGUGGUUUCGGGACCACAAAUCCGACGAAAAAAAAAAUGUAAUGGCUUGAAUUUUCAGAGGUGUCAGAACGGUGAUUCGAGAUCACUAAAUUCGACAAAUGGGUAGAAAAUAUUAUUAAUUUAGUAAGUAUAAGUUAAAUAUGAAGUUAGGAAAAUUUUUGAAAUAGUGAAUAGUGCACUAGAAAUAAAUAUUAAAAUAAUUAGAAUCGAAAUGAGGUAUCAAGACCUCGGGGAUUUUAAACUGAGCCAUAAAUAUUUUUAUAAAUAUUUAUGGAGUGUUAAAAAGUUAGUAUUAAAGUUUCGUUAAGAAAUUUUAAAGUUCCGAUAAUUAAUUGAACAAAAAGGACUAAAUUGUAACAAAUGCAAAAUUUUGGAAAAUGAUUAAAUAACUUAAAUGAUAAAAGGAAGAGGGCUUAAAAGGCAAAUAGACCCAAGGUCUAUUUGGGCUGGACGGCAGAGGCAUGAAAUCAGCAAAAAAGUAAGGAGAAUUAAGGGCAAAAUUGGAAAAUUGCAAAAUUUGCUUAAUAAAGUUAGGACCCAAGUGGAAUUAUCUAGAUUUCUCUUCAUUUUUCUGAAUUCUCAUCAGCUAAAACACCAUGGAAGGGCUUCUUCAAGCUGGUUCUUCAUAUUUUUAUUACAAGUAAGUUCAAUUCUUGACUAUUUCUUGAAAUUUUUGUAUUUUUAUGACUUUUACAACUAGGCCCACUUGUUAAAUCCAUUAGUUUUUGAUUUUAUGAAAGAAUUUGAAAGUUGAUAUGAAUAUGUGCUGGAAGUAUAUGAUGAUUUAGCAUGAAAUUAGAGAUUUAAAUUGUUCAUAUGCUGAUUUUAUUGAAAGAAUUGAAUAGAAAGUGAAUGUUUGGGACCUAAUAGUAAAAGAGUUUGAAGAUAGAGUUAUAUGUGGAAAUUCUGAAUUUCAAUAGUUGUGUAACAACUUAUAAUGUCUAGUAAAGUACUAAUUGAGAAAAUUAGAUUAAUUGAGGGGUUAAUUGAGAAAGGACCGAAUUGUAUAAACUGUGAAAUUUGGGGCAAAAUGGAAAUCAACAUUUUGCACUAAAGCAGUUUUGGACAGCAGCAGUAGUGUAACUUUGAAAAAUCACCAAAAAUUGUAGAGAUUGAAUUAGAGGAUGAAUAAAAUAUGAAACUAAAGCUUAUUGAGUCUAGUUUCUUAUAAAAGAAAUGAUGUGAGCAAUGGAAUUGUAAAUCAUGAGAUAUAAUAGAUUUUGUGAGACAAGGUCAGAAUGAAUUCGGGUUCCCCUGUUCUGACUUUGGAAAAAUCAUUAAAAAUUGUACAAAAAUGAUUAUGAGUUAUAGUUUAUAUGGUUAGAAUCCUUAAUGAGUCUAUUUUUAGAAGAAACAAGCUAAAACAUCAUCCGAAUUCUGUACAAUGAGAUAAUUAAUUUUUAGUGAAGAGUGGUCGGAACUGUCAGACAGCGAAACAGGGGAAACUUUAAAGAAUAAACUGUACUAUUUGGCUGAACCAAAAAUUAUGAAAAUUUUAUGGUAUGAAGAUAUGUGAGUCUAGUUUCAGGGAAAAUUAACGGAUCUUAAUUUGGAGCUCUGUAUCUCCGGAUAAAAAUAUUUUAGUGACUCUGACUCGGAUAAACAGCUUUGAAUAUACAUGUUAGUAAAUAUUGAAAUUAUGGUUAAUGUUGUUUAAGUGUGUUAUACACAUUAAGGAUGUGGAAUGGAGAGGAGGAGGAGGAAAAUUGGGAAAUAUAUGAAUGAUUCGUGUAUAAAUGGUCAUAUGUUUGAUUAUAACUCAUAAACGAUGAAAUAUGAAUGAUGCUUAUUUUUGUGCAUUAUUGGUCAUGGUUUAAGCUCAUGUGUGAAAAUAAAGUUUCAUAGUAUGUGUGUAUGGUAUAUUCAGUAUAUGAUUUGGCAUGAAAUAAUACCAUGAAUGGUUUAUGAAUUAACACAUGUUGGUAAGCCUGAUAUAUGAAUAAAUGAUCAAAUUGAGCGGAACGCCGGAUUUGAGUACUUCUGAUCAAGUGACAAAGUGAUAAGUGGUAGCUUUAGCUACACUUAUCUGAUCAAGUGACAAGUGGAAAGUGAUAAGUAAUAGCUUCGGCUAUACUUAUCUGAUCAAGUGACAAAGUGAUAAGUGAUAGCUUCGGCUACACUUAUCUGAUCAAGUGACAAGUGAAAAGUGAUAAGUGAUAGCUUCGGCUAUACUUAUCUGAUCAAGAGACAAAGUGAUAAGUGAUAGCUUUAGCUACACUUAUCUGAUCAAGAGACAAAGUGAUAAGUGGCUACACUUAUCUGAUCAAGAAACAAAGUGAUAAGUGGCUACACUUAUCUGAUCAAGAAACAAAGUGAUAGGUGGCUACACUUAUCUGAUCAGGGACAAGUGAUAAGUGAUCAUACGUAAGACCAUAGUUAUCCUAUGGCAAAGUGAAAGUGAAGUACUCAAUUUUCCGUGACCGUUCCCUAAUUUGAUUAAGGAUGGUAAGUGACAAAUGGGCCCAAAAGAAUUAAAGUAAAUGGAUAAGUGGUAGUGUAUUUAUAUCAGGACGAUGUUGUUAUUCAAACUAAAGUGAUAUUUUCAUUGCUAAAUUGAGAAUUUCAUAAAUGUGUUAUUGAAUGGUAUAAUCAAUAAACAUUGAGUUAAAUGGUAAAUACGUAUUAGUUUUGAAUUUGAUGUCAUUGAAUUGUACGUGAAUUAAAUGAAAAUUGCUAGUGAUAUGAUUUAAAUUAUGAGCAUGAGAAAUUGCGAAUUGAAUGAAAUGGAAAUGAAGCAUUAAAUUGCAUGAGUAUGUAUCGGGUCUCGCAGGCCCUAAUUAUUAUGAUUAUAAUAUUUUGAGGAUAUAUUGUGAAAAGUUAUAGAAACAUGUUAAUUAUUUUGAAAGUUUUAAUUUUGAUGAAAUUUUAUAACUCGGUUAAAUACGUUUACAAGUGUAUGUGUUUUGGUAAUGCCUCGUACCCUAUUCCGGUGUUGGAUACGGGUAAGGGGUGUUACAUACCACCAACUAAGUUUCAUCAUUACAUCCACUUAAAAUAAAUCACCACCUACUACCACUAACAAACUUUGUUGGAAUACAACUAAGUUACAUCAUUACAUCCAAAUAAUAAUAAUAAUAAUAAUAAUAAAACAUGUGAUUGCUACAUGCUAACCAUUGCUUCAAUAAUAAUGACCUACCACCAGGUUCCUUUAAAAAUAUACGAAAAGUAAGUGUUUGGGGAUGUGGGAGUUUGAAAAAUCUAUUUCCAGUAUCAAUAGCCAAAGAUCUUCCACAACUUGAACAUUUAAGCAUCACUGGUUGUGGAGUUGAGGAGAUUGUAUCGAAAGGGGAUGGAGUGGAGGAGCAGCCUGUGAGGUUUGAGUUUCCGCAAGUGUCUUACCUUGACGUUUCAUUGGUAGAAAACCUCAAAUGUUUCUAUGAAGGGCAACAUACAAUAGUCUGGCCGAUGUUGAAGAAAUUGACAACAGAUAGGUCUGCUUUGCCAAAGAUAGUGGCAUCGGAACAUCUUAGAUUAAUCCAAGGAAAUGAGGAGCCAGUUUUGUUGGGUGAAGAGGUAUGUAUAUCAUUACAACUAUAUUUCUUUUUAUGAUUUAAACCACUGCCACAAGCAUCUCAAGUUGAAAUAUGCCACGAUCAUGCAUUUCUAAUUAUUAUAUUUUGUUUGGUUUGGAUUUUUUUUUUCGUAUUUUUGAAUUUUCACUAUAUAUAUAUUUUAAAUUUUUUGUUACAUUUAUAAUUAUUUUUUCAAUUUUUUUAAAAACAAGACUGAAUAAACAUAAUAGGUAAAUAUUGAGUGAAUACAGUUCAAUUUGAUAAAAUGUAUAAAUAUUGAGGGUUAAAUUUAUUAUUAUGUUAAAAAGAUGCUAAAAAAAAUAAAAAUAUUUUAUUUGUUUUUAAGUAACCAAAAUAAAAAUAUUUUAACACUAAGUGACUAUAUAUGUAAUUUACCCUGCAUUUAAGUAGUGGAUCGAAACUAAAUAGGAUCUUUAAUUUGCUUUAAAAAAUUGCCACUCAAUAAAAAAUCAAAACUUUAAAAGUUAAUUACACUAGACAUCUCAAACUAGGACCUUCAUUUUAAAUUAGUCCUAAAAUUUAAAACUAUUGAGGUUAUAUCAAUUACGUCUUUCUGUUAUUAAAUUCGUUAAUUUAACCAUCAAAUUAAAUCAGUGUAAUAUUUUAAAACAUUGGUGUUUUAUCUCCACUGUUCUGCUUAUACUUUUUAUCAUAGAAAAAUAUAUAUAACAAUGGUUGUUUAUCUAUUUUAAUUUAGAUUUGCUACUCUUCUUUCGGCUUUCAUGUUCUGUAAUUUUUAUCAGUUUUAAUUCUCAAGGUAUUGUGUUUUCUUAAAACAAAAAAUUCAUCUAUUCUGGAUUCGUUUGAUUUAAUAUUGAUUUUGUUGGGAUUUAAUCAUCAAAAUCAAACACUAAAAUUGUAAAUCUUCUUUCUUUCUUUUUUAAAGCAUAUACAUCAACAUUGAGCCUAACUUGCUUAUAUUUGAUUGGUUUCCAAGGUCAUUCCCAAAUUAGAGGAACUUGAGUUACAAAAUUUUGGUGAUAUGGACCAAUUUCCACCAGACUUGUUUCAACAUAUUAAAGUUUUUGCACUGAGUGGUGGCUCUCCAUUUUCUUUAUUUCCUUUCGUCCGAAGAUUCUACAAUAUGGAAAGACUUAAGUUCUCUUUUUUAGAUUUCAAACAUGUAGUCCCUUGUAAAGGAGACGCCGGGACUCUCCCACCAAUUAGAAAUCUGGAAUUGUUUUCUGCCAGAAAUCUUAAUCAUAUUUGGAGGAAAGGUUCGGAGCUUUACCAUAUUCUUUCUAAUCUUCAAACACUCACAGUUCUGCGUUGUGAUGAUUGGAUAAAUAUUAGAGCCUUCUCAUCAUCUUUACAAAAUCUUACAAUUUUGAAUGUGUCAUUAUGUAAAAUGACGACAAACUUAGUCACACCCUCAGUACUUAAGAAUCUUGUGCAAUUAACGACAAUAAAGGUAGAAGACUGCACUAAAAUGACAGAAAUAGUGGGCAACGAGGGAGACUGUCAUCAGACAAUAGUUGUUAGUAAAUUGAAAUGUUUACAACUAUGCAAUUUGAAGAGCCACCGGGUAAAGAUCUUUUGUUCACAAGCUUUUGUCCACGGUAUUACAACUUCGAGUUUCCUUGUUUGGAAGAAUUAGUUGUGGAACGUUGUCCUUGGUUAAAGAUCUUUUCUGAGGGAGUUUUAAGCACCCCACAAUUACAGAGAAUAAAACAGUCGCGUUACUUUGAGGAAUGGAGUUGGACAAGUGACCUUAAUACCACCAUACAACAGCUCUACACAGAAAAGGUACAAAGUUAAUAAGUUCAUAAUGCUAGUUAGAUUCCUCGUGUCCUAAUACAAUUAAUUUUAUUACUACUUCAAUAACCAUUGAAGAGUGUUAAUCGUUAUUUUGUUAUUGUCUGCAUUUUCUAUUUAUGAUUGCUAUCUAGUGGAAUAAUAUCAGAUUAAUUUUUAGGGUGGACUCUAUGGCCAAUGUGAUUUCAACAUCUCUGACACAUUUCCGGAGUCGAUAGAAAUAUGGACUAGAAACACUCAAGAAAAUUUGGGCAUCAAAAACCUUAGGAGCCUGCACUUUUAUAAAUGUAGCAGCUUGAAGUACAUAUUUACUCCGUCUAUGCUUUUGGGCCUCAAUCUACUACAAAGGAUAAAAGUGAGAGAAUGCAGUUCAAUGGAACAAGUAGUUAGGGAGGAGGAGGAAGCAAUGACACAUAAAUUUACAUUUCUUUCGCUACGCUCCGUAACAAUUGAGUCGUGUUCCAACUUGACAAAUUUCCAUUUGGGAAGUCAAGCUCUUGAAUUUCCACAGCUGAGUGAUAUCAGGAUAGCUGAGUGUCCAAAAAUGACUGCAUUUUCUUCCUCAGUUUCAAGAGAGAGUGGUGAUGCAAGUGAAAACGUGGUUGGCAAAGGGGGCAUCUAUGAUAACACUGCAACUUUUUUCAGCAAUAAGGUAAGUUUGGUAUUCAAUAUAUAUCUGCACAACUUAUUUCACAUUUUCUUUUGAUUUGAUCAACAUGAGUGUGUCUGGUCUACAUAUCCAUACUAGUGCUACACCUUGUCAAAAUUUAAUAUAAUAAAAUCCAUAAAAAUAUUAAUAAAUAAGAUGAUGUUAAAAAAAAAUUGGAGUUUAAAGUAUAAAUAAAUAUAUAAAAUAAGAUUUGAAGGAAAAACUUAAAGUGAAAUACUAAAAAACAAAAAGAAUUUAAGAGAAGUUUAAAAUUAAAUAGUAAUAGACAAUAAAUAAUAAAAUAAUAAUAGAAAAAAGAAAACAAAUCUUCCUUCAUUUUAAUUUGUUGAUGACCUUCACAAAGGUCAUUUGAGAUCAAAGGAGAAGAAGCCUGAAAACAAAAGGUGAGGAGUUUGAAGAAGAAAGAACCAAAUAUAUAGAGGAGAAUUGAAGUGAGAGAGUGGAUGGGUUUUAUUUAAAGAUUUAAUGCUUUUUUUUUUAAUUUCAUAUAUAGAAAAAAUCAUUGAAAGAAAAAAAAGUUUAAUAUAAUUAUUUAAAUUUACUUGUCGGGUUUUUAUAAAAGUAACUCAAAUUUUUUAUUAAUUAUGAAAAUGACUCAAUUUAAAAAUUAUGUACAUAAAUUAUUCGAUUUCUAUAGUGUUUGUCGGUGCCGCUAGACACAAUGGUGGCAUCGACCUACCAUCAUUGACUAAUGAUUGUAUUUUAUUUAAAAAAUAAUAGUUUUCUAGUAGUAUCGUUGGAAAAAUUAGUGAUAUCAAACUAAAGUGUGAUUAUAUAAAAUGUUUGUGGACUUGACAAAGUAAUUAUCCUUUUGAAAUUAAAUUUAAAUAACCCUUAAGAAAUAUAAGAAUAACAAAAAUAAACCAUUCUCAUUUUUUUUUAAAAAUAAACUUAAAAAAUUAUAUAAAAUUCUUAUUUAAAUUACCCAAAUAUAUCCCUCGCACAGCUUCCUCAAGUUUAUCUAAAUUCAAGCAUUUUCAAUUCAUUCCCUAGCAUAUUUAAAUUUAGAUAAACUUAAGGAAAUUUUUUGAGGAAUAUGUUUGGGUUAUUUGAAUAAGAAUUUUAAAUAAUUUUUUAAGUAUUUUUUCAAAAAAUGAAAAUGGUCUAAUUUCAAAAGAAGACAAACAUAACAUGCAAACAGGUCAAAUGUUGAAAAACAUUUAAUUUGGUUCAGAUACCAACGACACCCCUUUUUCAAACAAUCUAAAAACGUUAACCGCUUCAAAAGAUCCCUGCAUGUUUUAUAUAAUCACAUUCAGUCUGGUGCCGUCAAUUUAUUAGACAAAACCACUACAAAUUUUUUUAAAAAGCAAUCAUUGGCUGAUGAUGGAGGCUAAUGCAGUAAGCACUAUAGAAAUCAAGUCAUUUACGUACAUUAUUUUUAAGUUGGAUCAUUUUCGUAAUUAACCAAAAAAUUUUGGUUACUUUUAACUGUCUAGUUGAUGUGUGAAUAUUAACCUUUAGAUCAGUUUAUAAAUCUUCAUACUCAUCUACUCAUUUUGAUUGUCUUUCAAAGUAAAGAAGGAAGAGUGAUACUAUCUUAUAAUAAUAUUUAUGUCAACAGGUUGUCAUUCCUCGUUUGGAGCGUCUGGAUUUGUCCUCCAUCAACAUUCAUAAGAUAUGGCACCACUCAUCCUCCCCAUCUAUCGGAUACCUAAAUUUCUUGCGGGUGAAGAGGUGUCACAAUUUGAAAUACCUGUUCCCGUUUUUCUUAGCAAAAGAUCUUGAGCAACUCCGAUUCCUUGGAAUUUUGGACUGUAAUAUGAUGGAACAAGUAAUAUUCACGGAUGGAUUGGUUGAGGAACAUCAAGGGAGGAAUCAGAUGUUUUUCUUUAAUCAACGUUCGCUGUGGCUAAACGACCUUCCCAAACUCACAAGUUCGUGCUUUGAAAAUUACUUUGAAUUUCACUGUUUAGCAGAUUUAACACUAAGAAAUUGUCCAUUGCUAAAAACAUUCAUCUCUAAAUGUGUACCCGGAGAUGAACCUCAAAUUGGCCAACAUGUACAGGCAAGUAACUUGGAGGUUCAUAACUCAUCUCUCCUCAAUGAAAAGGUCAUUUCUUCACGGAUUCUCCUUUUAAUUUAUUUUACUUCGAUUUAUCUUAUUCAUUUGAAGUUCUUUCUUUUUCAUACAUAUUUCAGUAUUAACCUAAUGAUAUGAUUUAUUAGGUUGUUUUCCCUAGUUUGAAGAGGCUGCAAAUUCAAAAUUGUGAUUUGUUAGAAGAAAUUAUCGAGCUGCAAGGAGUCAUUGCUGAUGAGUCACAGUCAACAUCAGCUGCUCAAUCUAUUGUGGCUGAAACAGUGACGACCAAGUUUGUAUUUCCCAAACUAAUAAACCUGGGAUUGGAUAAGGUGCCAAGAUUGAAAAGUUUCUACUCUAGGAUGCAUACCACCCACUGGCCUUCAUUGAAAAAAAUGGACAUUAUUGAAUGCCCCAAAGUACAGAUAUUUACUCCACAAUGUCCCGGGAGUCAGGUUGGAAUCUCAAACCAACAACCCUUGUUUUGCGUCAAUGAGGUAAGCUCGCGAACAGUUUCAUAUUCCAUGAUCAUUACUUGAGAUUACCUAUAAAAUGCUUUUUGAAAAAACUAAUAUUCUCUCCUCUUUUAAUUUUAUGAGAGUCUAGUUCUUACUAAUUUAAAACUCUUUCAUCGAUGUCUAAUAUAUUCUUUGCCAUCCAGGACACUUUCCCUGUAUUAGAAGAACUAACUCUGAAGACGAAUGAUAUGGGGAAGGGGAUAUGUGAUGGACAACUCUCAUUGCAGUGUUUCCAAAACCUUAAGCAUCUUAACCUCCAAUUCUUUCCCGAGACAUCCACUACUCUUCCGUAUUCCUUCAUUCGGUCACUACCAGUGCUUCAUAAGCUUGUUAUAGACAAUGCUUCCAUUUGUCAAAUAGUACAAUCUGAAGGACUCAGCGACUAGGAAUGGCAUACAUCAGCAUUCUAUCAGCUAAAGGAAUUAAGUUUGUCUCAACUUCCAGAGUUGACGUUAAAGACUUUUGAACCAUCUUUGCUGUCUUUCAAAAAUCUAACAACACUGAAAGUUUCAAGAUGCCAUGGGUUCAUCAAUUUAAUCGCAUGCUCAACAGCUAAGUGCCUGACGCUACUGGAAAGAUUGAUCAUAGAUGAUUGUGAGAUGAUAGAGGAAAUCAUAGCGUGUGAGGCUGAAGAAAUACAAGGCGGCAUUGUAUUUCCCAAACUGAAGUAUUUGCAACUAAGUUGUCUGCCAUGUCUAGCAAUCUUUUCCUUGGCCCAUCACUUGUUGGAAUUCCCAGUCUUGCUAAUGUUGAUGGUGACAAAGUGCCCCCAAAUGAGGAAUUUCUGCCAAGGAGAUUUAAGCACGCCAAGGCUGGAACAAAUGCACUUAACAAGAGAUGAGGAAGGUGAACUGAAGUGGGAAGGCGACCUUAACACUACCAUAAAACAUAUGUUCGAUGAAAUGGUACAAAUCAUUUAAAGGAUUUAAAUUCAUGUGUUUUUACAUACAUACAUACAUAGUUAAUUGAACAAUUCCUGGUUUGUUAUGAUCAUGCACAGAAUGUGCAAAAUUCUGAGGUGACGGAGGUUACUGAUCAGUUGCCCAAUCUGGAAUAAGGAAAUAUGUUUGGGUGCUUAUGCGAAAAGCUCAAUUUCGUUUGAAUUCAAAACAAACGGUAAUUGACUCCUCUAUUUUCAUCAUGGCUUAACUAAUGCUUUAUAAAGUGACCAUAGAGACGCCCUUUUCAUUGUAGGUUGAGUUGCUCUACUGAAGUACGAGGCUGCAACUUUUGGUAAAAUGUGAAAGGUUAUUUCAGUUUUUGUAAAACUACCAUUUGAACUGUUCCAUUUCACAUUAUACCCUCAAAAUUGAACUUCAAGUGCAUCAUGCUUGGCAUUGGGCUACAAACAUGUAAACUUUUACUAGUAAGGUUGACCCCUGUUUUAAGGAUUUGCCAACUUUUGAUGGUUACCAUAUCAAUGUCAGCUUAAAGCUAUCAAGUAUCUUUACAAAUAUAAUAUAUAUAUAUUAUUCCUUAAUGAAGGAUAAAAGUAGGCAGCUAUCUAUUAAUGGUACGGCUGAUUCUGAAAAGACGGCUGAAAUUGAAUCAAUGGGUUGUUGGUAAUUGCCUGAUGGAAGAACAGGGCCUAAUGUUACGUGGAUCCUGAUCAAGUUUUAAAUUUUCAGUUGUAGGCAUUACUGAUUAUUGCCAUUUGGUUGUUGAUCCUCUGAUUUUACGGUUGACUGUCUUGCUUAUACGUUGCAAGGUUGGCGGGUCUCAAGUAUGAAUUUCCAAGCCGGCUGUCAUCCAUAAUUAACUAAGUGUUCCAAUCUGUUGAAAGGUGGUUAGCAUGCAGCAUUGAAGACCACCAUGCAGAAGCAGCAGUUUGCACGAGAAAGCAAGGAUGUUUAGUUUCAUUUGAAUUUUUUUUUUUGUUUAUGUAAUGUAAUCUAGUUCAUUUUGAACUAUGAUAAGAUGAUAUUUGAUGUAAACUUGAUGGUGAUUGAGCUGUUUACCAGCUUUAUUCAUUUGCACAAGUUAUCAUUCCAAUUUACUAGGAAACUUAGUGGUAGUAGGUAUAGUUUUGGUUAACCUACUGUCUUGACAAGCUAGAAGCUUGAUUUAUGUAUUGGCAUUAAGCCUUUUUUUGAUGAAUGAAUUUAAUCAAGUUUUCAUUCAAAAACUCUCACCAUUCUCCUUGCUUUAUUCUUUUUAGUUUUCUGCUUGUUUCUGCUGCAAGUCACGACACUUGCUGCUCAAGCAAUAGGCUGAAACUUGUUGUUAGUUGCUCUCAGCUCCAACAGAAUCCAUGGAGUUUAUGGUUUAUUAGUGUAACUGUCCAUUUGGUUGUGGAUUGGUUCUUAAGGUGUUUUGAUGCUUGUAUGUUACAGUGCCUGCUCCAAGCAACACCCUUUAAUUUCUAAUGAAUUUUAUUUGUUGAGGAAAAAAAUAUGAGGAUUAAUCUGAUAUUUUAUGUUUGGGUUUAUGAAGAUUUUUGUACCUUUAAUGAAAAAAGCAAAUAAAAUAGAGAGGUACAAGAUCACAUCCAUAGAUCAACAAAGGGGUUUAAUAUUUCUAUAAAAAAAGUUGUCCCAAAAAGGCCUUCUAAUGGGAAUUGAAAAAAAAGCUUGUAAAAAUUUACAAAAGGAAUUGAUGAGAAUCUGAUACAGCCAUCACAUGCGACAGCUUUCCCUUAAAAGCAUUCGUGGCUGAGUCUAGUCUUAAUUUUUAUUUGUAUCUUUUAUAUCCGUUUUAUAAUUCAUAUUUAAGAUUUGUAUUAUGCGCUUAAUAUUUCAUUAUUUGUUGUCUAUGAUGCUCAUUCUUGAAAAAAAAAACAAACAAACAAAUGCAAUGCAUGCAUAAACCAUAAAAAAAAUAAAGAACAUAAGCAACUAAUAAUGAAAUAUAUUAAAAUGAAGACCGGUAAUUGAUUUAAGAAUUACCCUAAUUUCGGUAAAUAUAUUAAAACAUGUGUCCCUAAUCUUUUUCAAUUUUGAUAUUGAAAAAAUUGGUAUUCUUAAAAUUAUGAGAGUUAUUCAAUUAUUUUCAUUUUUGAAAUUGAUAAAUUAAGGACAAUUAAUCACAACGUUAAUGUUUUUAUCAAUUAUAUAUGAUUUUCUUGAUAUAAUGAUAAAUUUAGUCCUCAAAGUUUACACAUUCUAUCAAUUUGUUAUUGAUUUAACAAAUUUAACCCACAAUAUUUACACAUUUCGUCAAUUUGAUCAUGAUUUAACAUAUUUAACCCGUAAUAAUUAUACAUUCUAUCAACAUUUACGCAAAAUAUAUAAUCAUCAAGGAUUAAAUUUGUUUUUAUACUAAUCAAAAUUAUGUAUAAUUAACAGAAACUAUUAGCGCUUGAUUAAUUGUUCGUGGUUACUUUCAAAAAAGAUAAGGAUUAAUUUGUUCAAUAUCAAAAAGAUGUUUUUUAUUUUUAUUUUUUAAUUUCAUAGGUAAGAAAAUCUCAAAAAAAAGAAAAUCUUUGAAAUAAAAAAUAGAAUGUUUUAUAUAAUUAUUUGAAGUUACUCUCACGUUAUUUUUACCCAUUCAAAGCUAGCAAGUCUUUAUGUACAAAAUGGUAUAGCUCUGCAAUUUGGAUUAACAUUUUGGUGACCUCCAUGUGAAGUGAAAGAAAAUUGAGAAUGUCACACAAUUAUUAUUUUUGCCUCCAUACCCCUAUGCCACCAAAGAAAGUUGAAUUAUUAAGGCACAAAAGUACUAAGGAGUAGGAGCUAGAAAAAGAGGGGCAUGAAAAUAAAGAGACUUACAUUUAUUAUUUGCAUAAUACAAAAUCAGUCUUUAAUAUUUACAUAUUUUAUUAAUUUGAAUUUUAUUUUUAUUUAGUUAAAUUUAACUUUAAACCCUUUAAAAAAAGUUAAAUUUGAUCAUCAACAUUUUAAAAAGAGUCAAAUUAUUAUUUAACGGAAAUGUUAAAUUUUGAAAUACAUAUAACAAUUCGCGUGUAUUUCAUAUUAUUUUUUUAAAUUUUUUAUAUUUUUUUGAAAUUUUUAUUUUUGAAUAUUGUUAGAAAAAUAUUUGGAACAUUGUUAGUGGAGUUUUUAACCUCCACCAACAAAAUUAAUGGGUUAAUAAGUGUCUUACAGGGAUAUAAUAAAAUAUUAAUAUAUAUAUAUUAAAAUAUAUAUAUAUAUGUUAAUUUUUUUAAAGUUGUGGAAUAAAAAUAAUAUAUUAUUGGCAUACCAAAUACUCACCUUUUUAAUUAAGAUUUAAAAAUAAAAAAUAGUUAGUAAAAUGAAUGGAUUGCAAAUUGAGAAAUUUGAUAUUGAAUAUUAAAAUUUUCUUAAAAAGAAGACAUAUAGCAAGAUAAGAAAGUUAGUGAUUUAUUUGAUUUAAUUUUAAUUUUUAAAUUGAUGCAUUUUAUUAUGAAUUUUUAUUCUUUGUGUAUUUUGUAUAAUUUGUUUGAAAUUUUCAAUUUUCAAUUUCUCACAUGAGUUUGAGAUAUAAAAAAAAUUACUCUUAGGAUUGGUGAAACAGUGGAUACAAGAGUUCAGCUUAUCAUAUAUUGAUGAUUUUGUUCUUCGAAAUAUUGUCUACAGAUAGGAUAUCAGAGUUCUAUUAAUUAGAGUUCCGUUAAAAAGUCGAAAUUUCUAUUUUAGCCUAGGACUCUAGGAGUUCUGUUAUCGAUAUUCUAAUUAUGAUCAUGAUCUAUAAAAAAUAUGAGUAACAUGUGAUACGUAAAUGAAAAUUUUUAUGAUAUGAUAAGUCAUAAAUUAAGUGAAAAUGUAUGAAAGUGUAUGAUUAUAUGAAAGACAAAAAUAAUUAAUUUAAUUUAAUGAUCUGUAAAAUUGAAAAAUGAAAUACAUGAAUUAUAUAAGAGAAUGUUGACGAUCAAUAUGUGGUAUGUAAAUGAGAAGGAAAAAAUUAUAUGACCAAAUACUAAAAUAAAUGAAUAAUGAAAUUAACUAAAUACUUUGUAAGUUCAAUAAUUUAAAAAAUUGUUAUUUUUCCCAUUCAAAGUUGAAAAGUCUUUUAUGUGAAAAAUAGUGUAGCUCUUCAAUUUGGGUAUAACAUUUUGGUCUUCUCCAUGUGAUGUGGAGGAAAAUUGACAACAUCACACAAUCAAAUCCAUUUUUUCUGCCAUACCCUUGUGCCUCCGAAGAAAGUUAAAUUAUUAAGGCACAAAAGUACCAAGGAGUAGAAGCUACCAAAAGAGGAGCAUGAAAAUAAAGAGAGAUACAUAUAUUACUGGCAUGAAAUAUUUACAUUUUUUAUUAAUUUGGAACUUCUUGCCUUUUACUACUAGCUUGAUUUGUAUCAUCGCUCUCACCUUUUUGAGCUUGUAUCUGAUAGUGAAACCAAAGAUUAGUGAAAGCCUUCGCACCAAAACUGAGUUCUAGGAACUGCAAUAGGAUCAAUUUCAACAACUCUAAUGGGAUAUUAAACAUUCCCAACUCUUAAGAUCACCAUCUCAUCAAUUUUACACAAUUAAAAUGAAUGUUUCCCUUCACAAAAGGUUUAGGAUGAGCAGCACCAUCGUCCACACUAAUAAAACUUCCCCAGUGAUUGGCGAUGUUUUUAAAUGUAGAGAUCGGACAAGCAUGGAUCGGAACCCCUAAAGUUGUUCUAUAAUUAACCAAAAUGUUUUCAGACCAUGACUCAACUUUUGUGAACCACCUCAUCGAAAUUUCAAUAAACUCUUUUAUAACCUUCUCCACCGUUAAACUCCAUUAGCAACUUGGAGGCCACCCUCUUCUAACCGCAGAGCAAGGUUCUCAAGAGUACAUAAAUCUCUACACCAUCCCAUAAUACAAAUUGUAGCUUAGAAAGUUUUUCUUCCUCGAUAAUCCCAUCUAUAGGAAUUGACUCUAUCUCUUUCUUACCUGUAGCCACCUCCUCCAUGAAACAAUUCUUGUUUAUAGCUUUUUCACCUCCGAGGGUUCCACUCGUAUCUAGAGAAUCCUUUGAUACCUCCAGAGCCUUUGAAGCGUGCAAAGUUGACCCAUAUUCUAUGUCCAAAUAAAUGGAACCGUUCAGACGAAGCGUCGCCCUUCUUGCAUCAGUAAAGUUUGCGAAUCUCACAAAACCAAAUCUUUCUCCUUUUUAUGAAGACAUCCAUAACCCUGCCGUGAUACUCGAAUAUCUUCCAAAGACCUGUCCAUUGCAUUCGUGGAGGACGAUUCACUACAAAAACAGUAACACAACUCUGUCCAGUGUCCACCACCCAACCCAUUACUCAUUAAUAAAACUCCUACUUCAUCACUUAACUAAAGCUUUCUUUUUGAUAUUUUUAUAUAUUUUAAUUUUGUUUUGUAUUCAAAUAAUUUGAUAAUUAACUUUUAACAAUUAUCCCAUAGUUUUUACUAUAAAUUUAAGGAAGACAAUCUUGAUAAAAUUAGUUUGAGGUAGGAACAGUUUAUUGGAACAGCGUAGUCUUUUAUAGGAUUAAAAAUAUUAAUGCAAGAAAUAAAAAACAAGUGAUUAAAGGUUUAGAACAAGCAAUCAAACUUAUUUUAUGUUAAAAUUUUCGAACAAUAUGAAAAUAUAUAAUUUUAAUUGUUCUUUUACCAAUUAAAUUGAUUUUUGACAGGUUUAACUAUUGACUUAAAAAAGAGUGUUAAUUUGAAUGGUUAAAUGUAAUGAUGCAUGGUUUGUCUGACAUCGUCACAUGGAAAAUGGGAUUAAAAAUGGAAAUUAAGCAAAGGCAAAAUGAAUAUAUUUAUUGUUUUCUAAUUUGGUGUAGGGUGCCAUAUUUGUUGAUAGCCACUCACUAAUACAUUAUAAAUGGAAUAAUUGCCUAUUUUACCUUUUUCAUGAAAUUUAUUGACAUCACCAGCUCAUUUUUCAACCACAUUACUCAAAUGAUUGACAGAGAGAGGUAAAAGUAAUUUAUAAAUGUAUUUCUUUUUUUUCGAGUAUAAUUUGUAUUUAUUUCUAGCCAUUUUUAUAAAGUUAUUGUUUAAAAAAGGGGUAAUUAUCAAAUUCAUAUAUGAUUUGGAUCCAAUGUACAAUUUGAUACAAACUACAAUUUGGUGUAAUUAUACACAUAAACUUGAAUUGUGAUUCAUAUGAGCACAUGAAACUUUGAUUUUGAUUCAAUUGUAUGCAUUUAAUGAAUGUAUACGUUUAAAAAAAAUGAAUAUUUACAUUUAUUUUCAUAUUUGAUUAUAUACAGGGGCGAAACCAGAAAAUUCUUUUAGGGGGCUGAAAUUAAAUUGUAAUUUUUACGAUAGCAAAAAUGUAAUUUCACCAUUUUAAUGGCCUAUAUCUUUAUAAUUUUUAAAUGAUUAAAUCAAAUUUUAUAUUUUUAGCGGAGCAAAGUACAAUUUUACCUUUACUAAUUUAAAAUUUUAAAAGGCCUAAAUAGAAAAUUCACCAUUUCAAGGGGACUGAGACUAGAGGUGAUCAUGGGUUGGGCCCACCCGAAAAAUAGGAGGGUCCAAGUAAAAAUAUAGACCCAAAAUAUGGGUUUCGGCAAAAAAAGAAGCCCGUUUAAAAAACGGGCCGGGCUCGGGUAAAAAUUUUUUGGCCUAGGCCCAACCCGACCCGGCCCGAAUUAUAUAUUAAAUAUAUAUAGUUUUUAUUUUUAAUCAAAUAUGUAUUAAAUAUAUACUUUUUUGGUGUUGUACAAUUUGAUAUGGGUUGGGCUCGGGCUUAGCAAUUUUCUUUUGGGCCGAGCUUGGAUAAAUUUUUAGGCCCAUAUUUUGGGCCCAGCCAAGCCCGAGCCUAAAAAAUGGGCCUAAAAUUUUGUCUGGGCCCUGCUCAGCCCAUGAUCACCUCUAACUGGAACCCCUGUCAGCCCCUUAGUUUCGCCCCAAAUUAUAUAAUAGUUUGUAUAUGCAAUAUAUCAACGUAAAAUUGUGCUAAUUCAAUAAUAUUGUUAGUGAUUUCUGAAAAUUGAAUCAAAUCAAUAUUUCAUAUAUAAAAUUGUACAAAAUCAAAGUUCAUAUACAACAUAAAUAAAUAAAUAAAAAGUUCAUAUAGAACAAUAUACAUUAAAUCAAAAUUUAUAUAUAAUUUUGAUAUUUAUCUCAUUCUUUAUUAAUUAUAACGUGUGAACGAGGUGAAUCCAAAUUUUGUCAUUUAUUUUCCUACCAUCUUUGCGAAAUAAAUUUCAACUUAAGAAGGAAAAAAUAAUUAACAUUUUCAAAUUCUAUCAAGAUAGACAUGUUCAUAGGUCAGACUCUCGGCUUAGGUUCAAAAGUUCACUAAAAUUUUGGGAGGGUUUGGAUAAAAAUAUCAUACCCAAAGAAUGGACUCGAGCAAAAAAAAAAGACCUGUUUAAAAUAUGGGUCGGGCUCGGGCUUGAAUAUUUAAGGCUAGACCCGUUUUAAGUUUAUAAUUUUUUAUAUUAUGUUAUUUUUUAUAUAUUAUGUAAUUUAGAACACAAUAAAAAAUAAACAUAUAGUAAAUAUAUAAUAUAACUCUAAUGUAAACAUUAAAAUAAUAUUAAAAUGACUAUAUAAAAAAUUUCAAUAAAUAAAAAUGUAUAAAUAUUAAAAUAAUAUAAUAUAAAUACUUUUUAAAAAAAUUAAAAAAUAAUAUAAGCGAACCUAAAAUGGGUUUAGAUUAGUUUUUUGUAAAUAUGGGAGUGUUUUGACAAAAUUUUAGGCCUAAAUUUCAAACCGGACCGAACUUAAACAAAUAUAAAAUAUCUUAAUAUCAUGCUUAAACCAACCUAUGAACACUUCUACAUAAAAAUAAUAUAGACGAAUUGAUGUCGUUUAGUUCCACAAGGUCAAACUUCAAAUUAAUACGAGUGUAUUAUUAAAAGUUUUCGUCCUCGCAUUACUUGUAAUUAGUUUAUGUCUUUUAAUUCAUUGAGAAGUAACAAGCAUGUAUGGAUGUCCAUUGUACAGGCCCAUUUUGACCUAAUCCAUUACAACCCAUAACCCAAGCAAAAACAAAACCUACCCAGGCCCAACUAAGCCUAACCCACCAAAACCAAAGCCCAAAUCAGCAACCCAAUUCAGCCCAAUCUACCUAACCCUAGCCAAUUUGUAGAAAAAAGAAACAGCAGCCACCCUAGGUGCGCCGCACCUAGGGCCUUCGUCCACCUACCCCCUGCCACCGCCUCUGACCAGCGCCGCACCUGCUCUCUGCCAUCGCCCAACUGCACCUGCAAGAAGAGAAACCAACACGCAACAACAAAUAGUAGACAUAGAUAAAAAAAAUGUUAAAAUCGGCUAUAAAAGCCGAAACCAGAGGAAUGUAAAGGGUUCGGCCCCUCUUUGACGAUUAAAAGAAAUAAAAGUUUUUUGAAAAUCUUAAAGGUGACUACUACCUUUUUAGAUCUGUUUUUUUUUGUUCUUUUAAAUAUUAUUUUUGUUUUUAAAUACAAACAAAUUAAAAAUAAGAAUAAAGGAGAAGGCUUUUUACCUUACCUGCGCCGCGACGGAGGUGGAGGAAGGCGAACGGUUUCGCCCCAUUUUUUGGGUCUUCGGCUUUCUAUUCAGGAGAUUCAGCCCCGGAUCUGUGGCCUGGAGGCCAUGGACUUCAAAAAAGGACGAAAAAGGUCCGAUUUUGAACCUCCGGCGGCCACACACGGUGGCUCUGCGGCGGAGACUCGUCGGAAAUCUCGAGCCGGACCAUGGCCGGACCUGAGAGAAAAAGAGAGAGUUUUCUCUCUGUUUUUUUAAAAAGAAGAUGAAACUGUUUCUUUUAGCUUUUUUUAGUAUUUAUAUUAAACGUGAAACGACGCCGUUUUAGCAAAAGGAUCCGCGCGUCGACCCGACCCGACCCGGAGGAUCCGCGUGUUUUCAGUUUUUGGGAUAUUUCGCGUGCAGUCCCCCUGAUUUUGCAGCGUAUUACAAUUUUAUCCUUUUGUUAUUUUCUCUUAUUUUUAAUUUAGCCCCUGCAAUUUUAUUUUUAUUUCGACUUGGUCCAUUUCAACGCUGCGUUUUGGGGCUGUGGUUUAUUUGCAGUUUUGGCCCUUUCCUUUUCAGCGCGCGUUGCAAUUCGGUCCUUCUUGUUUUUUUAUUUCAAAUUUGCCUAGUAUAUUUGUUUUUAUUUUGAUUUAGUCCCUUUUUAGCAAUCUUAUUUAUUUUGAUUAAUUAUUUUAAUGUAUUAUCAUUUAUUAUUAUUAUUGUUGCAUUUAUUAUUCUGAUUAUCAUUUACCCAUUCGCAUCGUUUUUGGAUUUGGUUAUACAUACAUACUUAUAUAUAUUUUUAUAUUUUAUAACUUAUAUACAUAUAUCUAUAUUUAUAUUCUUUACCUUCACAAAUAUAUGUAUACGUACCUAUAUAUAUAUAUUAUUUUAUAUAUAUACAUCCUUUUACAUUUUUAGGUUUUUAUAUUUUGUUCAUUAUUUAUUUAUUUAUUUACAAUUUUGUUAUUAUUUUAAAAGAAUGCUUUAACUUUAUUUGCUUAUAUAUUCAUUUUGUAUGCUAUUGAUUUGUCUUUUUUUAUUUAUCUUAUCUUUGAUGCUAUUGCUCGUGUUAUUUUACUUGCAUUAUCAUCAUCAUUUCAUUAUACCCAUUUUUAUUUAGAUUUCGAAAAAGAAAUUUUAGAAAUAAGUAAUAUUCGGUAUUUUGGAUCUUCGAGAGAAUCGAGCCCUAACGUAUUGGGUUCCGACUUUCUUCGUUGAACUUAAAUAAUUGAGAUUAUUCUUUUAAAAAUGAUAAAAAGCUCGUUACCGAGAAUUCAAUAUGUUGUGUCCUAACGCAUUGGAUGUGACACGUUAUUUUUUCGAAACGAGAAUUUUUCUAAAUAAAUGUAAUAUUCAAUGUUUAAUAUUUUGAGAAAUUGUGCCCUAACGUAUUGGGUUGCGAUUUCUUCAUUUGAUUUAAACAAUUGAAUAUUCUUUUAAACUUUAUUACACGAAUUUUUUCAAACUCAAGUUAAACGAUAUCGGGAAUUAAAAAAAGGAUCGUGUCCUAACUUACUGGUCGCGAUAUCUUUUUUUAAUCCAAGAUAGUUAAAUAUCUUUUAAAUAAGCAUUUUUCAUUCGCGUAUCGGGAAUUCGAGACAUUGUGUCCUAACUUAUUAGAUAUGAUUCUCUUUCUCGAAUAGCGUGAAAUAUGCCCCUUUUUCAGAAAUUUUUCAACGUUUUAAUACAAGGAUCGUAUUUUUAAAAUUCUUCAAAGUUCUCAAUUUUCGACAUUAAGACAUUAAGUAGUCAAUUAGGUACCAAUUUUGGGCGUAUCGAGGGUGCUAAUCCUUCCUCGUGCGUAACCGACUCCCGAACCCGUUUUUCUGAAUUUCGUGGACCAAACUUGUUGUUUUAAUAAAAUCAAACCGUUUAUUAAAAACAACUAAUUUUAAGGUGAUCCAAUCACACCUCAUAAAAAAGGAUUGGUAGCGACUCCCGUUUCUUUUUUCAAAACCCAAGUCGACCCCGUUUUCCAUCCAAAAAAUGGUGUCAACAUCCAUCUUCUACCAUAGUUGUCUUCUAAAGAACUUUAUAAAGGGAAGCUAUGCCACUCUAUUUAAGGGUUGGUUUUGGAGAUUAAAGUGUAAUUUUAUCAUCAUAUUAACUUAAGUUUUUUUUUUAAAUUUAAAAACGUGUAAAUGGUAAAUUUACUAUUUUUGGAAGGUCAAGGCUAUUGCUUCCCCUUAUCUUUGCCCUGCUAGUAGUUGACUAACACGGUCUCAUACAGUAAUACUCUUAUCGAAUAUAAAGCCUUGUUUAAAUGGAGAUAUUUAUAAGAGGAAAAAUACUAAAUAAUGCAAGCUCGCCCAUGCCUGGUCACUGUGAGCCCCUUUGUGAGGAAGCACCUGAUCUUCUCUCGAAGUUACGAGGUUAUUUUGUCAAGUUCUUUAGAGAGAGUUGUCUCACACCCCUAGGUAUUCUCUACCUACCCACUUGUGUCGGUUUUGGGUACACGUACCCUUUUGAUGAAGGUCGUUCAAGCUUUUCCUGGAAGUAUAAUUUUUACUUCCACUUACAAUUUCAUAAAAUAAUAAUUUAUCAAAUCAAAAUUAUUCAAAUACAAAUUCAAAAUAUUUGAAUCAAAAUUAAAUUGGAGCUCCUCACUCAGGCUUCUACUUUUGUGCAUUGAUAAUUCAGUGGCAGCACUUCCCCCUUGCCUUAAUUGUUGAAAAUUGAAUAAAAAUUGUACCUUUCAUUUCCUUCCCUCAGACAAGUUGUUCAUUGUUGCUCCCACUCUUCAGUCUUCUCUAAAAUAAUGUAGGAAUCCCAAGUCACUAUAAUUAGGUGAUGAGGAUGGUACUUACUUUUUUUCCAAUAUCAGGGUAUUUAUCGUUAAUAAUAGUGAUUGAUUUUUUUUGUUGCGAAUUUGUACAAGAGCUUAUGUAAGAGUUUAAUAUAGUUCAAUGAUUAUUUUAUAAUUUUUUAAAGUUAAAUAAUCAAAAUAGAAAUUAAUUAACAAUUUAGCUAGAGAGCUUACACGUAGUUUACCCAAAAACAUAUCGACAUGAUCCCCCAUUGGAGUCCGAAGCCAAAGCUCACAAAUUGGGUUAACAUUUGACAUUUGGGGUUUCAAAUUGAGAAUUAAUUGAAAUAGAUAACAAUUAGCAAUUAAUUGAGAAUAAACAAAUUAUAUUCCAUAUAGUGUAGUAUUGAAUAUAUGUUUACUUCAUUAAAGGUCUCUUUUUUAUUCAAUUAAUUUCUCCAACUCAAAUUUAGCAACUUAUUAUGGUACUAUGAGAUUAUAAGAAUGGUUUUUGGAAGUAAAUCAGUGAGUGAAGUUGUAAAAUUACUGAUUUUCGAUUUAAUUACUUUAAUCAUUGGUCUAGUUUCAAUUAAAAAAUUUAUUCAUGAUUUAGCCUAUAAAUUAUAUAUAUUCUCUCACUUUAGUCUAGUUUAGACUUGCCUAUGGCCCUGCUCGAAUGUCCACCUGAAAAGCGAGAUGAUUUAGGUAAAUAUAUAUGCCCAAAAAGUUGGUCUGGAUAAAAAAAUAAUGCUCGUUUUCUAAACGGAUUGGGUCUCAGGUAAGCUUUUCUUGCUCAACCUGGCCCGAAUUUGCAAAAAAAAAAACUAUUGUUGUUUUUUUUACUAUUUUAUCAUUGUUUUUCUAUCAUUUCGUUAUUAUAUUGCUACUAUUUUAUUAUUAUUGUUUGAAUAAUGCAUAACUCUUGUUUUAUUACUAAUUUUGCUACUAUUUUAGGGAUAUUUACUUUUUAAGUUACACUUAUCUCAGUGUUAUAUAUUUAAGUAUUUUUUUUUAAUUUUCAUUUGUUCGGAAACAUUUAUUUCAAAUUUUUUAGUGUAUUUGAUGAAUUAUUUUUUAAAAUUUAUUUUUAUAUUAAAAAUAUAAAAAAUUAAUAUGGGCAGACUAGGCUUUUAACAUUUUAAUCUAAGUUGGGCUUGGAUAAAAUUUUAAGCCUAUUUUUCGAGCUGAACCGAGCUCAGGCCUAGAAAUUAGGCCUAAAUUUUUUACUUGGCCCUAUCAACCCAUGGACAACCCCAGUCUAGUUUCAGUUGGGAAUGAGAAUUACUACUAUUUUGUUGUUAUUAAAUUGUUAAACCAUUGUUUUUUUUUUUUGGUGCCACUUCAAAAAGCCAUUGGGCCUUAGUCAAGACGAGGUAACAUAGAAUAGUUCAGGGUCCUAACUGGAAAAUAUCCCACAUUGAUUAUUGUGAUGUAGAAAGUGGAAAAUAUGUAACGAGCGUCAUUGGAAAGAUGUAUGUCAAACUAGUGGAGCCAUAAAUUGGUAGUUUUCUAAGGUUGGUUUCAAAAUGAAGGGGGAGCUCCCAAGUCAAAAUAAAAUUGUUUAGUAUUUUUUAGUGUUUCCCUUUUAGACAGGUUAAAUUGUGUAUUUAUAUGUAGGGGUGUUCAUUCGGUUAACCGAUCGGUUAAUCGAAUCGAACUUUUUUAAAAAAAAUUAACCGAACGAAAUUUUUUCGGUUAAUUCGGUCGGUUAAUCGAAAAUUAUAUGUUUUUUUAUUUUUGGUUAAAAAUUAACCGAAUUAACCGAAUUAACCGAAUUCCCGAAUUACCCGAAUUAACCUAAUUGAAUCAUACAUAAUUAAAUUAUUUUUAGACUUUAAUACUUUAGUUUUAGUUUUAGUUUUAGAAUUUGUUUUUAUUUAUUAAAUUAUUUGUAAAUUUUAUGAUUGGGUUGGUUUGGGUAAUUGGGUUGGAUUGAAUACUUGGAUUUGGAUUGGGUUUAGGUGAAUAGUGGACCUAUUUAUAUAUUAAUAAUUUUAUUUAUUAAUUUUUUCGGUUAACCGACCGGUUUCGAACCGAAUUAACCGUUAACUGAAAAUUCAUAAAAAAAUUAACCGACCCCCGACCGAAAAAAUUCGGUUAACCGACCGAUUACCGAAUUUUUUCGGUUUUACCCGAAUUAUGCACACCCCUAUUUAUAUGAUAUGAUUACUGUUCACAGAUAUGAUAUCGUAGGUAGGUUCCCAUGCAAAUCAACGUAUACCCUACUUUAGGUUAACAUGUAUUUAUAUGAGGUGGAUUUACAUAGUGCAAACCCACAUCAUGCUGUCUCGUAGAAGGUUGCAAACACCUUACAUGCGAACUCAAAGUGCGAACUGUAAUGGAUCAGUAAUAGUGAAUAUCAUAACAAAAGUAAAUUAAAAUAUUUAAUUCCUUCCAAAUAUUAAUUUCAAUAAUUAUUCAACUCCUAUUAUUUUAUCCUUUUGUAUAUUGAAUUCCUCUAAGCAAAGAAAAUAUCCAAAUUAAAAUUUUUAAUUUUUUUAGACAUAAUAUCAAAUUUAACCUUCAACGUUUACAUUUUUUUGUCAAUUUGGCAAUUAUUCUUUUUUGAGCUAAAUUUGACCCUUAAUCUUUCAAAAAAGAGUCAAAUAUUUUUUUAUGAAAUCUUUUUUUAAUGAAAACAUUAAUAAAAACAUUAAUUUUUUUAACAAUAAUGGUGUGGCAACCCGCAUGGUAGUCCACGUAUACUUCCAUACUAGUAUGACACUAUUUGUAUUAUAUGUCAUGUCAACAAAUAAUUUUAAAAAAGUAUUUAAAAUUCAAAAAAUUAUAAAAAGCUCAUAAUAUGUAAAAUAAAAAAGCAUGAAGUACAUAUAGAUUGUCAUUCAAACUAUCAUAUUUGAAAAUUUAAUGUUAUAAUCGAAAUUUUUUUUAAAAAAAUAACAAUUUAACUCUUUUAAAAUAUUAAUGGUUAAAUUUAACUUUUUAAAAAAAAUUGAAAGUCAAAUUUAGCUCAAAAAAUAAAGAUUAAACUGACAAAAAAUAUAAAUGUUAAAAGGUUAAAUUUCAAAUUAUAUCAUUAUUUUAUUAAACAAACCUUAUUAAAAAUGUAUUUAAAUUUUAUAAAUCUUAUUAAAAUAAUAUUAAUAAUUAUUCAACUCCUCCACACAAAGAAGCAUCCAAAUUAAAAAUAUAUAUUUAAUUCCUUUCAAAUAUUAAUUUGUUCAACUUCUUAAAUUAAGUAAUUAAUCAAUUUUCGUUUUAAACAAAAAACCGGAUAGGAAAACCAUCAUUUUCUCGGGAAACAAACAGAGAAAGCUGCAAACUUUCCAAAUAUAUACCUUACUCGAAAAUCUGCCACGUCUUAUCCUUGAUAUGAUGGUUUCUAACAUUGCCACUUGGCAAGUUAUUCAGUAACAAUGCCAAUCUGCCACCAUUAUGCUUUUCCUUGCAGUACAAAAUUCCAGGAUGCCUUUACUUCUUUUGCCUCUUGGAUCAGCAUUUACUAUCACCAAAAUCAAAAUCCCAACUUUGAAAAAAAAAAAGUUUAAUUUUUAUCCUUUUUUUAAAAAAAUUUAACAAUUUUUUAUUUUCCAUUGUCAACCUUGUAAAAUUCUUUUAUAUUUUUAUGUUUUUAGUGGGAUUUUUACAUUUGUUCCAAAUUAUCAGUUUGUCAAGUUCUUCAUGCUUUCCAUGUCCCAAAGGAUCACAUUUUAUUUAAGAAAUAGAAAAAGACAUUAUUUUUGUUCUUCAUGCAACUUAUAAGUUAUAGAGAAUGAAUUUCUUUGAUUUUAGCAACUAAUAUUAUGAUUCCAACAUUUAGGGUUUUAUAUGUUUUUUUUUCUGUAUGAAUUUGAACUUGAGUUAGCCAUAAAAACCCCACCUUUAAUCUCAAUAUAUGAACUUGGCUUUGCUUCUUAUGGUUAUUAUUGUUUAAUUUAAUUAAUGUCUUGAAAGGGUAUUCUAGUUUAAUUUAAUUAACUAGUCCAUUUAUUUUGAUUGAUAAUGAUGUUGCAGGUGCUUAAUCUUUCCAUUGAAAUGGAGAAAAUCAACUACCAGGACGAGCUGAAGAAAGAGCGUAGGCUUGUUCGGAGUCUCGUAUACGAGAUCGGUUACAGGAAGGAACAGGUGUCCGAAAUGGAACAUAAAUAUGACAAGACAACCACGGCUUUUCAAGAACUCGUUGAUGGCCUUGUAGCGAAAAUUGACUCCAAGGACAGUAGUUUGCGGGAUUGGGAGCUUCGAUAUAAGGAAAUGGGGAAAUGGUACAUAAAUAUGAUGAGACGACCGCAGCUCUUCAAGGACUCGUCGAUGGCCUUGUAGAGAAAAUUGACUCCAAGGACAGUAGUUUACGGGAUUGGGAGCUUCGAUAUAACGAAACCGUGAGACAAUUGAAGGGCGAGAACGCGGUGUUUCACCUUGUGUUUGCUAAAGGUAUACUUUAGAUUAUAUAUUGCAUACAUAGCGAGCAGAAGACUAUGCAUUAAUCCAAUCGUGUACGAUGAACAACAUGUCGUUUUCGAAGUUCCAAGGUUUGCAUUUAGAGCUUUGAUUGAUCUUUAGGCUAUUUUACACAUCUAGUUGCUUAGUAUUAGAUUCGGUGAAGAAGUUGCAACUUUAGGAUAGUGAAGGAGACAUAAAUGUCAGGAUUCGAACCCCAAACUCUGCUUUUAUAUCUGUUAUCACGGGAACCGGAUGAACUUAUGGAAACGAGGCUUGGAACCUAAAAGGAAGCAUAUAUAUUUGAGAUAUUCCGAUUUUCUUCCUGUUGCUAAUGCUUCUAUCAUACACAUUAGGAUUAUGUGAUCUUAUAUAUAUACACACGCAUAUAUACGAGAUACUGAUGAAUUUCUGCCUCCUGUUAUUGCUUAUAUCAUAUGCUUUAUGGACUGUUGCUUUACAUUUUUUAUGCAGAAAUUCAGAAGGAAAGGGAUGAAAAUCUUAAGCUGAAGUGCCAACCUGGCUUUCGAACCAAGUUGGUCGAAGAUUAUAUAUCUCGUAAUGAUAACGAUAUGGAACGAAGUAGCUUGUUGAAUGAAAUGGAAGGGGUUAGCAUACUCAUCUUAAUUUUGGUUUUCGAUAUAUGAACUAUCUUUUGUCGAGUUUGUACCUUUGUGUAAAUGAAUCCUGUUAUCAUGUUUAGGUUCAACGUUUUUAAUGGUUAUGAUUUGCCGAGUAGACUUUUAACAAUUCGGAUUAUAUCUGAUAUAGCCGAAAGAGAAUGUGGCUUGCCAAAAUCUUAUUGAACUCGAGAAAACUACAAGCGAGCAGAUUACUGCUCUAAAGAAAGAGUUGGAGGAAAAAUCAGAAGCGUUGAAAGAUAUGGAAAACCGAAACAGUUGUCUAACGGUGAAACAAGUCCUAACUAAUCAAGAGCUGCAAGAUGUUCGAAAAGAAUCCAUACGUGUAUUUUUCAUGUUUUCCUUUGCUUCCUCCUAUGUUUCCUCUUCGAAAUCGGGUUUAAACUUGAAAGUGUUAAACCCAAGACUUCUCUGGUUUUUGAUGUGCAGGGUUUGAACGAUUUUCUGAAUAACCAGACUAAUCUUAAGAGUGAAAAGAACGGGAGAGAUUGAUCAAAAAGCAUUCAAAGUUGCUUGCUCGUUGAAGUUCCAGGACGAAGAUUGGCGAGAACCGUGUGCUAAAACAUGUUCAUUAUGUUGUUCCAAUAGGGUCGGAAGCGUGUAAAUUAUUGUACUAAAAAAUCACAAAAAGUUCAAUUCCCAGGGAAGAGAGGUGGAUCACAUGGAUCUCUUAAAUACCAAGUCUUUUCUUAGACAGAAUAUCCCUUCUAUAGUAAUUUAAUAGCACAAUUAAAUACUACUAUUAUACCCUCAAAUAUUGAAAGAAAAAUAGGACAAGAAAGAACACAAGAGAUUUAACGAGGUUCGGUAAAUUAUACCUACGUCCUCGGGCACUAACACCAGAUGAUAACUUUACUAUCCCCAAAGUAUUACAAACAAAUAGAAUUCCUUAAGAAUUCUCAAAUGGGAGAAGAGAGAAAACUAAGAGAGAAAGAUUGGUUGGGAUGAAUUGAAAUGAGAAAUGAGAAGGCCUAUUUAUAGUUGAGGUUCAAGGACCAAACAAUAAAUAGCACAUUAUCUCAAGGACCAAAAAAAAAUUAUCCCUUGCCACUUUUCCAAAGUUGGUGGUUGUCAUUAUUGAUUGUCUCCCAUUAAUGUUAAUGGCAACCAUUAUUAAUUGUCUAUCAUUAAUGUUAACAAUCUCCACCUUGAAGAUUUGAUUAGGAUAAUCACAUCUUCACACACUUCCUUCAACUCCCUAAAUUCGAUAAAGCUAUCUUUUGUAGUGCCUACAAAUGCGCUCUCGAGCGCCAUACACCUGAAGGUGCUCAAAUUCUCAGGAUGUUAAUCAAGUUCAAACAAUGAUUAAACUUGAUUGUUGUUACCACCUUGGUCAUCAUAUCUGCGGGAUUAUCUGCUGUCGGAAUCUUCUAAAGUAGAAUUUUUCCUUUUUCAAAGACUUCUCGCACAAAGUGAUAUCUUACGUCAAUAUGCUUGGUUCUUGAAUGAUAGACUUGAUUUUUCGCUAAAUGAAUAGCGCUCUGACUGUCACAAUAUAAACUUAUGUGACUUUGAACAACUCCUAAGUCUUUCAACAAUCCAUUAAGCCAAAUAGCCUCCUUAACAGCUUCUGUAACUGCCAUAUAUUCUGCCUCUAUAGUAGAUACAGCUACUGUAGACUGUAAGGUAGACUUCCAACUCACUGGGGCUUUCGCAAGAGUAAACAAAUACCCCGUAGUUGAACGACGUUUAUCUAAAUCACCAGCAAAGUCGGAAUCAACAUAUCCAACUACAAACUGACCAAGUGCUUCAUCCUGUUCAAAAAUUAAACCAACAUCUACGAUUUUUCAAAGAUACCGUAGAAUCCAUUUCACAGCUUGCCAAUGUCCUUUUCUAGGAUCAUGCAUAUACCUGCUCACAACUCCAACAGCUUGUGAAAUGUCAGGCCUCGUACACACCAUCACAUACAUCAAACUCCCAACUGCAUUAGUAUAUGGGACUUUCGCCAUAUAUUCUCUUUCUUCUUCAGUUUUCAGAGAUAAUUGAGCACUAAGUUUCAAAUGAGAAGCAAGUGGGGUACUUACAUGUUUUGUGUUUUCAUUUACACCAAAACAUUGUAAUACCUUUUUCAGAUAUUGCUUCUGAUUCAAACAAAGCUUGCCUCUCUGUCUAUCUCUACUUAUCUCCAUGCCGAGAAUCUUCUUGGCCUCACUUAGAUCUUUCAUCUCGAACUCUUGAUUCAACUGAGCCUUCAGCUUAUCUAUCUCUUUUUGGCUCUUCGAAGCGAUUAACAUAUCAUCAACAUACAAGAGUAGAUAAAUGAAAGAUCCGUCAUGCAGCUUCUGCAAAUACACACAAUUGUCAUAUUUGCUUCUUGUGUAUUUCUGCCUUCUCAUAAAGCUAUCAAAUCGCUUGUACCACUGCCUCGGGGAUUGCUUCAAUCCAUAUAGCGAUUUGUUAAGCUUACAAACCCAAUUUCUACCACCAGCAUCUGUGUAUCCUUCUGGCUGAGUCAUAUAGAUCUCCUCUUCUAACUCACCAUGCAAGAAAGUCGUCUUAACAUCAAGUUGAGCUAGCUCUAAAUUCAACUGUGCUACCAAGGCCAACAAAAUUCUAAUGGAGGAAUGCUUCACAACAGGGGAAAAUACAUCAUUGUAGUCAAUUCCCUCCUUCUGAGCGUAGCCUUUAGCUACCAAUCUUACCUUGUAGCGAAUAUCCUUCUUGCUAGGAGAUCCAUCUUUCUUUGCGAAUACCCACUUGCAUCCGAUUUCCCUUUUACCUUUCGGUAAUUGCGCCAACUCCCAAGUAUUGUUCUUCCGGAGAGACUGCAUUUCUUCAUCCAUGGCGCUUUUCCAUUUAUCACUUUCUAAGCUUUGCAUUGCUUCUUGAUAAGUGAUAGGAAUAUCAUCAACAACGGGAAGGGCGUAGGCCACCAUAUCAGUAAAUCGAGCAGGUUUACGAAUUUCUCUCCAUGGCCUUGCAACUGCAACUGGUUCUGGUGUACUUAGUGGUUCUUGGGUCAGAACCUCUUCAACCUCUAAUUCCUCCAUUGUGGCUGGAGAAUUAGACUUAUUAACUGGGCAAAUCCCCAUCUGCUCAAACUCCACCUAUUUUGGAGUACACUCCACCUGCUGUGGAGUAUUGCUCGUCUGAAUAUCUUUAUCUGCUACCUUUUUCAAUGUGGCAGAUUCAUCAAAGGUAACAUCUCUGCUACAGAUCAUUUUCUUUGUGCUUAAGCACCAAAGACGAAAUCCCUUCACUCCAGAAGUGAUUCCCAUAAAGAGAGCUUUUUUUGCCCUCGGAUCUAACUUUGACUCCUUCACAUGGUAAUAUGCAGUGGUUCCAAACACAUGUAAGGAAUCAUAAUCUGUAGCCGGUUUUCCAGACCAUACCUCCAUAGGAGUUUUUCUUUCUAAUGCAGAUGAUGGCAAACGAUUAACAAGAUGGCCAGUGUAUGUCACAGCCUCAACCCAAAAUUGCUUGCCCAACCCAGCAUUGGACAACAUACAUCAAACUUUCUCCAGCAAUGUUCGAUUCAUACGCUCUGCCACUCCAUUCUGUUGUGGUGUAUCCCUAACUGUGAAGUGUUGAACAAUACCAUACUCUUGGCACACAUCGAAGAACGGAUCACUUUUAUAUUCCCCUCCAUUGUCCGUCCUAAGCCGCUUGAUUUUCUUGCCAGUCUGGUUUUCGAUCAUAGUUUUCCAUUUAAGAAAAACUCCAAGCACUUCAUCUUUAGUUUUCAUGGUAUACACCCAAACUCUUCUGGAAAAGUCAUCAACAAAAGUAACAAAGUAGUGUUUUCCUCCCAACGAAGGUGUUUUGGAAGGCCCCCACACAUCUGAGUGAAUAUAUUCCAAAAUACCUUUUGUAUUAUGGAUAGCAGUGCCGAAUUUCACUCUCUUUUGCUUUCCCAGAACACAGUGCUCACAAAAUUUUAAUUUGCAAGCCUUUGCACCUUUCAACAAUCCUUGUUUUGCCAGAAUUUGUAAGGAUUUUUCGCUGGCAUGUCCCAACUUCAUAUGCCACAACUGCAUUGAGUCCAAGUCUUUGUUACCGGAAGCUGCAGCGACUGCUCCAAUAACUGUACUACCUUGGUAGUAAUACAAGUUAUUUUUCCUGAUGCCCUUCAAUAUCACAAGUGCGCCAGAUGUCACUUUCAAAACCCCAUCUCUCAUAGUAACAACUGAACCAUUGGAUUCCAAGGCUCCCAAUGAGAUGAGAUUUUUCUUCAAACUGGGCACGUACUGAACAUCAGUCAGAACUCUGGUUGAUCCAUCUUUAUUCUUUAAUUGGAUUGAACCUAUCCCAACAAUUUUACAGGCAUUGUCAUUGCUCAUAUAAACAACUCCUCCAUUUAGUUCUACUAAAUCAGAGAACCACUCCCGGUUAGGGGACAUAUGAUAGGUACAACCCGAAUCCAAUAUCCACUCAUCUGAAUGGAACGACGAUGAUGAUGCAACCAGUGAUAGUUCAGAGUCACUAGUAUCAUGCUUAGCAACACAAGCAUCUACAGCAGCUUUUCCCUUAUUCUUCAGCUUUGGACAAUUUUUCUUCCAGUGGCCUUUCUCAUGACAAAAAGCACAUUCAUCUUUCCCGAGUCUGGACUUUGACUUUGAUAUCCCCUUUUGAGUUUUCUUCCGAGUGUAUGAACGACCUCGGACUACUAAAGCUUCUGUAUCUCUGAUUGAGUUUUUCUGUUUGUCCUUCUUUCUCUGUUCAUAACUGUAUAAGGCCGCACAGACUUCGCUCAGAGAUAUAUCACUCCUGCCAUGAAGUAGAGUAGUUUCUAGGAACUCAAACUCCUCAGGAAGUGACCCCAACAGCAUCAAAGCCAAAUCUUCAUCUUUGAAUGUCUCAUCCAUAUUCAGCAAAUCAGUGACUAACUGAUUAAAUUUGGUGAUGUGAUCAUUCAUUGUGGUACUUACGUAUGUGAAGCGAAACAGUCUUUUCUUCAAGUGGAGCUUAUUUUGACUGUUUUUCUUCAAAAAAAUUUCUUCAAGUGCCACCCACAACUUAUUUGCAGAAGUCUCCUUUGAAAAAGCAUACAUCUGCUCUCGAGAAAGGCAUGAUCGAAUUGUGCCACAUGCCAACCGAUUGAUCGCCUUCCAAUCUUUCUCCUGUACAUCAUCUGGUUUCUCUUCAUCAAUGGCAAUGUCUAGACCCUGCUGAAAAAGGGCAUCUAGAACCUCACUUUGCCACAUACCAAAAUGGCCCGUGCCAUCAAAGAUUUCCACGGCCAAUCUUGCAUUUGCAAUUGUCGGUCUUGUCCACAUGGACGAUGUUGAAGCUCCUACACCGACCGUUUUCUCCAUAAUCUUUCAAUAUAUCUAAGGAAAUCUUUUCUGAUGUGGAAGAUCAGUUUAAACUGCAACCACAGAGCAUACUACGAUUAACCUUCGGCUCUUGAUACCACUUGUUGUUCCAAUAGGGUCGGAAGCGUGUAAAUUAUUGUACUAAAAAAUCACACAAAGUUCAAUUCCCAGGGAAGAGAGGUGGAUCACAUGGAUCUCUUAAAUACCAAGUCUUUCCUUAGACAGAAUAUCCCUUCUAUAGUAAUUUAAUAGCACAAUUAAAUACUACUAUUAUACCCUCAAAUAUUGAAAGAAAAAUAGGACAAAAAAGAACACAAGAGAUUUAACGAGGUUCGGUAAAUUAUACCUACGUCCUCGGGCACUAACACCAGAUGAUAACUUUACUAUCUCCAAAGUAUUACAAACAAAUAGAAUUUCUUAAGAAUUCUCAAAUGGGAGAAGAGAGAAAACUAAGAGAGAAAGAUUGGUUGGGAUGAAUUGAAAUGAGAAAUGAGAAGGCCUAUUUAUAGUUGAGGUUCAAGGACCAAACAAUAAAUAGCCCAUUAUCUCAAGGACCAAAAAAAAUUAUCCCUUGCCACUUUUCCAAAGUUGGUGGUUGUCAUUAUUGAUUGUCUCCCAUUAAUGUUAAUGGCAACCAUUAUUAAUUGUCUUCCAUUAAUGUUAACACAUUAUGGCAACAUAAUGUGCAGGAUCCGAAUUGGCACCCGUAUAAGAUGAUCAACAUCCGAGGCAACUUGCAUACACCGAUUGCUCAGAAAACCGUACUGUUAUCAAACAUCUGUUGUUCUACGAAAUGCGAGCUGGUUCAUUACUCAAAACUUACAUAUUAAUGGGAUGCCUUCUCGGUAAUGCAGGAAAUAAUAGACAAGGAUGAUGAGAAGCUGAAGGAGUUGAGAAAUGAAUAUAGUGACACAGCGUACGAGGCUGUCAGCACCGCACUGAUGGAAAUGAACGAAUAUAAUGCCAGCGGAAGGUAUGCGAUCCCGGAAGUUUGGAACAGAAAGGAGGGAAGGAGCGCUACCAUGAAAGAAAUCGUUCAGUACGUCGAGCAACUGAAGAUUCACAAGCGUAAGCGAUUUUCUUAAUGCUGAGCUUAGCAGUCCAUUGCUUUCAUGGAAAAUAAGUAGAAUUAUACACAAUCCUUAGGUAGGUAUUAAAUUUUAGAAUUAUAUUUGACAUUAAAAAGAGCUAUUUGUUCAUUCCAGCAUGAGCUCCAAAAUUAGGCUCCAUAUUUACAAACCUAAAUUAAACUUACUCCAUAUUUACAAACAGAAAUUAAACCUACCUACGAUAGUUGCAUAAAAAAAUAUUAUCAAUUUAAAAAAAAAAGUAAUUAAGUUGUUGGUAUUUUUCAUUUAAUUAAAUACUUCACUUUUUAAAAUGUAUCAAAAACUUUCUUUAAAUUUUAAAAAAUAAUAAUUAAAUCUUUGUUUUUCUUUUACAUACUCAAUGGCUACUUCAACUAUCAAAAAAAAAAAAAAAAGAAAAGACUUUUUGACAAUUAAAAGUAACUGCUUUAAUUUUUUUAGUUAAAGUCAUUCAGCGUCACAACCAUACAGGCGUGAUGUGUAAUAAAAAAUUAUAAAAAAUAAAAAUUAAUAAAAUUAUUAAAUUCUAAUAAAAAAUAUAAAAAUAUUUAAAAUUUAUUUAAAAUGUCAUAAAUGUAUAAAUAAAAUAUAUUAAAAAUGUUAUUUAACCACUAACUUUAAUUGUUGACUAGUAAAGUCCAUAAUUUUUUUUUCAAUUAAAGCCAUCAUGUGUCGCAAUGCAAUGUGACCUGUGAUGAAAAAUUAUAAAAAUAAAAAUCAAUAAAAGUUACAGAAAAAUUAAAAAAUAUUUCUUUUGGUACAAUAAUUUUUAUAAUUUUUUUAUAAAUUUUAUAUUUUUAAAUUUUUAUAAUUUUCUUACUAUUUUAUAAAAUUUUAUAACUUUUGCAUUUUUUUAUAAUUUUAAAUAUUUUAUAAUUUUUAAAUUGUUUAUAAAUUUUAACUCUUUUUUAUUAAAAUUUAAUAAUUUUUUAACUUUGAUUUAUUUUUAUUUUUUUUAUAUUUUUUUACAUGUCACACUAUAAUUGUGACCUUUAGUGUUUUACCAAAAUAUUAGGAGUGGUUAAUUUUAACAUUCAACCGCUAAAAUUAACAAUCACAAGACUUUUAACAGUUCAAAUAUUCAAUUGGAUAAAAAAAUUUAUUAUUUAAUAAAAUAUAUUAAAAUAAGGGUUUCGACUCAAAUCAUGAUGAAUUGAGCCAUCGAACUUGAGAAAUUAAAAUGUGAACAGAAAUGGGCUCUUCAAAAACCCUUACCCGAGCCCAAGAAGAUCCCCCAAAAACCUUCAACUUAUAACCCUAAUUUGCCUCUCAACUACACUAUAAAUCCUAUCUUCAACAAGACUCAUUCAGCAUUUAUAUCUUCUAAAAAACCCUUCGUUCGUCUAAGGUUUCUCUUUAGAAAUUUUCUCUUCGCAGAGAGUAAUUUUUGCCUUCAUUUUUUUUUCUCUUUAUUUUCCCAUUUUCAAUCUGGGGUUUUUUCCAAAAUGAGUUAAAAAUCCAAUCUUUACACUAGAUGUGAACCCUAAUCACAUUUAUUUUAUCUGGGUUUUGAAUAAAAUCUACACUUGUUUGUAUACUUAUGAAAUAAAAGAACCAUUUUUAAUGCUUUGUUUCUUAACAAGAGUGCAGAAAUAAAAAGCUUGAUUUUUUGCUUCUUUUAAAACAAAGAAACCAAGGAUUAAGCAGCGGCCAGACAACCGUAGCGAUGAUAUCCACAGAUGAAGGGCUAAUUUCUUCUUUAAUCCCUUUUUUGUCUACUGAUUCCAUCUCACAUUUCGUUUUUUAAGUUUUUAGGGUUCAUCACUUUUGAAUUGAUUGAAAAAGCUCUAAUCAAAGUUGAAACUUGGUUAAAAAAUGGGUUUUUUUAUAUGAUUUUACCAUUUUCAAUGCUUUUUUUUUAUGUUUUUUCAAUUUGUAAAAUCAAAUGAGAAACAAUCUCAAAAAAGAAAAAACGACAUUAAUCUAUCAAUCAAUCAAACUGAUUUUGAUUUGAUCAGAUAAAAAAUCAUUAAAUAUCAUAUUCAUGGGAAUUGCAGAGGUUUACUGUUGUAAUUCUUACGAUAUUUUAUCAGAUAUAUUUUACAUCUUAAUAUAUCAUUAAUAUAAAGUCAAAUUUUUUUAACAGGUUAUAUUUUGAUAUUAGUCCCUAUAUUUUGUUGAAGUUAUGAAUUUAGUCUCUAUAUUUUUUAAAUUUUAAUAUUUUAGUCUUUAUUAAAUGAUAAUUGUUAAAAGUUAAAGUUUUGUUAUUUUUAAAAUCUAUUGCAUCAAACAUAUUAUCACAUGCUCAAUGUCAUGUCAACUUGUUAUUUUCAUGUAUUCUUUACUAAAAAUUUAAGGGUAAAUUAUCAAAAUAGUCACUUUUGUUUGACUCAGGUUACAUUUUAGUUACUUACGUUUGAAAUGUUACGUUUUAGUCACUUAUGUUAUCACGUUGUAACAUUUUAGUCACUGAGCCGUUAGUUUUUGUUAACGGUGCAACAGUAAACUGAUGUGGCACGUUAAAUCAUCAUUUCAAACAAAAAUUCUAGGUUAACUUAUACAAUCGGUCCUCAUAUUUUUUCGUUUUGAGCAAUUUAAUUUUUUUCUUUUAUGUUUUUUUUAACUUUCUUUCUUUUCCAUUCUCUUAUGCUUCUCUCUUUGUUUUCCUCCCUUCUCCAUUUCUUUCAACGUAGUUUUUCUAUGUUUUAUUUUUUUGAACAAUUUAAUUUUUUCGAGUGAGGCGAGCUUGUGGACUAGUUACAAAUGGAAAGCAUAGAAAAACUAUGUUAAAAGAAAUAAAGAAGGGAGGAAAAUAGAGGGAGAAGAAUAAGAGAAUGGGAAAAAAAGUUAGAAGAACAAAAAAGAAAAUUUUUAAAUUGUUGAAAAUGAAAAAAUAUAGGAACCAAUUGUAGAAUUUAACCUAAAAUUUUCGUUUGAAAUGAUGAUUUAAUGUGCCACAUCAACUUAUCGUCCAUUGUCGACAAUUAACGACUCAGUGACUAAAAUGUUACAACACGAUAACGUAAGUGACUAAAAUGUAACAUUUCAAACAUAAGUGACUAAAAUGUAACCUGAGUCAAACAAAAGUGACUAUUUUGGUAGUUUACCUAAAAUUUAAUUAAUAGAUUAACAACUGUUAUUUGAGUCGAAACUAAAAUAUAAAAAAUUACGACUUAAACUGAUCCAAUUAAAACAUAUGGACUAAAUCUACAACUGUGCUUACAAUACAUAAUUAGCAAUUGAAUUUAAACAAUUAGAUUUAACAAUAACUAUUUGUGUUAAAAGACUAAAAUUUAAAAAAGUACAGAGAGUAAAUUUGAAAUUUUGACCAAUUUGAAAAGUACAGAGACUAAAACUAACUAAAUUAAAGUACAAUGACUAAAUCCAUAAUUUUUAUAAAGUACAAGGAUUAAUAGAAAAUUGUAACCUUUUUAAUAAAGUAAUUUUGAUUUUUAUUAAUUUAUUUAUAUCUUUUGCUUUUGUAAAUAUAAUAUUUUUAAAUAUUAUUUUGAUUUUUUAUUAUUUUUCAAAAGUUUUUACUUUUAGAAUGAAUGGUCUAAUUUAACCUUCAGUCCAAUUCUUACAAAAUUGAUAAACACUAACAAUGCAUAAUUUAAUAAAACUUUUCAAGUAAUUUAUAAAAAAACACUCAAAUUAAGUAAAUUAAACACACAUUUCAUUUUAAAUUAAAAUUAUAAAUAUUUAUGUGUUAAAAAAUAAAAAUAAAGUAUCAUCGAAGCUGCGGGCUGCAAUCUUCCCAAGCAACUUCAGCCCCCAUUACUUCCCCACUCUUUUUUUUCUCUUUUUACCAACACUCAGAAAAUCAAAAUUUUACCACACUUUCCCUCAUUUUCCCGGAAAAUAAAAUAAAGAUAUUAAAACCAAACAAAAAUCCAAAAAAGGAACUCGGUGAAGAUUUAGAUUUAGACCCUGAAAUUUUUGCCAGUGAAAGUUUGACCAAAUUGCCAAUGAGAAGGGACAAUGUUCCACGAAGUAGAGGUCCGAUGGUCGCUGCCGGUGACCCUAGACGACAGAGAUUGGCCGACUAAAACGGCGUUGGAUUGCCAGUUUUGGCCUCAGUUUCGGCUCAUGCUCAUCCACUCCGUUUUCGACCCUUUAAUGCUUGCUUUCACGAUAUCGCCGGCGCCGGCCACGUUUGUGAUUAGGACCAAGUUGAAGUAUCGGAAACCGUUGAUUGUGAAUCUGAUUCCUCCUCGUUUCUGGCAUGGCACCCUGAAGAAUCAUACGAAAAAGGAAAUGAAGAUUGGGUCAAAUCUAUUGACACUAAUUGUUGAAGUUCGAAAAUCGGUCUAAUAUUUAAGAAGGUAAAAGCGUUUGAACGGGAUGAGAUCAUCUCAACAUAUUGGUUAGACCGCGAAUCGAUUAAAAUAUCGGAGAAAGUAACUUGAUCAAUUAACUCGAAACUAAUACAAAUCAAGAAAAUUACUAGACAAGUUAACUCGGGAUUUGAUACAUCUAAGUUUGAUUUUUAUUAUAUAUAAUUUUAAUUUCGGUUUUAAAAAUAAAAAGCUAAGGGAAUAUACCUUCUAAAAUAGAGAAUAAAAGGGGCGCAACUGGCUAAUCCUUUGUUCUAUUGGCUAUUGCUAAUGCCUUGGAAGUUGAAAGUGUACCUUACUUUGAUUAGUGAAUGGCCGAAUAUGCUUACAAGAAUAAAUUAAGAAAUUCAACGUGGCUUAACAUACAUUUGUAUUUACUGUCACAUGAAUUUGGAUAACAACGAUUGAGAUGGAGAGAAAAAUCAUAUCCAAUUAUGUUUAACACUAGCAUUACGUACAUAAGCUCACACCGACUGAAGAAAACUUUACAUAUACAAGUAGAAGAAAUUUCCGAAUGAACAAAGUCAGUCUUCGCAUCCUAGUUGUUGUUCCAUUCAAUCUCUGUAUGCCCAAAAGAAAAUGAGAGAAAACAAUUACUACGACUAAUGACAUUGUUGAUAACAGGAAAUAUCAUUGUCAGAGAAUUCAAGACUCAAGAGGGAGCAUAUAUAAUUAAUCUAUACUAUAUUACCAUACAUAUGCCCUCAAAUAUUUUUAAAAUUAAUCGUUCAAAUCUAAAUAUAUAUUUGAAAAGAGUAUACGAUAUUAUAAAGGAUCGUAAAAAUCGAAAUAAUAUUUAAUUCUAUAUCGUCUUCUAGAAAGAACAUGAGCUAUGGUGAUAAAAUAUUCGAAUUAUUCCUCUAAUCUCAUUUAUAUCAUAAUUUAAAUUUGAAGAACUUACGAGUAUCGAUGAGAAAACCCACAGGGUCUUUAAUGAGGGAGUUGUUUUAAUUUCUUGACUUAAAUUCAUUGAUUCUAAGGAAGCCUUUACAAACAGACAUAAUUAUUAAUUGAUCCAAUUUCAACAGCAUAAAGUAGGAUCAUAGGAUAAGGGCUUAGACAGAAACAACUUUAUUCUUUUUCUUUUAUGAGCGAAUCCAAAAAUUUUAUGUUGGGAGUUGUUUUUCCGCAAGUGGUGGGAACGGGCAUCAAUUAUUGCUUAAAAGUUAAGCUUGUAAUUUACAAUCAAGGCAUCCAUCAUUUUCUUCAUCCUGGUUAAUGAUAAUUCGAGAUAAAUGUUCCAUUUCCAGUUAAAAUAAAAAUUUUCUCAAGUUAAUUGUUUGAGGAGUAAAUUUAAAAAUAAUAAUAAGAUUGUUUUCUAAAUUAUAAAAAUAAAGAUACAUCAAAAUUAAAAUUUUAAAAAUAUAAAAAUUUUAAAAAUUAACAUAGAAUACACAUAGAUUGCUAUGUAGGUUGUCGUGUUUAAAAAUUUAACAUUUUAAUUAGUAUUCUAGUUUUUUUUUAAAAAAAACAUCAUUUCAGCUCUUUUUCAAAACUAAUAAAUAAGAUUAGAAAACUAAAAAUCGAAUAAAGAAUCGAAUUUAACUAGAUGUUGAGGCUUGUUUUACACAGUUUCCUUAACACAAAUUUGUCCGCUUCUACGGUACUUGGAGAAACAUUGGUCGACUGUCUCCCAUGAUACAAUAACACGAUGACUGAAAUAGCAUCACCUUUACAUGAAAUUGGCUGAUAUUAUGACGAUACUAGGUAGCAUAGAUAUCAUUAUGGGAGAAGUGGAUCGUUGAAAUGAUAAUUUAUACGACAGAAGUAGAAUAUAUCAAUUCCUUUUACACAUUGGAAUCUUUAAAAGAGGUCUAUGGGAUCAUAUGGAUGUUGGUCCCUAUUUUGACUCUUGUUUUGGGAAUCACAAUAGGUGUACUAGUAAUUGUAUGGUUAGAAAGAGAAAUAUCUGCAGCAAUACAACAACGUAUUGGGCCUGAAUACGCCGGUCCUUUGGGCAUUCUUCAAGCGCUAGCAGAUGGAACAAAACUGCUUUUCAAAGAAAAUAUUUUUCCAUCUAGAGGCAAUACUCGUUUAUUUAGUAUUGGACCGGCUAUAGCAGUCAUAAGAGACCAAUGAACAAACCUUGCAUUUUUCUGUCACCGGAACGUUGGAAAAUAUAGAGAGGAAAAGAGAAGAAUUUUCGAGAGCAAAAUAAACUUGGUUUUAGAGAGUCUUUUAGUGUAAAAAAUUUGAAGAAUUCUUAAGCAUUCAAGAUGGAGGAAUUUUGGAAAUAUCCAUAAUUAAAUAUAUAAAAUUUGUAUUAAAUGAGCAAUUAAAUCAUAAUAUAUGUCUUUUUUAAAUUAGAUUUUAUAUAUAUUUGCUGAGAAAAAUAAAUUUUGUGUUGGGCUUAAAAUAUCUAUCCCUUUUUGGGCCUGACCAGUUUAGACAUUUCACGUUGCCUACGUCGUGCGAGUGCGCUCCAACCCCGAUGGGUUUGGAUCUACACCCCUGCGCGUGAGACAAAGUUUCAAACUUAGUCAUUCAAUCAUCCUUCAAGUGGGUUCUCAUAUAUAGAGACAUCUCACACUUGGUAUUCAAUCAAUGUGAGAUCUAAGCUUUUCUUUUCCUCAACAAAUAUUCACAAGUAACUUACUUUGAGCAUUAAUUUCUCACUUAUCACUCAACCAUUUUGAGCAUACGAUAUACUGUUGUAAAGAUAUCAUUGAGUAGAAUAUAAAAUCAUAAUUUUAUGAUUCAAUUCUCCACCUUUACCAAUUGAGAAUAUGCUUUAAAGUUUCCAAAAAUUACAAUUUUUUCAACAUUUUAUACAUCUAUUUUAAAGGCAUAAUUGAGCCAAGUAGAGCCCGAAUAAUGACAAGUUGAACUUGACUCGAACAUCACUUUUUAAGGUCAAUCUUGAUUUAGAACAUAAUUGAGUUGAUUAAGCUCGUUUAUCAAUUUUUAUAAUCAAACCCAUUCAUAAUUAAGCUCUUUCUAUAUAUCAAGGAUAAAAAUGUAACUUCAUAAAUAAAAAUAUAUUUAAAUGGAAUGCUUAAUUAGGUUUGUGGCCUACUUGAAUCAAGUAUUACAAUAUUUAAAUUCGACUCAACCAAUAGCUCGAGCUCUACUCAAUAAUUUUCAAUAAAAUUUUGAGAUUUUUUGAAUCCAACUCGAAUUGCUUGCAAAUAUUAAUGUAUCACUUAUGCUUUUAAUUUUAAAUUUACAUUUUUAAUUCUUAAAAUAUUAUUAAAACCCAAUCAAUUGAAGGCUUUGUAGAAAGUGGUGGCAAAGUGCAUCCUUUACUUUAGGUCUCACUAUAUCUAAAAAGAAAUUAAUGCGAACCGUAGAAAGUGGUAGGAAUGUGCAUCAUUAUUGCUUUAAAAGAAUUUAAAUCUUUAAACGGAUAGAAUUAAAUUUUCAUAAUUUGGAGGAGUUAAAGUGUACUUCUUUUUACUAUUUUAAAAUUUUAAAAUUUUAAAAUUUUUUAAAGAGUUAAAAUAACAUUUUUUAUUUUAAGAGGGCCGAGCUCCCUGUCAACCUCUAGAUUUACCUCCGUAAAUUUCAAAAUUCAGUUAAAUUAUGUUAUUUUGAAUAAAACGUUAAUUGAUAAAGAAAUUCUUUUAGUUUCAAAAAUUCAAUUUUUCUGUUUUAAAAAAAUAUAUAUUAAAAUUUAAAAUUUAAAAUAUUAAAGUAAUAAAAUUUAAAUAUAUCAAUGUCUUUUUGAUACAUGCAUGAAUGGGGUGAAACUUAUUAGAUUCCAAUCAUCAAAACUGCCAAUUUUCAGGCUCGGAAAAUCAGCAGACUUGCGGCGACUGGAUCCUGGUAUUUUUGGGUUGAGAUGUCUCAUGGCGUUUAAAGAUCUAUCUCUUAGCUUUGAAACGCAUUUUGAAUAACUCGAUUUUGAGUUCGGGAGCUCAAGUUAUGACCGUUUUAGUGAAGACUACGCGAGAAGAAUUUCUGAACGGGAUUAUGACGGGAAUUACAAAUUUCGGGCUUUUAAUUCGAGUUUAAAUCAUAUUGGAUUCGGGUUUUAGACUUAAUUUUUAUUAUAUAUGAGCCCAAUAUUAUAUUUGUCAGAUCUUAUUAUUUUAUUAUUAUUUUAUUCUAAUUUUUUUUAUAAUUAUUAAGUAUUUUAAGUUAUUAGAGUUCUAGUAUUUUAAGCUAUAAAGGCCAGAAAAAUGUAUUCUUGGGGGUGAUUUUUGAAGGUAAAAAAGCAACAGAAAAUCAAUACAAAAUAAUCAAAAAUUUCAAACAAAAAAAGAGAGAUUUAGAAGGUAGUUUUUUUUUCUCUGUUUUUGUUUGUUUUAUUUAUUAUUUUUUCUUUCUUUUUCUAAACAGAAACACAGAAAAUAAAACGGGACCGAAAACUCACCUUUUUAGAGGGAGGGCUGAGAGAGAGUUGAGCAAGAAGAGAAGGAUUUUUUUUUUAAAAAAAUGAGGUUACCAAUGAUUUUUUAAAGUUUUUUUAAAUUAUAUAAACACCCCAAAACGACGUCGUUUUGAGUUUGGCUUCUGACACUUAAAACGGCGUCGUUUCACCCUUGACCCGCGUGCGACCUGACUCGCUCCAUGGGGAUCCUCGUGUUUUCAAUUUUUAGGCUAUUUACGCCUCUGGUCAUCCCGCGUUUUCCGGUUGUUUUAAUUUAGUCCCUUUUUUACUUUUUUUCUCUUUAUAUAUUUGGCCAUUGAUUUUGUGGCGUGUUUUAAUUUAGUCUCUGGCUCGCUAAAAAGGACGCGUGUCAAGGAGAUCGGGUUAUUUUCCCAUUUGGUUCUCGUUUGUUUUCGGGCCUUUCGAAUUAGUCCUUUGUUCUUUUUUUAUCUUAAUUUAUCCUGCUAAUUUAAUUUGAGUAGCAAUCGGGUCCUUUAUUCAUUUAUUUUUGUGUAUCUUUAUUGUGUAUCUUUAUUUAUUUUGCUUUAUUAUUUUUACUUUAUUACUCCUUUUUAUAUAUUUGUUUAAAAUUGGAUUGUGUAUAUGUUUAUUAGUUUUUUUUUUCUUUUGGUUAUCAUUCUUUUACUUUUUAAAUAUUUAAAUCUAAUAUUAUGAACAUUUACUUUAUCUAUUUACUUAUUUAUUUAUUAUUCUUUUACUUUUCAAACGCUUAAAUUUAAUAUUAUUUACAUUUGUUUUAUCUAUUAUUCACUUAUUUUUUCUUUUACUUCUAAAGAAAUUUUAAAUUCGAUAUUAUUCGUAUUUGUUUUAUUAAUUUAUUUUUUAUAUUUCAAUUUAAUGAUAUUUGUUUUAUCUAUCCAUCAAUUUAUUAUAUAUAUAUAUAAUUAGAUACCACUUAUAUUCAUUAAGCAACUUUCAUUUUCAUUUAUAUUUUGAAUUAUUUUAUUUAUUGUGUUGUGGUGUUAUAAAUUGAUUUUUUUAUUAUUGCUAUAUUCACUGUUAUUGCCAUAGUAUUUGGUCAUUUAGUUGUCAUUUAGUAUCCUAAUAUAAAUCGUACUCAUAGUCAUAUCACAUUAUUUCAUUACCAUUGUAUUAUACACUAGGUUCACACAUAUUUAUCCAUUUUUUUAUAGACGAUGCCCGAAUUAAACAUGUAUGCCUUGUAAGUGUUACAUUAAUAUUUUAUUCGGUGCACAAAAAGAAAAUUAUUUUAAAUAAGUAAUAUUUCGUAUUUUAGAAUUCGUAAAUUCGUUCCUUAACUUACGGAGUUUCGAUCUUCUCGAUAAAUCUAAAUAAAUGAACCUUUUUUAAAAACAUAAGUUUUUAAAUAAUCUCAGGAAUUAAGAAGAGAUCGUGUUCUAACUUAAUGGAUAUGGUUUCAUUCUAAAACUGAGAUAAUCGAAUAUCUUUUAAAAUAAAUAAAUUUUCGGUGUUUAUUCUCGUUUCGAGGAUUUAAGGUAUUGCGUCCUAACUUACGGGAAGUAAUCCUUUUUCUCGAUUAACGUAAAAUAUUUUUUUGUAAAAAUUCAAUUAAGCGAUAUUGUAACAAAGGAUGGUAUUUUAAAUCUCUUUAAAGUUUUUAAUUUUCGACAUUAAAACAUUAAUUCAUCAAUUAGGUACCAAUUUUUGGCGAGACGAGUGUGCUAAUCUUUCUUCGCACAUAACCGACUCCCGAACCCGUUUUUCUUAAAUUUCAUAGACCAAAAUCAUUAUUUAAGUAAAAUCGAAACGUUUUAUUAAAAUGAUUAAAUUACAAGGUGAUCCGAUCACAUCUCGAAAAAAUAUCGGUGGCAACUCCAGUUUUUUCAUUUUCAUUUUUAAAAUAAAAGUAGACCCCUUUUGUUUCAAAAAUGGAGAAAGUGUGUUCCUAUCUUUUGUCAGCUUUACCAAAAGGGAAAAUAAUUGGCGAUAGAAUGUUGCUUUCUUUUGUCAACUUUUUAGCUGUAUCCACUAAAUGAUAAGAACUGCAUUCUCAAGUAUUUGUGUUUCUUUAGGAUUCUAUUGUUUACAUCUCAAUUUUUUUUUUACAUUGAGUUGCACUUUGUCAAAUUACUUCUCGCAUUACUCUGUUAAGAAAAUUAUCUUUUCGCUCGUUCGUAACUACGAGAACUAAUCGCUGAAUCCUUCUCUUAUUCGUUGGAAAGGUACGCCAUCUGCUUUCAUUUUGGUUGAUUUGGUCUUACUUCUUGGUUUACAGAAGCUUUACUUUUUGCUCAUUUGAUUUGUAACUUUUUCUUCUGAUUUUGUUUUAAUCUUUGUUGUCGCUGUGGUUAUUCAGUUUACUUCUUGUUUGACCUCUCAAUGGAGUCUGUUACUACCCUAGUUGGCUCUAUUGUCACUAAAGCUGUAGAGUAUACGAUCUCUCCUAUCAAAAACCAUGUCAAAUACCUUUCCAAUCAUCAGCAAUAUGUUGAGACCCUCAAGGACCGAGCUGAGAGGCUGAAAGAUGCAAGGGACAGAGUGCAGCAUUCUGUUGAUGCAGCUCAACGAAACGGUGAAGAGAUCGAAGGGGAUGUUGGCAAAUGGUUGUCUGCAGUCGACAAAAAGAUUCUUGAACAAGCAGAGAAAGUGAUGCAAGAUGAAGAAAAAGCAAAGAAAAAGUGUUUCAUUGGUUUGUGUCCUAAUUUCAGGACUCGUUACAAGCUUAGCCUGAAAGCCGAAGAGGAGGCAAAGGCUGUUGCCGAGCUACUUGAACAUGGCAAGUUUGAAAGGGUUUCCUAUCGUGCAGCUCCGCAAGGUAUCGUGGUUGCACCAGUUAAAGGUUAUGAGGAAUUCGAGUCAAGAACGUCCAUUUUCAAUGGAAUAAUGGAGGCACUAAAAGAUGAUAGCGUCAGCGUUGUUGGGGUGCAUGGUAUAGGUGGGAUUGGAAAAACAACGCUGGUCAAAGAAAUUGCUAGAAAGGUCAAGGACAAGUUGUUUGAUUCGGUUGUCAUAGCAACCGUAACUCAAGCCAUCGAUAUUGAGAAGAUUCAGAACCAAAUUGCAGACUUCUUGGGCUUGAAAUUUGAGGAACAGAGUAUGGUUGGAAAGGCAUUUCGACUACGAGAAAGAUUGAAGAAAGAGGAGAGGAUUCUGGUUGUCUUGGAUGACAUUUGGGGAAAGGUUGAUAUUGAGGAAGUAGGGAUUCCUUUGGGAGAUGAACACAAGGGCUGCAAAUUACUAUUAACUUCUAGAGAGCUCAAUGUUUUAUCAAAUGGGACGGAUGCUCAGAAAAAUUUUCCCAUUGGGUUUUUAAAUGAAAAGGAAGCCUGGGACCUGUUCAAGAAGAAGGCUGGCGACUGUGAUGAAAGUUGCGAUUUGAAGCCUAUAGCUAUGGGGGUAGCCAAAAAAUGUGCAGGACUGCCGAUAGCUAUUGCGACAGUUGCAGGGGCUUUGAGAAACAAAAGAUUGUUUGAAUGGAAGAAUGCUUUACGAGAACUGGAGAGGCCUUCGUCAAGCAACUUCACGGGGAUAACUGCGGCAUAUUCAGCUAUAGAGUGGAGUUUUAAUUAUUUAGAAAGCGAGGAAGUUAAGCGGACUUUCUUGCUUUGCAGUGUAAUAGGCCAUAAUGGUCUCGUUGAGGACUUGGUAAGAUACACUCUAGGUUUGGGUUUAUUUGAUGGUGUCAACACUAUGGAAGAAGCUAGAAAUAAAGUAUUGACGGUUGCGGCUAAUCUCAAAGCGUCUGCCUUGUUGCUUGAUAGUUAUAAUGAUAAGCGCUUUGAUAUCCAUGAUGUUGUUUGGGAUGCUGCUAUAGCUAUUGCAUUGAAGGACUACCGUAUGCUUGUUUUGAGAGAUCAUGCUCCAAAGGAGUGGUCCGAUAAGGAGAAAAUGAAGACGUGGAGUGUGAUCAGCUUACGUUGUCCUCAGAUUAUAGCUAACCUUCCUAAGGAGAUGGAGUGCUCAGGACUUUCCUUUUUCCACAUGGCCUAUAAUGGCGCGGUUAAAAUUCCUCUCAAUUUCUUCAAACAAACCGUAGGCCUGAAAGCCUUAGAUUUGGUCGGAAUGCAGUUUCCAUCCCUCCCUGAAUCAAUUAUUCACCUUGCAGAGCUUCACAUGUUGUGUCUAAAAGGAUAUGCAGUUGAUGACAUAACCAUCCUUGGAGAGCUCAAGAGUUUAGAAGUACCCAACCUUUCUCGCUUAGGUAUCAAAGAACUACCUAAGGAGAUGGCACAAUCGACUCAAUUAAGGUUGUUAGAUUUGCGUGGGUGUAGAGAACUCAAAAUCAUCCCACCGAAUGUCUUAUCAGGUUUGUCUAAAUUAGAAGAAUUAUAUAUGAGUAGGAGCUUUGUUGAAUGGGAAAAGGGAGGAGUAGUUGAAAAUGAGAGGAAAAAUGCAAGCCUUGAUGAAUUAAACAAUUUGCCUUGUCUAACUACUUUAUAUGUUGAUAUUCUUGAUGUCCAAAUGAUACCAAAACACCGGUUUGUAGAAACAUUGGACAGAUUCAGGAUUUUCGUAGGUAAUUAUGGAGGAUAUAAUUGUUGCCAGAAUUAUGAAUCUCCGAAAGCAUUGAAGCUCAAGUUAUAUACAAACAUUGAUUUGGACAAUGGGAUGAAAAUGUUGUUGAUAAAGACAGAAGAUUUGUGCCUAGAGGGACUUGAAGGCGUCAAGAAUGUACUUGUGGAGUUAAAUAAUGGGAAAGAUCUUUCAAAUUUAAAGAGAUUUCAUGUCAAAAAUGGUAGGCACGUCCAACAUAUCAAAAUGAACAAAAUUGGAUUUUCUGAAUUAUGCUUCGUUAAACUUGAAAAUCUACCGCAACUCGUUAGCUUUUGCUCUCCAGACGAAAGGUGUUCCACUAAGCCCUUAUUACUUUUCAAUAAACAGGUAUUUGUUUGGCUUUACUUAUAUUUUCUUAUACUACUUUUAUUUAUAUGCCCAUUAAUACUUCUAAUAGUAGAAAUAAAUAAUAUUGUGUAAUGGUUUCUCCGGAGCUCAAAAAUAAAUUUCAAAUCCAAAACAAAUUAAAAUUUAAUUUUUAAUCCAAACCGAUUCAAAAUCAAUUCAAUAAUCUAAAUUUAAAUCCAACAAUUUUUUUUAAUUCUGAGAAUAAAAUUUGAGCCCACAAAUCGAACUAAAAUUAUCUUUAAAAUAAAAAAUCAUAUUUUCAAAUUAUGUUACAUACUAUCUUUCCCUAUGGAAAAAGAAUUGUGUAAAUAUGUGCAAUUUAUUUUCCCUCACUUGGAAAGCUUGUAAUUGUGUUCCAUUAACACGAAAAGAAUAUGGCACAACCAGACAUGUCAUUGGGUUACGAAUUUGAGGAGCUUGAUCAUCAAAGGAUGCGGCAAGUUGGAGCAUCUGUUAUCACCCUCUCUCGCUAGAAGUCUGGUGCAGCUCCAAUGCUUUGAGAUAGAGGAUUGCAAUUGCUUAAGGGACAUAAUACUUACAGAGGAAAUUGAAGAAGCAAGGAAAGAUGUGAUUUGUUUCCCUCGAUUAAACUCCCUGCAUAUAGAUCGUCUUCCAAACCUCAUCUUCUUCAACUCAGGAAACCACAAUAUUGAGUUCCCAUUGUUGAAAGUGCUAAAGAUUCAGCGUUGCCCCAAGUUAAUAGAAUUCAUUAGUCAGAAUAGUAAUCAGUCCGGCAUGCACGCUCUCUUCAGUGAGAAGGUGAUUUAUUUCAUUAGUCUUACAUUCUUGCAUAAAUCUGUUGAUUUGUCCUUGUUUUUUUUUCUGCCUUCAUUAUUUGAGCUAACCUUAUCAUGGGCAUGGAUUAUAUAUAUAUAUAUAUAUGAAUAUAUAUGAAUAGGUUGCAGUUCCUAGCUUGGAAGACAUCAAUAUCUGGGACUUGAGUAAUGUGAAGAUGAUAUUUUAUAAUGACCUAGCACCAGGUUCCUUUAAAAAUAUACGAAAAAUAAAUGUUUGGGGAUGUGGGAGUUUGAAAAAUCUAUUUCCAGUAUCAAUAGCCAAAGAUCUUCCACAACUUGAACAUUUAAGCAUCACUGAUUGUGGAGUUGAGGAGAUUGUAUCGAAAGGGGAUGGAGUGGAGGAGCAGCCUGUGAGGUUUGAGUUUCCGCAAGUAUCUUUCCUUGAGGUUACAUGGGUAGAAAAGCUCAAAUGUUUCUAUGAAGGGCAACAUACAAUAGUCUGGCCGAUGUUGAAAAAAUUGAGAACAGAUAGUUCUGCUUUGCUAAAGAUAGUGGCAUCGGAACAUCUUAGAUUAAUCCAAGGAAAUAAGCAGCCAGUUUUGUUGGGUGAAGAGGUAUGUAUAUCAUUACAACUAUAUUUCAUUUUAUGAUUUAAACCACUGCCACAAGCAUCUCAAGUUGAAAUAUGCCACGAUAAUGCAUUUCUAAUUUUUAUAUUUUGUUUUAUUUGGAUUUUUUUUUCGUAUUUUUGAAUUUUCAAUAUAUAUUUUAAAUUUUUUGUUACAUUUAUAAUUAUUUUUUCAUUUUUUUUAAAAACAAGACUGAAUAAACAUAAUAAGUAAAUAUUGAGUGAAUGCAAUUCAAUUUAAUAAAAUGUAUAAAUAUUGAGAGUUAAAUUUAUUAUUAUGUAAAAAAAAAGCUUAAAAAAAUGAAAAUAUUUUAUUUGUUUUUAAGUAUCCAAAAUGAAAAUAUUUUAACACUAAGUGACUGUAUAUGUAAUUUACCCUGCAUUUAAGUAGUGGGUCAAAACUAAAUAGAACGUUUAAUUUGCUAAAAACAAUUGCCACUCAAUAAAAAAUCAAAACUUUAAAAGUUAAUUACACUAGACAUCUCAAACUAUGACCUUCAUUUUAAAUUAGUCUUAAAAUUUAAAAUAUUCUAAUUACAUUCUUAAACUAUUGAGGUUAUAUCAAUUACGUCUUUCUCUUAUUAAAUUCGUUAAUUUAACCAUCAAAUUAAAUCAAUGUAAUAUUUUAAAACCUUGGUGUUUUAUCUCCACUAUUCUGCUUAUAUUUUUUGUCAUAGAAAAAUAUAUAUAUAUAACAAUGGUUGUUUAUCUAUUUUAAUCUAGAUUUGCUACUCUUCUUUCGGCUUUCAUGUUCUGUAAUUUUUAUCAGUUUUUAUUCUCAAGGUAUUGUGUUUUCUUAAAACAAAAAAUUCAUCUACUCUGGAUUCAUUUGAUUUAAUAUUGAUUUUGUUGGGAUUUAAUCAUCAAAAUCAAACACUAAAAUUGUAAAUCUCUUUUUUUUGUUUGUUUGUUUUUUUAAAGCAUAUACAUCAACAUUGAGCCUAACUUGUAUAUGUUUAAUUGGUUUCCAAGGUCAUUCCCAAAUUAGAGGAACUUGAGUUACGAAAUUUUGGUGAUAUGGACCAAUUUCCACCAGACUUGUUUCAACAUAUUAAAGUUUUUGCACUGAGUGGUGGCUCUCCAUUUUCUUUGUUUCCUUUCGUCCGAAGAUUCUACAAUCUGAAAAGACUUGAGGUUUCUAAUUUUGAUUUCAAACAUGUAGUCCCUUGUAAAGGAGACGUCGGGACUCUCCCAUCAAUUAGAAAUCUGAAAUUGGUUUCUGCCAGAAAUCUUAAGCGUAUUUGGAGGAAAGAUUCGGAGCUUGACCAUAUUCUUUCUGAUCUUCAAACACUCACAAUUCACAAUUGUGAUGAUUGGAUAAACAUUAGAGUCUUCUCAUCAUCUUUACAAAAUCUCACAAUUUUGAAUGUGUCACUUUGUAAAAUGAUGACAAACUUAGUUACACCCUCAGUACUUCAGAAUCUUGUGCAAUUAACGACAAUGAUCGUAAGAGGGUGCACUAAAAUGACAGAAAUAGUGGGAAACGAGGGAGACUGUCAUCAGACAAUAGUUGUUAGUAAAUUGAAAUGUUUACAACUAUGCAAUUUGAAGAGCCUCACAAGCUUUUGUCCAUGGUAUUACAACUUCGAGUUUCCUUGUUUGGAAGAAUUAGUUGUGGAACAUUGUCCUUGGUUAAAGAUCUUUUCUGAGGGAGUUUUAAGCACCCCACAAUUACAGAGAAUAAAACAGUCGCAUUACGGUGAGAAAUGGAGUUGCAAGUGAGAGUGGUGAUGCAAGUGAAAGCGUGGUUGGCGAAGGGGGCAUCUAUGAUAACACUGCAACUUUUUUCAGCAAUAAGGUAAGUUUGGUAUUCAAUAUUUAUCUGCACAACUUAUUUCACAUUUUCUUUUGAUUUGAUCAACAUGAGUGUGUCUGGUCUAUAUAUACAUACUAGUGCUACACCUUGUCAAAAUUGAAUAUAAUAAAAUCCAUAAAAAUAUUAAUAAAUAAGACAAUAUUUAAAAGAAAAACUGGAGUUUAAAAGUAUAAAUAAAUAUAUAAAAUAAGAAUUGAAGGAAAAACUUAAAGUGAAAUACUAAAAAACAAUAAGAAUUUAAGAGAAGUUUAAAAUUAAAUAGUAAUAGACAAUAAAUAAUAAAAUAACAAUAGAAAAAAGAAAACUAAUCUUCCUUUAUUUUAAUUUGUGGGUGUAUAAGAAGGAGAUAAUUGUGGAAGACCUUCACAAAGGUCAUUUGAGAUCAAAGGAGAAGAAGCAUGAAAACAAAAGGUGAGGAGUUUGAAGAAGAAAGAACCAAAUAUAUGGGUUUGAUUUAAAGAUUUAAUGUUUUUUUUUUAAUUUCAUAUAUAGAAAAAAUCAUUGAAAGAAAAAAAAAGUUCAAUAUAAUUACUUAAAUUUACCUGUCGGUUUUUAUAAAAGUAACUUAAAUUUUUGAUUAAUUAUGAAAAUGACUCAAUUUAAAAAUUAUGUACAUAAAUUAUUCGAUUUCUAUAGUGUUUGUCGGUGCCCCCAGACACAAUGGCGAUAUCAGACUGAAGUGUGAUUAUAUAAAAUGAUUGUAUUUAUGUACAUAAUUUUUAGUAGUGUUGUUGGAAAAAUUGGCGAUAUCAGACUGAAGUGUGAUUAUAUAAAAUGUUCAUGGACUUAACGAAGUAAUUACCCUUUUUUAAUUAGCGGAAAAAGGGGUCUUCCGGUGAAUAUGGGGCACCAAAUUAAAUGAUUUUCAUCUUUUGGUCUAUUUGCAUGUUUCCCUUUUUGAAAUUAAAUUUAGAUAACCCUUAAGAAAUAUAAGAAUAACAAAAAGAAAUCAUUCUCAUUUAUUUUAUUUUAUUUUUAAAAAAUAAACUUAAAAAAUUAUAUAAAAUGCUUAUUUAAAUUACCCAAAUAUAUCCCUCACACAACUUCCUCAAGUUUAUCUAAAUUCAAGCAUUUUCAAUUCAUUCCCUAGAAUAUUUAAAUUUAGAUAAACUUAAGGAAAUUUUUUGAGGAAUAUAUUUGGGUAAUUUGAAUAAGAAUUUUAUAUAAUUUUUUAAGUAUUUUUUUUCAAAAAAAAUGAAAAUGUUAUAGUUUUGUUAUUAUUAUAUUUUUAAGUGCUAUUUAAAUCUAACUUCAAAAGAGGACAAACGUAACAUGCAAAUAGGUCAAAUGUUGAAAAACAUUUAAUUUGGUUCAGAUACCAACGACACCCCUUUUUCAACCAAUCUAAAACCGUUAACCGCUUCAAAAGAUCCCUGCACGUUUUAUAUAAUCACAUUCAGUCUGGUGCCGUCAAUUUAUUAGGCAAAACCACUACAAUCUUUUUUAAAAAGCAAUCAUUGGCUGAUGAUGGAGGUCAAUGCAAUAAGCACGAUAGAUAUCAAGUCAUUUACGUAUAUGAUUUUUAAGUUGGAUCAUUUUCGUAAUUAACCAAAAAAUUUUGGUUACUUUUAACUGCCUAGUUGAUAUGUGAAUAUUAACCUUUAGAUCAGUUUAUAAAUCUUCAUACUCAUCUACUCAUUUUGAUUGUCUUUCAAAGUACAGAAGGAAGACUGAUACUAUCUUAUAAUAAUAUUUAUGUCAACAGGUUGUCGUUCCUCGUUUGGAGCGUCUGGAUUUGUCCUCGAUCAACAUUCAUAAGAUAUGGCACCACUCAUCCUCCCCAUCUAUCGGAUACCUAAAUUUCUUGCGGGUGAAGAGGUGUCACAAUUUGAAAUACCUGUUCCCGUUUUUCUUAGCAAAAGAUCUUGAGCAACUCCGAUUCCUUGGAAUUUUGGACUGUAAUAUGAUGGAACAAGUAAUAUUCACGGAUGGAUUGGUUGAGGAACAUCAAGGGAGGAAUCAGAUGUUUUUCUUUAAUCUACAUUCGCUGUGGCUAAACGACCUUCCCAAAACUCACAAGUUUGUGCUUUGAAAAUUACUUUGAAUUUCACUGUUUAGCAGAUUUAACACUAAGAAAUUGUCCAUUGCUAAAAACAUUCAUCUCUAAAUGUGUACCCGGAGAUGAACCUCAAAUUGGCCAACAUGUACAGGCAAGUAACUUGGAGGUUCAUAACUCAUCUCUCCUCAAUGAAAAGGUAAUUUCUUCAAGGAUCCUCCUUUUAAUUUAUGUUACUUCGAUUGAUUUUAUUCAUUUGAAGUUCUUUCUUUUUCAUACAUAUUUCAGUUAUUAGCCUAAUGAAAUGAUUUAUUAGAUUGUUUUCUCUAGUUUGAAGUACUUGUCGAUUCAGAAUUGUGAUUCGUUAGAAGAAAUUAUUGAGCUGGAAGGACUCAUUGCUGAUGAGUCACAGUCAACAUCAGCUGCUCAAUCUACUGUGGCUGAAACAGUGACGACCAAGUUUGUAUUUCCCAAACUAAUAAACCUUGGAUUGGAUAAGGUGCCAAGAUUGAAAAGUUUCUACUCUAGGAUGCAUACCACCCAGUGGCCUUCAUUGAAACGAAUGAGCAUUAUUGAAUGCCCCAAAGUACAGAUAUUUACUCGACAAUGUCCUGUGAGUCAGGUUGGAAUCUCAAACCAACAACCCUUGUUUUGCGUCAAUAAGGUAAGCUCACGAACAGUUUCAUAUUCCAUGAUCAUUACUUGAGAUUACCUAUAAAAUGCUUUUUGAAAAAACUAAUAUUCUCUCCUCUUUUAAUUUUAUGAGAGUCUAGUUCUUACUAAUUUAAAACUCUUUCAUCGAUGUCUAAUAUAUUCGUUGCCAUCCAGGACACUUUCCCUGUAUUAGAAGAACUAACACUGAAGACGAAUGAUAUGGGGAAGGGGAUAUGUGAUGGACAACUCUCAUUGCAGUGUUUCCAAAACCUUAAGCAUCUUAACCUCCAAUUCUUUCCUGAGACAUCCACUACUCUUCCGUAUUCCUUCAUUCGGUCACUACCAAUGCUUCAUAAGCUUGUUAUAGACAAUGCUUCCAUUUGUCAAAUAGUACAAUCUGAAGGACUCAGCGACCAGGAAUGGCAUACAGCAGCAUUCUAUCAGCUAAAGGAAUUAAGUUUGUCUCAACUUCCAGAGUUGACGUUAAAGACUUUUGAACCAUCAUUGCUGUCUUUCAAAAAUCUAACAACACUGAAAGUUUCAAGAUGCCAUGGGUUCAUCAAUUUAAUCGCAUGCUCAACAGCUAAGUGCCUGAGGCUACUGGAAAGUUUGAGCAUAGAUGAUUGUGAGAUGAUAGAGGAAAUCUUAGCGUGUGAGGCUGAAGAAAUACAAGGCGGCAUUGUAUUUCCCAAACUGAAGUAUUUGCAACUAAGCUGUCUGCCAUGUCUAGCAAGCUUUUCCUCGGCCCAUCACUCGUUGGAAUUCCCAGUCUUGCUAAUGGUGAAGGUGACAAAGUGCCCCAAAAUGAGGAAUUUCUGCCAAGGAGAUUUAAGCACACCAAGGCUGGAACAAAUGCACUUAACAAGAGAUGAGGAAGGUGAGCUGCAGUGGGAAGGCGACCUUAACACUACCAUAAAACAUAUGUUCGAUGAAAUGGUACAAAUCAUUUAAAGGAUUUAAAUUCAUGGGUUUUUACAUACAUACAUACAUACAUACAUAGUUAAUUGAACAAUUCUUGGUUUGUUAUGAUCAUGCACAGAAUGUGCAAAAUUCUGAGGUGACGGAGGUUACUGAUCAAUUGCCCAAGCUGGAAUAAGGAAAUAUGUAUGGGUGCUUAUGCGAAAAGCUCAAUUUCGUUUGAAUUCAAAACAAAUGGUAAUUGACUCUUCUAUUUUCAUCAUGGCUUAACUAAUGCUUUAUAAAGUGACCAUAGAGACGCCCUUUUCAUUGUAGGUUGAGUUGCUCUACUGAAGUACGAGGCUGCAACUUUUGGUAAAAUGUGAAAGGUUAUUUCAGUUUUGGUAAAACUACUAUUUGAACUGUUCCAUUUCACAUUAUACCCUCAAAAUUGAACUUCAUUGGGCUACAAACAUGUAAACUUUUACUAGUAAGGUUGAGCCCUGUUUUAAGUAUUUGCCAACUUUUGAUGGUUGCCAUAUCAAUGUCAGCUUAAAGCUAUCAAGUAUCUUUACAAAUAUAAGAUAUAUAUAUAUUAUUCCUUAAUGAGGGAUAAAAGUAGGCAGCUAUGUACUAAUGAUACGGUUGAUUCUGAAAAGACGGCCGAAAUUGAAUCAAUGGGUUGUUGGUAUUUGCCUGAUGGAAGAACAGGGCCUAAUGUUGCGUGGAUUCUGGUCAAGUUUUAAAUUUUCAGUUGUGGGCAUUACUGAUUGUUGUCAUUUGGUUGUUGAUCCUCUGAUUUUACGAUUGACUGUCUUGCUUAUUCGUUGCAAGGUUGGCGGGUCUCAAGUAUGAAUUUCCAAACCGGCUUUCAUCCAUAAUUAACUAAGUGUUCCAAUCCAUGGAGUUUAUGGUUUAUUAGCGUAACUGUCCAUUUUAUUUGUUGAGGAAAAAAAAUAUGAGGAUUAAUCUGAUAUUUAAUGUUUGGGUUUUUGAAUAUUUUUGUGCCUUUAAUGAAAGAAAGCAAAUAAAAUAGAGACGUACAAGAUCACAUCCAUAGAUCAACAAAAGGGUUUAAUAUUUCUAUAAAAAAUUGUCCCAAAAAGGCCUUAUGGGAAUUGAUCAUAUAAACUAAUGAAGGCCAUUGAAAAUAAAGCUUGUAAAAGUUUACAGAAGGAAUUGAUGAGAAUCUGAUACACUAUUCAUUUUGUUGCGAUAAGAGUUUAUGGCCUUGUAGGAGCCUCUCCCCAAAUUGCUAGCAAAAGAAACAAAAGGAUUAAUGCACGUCGAUAAUGGCAGAUUUAUAUUUGCUACAAAAGGUGAAGAGCCCAAGACCCUCCAACCUCCUCGGAACAGUUUGAAAUCGUUCCAAAAUAUGCUCUAGCAAAUGUUCCAAGCCAUCUCAUGCGACAGUUUUCCCUUAAAAGCAUUAGUGGCUGAGUCUAGUCUUAAUUUUUAUUUGUAUCUUUUAUAUCCGUUUUAUAAUUCAUAUUUAGGAUUUGUAUUAUUUAAAAAAGGAAAAUCUUUGAAAUAAAAAAAAACAGUAUGUUUUAUAUAAUUAUUUAAAGUUACUCUCACAUUAUUUUUACCCAUUCAAAGCUAGCAAGUCUUUUAUGUACAAAAUCGUAUAGCUCUGCAAUUUGGAAUAACAUUUUGGUCACCUCCAUGUGAAGUGAGAGAAAAUUGAGAAUGUCACACAAUUAUUAUUUUUCCCUCCAUACCCCUAUGCCACCAAAGAAACUUGAAUUAUUAAGGCACAAAAGCACUAAGGAGUAGGAGCUAGAAAAAGAGGGGCAUGAAAAUAAAGAGAGUUACAUUUAUUAUUUGCAUAAUACAAAAUUAGUCUUUAAUAUUUACACAUUUUAUUAUUUUUAUUUUUUAUUAAUUAAAUUUGGCUUUAAACUCUUUAAAAAGAGUUGAAUUUGAACAUCAACCUUUUAAAAAGAGUUAUAUUAUUAUUUAACGGAAAUGUUAAAUUUUGAAAUACAUAUAAGAAUAUAAUUUUAUUAAAUUAUAUAUUUUUAUUAAAUUAUAUUAAAUUAUAUUUAAUAAUAAUUAUUUUAAAUUAUAUUUUAUAGUAUUAUAUAUUAUGAUUUUAGUAAAUUCAUAUAUUUUAUUAAAUUAUAUAUUUUUAUUAAAUUAUAUUUAAUAAUAAUUAUGUUAAAAUAUGAUUAAAUUAUUUAUUAUUUAUAUUAAUAACCUUAUUAAAAUUUAAUAACAAUAACAAUAAUCAUCGACCUAAAAAAAAUUCUACUAAGGGUAUUCUCGUCAUUUUAGCUUUUUUCCUUAUGCUAUUACACCAUCAUUCCCUUCAACCAAACACAAGAAUAUUAUUACGCCUCUAUUCCAUUCCAUUCAACCAAACAAAAGGAUUACCUAUUACGCCUUUAUUCCAUUACGCCUCUAUUCCAUUACGCCUCUAUUCCAUUACAGCGAACCAAACGUGCCCUAAAGGUUCAAAGAUUUCUGCUUAAAUUUGGACUUCACUCCUUAAGCUUCAAGUUCAAGUUUUUUGGUAUAUAAAUUUUGGACCUUAAUUUGGUAUGUAUUUAAGCUUAUUAGUAAUAAUGUGAAUUAUGUACGAAAGAUAAUGUUUUGUGUUAUAAAGUAUCUCGGUUAUAAUGAAAUAAGAAUAAAUUGAAGUGAUGAGUUUAGUGUUAAAUGUAGCAUCUCUUACUCAAAUUUGUUAUCGAAUCGGGUGAGAGGUGUUACUACUAGAAUAUAAAUUACCCUUUCUUUUUUCUUAAGAUAAAUGUAUUUUUUUUAAUUAAAUUCGUACAUAAAAUGAUAUUUUUACUAAAAUAUUAAAUUCGAAAAAGAAAUUUAAGACAAAAACAUUUUAGCCAACAACAUAUUCAUUGUAGGAUCAAAAACAUUAAUGCAAGAAACUUAAAACAAGGAAUCAAAAGUCUAGAACAAGCAAUCAAACUUAUUUUAUAUGAUCCACCAUUAAAAUUUUAGAAUAUGAUAAACAAGCAAUCAAAUAUUAAGUGCACAAUUUUAGAUUCACUAUACAAGAGCUGAGAACGAGAAAGCUAUCACAUCAGAUGGCUUGGUACAAUUAAUUAGACCGUGUUGCAGUACCUCUCUGGCAUCAACUUCGCUUGUAAAUUUCUAUAAGCUGUCACUUCAAUGGCCUUCAUCAACUUGCAGCUCUAAUCUAAAUUGUACAAAACCAAUUGAUAACAAAUUCACAAUCCACAGAUUGUGGGCUCAUAAUGCUAAUGACAAAUCAAUGUCUCGUUAUGAUUCAAGUAAUCCAUACACCGUUGGAUAGGUGCAAGGAUUGUUUGGAUCAUAAGAGAGCAUUGGUUUGUUCUUAGAAUUAUGUGUCCAUAUACCAUGGAUCUUGAACUCAUUAAGGAUUGGUGGUGUACAACUCAGACUAAAGCUAUAGGCUAAUAAAGGCCAUUGAAGAAAAAGCUUACGAAAAUUACAAGCGAAGUUGAUGCCGGUAGGGGUGCUGCAAAUGCUGCUCAAAAUGAAAAGAGAAGAACAAGAGGAGUACUCUCUCUCUCUCUCUAUAUAUAUAAGUAUAUACUCUUCUCCAUGCUGCACAUUAUUGCAAAAAAAGAAAACACACAAGGGACCAAUCUUAGAUCUUCACAAAGGUCAUUUGAGAUCAAAGGAGAAGAACAAGAAAAACAAAGGUGAGGGGUUUGAAGAAAGAGCCAAAUAUAUAAAGGAAAAAUUAAGUGAGAGAGAGGAUGGGUUUAAUUUAAAGAUUAAAUGUUUCUUUUUUGGUAAACACAUUUCUUUGGUCCCUCUCAAUUUUGAUGUUGAGCAAAUUAGCCCAUUUCUAAAAAUUUUGGAGAAAUUUGAUCAUUGUUGAUUUUGAAAGUGAGCAACUAAAUACAAUUAAUCAUAACGUUUAUGUUUUUCAUCAGUUCUACAAUUUUUUUCUUGGUAUAAUAAAAAAUAUAACUUUCAAAGUUUACACAUUUUGUCAAUUUGAUCUUGAUAUAACAAAUAUAACUCAUAACAUUUUCACAAUAUUCCAUCAAUUUGGUCCUAAUUUAACAAAUUUAGCCCGUAAUAUUUACACUUUUUGUCAAUAGUUACGCAGAAUAUAUAAACAUCAAUGGCUAAAUUUAUUAUUAUACCAAUCAAAAUUAUGUAGAAUCGAUGGAAAACAUUAAAGCUAUAAUUAAUUGUCCGUAGUUACUCACAUUUAAAAUUGACAGGAAUUAAAUUGUUCUGAUUUUUUAAAAAGAUCGAUUUACUUAAUAUCAAAAUUGAGAGAAAUCAUAAAGAUAAUUUUACUUUUCUUAAUUUAAUAGGUAAGAAAAUUUAAAAUCAUUGAAAAAAAAAAGUAAGUUGUAUAGAUUUAUUUAAAGUCACACUCACAUUAUUAUUUUUCCCAUUCAAAGUUGAAAAGUCUUUUAUGUAAAAAAUAGUAUAGCUCUUCAAUUUGGGUUAACAUUUUGGUCCCCGCCAUGUGAUGUGAAGGAAAAUUGACAACAUCACAACAAUCAAAUCUAUUUUUUCUGCCAUACCCCUGUGCCUCCGAAGAAAGUUAAAUUAUUAAGGCACAAAAGUACCAAGGAGUAGAAGCUACCAAAAGAGGAGCAUGAAAAUAAAGAGAGAUACAUAUAUUACUGGCAUGGAAUAUUUACAUCUUUUAUUAAUUUAGAUUUUUUUAGUUAAUUUUAAUUUUAAAUCCUUUAAAAAAAAGUUGAAUUUGAUCAUCAACGUUUAAAAAGAGUUGAAUUAUUAUUUUUUAAUAAAAAUAUUAACCAAAAUGUUAAAUUUUGAAACAUGGCAAUCCGUAAAACAAUCCAAGUGUAGUUCAUGCUUGUUUUUAUUUGAUUUUUUAUGAACUCUUUUUGUGGGAAAUUUUUAUUUUUUUAAUAUUUUUAUAAUUUUUAAUUUAUUGGCGUGACAUAUAAGAUAAAUAAUACUAUGUCAACAUAAAUGACAUGUAGACUGCCACAUGGGUUGCCAUGCCAACUUCGUUAAAAAUUAAUAUUUUAGUCAACAUUUAAAAAAACACGAUUUGACUCUUUUUUAAAGGUUAAUUGUCAAAUUUAAAUUAAGAAAUAAUAAUAAUCAAAUUGACAAAAGAUGUAAAUAUUAAGUGUUGAAUUUAUUAUUAUACUUUUAAGUAAAAUUUUUGGAUUUGAAUUUGAAUUAUUUUGGGAAAUUUAAAUAGUUUUGAGCUCAGAACAUUUCAAGAGAAAAUUAGCAAGUCAAAUUACAAUUAUAAAAUAAUAUAUGUCAUUUAUAUGUUUGUCUAUAUAAGUUUAAAUUACAAAUUAAUUACUAAAAGUGAUUAGGGCAUUAGUAUUUGUGUUGUCACAUGGGAGUUUAGGUUCAAUCUCUUGAUUGAAAUAAUAUUUUUAAAAUAUUUAUUUAAUAUUUCUAUAUACAUCAAAAUCCUUGUUAAAUUUUAAUUUUGUUUUUGUUAUUAGAAUACUUGAAUCAAUAAAAUUUUAAGGCACAUAUCAAACCCAACAAUCAAAAUUAAAUCACACCAAAAUAAGGCCAAGAAAUUCUUAAACAGCUCACCAAGCAACAUUCAAAUAUCAUAACUUAACCCCCUUGCAAAUAAUAAGAGCAUAGACGCUUGCUGCAGACAAAAGGUCCCAUGCCCAUUACAAGCUCUGCCCAUCAGUUCCUGCCAGAGGAGCCAUGGCCAAGAAAACUAUUAGUCUUAAUGCAAUCCACAAAACGUGUGGGACUUUUCCUUAAGGUCAGCUCUUUUGAGUUCAAGUCCUUUUCGCUGGCAAAUUUGUUGAUAUAGGAGCAACAUUGGUCAUCACAAUCAACAAAGGUCUUGUGAAAAAAAAUAGAAUGUCGGUAAUGAUAAUAUACCGCAAAGAAAAGAGAAAUAAAAAUAAAGAACAUAGAUUUUACGUGGAAACCCUUUCGGGAAAAAACCACGGGUAGAGGAGAAGUAAAUUCACUAUGUCGAAUUCGAAUGAUUACAAGAGGAGCUUCGACUACAUCUAUUUAUAGGUUGAAAAAAACCUAAUUCUAAUCAAAGUCGAAUAUAUUAUGCUAAUAAAUGCUAAAUAUAUUAUACUCAUAAAUACUAAAUAUUCUAGAAAGAAGAUAUAUUUUGUUCAACUUGACUUGCAAGCAAUCUCUUAGAAUUUGGGUUACACAACUCUAACAAUCUCCACCUUGACACAAAUUCUCAAUGAAUAAGUUCUUCAUCGCGAACUCUCAACGAACAAGUUCUCUAGCUCUUCCAUAAAACCCCUUAAGGGUUUAACUUCAACAAUGAACACCAAUCAAGUCUAAGAAAUGCUUAAACUUGGUUAUAGGAAGUGACUUAGUCAUCAUAUCUGCAGGAUAUUCAUGAGUACUAAUUUUACUCACAACAAUAUCUCCACGGGCAAUAGUAUCACGAACAAAAUAAUACCGAACAUCAAUGUGUUUUGUUUUCUCAUGAAACAUUUGAUAUUUUGUAAGGAAGAUGACACUCUGACUGUCACAAAUACUGUACUGAUUUGAAGGUUUUCAUUGAGUUCACUAAAGAGUCCCUUCAACCAAAUAGCUUCUUUACAAGCCUCAGUAAUUACCAUGUACUCAGCUUCAGUGGUAGACAAAUCGAUUGUAGUUUGCAAAGUGGCUUUCCAACUUAUUGCACAACCUCUGAUUGUAAAGACAUAACCUAUGAGAGAUCUUCUUCUAUCAAGGUCUCCAGCAAAAUCAGCACCAACAUACCCAAUGACUCUAUCUCUAGUUCUUUCAAACUGUAAGCAAACAUCAGUAGUACCUUGUAAGUAUCUUAAAAUCCACUGAAUUGCUUUAUAAUGUUCUUUACCGGGAUUCGCCAUGUAUCUGCUAACUGCACUGACUGUAUAUGAUAAAUUUGAACGAGAACAAACCAUAGCAUACAUAAAAGAUCCCACUGCACUAGAGUAUGAAGCAUGUGACAUGUACUCAAUCUCAUCAUCUGAUUGUGGAGACAAAGCUGAUGAAAGUCUGAAAUAGGCUGCUAAAAGAGUACUAACAGACUUAGCAUUCUGCAUAUUAAAUCUGCAAAGAACUUUCUCAUGUACCCUUUCUGACUUAGGUACAAUUUACUUGCUUUUCUAUCUCUGAGAAUCUUCAUACUUUUUUGCUGGUCCCAAAUAUUUUAUCUCAAAUUUUUCACUUAGUUAGGCUUUGACCUUUCUCAUCUCUCCUUUAUCUUUCGCUGCUAUCAACAUGUCAUCAACAUAAAGGAGUAGAUACAUAAAAGAACCAUCAUUGUUUUUCUUAAAGUAAACACAACUGUCAAAACUACUUCGUUUAAAAUCAUGAGAAGUUAUAAAGGAAUCAAAUCUCUUGUACCACUAUCUUGGUGACUAUUUCAAACCGUAAAUGGACUUUUUCAACAAGCAAACAUAGUCCUCUUUUUCUGAAACUAUAAAAUCCUCUGGUUGUUGCAUGUAAAUAUCCUCCUCAAGUUCUCCAUGUAAAAAAGCAGCUUUUACAUCUAACUGCUCAAGCUCCAAAUCAUGCAUGGCCACAAUACCAAGCAAAGCUCGAAUCGAGGUAUGCUUCACAGCUAGGGAGAAUACAUAUGUGAAGUCUACUCUUGGAAUUUGACUGUAACCCUUUGCAAUAAGCCUUACUUUAUAUCUAGGUUAUUGAACUCCUUGAGUCCCCUCUUUCUUUUUAAACAUCCAUUUACAACGAACAACCUUUUUACCUUUAGAAAGUUUCACAAGAUCCCAUAUUUUAUUUUUGUGGAGUGAUUCCAUCUCCUCUUGCAUAGCAAACAUCCACUUUUCUAAGUCUUCAUGGUUAACUGCAUCAGAAUAAUUAGAUGGCUCUUGGUUUGCAUUUAUAUCUUCAGCCACGUUUAAAGCAUAAGCAACUAGAUCAGCCUUGGCAUACUUCUUUAGAGGUUUAAUUUCUCUUGUAGUUCUGUUUUUGGCGAUAGAGUAUUGUGGUGAAGAAGCAACUCUAUUUUGAAUUUUUGUACUGGCUUGAGGAGUUGACUCCAUUGUAGAUUCUGGAUUAAUCUGAUGCUCUACUUGCUUUUGAUUUUUCUUUAUUAGAAGAGUCUUUAAGAUAUAAGUUAGGUAGCAUAACAAUUUCAUCAAAAACAACAUCUCUUCUAAUCACAACUUUUCUAAUUUCAGGACACCAUAACUUAUACCCUUUUACACCAGCUUUAUAACCAAGAAAAACACAUUUAAUGUAUCUCGGUUCCAAUUUUCAUGAUCAAUAUGAGCAUACGCAGGUCACUCAAAAAUCUUUAAAUCAGAAUAGUCAACAGGAUUACCAGACCAUACCUCUUGUGGAGUCUUUUUCUCAAUGGCAAUGGAUAGAGAUCGGUUGAUUAAAAACAUGCAGUAGAGGCUGUUUCGGCCAAAAUAACUUUGGUAAGUUGGCAUUUGACAACAUACAUCGAACCUUCUCCAUGAUCGUUCUGUUCAUUCGUUCUACAACGCCGUUUUACUGUGGAGUAUGACGAACUGUCAAGUGUCUCACGAUUCCUUCUGACUUGCACAGUUUAUUAAACUCAUCAGAACAGAAAUCUAAGCCAUUGUCUGUACGGAGAUAUUUUAUUUGUUUUCCCGUCUAUUUUUCAAUCAUAGUUUUCCAAGAAGCUGCUUGCCACCAAUGCAGCUCAGUUGAAAUAUUUAGAGUCACGAGCGGAAAAUGUAGAGCAGAAGGCCAAGGAUGCUGAAAAAAAAAUAGUUGAACUCGAAAGGUAGCUUAAGGCUAAGGUAAAGGAAGCUACACAAUGGAGCAAUAAGCUUGAGGAGGUUGGUAACUCAUUGAUGGACUAGAUGAUAAAAAUUCAGAAAACACUAGGAUCCUUUGACUCAACAGGUAUCAACUUUGAUAGAGCAAAGAUAUCUAAGGCUUGUUCUGUGUGCCUUUUUGAUACUAUGAUACUUCUAUAUUGGUUUUAGAUCGUUGAGAAUCGAAAAUAUGGCUGGGCUAUGGAUUACGCAGGAAGAGGAACUUCAAGGUAAGAUAAUGAAGGAUUGAAGGAAUUGAGAAAUGAAUGGGGUGAAAUGAUCUACAGGGCCGUUGUUGUUGCAUUACUGGAAAUGGAAGAGUACAAUCCAAGUGGGAGAUACAUAGUUUUUGAACUUUGGAAUUUCAAAGAUGAUGAAAAGCCAGCUUAAAAGAAGCUAUUGAGAUCUUCAUCUACCAUUUACAGAACAAAUUGAGUCAAUCCCUGUACUCAUUGAACUGAUGGUAAGCUGAGUUGUUCCUGGUACUAGACUAUGUAACAGCCCGAUUCUGGGCCUAGUCGGAAUAGUGGUUUCGGGACCACAAAUCCGACGAGAGAAAAUAUUAUUAUCAUUAUAUUUUUAUGGUCUACAAUUUCACGGAAUGAUUUCGUGAAAAUUUCGUUCGAAAAUUUCAACGUUUGAGCACUCAAUUUAGUCAAAAAGGACUAAAUUGUAAAAAGUGCAAAAGUUGAGUUCUAGAAGCUAGAGGUGUUAAAUUGCUAUGAAAUUUUAAAUUGGAGGUCCUUAAAUGGUAAUUAAACCAUUAGUUAUUUAUGGACAAAAAUAGACAUGGUUAGUAAGUAAGCUAUUUAAGGGCAUUUUGAUAAAAUGCCUUAAUUAAUGAAUAAAGACAAAAUAACAUGAAAUAAGUUAUCAUCUUCUUCAAUUCUUUUCUCCAUGGCCGAAUGUAGCAAGGAAAUACCAUGGCUAGGGUUUUUUCAUCUUCCAAGCUUCAUGGUAAGUCCGUUCUAGCCCCAUUUUUCUUGUUAUUUAUAUUUUUAGAAUCCCGGUAACUUGCUUAAUCUAAUUCUACUAUUAAUUUGAGCUAGAAUUUAUGUUUGAAAAAUUACCCAUAGGUGAAAAGUGUGAACUUUGAUGUUUCAUGAUAGAAUAUGAAGCUUAGAAUUAUGUUAAACGAUUUUUGCUAAUCGAUUUUCAGUAAAAACGAGUAAAACGACAUAAUCAGUAAAAAUAUCUAAUGUUCAUAAGUAAGUGUUGAGUGGGAAUUUGAUGUUUCCAUAGAAGAGAAAAAUGUUCAGAAUGUCAUAAAAAAUAAGAAUAAGAGAUGAAAUUUAAUUUCCGAGCUUUGGGGCAAAAGUGUAAAUAUGCAAAAGUUUAGGGGCAAAAAUGUAAUUUUGUAAAAAUAUGAUUUUUGGACUGAAUUGAAUAAUGUGAGUGUUAAAUAAGUUAAAUGUGUUAUUAUAAGUCAAGAAAGACAAGGAAUUGACUUUGAUUAGUAAAAAAAUGAGAAAAAGUGAGAAAUUUCUCGAUUGAACAUUCAGAAUAAAAAGGGAUACGAAUGAAAUGACAGAAAUGAUCACAUAUGUGGCAUGGACUGUGUGUAGGCCACUAUGUGAAAGUGAAAGUGAUGGUCACAUGUGUAGUACUAUGUGAAGGCUACUACGUGUACCAGAAUGAUAGGUCGCAUGUGUAGUACUAUGUACAGGCUACUAUGCGUAUCGGAUAGCUUCGAUCACGUGUGUAGUACUAUGUGCAGGCUACUACGUGUAUCGGAUAGUGAUGGUCACAUGUGUAGUACUAUGUGCAGGCUACUAUGUGAACCCAUAUCAUUGAUUAUAAGGUGGUUGCUAAGUGCUGAUUCCACCAUAUCUUAAAUGUGAAAGGGGUUGCUAAGUGCUGAUUCCCCGAAUCACUGGUGGUUGCUAAGUGCUGAUUCCACUGUAUCCUUGAUUGUGAAAGGGGUUGCUAUGUGCUGAUUCCCCGUAUCAUUGAUUAUAAGGUGGUUGCUAAGUGAUGAUUCCACCGGGAUCCUUUGAACAUGAGGUGGUUGCUAAGUGCUGAUUCCACCAUGUAACGGUUAAUAUUCCGAAGUGUUCAUCGGGGAAAUUGGAUAAGUGAAAAUAUAUGUGAAUCGAAUAAGGUUACGGGAUGAAUAUUGGAUUCGAUAUUUAAUCGACCCUUGAGUAAGAUGAAAAGAAGUAAUGAAAUUGUGAAAAAGAAAAAUGUGCAACAAAACAGUUUUGGACAGUAACAAUAAUGUGACUUUGAAAAAUCACCAAAAAUGGUGGAAAUUGAAUUAGAGAGUUAAUAAGAUAUUAAAUGAAAGCUUAAGGAGUCUAUUUUUAUGUAAAAGAAACAGAGCAAGUAAAAGAGUUAGACAUUCUGAGAUAUUUGAAUUUUAGUGAGGCAGGGUAGGAUUGAUUUCGGAAUCCCCUGUUCUGAAUUUGGAAAAUAAUUAAAAAUUGUAAAAAAAUAAUUACUAGAUAUAAUUUAUACGAUUAGAAUCCUUAAUGAGUCUAUUUUUAAGGGAAACAAACAGAAAAAUCAUCCAAAUUCUGUACAAUGAGAUAAUUCAUUUUUAGUGAAGAGAGGUCAGAGAUGUUGAGCAGUGAAACAGGGGUGACUUUAAAGAAUAAACUGUACUAAUUGGAAAAGUCAAAAAUUCUGAAAAUUUUAUGGUAAGAAGAUAUGUGAGUCUAGAUUCGGGGAAAAUUAACGGAUCUUAAUUUGGAGCUCUGUAGCUUUGGAUAAAUAUAAUUUAGUGACUCUGACUCGAAUAGACAGCUUUGGAUAUACAUGUGAAUGAAUAGUGAAAUUAUGUAUAAUGCUAUUUAAGCAUGUUUUAUACAUAAAGGAUGUGGAAUGGAGAGGGGGAGGAGGAAAAUUAAUUAUAUAUAUGAAUGAUUUGUGUAUAAAUGGUUAUAUGCUCAAUUAUAAUCGAUAAACGUUAAAAUAGAAAUGAUGCUUACAUUUGCGUAUUAUUGAUCAUGGUUUAAGCUCAUAUGGGAAAAUAAAGUUUCAUAGUAUGUGAGUGUGGUUUAUUUGAUAUAUGGGUUGGUAUGAAGUAAGGCCAUGAAUGGUUUAUGGAUUAAUUCAUGUUGGUAGGUUUGGUACAUGAAUAAAUGUUGAACUUGGCCAUACUUAUAAUGCUUAUGCUAUAUGUUUAUUUGGCUAACAUGUGUAGUGUACAUGCUUAAGCUUUGGCCAAUUGGUGGCUGAAUUAUGCCACGUUAAAUUUAUAAGUUAUGCAUUGAAAUGGUAAGUGCCUAGAUGGGAAUAUGCUUAUGAUCAUGGAAAGGGUGGUAACGUUUAAAUUAUGUAAACUUACUUGGAAUGGUUUAUCAUGUGGUUAAUUCCAAAAAAGAAUUAUGUUUAAUGUACUAGCUUGUGACUAUGGUUGAAUGAUAUGUUAUUGUUUUGUGUGAUAUUUGUAGGAAAUGGGUGUGGAAAGGAAAUGAAAUACUAAGUUCAUACUUGAAGAAUAAAAUGACGAAAAAGGGAAUGAUGAGUUGAUUUGAUGUUGUUAUUUAAGCUUAAGUGAUGUUUUCAUUGUAAUACUAAGAAUUUUAUAAAUGUGUUAAUGAAUGGUAUAAUUGAUAAACGUUGAGUUAAAUGAUGAACACGUAUUAGUAUUGAACUUAACAAUAUUGAAUUGUACAUGAAUUAAAUGGAAGUUUUUAGUGAUAUGAUUUGAAUUAAAAGAAUUGUUGUGGUAUUGAAAUAUAUAUAUUGGAUUGAGAAAUUGAUUUGAAUUGUGAACAUGAAAGAUUUUGAAAUGAAUAAAAUAGAAAUGAAGCAUUGAAUUACAUGAGUAAGUAUCGGGUCUUGUAGGCCCAAUUUGUUAUGAAUAUAAUAUUUCAAGGAUAUGUUAUAAAGAAUUAUAAAAUCAUGUUAAAAAUUUGAAAAGUUUAAAUUUGAAUGAAAUUUUGUAACUCGGUUUAAUACGUUUACAUGUGUAAGUGUUCUAGUAAUGCCUCAUUCCCUAUUCCGGAGUUGAAUACGGGUAAGGGGUGUUACAGACUAUCAACAAGCCAAGUUAAUCCCAGUAUUCUGCGUAACAUUUCCAUGUAGUUAAUCUUAUUUUGCUAAUAUAUAAUCAAAUGACCAGUAUUUUGUUUAACCCUCAAACAUCCUGCGUGGAAGCAAGUUAUUCAUAUGAAUUGCUUGAAUUGCUCAUAUGUCCAAUGAAUUAUAAAGGAAUGCUGUUGAAUUCCCAUCGAUACAUACAUGCAUACAUAUUAGUGAAGUAUAUUCCAAUAUAAUAUCAAUAUUGGGAUUUACGUUUUAUAGAGCAGCAUUAAUGAUUGGUAAUAUACAUUCGUUCCAAGGCAAACCCAAAUAUUGUAACCUACAACUGUGGCAAAUCAAAUUUUACAGUAACCCAAUUAUAAUGUGAAGUCAAAUAUGAAAGUAACAUUGGUUUAUAUUUUUUUUUCUCAAAAUUCUAAUAAUCAAGUUGGGAUAAGUGAUAAACACUGAGCUUGCCACGUGUGUUAAACCACAUUUUUGUUAUGUGCCACUCCAAAGAUAUCGGGCCUCUAUUCAGGCUGGCAUAGUCAGGACGUGGUAGCAUACUUCAGGACCCUGGUUAGAAAAUAUCCCACAUCCGAUAAAAUUGGAACGAUACAGAGAAGAUUAGCAUGGCCCUGCGCAAGGAUGACAUGCACAAAUCGAGAAGUCCAAUUUUUUUCCCUUUUUUUCCCCACAUUUUAACAGCUCUGCUUCUUCUUCUUUUUUUCCCCUGGGUUUGAUGUUCAUAUUCAUGGGUUUUUGUGCACUUAAGAUUGCAAUUAGAGUUUUCUUUCUUUCUUUUACUGGGUUCGGUCUGUUUUACUCUCUUGAACUGUGAAUUUGAUUUUUUUUUCCAUUUUUUCAGCUUUGUUGCUUUUUUCCCCCUGGGUUUAGUUUUCAUGUUCAUGGGUUCCGCCCACUUAAGAUUGCAUUGGAGUUUUUUUUUUCCUUUUUACUGGGUUUUGGCCAGUUUUACUCUGUUGAACCGUGAAUACCUCUGGGAAAAAAAUUGUUGCUUAUAUAUUUGCUAGUCAACAGUGCUAAUUUUCUGAUAUAUUGGCCAGAAUUGAGGGAAGAAGGUCCAAUUUUGCUUUUGAUUCUUCUACUACUAUCUUAAGAUUUAAAAGAAAUUCAAUUAAACAAUUUCUUCCAAUAAAAUUAAACAAGAAGGGACCUGCACACUUAGACAUGUUUCUCUUUGAAAAAAAUUCAAACAGGGUUUUAAAAUUUGCAAUGUGUUUUAUGUAAAUCAAAUGAUACCCUGAAUUUUGCUAAGGGUGUUUCAUAUCCUUGAAUCCUUUUUUUGCUUGGCAAGUGAUUCAUUGAGUUUUUGUGAUAAAUUUCAUGUUUCUUUUUUUAGUAUGGGAAUUUGUGGGAAAAUGCUUGGCAAUAUGGAAAUGAAACCAGUUUCCAUUUCCAAAGGCAACAGCAAAGUGGUGAAGCUUAUUGUUGAAAAAUUCUUCAAUAAUGUCAAUAAUGAAAAAGUAGAAAAUGGAAAAACUGAUAAGUACAUGCCUUUCUUGAAUAAAGGAAUGUGAAUCUGUGUGAACUUCCAUUUCCCUUGAAUUAUGCCUAAGUAAACCUUGACUAAGGAAACAAAUAAGCAGAGACCUUACAAGAAGAAAUUUGUGUUUAAUUCAGUCACACACAAUUUUCAAAGAAUCUUACUUCAUUUUCUUCAUAAAUUGUUGCGUAAGAUACUAACACUUGAAAAACUAAUAACAUUAGACCCAACCAUUUUAAACAGGAUGUAAUAGCACCAUACAAAUACAAAACCAAAAUGAAACAACGACCAACACUAUAUAAAUAUACACCAUUGAUCAAAAUAUACACUAACAACAAUUAUGAUAAGAUAACAUAGAUGAACAUGAUACAAUUUGUUAAAUCUAAGGUACUGACCAAUCAUUUUAUUGGAGCAUUACUUAAUGUAUAAGGCUCAAUCCCCCCCCGAUGCUAGAUACUGAUACACUCAAACGAAUAUGAUUUUCUUCCAUUCAUUUCAAUAUGGUAAUGUUGUUUUUACCCUAAGUUAAAAUCCUUUUUUUUUACUGCACAGAAAUCUGAAUUCACCAACCCUGAUGGAAGGCUUGUGAUUGUGACCAACUUUACAGGCAAAAAUGAAAAAGGAUCUACAACCUUUGUUAACUGUUUUGUAAAAUACAAGAAAAUCCCAUACCCAAGCAUGAUUUUAUAUACACCCUGCUACAAAAACACGUUUUUUCCUGCAAAAACAUCAUUCAUGGCAAGAUGUCAAGAGAUUGGUGAAAAAGAAAAACAUCCAACAUUUGGGGUUUUAAUCUCAAUAUAUGAACUUGGCUUUAUUUCUUAGUGUUAUUGUUGAACUUUUUAGGAUGCCUCUGUCUUAAUCCAUUUAUGUGAUUUGAUAAUGAUAUUUGCAGGCACUUAAAUCUGUUGGAACAAUGGCAGCAGCAAACAUCAAACAAAGUUACAACACAGUGUUUGCAAGACUGAAGCAAGAAGAAUCGAAGCAAAGAAAGAGCAAAGCAAAGCAAAAAUUUGAUCAAAUUGAAUACUCAGCAAAGUUGUAACUGAAUAUUACAUUUUUCAUUCAAGAUUAGAAUAUAUAAAAGUACUACAAUUUUGGUUCAUUUGACAGAUACCUAAUGACAUAACUACUCCCACUUAAACUAAACUAAUACAAGCUUAAGUCAAAUACAAAUAAGCUGACAUAUCAACUUUUACAUCACCAAUCCAAUCACAAACUUAAUCCAACUAACUAUUAAAGCUAGUUACAAUCAAACUGAACUAAGUUACAUCAAAACAAAACAGCAAUAUCAGUUGCUUCAUUUGGUCUGAAAACCAUUCGUGCACACCAAGCAAAAUGAGCUGAGCUCGAUAGCUGCUGGUCUCGAUAGUAGCAUGCUUCCGGCUCCAUGUUGCAUUGCAGUCCAUCUUUCAACACUCCUCCUUGGACUGUAUGCAACACAUUCCAAUUGCACUUCUCAAAGAUUCAAAUCGAACAGCCCCUAAGGGCUUUGUCAUUAUGUCAGCCAAUUGAGCUCUUGAGCUGCAAUGCACAAGGCUGACUUACUUUGCUUGUUCAGCUUUUCUAACAAAAUGCAGUUUGAUUUUAAAAUGCUUAGUCUUACCAUGGAACACAGGGUUCUUGGCUAUUGCAACUGCAGACUGAUUAUCUACCCAAAUUUUAGUUGCUUCAUCUUGAGUUUCAUUAAGGUCAUAAAGCAGCUUCCUUAGCCAAAUGGCCUGAUUAACUGCUCCUGCUGCAGCAAUGUACUCUGCUUCAGCUGUGGAUUGAGCAACAGUUUGUUGCUUCUUUGAACUCCAGCAAAACAUGCCCGAUCCAAGUGUGAAGAAGUAUCCAGAGGUACUCUUCAUGUCAUCGAGAGAUCCUGCCCAGUCACUGUCAGAGUAGCCUUCUAGUUUCAGUUGAUUCCUACUUUCAAACAUUACACCAAAACUAGCAGUGCCCUUGAUGUAUCUAAGGAUCCUCUUUCCUGCCUUCAAAUGUGCCUCACUACAACAAUGCAUAAAUCUCGAUAACAGGCUGACACCAAACAUGAUGCCUGGCCUGGUUGCUGUUAGAUACAACAGACAACCAACUAGGCUUCGAUAGUGCCUCUCAUCAACCCUCUGCUGAUCACCACUGCUAGUCAGCUUUUCUCCUUGGGCCACAGGUGUGCUGACUGCUUUACAGUUAUGCAUGCAGAAUUUGUCUAGGAUCUUCAAAGCAAAUGAGUGUUGGCUGAUGAAGAUACCUCGAUUAGACUGGUGCACUUCCAUGCCAAGGAAGUAAGUCAUGAUCCCCAAAUCUGUCAUCUCAAACACUUGCUGCAUUUGGACCUUGAACUGAUCAAUGAGCUCAAUUUUGCUCCCUGUCACAAGCAAAUCAUCCACAUACAAGGAGACAAUCAGCAAGGUUUCAUGUUCUGACCUUUUAACAUACAGAGUAGGCUCACUAAGGCUCUUUACAAAUCCAAGUUUGGUCAGGUAAGCAUCAACUCUGUCAUACCAGGCCCUUGGUGCUUGUUUCAGGCCAUAGAGGGCCUUUCUCAACUUAUACACUUUGUCUUCAUGUCCAACAACUUCAAAACCUUCAGGUUGCUCGAUAAAGAUCUCCUCCUUGAGAAAACCAUUUAGGAAUGCUGAUUUGACAUCCAAUUGGUGAACUCUCCACUGCUUCUGAGCUGCUAAAGCAAAUAGCAGCUUAAUUGUAUCCAGUCUUGCCACUGGAGCAAAAGUUUCUAGGUAGUCAACACCAUACUGCUGACUGUAGCCCUUCACCACAAGCCUGGCCUUGUGCUUGUUCAGUGAGCCAUCAGCAUUGUACUUGGCUCGGUACACCCAUUUAACUCCUAUGACCCUCUUAUGUUCUGGUCUGCUCACCAACUCCCAAGUCUGAUUUUUGUUGAUCAUUUCCAACUCAGCUUCCAUAGCUUUCAUCCAGCUUCUGUUCUUAGCAGCCUCUUCAAAGUCUGAGGGCUCAAUCACAGCAACAUUGCACCUCUGAUAGACAUCAGCCAAAGUUCUGGUCCCCCUCACUGGUAUAUCAUCGACAGCAUCAUUACUUGGUCCUUCUUCUGCAGGUUCAGCAACCAAGUCUAACUGGUCCAAUUCAGACAAGUCAGCCUCAACACCAUUCCAAUUCCACACAUUUUCCUCAUUAAACUUUACAUCCCUGCUGACUAAAACUUUCUUUGCUGUAGGAUCAUACACUCUAUAGCCCUUCUUGUUGCUGCUGUAGCCAACAAAGAUUCCUGGAGUUGCUCUACUCUCAAGCUUGGUCCUUUUCUCUACUGGAAUAAGUGCAUAACAUACACAGCCAAACACUUUUAAGUGUGUUACCAUAGGUUUGACUCCAUGCCAAGCCUCAAAAGGAGUCUUAUCCUUGACUGCUCUAGUUGGCAGUCUGUUGAGCAGAUACACUGAGGUGUUGACUGCCUCAGCCCAAAACUAACUUGGAAGCUUGCCUUGAAACAAGAGGCACCUGGCCAUGUUCAGUACAGUCCUAUUCUUUCUCUCACAGACUCCAUUCUGUUGAGGAGUAUAGACUGUUGUGAGCUGAUGGUGAAUCCCAGCACUGUCACAAAGCUUCUGAAAUCUCUCAGACACAUAUUCAGAGCCAUUAUCAGUCCUCAAGGCUCUAAUUUUACAGCCUGACUGAUUUUCAGCAUAAGCCUUGAAUUUGCAGAAGGCUUCAAACACUUCUGACUUUUGCUUCAAGAAGUAGACCCAGCACAACCUUGUUAAAUCAUCUAUAAACAGGGCAAAGUACCUGUUCUCACUGAUUGAAGGUGUUCUCAUAGGGCCACAAACAUCAGAGUGCACCAAUUCGAGCUUGUUUUGAGCUCUCCAAGCACUGUCAGCAGGAAAAGGCAGUCUAGCCUGCUUACCAAGCUGACAAACCUCACAAACAUUCCCACUAACUUCAAUUUUUGAAAUGUCAUCAACCAAAUUCAGCCUAUGUAACUGAUCGAUGGAUCUAAAAUUUGCAUGGCCUAGUCUCCUAUGCCACAAGUCAGUGCUUUCAACAAGGCUGGUGUAUGCCUUUCUUUCUAUUUGGCUAACAUCCAGCAUGAAGCACCUAUCAGUCAUAGAGACUGUGACUAACUCCAGACCAUUCAUGUCUUGAACAAUACAGCAACCAUCCUUAAAAACCAAUGUAUAGCCCUUUUCAACUAAUUGGCCUACACUAAGCAAAUUCUGGUCUAAGUCAGGUACAAAAAACACAUCUGAGAUCAGCUUGUUACCUGAACCAGUGCUAAUCAACACACUGCCCUUGCCUUUAGCCUCAAUCAGCCUACCAUCUCCAAUUCUAAUCUUCGAGUGGAAGCUUCUGUCUAGACCUUUGAACAGCUUCUCAUCUGCUGCCAUAUGGUGUGAGCAGCCACUAUCUAGUAGCCAAUCAUUGCUGGCCUUGGUUGUGCCAGCAAAACAAGUUGCUGUGAACACUUGCUCCUUCUGAGCUUGGAUGUCCUCAGCAGGUCUAGCUUGUUGUAGAGCAGCCUCCCUUGGUUUGCCCUUGCACACCUUCUCCACAUGGCCAAACUGCUUGCAUUUUCUACACUGAAUAUCUGGCCUAAACCAGCAAUACUUUUCUGAAUGUGUUAUCUUCUUGCAAUGAACACAUGGUGCGAACACCCUUUUUGCAUCAUCUCUUCCUGACUUGACCCUUCUAUUGUGCCAAGGCUUCUUGCCUUUUGCACUCACACUCGAGCCUUCACUGGCUUUAGCCUGGAAAGUAGCUUCAGGAUUCUCCUCCUGCCUAUUUGCCCUCCUUUGCUCAAGUGCAUACAGGGAGUUUAUCAGCUCAGACAAUGAAAUGGCUGAUAAGUCCCUCGAGUCCUCAAGUGAAGAGAUUUUAGACUCAAAUUUCUCAGGGAGAGUUGUAAUAACCUUUUCAACAACUCUGCUCUCUGUGAAGUCCACUCUCAGAAGCCUAAUGCUGUUGACAAUGGCCAUUAUCCUGUCUGAGUACUGCUUGAUGGUCUCAGACUUCUUCAUCCUCAAAUUUUCAAAGUCUCUCCUGAGGUUGAUCACUUGCUGUUGCCUUGUCUUAUCAGUCCCCAUGAACUCCUCCUUCAGCUUCUCCCAAGCCUGCUUUGGUGAGUCACAGGCCAUGAUGCGAGUAAAUAUCACAUCAGAGACUCCAUUUUGUAAGCAGGCCAUAGCCUUAUGCUUCUUGGCUCGCUCCUCAGUAUGUUGCCUCAUCUGUGCAAUGGUGGGAUUGGCUCUCAAUGGAGGUGGUUCAGCAUCAUUCUCGAUCACACUCCAAAGAUCAUGUGCCUGGAGAUAAGUCUUCAUUUUAACUAUCCAAAUGUGAUAGUUUUCUCCAGUGAACACUGGUGGAGGUGGUGGAGUGAAACUCAUUCUGCUAAACUGAUUUUAAGUGCUUCAAUCUUACCAAAUUUUGAACUUGCUGUUGGUUUUGAUUCGAACACAACAGAUUGCAUACAAAGGCCCCUCAAAGACUCGGGCUCAUGAUACCAUUUGUUGGAACAAUGGCAGCAGCAAACAUCAAACAAAGUUACAACACAGUGUUUGCAAGACUGAAGCAAGAAGAAUCGAAGCAAAGAAAGAGCAAAGCAAAGCAAAAAUUUGAUCAAGUUGAAUACUCAGCAAAGUUGUAACUGAAUAUUACAUUUUUCAUUCAAGAUUAGAAUAUAUAAAAGUACUACAAUUUUGGUUCAUUUGACAGAUACCUAAUGACAUAACUACUCCCACUUAAACUAAACUAAUACAAGCUUAAGUCAAAUACAAAAUAAGCUGACAUAUCAGCUCUUACAUCACCAAUCCAAUCACAAACUUAAUCCAACUAACUAUUAAAGCUAGUUACAAUCAAACUGAACUAAGUUACAUCAAAACAAAACAGCAAUAUCAGUUGCUUCAUUUGGUCUGAAAACCAUUCGUGCACACCAAGCAAAAUGAGCUGAGCUCGAUAGCUGCUGGUCUCGAUAGUAGCAUGCUUCUGGCUCCAUGUUGCAUUACAGUCCAUCUUUCAACAAAAUCUUCCAUUGAAAUGGAGAACACCAACUACGAGGAGGAGCUGAAGAAUGAUCGCAGGCUUGUUUGCAGUCUCAUAUACGAGAUUAAUUGCAAAAAAGAACAGUUGUCCCAAAUGGAACGUGAAUAUAACGAGAUGACCGCAACUCUUCGAGGACUCAUCAAUGGCCUCAUAGCAAAAAUUAACUCCAAGGACAGUAAUCUGUGGGGUUGGGUGCUUCAAUAUAAUGUAACCGUGAGCAGUUGAAUGGCAAGAAUGCUGCGUUGCGCCUUGCGUUUGCUCAAGGUACUUUAGAUUAUAUAUGCGUAUGUAGUGAGCAGAAUACUAUGUGCUAAUUGAAUCGUUUGGUACCCUUUGAUUGAUCUUAGGGAAGGGGAUAUAAAUGUCAGGAUUUGAACCCCAAACUUAGCUUUUAUUACGGGAACUGGAUCAAUUUAGGCUCGGAUAAGCUUAAUGUGUUCAGAACCAGAUAAGAACAUAAUAUAUGGGAACACUUUGGCCAUACGAGGCUAAUGCUUAUAUGAUUCGCAUUAAAGACUACAUGCUCCUAGUGAUAACUCUUCUGUAAGUACUAUUAGUUGAAUAGCUUUAUGAUGUAUUAAUCUAUAAAAUCUGGGUGUCAUAUUAUGAGUUCCAUUGCUAUGUUAAUCUAUGUACUAACAAUAUUAUGAAGUAAGGCAAUUUUGUGUACAUUAUAUAUAUAUAUAUGAAGUUAAGAACGUAAGUGCUGUUAAAUGGUACAUUACUCAGAUUGGUAAUAUAUUGGUGCCGAAUGUUCUAAAAUUUAACCAGCAUUACUGGUAAUAUAUUAGUGCCAAAUUUGACUAAUUAUUGUUGAUAUAUCUUCAAAAUUUUCAGAUUUGAUAAAGAUAAAAUGGCAAUAAUGAAUAAAAAUACUGACUUUUUAAGAUCGUAUUUAAUGAAGGGAAGUUGAAUGUAGAAACUAAAACGACCUAAGGGAAAUAAAAGCAAAAUAUGGAGAAGUUUUCUCGGGAAAACAAGUGUUAUCCUUCAUUUAUCUUGAUGAUUCUCUAACGCCGCCAAUUUCCCCCCUAAGUUUACAGCAAGAAGAAGAAAAAAAAGAAGACAAACGGCAACGUUAAGCCAUUUUGUUACCUAUUUAUUUUAUGUUUUUGUAAAUUAAACAUUUUUUGUAUACAUUUUGUUACCUAUUUAUUUUAUGUUUUUGAAGUUUCCAUUGCCAUUUCUACCUUUCCAAAAUGGUGUCUUUUUACUUGUUUUUUACUGGGUUAUUUCUUUGAUUUUAGGGUUCUAUAUGUAUUUUUUUUAUGAAUUUGAACUUGAGUUAGCCAUAAAAAUUCCACCUUUAAUCUCAAUAUAUGAACUUGGCUUUGCUUCUUAUGGUUAUUAUUUGUUUAAUUUUUUAAGAUAACUUCUUGAGAUCUGAUUAUUUAAUCCAUUUAUGUGAUUGAUAAUGAUAUUUUCAGGCACUUAAUCUUCCAUUAAAAUGGAGAAAGCCAACUACGAGCUGGAGCUGAAGAACGAGCGAAGGCGUGUUUGCAGUCUCUUAUACGAGAUUGAUUGUAGAAAACAACAGUCGUUCGAAAUGGAACGUAAAUAUUGUUGGAUUGCUGGCACCCCUACGGCGCAGCGGAAAAAAAUAAAAUCGGCGACCCUAACCAUGGAUCCAUGUGUGAGGAACGAAUCGGGGUGAUCAAGGUUACGAAAUUACCUAAUGUUUAUUCAGAGUAGACAGCAACACCUCUACAACGAAUAGUCUGAUCUGCUGUCGAACCAAGCCGCAAUCAAUCGUGAUCCCGGCCUCUACGUAAUCCACCCAGUUGACUACGAACGAAAGGAAUCCCCAAAAUAGUUUUGAGAGUUAUUUUUCUUUGACGGUUGCUAGACCAAAAAUAAAGAAAAACGGGAUUCUUAUAUCCUAUUAUUAUAGGGUUUUUAGGAAUUAAAUAAAUAUAAUAAUAUUUUAAAUCGAAAAUUAUAAUUACAAUAAUUAUAAUAUAAUUUCGGUAAACCAUAUAUUUAUUUGAAUUCAUAUGCUAACCAAAUUCAUGUCCUCAUUAUGCGUACAACAAACUUGUACAUAAUGUGUUGGAAAUUUGAUUACCGAGCGAAACCCAAAAAUAAUACCAACUAUGGUUUAUUCCGUUCAUUUCAACUAUAGGGUGUGACCCUGUAGGUUCUUGUAACGUUAGCAGUAAUACUAGAACGAUUCCAAUGUUACAAACAAUGAGUGACAUCUAGCAAUGCAUCAUUGCUACCUAAGUCACAAGAGAUCAUGAUUCGACACAACCUUUUAUGAUUAACCUUUUAUGCAAUAAUCCUUAAGUCCUUUAUCUCUGGAUUGGACACAAGUCAUGGAAUAGUCACACUUGUAUAGUCCAUUCCAUGUUCCUUGAUAUUUUAAGUAGACUACGAUAUACAAAUAAGUAUGACAUCUCAUAUCAACUUAUUUGAGCAUGCAUGGCCAUGCAUUUCUAGUCUCACUUAAUCAAGUGGCCUAAGCUAUUACUCCUAUUAUGUAGGAGGGACUUAUUCUAUAUCGACCAACCAUAUCCCUCUACAUCGAUUGUGGUAUAUCCAACACCAGCCUUUAUAGAACAACCAGUUACGGUGUACGUUUGACUGUAUCAAAAUAUACUACUCACGAUGUUGGGAUUAUGAUGAUCUCAAGUCUGAGGAUCAUAUACAUAUUAAUCACUAUGAGUAAUGUCGUGACAAUUACAUAAUAAUCCAAGAAACAUACUCAUAAUGGGUCAGUCCAAUAUGUUGUUCUCUAACACACAUAUUCAUGCGUCGAUUCUGAUAUUCCAUAUCAAUGAUAACUCUUUAUCAUCACUCAACUACAUGUUAGUUUUAAUGCAUUAUCGUUGUCCUAUCCAACAAUAAUACUUGACUAAGGAUCUUUUAAGAAUAAUCAUAUUAUUCUUAGGACAUUAUUAGAAAACAGUUUAUUUAUACACACAGAAAAGAAACUGAAAUAAUAAUGGUAAUGCCUUAUAUUAAUAAACAUGAUAAAUCAAGUAUGUUAUUACAACCAUCUCAUGAUUGAUCUUUGGGCAUACUCUAACAAAUAUAACAAGACGACAGCGACUCUUCAAGGACUCGUUGAUGGCCUCAUAGCGAAAAUUAACUCCAAGGACAGUUGUUUGUGGGAUUGGGAGCUUCGAUAUAACGAAACCGUGAGACAGUUGAAGAGCGAGAACGCGGUGUUGCGCUGUGUGUUUGCCGAAGGUACUUUAGAUUAUAUAUGCAUACAGUAGUGAGCAUAAUACUAUGUAUUAAUCGAAUCAGGUGGUACAAUGAACGACUUCUUGUCUUUUGAUGUUACACGAUUUGCAUCUAGAGCUUUGAUUGAUCUUAGGGUCGUUCUUUCGGUACGAAAGAAGUCACGGAUUAAGGAUUGGGAAGGGGAUACAAUUUUCGGGAUUCGAAUCCCAAACUUAGCUUUUAUUACUGGAACUAGAUAAAUUUAGGCUUGGAUAAGCUUUAAUGUGUUCGGCACCUUUCCAACUUGUUUUCUUUUAUGCAGAAAAUCGAAAGGAAAAGGCUGAAAACUUUAAGCUGAGGUGUGAACUUAGACGGCGAACCAAGGAACUCGAAGAUUAUAAAUCUCGGGAUGAUAACAAUAUGGAACGAAGAAGCUUGUUGAAUGAAAUUGAAGCGGUUAGCAUACUCAGUCUUAAUUUUCGUUUUUGAUAUAUGAACUAUCUUUUAUCGAGAUUCGCUGGGAAAACCUGCAGUUAAAUUGUUGAUGGUUAUGAUCUACCGAGUGGACAUUUAACAAUGGGAUUGUAUCUGAUACAGCCGAAGGAGAAUGUGCCUUGUCGAGAUCUUGUUGAACUCGAGAAAACUACAAGCGAUUAGAUUGCUGCUCUAAAGGAACAAUUGGAGGAAACAUUAGAGGCACUGAAAGAUAUGGAAAGCCGAUACAGUUGUACGGUGAAACAAAUCUUAACUAAUCAAGAACUUUAAGAUGCUUGAAAAGAAUCGAUAAUUGUAUUUCCUCGUUUUCCUUUGUUUUCUUGGAUGUUUUAUUUCUUUAGGUGCAAGAAACACCUCUUCGAAAUCAGGUAUGAAAGUGUUAAACCGAAGACUUCUCUAGUUCUUGAUAUGAAGGGUCUAAAUGAUGUAUUGACAAGCCAAACAACUCUUGUAGUAAAAAGAAUGGGAGAGAUCGAUCAAAAAGCUUUUGAAGUUGCUAGCUCUGGGAAGUUCCCGAACGAAGAUUGGCAAGAAACAUGUGCUAAAUUAUGUUCAUUAUGGCAACAAAACGUGCAGGAUCCGAAAUGGCACCCGUUUAAAAUGAUCAAUAUCCGAGGCAACUUGCAGGUAUAGUGCAUACACCAACUAUUCUGUUAUCCGGUUAUCGAAAAUCCGUUUUUUUACUAAACGUGCUAAACAUGUAUGUCAGAAUUGAGCCAGUUUAUUACUCAAACUUACAUAUAUUAAAGGGAUGGCUACUCGGUAGUGUAGGAAAUAGUAGACGAAGACGACGAGAAGCUGAAGGAGUUGAGAAAUGAAUACGGUGAUGUCAUGUACGAGGCUGUUAGCACCGCAUUGAUGGAAAUGAACGAAUAUAAUGUGAGCGGAAGGUAUGCAGUCAUUUAAGCUAGUUGAGUGACCUGCAAUCUAGUUUAUCAUUUUUUAAAUAUUUAUAGUCUAUGAAUUUUGACUUUUCUUCCAAUAAUAUAUCUCCAAAAUUCUAACUUAACCUUUUUAAACUUUCUCAUGUCAUUAUUGUUAGAGUUAAUUGCACCAAAUAUCUCCAAACUAUAGCCCUUAUUCUAAAAUAGUCCUCAAACUCAAAAUAUUGUAAGUUACAUUUCCAAAUUAUCAAUAAUAUUCUUCUGAUGCUAAAAUCAUUAAAUGAGACGUCAAAUCUUAUGAGACAUAAUUUAAAAUAAAAAACUUAAAAGAAAAAUGAAUAUUAUAAAAAUAUUGAUUUCAAGGUUGAAGUUAUUACAAAAACUAUCAUUCAUUUUCUCUUUUACUUUAUUUUUAAUUUUUAUUUUUAAAAGUUGUAUCAACUACAUUUUACUUUUCUUUAAAAAUAUCAUUUUAAAUUAUUAGUGUCAAUAAUAAAAGGAUGAGAUAAAUAGUUUAAAAUAUUUUAAAGUUGGGAGAAUAAUUUAAAAUAAAGAUGCAAUAUUGUUAAUCUAGUACUAUUUCAUAAUAUCAUUUUAUCGUUUCAACUUUUGAAGACAACAUUUUUAUUUUUGAAAUAUUUUAAAGACAACAUUUAAAGAUUGAUUAUAAUAAUAUUGUUGCAUGGAAAAAGAAUUUCCACGUCAGCGAAAAGGCUUACGUCUGACGUGUGCUUAAUGUUAUUCGAAAAGUCAAAGGUCGAGAAAGUUUAGGGCGGGUCACACAUAUCACACGCCAUGCACAGGUUUUCUUAUUUCGAGGCUAAAAUACCAAAAUACCAUCACAUUUCUCGUUAAACUUACCACUUAAUCAACGAUCCUCUAAAACGAUGUAAGGACAUAUUAGAAAUUUUAAUCACAAUAAUAUCACCAAAUCUGAAAAGUUACAAAUGAGGCAAAAAAAAAUACGAGUAAUAUUUGGCCAUAAAAUGUAUAUAUUCAUUCCCUCUAAACCAGUCGGUUAAGCCUCACAAUCCAACGUAACUGUAAAUCUUUCUUGGCAGCCAUGAAAUCAGUUCUAAAAUCCCUUGCAAACUCAAUCUUCCUUGUUCUUUUCAUCAUCUUUUCAUCUUCUACUCCACUUGUAUUGGCUCAAUGUGAAGCAGAGACCAAGACUAAUGGAUGCCAUAACUACAGAGAAUCCAUGAAGCUAAAAAUCAUUGCCAUUGUCGCAAUUUUACUAUCCAGCAUGAUUGGCUUGUGUGUACCAUUGUUUUCUGGUCAGGUUCCGUUACUUAAACCCGACAGGGACUUGUUCACCAUUGUCAAGGCAUUUUCCUCCGGUGUUAUUCUAGCGACUGGGUACAUGCACGUGCUACCGAAUUCUUUCAACGACCUUAUGUCCGGGUGUUUGCCUAAAAACCCAUGGAGGAAGUUCCCUUUCACAACCUUCAUCGCAAUACUGUCGGCUGUGUGGACCCUUAUGGUGGAUUCAUUUGCAAUGAGUGUAUACAAGAAACGUUGCGGUAAAGCUUUAAUGGCGGAUGCUAACAAUGGUGGUGGAUUGGAAAAUACGAACGUUGUACCAAUCGAUAAUUUUGAACACGGCCAUAGCCAUUCACUUGAGAUGAAUGACGACGUAUCAUCACAAUUGUUAAGGCAUCGAGUUAUAGCUCAGGAAUAUAUACAUGUUUGAAUCCUCAAAUUCGAUGAUUUUGCUUUUCAAGUCUUUACAUUAUAUAUUUCCUAAAUGUAGGUAUUAGAGUUGGGAAUUGUAGUUCAUUCAGUGGUGAUUGGUCUUGCAAUGGGAGCCUCUGGCAACCAAUGCACCAUUCGAUCACUCAUUGCUGCCCUUUGCUUCCAUCAAAUGUUUGAGGGGAUGGGACUUGGUGGAUGCAUACUGCAGGUAACCCCCAACAUUGCACUAUUUUCUCAUUCAAACAUCCAUUUAGUGUACACUAUUGAUUAACAUUAUGUUUGAUAUGUGCAGGCUGAAUAUGAUAUAAAAAUGAAAGCAAUCAUGGUAUUCUUCUUUUCAGCCACAACACCACUUGGAAUAGUUCUGGGAAUUGGUUUGUCCAAGGUUUACAGUGAGACGAGUCCAACUUCACUUACGGUGGUGGGACUACUUAAUGCUUGCUUAGCAGGGUUGCUGAAUUACAUGGCACUGGUUGAUCUCCUUGCAGCUGAUUUUCUGGGCCCUAAGCUUCAAACAAAUAUGAAGCUCCAGGCUUGGUCAUAUGUUGCAGUUUUACUUGGUGCUGGAUUUAUGUCUUUGAUGGCAAAAUGGGCUUAGUCAUUUCAACAUAUACAUGUCUUUUUGUAGUUUUUUAAUCUUUUUUUUUUUUUGCUUCAACAGAUGAGUUUAUAGUGAAUCAACAGUUAUUCAAUCAAUUAUAAAAUUUAGGCAAAGAAUUUAGGCAACAAGGCUUGAACAUUGACCUUUAAGAUCGUUUACUCCAUAUUGCAGGGCUCAUCACAAAGUAUAUAACUAUAUAUAUCAGAGAAGUAUGCAAACUUCAAUUUUGUGUCAGUAUCAUUAUAAUUUAAACUGUUUAAUGUUAAAUCAGAUGUAGAUGUCUUUAAGCCAAUGCUUAUAGCCACAAAGUCUCUUUGGUGCAAGCUAUAAGGACAGAGUUAUGCUAUAAAUAAACAAAUAAAUGUUGUAUAAAACCCUUCUCCUCAAAAACAAAACGAUAGCGACAGCCUGCUUUCGGUAGAUGGAAGAUUUUCUAUUUCCUCCAUUUACCAUCUCUGGUUUGCUUAUCUGCCUUGUUGCCCUAUGUUGGUUGGGCCAAACAAAUAGCUUGAAAUCUUUAAGUAGCACUUUCAUCCCUCCAGUUAUAUAUGCAAUUUUAUAUGUUGAACCAUCAUACCAUGCCAAUUCACUGCACAUUAAUUGACUAGUACCUAACAGGAUUAAUUUACAGCUUACUAGAAUCAUCCACAAGACUUUGAGGGAUUAAUUGGGGGUCAAAAGACAGUUUUAAAUAUCAAAAAGGCUUCUACUGUUUCUGUUUUUUUCCAGAAGUUUCAAAUGGAUCAAUAGUUAAAGUUGAUCAUAUAGGAUGAGCAAGUGACUGUGUUACGUUCUCACAAUAUAAGAAAUAAAAAUACCAAUAGAACAGUAAUUUUGGGAAGAAAAUGGACUGGUAUUUGAUGGAAUUAUAACGAAUUACAAGGAAAAUUUGCAGAAAAGAGAUGAGAGAAGAAAGUUACAGACUUAGGGGAUGAGAAAAGAACAGAAACAUAUUGCUGCAAUGAUGAUAUUUUUCUGGUAUUUUUCCUCCUUAAAACCAGGAUAGCUGCAUAGAGGAGUGUGAACCGUUAUUCCCUUCCACGUGCAACUAGCUGAGGUGUCACUUGACAAAAUCCUUCAGCCAUUUGGAAGCCAUUCUGGGCCGAGUGCUCCCUCUAGUAGCCUGUGUAGUGGCUAUUCCAGUAGCCUUCUGCGGCCUUGGUGGGUCGUUCACAACAUUACCCCCCACAUCGAGACACACCUUGUCCUCAAGGUUGAGAUCAGGAAAUAACUUCAACAUGUGAGCCUUAUCUUCCCAAGUUGCUUCAUCAAUAGAUGAACCGUCCCAUUGUACCAGCCAUUGCUCAAUCAAUGAAUUAGCCCGCUGAAUAGACCUCAUCUCCAGUAUAGCAGUUGGUUGCAAUAUAAGGGCAGACGUAGAAUCAGCGAGGUAGAGAGGUGUUACCUGUUGAUCUGGUUGUCCGAGGCAUUUCUUGAGCAAGGAAACAUGAAAUACAGGAUGGAUAUGCGCGAAUUCCAGCAGCUCCAAUCUGUAAGCAACCUCGCCAACACGGCCAAUUACCUUAUGAGGACCAAAAUAACGUCUACUCAGCUUGUGGUGGCGUUGCAAACGAAUAGAAUGUUGGCGAAACGGUUGGAGCUUGACAUAGACCCAAUCUCCCUCGACAAAAGUCACCUCACGACGGCUCCUAUCAGCUAGUAACUUCAUCUGAUUCUGUGCUCGCUGUAAAUUCUCCUUUAGCACCCGAAGAACUUGAUCACGUUCCACGAGCUGAGCUUCCACCAAAGCAUUACCAGAAGUAUCUCGCACAUAACGAGCAACAGUAGGAGGAGGACGACCAUAUAGAACCUCAAAGGGUGUCAUUUUGGCAGCCGUUUGAUAAGCCGUAUUAUACCAAAAUUCAGCCCAUGGCAACAUGUUUGUCCAAGUCGAGGGAUGAUUCGAAGUAUAGCAUCGAAGAUACAUUUCAACGCAUUUAUUCAAUGCCUCAGUUUGGCCGUCGGAUUGUGGAUGGUAGGUAGUACUCAUACUCAGAGUUGUACCCUGCAAAUGAUGGAUUUCCUUCCAAAAGUCACUGAGAAAUCGAGGAUCGCGGUCUGAAACAAUCUCUACUGGUACGCCAUGGAAACGAAUAAUCUCCUGAACGAAAACAGCAGCCACUAAAAUGCUAGUAAAAUUAGUGGGCAAUCCGAUGAAAUGGCCGUAUUUGGAUAAUCUAUCAAUGACAACGAAGAUAACGGUUUUGCCUUUGGAAGAAGGUAAUGCCGUGAUAAAAUCCAUAGAGAUGCUCUCAAAAACCAAAUUGGGAAUCGGUAAUGGCUACAGCAAACCACUAGGACUUAAGGAUGAGGCUUUCAUUUGCUGACAAAUUUGGCACUCUUUGACAUAUUGCUUAACAUCCCGACGCAUAGAAGUCCAAAAGAAAUUUGAUGAAAGACGAUGAAAGGUGCGUGUAAUACCAGAAUGGCCACCGAUAGGAGAUGCGUGAAACUCAUGAAUAAGCUGUAAACGGAUAGGAGAAUCAGCUAGAAUCAUUAGGCGACCCCGAAAUAGUAACAGCCCCUCAUGGAAACUAAAGUCGGGAAAUUGUGCUGGGUCAGCGCACACUCGUUGCUGCAUACUCAAAAGUUAAGGGUGUUGUAAGUUGGCUGCACGAAGAUCAGCAAUAAGAUCAAAUUGCACAGUAGAUAAAGCAAGCAAUUAAGAGGAAGGGAUGCGAGAAAGAGAGUCAGCAGCAGCAUUCAACUUCCCAGGGCGAUAGAUAAUGUCAAAGUCAUAACCAAUAAGCUUGCUCAACCAUUUCUGUUGCUCGGGGGUUUGUAUAACUUGUUGCAUGAGAUUCUUAAGUGGCUGUUGAUCAGUGAUAAUUGUAAAUCUCCUCCCCAACAAAUAUUGCCGCCAUUUCGAAACAGCUUGGGUGACCGCAUACAUUUCACGUUGGUACGUUGAGGAUUGUUGCAUGCGAAGACUCAGUUGCUGGCUGAAAAAUGCUAUUGGAUGCUUAUCUUGGGACAAAACGGCUCCGACCCCGGUACCGGAAGCAUCUGUUUCAACUGUAAAUGAUUUCGUGAAGUCCGGCAAAGCUAAGACAGUGGCUGAACUCAAAACUUCUUUCAACUUGAUAAAAACAUUGGUAGCAGAUUCAGUCCAAAGAAAGUUAUCUUUGCGAAGAAGAUUAGUAAGGGGUCCUGCAAUAGAGGCAAAAUGUUGAACAAAGCGUUGAUAGUAUCCCGCGAUACCAAGAAAUCCGCGAAUCUCCUUAAUUGAACGUGGCAAUGACCAUUUUUGAAUUGCAACAAUUUUAUCAGGAUCGACGGAUACACCUUGGCUAGAGAUGAUAUGCCCCAAAUAUCCAAUAGAAGUUUGGCCAAAAAUACAUUUGGAUUGCUUUGCCACUAAUUGAUGGUGUCGUAAAACCGAGAGCACAAGAAGAAUGUGCUCCAAGUGAGUCUCCCAAGAAGGGCUGUAAAUUAAGAUAUCGUCGAAGAAAACGAGUACAAAAUCCCGCAAGUAAGGUUGAAAAAUGUUGUUCAUGAGACUUUGAAAGGAGGAUGGCGCAUUGGACAAGCCAAAUGGCAUUACGAGGAAUUCGUAAUGCCCCUCAUGAGUUCGAAAGGCAGUUUUGUACUCAUCGCCAAUACGAAUUCGCAGUUGAUGAUAGCCGGCCAACAAAUCCAAUUUAGAAAAAUACACCGCACCAUGUAACUCAUCAAAAAGUUCAUCAAUGGAUGGAAUAGGAAAUCGAUCCUUAAUGGUAAUGGCAUUUAGGGUGCGAUAGUCAACACAAAAUCGCCACGUACCAUCCUUCUUGCUCAUAAGUAGUACUGGAGAAGAGAAAGGGCUAGUGCUUGGUCGAAUAAUUCCAUCCCGAAGCAUUUCAGCAACUAGUUUUUCAAUCUCAUACUUCUGAAAAUAUGGAUAACGGUAAGGUUUAACAUUGAUUGGCUCAUGGUCAGGCAACAAAUGUAUCGCAUGAUCACAAGCGCGAAUAGGAGGGAGACCUUGCGGUUUGAGGAACACAUCAGAAAAUGAAGCAAGUAGCUGUUCUAAUUCCAAGGGGAGGGGCGUGGAAUUAACAGGAUGAGAGGAAACCAAUUCCAAAUGAAAAUAUUCUGCAAUAGCAUUGAUUUGUUGAAGGCGGCGUAACCAAUUAAAUUGUACCGAUUGAACCGAGGAUGAGGCUUCUCCUGUCCAUCGAAUAGACUGACCGUGAUGCUUGAACUCAAAAACAGAUGACCCAUAAUCCAUCAUAACUGGUCCGAGGGUGGAUAACCAAGUAACACCAAGGACCAUGUCCCAUCCCUUUAAUGGUAAGACAUAAAAAUCAAUGCAUAUUUCACAGCCUUGAAUUACCAAUGGUACUUGUUUGACAAUGCCAGUGCCAAUUAAACGCUCUCUACUGCCGACCAAUACAGAGAAACUAGGAGAGGCAGUUAUUGGAAGAUUCAAAUACUUGGCCACACGGGUUUGCACAAAGUAAUGUGUGCUCCCACCAUCGAGUAACACCCGGACUUGUUUGCCAUAAACUGUACCCUCAAAUUGAAGAGUAGAAGAAGAGCAACCUUCAGCAAGGGCAUUAUAAGAAAUCGAAGAAUGGAGCUGUAACGUGGUGUCAGGUGUGGUGGAAUCAGGAACAGCAGGUGAAGAUGGCGAUAAAAAUUCAGGCGCGAGAGCAUCAGGUGGCUCGGACUCUUCUUUCAAGAGUAACAGGUGGGAUUUUGCUUUGCAUUUGUGACCCCACUCAUACUUCUCAUUACAAUGAUAACAGAGGCCUUGUGAACGGCGGUGAGCAGCCUCAGUAGGAGUAAGGCGGCGAAACGAAACACGGUUACCUCCGGGCAAGGUUGCGCUUGCUGUUGGGAUGGAAGGAGAAAAUACUGAAGUACCAGGAGAUUGUUUGGGAGUUGGUAACAAUGGUUUAGAACCACUCAGGCUGGGCUUAAGUACCCCACGUUCCAGCUGAAUGCGUUGUUCAUGGAGCUGGGCUAGAUGCAUGGCUUCGGACAAGGUGGCUGGUUUGUGAACCAAAACGGAGUGUUUAAUGUCAGCGUAGAGCCCUGAAAUAAAGCAAUGAGUCAAGAACUGAGUCAGAAGAUGCACCGUGUGAUUUGUAAUGGCUUCAAACUCAGAGCGAUAAUGAGCCACGGUAGAGUUCUGCUGCAACUUUGCCAAAAUUCCCUCGGGUUCCUCCAGGUCAUGAGAACGAAAUCGCUGCAAUACAGCAGCUGUGAACGCUGGCCAGCCCGUAAGUUGCCUGUUUCUAUGCAUCCAGUCAUACCAAUCUGAAGCGGCACCAUCAAAAUAAAACGAAGAAAUAGUUACCCGAUCGUCUAGUUUGAUUUGAUAAAAAUCAAAGUAACGCUCUGCCUGCAUUACCCAACGUUUAGGAUGAUCGCUGGCAAAUCGAGCCAUCUGUACCGGAGCGGGUUUAUGACGGCCCAAAGGAGUGAAACUGAUGAAGUUGGUUCAGCAUGCAGCAAACUCGACAGCAUGCAGGCCAUGAAGACCAAGUCAUGCAGGAGCUGCUGAUGCAAGCUUAUUUUGUUUAUUUUGUAAUUCCUAGUCAAUGAAAUGUAAUCUUAGUUCAUUUCUAACUAAGUUAGAUUGUUGACUGAUGUAAUUAGCUUAUGUAUAAGCUGUAAACACAACUUUGUGUAAGUUUACAAGCCAAAAUUUCAAGUUUCCAUGUCAUUAAUGGAGGUAGGUGAUGUUUAGGUAAUUACUUACUGUUUUUGACAAGCUUAGUGCCUGUUUUAUGUAUUGGCAUUGUGCCAUUAUGCAUUUUAUGAAUGAAGUUUAGUUUGUUCAUCAAUUUCUCUAUUCAUUUUUCUUAGCUUUUCUUCCUUUCUCUUGCUCGAAUUCUCUUGUUUGCUCAGCAAGUCUCGAGACUUGCUUAACAAGUCUGCACUGAAUCUGUUAGUUUUAGUUACAGCACCAACAAUUAGUAUCUAGAGCCUAUUUCUUAAGGGAUCUGUUACACAAAUCCAUGGCUUCAUCAAGCUUUUCACCAGUUGCACCUCAAGUCUUCAAUGGAGAAGGCUAUCACAUAUGAGUGGUCAAAAUGAAGACCUACCUGCAGGCUUUCGAUCUGUGGGAGGUGGUCAACUCUGAUGUUGAACCAGAGCCACUUAGAGCUAAUCCAACAGUGGCUCAGAUCAGGCAGCAUGCUGAUGAAAGGACCAAGAGGCACAAGGCUAUGUCUUGCAUCCAAAACUCAGUGUCUGAUGUGAUUUUCACAAGGAUUAUGGCCUGUGAAUCACCAAAACAGGCCUGGGACAAGUUGCAGGAAGAGUUUCAAGGGACAGAGAGGACAAGGCAGCAACAGUUGUUAAACUUGAGGAGAGAUUUUGAGAAUUUGAAGAUAAAGGAAGAAGAAACUGUCAAGCAAUAUUCUGACAGGAUUAUGGUUGUGGUUAACAGCAUCAGGCUCCUUGGAGAGCAGUUCAAUGAAGCUAGGAUAGUGGAGAAGGUUAUAGCAACUCUGCCUGAGAGGUAUGAGGAAAAAAUCUCAUCUCUCGAGGACUCAAGGGACCUGUCCACCAUCUUCCUGACAGAGUUGAUCAAUGCUCUAUAUGCUCAAGAGCAUAUGAGAGCAAGCAGACUGGAGGAGCACCAAGAAUGUGCCUUUCAGGCAAGAACAAAUACUGCCUACAAAGGCAAGAAGGCCUGGAGAGACAAGCCAAAGAAUGAUGCUGCAAGGAAAGAAGGUCAGACUUGCAAGCACUGCAGAAAGGCUGGUCAUUCAGAAGAAAAAUGCUGGUUCAAUCCAGAUGCUGUGUGUCAGCAUUGUAAGAAGAAAGGUCAUGUUGAGAGAGUCUGUAAGAGCAAGGCCAAAUCAAUGCACAAUCAGUUUCAACAGAUGAAAGCUGAGGCUCGAGUAGCUAAGGAGGACAGUGACCAAGAGGAGCAAGUUUUUGCUGUGUCAUGCUCAGCUGCUCAGGAAAGGUCCUCAUCUGGUUGGCUCCUAGACAGUGGAUGCACCAACCACAUGACACCGGAUGCUGCAAUCUUCAAGUCUUUAGACAGAAGCUGCAGAACUAAAGUCAAGAUAGGAAAUAGUCAUUUUAUUCAAGCUGAAGGCAAGGGUGAUGUGCUGAUAUGCACCCUUACAGGUACCAAAGUGAUUUCAAAUGUGCUGUUGGUGCCUGAAAUUGACAGAAACCUGCUCAGCAUAGCUCAGUUGCUGGAAAAAGGUUAUUCAGUUGUGUUUAAAGACCACCAGUGCCAAAUCAGUGAUCCAAGUGGAUCCAAACUGAUGGCAGUCCCUAUGGCUGAUAAGAGCUUUGUGGUUGACUGGACAAAGAAGUCAGACAUUGCCUACACAACCACUUCAGAUGAAUCCAAGCUGUGGCAUCAAAGACUGGGACAUGCCAACUUCAUAUCGAUGGCCCGAAUGAUCAGAGAAGACCUGGCUGAAAACUUCAUCAACUCAGUGGACCAUGAUGAUGUAUGUGAAGUAUGUCAGCUAGGAAAGCAGGCCAGACUCCCAUUUCCCUCGAAUCAAGCCUGGAGAGCCUCUGAAAAACUCUAACUGGUGCAUACUGAUGUGUGUGGCCCUAUGAAGACUGAGUCAUUAAGUGGAAACAGAUAUUUCAUACUGUUCAUUGAUGAUUUCUCGAGAUAUUGCUGGAUUUACUUCUUAAAACAGAAAUCAGAGGUGGCCACUGUGUUUUGGAAGUUCAAAACUUCUGCUGAGACUGAAACAGGCUGCAAGGUGAAGACCAUAAGGUCUGAUAAUGGGACUAAGUACACCUCAGCUCAGUUCCAAGCCUUCUGUGAUAAGGCAGGCAUCAAACAUCAACUUACCAACACAUAUACACCUCAGCAGAAUAGGGUAAGUGAAAGGAAGAAUAGGAGUUUGAUGGAUAUGGCCAGGUGCUUGAUGAUUCAGAAGAAUCUGCCUAAAGCACUAUGGGCAGAAGCAGUUAACACUGCAACAUACAUUCAAAAUAGACUUCCAACCAAGGCUUUGGAUCAAAAGACCCCAUUCGAGGCCUGGUUUAGCUUCAAGCCAUCACUGGCUCAUCUGAAGGUCUUUGGAUGCAUCUGUUAUGCACAUGUACCUGCUGUUAAAAGGGACAAAUUGUCUGAAAGGGCUCGACCUGGUGUUUUGGUGGGCUAUAGCACUGUUAAGAAGGGCUAUAAGAUUUUAGAUCCUUCAACAAACAAAGUGUCAAUAAGCAGAGAUGUGGUAUUUGAUGAGAGGUCAUGUUGGAACUGAGAAAGACAUGAACCUGAAGAAGUUUCUGAAGAACUUGCAACAGACCAAGCUGAGCCAGACCAAAAUGUCCCUGAAAUGGAUAUUGAUGAUGAACCAGUCAGAGGAACAAGGCCAUUGGCUGAAAUUUAUGAAAGGGCUCAUGUAGCCAUAGCUGAACCAAGCAACUUUGAAGAGGCUGAGGCUCAGUAAGGGUGGAAGCAGGCAAUGGCUGAGGAGAUCAGCAUGAUUGAGAAGAACCAGACCUGGGAAUUGGUUGAAAGGCCAGUCAAAAGAAAGGUGAUUGGGGUGAAAUGGGUGUACAAAGCCAAGCAGAAUGCUGAUGGUACCUUGAACAAGCUGAAAGCAAGGCUAGUUGUCAAGGGGUUCAGUCAGAGGUAUGGCUUGGACUACCUGGAGACCUUUGCACCAGUGGCCAGGCUCGACACCAUCAGACUGCUGAUUGCCUUAGCAGCACAUCUUGAAUGGAAGAUCCAUCAACUUGAUGUGAAAUCAGCCUUUCUGAAUGGUUUCUUAGAUGAAGACAUCUAUGUUGAACAACCAAAAGGGUUUGAAAUAGCUGGCAGAGAGCAUAUGGUCUACAAACUGAAGAAGGCCCUAUAUGGAUUAAAACAGGCUCCAAGGGCUUGGUAUAGCAGAAUCGAUGGCUACUUGACUGAUCUGGGAUUCGAUCGAAGCAAGAGUGAGCCAACACUGUAUGUCAAGAAACAAGGGACACAAAUACAACUUAUUGUGUCCCUGUAUGUUGAUGAUCUUCUGGUGACAGGAGGAGAUCGAGUAGUGCUGGCUGAUUUCAAGACCAAGAUGCAGGAAGUGUUUGAUAUGUCUGAUCUUGGGGAGAUGUCAUACUUUCUUGGAAUGGAAGUGUCUCAAGUACAGAAUGAGAUAUUUCUAAGCCAGAGAAGCUUUGCCACAAAGAUUCUGACCAAGUUCUCCAUGCAAAACAGCAAGGCAACUAAAACACCUGUUGCUGUUGGAGAAAAACUAUCGAGCCAAGGUGAUUUUAAGAAAGUUUGUGAAACAACCUACAGGAGUCUAGUUGGUUGCUUGCUAUACUUGACUGCCACUAGACCAGACAUCAUGUAUGCUGUAGGAUUACUCUCAAGGUUCUUGCAUUGCUGCAAUGAGAAGCAUUUCCAAGCUGCAAAGGGAGUGCUGAGAUAUGUCAAAGGCACUUUAAACUAUGGUUUGAAGUACAGCAAAGAAGGAAAUCUGAAGCUGGUUGGCUACACUGAUAGUGACUGGGCUGGCUCGAUAGAUGACAUGAAAAGCACCUCAGGGUAUGCUUUUAACCUUGGUUCAGCCAUGUUUUGCUGGAGCUCAAAGAAGCAAAGCCUAGUAGCUCAAUCUACUGCUGAAGCAGAGUAUGUGGCAACAGCAAGUGCUGUCAACCAAGCCAUAUGGCUAAGGAAAAUAUUGGCUGACUUGAAUGUGCAUCAAGAGGAAGCUACUGAGAUCUUCUGUGACAACCAAUCUGCAGUAGCAAUUGCUAAAAAUCCAGUGUUCCAUGGAAGAACAAAACAUUUCAGCAUCAAGUUGCAUGUUGUUCGAGAAAUGGAGCAAGCUCAGGAAGUAAAGCUGAUCCACUGUAAUUCAGAGGAUCAACUUGCAGACAUUUUAACCAAAGCCCUUAGUGUCACAAGGUUCGAAUGUCUAAGAAAGAAGCUAGGUGUUUGCUCCAUGCAAACCAAGGAGGAGUAAUGAAGUUGGUUCAGCAUGCAGCAAACUCGACAGCAUGCAGGCCAUGAAGACCAAGUCAUGCAGGAGCUGCUGAUGCAAGCUUAUUUUGUUUAUUUUGUAAUUCCUAGUCAAUGAAAUGUAAUCUUAGUUCAUUUCUAACUAAGUUAGAUUGUUGACUGAUGUAAUUAGCUUAUGUAUGAGUUGUAAACACAACUUUGUGUAAGUUUACAAGCCAAAAUUUCAAGUUUCCAUGUCAUUAGUGGAGGUAGGUGAUGUUUAGGUAAUUGCUUACUGUUUUUGACAAGCUUAGUGCCUGUUUUAUGUAUUGGCAUUGUGCCAUUAUGCAUUUUAUGAAUGAAGUUUAGUUUGUUCAUCAAUUUCUCUAUUCAUUUUUCUUAGCUUUUCUUCCUUUCUCUUGCUCGAAUUCUCUUGUUUGCUCAGCAAGUCUCGAGACUUGCUUAACAAGUCUGCACUGAAUCUGUUAGUUUCAGUUACAGCACCAACAGAAACCAACAAAAUCCGUCGAAGGAGAAGCUCCUGGAGAAUCCACAAUGGAUGUCCCCUUGAGUUUAGCCAAAACCUCCUGAAGAAGACGCCUCUGAUCUUCCACUGAAGAAGCUAACAGGUCAAAAUCACGACGCAUUGUUGCUUGAGAAUCGGCAAUUGCCUUGGUGGGUCGUUCACAACAGACUGACAUUAAUAGUGACCACAUAUCAAAAGAAAUAUAAAGAAAGAAGGAAGAGCAGAAUUAUUGAAAAAGUUUGAUCAUGUGGCUAUACUAUAUAUAUUUCAAUGUGCAAGAAAGGAGAUAUAUGAGUCAAAUAAUUUUGUCCUAUUCAAAUAAAAAAAAUGGGGAGGCCACAAUAGACCAAAGUGUCCCCUCAUGCAAUAAAAGGCUUUUUGUGAGUGGCUUUGGUAUAGUAUUCCAUGUGAAUGAGCACUUAUUUGCCUCCACACUCUUUUAUAGGCCCUAUGAGGAUUUAGCUAUAUCGCAGAAGUGAGGUUAAUUUUAAUGAGACUAAUGAUAAAAUGAAACAAUAUUUUGAGGGUUAAAUUAAAUUGAAUAUUUUUAUGAUAGCGAAAAUGUAAUUUUACCAUUUUAAUAGUCUAUAUAUAAAAAGAUCAAAUAAAUUUUUUAGCCUUAAUUUGAUCUUUACUUUUUAAAAUUACAUAAAAGUUCAGAAUUAAAAAGAACACAUAUUUUCAGUAAAAUCCAUUAAAAAAUUGUGGAAAACACUCUUUAAAGUUCGUGGAAAAAAGGGAUAAGAAGGGGUGACUAUUAGGAAAGCUGCAUAAGCACUUUUGUUUGUGAUCUAUCAACAACUUGUGGCUUCAUAUUGUGAAGUUAUAAAAUAUAAAGUUAUAAACAUUCAAGAAAUUAAUUUCACUAAAUAGAUUCAAAUUAUAGCAGCGACCAAAUUGGUGUCCACGCAUUUCUUUGUAAAAGCGUGUUCUCACUGACCUAUAUGAUUCCACACGUAAUGAAUUAAUUGGCCAACAACCUCAAAGUUUCUAUUUAUGAUCUAUCAUGUAAACAUAGGGGAAGACUUAACAAGAAAAAUUUGUCAAGUCGCCAGAAAAGGAAAAGAACUGAAAUGGCGGAGAUAGCUGUGGGUAUAGUUAUUGAUAGAUUAAUUUCAUUCCUUGGUGCGGAGGUGAAACUAUUUGGACGGCUUAAGAAAGAAGUUGAAGACAUCCGGAUCGAGCUCGACUACAUUGCUUGUUUCCUUAGACAAGCAGAUCCAAUGGUAGACAAAGAGGAUUCCAAUGGUGGCUUCAAACUAUGGGUGCAACAUGUAAGGGAGGUGGCUUUCCAGAUAGAAGAUGUUAUGGAUGAAUACAAGCUUUAUCAUGUUCCAGUUGCACAACAUCAGCAGCAGCAAGGUUUAAUGGCUUCCCUGAGCAGAAUAGCUCAUAUGGUCCAGACCGUGAAAAGGCAUCUCCAGGCAGCAUCAAAGAUCAGAGAUAUCAAAACAUCUGUUAAUGAAAUCAAGGAAAGAAGUGAAAGAUACAGGUUCAACACCCUGCAACAUGUUCCAGGUGAGAACUGUAACGAGCCGAUUGACCCUCGAAUGGGACUUCAUUUUGUCAACAGUGAAGCACUCGUGGGCAUUGAUUCUUCUCGACAAGAGUUGGCCCGUAGAUUGGCAGAUGCAGAGCUGAAACGCACAAUUGUUUCAGUGGUGGGGAUGGGAGGGGUUGGGAAGACGACCCUUGUUAAGAAAGCUUUUGAUGAUGAAAUCAUGGCAGGACACUUCGACUGCCAUGCUUGGAUCACCGUCUCUCAAUCAUACAGGGUGGAGGUGUUGCUAAGGACCAUGAUGAAGCAGAUGUAUGAGUCUCGAAAGCAGUCCCCACCUGUUAGGGUCGACGCAAUGGAUGGUGUAGAAUUGAUAAGCAUAUGCAGAGACUAUAUAUAUGAUAAAAGUUACAUCGUGGUGUUUGAUGAUGUAUGGAAGGAAGAUUUUUGGCGACAUAUAGAACAUGCUUUAUUGGAUAACAACAAAGGAAGCAGAAUUUUAAUGACAACAAGAAGUAUGAAUACUGCUGAGUUUUGCAAGAAAUCUUCACUAGUUCAUGUCCAUAAUUUGGAACCUCUUCCACUAGAACAGGCACAGGAGCUCUUACGCAGAACUGCUUUUCAGUAUGAUGAAGAUAAACAAUGCCCUGAAGAGUUGAAUGGUUUAACUUUUGAAUUAGUCAAAAGAUGUGAAGGACUUCCCCUUGCAGUUGUGGCCAUUGCUGGACUUUUGGCAACCAAAGGCAAGGAUGUUGGUCAAUGGAAACGCUUACUUGAUAGCCUUAGUGCUGAGCUAGACAGUAGUCCACAUCUUUCAUAUGUAAAACAGAUACUUUCUUUUAGUUAUUAUGAUCUGCCUUACCAUCUCAAGGGUUGUUUCUUGUUCAUGGGCAUGUUUCCUGAAGAUUAUCCCAUAAGUUGCAAGAGACUGAUUCGGCUGUGGAUCGCAGAGGGGUUCGUAAAAGGGAAACACAAUAUGACCUUAGAAGAAGUUGCGAUGACGUACCUAUCCGAAUUGAUUAACAGAAGCUUGGUUCAAGUAUCAGUGAUUGAUUCUAUUGGCAAUGUCAGAAACUGCCAGCUCCAUGAUUUGAUGCGCGAAGUUGUUGUUUCCAAGUCCAAAGAACUGAGUUUCAUUCAAACAUGUCCAGAAAAUUUGUCCAACCAUUAUCGUGUAGCUCGACAUCUUUCCAUCUGCAACAAAUCAAACAAUUUCCCAAUGGUUGUUGGUAAUUAUCAAACUCAUUCAGCAAUUUUCUUUGACAUAGAAGAGUUACCUAAAUCAUUCUGCUUCUUACAGUUCACAAAGUCCAAAUUGUUGAAAGAACUGGACUUUGAAGGAGCCCCAUUGACUUAUAUUCCAGAGGAACUGGGAAAUCUGUUCAAUUUGAAAUACUUGAGCAUAAGGGACACAAAGGUGAAAAAGCUCCCAAGAUCUAUAGGUAAAUUGCAUAAGCUUCAAACUUUGGAUCUAAAACGUUCUUUUGUAAGCGAGUUACCAGUUGAAAUCAACAUGCUCUUCAAUCUUCAAUAUCUUGUAGCUUACUACAAAGAUAAACAAAGCAUCUACAGUAUCAAUACUCGAAGAGGGAUGAAGUUAUAUUCCAACUUUGGGAGCUUAGAGUCCUUAGAAAAGCUGUAUGAGGUGGACUUGGAGGCCUACAGUGGUGGUAACUUCUUUCGCGAGUUAGCAAGAUUGAAGCGGUUGAGAAAACUAUGCAUCACUAAACUAAAAUCAGAAAGUGUGAAUGCUUUAUGUGAUGCAAUACAGCAGAUGAUCCACCUUCAGUCAUUGAGAAUUUCUUCUAUAAAAGAGGAAGAGCUUCUUCACCUACAUAAAAUGUCAUCCCCUCCGGUUUUUCUCCGUUGCCUCAGGCUACGAGGAAGAUUAAUGAAGUUACCUGGUUGGAUUUAUGAACUGAGGAACCUCACAAAACUUACCUUAGAAUGGUCAAGAAUAUCAGAUGAUUCACUUCAAAUCCUUGGUGUUCUACCAAAUUUACUCUUCUUUUGGAUUUUUGAGGGAUACAGUGGAGCUCAACUGCAUUUUCACAAGAAUCACUUUAAGAAACUCAAGGACUUGAGGCUUUGCUGGUUAAAUGAUUUAAAGAGACUGAUAAUAGAUGAAGGAUCAUUAACACUUGUAGAACAUCUAGAACUUGGACCUAGCCCCCAAUUGGAGGAGUUGCCUGCUACCAUUUCUCAUCUAAAAUGUCUGAAGACUCUUUCAUUUAACAAUAUGCCCAUGGAGUCGGUUCGAAAAUUGUUGCCUGAUGGAGGCUCUGAUCAUUGGAAAGUCAGGCAUAUUCCAAAUAUCUAUUUCCUUUACUUCACGGUUAAAGGAACACAGCAUGAAACCUACAAGCUUGGUGAUUCACGCUUGUUAGAACUCCUUAGUUGAAGCACUUGGAUGGAUCUCCUUCCAUGUCUUAAAAUUCCGAUGUUGGUACUGUGUCAGACACAGUUGAGUGGCCAAUAAAGAGGUAUGUUCAAUCUUUUUCUAAGUCUUAACAUGCAUUUGAGUGGUCCUUAGAGGAUCAUAUCUCCAUAACCAUAUUAUUUCAAGAAAAAAGAGCGAGAGCAACAUAGAUUUUACAUUGUUCUGGUUUGCUAUUUCUUUUAUUUUAUGUUUUUUGGAUGAUUUUACUUGUAGGACAGGGCAGGGACUCAAUGGUUUUCAGAUGGAUCAAUUCAACUGAAUGUAGAAUAACCAUAUAGGAAGAGACUAAAUUUGAAUCUACCAGUCUAACUGGUUAUAAUUACUUACCAGAUCAAUGUGGUUGAUUGAUGUAUGUUUCCUUCCCGGCCCCCAAUCUCAUAAAUAGCUCCUUGUACCUUAUGUCGUUUUUGCUUGUUAUAUUAUACUCAUUGUUUCACUUCACGUCAAUAGCUUCCACCUCAAAACCUAGAAAAUAUCAUCUUACAUGCAAUGGUAAAUUACAGGUUGCGUACAUGGAAGACAGUUUUCCAAAUAAAAAGGUAAUAAGUUAAGCAACGAAGUAUAUAAAAAAGGACUAAAUGAGAGGAAAUAAAUAAAUGAACUAAAGAGGGUUAAGCCUUUAAAAUACAAUGAACUACAAGAAGUACAUUCAGAAGUUGCAAUCAACAAAGCUAUGUUACCUGGACUCUUUAAUUUCCUAAAGUACUUAUUUGGACAUAGGAACGUGGUAUGAUCCUCCAAACAUAUUAAAGUCUUCAAAAAAAAAAAAGAAGAAAAAGCAUACUCAUAUCAUACACAUACAAUACUCAAGCCAAAUUUAGGUAACAGAGCUCCACAGGAAGAAAGUGUGGAGUUUCUUAAUCUAUUAUACAAACAGGGGCAACUGAAGCAACUUGAAAUUCCAAUAAACCAAAUACAUAGAGCAACUAAAACAUCAAGUUCCAAUGAACCAAACAUCCAUAUACGCAAGAAAAUGCAUAGCCAACAAAAGAGGGAGAAUCCAUAUAAAACUUCAUGCAAACUGAUAAAACAAAAGAUAAAAAAUAUCAAAUUUACAAUGAAAGCGCAUAAAGAGAGGACUGUGAAAGAGUUAAUAGCCAAAAAGUUGAGAGAAAGUGAUUCAAGGCAGAAAAAUUGAAACUCAAAGCUACUGCCUCAGCCAGUAUCAUACAUCUACAGCUUAAUUGAAGUUGAUUUCAGCUUCCAUUAUUACCCAUUUUAUUCUUUCCAUAAGAGAUUGAAGCAGAAAAAGGCUUAAACCAGAGUCAGCAAAUUUCAACAUCUCACCUUUGAUUUUAUUAAACUAUUGAUCCCGAAAAGAAACAUUGUUCAGGAACUGAUAACAAAAAGCAUUGAAGUUUGUAGCAAUGCAUUCAUAACUCCAAUAAAUAGAAGAGCUACAAUAUUAAAACUAACAAAAAGGGAGAGUAGGCUAUAGUUUAACUGGUGAUCAUUGUGCCAGCGCCCUCAUCGGUCAUAAUCUCAUGAAGCAACGAGUGCUCAACACGACCGUCAAUAAUGCUAGCAGUGGUAACCCCUUGAGCAAGCGAUCGAAUACAACAAUUCACUUUGGGAAUCAUCCCACCGCCUACCUUCCCUUCCUCAACCAUUUUCUUCACUCCCUUUAUAUCAAUCUCUUUCACCAAGCUUCCAGGGUCCUCUCGGUUUCUCAGAAUCCCUGCGACGUCGGUCAACAGAAUCAGUUUCUCACCCCCCAAUGCCGCCGCCACCUCACCAGCUACCGUGUCUGCAUUGAUGUUGUAAGGCUGACCAUACUCAUCCGCCGCCACUGAAGCAAUCACCGGGAUGCUUCCGUUGUCCACGAUCGUUUGGAGGACUGUGGGGUCCACUCUCGCAACCUCUCCGACAAACCCCAACUGUGCAGCGUUUGGGCUGGGCCUGGCAACUAAAAGGCGGCCGUCCAUGCCAGAAAGGCCCACGGCGGUGGCUCCAGCGUAAUUGAUACGAGAAACCAGGUCUUUGUUAACUUUUCCAACAAGGACCAUAGAAACAACUUCCAUGGUCCUGGCGUCGGUUACACGGAGCCCAUCGCGGAACUGAGCGGGGAUAUUGAGCUGAUUGAGAAGGACGUUGAUUUCAGGACCACCGCCAUGGACGAGGACGGGACGGAGGCCAACGCAGGAGAGGAGGACGAGGUCCCUGACAACAGAGGCCUUGAGCUCCGCAGAUUUCAUGGCGGCGCCUCCGUAUUUGACGACAAUGGUUUUUCCCCUAAAUUUCUGAAUGUAGGGGAGUGAUUCAGAGAGGAUUCGAACUCGAAGUUGAAGAUCGGAAUUGGUGAGAGAGGGAAGAGGCGGGUCAUUGAGGGCGGUGGAGGAGGGUGAAGAAGCUCUAAUGGAAAGACGAAGGCGACGAGAAUUGGGGGUUUGGAGAAUCUGAAGUUGAGGUUUAGGGUUUCUGCUUUUGAUUUUGUCUUUGUUAGGGAGAGAAAUGAAAGGGGGUCCUGUGAAGAGCAAAAAUGGAGAGAUUUGCCGGUGGCUGUUGCGCCCAUUUUUCUAUCUUCCUCUCCUCUUCUCUGCUGCUUUGGCUCUGGCUUAGAAGGAGCUAAUGGUGCACCCACUCAUUCACGACCCAGGAGUGUAAGCAAAUUAUUACAUUCUAUUUUCAAAAGAAUUUAUAAUAAUUAAAAAGAUAAAAUAAGAAACUAAAAUGAAAUUUUAUUAAAAUCCAACAGUGUGAUAUUAUCCUUCAUCCUUAUUAUUAUAUUAAAAAAAUUAUAAAAAAAAGUAUGUAAAAACAGGAUAAUAUCAUUUGUUUUGGACGAAAGACUUCAAUUUAACUUUAUUUUCGAUCUCAACCAUAUUGACACAAUUAUCUCCUUUUCUUUCUUAUCAAACAAUUGAAAAGGUCACAUUAAUUAUAUAUAUUAUUGACAUCUAAGUAAUAUUUAAAUUAUUAUGAGAAAAUAUUGUUUUAAUAUAAAAUUUAAUAAAUUAUGAUCUGUCAUGUCAAAUAAUCAAUAACAAGACUAUGUAUAGAAGUGUAUCUGAAUCCAUUGUUGAAGAUUGCGAAAGUUUUGAUCUUUCAAGAAAAUAGUUUUUCUUCUAGUAUAUCUCUGAAAUGGGGAUGGAAAAGAUAUAUGAGAUAACUCUAUUUCUUGGGAAUAAUUGAUUAUUAAAUUAGUUUUGAGUAUUUAUAAUUUGACCCCUCAUCAAGUUAUAAAUACAACUUACAACUUAUGAUAUCUACAUAUUAUUUUCAUGACACUUUGAUACCUAUGACACUUAUAACAUAAUUGGUCACUUAAUUUUGAUCAUAUUUUAUAAUAGCAUUAUACAUUAUAUAUAUGUGUCCAUAAUUGGGGAUUUUAAUCCAACAAUCUCCCACUUGGGCAACAUAUAUUUCCUGAUAAAUGUACAACUUUAUGGGCUCAAAAUUUUCUAUAAUAUAACAAGUAUUCUAUAACAGUCUUGUCCAUCAACUAUAUCCAUAUAGGAUCAAAUUAGUCUUUGUCAUAUUAAUCAUGACUAAACUCAUCAAUAGUCAGAUAUACAAAUAUAGUCAAAUGAUAUGGAUCAAUCAUAGAUGUGUAGCAUGGAAAUUACAUGCAAUGUGAACCAAACAUGCAUAUUUCCAACUGGUCAUCCUUAAACUUAAGCGAUGUCAAUAUCAAACAGAGUGAAUAAAUUAAAUAUUUCAUUUCUGAUCAGAAAAUAACCAAAUACAUAAAUGUCUGAAAACAAACAUAAAACAAAUAAAGCACAAACCCUCACUAAACCAUGAUGCCCUCAAAUAAUAUAACAUGCUGGGGAAUGUGCCCAUCUUGUAUUAAACAUGUAACUGUUUUCUAUUUAUUUGAACGAUGAAUAAAUAAAUAAAGUUAAUUUCACAUUCCACUAUUAUGUCAUUGUAUUUUCUGUUUUUUAUAUUUUGCAUGCAUAGCGAAAUUAUGACAAACAAAUAUUAGCUCAUUGAUUGUCUAAAGUUCAAAUUGAAGAUAAGUGACAUUGUAAAUAACGUUUACAUUGCGAGAAAGAAAACUUACUUCAGUAGAUAAUCUAAAUGAGUUUGUAAUUUUGUAAAAUAAUCAAAGUGAGCAUUUGAUUCAAAUACUGAGAAGGAUUAUUAUGUCGUCUACAAUUCCAAUUGGGGAGAUGACUAGUCUUGGCUAUUGGAGCAGUUGACUCCACAGGUAGAAACAUAGAUGUAUUCAUUGGUAGAAUGAUAUAUUGGACUAGACUCAAGAUGAAUUAAUUCUGAAUUUGUUUGUGAAUUAAUUCACUUGUGACGUUCAUGGUGUGAUUUACCUAAAUCCUAAGUUAGUCACUGACCAUGCGUAUGUAACUCAUGUGCUUUAAUAUAAUUGGAGGCUUAUGCUAUAAAGAUGAUCGAGCCCAUAGCCGAUAUGUUGGGUACAUGAUUUGUGUAUGGCAUGGCUUUACUAGAAAUAGUGGAAUUCAUAACUCAAUUAAAGAAUUAAUGAUAUCCUAUUAUUGGCAUUGUUUGGAUUGAUAAAUAUGGAACGUGGUGACGGAUCGCUAGUUCUCGAAUGAGUAAUUUAUCAUAAUCAUUUGUUGACAGUGACCAUAUUAAUCAUUAAGAAGACACAAUGGUGACAAUGAGAUAAAAUAUGAUUGUAUUAAGUGAACGGAUUUAACUCAAAGGAAUCAAAGAUAUCAUAUGAGGAUAACAACACUUGAUGAGGUCAUUGGACAAAGUAGUUGAAUGAAUUGCUUUCACAAACAGUAUACAAUAAGGAGUUUUCAAUCAUGGUAUUUCUUGUGGACUGACUCUAUGAUUAAGUAAUUGUGAAUUAUCGAAACGAUGCUUCUGGACAUAAUUGCAAUCAUUAGAGAAUAAUUGUAUAUGUUUGAUUGGUCCCUCCGUUAGCUCAACAAAAGCUUGAUCGAACUGCAUUUGAAUCAAAAAUAAAUUCUACGACUUUGGGAAUAAUUUAAUUGAGUUAAUUUAUUCAAUGUGGAAAUAAAUUAGGUGGUCGUAAGAAAUAUUCAACUAGAGAAUUUGAUUAAAGAAUUAUCUUGAAAAAUUAAUUUGGAAAAUCUAAGUGAUUUUUGGAAAAAUUAAUUUUGAUCAAGUAAAAUUAAAUUAAUCAAAUCAAUUAAAAUUAAUUUGAUAUUAUUGGAAAUUAAUUUUCAAGUUAGACAAUUGGACCAAUGAGUAAUUGAACUUGAAAAUUAGACCUGAGAUCGUAAAUUGGGCCUGGGAGCCCAAAAUCGAGACCAAGACCCAAAAACUGGUCAAAUCGAGCCCAAUAUGUUAAACCGGGCUGACAAUCCAACAAGUGGCUAGAUUGGACCGGUCGGGUCGUCAUUGACCUGGACCGAAUCGACAGUAGUCGAACUGGCUCAGGGUGCCAUAUGGAUGUCUGUAAUGACCCAAAUUCAAAGUUAUCGGAACAGUGGUUUUGAGACCACAAAUCCGAUGAGGAAAAAUUUAUUUUUCUUAUAUUUUUAUGGUCUACGAUUUUAUAAAAUGAUUUGGUGAAAAUUUCGUUCAAAAAUUUCAACGUUUGGGCACUUAAUUUAGUUAAAAUGACUAAAUUGUAAAAAGUGCAAAAGUUGAGUUCUACAUGUUAGAGGUGCCCAAUUGUUAUGAAACUUUAAAUUGGAGGUCCUUAUAUGGUAAUUAGACCCUUGGUUAAGUUGGUAGACAAAAAUAGACAUGAGAUAAGUGAAAUAUAAUAUUUUUAAGUUAGGGGUAAUUUGGUAAUCUAGUAAUUAAAAUGAAUUAAAAGGGAAAAAGAUGGCAAAUUGUGCUCAUCUUCUUCAUUUGGACGAAAUCAGCAAGGGGGGAAGCCAUAGUUAGGGUUUUGAAGCUUCCAAGCUCCAUAGUAAGUGAUCCCAAGCCCCGUUUUUAAUGUUCUAUUCGUUUUUGAGAUCCCGGUAGCUUAAUUUAGCUUAUUCUAGCAAUAAUUUAACCUAGGGUUUAUAUUUGGAAAAAUACCUGUACAGCCCAAUUAUUGCCCGGGCCCAAUUAACAGAGCCCAAACACCAACCCACAAGCCCAAUUACAACCCAAACCUGAGGCCCAAAUUCGGAGCCCAAUUCCCCCCAAAAAUCCAACUAGGGUUUCAGAAAAAUGAAACCCUAGCCAAACCUAGCGCCGCACCCAUCCCUCUGCCCUUCGCCUUGUCCCAUCGUCACCCACCGUGCCUAGCUUCAUCAACACCUGCAAAAUGGCAGAAAAAGCCGGAGCACGCAACAGAUAGUGCAAAGCAAUAGAAUACAACCAAAAAAUACAAUGUAAAUUGGCUAUAAAAGCCAAACAAUAUCUCUGUACAUUUUUUAGAGACAGCAUUUUGAAUUCAAGAAAAAGAAAAAGCAAAUCAAAAAAGGUUGACUCUAGUUAUUUCUACUCUGUUCUCGUGUUCUUAUUCAUUUUAUUUCUUUUAUUUUUGUUUAUUUUUCUGCAAUCGUUUAAUAAAUAAAGCGGGACUAAAAGGGAAAGGGGAAGAUACCUUACUGCUUCGGUGGGCUGGUGUCGGAACUCCGCCUUUGCCGUCGUCGGAGCCGAGCAAAAAGGGGCGUUUCAUCCCUUUUCCUUUUGGUCUCGCGGUUGAGAAGGCAUAGCCUUCGGGGACGCCGCAAAAGGGGGAGGCCUAGGGGCCGUUCUCGUGCAGCUCCGGCCACUGGCCAUGGAGGCGGAGAUGGUGGCCUGAGCUUUAAGGCCGAGGGGGGCGCAGAGAGGAGAGCAUUCGAGCUCUCUGUUCUCUUUUCCUGUUUCUUUUUUUUUAUUUUUUUUAUUUUUUCUCUUUUCAUUAGAAAAUGAAAUGGAGGCUACCAGAUUAGGGUUCUUUUUGGCCCUUACAUGAUGUGUGAAACGAUGCCGUUUGGAGUCUGAUCAGUGGCUCCAAAACGGCGUCGUAUUGAGCUCUGACCCGCGCGGUGACCCGACCCAAGGGAAGGAUCCGCGUGUUUUUUUCUUUAAAUGGGAUAUUUGUGCGCGUAGUCCCUCCGACUUUGUAGCGCGUUGCAAUUUGGUCCUGUUUCGCUAUUUCCUAUUUUUCAAUUUCGCCCCAGAAUUCUGUUUUUGUUCUAUUUUGACCUUCUGCUGCACUGCGUUUUGGGGCUUCGGGGUAUUUAUGAUUUUGGUCCCCCCCUUUUUCGCGCAUAUUACAUUUUGAUCCUUUAUUCCAUUUUAUUUUUUAUUUCAGCCCUGAGAUUUCGUUCCCGUUUUGAAUUAGUCCUAUUAUUAUUAUUAUUAUUAUUAUUAUUAUUAUUACCUAUUUAUUUAUAUUAAUUUUAUUUAAACUUGUGGUACAUAUAUAUAUUUAUAUAUUUUACAACUUAUGUACCUAUCUAUAUAUCUAUAUACAUAUUUUCAUUUUCAUAAAUACAUACAUAUUUAUAUAUAAUCUUUAUAGUCUAAAAUACACCUUUUUUAUAUUUUUUUAAAUCCGCAUAUACAUACACAUUUUCAAUAUAUUUUUAGUAUGUAUAUAAAUUAACGUAUUUAUUUGUAUACAUAUGUAUAUUUUCAUUAGUUUUAAACUUUAGUUUGUACAUAUAUACUUUUUCUUUUAUUUUACAAUAUAUAUAUACACUUACUUUUUAUAUGUAUUUCUUUAUCUUCGUAUUCCAUAGUUUUAUACACCUAUAUAUGUACAUAUUUUUUUAUACAUACGCGUAUUUAUUUAUUUUAUAUAAAAUAUACUUUAUAUAUUUUGUUAAUUCAUGUAUACACAUAUUUUAGUUCAUGUCUAUAUAUAUCUUUUUAUACUUAAUUGUAUUUGCUAUUUAUUUAUUUCAUUUUGUUAUUAUUUUGAAUGAAUGAUUUAACUUUAUUCGUUUUUUUUUAUUUUGUUAUUUUGUAUGUUGUAAGUUUGAUCGUUCAUAUUGAUUGCUAUAGCUUGCAUCGUUUUUAUAUUUUCAUGUUCAUUAUGAUUUUGCCAUGCAUAAAUAAUGUAAUUUGCUUUCACUAUAAUUUUUUGCUUUAUUUUUACUCGAUAUAACAAAAUUUAUUUUUUUAAAAAUGGCAUUUCGUGUUUGGAUUCGAGAAAAUCGUGCCCUAACUUACUGGGUUUCGAUUUUCUCGAUAAAUCUAAAUGUACGAAUCUUUCUAAACUCAAAUUUUAGAUGACCUCGGGAUUAAAAAAAUCACGUCCUAACUUACUGGUCGUGAUCUCAUUUUUAAAUCCGAGAUGGCUAAAAUAUCUUUUAAAUAAGCAUUUUUCAUUCGCGUAUCGAGAAUUUGAGAUAUUGUAUUCUAACUUACUGGAUAUGAUUCUCUUCCUCGAUUAACGUGAAAUAUAUUUCUUUUUCCAAAAAUUUUCAUUUUAAUACAAGGAUCGUAUUUUUAAUUCUUUCAAGUUCUCAAUUUUCGACAUCGAGACAUUAGAUAAUCAACUAGGUACCAAUUUCUGGGCGUUACGAGGGUGCUAAUCCUUCCUCGUACGUAACCGACUCCCGAACCCAUUUUCUAAAUUUCGUAGACCAAAACCGUUGUUUUAAUAAAAUCAAAUUAUUUAUUAAAAACAACCUUUUUCCAAGGUGACCCAAUCACACCUCAAAAAGGAUUGGUGGCGACUCCCUUUUUCAUUUUCAAAACCCAAGUCGACCCCGUUUUUCAAUAAAAAAAAUGGUGUCAACAGCUUGGCGACUCCGCUGGGGACUCAAAAAAUUGAGAGUCAAGCCACGAGUUGAUUAUCUCUUGUCCUUUUGUCAAAAGUUGAAAAUUUGAGUUAAAUAUCCGAUCCUCUCAUUGCAUUUUAUUUUGAGUUAUAGUUUUUAUCAUGUUUGGUAUUUUAAGUUUUUAUAUACCUCUGCACAUUGCAUUGCAAGACCGUUGGUCACACCUCUUAAGUGGGAGUGAGAAGCUACGCCUUCGUGAGGUUUUCACCUCCGCAUGGGAUAGUGAAUCGCUUCCGGGAUACAUCCGUACCUAUGUCUUCGUGAGAUUUUCAUCUCCGCAUGGCCACAGGGAAAUGUAUUCCCCUGAACUGAACUCGGUUCGUAUGACCCUAUAAUGGGUGAGGAUUGAGGAAUCUGCUGGUUCAGGUACCCUGCUUAGAACCAAACCACAUGUAAUGACCCAUAAGAACCGACCUAGGUAGAGCUACGCCAAACCUCAGUGCUUACCUAAAUGGAUGUUAUAUUUAUCGUCAUUUACGUUAAAUCUUGUUCUGCGUAAUAUUAUCUUUGCUUUAUUUGAUUGUAUAGCAUUGUCAUUCUAAAAGAGGUGUCGAUUCAUGUUCAGUGUCUAAAACGAAAGCUUAUCAUGGAAAAGGGAUUUCUUGAUAAAGUAGAAGAUAAUGCGGCUGUGCGAGUUUGGGCUGAAACGACACAACGGGAGAAAGGCGAUAGUCUUACCGAGGGGCACGUGUCAGAAUUAUGGGAUUUCACCCGUAUCAGUGUAAUCCAGAAUGACCUUCGAGAAAUGAAAGAAGUCUGGGAUCAGUGGGAUGUCAGGACCAAGCAGCUGUUCUAUUGUAACUACGGUGACCUACCUUAUCUACUCAGUGUCAAAGUGGACAAGUAUUUAUUCCGAGCCCUUGCUCAAUUUUGGAAUCCUGCCUACAGUUGUUUCACUUUUGGGAAAGUCGAUUUGACGCCUACUGUGGAGGAGUAUACGACCUUGCUGCGGUGCCCAAAGUUUCAAGUCGAUAGAGUUUAUUCUAGAGCUGCUUGUGUCCCUUCAUUGUUAAGGAAAUUAAUGAACAUUACCGGGAUGAGCGAGCAGUGGGUCGCUGCUCGAAUCCAACAGAAGGGCGACAGUAAAUGUGUCCCUUGGAAAAGCUUACGAGAUUUGGUGCUUGUACAUCCUGACGUAAAGAAAAGGGUCGAUGUCUUCGCUUUAGGUAUCUACGGGCUAGUGGUCUUCCCCAAGGCUUUAGGGCACAUCGACGAUGCUGUAUCUGAUUUGUUUGAUCGGCUUAGUAAAGGGGUUACACCGGUUCUGGCAAUACUGGCGGAAACUUUCAGAUCCCUGAGUGCAUGUCGGAAAACAGGUGAGGGAAGGUUUAUUGGAUGCGCACAACUUUUAUUGGCAUGGUUUCAUAGUCAUUUCUGGAAAAUGGAAAAGGUCUCUUAUCGAGUGUUCUCUAACGGUUACUCCCCUCUAGAGGAAUUGGUGGCCACACCAAGACGGGAUGAUCUUUCAGAAGAAAGAUGGAGGGAGAUACUCCAGAAUCUCCAGGAUGAAGAUAUUGAAUGAAGGGCUCCUUGGUUAAUUCCUGAUGAGAUAUUGUACCGGUGUGGAGAUUUCGACUAGGUUCCUCUGCUCGGGAUGUGGGGAGCUAUCGGAUAUGCUCCCCUACUCGUAUCUAGACAGUAUAGAUCACGACAAUUCGUACCAGCAACGCUGGGGUUGGCCUAUUCUGAUUUUUCUUAUAGGGAGGACAAUUACAAGAAAAAGGUUCGAGAGGUGUCUAAUGCCUGGAACCAAACUCGCCGAAUGAGAAUUUUAGCCGUGGGUCCGACGAUGACCCCCGAGUAUAGCCAGUGGCGUGAUCAAAGGGUCAACGAUAAUAUCCCGGCGUCUAAUCCAGAAACUGCUCGAUCUUUAGAGGAACACCUACAGGUACUGCCCUCUGAGAUAGAGAUUAUCAAGCAAGAAUUUGAAAAGAGGAGUUUGGAGAUAGGAAAGAAAGUAGAGAAGUUAGAGGAAGAGAAAAUGUAGUUAGGACUAGAUUUGGACAUUCAAAGAUUAGAGGCCGACAAAUUAAGGAAAGGGAAGAACAAGGCAGAAGAAGAUUUAGACAGCCUGAAGACUGAUUACAAGAAGUUGCGCAGGUCGAUAAGAACUGUUGGCUUGGGUAAAACGUCAGAACAAUGGCGGCAGGAAAUUCAGAAGGAAAGAAUGAAAGCUAAUCAGUGGGAAAAGAAAUUUCAGGAUGCUCAAACUCGAGAGUUACUUUGGGAGAAAGUCUGCUAGUCUGCCAAAAUGAGAAGACGAAGUUGAAUGCCCGAAUAACUGAACUGGAAAGGCUACUUCACCAAUACCGUAGUCGUAAUUCUGUGAUUGAAUUAAAGGCAGGCUUGAAAAAAAUUGAAGAAUUAAAGGGACAAGUAAGAGAGCUCGAGGACGCAUUGCAAAGCAGCGAAUUCCGAAUAGAGCUUCUGGAAAGAAGUAGUGAGCAGUGGCAAGGGCGAUUCCAGCGGUCUCAAGAUCAGAUUAGAGACAGAGAUUAUGUUAUGGGUGAGGCAGUGGUUCAAGUACGCGAGGUAGCUGAUCACCUGCAAACCUUAGCGGUUCAAGCUGAUCUAUUAAGUUUAAAGUUUGAGGUGGAAUCGGACCGGGGCCGAGAAUUAGCUUGGCUCCUUAAAAAGGUUAAGGCUUUGGGCAUAAGGGCAAAGCCGUAUAUGUAAUCUAUUUUAUGUAAAGAAAUUUCUUCUCUAGUAAAGCUCUCUAAUGAAGUUGAAUUAGAAUCAGUGCCUCUUUUUUGCAUUCAUGCAUUUACAUAUCAUCAUAUGCAUUAAGUUUUAAAAAGGGAGCCUAAUUAAUUUAAAAUUAUGACAGAACUACCCUGGAAACUAACAAAAAUUCGCCAAUCGUUUAUCACUACGGUACCCGUCGCAAAACAAAAGCCAUGGAUCAAAGACUCGAAAGACUCGAACAGCUCCAAAGGGAGAUACAAGAACAAAUGCAAGAGCGGUUAGAGAAGAUUCAACAAGAUAUGAAGAACGAAAUGAUAGAGUCUCAAAAAAGCAUGAUAGCUGAAUUAACGCAAUUGUUCAAAGGGGGAAGCGACAAAGGAAAAGACCCCGUGGUUAAUACAGAAGAAGAAAAUAAUGAUAGCCCUCUCUAUCCCCCAGGUUUCACUCCUCCUCAUGCGCAAACCCAAGCUGAGGUGCAACCACGCAGAUCAUCUAUUACUAUCAGGCCUCAGCAAUUUCAAAUUGGUGCCUCAAUACCAGUAAAUUUCCAAACUGGAAUAGGUUCUCAUCUCGGAGAAGCCCCUACUAAUCCCAUAGUACCCGAUUUUGACGAAAUGAUGGGAAAAGAGAAAACAAAGGAAGAACUACCGAGUCGAUUGGAGGAAAGAUGUAAAUGGCUCGAAGAGAAAUUCAAAGCCAUGGAAAGUAGAGAGAAUUAUCAUGGGAUGGAUGCUAAAGAUCUAAGCUUGGUACCAAAUUUGGUCCUUCCUCCUAAAUUUAAGAUACCGGAGUUUGAAAAAUAUGACGGGACAAGUUGUCCUCAGGCUCAUAUCACUAUGUUUUACCGAAGAAUGACCGGGUACAUCAACAAUGAGCAACUGUUGGUUUACUAUUUUCAGGAUAGUUUGAUCGGGUCAGCAGCUAGAUGGUACAAUCAAUUGAGUCGAACCGAAAUCCACUCCUGGAAAGAUUUGGCGCAGGCCUUUAUAAAGCAGUAUAGACAUGUGAUGGAUAUAGCACCCGAUCGAAUUGUAUUGCAAAACAUGGAAAAGAAAACUAAUGAGAACUUUCGCCAGUAUGCUCGGAGAUGGAGGGAGGUAGCAGCACAAGUUCAACCACCACUUUUAGAGAAAGAGAUAACCAUGCUUUUUAUCAAUACCUUGAAAGCUCCAUUUCUCAAUCACAUGUUGGGCAGUGCCACUAAAAGCUUUCCAGACAUAGUGAUGUCUGGAGAAAUGGUAGAGAACGCCAUAAGAUGUGGCAAGAUAGAAGCAGGAGAAAGUAAUAAAAGGUCGGCUCCAAGGAAAAAGGAACAUGAGAUAAAUAAUACAAGCACGUUUAAUAAGGACCAUUCUAAAUCAAUCACGGUGGGGCAAGCCAGAGCAGUAACCGCUAAUCUGCAAAUUUUUUCGACACAGGAAUCCAAUCCAAGGCCAAAGGUAGAGAAACUUCAAUUCACACCCAUCCCAGUGACGUAUAGGGAAUUGUACCAGAACUUAUUCGAUGCACGUGUGAUAUCUCUAUUUUACCUCAAACCUAUGCAACCUCCAUACCCUAUGUGGUAUGACGCAAGCGUUCAAUGCGAGUAUCACGCGGGGACCAAGGGGCACUCAAUUGAAAACUGCACUGCAUUCAAUAAGUUAGUUGAAAGACUUAUCAAUUUGGGGAUCGUAAAGAUAGGCGACUCAUCAGGACCGAAUGUAGCAGAGAAUCCGUUGCCCAACCAUGAUAAUAAAGGGGUGAAUGCGAUAAUUGAAUAUGGAGGAAGGAGAGUCAAAGCCAACAUAGCAGAGAUAAAGACCCCCCUUGAAUGGGUUUGGAAACAAAUGAUGAAAAGAGGUCUCAUCAAGCAAGUUUCAAUAGAAAGGCCUGAAGGAACAAGGAAAUUUUGCGAGUUCCAUGCAGAAGAAAGCCAUGACAUCCAAGAUUGCACCGAGUUCAGAACCAUGAUGCAAAACUUAAUGGAUAGCAAAGAGUUGGAGUUUUAUGAAGAGAUUAAGGGAUUAGAAGGAGGAGAGGUUUAUGCUGCAGAAGAAGGAUCCACGGGGAAAGCCCAAAAGGCUAAUUACCCGGUGGUGAUUAUUGCAAAACCAAUGAGCAGAGAAUCUGGAAUACAAAUAGCACCAAAGGUCGUAAUCCAAAAACCUGUAUCCUUUCCCUACAAGGAUAGCAAAAAGGUUCCUUGGAAUUACAACUGCAAUGUAACAAUCCCAGGAGAGGAGAGCUUGAUAAAUGCUUCAGGAGAGGAUGAAGGAUUCUAUACACGAAGUGGAAAACGCUAUGAUCCGGCAAACGCAAGAGUGGAGUCUGGAAAAGGAAAAGCCUUAGCGGUUGAAUUGGGAAAAGUAAAGACAGACAAAAUCGAGCCGCGCAUCAAUCAGCUGGUAACUGAAAAUGAGGCUAGUGAAUUUCUAAAAUUUUUAAAACAUAGCGAGUACAGCGUGGUAAAGCAAUUACAUAAGCAACCGGCUCGUAUCUCGAUGCUUGAAUUGCUUCUAAGUUCAGAGAUACAUCGUAAUGCGCUGAUUAAGGUGCUAAAUGAAACUUACGUCGCUGAUGAUAUCUCAGUGAAUAAGUUGGACCGUUUGGUUAAUAAUAUCAGUGCUGACAAUUUUAUCUUCUUUAAUGAUGAUGAAAUACCACCCAGGGGAAGAGGAACCACCAAAGCCUUACAUGUUUCUACUUACUGCGGGAAACAUAUGUUGUCAAGAGUGCUAAUUGAUAAUGGAUCAGCCUUGAAUGUUUUACCCCUAUCCACCUUAAAUAGGUUACCGGUGGACAGCUCUCACAUGAAAUCAUGCCAGAACAUAGUGAGAACAUUUGAUGGUACCGAAAGAAAGGUGAUGGGAAGAAUAGAAAUACCUCUCUUGAUUGGCCCAAAUACGUACGAAGUGGAUUUCUUAGUGAUGGAUAUCAAGCCUUCGUAUAAUUGCUUACUGGGGAGACCAUGGAUUCAUUCAGUAGGGGUGGUGCCUUCAUCAUUGCACCAGAAGUUGAAAUUAGUGACAGAAGGCCGGUUAAUUACGAUUGACGCUGAGGAAGACAUCAUUGCAUCGGUAACCAGCGACGCACCAUAUUUGGGAGUAGAUGACGAUGCGGUCAAAUGUUCUUUUCGAUCCUUAGAGUUAGUAAAUGCAACUUUUGUCACUGAAGGAAAGAAAAUCCCAAUGCCCAGCAUAUCUAGAGCCACAAGGAUGGGACUACAAAUGACAGUUGGGAAAGGAGCUGUGCCUGGAAGAGGACUGGGAAGAUGCCUUCAAGGAAAGAUUGAGGCACCAGUGGUGAAAGACAAACAGGACCAUUUUGGUUUAGGAUUUAAACCAAAUGCCAAGCAGAGAAAGAAAGAGUUAGAGAAAAGACAAGACAGGAGGAAAGCGCGUUUGAACGGAAAAGAAGUUGAUUGGGAACCUAUGGCUUUCCCCCACAUAUCCAGGACAUUCAUAUCAGGAGGAACCAUGUAUUCUGGACUGAGGACUCCAAGAAAGAAGACCGCAGAGGAAAUGUUAGGAAACUUAAGCAUCAAUGCCAUAUUUGAAGAAGAAUCUGAAGAGGGAAGUACAUCAGGCAUCUAUCCCGUUGAACCUGGGAGUGUUGUAAACAAUUGGACUGCAGAAGAAAUGCCUGAAGUUUUUAGAGCUUUUCCAGAGUAAUAUUCAAAACAUAUUAAUUGUUCUAAGCCUAGAGAAAAUAAAAACUUUUGUGAACUAAAAUAGGCUUAUAUGUGGACAUUGUGAUUUCAAUGAAAUAUAUCUUCGCAUUUUGAGUAUAUAUAUUCUUUUAAAACUCUUUCCAUUCUUUCAUACGAAUAGUCAUCCCGAAUGCUUUUAUUCUGAAUCAUUCUUUUAUUCAUGGUCAUACUAAAUAAGAAUCCUUAAAUUCAUACGUUCCCUGUACAUUCUUUGAUACCUAUAACAGGUCCCAAGAUAUCAAUGAUAUGAGUGACUCUACUAUGGACUUAGAAAAUCCUUUUGAACGAGAUAUGUGUUUAGAGGAAUCUCAAGAUUUUGAAGAUAACACGGAUUACAACCUACCUCCGGACUUGUUGAGGAUGGUAGAGCAGGAAGAGAAACAGGUUCUUCCUCACGAGGAGACGAUAGAGACAGUGAUCCUGGAGGAGGGAAAGAUGGUAAAGAUUGGCACGUGCAUAGCUGAUGAAGUGAAAUGAAACCUCGUUAAAUUGCUUCGAGAGUUCAAAGAUGUCUUCGCAUGGUCAUACCAAGAUAUGCCGGGGUUAAGUACUGACAUCGUAGUUCACCGACUUCCUAUAAAGGAAGAUUACAAACCAGUUCGGCAAAAGCUCCGAAGGAUGAGGCCUGAUGUUGUGUUAAAAAUAAAAGAGGAGGUACAAAAACAAUUCGACGCUGGAUUCCUGCAGGUGGUCAAAUACUCCGAGUGGGUAGCCAAUAUCGUUCCUGUCCCUAAAAAAGAUGGGAAGGUCCGAAUGUGUGUAGAUUAUAGAAAUUUAAAUAAGGCCAGCCCCAAAGAUAACUUUCCCUUGCCGCACAUCGAUGCCUUGGUGGACAACACAGCAGGACAUUCGCUGUUUUCUUUCGUGGAUGGUUUCUCUGGAUAUAACCAAAUUAAGAUGCAUCCUGAGGAUAUGAAGAAAACUACAUUCAUAACCCUAUGGGGAACCUUUUGUUAUAAGGUGAUGCCAUUUGGGUUGAAAAACGCAGGGGCAACGUAUCAGAGGGCCAUGGUAACAUUGUUCCAUGAUAUGAUGCAUAAUGAGUUAGAGGUCUAUGUUGAUGACAUGAUUGCAAAAUCUAAAACAGAAGAGGACCACGUGCAGGUCCUUAAGAAAUUAUUUAUGAGGUUGAGAAAAUUUCAGCUAAAGCUAAAUCCAGUAAAAUGCACAUUUGGGGUCAGAUCAGGAAAAUUGCUUGGGUUCAUGGUCAGUGAGAAAGGAAUUGAGAUUGAUCCUGACAAAGUAAGAGCAAUACAAGAAUUACCCCCGCCGCGUACUCAAAAGGAGGUUCGAGGUUUUCUAGGAAGGCUGAACUAUAUUGCUCGGUUCAUCUCACAGCUAACUGAGAAAUGCGACCCCAUUUUUUGCCUCCUCAAGAAACAUAAUCCUGGUGUAUGGGAUGAGGAAUGUCAAAAAACUUUUGAAAAAGUCAAACAUUACUUAUCCAACGCCCCAGUGCUGAUGCCACCCUGCCCAGACAAACCACUCAUACUGUAUUUGGCAGUAUUUGGAAAUUCCAUGGGAUGCGUGCUUGGUCAACAUGAUGAAUCAGGACGAAAGGAAAGAGCAAUCUACUAUCUCAGUAAGAAGUUCACUGAAUGCAAAACAAGAUAUUCGCCAAUCGAGAAAUUAUGUUGUGCCCUAAUCUGGACCACUCGGAGACUGAGACAGUACAUGUUGUACCAUACGACCUGGUUAAUCUCCAAAUUAGACCCUUUGAAAUACUUAAUGGAGUCAACCGCUCUGAAUGGAAGAAUGGCCCGAUGGCAAAUUCUUCUAUCUGAAUUUGACAUAGUCUAUGUAAACCAGAAAGCGGUCAAAGGAAGUGCAAUAGCGGAAUUCCUAGCAAGUAGGGCUCUGGAUGAUUAUGAGCCAUUGAACUUCGAUUUCCCAAAUGAAGAUUUGAUGUAUAUCGCAACUGUAGAGAAAGAUUUCUAAGAAGGUGGUUCUUGGAAGUUGAGUUUUGACGGAGCUUAAAAUGCUAUAGGCAACGGAAUUGGGGCAGUACUCGUGUCUCCCAGUGGAGACUAUUAUCCUUUCACUAGCAAAUUAGACUUCGACUGCACAAAUAAUAUGGCUGAGUAUGAAGCUUGCAUUAUGGGCAUCCGGGCAGCCAUAGAGCGGAAAAUUAAGGUGCUAGAAGUAUACAGGGACUCUGCAUUAGUAAUUUAUCAGCUCAAAGGGGAAUGGGAAACAAGAGACCCGAAGUUGGUCCGCUAUCGAAAAUUGGCUAUGGAAUUGAUUGAGGAAUUUGAUAGUGUCACCUUUAGUUACCUCCCGCGAGAUGAAAACCAGAUGGCAGAUGUUUUGGCCACUUUAGCCUCCAUGUUUAAAGUGAACAAAUUAGAAGAUAUGAAGCCUAUCUAGAUCAGCAUCUACGAGGCUCCAGCUCAUUGUUGCAACAUUGACAGUGAAGAGGGAAAGGAUGAUCACCCUUGGUACCAUGACAUAUUGCAAUAUGUGAAGAGUCGUGAAUACCCUGACCAUGCGACAGAAAAUGAUAAGAAGACAUUAAGGAGAUUAGCCAUUGACUAUGUCCUAGAUGGGGAAAUUUUGUAUAAAAAGGGAAAAGAUCAAGUAUUGUUGAGGUGUGUGGAUGCUGUCGAGGCAAAAGAAAUUUUGGAAGAAGUGCAUGAAGGUAUCUGUGGAAUGCAUGCCAACGGCUUCACGAUGGCCAGACAAAUUAUGAGAUUUGGGUACUAUUGGUCCACCAUGGAAGGGGAUUGCAUUAAUUAUGCCAAAAGGUGCUAUAAGUGUCAAAUCUACAGUAACAAAAUGCACGCACCACCUUCACCCCUUCAUGUUAUGGUUUCUCCAUGGCCUUUCUCCAUGUGGGGAAUGGACGUUAUCGGGCCAAUAUCUCCAAAAGCUUCUAAUGGGCAUCGUUUUAUCUUUGUGGUUAUUGAUUACUUCACUAAAUGGGUGGAGGCUGCUUCAUAUGCAAAUAUCACGAAGUCGGCAGUUAGCAAGUUUCUGAAAAAGGAGAUCAUAUGUCGAUACGGGAUGCCUGAAAGGAUCAUAUCCGAUAAUGCGAUGAACUUAAACAACAACUUAAUAGCGGAAGUUUGUAGUCAGUUCAAGAUCAGACACCACAAUUCGUCACCGUAUCGUCCAAAAAUGAAUGGUGCCGUGGAAGCAGCUAACAAAAACAUCAAGAAAAUUGUAGGAAAAAUGACUGAAACCUACAAAGACUAGCACGAGAAAUUAUCUUUUGCUCUCCUGGCAUAUCGCACUUCCGUUAGAACCUCUAUUGGGGCAACACCGUUUUCUUUAGUCUAUGGGAUGGAAGCAGUUUUACCCAUAGAAGUUGAAAUUCCUUCCCUCCGAGUAUUAGCUGAACUAAAGUUGGAUGAGGCUGAAUGGAUUCAAUCUCGAUAUGACCAGCUAAACUUGGUAGAAGAAAAGAGGUUAAAAGCUAUUCGUCAUGGUCAGAUGUAUCAGAAACGAAUGACGCGAGCCUAUAACAAAAAAGUUCGUCCCAGAGAAUUUUACGAGGGGGACUUGGUUUUGAAAAAGAUUCUUCCUCUACAAAAGGAUUUUAGAGGAAAAUGGAUGCCAAAUUGGGAAGGUCUUUAUGUGGUAAAAAAGGCCUUUUCAGGAGGAGCUUUGAUCUUGAGCGAGAUGGAUGGUAAAAGCUUGCCAAAUCCUGUGAACUCAGAUUCAGUCAAGAAAUACUUCACCUGAAGGAGGAGGACCAAAGUGAAAACCCGUAAAGGGAAUUCAAAAAAAAAAAAGGGAGAGGCCAAGGUGAAAACCCGUAAAGGGCGCAUUGAGACCAAAGGGGAUUUGAGUUGAAAACCUGAAAAGGCGGCUCAAAUUUUGAAGAAGCGUGAGGUGAACGAAACAGCUCAAAUUUUGAUCAGGAUCUGAGGCAUGUGGUGGUCUUACUAUACCUGAAUCACAAGAAGGAAUAGGUGACAUCUUGGGGUAUCGACAGAAUACUGUAGAUUCCCUAAACACAUAUUAAAUGGUCUUUAGAAAACUUAUGCAGAGAAGCUCGUGCUGCGAUAUCUGGGGCACCUGUCGUUAUCUUAUAUUUUGAAUCUUGGCAAAAUUUGUUGUCUUGAUUAAUGUAUUCAUUUCAAGCUUUGCUCCCCAGUAAAAUUUCAUUUUGUCUAUUGUCUUAUUUCAUUUUUAUCUUGGCAAAAUUUGCUAUCUUGAUUAACUCAUUCAUUUCGAGAUUUGUUCUCAAUAACAUUUGUUUGAUCGUUGUGGUAAUCUUUUCGAAAAACAUUUAGAAUAACUAUUAAUGAACUGAAUGUUCAAGCAAAUUGAGUUUUGCAUAUUACUCUAGAAAUUUCUAAAUAAUGAAGGAACCUGAAACAGGACUGUUGUUUAGAGCACACUAAAUUCAAAGUGUCUAAAAGGGAAAAGUCCAAGUCAGGACUAUCUUUUCAAAUUUUGUUCUCCAAACAUUGAACAAAAUGACAAGAUGUCGUGUUAGUGGCAAAGCUUCAAUGAACAAACAAGUGAUGUUCACCAAGCAAUAAGAAAAUGUCUUCUGGGAGAAGAAAACUCUUCAUUGUGCAUGAGCAUUUGGUAUGACACCUUGGGAAUGGGGUAAAGGACCAAAGAGCUUCACAUUCUGUAUCAUUGAAUUGUGAUAGCAGAGGAUCGAGAAAAGGCCAGAUCUUCCUACCUUUGGGUUACAGCGGGAGAAAGAUGGUUCAAAUUUUGCAUCCAGUGGAUUGAACCUGGAGGUUUACAGUGGGGGGCAGUCUGGUUAAAUUUUUCUUUGGAUUUGCCAGUCGAGCAAGAAGGCGUUGUAGCACGUCAACGAUAAACCUUAAUAAGCUUUUGCGUGAUGAUAACCUAAGCAUCAAGAAAUCACUUUCAUAACAUUUCGACAUUCAUUCAAAUGUCAUUCAUACACGUCUAGUUAGGACCAUUUGAUUCAUUCUGGUCAUCCUAAUUACUAGACAUAAAUAGGUCCAUCAAAUGGAUUAUACAGGUCAUGUUCCCCAGAGAACAGAUCAAUGAAGAUAGCAGAUCUUGCCUUCCUGUAUUGACAGCGAAGCAGAUCGAAUAAACCAUAGUUUGCAAUUUAAAAGAUCAAAGCCACAACGGCGAAUCUUACUUCCAGGCGAUGCAGUGGAACAGAUUGAAGCUACAACAGCGAAUCUCACUUCCCCGACAUUGCAAUUUAAAAGAUCGAAGCCACAACGGCGAAUCUUACUUCCAGGCGAUGCAGUGGAACAGAUUGAAGCUACAACAGCGAAUCUCACUUCCCCGACAUUGCAAUUUAAAAGAUUGAAGCCACAACGGCGAAUCUUACUUCCAGGCGAUGCAGCGGAGCAGAUUGAAGCUACAACAGCGAAUCUCAUUUCCCCGACAUUGCAAUUUAAAAGAUCGAAGCCACAACAGUGAAUCUUACUUCUGGCAAUGCAGUGGAACAGAUUGAAGCUACAACGGUGAAUCUCACUUCCCCGACAUUGCAAUUUAAAAGAUCGAAGCCACAACGGCGAAUCUUACUUCCAGGCGAUGCAGCGGAGCAGAUUGAAGCUACAACAGCGAAUCUUAUUUCCCCGACAUUGUAAUUUAAAAGAUCGAAGCCACAACAGUGAAUCUUACUUCUGGCAAUGCAGUGGAACAGAUUGAAGCUACAACAGCGAAUCUCACUUCUCCGACAUUGCAAUUUAAAAGAUCGAAGCCACAACGGCGAAUCUUAUUUCCUCGGCAAGACUGGGCAAAAAUUGGUCUUUCUUAGUCUUUGCUCUGUUAUCGUUACACGACAACGAGCAAAGAGGGGCAGCUGUACAGCCCAAUUAUUGCCCGGGCCCAAUUAACAGAGCCCAAACACCAACCCACAAGCCCAAUUACAACCUAAACCCGAGGCCCAAAUUCGGAGCCCAAUUCCCCCCAAAAAUCCAACUAGGGUUUCAAAAAAAUGAAACCCUAGCCAAACCUAGCGCCGCACCCAUCCCUCUGUCGUUUGCCUUGUCCCAUCGCCACCCACCGUGCCUAGCUUCAUCAACACCUGCAAAAUGGCAGAAAAAGCCAGAGCACGCAACAGAUAGUGCAAAGCAAUAGAAUACAACCAAAAAAUACAAUGUAAAUUGGCUAUAAAAGCCAAACAAUAUCUCUGUACAUUUUUUAGAGACAACAUUUUGAAUUCAAGAAAAAGAAAAAGCAAAUCAAAAAAGGUUGACUCCAGUUAUUUCUACUCUGUUCUCGUGUUCUUAUUCAUUUUAUUUCUUUUAUUUUUGUUUAUUUUUCUGCAAUCGUUUAAUAAAUAAAGCGGGACUAAAAGGGAAAGGGGAAGAUACCUUACUGCUUCGGUGGGCUGGUGUCGGAACUCCGCCUUUGCCGUCGUCGGAGCCGAGCAAAAAGGGGCGUUUCAUCCCUUUUCCUUUUGGUCUCGCGGUUGAGAAGGCAUAGCCUUCGGGGACGCAGCAAAAGGGGGAGGCCUAGGGGCCGUUCUCGCGCAGCUCCGGCCACUGGCCAUGGAGGCGGAGAUGGUGGCCUGAGCUUUAAGGCCGAGAGGGGCGCAGAGAGGAGAGCAUUCGAGCUCUCUGUUCUCUUUUCCUGUUUCUUUUUUUUUUUAUUUUUUUUAUUUUUUCUCUUUUCAUUAGAAAAUGAAAUGGAGGCUACCAGAUUAGGGUUCUUUUUGGCCCUUACAUGAUGUGUGAAACGACGCCGUUUGGAGUCUGAUCAGUGGCUCCAAAACGGCGUCGUAUUGAGCUCUGACCCGCGCGGUGACCCGACCCAGGGGAAGGAUCCGCGUGUUUUUUUCUUUAAAUGGGAUAUUUGUGCGCGUAGUCCCUCCGACUUUGUAGCGCGUUGCAAUUUGGUCCUGUUUCGCUAUUUCCUAUUUUUCAAUUUCGCCCCAGAAUUCUGUUUUUGUUCUAUUUUGACCCUCUGCUGCACUGCGUUUUGGGGCUUCGGGGUAUUUAUGAUUUUGGUCCCCCCCUUUUUCGCGCAUAUUACAUUUUGAUCCUUUAUUCCGUUUUAUUUUUUAUUUCAGCCCUGAGAUUUCGUUCCCGUUUUGAAUUAGUCCUAUUAUUAUUAUUAUUAUUAUUAUUACUACUACUAUUAUUAUUAUUACCUAUUUAUUUAUAUUAAUUUUAUUUAAACUUCUGGUACAUAUAUAUAUUUAUAUAUUUUACAACUUAUGUACCUAUCUAUAUAUCUAUAUACAUAUUUUCAUUUUCAUAAAUACAUACAUAUUUAUAUAUAAUCUUUAUAGUCUAAAAUACACCUUUUUUUAUAUUUUUUUAAAUCCGCAUAUACAUACACAUUUUCAAUAUAUUUUUAGUAUGUAUAUAAAUUAACGUAUUUAUUUGUAUACAUAUGUAUAUUUUCAUUAGUUUUAAACUUUAGUUUGUACAUAUAUACUUUUUCUUUUAUUUUACAAUAUAUAUAUACACUUACUUUUUAUAUGUAUUUCUUUAUCUUCGUAUUCCAUAGUUUUAUACACCUAUAUAUGUACAUAUUUUUUUAUACAUACGCGUAUUUAUUUAUUUUAUAUAAAAUAUACUUUAUAUAUUUUGUUAAUUCAUGUAUACACAUAUUUUAGUUCAUGUCUAUAUAUAUCUUUUUAUACUUAAUUGUAUUUGCUAUUUAUUUAUUUCAUUUUGUUAUUAUUUUGAAUGAAUGAUUUAACUUUAUUCGUUUUUUUUAUUUUGUUAUUUUGUAUGUUGUAAGUUUGAUCGUUCAUAUUGAUUGCUAUAGCUUGCAUCGUUUUUAUAUUUUCAUGUUCAUUAUGAUUUUGCCAUGCAUAAAUAAUGUAAUUUGCUUUCACUAUAAUUUUGUGCUUUAUUUUUACUCGAUAUAACAAAAUUUAUUUUUUUAAAAAUGGCAUUUCGUGUUUGGAUUCGAGAAAAUCGUGCCCUAACUUACUGGGUUUCGAUUUUCUCGAUAAAUCUAAAUGUACGAAUCUUUCUAAACUCAAAUUUUAGAUGACCUCGGGAUUGAAAAAAUCACGUUCUAACUUACUGGUCGUGAUCUCAUUUUUAAAUCCGAGAUGGCUAAAAUAUCUUUUAAAUAAGCAUUUUUCAUUCGCGUAUCGAGAAUUUGAGAUAUUGUAUUCUAACUUACUGGAUAUGAUUCUCUUCCUCGAUUAACGUGAAAUAUAUUUCUUUUUCCAAAAAUUUUCAUUUUAAUACAAGGAUCGUAUUUUUAAUUCUUUCAAGUUCUCAAUUUUCGACAUCGAGACAUUAGAUAAUCAACUAGGUACCAAUUUCUGGGCGUUACGAGGGUGCUAAUCCUUCCUCGUACGUAACCGACUCUCGAACCCAUUUUCUAAAUUUCGUAGACCAAAACCGUUGUUUUAAUAAAAUCAAAUUAUUUAUUAAAAACAACCUUUUUCCAAGGUGACCCAAUCACACCUCAAAAAGGAUUGGUGGCGACUCCCUUUUUCAUUUUCAAAACCCAAGUCGACCCCGUUUUUCAAUCAAAAAAAAUGGUGUCAACAAUACCCAUAGGUGAAAUGUAUUUAUUUUGAUGUUUUAUGGUAGAAUAUGAAGCUAGAAAUUAUGAUAAACAACUUUUGCUAGGUGAUUUUAAUUGAAAACGAGUAAAUUGACAUAAUCGGUAAAAAUACCUAAUGUUCAUAAGUACAUGUUAGAGUGAGAAUUUGAUGUUGUCAUAGAAGGGAAAAAUGUUCAGCAUGUUAUAAAACAUAAGAAUAAGAGAUGAAGUUUAAUUUUCGAGCCUUGGGGCAAAAAUGUAAUUAUGCAAAAGUUUAGGGGCAAAAUCAUAAUUUUGACAAAGUUAGACUCGAGGGCUGUUUUGAUAAAUGUGAGUAUUAAAUGAGUUAAAUUUUCUAAUUUAGAUCAAGAAGAACGGAACUCGAGGUUAGACAAAGGGAAGAAUAAAGUUGAAGGCUAAGUUGGUGAAUUUGGCUAUAAUUGGUAUCGAGGUAAGUUUACAGUAAAUAAAUGCAAUAUUUCAAUAAUUAUUAUUAAUGCUGCUAUUUUCCAGCAACUAUGAAUUUAUUUCAUGAAUUUAUUUGAUGAUGAUCCGAGCAUGAAAUGAUAAAGAAUUAAUAUUAAAAAGUCCCGUUGAUACAUAAGGAUGGUACUGGAUACGAAUGUCAUGACAUUUGGGUAAAGAGGUCCCAUGUAAGACCAUGUCUGGGACAUGGCAUUGGCACUGAGAUGAGAGGUCUCAUGUAAGACCAUGUUUGAGACAUGGCAUUGGCACCGAGACCAUGUCUGAGACAUGGCAUUGGCAUCGAGAUGAGAGGUCCCAUGUAAGACCAUGUCUGGGACAUGGCAUUGGCACUGAGAUGAGAGGUCCCCCGUAAGACCAUCUCUGGGACAUGGCAUGGGCACCGACAUGAGUACAUCCCAUGUAAGACCAUGUUUGGGAUAUGGCUUUGGCAUGUUAUUAUCAGAAGAGACCCGAGUAUCCUUAUUAUUCCAAUGUAGCUCAACGGGUUAGUAAACAACUCAUGUUCAUGAAAGUUCAGUUAUAAGCAUAAGUGGCAAGCUCAGGUAAGUUAUAAGAGUUAAGAACUUAUGAUAUUAUCAAUUAAUACUCAACGUUUCAGCAAGGGAAGAGUAAGUUAUAAUCACAAGGUAACUAAGUAGACAAGCAAGAGAAUGAGAAUGAGAUUAAUUAAAGAGUAAAUUAGAGAUCUUGACAUUUGAGUAUAAUCAUUUGUGUUAAAUGUUGUUAUUUAUUUGCUAGUAAACUUACUAAGCUUAAUGCUUACUUCUUUUAUUUUUCUUUCUCUUAUAGUAUUGCCAAGCUACUUCAAGGAUCCUAAAGAAGUCGGAGAUCGUCCACACUAUCAACCACAACUGCUCGGUAUUUUAUGAUGAAACACGUUUGAGUUAUGGCAUGUAUAGGGAUUUAGUUAUUUUGUAUGUUUGUAAUUAUGAUUUUGCUAUAGAAUGAUGCAUAAGUAUUUGAUGAUGAAUGGUUGUUUAAAUGGCCAAGGAGGAAGAUGUUUGUUGUUAUAAAAGUCUAGGUGAUAAAUUAUGCAUGGAAAUUAUGAAAGGGUAAAAUUUUGCAAAGAAACAGAAUUCAGGCAGCAACAGUGACGUGAAUUUGAAAAAUCACCUAGGAUGGUAUAAAAUGAAUUAGAGGGUGAAUGAUAUAUGGAGUUAAAGCUUGUUGAGUCUAUUUUCAAAUAAAAAUAACGGUUUAACAAAAUUAAUUUUAUAUUUUGAUAUAUGUGUAUUUUAGUGAGAAAGGGUCAGAUCUAUUUUUUUGACUCCCCUGUUAAGAGUUUAGAAAAUCAUUAAAAAUUGUAAAAAAAUGGUUAAGAGUUAUAGUUUAUAUGUAUAGAUUCCUUAUUGAGUCUAUUUUAUGUAGAAACAAGUAAGGACUUUAUAUGAAAAUCCUACAGUGAGAAAAAUUAUUUUUAGUGGCAAGAGGUCAGAACAGUCAGGUGGUGAAACAGGGGAGACUUUAACUAAUAAACUGUACUAAUUGGCUGAACCAAAAAUUCUAAAAAUUUUAUGGUAAGUAGAAAUGUGAGUCUAGUUUCAGGUAAAAUUUACAUAAUUAAAUUUUGAGUUUUUUAGCUCGAGUUAUACUUAAUUUAGUAACUGCUGCGCGAUUGGACAGAUUUGCUGUAAAUAGUGAAAUAAAUUUUCAAACCAAGUUUUUAUGCUCCGAAUUAGAAAGAUAAGCUAAGUAAUGCCUCGUGCUCGAUUCCGGCAACGGUCUUGGGUAACGGGUCUUACAAUGUCGCACUUGCAUCACCAGACACGGUGGUGCCGGUGGCUGCGACAGCGGCGUCUCAGUGGGCGAUGGCGAGUGGUUGUCGGUAGUUGAGCAGUGGAAGAGUUACACUCCUAUUGGGACUCUACCAGAGAAUUUAAUUUCAGAUUAACUAUUUUAAAAAUAAAAUUAUUUUAAUAGUUUAAUAUUUAAUUUAAUUUAAUACCUAUCUUAAUAGUAAUUUUUUUAAUUUAAUAUUAAAGUGAUUAAGUUUAAUCAUAGUUGAACUCUCUAAACUCUUCCUAUAUAAAGAGAGCCAUGGGUUAUUAUUUUCACAUACUUGAAUUUAAGGGAAAGUUGUAGAGAGAAAAUUCUCUGAAGAUAUUAUUCUAGAAAAUUUGUAGAGAGAAAUUUAUUUUUCGCUGCAUUUUCUAAACUCGUUUUUCCAACAUAACACUAAUAUAAGCAAUGUGCUUAUGAAAGAGCUUGGGUGGUAAACCUUUUGUGAGCGGAUCCUCUAUUAUAGAGUUUGUCUCAAUGCGUUCUAUGGAUAUUUGUCCACUUUGCACUCUCUCUUUCACAACUUAGAAAUUUAUGUCAAUUGACUUAGUUGAGCUCCUGUUGUUGUUGGAAUAUAGCACCCCUAACUUAUUGUCACAAAAUAAUUUGAGUGGUGUUUCUACAUUCUCCAAAAUGCACAGCUUAGUGACAAAGUUUUGCAACCAUAUUCCAUGGUUUGAUACCUCAUAACAUUCUACAAUUUGCUACCAUAAUGGAAGAAGCUACAAGUGUCUAUUUGACAUUUUUCCAAUAUAUAGCUCCUCCAGCUAACAGGUAAAUAUAGUCUGAUAUAGAUUUCUUGCUAUCUUAACACCCAACAAAAUUAGAACCAAAAUACCCUACGACCUCCAAAUGAUUUGAUCUCUUGUAAGUGAGCAUGUAAUCUUUUAUUCUCUAAAGAUACCUCAUAACCCUCUUGGUUGUUAUCCAAUGGUCCAUACCAAGGUUGCUUAAAUGUCUACCUAACAUCCUAACAAUGUACACAAUAUCUAGACGCGUACAUACUUGAGCAUACAUUAAACUCCCAACAACUAAUGCAUAGGGCAUCUUUUGCAUUUCCUUAAUUUCAAGGUUACUUUGUCUCUUUUAGCAACAUUGGUGUCAUUUGGUCUACAACCGUACAUGUCAAACCUUUUGAGUACUUUAUCAAUAUAGAUCUUUUGUGACAAUCCAAAAAUAGCACAAGAUCCGUCUCAAUGUAUUUGAAUUCUUAAAAUAAAAGAGGCGUCCCAGUAUCUUUCAUCUCAAAAUGCUUAGAUAAAAAACCUUUUGGUUCCAUGCAAUAAGCCUAUAUCAUUAGUGGCAAGCAAAAUGUCAUCGACAUAUAGAACCAGAAAUAUAUAAAUAUAUACUUACUCCCACUGAAUUUGUUAUACACAUAAUCAUCAACAAUAUUCAUUUCAAAACCAAACAAGACAAUUACUUGAUUAAACUUGUGGUACCCUUGACGGGAAGCUUGUUUGAGUCCAUAGAUGGAUUUUGUUAAUUUGCAAACCAUAUUCUUUGGGUCUCUCAACUCAAAGUUUUCUGGUUGCACCGUAUAAAUUGUUUCUUCAAUGUCGUCAUUGAGAAACGUAGUCUUAACAUAUAUCUGAUGUAAUUAUUUGUACUUCUGAAAUCUUCCCCCUACCACUAUUAAGCAUUCAUGUUUAAUUCUUACCUUUACUACCCUUCUUUCUUUCCCUUUUUAUACUUUUGAGAUACCUAUCACCCAUUCUGCAUUUAUCUGCCAACCUGAACUUAUCCACAAUACAUAAACUAUUUAUAACAUAAAGGACUAAGCCAGACAAAAGUAUCAUGCAUAUGGGGGCUAUUUCUCAAUUUUCAAUGUCUAUAGGACCAACUAAACUGUACUCUGAUACCACUAAAUUGAAACCCCUUACCUAACCAGUUCGCCGGGUCCAGUACUAGAUGUCACAAUUAAACCCAUCCAAUAUACACUACAAUAAACUUAACUAGCCAAGUUUUAUUUGAUAGAUAAAUAAAUUUUUUUUACUAUAUAAACACAUCAAAUAAAGAAACAUUUACAAAUACUUCAAUGUAAUUAUCUAUUAAAAAUAAUCCAAUAGUCACCAUAUGAGUUGUUGCUUAAUUGCUCACUAUAAAGAUUUACUUCAACUUUACUAUAUAACAAUUUAAUUAUACAUGACAUAUAUCAACUCAAGUUCUAUUAAUAUUUCAAACCCUCAAGCAGAACCUAUAAGGAUGCCCCCUAUAUGCACGACACCAUAACCUGCAUAUCCUCUUAGACUCCACAAGGUCCGACUUGGUCUCUUCCAUGCUUUCUAUGCAUUCCUUGGUCUUGCAUCCAAGGCAGGUGAUAACACUCUAGAAUAAUAUAUUUUUAUGUAUUAAUUAUGUAUUUAUUCUGAGUAUGAUCCUGCUAAUUUGAGCUAUUUAUGAUCUUUUAUCUCAUAGGGACUAAAUUUGAGGCAAAAGUGAAAUUAAGGGCCAAAAGCGUGAAUUUAGAGAUAAAAUUGGUCAAUGUGCGACACAAGGAAAAGUUGAUGCCAAAAGUGCAAGCAUGGAGGACACAAGGGUUGAAAUGCAAAAAGAAGAGAUUUUAUUCUAUUAAACUCUAUUAAUUAUAUUAGGAUAAUUAAUGUUGAGAUAAUUAUUAAAGAUUAUUUUUAGGAUUUUAUUUUAUCUUUAUUUAUCUUCAAUUAAAUGUAUUUUUCUUUUAGGAAUUUAAGUAGGAUUAGAAUAUCUCCCCUAGCACUAUAAAUAGGGGGUAAAGUGACUCAAAAGGGGAUUCAUCUUUUCUUCUUCUGUAAACACUCUGUCCCCAAAAGUCUAGGCUUUUGUUCUUUUCAUAUUUCCUUUCAAUAAAAUCUUUAUUUUUAUUUUAUUUAUUUUCUUUUCUACCACAACCAUGAGCCACUAAACCCAUCUAGCUGAAGGUUGUCAAAAAUCCCCAAAAGGGUUCAUGAGGCUUAGAAUCCGUACUUAGCCUCCUCGCUGAGUAUUCAUCGUUUCUCCGCACUACGGGGCUGACGCUUCCGUCCAAGUCCCUUAAGAAGUAAGUUUUUCAACGUACGCAAAGGCGGCCGCUUUGUAUGUUUUGGGAAGGUUGCACAGUCGGUUCGUUAGCUUACUGCGUCAGAGGUUGGCGAGCCCAAGAGACAAAAUGGCGUGGGAUUCGCCAUUGAGAAGCGUUGAUUUAGCAUAAGACGAUCCCAUAGAAGCGAUUGUUGGCUAGAGUCAGGUUCCACUAAAUUGUAAGUCUAAAUCCUUGGAGCUGGUGGUCGUAGGCGUCCUCUUCCACUAUAAUUGGCUUAUUAGGUUUGGGAAGGAUCAUUUAAAAGCCGAGGAUUGAACCCAAGGCGGAACGAGACAACUGGAGGCUGGAAUCUCCCAUAAGAAUUUUCUUUCUCUUAACUCUAUUUUUAAUUUCUCAAAUUUUCAAUUCAAUAUUCUUAAUUCUGUUUUUAUUUUAUUUUUCGUUUCUAAAUCCCAUAAUUUAAUUCUUCUAUUAUUUUUCUUUUUUUUAGGAACGCAGGUUGUCUUGGGCAAGACUCUGCUUGGGAUUUCACGGAACAAGAUAUUUUGCGAGUCCAGUCCCUGAGGAUUUGACCCUACUUCCAUUUUACUAUUAUUUUUCAUUAUUUAUUAGGGAUAGGAUAUUUUUGGUGCUUUCAACGACCGCAUCAGCAGGCCACUUAUAAGUUCAUGCGAACUUAGUGAGGUUCCAUAUGUUCAUCACUACAUAAAAGAAUCAAUAAAAAGAAUUCAUGUAUAUAAUUAAAACUCUCUAUUUUUCAUUUAGACUUUAGCAUCUGCUGUUGUGUUUGAUGUUUAUAUGUUUUCCCUUUACAACUUCUAACAGACACUUUACAACAAUACAACUUCUUAAUAGAUACUCCUUAGCGACUCAUACCAUAGUCUCAAGCUUCAUCUCAGAUUUUCCAUUCUUCUUGCUUGAUAUUCUAUUGGACAUUUCAUCUUUUGGAUGGAUGUUUAUAUAUUUACCCACCUAGAUAACUUGACGAAUUAUUAUAUAUUACAUUGAGAGUGCAAAUUUUUUUCAUCAUCUUUACCUUCAUGAAGAUCUUGAUGUAGGUAUACGAUCUUGUUAUCUUUUCACUUGUUUAUUGCCCCUUUGGAAAAUUUAGUGCAGUUGAAAAAUCCCAUGAAUGCUUGACCUUAUCAGUAGGCAGUUUAAGCCUAAAAUCUGGUAGACCAUCGAUAAUAAACCCCUUUUAUAGAUAGUCAUAUGAGAUAGUCCUUAUGGCAUUACAAUUCCGAGAUAAUCCUAGCAAACUUCAUUUUACUUCAAUAAUACACGACAGAGUUUUAGAACAGAUAGUCCUUAUGGACAUCCCACAAGAUAAUCCAUGGUGGACUUCUUUUUACUUUGAUAAUACACGACAGACUUCUAGAACAAAUAGUCCCUAUAACCGUCCCACAAGAUAGUCCAUGGCAGACUUUCCAGAUAUGAUAAUCUUGACAAAUAUUCCAAACUACUAGAUAGUCCAUCUGGACCUUUCCACCUAAACUAGGUUCUGAUAGAACUUUAAUUCAUUUAGUAGUUCUCGUGAACAGUCCUGUCUUUUGGCAAAUCUUUGACUAACUUUACCAAAUAAGAUAGUCCCCAACUAACCUUCCAUUUAAGAUAGUCCUUUUUGGUGAACCCUGAAUGGUGGAUACCUAGUUACAAAUACUCUAUAAAGAAAAACCCUCCUCCAUACAUAUCCACGUAUGCAACACUUUCAUAUAUCUUUCUUACCUUCAUAACUUGGCGAAGCCUUAUCUCAGCAAUUUCACCAAUGCUUCUAUAUUUGACAUAAUUAUCCUAACUAAUUUCCUUGUUCGUUGUCCUGAUGGACUUUAUAAUCACGCGAAUCAUUUCAUAGUUCUCCUGUAUAUGUCAUGUUUUCUAUCCUAGCGGACUUUAUAUGUUGUCACAGCCCAGCUAUGGUUUUACACUAUAUGAUGCCAUAAUUUAGCAAUGGUCUUACACUAUUACAGGCUUAAAGCCUCCGAUCGAUGCCAUGGCCUUACACAUCAUUAUUGUUGUCACCCAUCCAUUCCCCCUCAAAUCCUCCUUGUUAAUUCGAACACCUAAAUAUUCACUUACAAGGCCAGGAAAUCACCUAUUUCAGUUGCAACACAUGCCAAAACGAAUUACGAAAAAACUAACAAAAAUUCUAUUUCCUAAUCCAUUCGUUCAUUCCUCCACAAUGACAAUUCCUACUCCAACUAACCCGGCAAUCAAUUUGCUCCGUACUCCAUAAUUCAUGAACACACAUAACACACAACAAUACAUUCAAAAUAUAAUAUGGAAUACACCACACCCAUUUCACAGAUACAACACAUAACAUAUUCUUAGAAAACAUAUUUUCAUCCUUCAUGUAGUCAAAAAACUAACACAUACAUAACACAUCCAAUCAACAGAAAUCCUAUAUCAUCACUGAACUCAACAUAGAAUCACAUCAGUCAUACAACAUCCAGACCAACACCCAAAUAUGGAGUAUGGAAACCCACCUGAUGUCUCUCUACUUUGCCAACUUAGCUUUUGCAAAUGCCAAAACCUCCUUUCUCUUGGUAGCUACGUAUGACAACCAAAAACACAAAUUAAAUCGAAGCAUUUAUGCUUCCAAAACCCAGAAACCAAAAUUCUCAGAAUUCUUUCAAAAGUUAUAGAAAUCUAUAUAUUCUCUUUUUCUCAAAUCCACAAGCACAGGAAGACUAAGAGGCUUACCAGUACACUAGAUUAUCUAUUUUUCUGACUCAAAUCCCAUGACUAUCACUGCAUGCAGAGUUUUCUUUAGCUUUCUCUUCUUCAGUGUAACCGAAGAAGUUGAAGAAAAAAAAAAUAGAACGGAAGAACAAGAAGCAGAAUAGAGAAAAUCCUCCUCUACAGAACAACCCUUCUCACUAUAUAUAUAACCACUACAUGCUCGAUCACCAACUCCCAUAGACACCAUACAUUGGCAAUCUUUUGUCUCCCACUAAGUAACAAAUCGGUUUUGUUGCAACCAAACUAGAACUAGAACCAACUGCUUGCUAACCAACCACUGGAAUUUCCAAAUUCUCACAAUUGAGUCUGCUGAACUAGUAGUUUCUUACAGUUAACUCUCACAUUGUCCCAAUUCAGACCUUAAUAAAGACCGGGUGUGACAUGUUGGGGAGAGCUUAGUCACAAUACUGUAGUGGAAUGACUUCAUGACUAAAUAAGUUUAUAAUUAAUAGGCGAAAAGUUGGAACUUAAUUAUAAAUCACUUAAUCCUCAAUCGCAUAUGUCCAAUUGCUCCAUAUUUUAGCUCGUUGAAACUAGAAAUGAAUUGUAUGUUAAAUCAAAUUAAAAAGAGGAAUAAAAAUGGUGAAAAUGGAGAAAUGAGAAAUCAUUUGAAAAUGAAAAUAGAGAAAUUGAAACAUUUGGAAAUGAUUAUGGUUUUCUCCAAAAUGAAAAUGAAAAUGAAAAUGGAGAAAUAAAAUCAUUUAGAAAUUAAUGUGGUUUUCUCCAAAAUGAAAAUGAAAAAUUAAAAUGACCUGAAAAAUGAAUUUAUGUUUUUUGAAUUAAAUGAAGUUUGAAAAUAAAAAAUAAAUCAUUUGGUCAUAGUGAAUUGUUGAAUAUAAAAAAUUAAAUACAUUUUCUCAUAGAUUCUUUUACGGUAAAAUCGUCAUGAUUUUAAUAGAAUUAGAAUUAGGUUGAGAAGAUUAUUUAAUUGGAAAUAUAUUGAGAAGUUUAUUUUGGAAAAUAAAAAAAUAUCGGGUUGGAUCAAAUUAUAAAGUAUUGGGUUAAAAGUCCGGAAAGUACUUAUAAUUGGAUCCGAUAUGGGAGUGGCUUAAAAGCCCCUCAUGUUAAAGGGGUGGACACUAACUAGGGCUGUCGCCUCUUAUACUUCUAGUUAUACUAGGAGUUCAUUUUUCUAGUUGAAAUAAACUUUUACAAUUCAACAAGGGUUCUACCUUCUCUUUUUAUAAAGAGAUGACACUGGCAGGACUAUUGACACAACUUAAAAGUAUUAUUACUCUAUUCGAAAAUAGAGAGAAUUUAUUCUAAACUAUUAAAUCUAUUUUCUGGAUUAACAAUUAUGUCGGUCUCUAUUUGAGAAGAGAUUUUUUUUUGUUUUUACACUAAAAAAAAAAGAAAAUUGUUUUUAGUUUUGUGUUUGAUUCAAUUUGUCCAAGCCCACAUUCGAAGCAGUUCGUGGUACGAAAAUAGCAGAGAAUAUCGUUUGGUUGAAAGUCGAGAACGAAAAGAAUUCGUCUAUUCAAAAACACAAGUGCGAAUUCGGUCUAGGGUUUAUUGUUAUAAAUAUCACAAACCUGGUCGAUUUUCAAAAUUUUUAUUUUUCGCUGUGUGAAAAUCGUUUUUGAACCGGAUAUUUUCCAACACAGACUAUGAUGGGAAAUGAUGGGUUGAACGCUGCCACCUUUCAUCUGAUCAUCGAAGCAGUUCGUGGUACUAAAAUAGCGAAGAAUAUCGUUUGGUUGAAAAUCGGGAACGAAAAGAAUUCGUCUAUCUGAAAACACAAGUGCGAAUUCGGUCUAGGGUUUAUUGUUAUAAAUAUCACAAACCUGGUCGGUUUUCAAAAUUUUUAUUUUUCGUCGUGCAAGAAAACCGUUUUUGAAUCAGAUAUUUUCCAACACAGACUAUGAUGGGAAACGAUGGGUUGAACCAACCUUUCAUCUAAUCAUGAUCGUGUUGAAGAAGAAGAAGAUGGAGGAGGCAUGUCAAGUGGCAGAUUUCAUGAGAGUCGCCGGAGUUUUGCCCAAUGUGAUGGCAUAUAAUUUUUUUACUGACGGCGUGCUGUUAUGAGUGUAAGUUGAUGGAGGCGAGCACGGUGGAGAAAUAAAAGUUUGGGGGUUGGGUUUUUGUUUUAAAUUUACACAAAUUUUUAAAAAUUAAAUAUUUUCAUUCUGUAAAUGUUGAGGGUUAAAUUUUUUGAUUUUUUUAGAAUUUGAACUACAAUGACAAAUUUUGUAAACAUUGAGGGUUAAAUUUGUUGAAUUUUUAUUUUUAGGCUCAAAUUAAUAGAAUGUGUAAGCAUUAUAGGGCUAAAUUUGUUAUUAGACCAAUAAAAAAACCCACUUUAGCACUUCUGUCAAAUUUCAAACGAAUGCUAACGUUUAGUGACCAAAAAAAUUGAUUUCAAAUAGUUUAGUGACUAAAUAGAAAAAAUUAAAAGCUUAAAUAGUUUAGUGACUAAAUCGAAAAAAUUAAAAGCUUAGUAACCAAAAUAGAACACGACCAAUAGUUUAGUGACCAUUUCUAUACUUUACCUAUUUAAUUAAUCGUAAGGAUUUUCUUUGCUUUUAGCUUAGCAUGGAAGAUUCUAAGAUCAUAUAAUAAAAAAAUUGUGUUUCAUAGAUAAUUAAUAAAGAUGAGUUAUUUGAGUUGAUUAUAUUUUGGAAAUAUAAAAUAAAAUUUAAAAUUUUAGAAGAAAAUUAAAUAAAUUAUUUUUAAUAUUAUAGUAACAAAUUGGUUAACACUAUCAAGUGAUGAAUUUUUUUCAAUAAUUUAUUAAAUUGAUUUUGAUGUCUUGAAAUUUAAAAUUUCAAUAAAAAAGUUAGAACUUUCGACAAUAGGGUAAACAUGUGCAAUUUGAAAGCGGCCUAGAAGUUGGGUGAUCAAAAUGAAAGUGUAAACAUAAUGUGACAUGUACAAUUAAUCGUUGUUAGAAAUUUAACACUUAGAUGACUAAAAUGAAAGCAAUUUAAAAGUGGGGUGAUAAAAUUACAAAAAGUUUAUUUUUGAUGACCAAAAUUAAAACACCCUAAAAGUUGGGUGACUAACUAGAUAGCUUACCAACUCAAGGCAUUAUUCUUAUUAAAUUUUCUACAUCUCUCCAUACUAUUAUUUAAGUUCAUGACUGAGUUGGUGACGCGGUUGGUGUCACCCUCAACCGGGUCACCAACUCGGUUAGAGAAAUUACGGACAUGCUUUUUUGUAAUUAAAAUAAAUUAUACUACUUGGGGUAUUUUAAUAUUUUUAAUUUUAAAAAAACAAUAAAAAUAAGCAUAUUAAGGGGUUUGAACCCAAACCAAUUGUAUUAGUAAAACUUUAAUUUAUCAUGCAACUAGAGCAUUAUGUUAAUAUUUUUAUACAUUUUAAUUUUAUUAUGCACUAUUCAUUACUUCCAUCAUUUGUAUAUAUUAAUAAUGUAUUUAAUUGAGUUGGUGUUACAAGUUAACUCGACACUGACUCAAGAUUAAAGACAACACAAUGAUAAAUAAUUUAAUUUAAUUUUUUUAAUUUUAAUACUGUACAUAUUUCAAUAUGUGUUAUUAUUACUUAGUUAAAAAUCAUGCAUUAUAUUAUUUAUUACACAUUAUUUUUAAACAUACAUUUAUAGUUUCCACGCAUAACUGCGUAUGAUAAACUUUAUAAGAAAACAUAAUGUUUCUCCAUUUAAACAAAUUCACCAAGUUAUUACUUAAAAAAUGAUGAUAUUAUUAUCAUAUUUUUUUAAUAACUAAUACCAAGUUAGGUUUAAGUAAAAGAAACUCUUUUAAAAUUCAAGUAUUACUCUUUAAACACCUCUGAUCUUAGUGGCCUUUUUUCCUUUCUUUGCCUUGCCUUGGUAUAUAUAUAUAUAUUUUUUUUACAAAAGAGAGAUUAACUCUAAUUAAUAAAAAACGAAAUUACAUUACAUCAGGUAGAUCAUCAUGUAAAGACUGAAGGAUUUCAUCCGGGGGUUGCAUGAAUGUAACCUUGCCAAAAGGUGUUGAGAAAGCCAUUUGUGCCAAACCGUCCACUACCUUGUUGCCUUCUCUGAAAGCAUGUAUUAAGUGAAUUGUCGAAUUACGUUGGAGAAGCUCUUUGAUGUUACGGAUCACAAAAGAAUCAUAUUGCUCUUUUCCAUAUUCUUGAAUUUCUUGAAUUGCUUCUUUACUGUCUGUCUCAAGCACCAUUUUCUUCAACCCGAGACUCCACGCUAUUUGGAGCUCAUCAAGUAUACCUCAGAGCUCAGCCAUGAGUACCGAGCAACUCCCGAGAUUUCUUGUGAAGCUUGCAACCCAUACUCCAACCUGGUUACGGAUUAAUCCACCCACAGUAGCAGUCCCUGAAAGUUGACACAUAACACCAUAAGUAUUCACCUUCUUCCAUCUAGUGGUUUACGUCUUAUGGCUUUACAAGAAUCAGCAUUUAUACGCCUCAAUGUCUGGUUCAACCCAUGGUUUGCAUUAAGAAAAAUGUCUUUCAUCCAACAACUUUUUCCCAAAAACACUAUCGGUUUCCAUAAACUCAGCAUGAAAUACAUAAUUAUUUCUCCUAAUCCAAAGUUGCCAACAGAUACUACCAAACAGUGUUACCCAACCGCUAGGAAUACAGGCAAAAUAUUCACGAUCAGAUAGAUUUUUAACAAACCAUUCUUCCAAGCUGAGACUCAUGUCUCGUUUCCACCUUAGUAACAGAAAGCCAAGUUUCCACAGCUGGGGUACAAAAUCGCAGUACAUGGUCAGUAUUUUCCAACGCGCUUCCACAAACCAUAUAACUUGCAUCAGUAAUCAUUUUUCUUCUCACUCUGUUCUCAUUGGUUAGAAUUCUAUCUAAAAAAUGAAAACACACGCCUUUUGAGGAACUCGAAUGUGCCAAAUCCGAUGCCAAAUCCCAUCGUAUCUGCUCCUUUCCACCCCCACAAUUAGUAGCGUAGACAGAUCACACUGAAAACAAAUUCUUUUUAUCGUGAACCCAACUUGUAGAGUCAUCAACGUCGUGAUCUGAUGGAGGCUUAUAAGUUGAGAUGUUUAGGAUGACUGGACGUGGCAGAACCGAGUUAAGAAUAGACCAAUUCCAAUCCCCACUCGGCGUAACAAGCUCCUUCAUAGAGACAUGCUUCUUAGGAAUGCCUUCGGGUUGUGUACAACUGUUUACUAGGGAACCUUGUAUAACUUUAAUUAACUUUUAGAUAAAUACAAUUCUUUUAACAUCUACAGUAAAAAUUAAAUUUCCAGCUAAUAUCAUAUAGUUUGGUAAAUACAUCCAACAAAUAAAAAAUUAAUAUGGUGGAUGCGAAUAAUAUUAUAGUAAGAGGAUUUGGAGAGAGAUUUAAAAUUAUAUAAAGAAAAUUAAGACUAAACUUAGAUGAAGCUGAAUAUACCCUAAACGCUAAGCAAAUUAUAUAAAAACCAAGCCAUACAUUGUGUAAGUGAACAUGUCCGUGAUGCUCUUGAUCUCUGGGUUGUCCAUGAAGUGCAGCUGGCCACCUUUCGUCACUUUCAAUAAAUUUUAUUUGGAUCGACCCACUCUAUGUGAAGCAAUAUAGGAUAAUCUUCGAUUAAGGAUAUGAUGGAUCCAUAAUUUUACUUUGUUUAACAAAUAUUCUUAUUCUUGUUUCUUCCUCAUUUAUUUAUCCUAUAAUAUCACCCAUUCCAUGCACGGAUUUAAAAUUGUUGUUCCUCUUCCAUUUUCUUUCUUCUUUAAACAACCAAUGCAACUCUUACAAAUUACAUCCAUCAACAAAUAACAUAUUAUUCUAUUAGCAAUGUAUUUUGAAUUAUGAAUAAAUUAAUAAUUUUAACAACUUUAUUCUAUUAACAUAAAUGAUGCUUUUAACUAGAUUACAAAUAUUUAAUAUAUAUUAAAAAUAUUUGUCGAGAAAUUCUUUGAUUUGAAACUUUAAAGAGUACAAAUAUAUGCUAGUGUGAGUAAAGGCAUGGAGAAAGUCAAAAAUUAGUAUCAUUGAUGGGAAUGAAGGAUUUCCAUUAGAAAAGUAAAUGGAGAUACCAAACUUGGAUGGACUUGAAGUCCUCCAAAGACAAAUAUGGGGAUAAACUAGCAUAUGAUAGCACUAUAAAUAUACAUUUCAGAUGCAUCCAUUCUCCAUUUCAGUUUUCAUAGCUACCAACAUGAAGCUUGUAGCAGCCAUGGACGCCUUUGAUUCUUUCAUGCCAUACUUACUCCACUUGGUGCUUCUAUACGUCUCUGCCGGUCUCUUUUACUUUCUUUACAAAUACAAAUCUAGCGGCGGCGGCGGCCCCACCCCCAACCUCCCUCCUGGUAAAAAGGGUCUUCCAUACAUCGGUGAAACCUUGGAUUUUGUAUUGGCGUCCAGAAGGGGAACUCCAGAGAAAUUCGUGACUGAUAGAACUACCAAAUAUUCACCUGAUGUGUUUCGCACAUCACUGCUUGGAGAAGACAUGGCCGUCUUCUGUGGCUCCGCUGGUAAAAGUUCCUUUUCUCCGGCCAAAACAAAUAUGUCACUUCAUGGUGGCCGGAUUCUAUUAAGAAAGCUUUGACGGACCCAUCUAGUGUUGACUGUUGACAAUUCUUCCAAAGAAGAAUCCACUAAACUUCGAGCUUAUCUGCCUCCUUUUCUCAAGCCUGAGUCCCUGCAACAUUUCAUACCAGUCAUGGAUAUAAUGGCCAAAGAGCACCUAAAUCAACAUUGGUCGCCGUAUAAUGAAGUCCAAGUUUUCCCACUCUCCAAGAAGUACACGUUCGCACUGGCUUGUCGUCUUUUCAUGAGCGUCACGGAUUACGACGAGAUAGAGAACUUCGCGAAGCCAUUUGCUCUUGCCACUGCGGGUCUCAUGUCGGUUCCCAUAGAUCUUCCAGGUACAACUUUCAAUCGGGCAGUGAAGGCCGGCAGACUGAUUCGACAACGGCUUUUAGCCCUCAUUACCCAGAAGAAAAAUGAGAUAUUGGAGAAAGGGAAAACAGUAGCCUCAGACUUGGUUGACAGCAUGCUGAUGGAUGGUAUGACUGAGGUUGAGAUCGGCAAUAAGAUUGUGGGCUUCUUUAUUGCCAGCCAUGACACAACAAGCACUGCCAUCACCUUCAUUGUUAGCUAUCUUUCGGAUUAUCCUGAAGUAUAUAACAGGGUCCUUGAAGGUACGUGAUUUAGCUUGAUUUUAAGCACCCAUGACAUUGGAAUGGGACUAUUCAUGAAUAAAGUAAUGUUUUCAACUAAUUGCUGGGAAUAUGCAGAACAAAUGGAAGUAUUAAGAUGCAAGGAGGCAGGGGAGCCGUUGAGAUGGGAAGAUAUACAGAAGAUGAAGUAUACUUGGUGCGUGGCAUGCGAAGAAAUGAGGUUGGCUCCGCCUGCUAAUGGAUCUUUCAGAGAGGCCAUAACCGACUUCACUUACGCAGGUUAUACAAUCCCAAAGGGAUGGAAGGUAACUAAUACCUAUUUUUUUUAAAAAUAAAAUAAUGCAACCAUAUAUAAUAAAUAUUGAUUUAAUUGUACUAAAAUGGUCAGGCGUUUUGGAUGGUGCAUACAACGCACAAGAAUCCGAAAUACUUUACGGAUCCAGAGAGAUUUGAUCCAUCAAGGUUUGAAGGGAAUGGUCCUGCACCCUACUCCUUUGUACCAUUUGGGGGAGGUCCUCGAAUGUGCCCUGGCAAGGAGUAUGCUCGACUCGAAAUCCUCACUUUCAUCCGCAAUCUGCUUACCACUUUCAAAUGGGUUAAACUCAAUCCCAAUGAGAAGAUUUCCUACAUUCCAUCACCCAUUCCUAAGGAGGGUCUUCCCGUCAAAAUGCAACCCCUUCUAAAUUAAUUGUUCCUAUUUAAUAACUUUUCCACAAGUGAGUUAAAUGUCUCACUCUUAUUUUUAAUUAUCGAUAGGGUUUCAAAACUCUAUAAAUGCUUGAUGUAAUAAUAUCUUUUAGGGUAAACUACACCCAUGGUCACUUUUGUUUACCUUAGGUUACAUUUCAGUCACUUAUGUUUGAAAUGUUACGUUUUAGUCACUUACGUUAUUGUGUUGUAACAUUUUAGUCACUGAGCCGUUAAUUGUCGUUAAUGGUGUAAUGGUAAGCUGACGUGGCACGUUAAAUUAUCAUUUCAAACAAAAACUUUAGGUUAAAUUAUACAAUUGGUCCCCAUAAUUUUUCGUUUUGAGCAAUUUAAUUCUUUUAUGUUCUUUUAACUUUCUUUCUUUCUUUUCUUUAUUUUCCAUUCUCUUUUGCUUCUUCCUCUGUUUUCCUACCUUCUUUUUUUUCUUUUAACAUACCAGGAAGUCGAAUUGGUAGUGAAGAAAGAAGCAUGGUAUGGGUUUAUGGAUUUUGGUUAUAGGCAAAUGAUGACAGUCGACUUCCUACUUAUUUUUUCACUGCCAAUUCGACUUCCUAAUAUGUUAAAAGAAAUGGGAAAGAUAUGAAAACAGAGGGAGAAACAAAAGAGAAUGGAAAAAAAGAAGAAAGUUUAAAAAACAUAAAAGAAAAAAAUUAAAUUACUUAAAACGAAAAAAAUAUGGGGAUCAAUUGUAUAAUUUAAACUAAAAUUUUGUUUGGAAUGAUGAUUUAACGUGCCACGUCAGCUUACCGUUACACCAUUAACGACGAUUAAUGGCUCAAUGACUAAAAUGUUACAACAUGAUAACAUAAAUGACUAAAACAUAACAUUUCAAACAUAAGUGACUAAAACGUAACCUAAGGUAAACAAAAGUGACUAUGGGUGUAAUUUAUCCUAUCUUUUAAAUAAAUUAUACAAUCAGAAAUAAAUGGCCAGUGCCUCGUUUGGGAAAACUAUGGGUUACUAAUUUGUCUCUAGUCAGCUUUCAUCCCUUUGGAAACCCACAGGUAAAAUCCAAUUUACAGGCUUAGGUCUUAACUACUUUAUUGUUUCCUUGCAUUAUAACUCUGAUUAGGAUUAUGUUAUGUUAUACAAAAUGGACCAUAGUUUAUUGGGGUCAUUUUCUUAUUGUGUGCAAAUGGGAGUCGAACCUUAGGGCAUCUACUGCUACAAUUUCCUAUGUUGCAGUUUGGUUAAAAUUAGGAGUGAGCAAAAUUUGAUUUGAUUCGAAAAGCUCGAUAAAAAAUUCAAAAUUUAAAUUAAAUAGUUUGAGUUAUUUGAAUUAAUCGAGUUAUUCGGAUCAACAUGAAUAAGAAAUCAAAUUUUUCGGCUUAACUCGAAUAGGAAUUACAUAAUUCGAGUUAUCUGAAAAUCUGAAUAAGAAAAGGAAAAACUACGUCGUUUUGAUAAAUGUUUACCUUUUCUAAAGUUAAAAGUCAAAACCAUUAAGUCAAAAGGCAAAACUACGUCAUUUUGAUAAAUGUUUACCUAUUAAGUUAAAAGCAAAACCAUUAUAUUUUUUAUAUAGUUAAAUAAUAUUGUACGUUGUCUACUAGUUAAAUAAUUGGUCCAUGUAAAUGCAACAUUGAGUAUAAUUAAUAGGAUUCGUUAACUUGAUUUGACUUGGCCCGAAAAUUUUUGACUCGAUUUGAUUUGAUUCGAAACGAUUUCAAAUUGAGUUCAAUUGCUAAAAUAGAAUUCGUCAACUCGACUAACUAGAAAUUUUUUGACUCGAUUGACUCAACUCGAUCGAAUGUUCACCCCUAGUUAAGAUCACCAGAAUUACCAGUUCAAUACUUUGAUGUGGAUAUUUUAAGAAAAUUGGUAGAGGUAUUGGAUCUCCCCUAAGAGUUGAUAGUCACACACUUGCUAAAGAAAAGGAUAGAUAUGGUCAUUUAUACGUUCAACUAAAUCUCCGUAAACUUCUUCCUCGUUUUGUUACUAGCGAAGGAUAUAAACAAGCUAUUUUUAUGAAGGUUUGAAUUCUCUCUUGUUGGAAGAUCAACCACUCUAUCGAAAAAUUUCAUGCUUCUACUUCUCCAUUUGUUAAUGCUAUUAACCAUUUAGAUCCAUCGCACUUGGAUGUUCAUACCACUAGUCCCUCUACUUUUGAUGGCUACGGUCCGUGGCUCAUUAUUCAAAGGAAAAACAAGCCAAAGCCGAAAGUAAUUGAUCUCAAGCCUACAACUAUUGAUCAAUUGUGAAGAAAAAUAUCUUGAAUAAAAAAGUGAAGGGCAAGGGAAAAAUUAUCUCAAACUCACCCAACUAUAAAUAUCCUUAAUCCCACUUUGCUUCCCCCAACAAAGCAAAAAGCUAUUAGCUUCCCCUAUGACACCAACAUCAAUUUUGAAUGGUCUAGUGGGAUACUACUGGCGAUUUGUUAAAGGAUUCUCGAUGAUAGCUCUCCCAUUGACUAAGUUACUACAGAAGAAUAUCAAUUUUGAAUGGUCCAAGAAAUGUCAGAAAUGUUUUGAGAAGUUGAAGACAAUGUUAACUAAGGCACCAAUACUAACACUGUAACAUCUCAUACCUGACCCGAUCAUUAGAUCCAAACUAUAGAAUGUCACAUUCGUUGUCGGAGUAAUUAUGAUUAAUCACAUGAAAAUUUCAACUUUAAAUGCCCAAAUGCUAAAAUUUCAACUUUAAACACGAAAACUAACCAUUUUUGGGUCAAAUAUGAGCUUAAGAAAGCUCAAUACCAUCCAUAGGUUGAACUAGGACCAAACUAAAAAGCUUUUAAAAUAUUUCAAGUGGGUGUUGCGACUUCCAAAGCUUGGUGUCACGUCAUUGAAGACAAUAGCCAAGCUUCCCAAUUUGAGGACCAAAUUACAAUUUUUUUAAAAUAAAACAGAGUCGACAUCGCGACCUCAAGCAGGAGCUGCUACGAUGAGAUGGCCUGAGGUUGCGGCAUUCAGGAUGUGAAGUUGCAACAUUGCAAGCAGACCACUAGGUUCCUGUUUCAAAUGUUUUCUACCUAGCAUGUUUAACAUCAUUUUGCAUCAAAGCCCUAAUUUCAUACUAUUAAAACAUGUACAAAAUAUGGUUAUCAAUCUAUUAACAUCACCUUCAUGCUUGACUAUAACCAAAAUCACAAAUCACAACCUUUAUACAAGUAUUUUGGACCAUUUCUAACAUUUGAUAAUAAUAAUAAAAACCCUAGGUACAUGUCAGUAGUAACAUAAUGAAAAAGGGCUAUAAAAACUUAGGUUGAGUUGAUUAGUGUCGCGUGGAUGCGGACUUCACUUUCCUGGGGAUUUGAGAAUACUUGAACUUGCAUACAGAAUAAAUAAAUCGUAUGCUGAGCAAUGGGGCUCAGUGGUACUUUCAUGAUUCAAGAUAACAAAAACAUUCAUAAAUUUUUAUAUAUAACACAUUUACAUAAUGUAUUCAAGUCUCAUCUAUCAAACCAAAUAAUUCACAUAUUUGAUACAAAUAAGAACAUAGAUAUGCCAAGUAACCAAUCCAUUCAUCAAUAUAUGCAUGACAAAUGAACUAUGCAUACCAUUUGACAAAUCACUUAUAUCUUUCUAGCUAUCCUUAUCAACUAUGUGGUCACAUAUAUCUAUAUGCAAUUUACAUUAUGGCAUUCAUGUUUCAUAGUACUAUUAUUUUCUUACCAUUCAAACUCAUUUAUGGAUUCUAUCAACUCAUUCGUACUCGUUUUGGCCCCCAAGGCUCGUUCUCAAAUAAUUUGCUCAAUAGCUUACAUGAUCUUUCUAUCACAUUCCACAUAGGAAUACAAGUGAAACGAUUUCAUCAUACAAUAUUACUUAUCAAGUUUGUCAUUUAUAAAUCUAUUAACAUGACUUAGACUCGGAAAUAUACACGGAUCGUCCAUCCAACACACCAAACUGGCACCAAAGUACAUCGGAUAAGCCAAAGUAAGGUAAACUGGCAUGUAAGGUGCAUAUUGGCACAUAAAGUGCAUCUUGGCGCACAAAUCGCAUACUGGCACAUGAAGUGCAUCCUAGAAAACAAAGUGUAUAUCUGGCAUACGAGGUGCAUCCUAGAGCAUAAGCGUAUAAUCUCAUACACAAACCAAUCCCAUGACAUGCCAAUUAUAUCCAACACAGCCCGAACAACUAAUAGGGUACCAACAUUUAAUCUAUUUUUAUGAUUUAAAUCAUAUAACAUUCCUUAAUCGUAAUCAUAAUCCAAAUCAUUAUCAUUAUCAAACCCAUACAUUUCAUAUUAUAUAACAUAUUCUAUUUCAAUUUCCAUAUCAAAUAAUAUAAUUCAUGUUUUUCAUUUCAUUUUCCAUUUUAUUCAUUUUAGUCCUCUAUCCUGAUAAUCCCUACCAAACUUGAUCAAAACAUGACAUACUAUCAACAUAUACUCACCUCAAUUAUUCACCAAUCAAUAAACAUGCAUACGCAAGCAAAUAUUUUUAUCUCAAAUCAUAAAAGUACAAAUCGUGGUCUCGUGUCACUCAUCGACUACUCUCGCUUUCCCUUUCUCUCUCAAAGUUUCUACGUCAACGUUAGCUAUGAAUAGUCAUGAAACAUAACACACUAUCAAUUUCCCACCAAUCCAUAACAAAAUAUCAAUGUAUGCAUAUUUUUUAAUUUAUUCAAUUUAGUCCCUACAACUGGAACAAGCAUAACUUUCAAUCUAAAGUUUCGGAUUAAAAUUCGAUUUCACAUACAUUCAUUAGGAACCCUCUACUUUCUAUUCCUACUAAAAUUUCAUAAUAAUUUUUCAUUUUAUUCAAUUUAUUCCUUAAUGUGCGAAACUAAUAAUUAAACUUUACAAUUUAUUAUUCAAUUUAUUCCUUAAUGUGCGAAACUAAUAAUUAAACUUUACAAUUUACUCAUUUUCUUAAUCUAAGCUUAAUUUUUUAACAAUUCCACACCUAAUUUAUUCAAUUCUCAAUAAUGGCAACUUAUCAAAAUUUAACCAAUUGGUCAAAGUGAUCCAUGGGUUAGCUUGGUCAAGCUUCCAUGACAAAAAAAAUCUAUAAAAACCAAAGAAAAAUUACUAAGGACUUACUUGUAAUAUUGAUCGAAUAUCAAACUAGGUUUUAAGCUUUCUUCCUUCUUCAAAAAUGGUGGAUGGUGGUUCUUGAAAAGAAGAUGAUAACUUAAUCAUCUUUUUCCCACUUAUUUAACUUAUAUAGCAUGAUUAAUUUUAGUUAAACUUAAUUAAUUUGCUUAAUCAUGAUUAAUUAAACCUUAAUCCUUAAUUAACUUAAGUUAAUGAAAUUUAACAUCACAUCCCACUAUGAUCCAUAUAAAAUAGGUCUGUUGGCCAUUUUAUUCUCUUGGAUAAUUACUAUUUAAGUCCUCAAGCCUUAUCCUAAUAAAAAUCUAUAGUGAUUAAAAUUUUACAAUUUAGUCACUAGGUCUUAAUUAACCCCAUUUUUUUUUGCUAAAUUACCUAAACAAAUUUCAAUUCAUCAAUAUACUAACUUCAUAAAUAUCACUAUUUAAUAUUUACAAACUCGAUUUACGAUAACGAGGUUCUGAAAUUGCAUUUUCCAACACCACUAGAAAUUAGGUUGCUACAAACAUAACCUGAAUUAGGAAAGGAUUUUGUAAUAUUCAGUAAUGCAUCUCAUAAUGGUUACCGAUCAUAGGAGUUUGACGAAUUUUUUAGUGUUCAAUGACGCGUCUCAUAAAGGAUGUGGAUUGAUGCAAUAAGGCAAAGUAAUUACAUACGUUUCUCAACAACUCAAACCUCACAAGAAGAAUUAUCCUACUCACAAAUCUGAACUUGUAGCCAUAGUUUCUGUUUUAAGGAGAAAAUACCUUUACGGUAAGAGAUGUCAUGCCUUUAUCGAUCAAAAAAGUUUAAAGAAUUUGUUCACGCAAAAAUUAUUGAAAUAUCUCUGUAAUUCAAACUUUUAAUCCAACUAUUCGGUUACUUAGAGAGCUCUCAAGAAUUCUUAACACAUUAUUGAGAAAGGUGUCCAAUGGAUUAUAAAAUAUGGUUCCCGAAUUAGUUUCUGGCAUGAUAAUUAAACGAGCAUGGGUCCUAUUCUUUUUUUUUCAUUACCCCUUUCUACCCAAGGAAGAUUGUUUCUUGGUGAAAAACUUUUAUGUUGGCUCUUAUAACUCUUCCUUUGCUAUUUCAAACAACAUCAAUGAUUGUAUUCUUAUGCACCCCACUUCUUUUUUUUUUAAAAGAUGGUUUUGAUGUUUUGUGUUGGAAAGCCACUUCUAAAAUACUCUUUUUCAUGAAAUUACCUUAUCAUAUUGCCUCCAACCUUAUCAAUGCUCUUCUUGAUUCUAGUAAUUGGUUAUUGUCAGGGGCGAAUUUAGGGGGGCUGGUAAGGGCCUUGCCCCCCUAAAUUUGUAAAAUUUCAAUUGUGCAACACCCUAGACCCGGCUUAGAUGUCCAGUCCAAGUUUAGAGAGUUACAUUAUAAAUACUCAAAUACUACUCAAGCCAUAAUAAUACCAAACCAUGAUUCACAUAAAAAUUCAACACAAAGAUUAGUUAAAUAUAUAAUCUUCCGAAGUCAUACACUAUUAUAGUUUAAUGAAAAUCCUAUCAAAAUAUUUUAAAGAAAGCUAAUAGUUCGACUAAGCUCCCACGGCACCAACCCAUUCAAGUCUGUGAACGACCUGAAAUUCAAGCAAUAACAGAAUAAGUUGUGAAAUCAGUGCGUAAAAGAAAUUUAUUCAAUUAAUGCUCAUUUAAAAAGUAGUUCCAAAUUCAGAGAUUCAGUUCGAUAUAGAAGUAAUUUCAGUUUAGAUUCAGAGCAAAUCAGCUACAAAUGUACAUAUAUGCAAUUACAGGUCAUACACGAUACAAAUCAGAUUCAGAUGCAAUAUUCUCAUCCUCGCCCACUGCACACCAUCUUCGGCCAUCCCAAUACACCAUUAAGGAUAUUCAAUGCUCAGCCAACCCUAUACACCUUAAACUGUUCGUUGACACUUUUACAGAAAUGCAGCUUAGCUAUUAAUUCAAUAUUCGACAAGCGCCAGAAUCAGAUUUAUACACAUUGUGGCGUAGCCACGAUUUAGAACAGAUUUCUUCCUCCUUCACAAUAUCCCAGCCCAUGUCGGUGCAGAACACAAAUACCCAUAUGAUGUAUUCAGUCAUUCUAAUUCAUUUCACAAUCAAAUAAGAUAGUUCAACAUCAAAAUAAGCAUUCCAGUGUACUUAUAACUAAGUUGUUCACAGAUCAAUCUCAGGGUAUCAGACAGUUCUAAUAUAAUUAAUUUCAAUCAUUCGUAAAUCGAAGAGGCCAGUAUCAGUGUUAAGUAACAUUUUUAGCCUCGAAAAUAGAUUUUGGGCCUCAAUAACAUGCCACACGACCAAGUGGCACACCCAUGUGCCUUGCUCGUUUAUUUUCGAAGCAUAAACAAUGAAUUACAUGGUCUGGACACACACCUGUGUCCCUGGCCGUGUGGCUUUGUACCCAACACAGUGAGUUACACUGCCUGGGCACACGUUCGUGUCCCUGGCUGUGUGGUUUUGUACCAGAAAUAGUAAGUUACACGGCCUGGGCACACGCCUGUGUCCCUGGCCGUGUGGUCUUGUACCACAAACAGUAAGUUACACGGCGUGAGCACACGCUCGUGUCUCUGGCAGUGUGAGCUCUGCACUAAUAUGGCCAUACACGCUCUAGACACACGACCGUGUGCCUUGUAAAAUUAAGGUUUUCGGUACACACCUAAUUUUGCUUUGACGGAGAAACAACACGAAGACUAUCCGGAACCUAAUUAAUCACUCAAUAAUCAAUUACACCAUCGAUUUCAAAAUUUUAGCAAAAUCAACCUACCGCCAAGAUUAUGUCGAAAGUUUUGAUGCAAUCCCAAGUCAAUUUGUAUACUCACCUCGCACGAAAUAGAGGAAAUCAGACUAACACGGCGAAAUAACGUCUCUUGUAAUAUUCUCGCCUAAAAAGAUAACCAAUCAAAUGAUUAAACAGAAUGUUCAAGCAACCGAGAAAAAUCCCAUUUCAAUAGAAUAUUGUUAACACCACAAAACUUGCAAAAUGAGAGAAAAUUGACGACGAAACUUGCUAAAUACUCGCACAAUCAACCUUACAAGUAACAAAGAACUUCCAAUUAAUGCAGAAUUGAAUAAUUUAAAAGGAAAAAUAAAAGAACAGAAGAACCAGAAAAGAAAACAACUUUUAAAAAACAAAGAAGAAGGUACGAUAGAAUUUCUUUAGACUAUCUUAAGUUAACCACCAUCCCACAUUCUUGCAUUUGCAAAAAAUAUUUCCUAAUGCAUAUGAUGGGAUUCGAACUCACAACCAAACAGAAUAUAGACAGAUGCUUAACCAGUGAACUAGCAGGCUCAUUCUUGAUACCGAUUUACCCAGAAUUGGACUUAACUACGAAACACAUGGAUGAAGGUUGUUUUAAAAAUAAUAACAAAACUUUUAACGAUGCUACUGAAACUUCAGACCUUAAACACAGAAGCAUAGCACAGAACCACAUAUACGAAAAUUUAAUUACUGUAAUUUCUCACAAUUAAAUUCUUAAAAAUUUGGGGCAUUACAACUCUCCCCCUAAAAGAAAUUUCGGCCUCAAAAUUUUACCUAAGUCAAACAGAUACGAAUACAGUCAUCGGAUUGAUUCUUUCGAUUCCCACGUGGCUUCCUCAGUACCAGGGUUCCAUCAUAGGAUUUUCACUAGAAGAAUAGUUUUCUUCCUUAGCAUCUGAACAUCACAUUCUAAGAUCUAGACAGGUUCCUCUUUGAAUGCUAAGUUCGGCCGCAAUUUAAUCUUGUCGACAGUAACAAUAUGUGACGGAUCCAACCGAUACCGUCUCAGCAUCGAGACAUGAAACACAUCGUCAAUCUAAUUUAGCUUCGACGAUAAUUCUAACUGGUAUGCAACAAGUCCGACACGCUUUAAGAUACGGUAAGGCCUAUUGAACCUCGGGUUUAAUUUGCCAUUAUGUCCGAAACAGAGGACCUUUUUCCACAGUAAUACUCUCAAGAAGACUUAAUCACCAACAGAAAACUCGAUGUCUUUUCUUUUUAAAUUAAUAUAGGACUUUUGCUGAUCAGAUGUGGCUUUCAAACGGUCCCGAAUUACUCUCACAGUGUUCUCAGUUUUAGAAACCAGCUUAUGACCCCAUAUCUGACGUUCAUUUAAUUCUAUUUAACAUAGCGAAGUACAACACUUACGACCAUAUAAGGCCUCGUAGGGUGCCAUCUGAAUACUAAACUGAAAGUUGUUAUUAUAUGCAAACUCCGCCAACGGUAGGUAGUCCUCCCAACUACCCCAGAAAUCUAUCACACAAUCUCGAAACAUAUCCUCCAAGAUCUGAAUAACUCGCUCCGACUAUCCAUCGGUCUAAGGGUGAUACGCAAUACUGAAUUUAAGUCAGGUGCCUAAGGCCUCAUGGAGUUUCUUCUAGAAUCGAGAUGUAAAUCGUGGAUCCCUGUCAAAGAUGAUUGAGAUCGAAAUUUUGUCUAAUCUCACAAUUUAGGUGAUAUAUAGUUUAACUAACUUCUGUUAGGAGUAAUCUGUCCGAAUGGGUAUGAAGUGGGCUGAUUUGGUCAAUCGAUCCACCAUGACCAAAACCGUUAGUAGGGAUUAGAGGCAACCCACUAACAAAAUCAAUCGUUAUCUUCUCCCACUUCCACUAAGGAAUUUUAACUGGUUGAACUAACCCGGAUGGCAGCUAAUGUUCCGCCUUAACCUUUUGGCAUGUCAGACAGUGGGACACAAAAGCGACUACCUCUCAUUUCAGUUCGGGCCACCAGUAGAAUUCUCGAAGAUCCUGAUACAUUUUGUUCCCAGUAAAAUGCAUAGCAUAUGGACUACUAUGCGCCUCCUGAAGGAUCGAAUGCCUCGACUCUUUGUCAUUAGGUACACAAAUCUGACCUUUAAAGCACAACACGUUAUCGCUAUUCAAGCCAAAAUCGAAAGUCUCAUUCGAAUCAACAUGCUGCAGACGCUGAACUAAGGACUCAUCGCUCAAAUGUUUUGCUCUAAUCUACUCUACCAAAUCGAUAUUACCUGUAAUUUAGCCAACAGCCCUCCAUCCUCGACCAAACUCAGACGAGCUAACAUUGCUCUCAGAUCAGUCACCUCUCUACGGCUAAGGGCGUUAGCUACCACAUUAGCCUUACCUGGAUAGUACUCUAUCGUGCAAUCGUAAUAUUUAAGUAACUCAACCCAUCGACGCUAUCGAAGAUUUAAUUCUUUUUGGGUUAGUAAAUAUUUAAGACUCUUGUGAUUGGUAUAAAUAAUACACGUUUCACAAUAUAGAUAGUGUCUACAGAUUUUUAGAGCAAAUACAACCACAGCUAGCUCAAGAUCAUGCGUAGGGUAAUUACCCUUGUGUGUCUUAAGCUAUUGCGACGCAUAAGCGACCACUUUACCAUCUUGCAUAAGCACACACCCAAACCUAACAUGUAAAGAAUCACUGUACACCAUAAACUCUCGGGCUGAUAUUCGGUUGAACUAAGUCAAAAGCUUGUGUCAAAACGGACUUGAGUUUAUCGAAACUAAACUGUUGUGCCUCAGACCACACGAAUGGAGUAUUCUUAUGCAGCAAUUUCGUCAGAGGUGACGCAAUUAGAGAAAAUCUUUCGACAAACCUUCAGUAGUAACCGGCUAAUCCCAGAAGCUACGAAGUUCAGAUAUAUUUUUUGGUCUUUCCACUCAACAAUAGCUUCUAUCUUCUUAGGAUCAACUAGGAUCCCUUCCACCAUUACUACAUGACCCAAAAAAGUGACUUCUUGCAACCAAAACUUGCACUUAUUAAACUUGGCAUACAACUAUUUUUCUUGGAGUAUCUGAAGUACAAUACGAAGAUGAUCAUCAUGCUCAGCUUCAAUUUUAGAUUAGAUCAGGAUAUCAUUGAUAAAAACCAUUACGAAUGGAUUCAAGUACGGUUGGAACACCAGAUUCAUUAAAUUCAUAAAUGCCAUCGGGGCAUUCAUUAAACUGAAAUGCAUUACCAGAAACUUGUAAUAUCCGUAAUGAGUCCUAAAGGCAGUUUUGUAAACAUCAGUCUCUUUGACCUUGAGCUGAUGGUAAUAAGAGAAUAAAUCGAUUUUGGAGAAAACGGAUGCUCCUCGAAACUGGUUGAACAAGUCGUUAAUCCUCGGUAGCGGGUACUUAUUUGUUAACUUGGUUAACAGCUACUAAUCUAUGCACAUCCUCUUUGACCCAUCUUUCUUCUUAACAAACAACACCGGCACCCCCCAUGAAGACACACUCGGCCGAAUAAAUCAUCUAUUAAGGAGUUUCUGAAGCCGUGCUUUUAACUUGGUCAGCUUUUUUGGACACUAGAGCAAUACUUGAUAACAAAUCAAUUCCAAACUCCACCUCUCUAUCUAGAGGUACUCCAGUCAAUUCCUCAAGAAAGAUGUCUGAAAACUCCCUCAUUGUGCGGAUAUCUCCCACUAAAAGUUUCGCGAGAACAUAAUCGGAUACGUAAACAAGGUAUACCUUGCACCCCUUUUGAACUAACUUGUCUGCUACAAGAGCGAAGAUUAAAUUAGAGAGGUAAUUUCGACACUCACCAACCAUGACCACCUCGUCAUUCUCAUUUGACCUCAAAGUAACUCUCUUGGUUGCACAAUCUAGACUGACCCGAUACUCAAUGAGCCAAUCCAUUCCCAAAAUUAGAUCAAACUUAUUAAAGGGUAAUUCCAUUAGAUCAACUGAGAAUACCAUACCCUAGAGCUCUAGGGGUACCCAUCUGUAUACUGUAUCAACUCAAAUUGACUGACCCAAAAGACUAAUCAUAGAAAACUCUUUAGCAGUAUUCUCAGCGGUUAAACCUAGAUUUACAGAAACAUCACUAGCUAUAUAUGAAUGAGUAGAGCCAAUAUUAAUGAGAGCAUAAUACGGAACAGAAUGAAUAAAGAAGGUACCUACUAUGACAUCAGCAUCAUCGCUCUCCUCGCAGUGUCUCGCUUCAUAAAUUAAUACUGAUUGACGAGCCUCAGCCUGACCUGCACCUCUACACAGUAUUCUCUGUCCUCUCCUAGAUCCAUUACCACCGAUACCAGUACCCAACCUCUGAAUGGUAAUUGAACCUCUCUCGGAAGCCAAACAAAAUUUGGCCCCGGAGUCUAUACCGCAGUUAGCACUGAAUCUGGUCGUCGAGGGCAAUCCCUAACUCGAUGCUCCAUUGACCCGCAAAGGAGGCAUGCUCUUAACUUCCUCCUGCACUUGCCCGGACGACGCUUCCCAUAACGACUACACAGCUGAAUCUCAGUCGCAACAGUUAGUGUCUCAACUCUCAGAGGUCUGUCAAACCUCAUCCGCUUCUUAGGGCAUUGACCCGAACUAGAUGAGCCUAAAUCCCUCUUAAUCUUAUUAUGAUCCUUCUCAUGAUCACGUCACUCGCACUCAGUACACUUCACUUCUUCCAAUACAUUUGCUUUGUCAAAUAAGACCGCAAAAACCCGCUCCUUCUAAGGAGCUACCAGAACUUGCGGAUCAUAUCUCAAUCCCUCCUCAAAUCGCACACACUUGUCGUAGUCGGACGCUACCAAAGUCCAUAUAUACGUACUCAGUUGCAGAAACUCGACUUCAUAUUUAGCCACAGAUCGGUCACCCUGAACUAGGCUCAUAAACUUACGUUGGUAGCUUCAACAUAAUUCCCCCACAUACUUACCCUAGAAGGCGUUCUUGAAAUAAUCCCCAUUAACAUGUUCAGGAUGAGUACCUUGUUCAACUGUCAACCACCACCAAUAGGCUUCAUCCUAGAGUAGAGACGCAGCACCCUCAAUAUCUAAGUGGGAGUACAGUCGAGAUCAGUUAUUAUACGCUCAGUAGCCUCGAGCCAAUAUUCAACAACAGUAGGAGCGACUCCUAUGACACUCUUUAAUAAUUUAGGCUCAUUCUACGGCAGUCGUUUAGUGAUCAACCCUCGACCUCUCGAUCUCGAAUGCGUCUCUGUAACCCUCUCUAAUGCUCGAAUCAUGGCCUGAGACAGUCUGUCAUCCCUAGCCAUUAGAGUAUGGGACUCCGUUUCAGUAGUAGGUGAACCAACCGUCUCGCUGGUCUCUAGAUUGGUCAUACUACCCAUAGAGGAUGACUCUACUCGAGCUCCUCCUCAAAAUCCUUAACGCUCCGGCAUACCACGUCCAUGACUACCACGCAAACUCAUUAUGGUAAUCUAGCUAGAAUAUCAGAAUACACAGAUCAAUUCACACAUCCAGCAGGAUGAUUUCACCAAUUCAUAUCAAAACAUUUUACCCAUAACAGUUUAAGUAUUAUAAUCUUUAUAACAGAAUGGAAAUACUUAUAGGGUCAGUGUCGGAAGCUCGGCCAUUCACUAAAAUGUCAGUGUUUCUAUAUUAGUUCAGAUACUAAAUUAUCACUAAGCUACUUUUCUCAUACAUUAUGAGCCCAAACACAAUUCGAGUGUUGACAUGUUGAUGCAGAACACAAAUACCCAAAUCAUGUAUUCAGUCAUUCUAAUUCAUUUCACAAUCAAAUAAGAUAGUUUAACAUCAGAAUAAGCAUUAUAGUGAACUUAUUAUAACUAAGUUGUUCACCAAUCAAUCUCAGAGUACCAAACAGUUCUAAUAUAAUCAAUUUCAAUCAUUUUUACUUCGAAAAGGCUAGUAUAAGUGUUAAGUAACAUUUUCAGCCUUAAAAAUAUAUUUUGGGCCCUAAUAACAUACCACAUGGCCAGGUCACAUGCCCAUGUACCUUGCCCGUGUGGUUCCAAAGCAUAAACAGUGAGUUACACGAUCUGGACACACGCCUGCAUCCCUACCCGUGUGACUCACACGGGCUGGGUACACGUCUGUGUAGCUUUGUACCCUAAACAGUAAGUUACACAGCUUGGGCACACGCUCGUGUCCCUGGUCGUAUUGUCUUGUACCACAAAUAGUGAGUUACACAGCUUAGGCACACGCUUGUGUCCCUAGCCGUAUGGUCUUGUACCACAACUAGUGAGUUACACGGCCUAGGCACACGCACGUGUGCCUAGAUGUAUGAACUUUGCACUAAUAUGGCCACACACGGCCUAGACACAUAAUGGUGUGCCUUGCCUAUGUGGCCCUAAAUCGAAUGAACAGUGAGUUAUAUGACCAACCACACGACCUGGGCACACGCCCUUAUGCCUGGCCGUGUAGCACCGACAACCACCAUUUUUGGUGACCUGAAACUUGCAAAAUUAAGGUUUCCGGUACGCACCUGAUUUUGCUUUGACGGAGAAACAACACGGAGACUACCCGAAACCUAAUUAAUCACUCAACAAUCAAUUACACCAUCGAUUUCAAUAUUUUAUCAAAAUCAACCUACCGCCAAGAUUAUGUCGAAAGUUUUGAUGUAAUCCCAACUUAAUUCACAUACUCACAUCACACGAAAUAGAGGGAAUCAGACUAACACAACAGAAUAACAUUUCUUACAAUAUCCUCACCUAAAAAGGUAACUAGUUGAAUGAUUAAACAGAACGUUCAAGCAACUGAGCAAAAUCUUGUUUCAAUAGAAUAUAGUUAACACCACGAAACUCACAAAACGAGAGAAAAAUAACGAUGAAACUUGCUUAAUACUAGCACAAUCGACCUUACAAGUAAAAAAGAACUUCCAAUUAACACAGAAUUGAAUACCAUAAAAGGAAAAAUAAAAGAACAGAAAGAGAACCGAAAAAGAAAAUAACUUUUGAAAAACAAAGAAGAUGGUACGAUAGGAUUUCUUCAGACUAUUUUAAGUUAACCACCAUCCCACUUUCUGGCAUUUGCAAAAAAAUAUUUCCUAACGCAUACGAUAGGAUUCAAACUUGGAAGCAAACAGAAUAUAGACAGAUGCUUAACCAGUGAACCAGCAAGCUCAUUUUUAAUACUGAUUUAUCCAGAAUUGGACUUAACUAUGAAACACAUAGAUGAAGGUUGUUUUAAAAACAAUAAUAAAACUUUCAACGAUGCCACUCAAACUCCAAACCUUAAACACAGAAGCAAAGCAUAGAACCACAAAUACGAAAAUUUAAUUACUACAAUUUCUCACAAUUAAAUUCUUAAAAAUUUGGGGCGUUACAAAUUGAGUCCUUUUGAAUUUCAAAAGAUUUUUUAUUUUGACCUUAUAACUAGUACUUAAAAUAAGAUAAAUUAUUUUGGCCCCCAAGUUUUUUCAUUGUUUCUUUUAAUUUGAUUUAUUUUAUAUAAUCUAUAAAUUUUUAUGAUAAAUUUAGUAACACUUUUAGUUUAAUUUGAUAAAUUAAUAUAAAGUAGUGUUUAAAUAUUUAUUUGCUAAAAUAGUCACAUAAUUUCAAUAUCUAAUCAUAAAAUAGUAUCUAAAUAUUAAUUAGGUAAAAAAAUAAACUUAAAUAAUUAUAAUAUUUCAUACAAAUUGAGUAUUUAACUUAAUUUGUUUUUUUCUAAAUGUUAAUUUUGGUGAUCAAGAUUAUCUAAAAUUUAAAAAUACAUUGUUUUAUGGGCCAAGCUUACUUUCAACAUGUCUAUUUUAUAUAAAUACUUCGCCUCCCUCAUUAUCAAUAUUUCUGGCUUCGCCCCUAGUUGUAGGUUUGGAACCUCAAACUUCCACUUACACUCUCCUUUUCUCAUUUUGGAAAUUGUGGCCCUCUUCUCCCAAUUUGAUCUUUUCUUUGUUUUAAAGGUCUUGACAUCUCUGUUGUAUGCACUUUCUGCAACUCUUACCCUGGGACAAUUGAACAUGUACUUCGAGAUUGUUCAUUCACUUAUCAUCUCUAGAGCCUUUUUUCCUUAUCCCCCUUCAACUAUAGGUAUGUUCUCCCUUCCUUUAAUGGAUUGGCUCAAUGCUAAUUUGACAUUUAAAUCCUCCUUUCCCCAUCAUCUCAUUCAUUAGCCAACCAUGUUUGCUUUCUUCCUUAAUGGGUUUUGGAUUGCUAGAAAUGCAAUCAUCUUUGACAAACCCAUAAGUGAAAAUGAUAUUCGAUCUAAAUUUAUCACUCUUGCUAUAGAGUACUUUGUUAUUUUACAUAAACCAAAUUUCGAGUAUAUUCUACCUCACUUCACGUCAAAUGGAACCUUCCUUUAAAUGGAUGGUUUAAAGUUAAUUAUGAUGGUUCCUCAUUAGGAAAUCCUGAAACUGUUGGUUUGGAGCCAUUAUUCGUGAUCAUAAUAGUAAUUGGAUUGUCGAUUUUCAUUGUUAUCCGAGCAUGACUACUAAUAUUAUGGCUUACCUUUGGGCUCUUAGUGAUGGCCUUGUGCUUGCUCACAAUGUAACAGCCCAAUUUCAGUAAUGUCGAAAAUGGUGGUUUUGAGACCACAACUCUGACAAGUGAGUUGUUAUUUUGAUAUAUAUUUAAUGUUUAUAGGGUUAGUUUAAGGUAUUAUUAAAUUUUUGUCAAGAAAUUUUGAAGAUUAAAUGGUUAAUUAAGUAAAAAGGACCAAAUUGUGAAAGACACAAAAGUUGGUCUUUAAUAGGUAAAUGGAUUAAAUGGCUUUUGAAAUGCAAAUUAAAGGACAUAGAUGGUAUUUAUACCAUAUGAAAGUUAAUAGACAAUUAUGGGUUUAUUUUUGUCAUUUUGUAAACUAAUAAACUAAGGAUAAAUUAAAUUAGUAAUUAAUAAACAAAUCUUAAACUAAAUUAAGCAAAUAGUGUCAUCUUCCUAAAAUUCUUCUCUUUCACCGAAAUUGAAGAAAUAAAACACCAUUUUUAUGGCUUUAAGGUUCGGCCAACAUAGGAGUAUUUCAUGGUAAGAUUUUGUGACUCGUUUUUAGUAAUUUUUAUAUUUUUGAGCUCGUUUCAACUUAAUCUACCUAGCCCAGGGGUUAAUUUGCAAAGUUGUUAAAUGUUGAGGAACCUGCAAAGUUGAUAGAUUAUUAAUUUUUAUUGUUAAAUUAACAUGAUUUGUUAAGUGAAUUUAGGAUUUAGCGAUUAAAUAGCUUAAAUGGUAAAUUCUAUGAAUUUUGAGUGAAAUGAGUAAAAAUGUGGAUUGAUAUAAGUAUAGGGAAGAAUCAGAUAACAUGUUUUGGGUUAGGAAAAUGGUGAAUUUUCAAGUUAUGGGCUUAAGGACUAAGUUAUAUAAAAGUUAAACUAUUAGGGGUAAUUUUGUAAUUUUAGAUUAAUAUGAAUUAUAGGUUGAAUUGAAUACUUGAGAUUAAUUGAAGUACUUAGUUGAAUUAAAUUAGUUAAUUGAAGUACUUAGUUGAAUUAAAUUAUCUUAGAUCAGGAUAAACAACAAUCGGACUUAAAUUGAGGAAAGGCAAAAGCUUUGGAUUAAUCUCCAACUCUACUUUUGUGACUAUGGUUAUCGAGGUAAGUUUGUAUGAACUAUAAUCUUAUUAAUGAUAGUUGAUUGAUUAUAUACUAUAUUAUGUUGGUUAUAAAUUGACUUGAAUAUAUAAAUAGAUUGACGUUUUGAGUAAUUGAUGGAUAAAUAAUAUCGUUUGAACCUUAAGAAUUCUUAAGAUACGAAUGACAUGUCAUUAGGGAUUUCAUGUUUCAAGUGUUGGUCUUAAAUGUCCUACUGAUGGUUGAGGUCCUGCAUUUGUUGCAGAUUCUCCACAGCUCGUGUGAGCAGCAUCGUGUAGCUAACAUUCUGACCUACAACUCGUGUGAGUACUAUUGAAAAGGAAAGGUUACGGUUAUAUGGAAAGGCACACUAUGUGUGAGCAUUCCCAAGUAUCCAAUGUAAUUCUAGAUGGUUCAAUGGGUAAGCAAAGGUUAAUGGCAAUGUAUGUAUACAAUUGUAUAAUGGUACAUAAUCUUAUGAAAAGGUUAAUGUAAUAAAUGGUGUGUACAUGUAAAUCUACUUAUGAUAUGGUUGAACUUAUAUAUAUCAUGUAUGAACUUACUAACUUGUAAAUUUGGUGGUGCUUAUAUAGGAUUUUACUAAGCUUAUGAACAUGGUAAUGUUGUUAUGUAUAAUUUACAAAUUGAGCUUAAGAAUGGUAAGUUAUGUUUGAGUUUAUACGAGCUUACUAAGGACUAGUUGUUUACGUAGUUAUUUUCCUUUGUUUCAUAUAUUAUCAGAAGCUCGAUCGAUUGGAAGCUUCUCAGAGAUUUAUCACACUAUCCAGCAAUCACUUUGGUAGUUUUUGAGUUAUUUUGGCUAAGGUUAUAAAUGGCAUGCAUAGGACCUUUUUAUAAUGAAUGUCUUUGAGUAUGUUAAUGAAAAUUUUGGUAUGAGUAUGUCUUUUAUGUAUUCACUUUGUUUGUGUGGACUUAUAAUGUUUUAGCAAAUUUUAUACCCUUAGGUAUUUUGUAAUAUAUGGUGUGGGUGGUUGUUUAUAUAUUAAAGCCAUAUGAUUAUGGUCAUUUUAGUAUGUUUUAAUGAAAGGUGAAUGGUUUGACAAUUGAUGUCAUUAGGUAGCUUAUUUGACUAUGUUUUUGUGUUUGAGGUAUGGUAUUAUAGCCUUUUUUUGAUUGAAGUUGUUUUUGUACAAAUGUGGUGCUUUUGAAUGGCAUAUUAGUUAGGUGAAAUAGGUUGAUUGAAUUUGUAACAACCCGAUUCUAGGCCUAGUCGGAACAGUGGUUUCGGGACCACAAAUCCGACAAGGGAAAAUAUGAUUAUUAUUAUAUUUUUAUGGUCUACAAUUUCACAGAAAAUUUUCGUAAAAAUUUCGUUCAAAAAUUUCGACGUUUGGGCACUUAAUUUAGUCAAAAGGACUAAAUUGUAAAAAGUGCAAAAGUUGAGUUCUACAUCUUAGAGGUGUCUAAUUGUUAUGAAAUUUUAAAUUGGAGGUCUUUAUAUGGUAAUUAGACCAUUAGUUAGUUGAUGGACAAAAAUGGGCAUAGAAUUAGUGAAAUAGAUUUUUUUUAAAGUAAGGGCAUUUUAGUCAUUUGGUUAUUAAAUAGAAUUAAAUGGGAAAAAGAUGGAAAAAUAUGCUCAUCUUCUUCAUGGUGAACGAAAUCAGCAAGGGGGAAGCCAUAUUUAGGGUUUUUAAGCUUUCAAGCUCCAUAGUAAGUGAUUCCAAGCCCCGUUUUUAAUGUUCUUUACGUUUUUAGAGUCUCUGUAACUUGGUUUAGCUUAUUCCACCAUUAAUUCGUGUUAGGGUUUAUAUUUGGAAAAAUACCCAUAGGUGAAAUGUGUUUAUUUUGAUGUUUAAUGGUAGAAUAUGAAGCUAAAAAUUAUGUUAAACAAUUUUUGCUAAGCGAUUUUAAACGAAAACUGGUAAAUUGACAUAAUCGGUAAAAAUACCUAAUGUUCAAAAGUGUGUGUUAGAGUGAGAAUUUGAUGUUGUCAUAGAAGGGAAAAAUGUUCAGCAUGUCAUAAAACAUAAGAAUAAGAGAUGAAUUUUAAUUUUCGAGCUUAGGGACAAAAGUGUAAAUAUGUAAAAGUUUGGGGGUAAAAUUUUAAUUUUUCAAAAAGUUGGGUGGAGGACUAUUUUAUUAAAUGUGAACAUUUAAUGAGUUAAAUUUGCUAUUAUAGAUCAAGAAAGACGAGAAGACUACCUCAAACGGGGAAAAAAGAAGAUAGUGGAGUAAAUUACAAAAUUACGAUAUUUUGCACCAAGGUAAGUAAACAUGUGAUUUAAUGCAUUAUUUUGACAUCAUUCAAUAUAUGUUGGGAUUUAAUAGAACAUAGAAUAAAUAUUCGGCAAGAUUCUAAAAAUGUGGUUAAGUUGGGAAAGGUGGUAAAAUGUUGAAAAUAUGGGUUCCGGUUGAACACUCGGAAUAAGCCGAAGUAUUUUAAAUGUGAAGGGGGUUGCUAAGUGCUGAUUCCCCCAACGGGUUGCUAAGUGCUGAUUCCCCGACUCAUUGGUGGUUGCUAAGUGCUGAUUCCACCGUAUCUUGAAUAUAAAGGGGGUUGCUAAGUGCUGAUCCCCCCAAGGGGUUGCUAUGUGAUGAUUCCCCGAAUCAUUGGUGGUUGCUAAGUGCUGAUUCCACCAUAUCUUUGAAUGUGAAAGGGGUUGCUAAGUGCUGAUUCCCCGAAUCACUGGUGGUUGCUAAGUGCUGAAUCCACCGAUAAUGGUUAAUAUUCCGAGUGUCCAACGAGUAAACUGGGAAGGUGAAUAUUUAUAUGUGGUGGACAAGCUUAUAGGAGGAAUAUUGGGUUUGAUACUUAAUCGACCAUGUAUAAGGUGGGAUGAAAUAUCAAAAAUACAACAGGAACAAUUUAAUUACAAAACUGUUUUGAACAACAGCAGUUGGGCAACUUUGAAAAAUCACCAUAAAUGGUGGAAAAUGAAUUAGAGGUUGAAUAAUAUAUGUAAUUGAAGCUGAAUGAGUCUAUUUUCAUACGAAAGAAACAUAGCAAGCAAAAGAGUUGUAUAUUUGGGGAUAUUUGAAUUUAUUUGAGACAGGGUUGGAUUGAUUCGAAAUCCCCUGUUCCAACUUUGGAAAAUCACUAAAAAUUGUAAAAAAAUAAUUUUGGCCUGAAAUUUAUAUGCCUGGAUUCUUUAAUGAGUCUAUUUUUAAUAUAAACAAACAAAAACAUUUUUCGAAUUUUUUACAGGGAGUUAAUUAAAGUUUAAUAAAGGGAUGUCAGAACCGUCAGGCAGUGAAACAUGAGAAUCUUUAAAGAAUAAACUGUACUAAUUGGAUAAAUAAAAAAUUCUGAAAAUUUUAUGGUGGAAAGGUAUAUGAGUCUAGUUUCGGGGAAAAUUUACGGAAUCCAAUUUGGAGCCCUGUAGCUGCAGAUAAAAAUAAAUUGGUGACUGUGACUCAGAAAAACAGCUUGCUGGAAAUUGAACAGUUGAUGAAAUUUAAGUGUGAUUAAAAUUAUGUUACUAUGUAAUCAUGUGAGGAAAUUAUUUAUUUGUCAUAUGUUUACUUACUAAGCUAUAUGCUUACUCGUUUUUAUUUUCCCUUGAUUAUAGUGACAUCAAUCAGCUCGGAACUUGAACGACGUCAGAUAAUCAUCCACACUAUCAUCAAUUUUUUGGGUGUUUUGCAACUAAUACUUUGGAAACAUGGCAUGUAUAGAUGACUUUAUGUAUUGCGGUUUAAAUAUGUAUAUAUAUAUAGUAUGGUUCGGUUUAAAAUGUUGGUGUUUGUUAAUGGAUAAAUUGUGUUUGAACAUACAACUGUAUUUGGUUGGAAUAUUGAAUAUGUUUGGGAUUGUGUUCGAAAAUUUGCAGGGGAUUUUAUGUAAAAAUAAGCAGAAAUGCUGCCGAAAAUUAAAAAAAAAAUAGUAAUAUCUCAUACUCAGUUCCGUUAAGGAAUACGGGUAAGGGGUGUUACAGAAUUGGUAUGUUUAUGUGUAUUUGAAAGAUGUUUUGGUCUAUUGAAUGUAUGCAUAAAUGGAGUGGGUGAUUGGGUAAAUUUUGGUCUUAAAAUGGCUUGUUUAGGGUCAAAUUAUGGAGCAUACUGCCUGGGACACGAGUUGUCACACAGCCUGGCUACGCGGUCGUGUGUCACUUAUUAUUUAAAUUCAAGACUCUGUUAAGCAUAUUCCUAAGUAGUCAGCUUCAACAUACCUACAAGGAGGGUACUUGUUGCACUAAUGCUUUGGCUAAUGCUAGAAUUCAUGUUAAUCCUAACCUUUUUGUCUCAUGUUAAUACCUCUAAUGACUUUUAUGUUGUGUAUUUUGAAAUCCCAGACUUUAUGCGUACUCUUGUGAAUGCCAACUUAGUUGGCACACCUUUAUAUCAUACUCUUUAUAACUAAAUAAAACUCUCCUUUUAUAACAAAAAAGAAAAGGACAGAAAGUGGAUAAAAAAAGAAAGAAAGGAAAAACGAAAAGGAGCGGAGAGGGUUGAGGAAAUAGCUGACUGAAUGUUGGUAGGCUUUUAUCUAGCAUGAUAAUCCAUUAUUCGAAAGGAGGGCAUUCAGGAGAGAGGGGAGGAGAUGAAAGAAAAAGAGAAUAAAAACGGGAUGAAGAGGGAGAAAAGAUGAGGAAGAGCUUAGCCAUCUACUAUCUAGUUGUCCUAAAGCAAAACUGCCACUUGUUUGUCUUAUCUAAUUGGGCUAUGGUUGAUUAUAGACUUGUCUAAUGACUAGGCCACUUAAAGGAAGAGGAAAAAAAACACUUUUUGUAAUAUUUGGAAAAACGAGUUUAGGGGGGGGAGAGAGAGAAUGUCCAUUUAGAAAAUGGUUUGAACUUGGAUUUCAAUAUUCAAUGCCCAAGCACAACCCAUUUUCUAACUUUAUAAUAUAAUAUAUUAACUUUAUUUUAUUGUUAUAUACUACGUAAUAAGAAUUAAAUAUAUAAUACUAUAAUGAAUAUAUAUUUUUAAAAGAAAAGUAAAAAAGAAUAGGUCUAAACAAGCUUGAAUUAGCUAUUUAUAAAUAUAAGUAAGUUUGGACAAAAUUUUAAGUUCAUAUUUCGGACCGAGUCAAACUUGUCCAAAUAUUUAUGAUAUUAUUAACAUGCAUAAAUUUGACUUGACUUAACCCAAGAGCACAUCUAAUUGAGCACAACCUCUCCUCCUUUCUUUUACUAUUUUUUUAUAGUUUAAAAUCUAAAAAAAAUCAUAAUAUUUUUUUAGCAAAAAAAUUAGAAUUUCUUUUUUUGAAUUCCUAUAUAAUUUUUUUAAAAAAAUUUCAAUAUACAUUAAACUUUUAAUAUUAUGCUUUUAAAUCUAUAAUAUUUUAUAACUUUACAAUAUGUUUGGGUAAAUAAUUAUAAAAUAUGUUUGAAUCUAUAUGUUUACUGCAAUAUGGUUAUUAAGAGGUUGAGUACUGCUUUAUCUCGUAGAAGAAGGAUUUGUACUAGAUGAUCAUAGGUUGGGUCAAUGUAAAAAUUUUAAAUUUGUUUUUCAGGUCCGGACUCGGCUUAACUAAACAAAUGGGCCUAAAAUUUUAUUUAAGUUCAACCCAGAUAAAAAAUACUAAAUCUGGACCCGUAUUAAAUUUUUUAGAUUUUUUAUAUAAAAAUAAAUUUAAAAAAUAUAAUACAUCAAAUACUCUAAACACAUUAAAAUAAAUAUUUCUCAACAAAUUGAAAAUAUAUUUUAAAAAAAUUCUUUAUAUUUAAAUAACACUAACAUAGUUAUAACUUAGCAAACAAAUGUUUCUAAAAUAAUUGAAAAAUUAAAAAUAAAAUAAGAGUUAUACAAUAUCUAAAUAAUAGUAGUAAAAUAGUAAUAAUAUAAUAGUGAAACAGUAGCAAAAUAACAACAUAACAGCAAAAAAAUAACAACAUAAAAUCAGUAAACAGCAGCAAAAAAAUAAUUAAAUUCGAGUAAGGUCCAAACUAAAAAAAAUCUUGUCUGAGGCUCAGCCCAUUUAAAACGCGAAUCUUAUUUUUUUCGAAGUUUAUUUUUUGGGUUUAUGUUAUUACCUAAACUCUUUGUGUUUUGAAUGGACUUUGUAAUUCGACUCAUGAUCAAGUCUACUUUAUAAUAAACGCUAUAUAUGAUUGGAAAGAUGGUUUGAUAGGGUACUAAAAUUAAAUGAAAAAUCAUUUAAAAACAAAUUAAAUAUUCAAACAUUAAAUAUAUAUUUUAUAUAUAAUUGGUUUGAACUAAAUUAACAAAUACUUUGAUAAUUUUCAGAAAAUUCCUGUAACGAGAGAAUUAGUCACUGUUGCUAGCGGUUAAUAUCUUUGAUUUCAAUUAAAAAAAUUAUCAAAAUACUUUUUUGAAUAUGAUUUAGUGCAAGUUGCACAAGUAGUUUAAAAUUUGAAGACAUUAUUACUAUUUAAGAUGUAAAUAUAUUUUUUAAAUUGAAACAUUUAAUAUACUUUAUUAUUUUCUAUUUUUUUUUUAAAAAUGAACUAAAUUAAAAAAUGUGCAACAAACUAAAUAGUUAGAAGUUUUAAAUUUAAAUCAAAUUUGAAAUAUAUGAUCUACAUGAAUAUACCAUAAAAUAUAAUGAUUGUAUCAUUAAAAUAUUAAUCAUAUAAAUAGUUACGGAAGUGUGUAAAAUUACUUUAAUUUUUACAUUGUGUAAGUAGAUCAUUCCCCUUAAUAUUAAUAAAUUUUCAUUUUGUUAUAACAUAAUAUUUAAAAUAUGAAUUAAGAUUAAAAAAUAAAUUAUAAAUAUGAAUAUAAAUAGGGUGAGGAAUUAAUACCUUUUUUUAUUCCACAAAUAACUUUAAAAAUUGACAUGUCUCUCUUUCCUUUAAAUAUUUUAUUAUACCAUUAUAAAACACUUGUCAAUCUCUUGGUACUGUUAGUGGAGUCUAAAAACUCCAUUGGCAGUGAACUAAAUGAUUUCUCAUAACUUAUUAUUGAAGUUAUUAAAUUCCACAAGUAAAGUCAAGAGGUUGAUAAAUACCUUUUAAAAGUAUAAUAAAAUAUUUUAAAAAUUAAAUAUUUUAAUAUUGCUUGUAGAAUAAAUAAAUAAAACAGUAUAAUUUUGAAUUAGUUGAAAAUAAUUUAAAUAAUAAUUAGAAAACUAUUUUUUAAAAGAUGUGUUGUAAAAUUUAUUCAAAGUGUAAAACACAAAUUAUUCCUUCAAUGCUUUGCAAAAAAAAAAAAAAAUUUCCUUCAAAAAAAGAUAAUUAUUAAAAAAUAUAGUUAGAUAUAUGUCUAUAUUAAUAAAAGAUUAUCUAUUAACAAAAUUACUUUACUUUAAUUGUCAUAAAGUAAAACAUUAAUCUCAUAUUUAUAUUUUUAAGAUUAUGCAAAUGAGUUCUUUUUAAAAAAAUAUAUAAGAUAAUUCAAGUUUUGGUCUUUGUUGUCGCUGUGGUUACUCAGUUUGCUCUCUCAAUGGAGUUUGUUAUUGCCAUCGUUGGCUCUAUUGUCGCUAAAGCUGUAGAGUAUACGAUCUCUCCUAUCAAAAACCAUGUCAAAUACCUUUCCAAUCAUCAGCAAUAUGUUGAGACCCUCAAGGACCGAGCUGAGAGGCUGAAAGAUGCAAGGGUCAGAGUGCAGCAUUCUGUUGAUGCAGCUAAACGAAACGGUGAGGAGAUCGAAGGUGAAGUUGACAAAUGGCUGUCUGCAGUCGACAACAAGAUCCUUGAACAAGUAGAGAAAGUGAUGCAAGAUGAAGAAAAAGCAAAGAAAAAGUGUUCCAUUGGUUUGUGUCCUAAUUUCAGGACUCGUUACAAGCUUAGCCUGAGAGCUGAAGAGGAGGCAAAGGCUGUUGCCGAGUUACUUGAACAUGGUAAGUUUGAAAGGGUUUCCUAUCGUGCAGCUCCGCAAGGUAUCGUGGUUGCACCAGUUAAAGGUUAUGAGGAAUUCGAGUCAAGAACGUCGAUUUUGAACGGAAUAAUGGAGGCACUAAAAGAUGAUAGCGUCAGCGUUGUUGGGGUGCAUGGUACGGGUGGGAUUGGAAAAACAACGCUGGUCAAAGAAAUCGCUAGAUAGUUCAAGGACAAGUUGUUUGAUUCGGUUGUCAUAGCAACCGUAACUCAAGUCAUCGAUGUUGAGAAGAUUCAGAACCAAAUUGCAGACUUCUUGGGCUUGAAAUUUGAGGAACAGAGUAUGGUUGGAAAGGCAAUUCGACUACGAGAAAGAUUGAAGAAAGAGAAGAGUAUUCUGGUUGUCUUGGAUGACAUUUGGGAAAAGGUUGAUAUUGAGGAAGUAGGGAUUCCUUUGGGAGAUGAACACAAGCGCUGCAAAUUACUAUUAACUUCUAGAGAGCUCAAUGUUUUAUCAAAUGAGAUGGAUGCUCAGAAAAUUUUCCCGUUGGGUUUUUAAAGGAAAAGGAAGCCUGGGACCUGUUCAAGAAGAUGGCUGGCAACUGUGAUGAACGUUGCGAUUUGAAGCCUAUAGCUAUGAAGGUGCAGGACUGCCGAUAGCCAUUGCGACAGUUGCAGGGGCUUUGAGAAACAAAAGAUUGUUUGAAUGGAAGAAUGCUUUACGAGAACUGGGGAGGCCUUCGUCAAGCAACUUCACGGGGAUAACUGCGGCAUAUUCAGCUAUAGAGUGGAGUUUUAAUUAUUUAGAAAGCAAGGAAGUUAAGCUGACUUUCUUGCUUUGCAGUGUAAUAGGCCAUAAUGGUCUCGUUGAGGACUUGGUAAGAUAUACUCUAGGUUUGGGUUUAUUUGAUGGUGUCCACACUAUGGAAGAAGCUAGAAAUAAAGUAUUGACGGUUGUGGCUAAUCUCAAAGCGUCUGCCUUGUUGCUUGAUGGUUAUAAUGAUAAGCGCUUUGAUAUCCAUGAUGUUGUUUGGGAUGCUGCUAUUGCUAUUGCAUUGAAGGACUACCGUAUGCUUGUUUUGAGAGAUCAUGCUCCAAAGGAGUGGUCCGAUAAGGAGAAAAUGAAGACGUGGAAUGUGAUCAGCUUACGUUGUCCUCAUAUUAUAGCUAACCUUCCUAAGGAGAUGGAGUGUUCAGGACUUUCCUUUUUCCAUAUGGCCUAUGAUGGCGCGGUUAAAAUUCCUCUCAAUUUCUUCAAACAAACCGAAGGCCUCAAAGCCUUAGAUUUGGUCGGAAUGCAGUUUCAAUCCCUCCGUAAAUCAAUUAUUCACCUUGCAGACCUUCGCAUGUUGUGUCUGAAAAAAUGUGCAGUUGAUGACAUAACCAUCCUUGGAGAGCUCAAGAGUUUACAAGUACUCAACCUUUCUCAGUCAGGUAUCAAAGAACUACCUAAGGAGAUGGCACAAUUGACUCAAUUAAGGUUGUUAGAUUUGAGUUGGUGUAGAGAACUCAAAAUCAUCCCACCGAAUGUCUUAUCAGGUUUGUCUAAAUUAGAAGAAUUAUAUAUGGAUGAAAGCUUUGUUGAAUGGGAAAAGGGAGGAGUAGUUGAAAAUGAGAGGAAAAAUGCAAGCCUUGAUGAAUUAGAACAAUUUGCCUUGUCUAACUACUUUAUAUGUUCAUAUUCUUGAUCUCCAAAUGAUACCAAAACACUGGUUUGUUGAAACAUUGGACAGAUUCAGGAUUUUCGUGGGUAAUUAUGGAAUAUUUGAUUGUUGCCUUAAUUAUGAAUCUCCGAAAGCAUUGAAGCUCAAGUUAUAUACAAACAUUGAUUUGGACAAUGGGAUGAAAAAGUUGUUGAUAAAGACAGAAGAUUUGUGCCUAGAGGGACUUAAAGGCGUCAAGAAUGUACUUGUGAAGUUAAAUAAUAGGAAAGAUCUUCUAAAUUUAAAGAGACUUCAUGUCAAAAAUGGUAGGCAUGUCCAAUAUAUUAAAACGAACAAAAUUGGAUUUUCUGAAUUAUGCUUCAUCACACUUGAAAAUCUACCGCAACUCGUUAGCUUUUGCUCUCCAGACGAAAGGUGUUCCACUAUGCCCUUCCUACUUUUCAAUAAACAGGUAUUUGUUUGGCUUUACUUAUAUUUCCUUAUACAACUUUUAUUUAUAUGCCCAUUAAUACUUCUAAUAAUAGAAAUAAAUAAUAUUGUCUAAUGGUUUUUCCGAGCUCAAAAAUAAAUUUCAAAUCCAAAACAAAUGAAAAUUUAAUUUUUAAUCCAAACCGAUUGAAAGUACAAAGUCAAUUCAAUAAUCUAAAUUUAAACCUAACAUUUUUUUUUAAUUCUGAAAAUGAAAUUUGAGCCCACAAAUCGAGCUAAAAUUAUCUUUAAAAUCGAAAAUCAUAUUUUCAAAUUAUGUUACAUACUAUCUUUCCCUAUCGAAAAAGAAUUGUGUGUAAAUAUGUGCAAUUUAUUUUCCCUCACUUGGAAAGCUUGUAAUUGUGUUCCAUUAACACCAAAAUAAUAUGGCACAACCAGACAUGUCAUUGGGUUACGAAUUUGAGGAGCUUGAUCAUCAAAGGAUGCGGCAAGUUGGAGCAUCUGUUAUCACUUUCUCUCGCUAGAAGUCUGGUGCAGCUCCAAUGCUUUGAGAUAAAGGAUUGCAACUGCUUAAGGGACAUAAUACUUACAGAGGAAAUUGAAGAAGAAAGGAAAGAUGUGAUUUGUUUCCCUCGAUUAAACUCCCUGCAUAUAGUGGGUCUUCCAAACCUCAUCUUCUUCAACUCAGGAAACCACAAUAUUGAGUUCCCAUUGUUGAAAGUGCUAAAGAUUGAGCGUUGCCCCAAUUUUAUAGAAUUCAUUAGUCAGAGUAGUAAUCAGUCUGGCAUGCACGCUCUCUUCAGUGAGAAGGUGAUUUAUUUCAGUAGUCUUACACUCUUGCAUAAAUCUGUUGAUUUGUCCUUGUUAUUUUGUCUGGCAUUAUAUGAGCUAACUUUUGUACUGGCACGAAUUUUAAAUAGGUUGCAUUUCCUAGGUUGGAAAAGAUGACAAUCAAAAAGUUGAGAAAUGUGAAAAUGAUGUUUCAUAAUAACUUUGCACCAGGUUCUUUUCAAAAUCUACGAGUAAUAAGAGUUGAGGGAUGUGGGAGUCUGAAAAAUCUAUUUCCAGUGUCAAUAGCCAAAGAUCUUCCACAACUUGAAGAUUUAUGCAUCACUAAUUGUGGAGUGGAGGAGAUUGUAUCGAAAGGGGAAGGAGUGGAGGAGCAGCCUGUGAGGUUUGAGUUUCCGCAAGUGUCUUCCCUUGAGGUUACAUCCCUAAAAGAGCUCAAAUGUUUCUAUGAAGGGCAACAUACAAUAGUCUGGCCCCUGUUGAAAAAAUUGAAAACAGAUUGUUCUGCUUUGCUAAAGAUAGUGGCUUCGGAACAUCUUAGAUUAAUCCAAGGAAAUGAGCAGCCAGUUUUGUUGGUUGAAGAGGUAUGUAUAUCAUUACAACUAUAUUUCUUUUUAUGAUUUAAGCCACCGUCACAUCCAUCUCUUGUUGAUAUAUAUAUUAUUUGAAACGGUGGUUGCUUAUCCAUUUUAAUUCGGAUUUUUUAUGCACUUCUUUCAGCUUAUUUUUAUCAUUUUUUUAUUUCUAAGGUAUUGUGCUUUCUUAAAACAAAAUAUUCAUCUAUUUUGGAUUGGUUUGAUUUAAUAUUGAUUUUGUUGAGAUUUAAUCAUCGAUAUCAAACACCAAAAUUGUAGAUCUUAUGUUCUUUUUAAGCAUAUAGAUCAACAUUGUGCCUAACUUGUUUAUGUUUAAAUGGUUUCAAGGUCAUUCCCAAUUUAGAGGAACUUGAGUUAUUAAAUUGGGUAAACUACACCCAUGAUCACUUUUGUUUACCUUAGGUUACGUUUUAGUCACUUUUGUUUGAAAUGUUACGUUUUAGUCAUUUACGUUAUCAUGUUGUAACAUUUUAGUCACUGAGCCAUUAAUCGUCGUUAAUGGUGUAACGGUAAGCUGACGUGGCACGUUAAAUCAUCAUUUCAAACAAAAUUUUAGGUUAAAUUAUACAAUUGAUCCCCAUAUUUUUUUCGUUUUAAGUAAUUUAAUUUUUUUUCUUUUAUGUUCUUUAAACUUUCCUCUUUUUUUCCAUUCUCUUUUGUUUCUCCCUCUGUUUUCAUACAUUUCUCAUUUCUUUUAACAUAUUAGGAAGUCGAAUUGGCAAUGAAAAAGAAGUAGGAAGUCGACUGUCAUUAUUUGCCUAUAACCAAAACCCAUAAACCCAUACAAUGCUUCUUUCUUUACUACCAAUUCGACUUCCUGGUAUGUUAAAAGAAAUAAAAAAGGUAGAAAAACAGAAGAAGAAGAAGAAGAGAAUGGAAAAGAAAAAAGAAAAAAAGAAAGAGAAAGUUAAAAGAACAUAAAAGAAUUAAAUUGCUCAAAAUGAAUAAUUAUGGGGACCAAUUGUAUAAUUUAACUUAAAGUUUUUGUUUGAAAUGAUGAUUUAACGUGCCACGUCAGCUUACCAUUACACCAUUAAUGACAAUUAACGGCUCAGUGACUAAAAUGUUACAACACGAUAACAUAAGUGACUAAAACGUAACAUUUCAAACAUAAAUGACUGAAAUGUAACUUAAGAUAAACAAAAGUGACCAUGGGUGUAGUUUACCCUAUUAAAUUUUGGUGAUAUGGACCAGUUUCCACCAGCCUUGUUUCAAGAUAUUAAAGUUUUUGUUGUGUGUGGUGGCUCUCGAUCUUCUAUAUUUCCUUUCGUCCGAAGAUUUUACAAUUUGGAUAGUUUUUGGCUUUUUGGUUUUGAUUUCAAAUACGUAGUCCCUUGUAAAGGAGACGUUGGGACUCUCACACCAAUUAGAAAUCUGAUGCUGGAUCGUGCAAUGAAUCUUUAUCAUAUAUGGAGGAAAGAUUUGGAGUUUGACCAUAUUCUUUCUAAUCUCCAAAAACUCGAAGUUUGGGAAUGUGAUGAUUUGAUAAAUAUUACAGUCUCCUCCUCAUCUUUGCAAAAUCUCACAACUUUGGAUGUGUCAUUUUGUCAAAUGAUGACAAACUUAGUUACACCCUUAGUGGUUAAGAAUCUUGUGCAAUUAACGAGAAUGAGUGUGGCGGGGUGCAGUAAAAUGACAGAAAUAGUGGGAAAUGGGGGAGACUGCCAUCAGACAAUAGUUGUGAGUAAAUUGAAAUGUUUAGAACUAAGCUAUUUAGAGAGCCUCACAAGCUUUUGUUCAAGGAAUUACACCUUCAACUUCCCUUGUUUGGAAGAAUUAGUUGUGGAACGCUGUCCUAGAUUAAAGACCUUUACUGAAGGAGUUUUAAGCACCCCACAGUUACAAAGAGUAAUACAGUCGCGUUACCCUGAGAAAUGGAGUUGGGCAAGUGACUUAAAUACCACCAUACAACAGCUCUACACGGAAAAGGUACUAAAUUAAUAAGUUCAUAAAACUAGUUAGCUUCUUCCUGUCCUAAUAAAAUUAAUUUUAUUAAUACUUCAUUAAUCAUUGAAGAGUGUUUAUCGUUAUUUUGUUAUUGUUUGCAUUUUCUAUUUGUGAUUGCUAUCUAGUGGAAUAAUAUUAUAAAUUUUUUUUUAGGAUGGAUUCUAUGACGGAUACAAUUUGGACAUCUCUGACACAAUUCCCAAGUCAAUAGAAAUAUGGAUUAGAAACCCUCAAGAAAUUUUGGGCUUCAAAAACCUUGUUUCGUUGCAUUUUUAUAAAUGUAGUAGCUUGAAGUACGUAUUUACUUCGUCUAUGCUUUUGAGCCUCAAUCAACUACAAUGGAUAAAAGUAAAAGAAUGCAGUUCAAUGGAACAAGUGAUUAGGGAGGAAGCAAUGACAGAUAAAUUCACAUUUCUUGCACUCUUCUCCAUAAGAAUUGAGUUGUGUUCCAACUUGACAAAUUUCUAUUUGGGAAGUCAAGCUCUUGAAUUUCCAGAGUUGUAUGAAAUCGCAAUAUUUGAGUGUCCAAAAAUGACUACAUUUUCUUCCUCGGUUUCAAGAGGAGGUGGUGAUGCAAGUGAAAACGUGGUUGGCGAGGGGGGCGUCUAUGAUAACCCUGCAAUUUUUUUCAGCAAUAAGGUAAGUUUAGUAUUCAAUAUUUAUCUGCACAACUUAUUUCACAUUUUCCUUUUAUUUGAUUAAUUUAUAUGAGUGUGUCUGGUCUAUAUAUAUAUAUAUAUAUUAGUGUUAAUGUCACGUGAUACGUGUUGAAAAAAAUUAAUAUAAUAAAAUCCAUAAAAAUAUUAAUAAAUAAGAUAAUGUUUUUUAAUUUGAAGUUUAAAGUAUAAAUAAAUAUAUAAAAUAAGAAUAAAGGAAAAACUUGAAAGUGAAAUACUAAUAAACAAUAAGAAUUUAAGAGAAGUUUUAAAGUUAAUACUAAUGGACAAUAAAUAAUAAAAUAAUAAUAGAAAAUAAAAUAAAAAACUAAUCUUCAUCUAUUUUAAUUUGAAGAAUAUUUGAUGUAUUGGUGGUACACAAGUUUCAUGUAUCAUCGGUGAAUAAAAACAUACAAUUAUCAUUAAAUACCACAAAAAUAUAGUAAAGGGUUAUAAAUAAAUACUAAUAAAUUUAUGUAAACAUAAUUAAAUAAAAAUUAAUUAUAAUUAAAUGUUAAAACCCUAAAUCCUAAACUUGAAAUUCUAAGCCCUUAAACAUAAGAUCUUAAAUCCGAAAGUUAUUAAUAUUUAUUUAUAAUAGCUACGACUAGUGUUAAAUAAAUUUUUCAUCUUUUUUAACUUUUGAACUUGCAUUUUUGUCAAAUCACCUUAAAAUGAAUGAAAAAGUUUAUGUUUGUUAACUUCGCUUAUGUGGCAAUCCAUGUGUAUGCAAAAUUAGCAAUUAAUUAAUUUUAAAAUAUUUUAUAUAUUUUUAAAUAUUUUUAUAAAAUUUUCAAAAUAAAAUAAAAAUUAAUUGUUGACAUGUCAUCUACGGGCAAUCCAAUGUAUAUAACAUCAGCAAAGUUAACAAAUGUCAAUUUUUUUUCUCUGCUUUGAAUGAUUUGACAAAUAACACAAGUUCAAAGGAUAAAAGAAAUAAAAAUUAAAAUAGAGAGCUAAAAUGAAAUUUUUUUAGAAAGUUGGAGGGUUAAAUAAAUUAUCUAUGCCUAACUCUUAAAAAAGGUAACUCAUUAAAUAACUUAAGUAAUUAAUGUAAAUCGUUAAUGGAAACUACAUAAAUAUGUGAGUCCAACUUAAUUAGAAACAAGCAUAUUCCCCUGUCGAAUUGCAUCAAUAAUAAUCAUUCAACAAUCAUUAUAGUAUAUAUGAAAGCUCUAAGUUGUAUAGAAAAAGGCUUCUUUCUUUAAAAAGAAAAAAAAACAAGUUUUGCUUUAGGUUAGAUUUAUGCUGCUGAACAUUUUAUCUAAAUAAAAAAGGUCCACGUCUGCUAGCUAUAUUUAUCAGUUUAUAAAUCUUCAUACUCAUCUACUCUUUUUGAUUGUGUUUGUAAGUAAAGAAGGAAGAGUUAUGGUGUUAUCUUAUAAUGAAAUUUAUGUCAACAGGUUGUCAUUCCUUGUUUGCAGCAUCUGGAAUUGUCCUUCGUUAACAUUCAUGAGAUAUGGCACCACCCAUCCUCCCCAUCCAUCAGAUUCCUAAAUUCCUUGCAAGUGAAGAGGUGUCACAAUUUGAAAUACCUGUUCCCAUCUUUCUUGGUAAAAGAUCUUGUGCAACUCCGACGCCUUGAAAUUUUGGACUGUAAUAUGAUGGAACAAGUAAUAUUCACGGAUGGAUUGGUUGAAGAACAUCAAGGGAGGAAUCAGAUGUUUUUCUCUGAACUAGAAUUGCUGUGGCUAAAAGACCUUCCCAAACUCACAAGUUUCUGCUUUGAGAAUUACUUUGAAUUCCAAUGUUUGACAGAUUUAGAACUAACAAAUUGUCCAUUGCUAAAAACAUUGAUCACUAAAUGUGUAUCCGAAGGUGAACCUGAAAUUGGCCAACAUGUACAAGCGAGUAACUUGGAGGUUCAUAACUCAUCUCUCCUCAAUGAAAAGGUCAUUUCUUUACGGGUUCUCCUUUUAAUUUAUGUUGCUUCGAUUGAUCUUAUUCAUUUGAAGUUCUUUCUUUUCCAUGCAUAUUUCAGUUAUUAACCUAAUGAAAUUGUAAUACCCAAUUUUAGCCCGGGCUCACAUAUGGAAACAUAAUUUUUGAGGAUAUGCAAUCUUAUAUAUGAUAUGCAAUCCUAGACAUUAUAUGCAAUCUUAGAUAUGAUGUAUAAUCUUUGAUAUGACAUGCAAUCUUAGAAGAUAUGAUUUUGUAAUCUUAGAGAUACCCUUUAAUUUCAGCCAUUGAUGUAAUUGAUCUGUACCGUUGGAUUUGGGGAGACUCAACUAUAAAUAGAGGCCUCUCCCUUCAUUGUAAAAGUGGGGGGAAGAGAAAAAAAGGGAAGAGAAAAAAAGAGGAAGAGGAAUAAAAAAGAGAAUGAUUGGCAGUUUUUAAAGGUGGCUUACUAUUUUUUUUCUUUCGAUUAUUUUUUUACUUAUUUACGAUUUUAAAAAGGAGAAGAAGGUGAUACCACUGUGAAUUUUAUUUAUUUAUUUUAUUUAGCCCCUCCGCCUUUUAAUGUUUUUGUAAUUAAGUUUUUUUUCUUAAUUUAUCCUUUUAUUUAUUUUUAUUUCAAUUGGGUCUAAGUUGAACGGCGUCGUUUUAGAGGAGAAGGGAAAAUUUCCCUUCCAGCCCCUCUAUGUAAUUCGCGUGUUCAAAUUAAUCCUUUUACUUUUAUUUAUUUGCGAAUUUACCCCAGUUUUUUUAUUGCAAUUCAAUUUAGUUUUUCUUUUCUUUCUUUUCAUUUAUUUUAUUAAUUAAUAACGUAAUCAUCUUUUUUAUUUUUAUUUUUUUAAAAUCUAUACAUGUAUAUUUUUAUGCACAUUUUUUUAAACUUAUAUUUUUCUCAGAUUUAUAUAUAUAUGUACGUAUAUAUAUUUUUUAAUGUACUCAUUAUUUAACUGUUUUUUAUCUAUAUAUAUUCCUUUUAUAUGUACGUGUAUAUAUUUAUUUUUAACGAAUAUUUUUCCUAUAUUUUUUUAAAUGAAUAUUUUCAUCUUUAUAUGUAUAUAUUUAUGAUUUUUUAAAAUGAUUAAAUACUCACUUUUCCUUUUAAAACACACCCUUUUUUAUUAUUUUAUAUAUGUACGUAUAAUUAUAUUUUUCUUUAUUUUCAUAAGUAUAUUAUGUAUUAUAUAUAUGUAUAAAUUCUAUAACCCAAAAUUUUAUUUGUAUAUUAUAUUUAUAUUUUUAAUCUUCAUAACUUUCAUGUGUAUAUUAUAUGUCUUCUAAUCUUUAUUUAUUUUGUUUGCUAUCCCAUCCAUUGUAUAAUUGUCUUUACAUUUAAUAUUUUGCAUGUCAUGGAUUACCUUUUUUUAUUUCGUUUAUUCAUUUGCUUAUAUUAUUUUUAUGUCGAUGAUGUAUUUAUUAUUAUUAUUAUUAUAGCAUUUGUAUGUAUAAAAUCACGUUACAUCAUUUUUUACUCAAAUUUAAAGAUAGAAAAUUUUUUAAAAUUGAGAUAAUGUUCGUAUUUGAGAUUUUCAAGGGAAUUGAGCCCUAACGUAUUGGGUUCUGAUUUUCUUCGUUAAAUCCGACAAUCGAGCAUUUCUCUUCAAUCAAGAAAAUAAUAAAAACUCAUUAUUGGGAAUUCAACACGUUGUGUCCUAACGUAUUGGAUGUGACGCAUUGAUUUCUCGAAAUGAAGAUUUUUUUUUAAAAUCAUGAAGGAAAUAUUCCGAGUUUGAGAUUCUAAAGGAAUUGUGCCCUAACGUAUUGGGUGUGAUUUCUUAAAUCUUGGAUAAGUGGAUGUUCUUUUAAAGUAAAGGAAAUAUUCCGAGUUUGGGAUUCUAAAGGGAUCGUGCCCUAACGUAUUGGGUGUGAUUUCUUAAAUCUUGGAUGAGUGGAUGUUCUUUUAAAGUUUUAUUGUAUAAGUAUUCUGACCUAAUUCAUUUUGGAGGAAAUUAGAAUGUUGUGCCCUAACGUAUUGGGUGUGGCAUUUUUGCUUCUCUGAAUUGAAAAGGGUCUUAAUAUGUAACGUUUUAAGUUUUUAAAGAUUAUAUUUUUAAAAUUUUCGACCUUAAGGCAUUAAUUAAUUAACUAGGUACCAAUUUUUGGGCGUAAUGAGGGUGCUAAUCCUUCCUCAUGCGUAACCGACUCCCGGACCCGUUCUUCUAAAAUUCGUAGACCAAAGUCGUUUUUAGGUGACCCAAUCACACCUUAAUAAAAGAUUGGUGGCGACUCCCAAUUUCAUUUUUUUUUAAGUCGACAACCUAAAAUUUUUGUUUUUCAAAAAUGGUUUCGACAGAAAUGAUUUAGCAGGUUGUUUUCCCUAGUUUGGAGAAGUUGCGGAUUCAGAAUUGUGAUUCGUUAGAACAAAUUAUUGAGCUGCAAGGAGUCAUUGCUGAUGAGUCACAGUCAACAUCAGCUACUCAGUCUAUUAUGGCUGAAACAGAGACGACCAAGUUUGUAUUUCCCAAACUAAUAAACCUCGGAUUGGAUAAGGUGCCGAGAUUGAAAAGUUUCUACUCUAGGAUGCAUACCACCCAGUGGCCUUCAUUGAAACAAAUGGACAUUAUUGAAUGUCCCAAAGUACAGAUAUUAACUCCACAAUGUCCUGAGUGUCAGGUUGGAAUCUCAAACCAACAACCCUUGUUUUGCGUCAACGAGGUGAGCUCACUAAUAGUUUCAUACUCCAUGUUCAUUACUUGAGAUUACCUAUAAAAUGCCUUUUGAAAUAACUAAUAUUCUCACCUUCCUUUUAAAUUUAUGAGAAAUAAAAUGGAAAUGAUAUCCAUUCUGUAGUCUAGUUCUUACCAAUUCAAAACUCUUUGAUCAAUGUUUAAUAUAUUCGUUGCCAUCCAGGACACUUUCCCUAUAUUAGAAGAACUGACACUAAAGACGAAUGAUAUGGUGAAGGGGAUAUGUGAUGGACAGCUCUCAUUGCAGUGUUUCCAAAACCUUAAACUUCUUAACCUCCAAUUGUUUCCUGAGGCAUCCACUACUCUUCCAUAUUCAUUCAUUCGGUCACUACCAAUGCUUCAUAAGCUUGUUAUAGACAAUGCUUCCAUUUGUCAAAUAGUACAAUCUGAAGGACUCAGCUACGACGAAAGGAAUACAUCAGUGUUCUAUCAGCUAAAGGAAUUAAGUUUGUGUCAACUUCCAGAGUUGACGUUAAAGACUUUUGAACCAUCUUUGCUGUCUUUCAAAAAUCUAACAACACUGGAAGUUUCAAGCUGCCAUGGGUUCAUCAAUUUAAUCGCAUGCUCAACAGCUAAGUGCCUGACGCUACUGGAAAGAUUGAGCAUAGAUGAUUGUGGGAUGAUUGAGGAAAUCAUAGCGUGUGAGGCUGAAGAAAUGCAAGGCGGCAUUGUAUUUCCCAAACUGCAGUAUUUGCAACUAAGCUGUCUGCCAUGUCUAGCAAGCUUUUCCUUGGCCCAUCACUUGUUGGAAUUCCCAGUCUUGCUAAUGGUGAAGGUGACAAAGUGCUCCAAAAUGAGGAAUUUCUGCCAAGGAGAUUUAAGCACACCAAGGCUGGAACAAAUGCACUUAACAAGAGAUGAGGAAGGUGAACUGCAGUGGGAAGGCGACCUUAACACUACCAUAAAACAUAUGUUCGAUGAAAUGGUACAAAUCAUUUAAAGGAUUUAAAUUCAUGUGUUUUUACAUACAUACAUAGUUAACUGAAUAAUUCUUGGUUUGUUAUGAUCAUGCACAGAAUGUGCAAAAUUUGGAGGUGACGGAGGUUACUGAUCAGUUGCCCAAGCUGGAAUAAGGAAAUAUGUUUGGGUGCUUAUGCGAAAAGCUCAGUUUCGUUUCAAAUAAAAACAAAUGGUAAUUGACUUCUAUUUCAUUAUGGCUUAACUAAUGCUUUAUAAAGUGACCAUAGAGACGCCCUUUCUAUUGUAGGUUGAGUUGCUCUACUGAAGCACAUGGCUGCAUCUGUUGGUAGAACGUGAAAGGUUAUUUCAGUUUUUGUAAAACUACAAUUUGAACUGUUCCAUUUCACAACAUAACCUCAAUAUUGAAUUUCAAGUGCAUCAUGCAUGACAUUGGGAACUACAAACAUGCAAACUUUUACUAGUAAGGUUGACCCCUGUUUUAAUAUUCGAAUUCUUCUUAAAGGUGGAUGGAUUUGCCAACUUUUGAUGGUUACCAUAUCAAUAUCAGCUUGGGGUUUAGACGAUGUGAUUAAGAUUGCUAUACAUACUGUGUUUGUGCUUGUGUCAUCUUUCUUGUUCUCUCUAUAAAGAUUAUUACGUACUUAUUUCUAUGCAAUCUCACAAUUUUCUGAUGAAAAAAGUUAAAGCUAAUAACUCCAUUCCCAAGUUUCCCAUAUUCAUCCUCACAAAAACAUAAAUGAUAAAAACCCCAUUUCUCUUUUAGUCAAUAGGAGAAACAAUCUAAAGUUAGAAUAAAACAAACCAAUGCCAUGUUUAUAUUGAAUUAAAUCGCAUGCAUACAUGUAUCAAUUGUUCUGUAGUGAACAGCAGUCACGUUAUAUUCAACUAUGGCAUCUCCAUCUUAUUAAACCAAGCUACAAUGUGAUUAUUCAAGUGCUAUCCAUGUGAUUAUUCUUAUAUUUAAAUAUAAUAAGUUCAUUUAAUAAUUUUUAUAAUAAAUAUAAUAAUUCAAUCAAUAUCAAUUAAGCGAAUUUUUAAUCAAUCAAUUGAAUUUAAUCUGAUUAUAAAAAGUCAAUAAUCCAAACUUAUUCAAUUCGGAUUCAAAUGAACUUGAAAGGGAUUUAUUGGAAAAUUCAAUCUUCAAACUCAAGUGAUUUGAAUUUUGUUAGGGAUUGACCCGGUUAAGCAACGAACAAGUAAAAAUAAGGAAAGAAAUUAAGAAAUUGAACACACAAAUUUAACAUGUUAAAACCCCUCCAAAGAGGAUAAAAAAUCACGAGUAAAGAUAAUUUUACUAUGAUGGCAAAAGAAUGAAGAGUAUAGAAGAUGAAGAUAAAAACUAAAUCCCAAAAACCAAAUUCAUAGGUCAAAUAAUAAUAAAAUAAUCUAGAUUAAUCAGAGUUUGAUUAAAAUAAAUAAAUACAAUCUAACUAUUGAUAACAAGUGCUAUCCAUGUGAUUAUUCUUAUAUUUAAAUAUAAUAAGUUCAUUUAAUAAUUUUUAUAAUAAAUAUAAUAAUUCAAUCAAUAUCAAUUAAGCGAAUUUUUAAUCAAUCAAUUGAAUUUAAUCUAAUUAUAAAAAGUCAACAAUCCAAACUUAUUCAAUUCGGAUUCAAAUGAACUUAAAAGGAAUUUAUUGGAAAAUUCAAUCUUCAAACUCAAGUGAUUUGAACUUUGUUAGGGAUUGACCCGGUUAAGCAAUGAACAAUUAAAAAUAGCAAAAGAAAUUAAGAAAUUGAACACACAAAUUUAACAUGUUAAAACUUCUCCAAAGAGGAUAAAAAAUUACAGGUAAAAAUAAUUUUACUAUGAUGGCAAAAGAAUGAAGAGUACAAAAGAUCAAUAUAAAAACUAAAUCCCAAAAAUCAUAUUGAUAGGUCAAAUAAUAAUAAAAUAAUCUAGAUUAAUAAGAAUUUGAUUAAAACAAAUAAACACAGUUUAACUAGAAUAUUAUUUCUCAAAUUUGACUGAAAUAGGAGUUAUACUCAACAAACUCAAACAUAAAAUUAUUACUUGGAUGUGAAUGAUUUGAAUUGAAAUGGUGUGAGGCCCCAUUAUGCUGUCAGCGAAAUCUAAAGAUUGGGGCCCCAAACCAUUCAAAUUCCAGGACUGUUGGAUGCAAGCUAAAGAGUUAGAUCGACUUAUUCAUGAUCGAUGGAAGGAAAUGGAGGUUCACGGCCAGGCAAAUCAGGCCUUGAGAAUGAAACUAAGUCCUUUAAAGUGUUCUCUGAAAAUGGAACAAAAAUUUCUUUUGGUAGUUUGGAUCAUAGAAUCCACUUGAUAGAAAAUGAAGUGGAGGAUGUUGAUAAAAGGGGCGAUAUUUCGGUCAUGACCGAGGAGGAUGUCAACCGUGGAAAAGAGACUACGGGUGAAUUAUGGAAACUUAAUCGUUCUCGAGAAAUCUUAUGGAGACAAAAAUCUAGAGUAAAGUGGAUUGGGGAAGGCGACCGUAAUGCAAGUUUCUUCCAGUGCAAAGCCAAAUUUAGAGCUAGGAGUAAUUGCAUUGAAGGUCUGUUUGCGAGCGGAUUUCUUGUCCGAACUUAGUCAAAAAUGCAAUUUGGGAAUACUUCCGAAAACAGUUCUGUGGCGUUCAUUGGGACAAACCUACUUUAAGGGGUUCGGAUUUUACGAUAUCUUUGCUUCUUCCCAAUGGUCUCAAAGCAUGUUUUGGUGUUUGAGUCUGAUUCAAUGGUUGCGUUGACAGGCCUGCCUCCUAUGUGGCUUGGCUGUUGUUUAUUGCACCUUUGUACUUCAAAAUAAUUUCAACUCUUUCAAUCCGAAUUAAAUUGAUUCGAACUUUAAAUAAUGAGUGAUAAACUUAAAAUUAUCUUAUUAGAAAAUUUAAACUUCAAAAUAAAUUGAGUGACUUAAACUUAAAUUUAACUUUAAUAUGAAACUGAUUUGAAUCCAAAUGAUUUUAAAAUUUCUAAUUUCGAAUUAAUCUAUCUAGAUCAAAAACCAACUCUAGUUAUAGCUUGACCCAUCACAAAAAUAUAAAAGAUAAUUUGAGAACAUAUGAGGCAACUUGUAGGUAUGGUGUAUAUGUAAUUGGAUAAUUACCCUCUCCCUAAAAAAUUAUGUCGCAGCGUACUCAAUUAUAUAUCUAGGGGUUUUUUUUCCCUUUUUGAUGUGGGAUUAAUGACUUUAAUCAUGUGUCCUUAAAUGACUCAGAGUUCGGAAUCACGAGUGAUAAAAGGCUCUGGUGUUUAACAAUCAACUAGACUCAACCAGAGCUCGGUAAUCAGCUGGACGAACAGAGUAAGCGAUAUCAAACAUUAAGCGCAUAAUUUCAGAUUCUUUGGACUCCAGCCGAGCUAAAGCUAACAUAAGCGAAAGCUAUCAUAUCAAACGGCUCGAUGCAUUUGCCGAAGUAUAAUUUGGAAAAUGUUUUGGACUGUUUUGAGGAGCUUGGGUGAUGUUGGCCAUUCAUAACAAAUAUAAAUUUCCCAUGGUUUAAGUGCAUUUGUCCUUUUGUUUCUAUAGCAUGCGAUCUAGGGAGAGGUCGUGUUGAUACAUUGAAUCAAUGGAUGUGAAGAUGGAAGGGAAUGAAUUCUAAGAAAACACACCAAAGUUAUUGAUUUGAUGAAAAAAUAAAAAAAAUGUUGUAUAAUUAUAUUAAAAAUAACCCGACUCGAAAUCUGACCUAGGAUCCGACCCUAUAUAAUAGAAUUCUACAAACAUCCCAUAAAAAAAGAAGAAUCUUCUUCUUUAUGGCUAGACAAGAAUUCUCUCUUCUCCAUCUCCACAUCCGUUGAUCUAAUGAAUCAACAAUCAGCAGUAUUUUAGACUGUAUAUUUGAUUUAUAAUGUAUUAAUUAGUUCAAAUGAUUAAUAUAAUUUGAAAGCAUAUUUUUAAAUCUAAAAAGUAGAAUGGCUAAAUUCUUGAAAAUAAAAAUAGAGUAACUAAGUUUUAAAGGUACGAAAUAAGACCUUCAAGUAUAUUUUAACCUUCAAUUUUUUACUUUAUAAUUUGAUACAAAUAAAUAACCAAUCCAAUGUGAAACAUAAAUGGAUUAUACUAAUUAUUGUAAUAAUUAAAUUUUUUUUAAUGUCGUUUGUGAAAUUAAAUAACAACGUUAAAAGGCUAAUCCUUUUCACAACAUGCCUAUAUCCUCAUUUAAUAAAUGAUUUUAAUUUUGGGUAAACUACAAAAAUAGUCACAUUUGUUUGUCUCAGAUUACAUUUUAGUCACUUAUGUUUGAAAUGUUACGUUUUAGUCACUUACGUUAUCGUUUUGUUACAAAGUGAUCACUCUAUUGUUAAGCUCCGUUACCUCCCUAACGGCGGUCCUACGUGGCAGUCCAAAUGAGUUUUAAUUGUCAACUUGGAUGUCCUAUGUGACAGUCCAAAUUGAAUUUUAUUUAAGUAAAAACCUAUUUUCAUCCCAACAACUAGACAUCCAAGUUGGCAUUUAAAACCCAUUUGGACUGCCACGUAGGACUUCUAUUAGGGAGGUAACGGAUUUUAACAGUAGUGUGACCGCUUCGUAACAAAACGAUAACAUAAGUGACUAAAAUGUAACAUUUUAAACAUAAGUGACUAAAAUGUAAUUUGAGGUAAACAAAAGUGACUAUUUUUGUGGUUUACCCUUUAAUUUUUAUAUAAUUCUUCAUUCAACUUAAUGUAGUUCAAAGUUGAUUAUAGAGGUGAAACUAGGAAUUUUUUUUUUGGAUCAGGGUUAAAUUGUACGAUAGUAAAAAUAUAAUUUUAUCAUUUUAAUAGUCUAUAUUUUUAUAAUUUUUAAAGGAUUAACCAAAAUUUUAUUAUUUGGGGGUUAAAAUAUAAUUUACUAUUAUUAGUUUAAAAAAUUUUAAAGGAUUAACCAAUGUUUGACAGAUUUAGAACUAACAAAUUGUCCAUUGCUAAAAACAUUCAUCACUAAAUGUGUAUCCGAAGAUGAACCUGAAAUUGGCCAACAUGUACAAGCGAGUAACUUGGAGGUUCAUAACUCAUCUCUCCUCAAUGAAAAGGUCAUUUCUUUAAGGGUUCUCCUUUUAAUUUAUGUUGCUUCGAUUGAUCUUAUUCAUUUGAAGUUCUUUCUUUUCCAUGCAUAUUUCAGUUAUUAACCUAAUGAAAUGAUUUAGCAAGUUGUUUUCCCUAGUUUGGAGAAGUUGUGGAUUCAGAAUUGUGAUUCGUUAGAACAAAUUAUUGAGCUGCAAGGAGUCAUUGCUGAUGAGUCACAGUCAACAUCAGCUGCUCAAUCGAUUAUGGCUGAAACAGAGACGACCAAGUUUGUAUUUCCCAAACUAAUAAACCUUGGAUUGGAUAAGGUGCCGAGAUUGAAAAGUUUCUACUCUAGGAUGCAUACCACCCAGUGGCCUUCAUUGAAACAAAUGGACAUUAUUGAAUGCCCCAAAGUACAGAUAUUUACUCCACAAUGUCUUGAGUGUCAGGUUGGAAUCUCAAACCAACAACCCUUGUUUUGCGUCAACGAGAUGAGCUCACUAACAGUUUCAUACUCCAUGUUCAUUAGUUGAGAUUACUUAUAAAAUGCCUUUUGAAAUAACUAAUAUUCUCACCUUCCUUUUAAAUUUAUGAGAAAGAAAAUGGAAAUUAUAUUCAUUUUGUAGUGUAGUUAUUACUAACUGAAAACUCUUUGAUCAAUGUUUAAUAUAUUCGUCGCCAUCCAGGACACUUUCCCUGUACUAGAAGAACUAAUACUGAAGAUGAAUGAUAUGGUGAAGGGGAUAUGUGAUGGACAACUCUCAUUGCAGUGUUUCCAAAACCUUAAGCAUCUUAACCUCCAGUUCUUUACUGAGACAUCCACUACUCUUCCGUAUUCCUUCAUUCGGUCUCUACGAAUGCUUAAUAAGCUUGUUAUAGACAAUGCUUUCAUUUGUCAAAUAGUACAAUAUGAAGGACUCAGCGACCAGGAGAGGCAUACAUCAGCAUUCUAUCAGCUAAAGGAAUUAAGUUUGUGUCAACUUCCAGAGUUGAUGUUAAAGACUUUUGAACCAUCUUUGUUGUCUUUCAAAAAUCUAACAACACUGGAAGUUUCAAGAUGCCAUGGGUUCAUCAAUUUAAUCGCAUGCUCAACUGUUGGAACAUUGGCAGCAGCAAAAAUUAAGCAAGCUUACACAACAAAAUUUGCAAAACUGAAGCAAGAAGAAUCGAAGCAAAAAGAAACAAAGCAAAGCAAAGCAGUGAACAAAGUUGAAUAUUCAACAGAAUUGUAACUGAACAUCAUUAUUUUUCAUUUAAAAUUUGAAAUAUAAAAGUGUUACAAUUUGGUUUAAUUUGACAGUUACCUAAUAAUCUAACUACCUCCACUAAUGUUUAACUAAUACAAGCUUAAGUCACAUACAAAAUAAAUUGACAUAUCAGCUUUUACAUCAUCAAUCUAAUCACUAGCUUAAUCCUACUUGCUUUGUAAGCUAGUUAGAAGAGAACUAAACUAAAUAACAUUAAAACAAAACAACAAAAACUGGUUGCUUCAUUCGGUCCAAAAACCAAGCUUGCGCACCAAGCAAAAUGAGCUGAGCUCGAUAGCUGCUGCUGGUCUCGACAGUAGCUCGCUGCUGGCUUUAUGUUGCACUGCAGUCCAGCUCUCAACACUCCUCCUUGGACUGUAUGCAACACAUUCCAAUUGCACCUCUCAAUGAUUCAAAUCGAGCAGCCCCUAAGGGCUUGGUCAGUAUAUCAGCCAAUUGUGACCCUGAGCUGCAAUGCACAAGGCUGACUUCCUUUGCUUGUUCAGCCUCUCGAACAAAAUGCAGUUUAAUUUUAAAAUGCUUGGUUUUACCAUGAAACACAGGGUUCUUGGCUAUGGCAACUGCUGAUUUGUUAUCCACCCAAAUUUCAGUUGCAUCAGCUUGUGUUUCAUUUAGAUCCUGAAGCAGCUUCCUAAGCCAAAUGGCCUGAUUGACUGCUGUUGAUGCAGUAAUGUAUUCAUCUUCAGCUGUGGACUGAGCAACUGUUUGUUGCUUCUUUGAACUCCAGCAAAACAUGCCCGAUCCAAGUGUGAAGAAGUAUCUAGAGGUACUCUUCAUGUCAUCGAGGGAUCCUGCCCAGUCACUAUCAGAGUAGCCUUCUAGUUUCAGUUUCUUCCCAUUUUCAAACAUCACACCAAGGCUAGCUGUGCCUUUGAUGUAUCUAAGAACCCUUUUUGCAGCCUUCAAAUGUGUCUCAUUACAGCAAUGCAUGAACCUCGAUAGCAGACUAACACCAAACAUGAUGUCUGGCCUGGUUGCUGUUAGAUACAACAGACAACCUACUAGGCUUCGAUAGUGUCUCUCAUCAACCCUUUGCUGAUCACCACUACUGGUCAACUUUUCUCCAUGAGCCACAGGUGUACUGACUACUUUACAGUUAUGCAUGCAAAAUUUGCCUAGAAUCUUCAAAGCAAAUGUGUGUUGGCUGAUGAAGAUACCUCGAUCAGACUGGUGAACUUCCAUGCCAAGGAAGUAGUCAUGAUCCCCAAAUCUGUCAUCUCAAACACUUGCUGUAUUUGAACCUUGAACUCAUUAAUGAGCUCAACUUGGCUCCCUGUCACUAACAAGUCAUCUACAUACAAGGAGACAAUCAGCAAGGUUUCAAAUUCUGACCUCUUAACAUAUAGAGUAGGUUCACUAAGGCUCUUUACAAAUCCAAUCUUGGUCAGGUAAGCAUCAACUCUGUCAUACCAGGCCCUUGGUGCCUGUUUCAGGCCAUAGAGGGCCUUUCUCAACUUGUACACUUUAUCUUCAUGUUCAGCAACUUCAAAACCUUCAGGUUGCUCGAUGAAGAUCUCCUCCUUAAGAAAGCCAUUUAGAAAUGCUGACUUUACAUCCAAUUGAUGAACCCUCCACUGCUUCUAAGCUGCUAAAGCAAGCAGUAGCUUGAUUGUGUCCAGUCUUGCCACUGGAGCAAAAGUCUCCAAGAAGUCCACACCAUACUGCUGACUGUAACCUUUCACUACAAGCCUGGCCUUGUGCUUGUUCAGUGAGCCAUCAGUAUUGUACUUGGUCCGAUACACCCAUUUAACCCUAAUAACCUUCUUAUGUUCUGGUCUGCUCACCAAUUCCCAUGUUUCAUUCUUAUUGAUCAUUUCCAGCUCAGCUUCCAUAGCUUUCAUCCAACUUCUGUCCUUGGCAGCCUCUUCAAAGUCUGAGGGCUCAAUCACAGCAACAUUACACCUCUGAUAGACAUCAGCCAAAGUCCUGGUGCCCCUCACUGGUGCAUUAUCAAUAGCAUCAUCACUUGGUCCUUCUUCUGCAGGUUCAGCAACCAAGUCUAACUGGUCCAUUUCAGACCAACACCAUUCCAAUUCCACACCUUUUCCUCAUCAAACUUUACAUCACUGCUGACUAAGACCUUCUUUGCUGUAGGAUCAUACACUCUAUAACCUUUCUUGUUGCUGCUAUAGCCAACAAAGAUUCCUGGAGUGGCCCUGCUCUCGAGCUUGCUUCUCUUUUCCACUGGUAUAAGUGCAAAACAUACACAACCAAACACUUUCAAGUGUGUUACCAUAGGUUUGACUCCAUGCCAAGCCUCAAAAAGAGUCUUAUCCUUAACUGCUCGAGUUGGCAGUCUGUUGAGCAGAUACACUGAGGUGUUGACUGCCUCAGCCCAAAACUAGCUUGGAAGCUUGCCUUGAAACAAGAGGCACCUGGCCAUGUUCAGCACAGUCCUAUUCUUUCUCUCACAGACUCCAUUCUGUUGAGGAGUAUAGACUGUUGUAAGCUGAUGGUGAAUCCCAGCACUGUCACAAAGCUUCUGGAAUCUCUCAGACAUAUAUUCAGAGCCAUUAUCAGUCCUCAAGGCUUUAAUUUUACAGCCUGACUGAUUUUCAGCAUAUGCCUUGAAUUUACAGAAGGCCUCAAACACAUCUGACUUCUGCUUCAAGAAGUAGACCCAGCACAACCUUGUCAAAUCAUCUAUAAACAGGACAAAGUACCUGUUCUCAUUGAUUGAAGGUGUUCUCAUAGGACCACAAACAUCAGAGUGCACCAAUUCGAGCUUAUUUUGAGCUCUCCAAGCAUUGUCAGCAGGAAAAGGCAGUCUAGCCUGCUUACCAAGCUGACAAACCUCAAAAACAUUCCCACUAACCUCAAUUUUUGAAAUGUCUUCAACUAAAUUCAGCCUAUGUAGCAGAUCAAGAGAUCUGAAAUUGGCAUGGCCUAGUCUCCUAUGCCACAAGUCAGUGCUGUCAGCAAGGCUGGUGUAUGCCUUUCUUUCUACUUGGCUAACAUCCAGCAUGAAGCAUCUAUCAGUCAUAGAGACUGAGAUUAACUCCAGACCGUUCAUGUCUUGAACAGUACAGCAACCAUCCUUAAAUAACAAUGUAUAGCCCUUUUCAACUAAUUGGCCUACACUAAGCAAAUUCUGGUCUAAAUCAGGUACAAAAAGCACGUCUGAGAUCAGCUUGUUACCUGAACCAGUGCUAACCAGCACACUGCCCUUACCCUUAGCCUCAAUCAGCUUACCAUCUCCAAUUCCAAUCCUCGAGUGAAAGCUUCUGUCUAGGCCCUUGAACAACUUCUCAUCUGCUACCAUAUGGUGUGAGCAGCCACUAUCUAGUAGCCAAUCAUUCCUGGCCUUUGUUGUGCCAAAAAAAUAGGUUACUGUGAACACAUGCUCCACUUGAGCUUGCAUGUCCUCAGCUGGUCUAGGUUGUUGCAGAACAGCCUCCCUUGGUUUGCCCUUGCACACCUUUUCCACAUGGCCAAACUGCUUGCACUUUCUGCAUUGUAUGUCUGGCCUAAACCAACAAUACUUUUCUGAAUGUGUUGUCUUCUUGCAGUGAACACAUGGUGGGAACACCCUUUUUGCUUCAUCUCUUCCUGACUUGACCCUUCUAUUGUGCCAAGGCUUCUUACCUUUUGCAUUCACACUCGAGCCUUCACUGGCUUUAGCCUGUAAAACAGCUUCAGAAUUCUCUUCCUGUCUAUUUGCCCUCCUUUGCUCAAGUGCAUACAGGGAGUUUAUCAGCUCAGACAAAGAAAUGGCUGAUAAGUCCCCCGAGUCCUCAAGUGAAGAGAUUUUUGACUUGAAUUUCUCAGGGAAAGUUGUGAUGACCUUUUCAACAACUCUACUCUCUGUGAAGUCCACUCCCAGGAGCCUUAUGCUGUUGACAAUGGCCAUUAUCCUGUCUGAGUACUACUUGAUGGUCUCAGACUCUUUCAUCCUCAAGUUCUCAAAGUCUCUCCUGAGGUUGAUCACCUACUGUUGCCUUGUUUUGUCAGUCCCCAUGAACUCCUCCUUCCGCUUGUCACAGGCCUGCUUAGGUGAGUCACAGGCCAUGAUGCGAGUGAAUAUCACAUCAGACACUCCAUUCUGCAGACAGGCCAUAGCCUUGUGCUUCUUGGCUCGCUCCUCAACAUGCUGCCUCAUCUGUGCAAUGGUGGGAUUGGCUCUCAAUGGAGGUGGCUCAGCAUCAUUCUCGAUCACACUCCAAAGAUCAUGUGCCUGGAGGUAAGUCUUCAUUUUAACUAUCCAAAUGUGAUAGUUCUCUCCAGUGAACACUGGUGAAGGUGGUUGAGUGAAACUCAUCCUGCUAAACUGAGUUUAAGUGCUUCGAUCCUUUUAGUCUUAGGCUUUGCUGUUGGUUUUGAUUUAAACACAAUAGAAUGCAGAGGCCCCUCAAAGAUUCUGGCUCAUGAUGCCAUUUGUUGGAACAUUGGCAGCAGCAAAAAUUAAGCAAGCUUACACAACAAAAUUUGCAAAACUGAAGCAAGAAGAAUCGAAGCAAAAAGAAACAAAGCAAAGCAAAGCAGUGAACAAAGUUGAAUAUUCAACAGAACUGUAACUGAACAUCAUUAUUUUUCAUUCAAAAUUUGAAAUAUAAAAGUGUUACAAUUUGGUUUAAUUUGACAGUUACCUAAUAAUCUAACUACCUCCACUAAUGCUUAACUAAUACAAGCUUAAGUCACAUACAAAAUAAAUUGACAUAUCAGCUUUUACAUCAUCAAUCUAAUCACUAGCUUAAUCCUACUUGCUUUGUAAGCUAGUUAGAAGAGAACUAAACUAAAUAACAUUAAAACAAAACAACAAAAACUGGUUGCUUCAUUCGGUCCAAAAACCAAGCUUGCGCACCAAGCAAAAUGAGCUGAGCUCGAUAGCUGCUGCUGGUCUCGACAGUAGCUCGCUGCUGGCUUUAUGUUGCACUGCAGUCCAGCUCUCAACAUCAACAGCUAAGUGCCUGAUGCUACUGGAAAGAUUGAGCAUAGAUGAUUGUGGGAUGAUAGAGGAAAUCAUAGCGUGUGAGGCUGAAGAAAUGCAGGGCGGCAUUGUAUUUCCCAAACUGCUCGUAUUUGCAACUAAGCUGUCUGCCACGUCUAGCAAGCUUUUCCUUGGCCCAUCACUCGUUGGAAUUCCUAGUCUUGCUAAUGGUGAAGGUGACAAAGAGUCCCAAAAUGAGGAAUUUCUGCCAAGGAGAUUUAAGCACACCAAGGCUGGAACAAAUGCACUUAACAAGAGAUGAGGAAGGUGAACUACAGUGGGAAGGCGACCUUAACACUACCAUAAAACAUAUGUUCGAUGAAAUGGUACAGAUCAUUUAAAGGAUUUAAAUUCAUGUGUUUUUACAUACAUACAUAGUUAACUGAAUAAUUCUUGGUUUGUUAUGAUCAUGCACAAAAUGUGCAAAAUUUGGAGGUGACGGAGGUUACUGAUCAGUUGCCCAAGCUGGAAUAAGGAAAUAUGUUUGGGUGCUUAUGCGAAAAGCUCAAUUUCGUUUCAAAUCAAAACGAAUGGUAAUUGACUCUUCUAUUUUCAUCAUGGCUUAACUAAAGAUUUAUAAAGUGACCAUAGAGACGCCCUUUUCAUUGUAGGUUGAGUUGCUCUACUGAAGCACAUGGCUGCAUCUGUUGGUAGAACGUGAAAGGUUAUUUCAGUUGUAAAACUACUAUUUGAACUGUUCCAUUUCACGUUAUAACCUCACAAUUGUAUUUCAAGUGCAUCAUGCAUGGCAUUGGGAACUACAAACAUGUAAACUUUUACUAGUAAGCAAAAUAAAUAAAAAAAAAUCAUAAAUUAGAGUAUGAAUGUAAACAUAUUAAAGCAUACUUUUUGGUUUCACAAUUUAAAUGAUUUGAGUUAAUUUGAAGCCAUAAAAUAAGAUAAAUUCAAUUAUAAAUUCUGAUGUUUGAAAAUUUUUCAAUAAUAAUAAGUAAAUGCUUAAUGUAGUAAUUAAGAUUAUAAGGCAACAAGCUUAAUUAAGAGGAGUAUUUGUAAAUAUUAGUAAAAUUUACUGUAAAUAUUGUAUGAAAUAAGCAAAUUUAUUUAUUAAUUAACCAAAUUUAUCUACGGUAAAUAUUGUAUGAAAUAAGCAAAUUUAUUUAUUAAUUAACCAAAUUUAUUUACGGUAAAUACUGUAUGAAAUAAGCAAAUUUAUUUAUUAAUUUAAAAGAAAAUUAAUUUCCUGAUAAAAAAUUUAUAUUUCAAAAAAAAAUUAGAAAGAUUUAAUUUUUAAAUAAUAGUUCAAAACAAAUUUUGAAAAAAUGUGUUGUAAAAAUAUUCAAAGUGUAAAAAGACAAUUUAUUCCUUCAAUGCUUAGGAAAAAAUAUUCCUUAAAAAAAGAUACUUAUUAGAAAAUAUCAUUAGAUAUAUGUUUAAUUGUUUAUAUUAAUAAAAAGUUAUCUAUUAACAAAAUAAAAGUAAAACAUUAAUCACAUAUUUAUAAUUUUAAAAUUUUAACUCUUCAAUGGUAGUUUAGAUUAUGCAAAUGAGUUUUCUUUUUUUUUUUCUUUUUUAAAUAUAAGAUAAUUCAAGUUUUGGUCUUUGUUGUCGCUGUGGUUAUUCAGUUUGCUCUCUCAAUGGAGAUUGUUAUUGCCAUCGUUGGCUCUAUUGUCGUUAAAGCUGUAGAGUAUACGAUCUAUCCUAACAAAAACAAUGUCAAAUACCUUUCCAAUCAUCAGAAAUAUGUUGAGACCCUCAAGAACCGAGCUAAUAGGCUGAAAGAUGCUAGGGACGGAGUGCAGCAUUUUGUUGAUGCAGCUAAACGAAACGGUGAAGAGAUCGAAGGUGAUGUUGACAAAUGGCUGUUGAAGUAAUGGUCAGCAUGCAGCAACCAAGACUGUCAAAGGCACUACAUGCAGAAGCUGCUGGUUCACCUAGUCAGCAAGCUGUUUAUGUUUCAUUUUGUAAUUUUAAGUUAGAGUAAUGUAACUUAGUUGCUUUAUAACUAUGUUAGGUUUAUGUUUGAUGUAAUUUUGAUGUUGACUGAGCUGAUAAAUCAGCUUUGUUUGUUUGUUCAAGCUAAUUAGCACAAGUUACUAUGUGUAUUAGUGGUAGUAGGUGAAGUUUAGGUCAACCUACUGUUUUGUCAAGAUUGUAAACUUGUUUUAUGUAUUGGCUUUGUGCCAUAUUUAGUUUAUGAAAUGAAUUCAACAAGUUAUCAUCCAUAUGCUCUUCAUUUUUAGUUUUGCUUAAAAAUCCAUUUGAGUUUUCUGCUUUGUUUCUCCUACAAGUCACGAGACUUGCUCGACAAGUAUCCUGUUGAAGCUUGCUGCUGCUGCCUCUUGAUCCAACAAUUGGUAUCUAGAGCCACAUUCUUAGAGGACCUGUUGUAGUUUAGUAUCAAAAUGAUGGCAUCAUCAGGUUUUUCACCAGCUUCACCACCUGUCUUCAAUGGAGAGGGCUUCAACAUUUGGGCAGUUAAGAUGAGGACUUACCUGCAGGCAUUCGACCUAUGGGAAGUUGUUAACUCAGAUGCUGAGCCAGCACCUCUUCGAGCUAAUCCAACAGUUGCUCAAAUAAGGCAACACACUGAUGAAAGAACAAAAAGGCACAAGGCCAUGUCAUGCAUACAGAAUUGUGUGACAGAUGUGAUCUUUAUGAGGAUCAUGGCCUGUGAAACACCAAAGGAGGCUUGGGACAAGCUGAAAGAAGAAUUUCAGGGGACUGAGAAAACAAGGCAACAACAGCUGCUCAACUUGAGAAGAGAUUUCGAAAAUCUAAAAAUGAAAGAGGAAGAAACAGUUAAGCAGUACUCAGAUCGGAUUAUGGCUGUUGUAAACAGCAUAAGGCUCCUAGGAGAGCAAUUCAGUGAAGCUAGAAUGGUUGAGAAAGUCAUGUCCACUCUACCAGAGAGGUAUGAAGCUAAAAUUUCAUCCCUCGAAGACUCAAGGGACUUGACAACUAUCUCCUUAACUGAGCUAAUCAAUGCCUUGUAUGCACAAGAGCAAAGAAGAGCCAGCAGACAAGAGGACCACCAGGAAGGUGCUUUUCAAGCCAAAGAAGCCUCGAGCAUCAAAACUCAUAAAGGCAAAAAGUUCUGGAAAAACAGGCCUAAGCCUGAUGCUGCUAGGAGCAGUGACCAACUCUGCAGACAUUGUAAAAGAGCUGGUCAUCCAGAAGAUAGAUGCUGGUUUAGACCAGAUGCAGUAUGCCAACACUGCAAGAAAAAAGGCCAUGUUGAAAAAGUUUGCAAGAAUAGAAGCAAACCAAGACAGAAUCAAUUUCAGCAACAAAAGGUAGAAGCUCGAGUAGCUGAAGAAAGCAGUGAUCAAGAAGAACAUGUUUUUGCUGUGUCAUGUGCAGCAAAUCAGAAGAAGGGUUCAAAGGGCUGGCUUCUAGACAGUGGGUGCACAAACCACAUGUCACCAGAUGCAACUAUCUUCAAAACCCUAGACAGAACCUGCAAAACCAAAGUAAAAAUUGGAAAUGGUCAGUUAAUCAAUGCUGAAGGAAGAGGAGAUGUGAUGAUUCAUACUUCUACAAGUGGCAAAAUCAUUUCAAAUGUACUUUUGGUACCUGAAAUCGAUAGGAACCUUCUCAGUAUAACUCAACUACUUGAGAAAGGUUACUCAGUUAUUUUCAAGGAGAAAGAAUGUCAAAUUUUUUAUCCAAGUGGAUCAAACCUUAUAACAGUCACCAUGACUGAUAAAUGUUUUGAAGUAGACUGGCCAAAUGACUCACAUUCAGCCUGCACAGCCUCCACUGAUGACUCAAGACUCUGGCAUCAGAGGCUUGGACAUGCAAACUACAAAUCCAUAGCCCGCAUGGUCAAUGAAGGUCUGGCAGAAAAUUUCAUCGACUCAGUGAAGAAUGAUGAGCUUUGUGAGAUAUGUCAGCAAGGAAAAUUGACAAGAUUGCCAUUUCCAACAAGCACAACAUGGAGAGCAUCAGAGAAGCUCCAGCUUGUGCAUACAGAUGUGUGUGGACCAAUGAAGACUGAGUCUCUCAAAGGAAGCAGGUACUUUAUUCUAUUUGUUGAAGUAAUGGUCAGCAUGCAGCAACCAAGACUGUCAAAGGCACUACAUGCAGAAGCUGCUGGUUCACCUAGUCAGCACGCUGUUUAUGUUUCAUUUUGUAAUUUUAAGUUAGAGUAAUGUAACUUAGUUGCUUUAUAACUAUGUUAGGUUUAUGUUUGAUGUAAUUUUGAUGUUGACUGAGCUGAUAAAUCAGCUUUGUUUGUUUGUUCAAGCUAAUUAGCACAAGUUACUAUGUGUAUUAGUGGUAGUAGGUGAAGUUUAGGUCAACCUACUGUUUUGUCAAGAUUGUAAACUUGUUUUAUGUAUUGGCUUUGUGCCAUAUUUAGUUUAUGAAAUGAAUUCAACAAGUUAUCAUCCAUAUGCUCUCCAUUUUUAGUUUUGCUUAAAAAUCCAUUUGAGUUUUCUGCUUUGUUUCUCCUACAAGUCACGAGACUUGCUCGACAAGUAUCCUGUUGAAGCUUGCUGCUGCUGCCUCUUGAUCCAACAAUUGGUAUCUAGAGCCACAUUCUUAGAGGACCUGUUGUAGUUUAGUAUCAAAACGAUGGCAUCAUCAGGUUUUUCACCAGCUUCACCACCUGUCUUCAAUGGAGAGGGCUUUAAUAUUUGGGCAGUUAAGAUGAGCACUUACCUGCAGGCAUUCGACCUAUGGGAAGUUGUUAACUCAGAUGCUGAGCCAGCACCUCUUCGAGCUAAUCCAACAGUUGCUCAAAUAAGGCAACACACUGAUGAAAGAACAAAAAGGCACAAGGCCAUGUCAUGCAUACAGAAUUGUGUGACAGAUGUGAUCUUUAUGAGGAUCAUGGCAUGUGAAACACCAAAGGAGGCUUGGGACAAGCUGAAAGAAGAAUUUCAGGGGACUGAGAAAACAAGGCAACAACAGCUGCUCAACUUGAGAAGAGAUUUCGAAAAUCUAAAAAUAAAAGAGGAAGAAACAGUUAAGCAGUACUCAGAUCGGAUUAUGGCUGUUGUAAACAGCAUAAGGCUCCUAGGAGAGCAAUUCAGUGAAGCUAGAAUGGUUGAGAAAGUCAUGUCCACUCUACCAGAGAGGUAUGAAGCUAAAAUUUCAUCCCUCGAAGACUCAAGGGACUUGACAACUAUCUCCUUAACUGAGCUAAUCAAUGCAUUGUAUGCACAAGAGCAAAGAAGAGCCAGCAGACAAGAGGACCACCAGGAAGGUGCUUUUCAAGCCAAAGAAGCCUCGAGCAUCAAAACUCAUAAAGGCAAAAAGUUCUGGAAAAACAGGCCUAAGCCUGAUGCUGCUAGGAGCAGUGACCAACUCUGCAGACAUUGUAAAAGAGCUGGUCAUCCAAAAGAUAGAUGCUGGUUUAGACUAGAUGCAGUAUGCCAACACUGCAAGAAAAAAGACCAUGUUGAAAAAGUUUGCAAGAAUAGAAGCAAACCAAGACAGAAUCAAUUUCAGCAACAAAAGGUAGAAGCUCGAGUAGCUGAAGAAAGCAGUGAUCAAGAAGAACAUGUUUUUGCUGUGUCAUGUGCAGCAAAUCAGAAGAAGGGUUCAAAGGGCUGGAUUCUAGACAGUGGGUGCACAAACCACAUGUCACCAGAUGCAACUAUCUUCAAAACCCUGGACAGAACCUGCAAAACCAAAGUAAAAAUUGGAAAUGGUCAGUUAAUCAAUGCUGAAGGAAGAGGAGAUGUGAUGAUUCAUACUUCUACAGGUGGCAAAAUCAUUUCAAAUGUACUUUUGGUACCUGAAAUCGAUAGGAACCUUCUCAGUAUAACUCAACUACUUGAUAAAGGUUACUCAGUUGUUUUCAAGGAGAAAGAAUGUCAAAUUUUUGAUCCAAGUGGAUCAAACCUUAUAACAGUCACCAUGACUGAUAAAUGUUUUGAAGUAGACUGGCCAAAUGACUCACAUUCAGCCUGCAUAGCCUCCACUGAUGACUCGAGACUCUGGCAUCAGAGGCUUGGACAUGCAAACUACAAAUCCAUAGCCCGCAUGGUCAAUGAAAGUCUGGCAAAAAAUUUCAUCGACUCAGUGAAGAAUGAUGAGCUUUGUGAAAUAUGUCAGCAAGGAAAAUUGGCAAGAUUGCCAUUUCCAACAAGCACAACAUGGAGAGCAUCAGAGAAGCUCCAACUUGUGCAUACAGAUGUGUGUGGACCAAUGAAGACUGAGUCUCUCAAAGGAAGCAGGUACUUUAUUCUAUUUAUUGAUGACUUAACAAGAUACUGCUGGAUUUAUUUUUUAAAACAGAAAUCAGAAGUUCCAUCUGUGUUCCUGAAGUAUAAAGCUGCUGUUGAAACUGAGUCUGGUUGCAAACUUAGAGCAAUGAGGUCAGAUAAUGGAACUGAGUACACCUCAGCUCAGUUCCAAGCCUACUGUGAAGAAGCAGGUAUCAAACACCAGUUGACUAAUGUAUAUACACCCCAACAGAAUGGGGUCAGUGAAAGGAAAAACAGAAGCUUGAUGAACAUGGCAAGAUGUCUUCUGUUUGAGAAGAAUUUGCCCAAAAGUCUGUGGGCUGAAGCUGUUAACACAGCAGUUUAUCUCCAAAAUAGGCUCCCAACCAAGGCUCUGGCUGAGAAGACUCCAUUUGAAGCCUGGUUUGGGUUUAAGCCAUCACUGGCUCAUCUCAGAACCUUUGGUUGUCUGUGCUACACACAAGUUCCAGCUGAGAAGAGAAGCAAGCUAGAUAAAAGAGCUCAAGCAGGGAUCCUGAUCGGCUAUAGCUUGGUUAAGAAGGGCUACAGAAUCCUAGAACCUGCUACAAACAAGAUAUUGGUUAGCAGGGAUGUUGUUUUCAAUGAAAAAGGACACUGGAAUUGGGAGAAGGCUGAACCAGAGGCAGUGGCUGAAGAUCUCGCAGUGGACCAAGUUGAAAAUGUUGAAAACACAUCUGAAAUGGAUGUAGAUGAUGUUCCAAUCAGAGGCACUCGAUCACUGGCUGAUGUUUAUGAAAGAGCACAAGUGGCUACUGUUGAACCAAGUUGCUUUGAAGAAGCAGAAAGCCAGGAGGACUGGAAGCAAGCAAUGAUUGAAGAAAUCAGAAUGAUUGAAAAGAAUCAGACCUGGAGUCUGGUUGAUAAACCAACAAACAGGAAGAUUAUUGGUGUCAAAUGGGUUUAUCGAGUAAAGAACAAUGCUGAUGGUAGCCUAAACAAGUUAAAGGCUAGAUUGGUUGUGAAAGGCUUCAGUCAAAGGUAUGGAUCAGACUACCUGGAAACCUUUGCACCAGUAGCCAGGCUAGACACUAUUAGACUGCUAGUUGCCUUAGCAGCACAAAAACAGUGGCUGAUACACCAACUUGAUGUAAAAUCAGCAUUUCUGAAUGGAUUCCUUGAAGAGGAGAUUUAUGUGGAGCAACCUCAAGGUUUCAAGGUGUCUGGCAAAGAAGAAAUGGUGUACAAGCUCAACAAAGCCUUGUAUGGCUUGAAACAGGCUCCAAGGGCCUGGUAUAGCAGAAUAGAUGGCUAUCUGAACCAGUCAAGGAUUUGAAAGAAGUCUCAGCGAGCCAACUCUGUAUGUUAAAUCAACUAGUGCUGAAACUCAGCUCAUUGUCUCAAUAUAUGUCGAUGACCUACUGGUGACAGGAGGAGAUCAUGAGAUGCUAAGCAACUUUAAAGUCAAAAUGCAACAGCACUUUGAAAUGUCAGACUUGGGAUUGAUGUCUUACUUCUUAAGCAUGGAAGUAACUCAAGCUAAGAAUGGGAUUUGGCUAAGUCAAAAGACCUUUGCUAUGAAGGUUCUCAACAAAUUCUCAAUGGAGAAUUGCAAAGCAACCAGCACACCAGUUGCUGUUGGAGAAAAACUCUCAAGCCAAGACAAGCAUGAAAAGGUUUGUGAAACAACCUAUCGAAGUCUAGUUGGAUGUUUGUUGUAUUUGACUGCUACUAGACCUAAUGUAUGCUGUGAGUCUACUCUCGAGGUUUAUGCAUUGUUCAAAUGAAAGUCAUUUUAGAGCUGCAAAAAGGGUUCUAAGAUACAUCAAAGGAACUUUGUCCUAUGGAAUGCAGUUUACCAAGGCUGAGAACUUGAAGCUAGUUGGAUAUUGUGACAGUGAUUGGGCUGGUUCCUUGGAUGACAUGAAGAGCACUACAGGCUAUGCAUUCAACAUAGGCUCUGCUAUGAUUUGCUGGAGCUCAAAGAAGCAGGGAGUAGUGGCUCAGUCGACUGCAGAAGCAGAAUAUGUGGCUGCUGCUGCAGCAGUCAAUCAAGCCAUAUGGCUUAGAAAAAUUUUGAAAGAUAUCAAUCAUGAGCAAAAGGAAGCAACUGAGAUAAUGUGUGACAACCAAUCAGCAGUUGCUAUUGCAAAGAAUCCUGUUUUUCAUGGAAGGACCAAGCACUUCAACAUCAAACUUCAUGCAAUUCGGGAAAUGGAACAAGCUCAUGUUGUUAAGCUGAUACAUUGCAGUUCUGAAGAGCAAAUUGCUGAUAUUUUAACAAAAGCACUAAGUGUUUCCAAGUUUCAACACCUGAGAGCUAAUAUGGGAGUUUGCAACAUGCUAACCAAGGAGGAGUGUUGAAGUAAUGGUCAGCAUGCAGCAACCAAGACUGUCAAAGGCACUACAUGCAGAAGCUGCUGGUUCACCUAGUCAGCAAGCUGUUUAUGUUUCAUUUUGUAAUUUUAAGUUAGAGUAAUGUAACUUAGUUGCUUUAUAACUAUGUUAGGUUUAUGUUUGAUGUAAUUUUGAUGUUGACUGAGCUGAUAAAUCAGCUUUGUUUGUUUGUUCAAGCUAAUUAGCACAAGUUACUAUGUGUAUUAGUGGUAGUAGGUGAAGUUUAGGUCAACCUACUGUUUUGUCAAGAUUGUAAACUUGUUUUAUGUAUUGGCUUUGUGCCAUAUUUAGUUUAUGAAAUGAAUUCAACAAGUUAUCAUCCAUAUGCUCUCCAUUUUUAGUUUUGCUUAAAAAUCCAUUUGAGUUUUCUGCUUUGUUUCUCCUACAAGUCACGAGACUUGCUCGACAAGUAUCCUGUUGAAGCUUGCUGCUGCUGCCUCUUGAUCCAACAAUGGCUGCCUGCAGUCGACAGAAAGAUCCUUGAACAAGUAGAGAAAGUGAUGCAAGACGAAGAAAAAGCAAAGAAAAAGUGUUUCAUUGGUUUGUGUCCUAAGUUCAGGACUCGUUACAAGCUUAGCCUGAAAGCUGAAGAGGAGUCAAGAAUGUACUUGUGGAGUUGAAUAAUGGGAAAGAUCUUCCAAAUUUGAAGAGACUUCUUGUCAAAAAUGGUAUGCAUGUCUAAUAUAUUAAAAUGAACAAAAUUGGAUUUUCUGAAUUAUGCUUCAUCACACUUGAAAAUCUAUCGCUACUCGUUAGCUUUUGCUCUCCAGACGAAAGGUGUUCCACUAAGCCCUUCCUACUUUUCAAUAAACAAGUAUUUGUUUGGCUUUACUUAUAUUUUCUUAUACAACUUUUAUUUAUAUGCCAAUUAAUACUUCUAAUAAUAGAAAUAAAUAAUAUUGUGUAAUGGUUUUUCCGGAGCUCAAAAAUAAAUUUUAAUUCCAAAACAAAUGAAAAUAUAAUUUUUAAUCCAAACCGAUUGACAGUACAAAGUCAAUUCAAUAAUUUAAAUUUAAACCCAAUAAUUAUUUUUUUAAUUUUGAAAAUGAAAUUUGAGCCCACAAAUUGAACUAAAAUUAUCUUUAAAAUCGAAAAUCAUAUUUUCAAAUAAUGUUGCAUACUAUCUUUCCCUAUCGAAAAAGAAUUGUGUGUAAAUAUGUGCAAUUUAUUUUCCCUCACUUGGAAAGCUUGUAAUUGUGUUCCAUUAACACCAGACAUGUCAUUGGAUUACGAAUUUGAGGAGCUUGAUCAUGAAAGGAUGCGGUAAGUGGGAGCAUCUGUUAUCACCCUCUCUCGCUAGAAGUCUGGUGUAGCUCCAAUGCUUUAAGAUAGAGGAUUGCAAGUGUUUAAGGGACAUAAUACUUACAGAGGAAAUUGAAGAAGAAAGGAAAGAUGUGAUUUGUUAAUUUCCCUCGAUUAAACUCCCUGCGUAUAGUGGGUCUUACAAACCUCAUCUUCUUCAGCUCAGGAAACCACAAUAUCGAGUUCCCAUUGUUGGAAGAGCUAUGGAUUGAGAAUUGCCCCAAUUUCAUAGAAUUCAUUAGUCAGAAUAGUAAUCAGUCCGGCAUGCACGCUCUCUUCAGUGAGAAGAUGAUUUAUUUCAGUAGUAUUACACUCUUGCAUAAAUCUGUUGAUUUGUCCUUGUUUUUUUCUUUUUUCUGCCUUCAUUAUUUGAGGUAACCUUAUUAUGGGCAUGGAUUAUAUAUAUAUAUAUAUAUAUAUGAAUAGGCUGCAGUUCCUAGCUUGGAAGACUUGAGUAAUGUGAAGAUGAUAUUUUAUAAUGAUCUAGCACCAGGUUCCUAUAAAAAUCUACGAAAAAUAAGUGUUGGGGGAUGUGGGAGUUUGAAAAAUCUAUUUCCAGUAUCAAUAGCCAAAGGUCUUCCACAACUUGAACAUUUACGCAUCACUAAAUGUGGAGUUGAGGAGAUUGUAUCGAAAGGGGAUGGAGUGGAGCAGCCUGUGAGGUUUGAGUUUCCGAAAGUGUCUUACCUUGAGGUUACAGGGGUAGUAAAGCUCAAAUGUUUCUAUGAAGGGCAAGAUACAAUAGUCUGGCCGAUGUUGAAAAAAUUGAAAACAGAUAGUUCUGCUUUGCUAAAGAUAGUGGCAUGGGAACAUCUUAGAUUAAUCCAAGGAAAUGAGGAGCCAGUUUUGUUGGGUGAAGAGGUAUGUAUAUCAUUACAACUAUAUUUCUUUUUAUGAUUUAAACCACUGCCACAAGCAUCUCAGGAUGAAAUAUGCCACGAUAAUGCAUUUCUAAUUAUUAUAUUUUCAUUGAUUUGAAUUUUUUUUUCCUAUUUUUGAAUUUUUAAUAUAUAUUUUUACAAUUUUUAAAAACAAGACUGAAUAAAUAUAAUAGGUAAAUAUUGAGUGUUAAUCUUAACUUUUUAGAAUGUAGUUCAAUUUGAUAAAAUGUAUAAAUGUUGAGGGUUAAAUUUAUUAUUAUGCAAAAAAAAAACUAUAACAUCCCGUUAGGGACUUUGAAGCAUAGCAAUUAAGAUAUUCAAUUUCUGUAACAACAUUGAUUAAAUUGAAAUUUUAUUUGUUUUUAAAUGGCCAAUGAAAAUAUUUUAACACUUAAGUGACUAUAUAUGUAAUUUACCCUGCAUUUAAGUAGUGGGUAGAAACUAAAUAGAAUGUUUAAUUUAUAAAAAGUCAAAAUUUUAAAAGUUAGUUACACUAGACAUCUCAAACUAUGACCUCCAUUUUAAAUUAGUCCCAAAAUUUAAAAUAUUCUAAGUACAUUCUUAAACUAUUGAUAUUAUAUCAAUUAGGUCUUUCUAUUAUUAAAUUCGUUAAUUUAACCAUCAAAUUAAAUCAGUGUAAUAUUUUAAAACCUUGGUGUUUUAUCUACACUGUUCUGCUUAUAUUUUUUAUCGUAGAAAUAUAUAUAUAUAUAACACAAUGGUUGUUUAUCUAUUUUAAUUUGCUACUCUUCUUUCGACUUUCAUGUUGUGUAAUUUUUCAGUUUUUAUUCUCAAGGUAUUGUGUUUUCUUAAAACAAAAAAUUCUAUCUAUUCUGAAUCCGUUUGAUUUAAUAUUGAUUUUGUUGGGAUUUAAUCAUCAAAAUCAAACACUAAAAUUAUAAAUCUUUUUUUUUUUGUUUGUUUUUUUAAAGCAUAUACAUCAACAUUGAGCCUAACUUGUAUAUAUUUAAUUGGUUUCCAAGGUCAUUCCCAAAUUAGAGGAACUUGAGUUACGAACUUUUGGUGAUAUGGACCAAUUUCCACCAGACUUGUUUCAACAUGUUAAAGUUAUUGCAGUGAGUGGUGGCUCUCCAUUUUCUUUAUUUCCUUUCGUCCGAAGAUUCUACAAUCUGGAAAGACUUGAGGUUUCUUAUUCUGAUUUCAAACAUGUAGUCCCUUGUAAAGGAGACGCCGGAACUCUCCCACCAAUUAGAAAUCUGAAAUUGGUUUCUGCCAGAAAUCUUGAGCAUAUUUGGAGGAAAGAUUCGGAGCUUUACCAUAUUCUUUCUAAUCUUCAAACACUCACAGUUGAGGAUUGUGAUGAUUGGAUAAAUAUUAGAGUCUCCUCAUCAUCUUUACAAAAUCUCACAAAUUUGAAUGUGUCAUUUUGUUAAGAAUCUUGUGCAAUUAACGACAAUAAAGGUAGAAUACGGCACUAAAAUGACAGAAGUAGUGGGAAACGAGGGAGACUGUCAUCAGACAAUAGUUGUUAGUAAAUUGAAAUGUUUACAACUAUGCAAUUUGAAGAGCCUCACAAGCUUUUCUCCACGGUAUUACAGCUUCGAGUUUCCUUGUUUGGAAGAAUUAGUUGUGGAACAUUGUCCUAAGUUAAAGAUCUUUUCUGAGGGAGUUUUAAGCACCCCACAAUUACAGAGAAUAAAACAGUCGAGUUACCGUGAGAAAUGGAGUUGGACAAGUGACCUUAAUACCACCAUAAAACAGCUAUACACAGAAAAGGUACAAAGUUAAUAAGUUCAUAAUGCUAGCUAGAUUCCUCGUGUCCUAAUACAAUUAAUUUUAUUACUACUUCAAUAACCAUUGAAGAGUGUUAAUCGUUACUUUGUUAUUGUCUGCAUUUUCUAUUUAUGAUUGCUAUCUAGUGGAAUAAUAUCAGAUUAAUUUUUAGGAUGGACUCUAUAACCCAUAUGAUUUCAACAUCUCUGACACAUUUCCGGAGUCGAUAGAAAUAUGGACUAGAAACCCUCAAGAAAUUUUGGGCUUCAAAAACCUUAGCAGCCUGCAGUUUUAUAAAUGUAGCAGCUUGAAGUACAUAUUUACUCCGUCUAUACUUUUGAGCCUCAAUCUACUGCAAAGGAUAGAAGUGCAAGAAUGCAGUUCAAUGGAACAAGUAGUUAGGGAGGAGGAGGAAGCAAUGACACAUAAAUUUACAUUUCUUUCGCUACUCUCCGUAACAAUUGAGUCGUGUUCCAGCUUGACAAAUUUCCAUUUGGGAAGUCAAGCUCUUGAAUUUCCACAGCUGAGGAAUAUCAGGAUAGCUGAGUGUCCAAAAAUGACUGCAUUUUCUUCCUCAGUUUCAAGAGAGAGUGGUGAUGCAAGUGAAAACGUGGUUGGCAAAGGGGGCAUCUAUGAUAACACUGCAACUUUUUUCAGCAAUAAGGUAAGUUUGGUAUUCAAUAUUUAUCUGCACAACUUAUUUCACAUUUUCUUUUGAUUUGAUCAACAUGAGUGUGUCUGGUCUAUAUAUACAUACUAGUGCUACACCUUGUCAAAACUGAAUAUAAUAAAAUCCAUAUAUAUAAAUAAAUAAGAUAAUAUUUAAAAAAAAACUGGAGUUUAAAGUGGAAAUUAAAUAAAUAUAUAAAAUAAGAAUUGAAAGGAAAACUUAAAGUGAAAUACUAAAAAACAAAAAGAAUUUAAGAGAAGUUUAAAAUUAAAUAGUAAUAGACAAUAAAUAAUAAAAUAAUAAUAGAAAAAAGAAAACUAAUCUUCCUUUAUUUUAAUUUGUGGGUGUAUAAGAAGGAGAUAAUUGUGGAAGACCUUCACAAAUGUCAUUUGAGAUCAAAAUAAGGAGAAGAAGCAAGAAAACAAAAGGUGAGGAGUUUGAAGAAGAAAGAACCAAAUAUAUGGAGGAGAAUUGAAGUGAGAGAGUGGAUGGGUUUUAUUUAAAGAUUUAAUGCUUUUUUUUUAAUUUCAUAUAUAGAAAAAAUCAUUGAAAGAAAAAUAAGUUCAAUAUAAUUAUUUAAAUUUACUUGUCGGGUUUUUAUAAAAUUAACUCAAAUUUUUGAUUAAUUAUGAAAAUAACUCAAUUUAAAAAUUAUGUACAUAAAUUAUUCGAUUUCUAUAGUGUCUGUCGGUGCCUCCAGACACAAUGGCAGCACUGACCUGCCAUCAUCAACCAAUGAUUGUAUUUUAUUUAAAAAAUAAUAGUUUUUUAGUAGUGUCAUUGGAAAAAUUGACGAUAUCAAACUGAAGUGUGAUAAUAUAAAAUGUUCAUGUACUUGACGAAGUAAUUACCCUUUUUUAAUUAGAGGAAAAAGGGAUUUGGUCUAUUUUCAUGUUAGGUCCAUCACCUUUUGAAAUUAAAUUUAAAUAACCCUUAAAAAUAUAAGAAUAACAAAAAUAAAUCAUUCUCAUUUAUAUUUAAAAAAUAACCUUUAAAAAUUAUAUUAAAUUCUUAUUUAAAUUAUCCAAAUAUAUCCCUCACAGAAUUUCCUCAAGUUUAUCUAAAUUCAAGCAUUUUCAAUUCAUUCCCUAGCAUAUUUAAAUUUAGAUAAAGUACUUAAGGAAAUUUUUUGAGGAAUAUAUUUGGGUAAUUUGAAUAAGAAUUUUAUAUAAUUUUUUAAGUAUUUUUUCAAAAAAAAUGAAAAUGGUUUAAUUUUGUUAUUAUUAUAUUUUUUUAACUGCUAUUUAAAUCUAAUUUUAAAAAAGGACAAACGUAACAUGCAAAUAGGUCAAAUGUUGAAAAACAUUUAAUUUGGUCCAGAUACCAACGACACCCCUUUUUCAACCAAUCUAAAAACGUUAACCGCUUCAAAGGAUCCCUGCACGUUUUAUAUAAUCACAUUCAUUCUGGUGCCGUCAAUUUAUUAGGCAACACCACUAUGAUUUUUUUAAAUAAGCAAUCAUUGGGUAAUGAUGUGCAGCGGUGCAGUAAGCACUAUAGAAAUCAGGUGGCCUUCAUUGAAACAUUUCUACUCUAGGAUUGUGUAAGGUGUAGUAACCUUAGAUUGUGUAAGGUGCCAAGAUUGAAAAAUUUCUACUCUAGGAUGCGUACCACCCAGUGGCCUUCAUUGAAACAAAUGGACAUUAUUGAAUGCCCCAAACUACAGAUAUUUACACGACAAUGUCCUGUAAGUCAGGUUGGAAUCUCAAACCAACAACCCUUGUUUUGCGUCAAUGAGGUAAGCUCACGAAAAGUUUCAUAUUCCAUGAUCAUUACUUGAGAUUACCUAUAAGAUGCUUUUUGAAAAACCUAAUAUUCUCUCCUCUUUUAAUUUUAUGAGAGUCUAGUUCUUACUAAUUUAAAACUCUUUCAUCGAUGUCUAAUAUAUUCUUUUUUUUUUUUUUGAAACAACGAUGUCUAAUAUAUUCAUUGCCAUCCAGGACGGUACUUUCCCUGUAUUAGAAGAACUAACACUGAACACGAAUGAUAUGGUGAAGGGGAUAUGUGAUGGACAGCUCUUAUUGCAGUGUUUCUAAAACCUUAAACUUCUUAACCUCCGAUUCUUUCCUGAGACAUCCGCUACUCUUCCAUAUUCCUUCAUUCGGUCGCUACCAAAGCUUCAGAAGCUUGUUAUAAACAAUGCUUCCAUUUCUGAAAUAGUCUGGUCUGAAGGACUUAGCAAAGAGGAAAGGCACACAUCGGUAUUCUAUCAGUUAAAGGACUUAAGGUUGUCUCAACUUCCAGAGUUGACGUUAAAGACUUUUAAACCAUCUUUGCUGUCUUUCAAAAAUCUAACAACACUAGAAGUUUCAAGAUGCCAUGGGUUCAUCAAUUUAAUCGCAUGCUCAACAGCUAAAUGCCUAACGCUACUGGAAAGAUUGAGCAUAGAUGAUUGUGAGAUGAUAGAGGAAAUCAUAGCGUGUGAGGCUGAAGAAAUACAAGGUGGCAUGGUAUUUCCCAAACUGAAGUAUUUGCAACUAAGUUGUCUGCCAUGUCUAGCAAGCUUUUCCUUGGCCCAUCACUCGUUGGAAUUCCCAGUCUUGCUAAUGGUGAUGGUGACAAAGUUCCCCCAAAUGAGGAAUUUCUGCCAAGGAGAUUUAAGCACACCAAGGCUGGAACAAAUGCACUUAACAAGAGAUGAGGAAGGUGAACUGCAGUGGGAAGGCGAUCUCAACACUACCAUAAAACAUAUGCUCGAUGAAAUGGUACAAAUCAUUUAAAGGAUUUAAAUUCAUGUGUUUUUACAUACAUUAAUUGAACAAUUCUUGGUUUGUUAUGAUCAUGCACAGAAUGGGCAAAAUUCGGAGGUGACGGAGGUUACUGAUCAGUUGCCCAAGCUGGAAUAAGGAAAUAAGUUUGGGUGCUUAUACGAAAAGCUCAAUUUCGUUUCAAAUCAAAACGAACGGUAAUUGACUCUUCUAUUUUCAUCAUGGCUUAACUAAUUCUAUUUUUCUUCACUGUAAGCUAUUUUUCUUCACUUACUAAAAUGCUUUCCACUCAAAUUUCAUUGCAAGAAACCUGAAGUUCUUCAAACAUUUGACCUUAUAUGUUAAUAGAUGGUAAUUGCGUUGCAAACUAAUGGUUUCUACUGUUGUCAUGGUGUAGUAUAUUAUGGAAUCUGAAUCAACCAUUGUAAUCAAAAGAAUGGGAGAACUUAAUCCAGAACCUUUUUUAGACGAAUGCAAGAAGAAAUUUGCUGUUUGACAACUGGUGUUUGAACUGUGAAUUUGAUUUUUUUUUUUGCCAUUUUUGCUGGUCAACAGUGCUAAUAUUCUGAUAUAUUGGCCAGAAUUGAAGGAAGAAGGUCCAAUUUUGCUUUUGAUCCUUCUACUAGUAUCUUAAGAUUUAAAAGAAAUUCAAUUAAACAAUUUCUUCCAAUAAAAUUAAACAAGAAGGCCCAGAAAUUGACCCGCACACUUAGACAUGUUUCUCUUUGAAAAAAUUCAAACAGGGUUUUAAAAUUUGCAAUGUGUUUUAUGUAAAUCAAAUGAUAUCCUGAAUUUUGCUAAGGGUGUUUCAUAUCCUUGAAUCCUUCUUUUGCUUGGCAAGUGAUUCAUUGAGCUUUUGUGAUCAAAUUUCAUGUUUCUUUUUUAGUAUGGGAAUUUGUGGGAAAAUACUUGACAACAAGCCUCAAUACUUGCUGUUGGGAGCUUCAAUAUAAUGUAACUGUUGGUGUUGAAAUCAAAGAACAGAUAAGCUCAGCUUGUAUCUUGUGCAACAAGCCUCGAUACUUGCUGAGUAAACAAUCAGAUUUGAAGCAAAAGAAAGAAGAAAAAAGCAAAGAAAAAUGAGAGAGUUUUGAUGGAUUUGAACUAGCUUUCAUUCAUACUCAAAAUAAUGGCAUAAUGCCAAUACAUAAACCAAGCAAUUUGCUUGUCAAAAAACAAUAAGCAGUCACCUAAACAAUACCUACCACCACUAAUUAUAUUGAAACUUGAAAAACAAAACUUGUAAGCAUGGACAAAGCUGAGUUUACAGCUCAUACACCAUCUAAUUACAUCAAUCAUAAGAUUAGCUUAGUUCAAAUUGAACUAAGGUACAUUACAUUAACUUAAAAAUACAAAAUGAACAAAAUAGGAACAGUUGAGCUUGUUCCAGCAGCACCUGCAUGGCACGAUCUUCAUGGCCUACUUGCUGUCUGCUUCUUGCUUCAUGCUGACCAACAUUCAUCACUCCUCCUUGGUUAGCAUGUUGCAAACUCCCAAUUUGUUUCUUAAGUGUUCGAAUCUUGUUGCAUUAAGGGCUUUGGUCAAAAUGUCAGCAAGUUGAUCCUCUGAAUUGCAAUGAAUCAGUUUUAGCUCCUGUGCCUGCUCCAUUUCUCGAACAACAUGAAGUUUAAUGCUGAAAUGCUUUGUUCUUCCAUGGAACACUGGAUUCUUUGCAAUUGCAAUAGUAGAUUGAUUGUCACAAAAGAUCUCUGUUGUUUCCCUUUGAUGCACAUUUAAAUCAGCCAUGAUUUUCCUUAGUCAAAUGGCUUGGUUGACAGCACUUGUUGCUGCAACAUAUUCUGCUUCAGCAGUAGAUUGAGCCACCAAAGUUUGUUUCUUAGAGCUCCAACAGAACAUGGCUGAACCAAGAUUGAAAGCAUACCCUGAUGUACUUUUCAUGUCAUCAAUCGAACCAGCCCAGUCAUUGUCUGUGUAGCCAACUAACUUCAGACUUUUAGCUUUGCUAUAAAUCAAGCCAUGGUUCAAGGUACCUUUGAUAUACCUGAGCACCCUCUUUGCUGCUUGAAAGUGCUUUUCAUUACUACAAUGCAAGAACCUUGAGAGCAAACUUACAGCAAACAUUAUAUCAAGUCUAGUGGCUAUUAAGUAUAGAAAACAACCAACUAAAAUUUUGUAGGUGGUUUCACAAGCCCUUUCAGAAUUAUCAUGGCUCGAUAACUUUUCUCCAGCAGCUAUUGGAGUCUUUGUUGCUUUACUAUUUUGCAUUGUGAAUUUGGUCAGGAUCUUGGAAGCAAAAACUUUCUGACUUAGGAACAUUCCCUGGUGUGUUUGUGUCACUUCCAUCCCAAAAAAGUAGCUCAUCCUUCCUAGAUCAGACAUCUCAAACAUCAGCUCCAUUUUGGUUUUAAAGUCAGUUAGCAUUGUUUGGUCUCCUUCUGUCACUAGCAGGUUAUCAACAUACAAAGAUACUAUGAGCUGAUUUAGUGUCCCUUCCUUUUUGACAAAUAAAGUUGGCUCACUCUUGCUUCUGUCAAAUCCCAAACCAGACAAGUAGUUAUCAAUCCUGCUAUACCAGGCCCUUGGAGCCUGUUUUAAGCCAUACAAGGCUUUCGUUAGCUUGUAGACCAUAUGCUCAUUACAAGCUGUCUCAAAGCCUUGUGGUUGUUCAACAUAAAUGUUUUCAUCAAGAAAUCCAUUUAGAAAGGCUGAAUUCACAUCGAGCUAAUGGAUUUUCCAUUCCAUUUAAGUUGUUAAGCCAAUCAGCAGUCUGAUGGUAUCGAGCCUGGCUACUGGUGCAAAGGUUCCAGAUAGUCCAGGCCAUAUUUCUGGCUAAAUCCCUUGACAACCAGCCUUGCUUUUAGCUUAUUCAAGCUUCCAUCAGCAUUGCACUUGGCUCGAUAAACCCAUUUCACCCCAAUGACCUUCCUUUUGGCUGGUCUUCCAACUAAUUCCCAAGUCUGGUUCUUCUCAAUCAUGCUAAUUUCAUCAGCUAUUGCUUGCUUCCACCCUUGCUGAGCUUCAGUUUCUUCAAAACAGCUUGGUUCUGCUAUAGCCAUAUGAGCCCUUUUAUAAAUCUCGGCCAAAGGUCUGGUGCCCCUGACUGGUUCAUCAUCAAUAUCUAUUUCAAGACCAUUUUGAUCUGGCUCAGCUUGAUUUGCUGCAAGAUCCUCUGAAACUGCCUGUGGCUUAUUCCUUUCCCAAUUCCAGCAUGACUUCUCAUCAAACACUACAUCUUUGCUUACUAACACUUUGUUCGUUGAAGGAUCUAAGAUCCUUUAGACCUUCUUGACUGAGCUAUACCCUACUAGUAUACCAGGUUUAGCUUUUCUGCCAAAUUUGUCUCUCUUCACUGCUGGUACAUGAGCAUAACAUAUGCAACCAAAGACCCUCAAGUAAGCCAGUGAAGGUUUGAACCCGAACCAGGCUUCAAAUGGAGUCUUAUGAGCCAGGGCCUUAGUUGGAAGCCUAUUCUGAAUGUACACAGCAGUAUUGACUACCUCUGCCCAUAUGGUUUUGGGCAGAUUCUUCUCAAACAGUAGGCACCUGGCCAUAUCCAUCAAGCUCCUGUUCUUCCUCUCACUUACUCCAUUUUGUUGAGGAGUAUAGGUGUUGGUGAGCUGAUGCUUGAUGCCAGCCUCAUUGCAAAAGACUUGGAACUAAGAUGAGGUGUACUCAGUCCCAUUGUCAGACCUUAUAGUCUUAAGUUUGCAGCCUGUUUCAGUUUUAGCAACAUUCUUGAACUUUUUAAACAUUGAGCCUACUUUUGAUUUUUGUUUUAAGAAAUAAAUCCAGCAAAACCUUGAGAAAUCAUCAAUAAACAGAAUGAAAUACCUACUUCCAUUCAAUGACUCAGUCUUUAUGGGGCCACACACAUCAGUGUGCACAAGCUGUAGUCUUUUAAAGGCUCUCCAGGCUUGAUUCGAGGGAAAUGGAAGUCUGGCCUGCUUUCCUAGCUGACAUACCUCACAAACCUCCUGUUUUUGAACUGAACUGAUGAAGUUUUCAGGCAAAUCAUCUCUGCAUAACUGAUCCAUUGAUCUGUGGUUGGCAUGACCAAGUUUUUGAUGCCAAAGCUUAGAUUCAUCAGUUGUAGCUGUAUAGGUAGUGUCUAAGUCCUUUGUCCAAUCAACUACAAAGCUUUUGUCAGCCAUAGUGACUGCCAUCAAUUUGGAUCCAUUUGGAUCACUAAUUUGGCACUGCUUGCCUUUGAACACUACAAAAUACCCUUUUUCUAGCAAUUGAGCUAUGUUGAGCAGGUUUCUGUCAAUCUUAGGCACCAAUAGCACAUUCGAGAUGACCUUGACACCUGUGGGAGUGCAUAUCAACACAUCACCCUUACCUUCUGCCUUUAUAAGGUGACUAUUACCAAUCUUAACUUUAGUUCUGUAGCUUCUGUCCAAGGACUUGAAGAUGGCAGCAUCUAGUGUCAUGUGGUUGGUGCAUCUACUGUCUAGGAGCCAACCAUUUGAAAGCCUCUCUUAAGCAGCUGAGCAUGACACAGCAAAAACUUGCUCCUCUUGAUCACUGUCUUCCUUGGCUACUCGAGCCUCAGCCUUUGACUGUUGAGGUUGAUUCUGCCUUGGUUUGCCUCUGUUUUUGCAGACCCUUUCAACAUAUCCCCUCUUCUUGCAGUGUUGACACAAUACAUCUAGUCUAAACCAACAUUUUUCUUCUGGAUGACCAGGCCUUUUACAAUGCCUGUAGGUUUGUUCUCAUUUUCUUACAGCAUCAAACUUUGGCUUGUCUUUCCAGAUCUUCUUGCCUUUGUAGGCAAUAUUAGUCUUUACUUGAAAGGCACCUUCUUGAUGCUCCUCCAGUCUGCUAGCUCUUCUCUGUUCUAGUGCAUAGAGAGCAUUAAUCAGCUCUGUUAGGGAGAUGCUGGUCAGUCCCUUGAGUCUUCGAGGGAUGAGAUUUUUGCCUCAUACCUCUCAAGCAAAGUUGAAAUAACCUUCUCCACUAUCCUUGCUUCAUUAAAAUUCUCACCAAUGAGCCUUAUUCUGUUUACCACAACCAUAAUCCUAUCUGAGUACUGUUUGACAGUUUCUUCUUCCUUCAUCUUCAAAUUCUCGAAGUCCCUUCUCAAGUUUAACAACUGUUGCUGCCUUGUCCUCUCUGUCCAUUGAAACUCAUCUUUCAACUUGUCCUAGGCCUGCUUUGGUAUUUCACAUGCCAUAAUCCUUAUGAAGAUCACAUCUGACACUGAGUUCUGGAUGCAAUACAUGACCUUGUGCCUCUUGGUCAUUUUAUCAGCAUGUUGCCUGAUUUAAGCUACUGUUGGAUUGGCUCUGAGUGGAUCUGGUUCAAAAUCAGAGUUGACCACCUCCCACAGAUCGAAAGCCUGCAGGUAGGUCUUCAUUUUGACCACCCAUAUGUGAUAGCCUUCUCCAUUGAAGACUUGUGGUACAGCUGGUGAGAAGUUUGAUGAGGCCAUCUUUUUAUACAACAGAUCCCUUAAGAUUAAGGCUCUAGAUACCAAUUGUUGGUGUUGAAAUCAAAGAACAGACAAGCUCAGCUAGUACCUUGUGCAACAAGCCUCGAUACUUGCUGAGUAAACAAUCAGAUUUGAAGCAAAAGAAAGAAGAAAAAAAGUAAAGAAAAAUGAGAGAGUUUUGAUGGAUUUGAACUAGCUUUCAUUCAUACUCAAAAUAAUGGCAUAAUGCCAAUACAUAAGCCAAGCAAUUUGCUUGUCAAAAAAUAGUAAGCAGUCACCUAAACAAUACCUACCACCACUAAUUAUAUUGAAACUUGAAAAACAAAACUUGUAAGCAUGGACAAAGCUGAGUUUACAGCUCAUACACCAUCUAAUUACAUCAAUCAUAAGAUUAACUUAGUUUAAAUUGAACUAAGUACAUUACAUUAACUUAAAAAUACAAAAUGAACAAAAUAGAAACAGUUGAGCUUGUUCCAGUAGCUCCUGCAUGGCACGAUAUUCAUGGCCUGCUUGUUGUCUGCUUCUUGCUUCAUGCUGACCAACAUUCAUCAGUAACUGUGAGACAGUUGAAGGGCAAGAAUGCUGCGUUGCGCCUUGCGUUUGCUAAAGGUACUUUAUAUUAUAUAUGUGUAUGUAGUGAGCAGAAUACUAUGUGUUAAUUGAAUCGUUUGGUACCCUUUGAUUGAUCUUAGGGAAGGGGAUAUAAAUGUCGGGAUUUGAACCCCAAACUUAGCUUUUAUUACAGGAAGAGGAUCAAUUUUGGCUCGGUUAAGCUUAAUGUGUUAAGAACCAGAUAAGAACAUAAUAUAUGGGAACACUUUGGCCAUACGAGGCUAAUGCUUAUAUGAUUCGCUUUACAGACUACAUGCUCCUAGGGAUAACUCUUCUGUAAGUACUAUUAGUUGAAUAGCUUUAUGAUGUAUUAAUCUAUAAAAUCUGGGUGUCAUAUUAUGAGUUCCAUUGCUAUGUUAAUCUAUGUACUAACAAUAUUAUGAAGUAAGGCAAUUUUGUGUACAUUACAUUGGGAUGCAAGCUGAAUUACCUUUAAUCAGCUUCAACCAUACAUACAUAUACAUAUAUAUAUAUGAAGUUAAGAACGUAAGUGCUGUUAAAUGGUACAUUACUCAGAUUGGUAAUAUAAUGGUGCCGAAUGUUCUAAAAUUUAACAAGUAUUACUGGUAAUAUAUUAAUGAAGAUAAAGAUAAAAGUUUUCUCGGGAAAACAAGUGUUAUCCUUCAUUUAUCUUGAUGAUUCUCUAACGCCGCCAAUUUCCCCCCUAAGUUUACAGCAAGAAGAAGAAGAAAAAGAAGACAAACGGCAACGUUAAGCCAUUUAAUUUCAUCCCAGGUUAAUUUUUUUUGUAAAUUAAACAUUUUUUGUAUACAUUUUGUUACCUAUUUAUUUUAUGUUUUUGAAGUUUCCAUUGCCAUUUCUACCUUUCCAAAAUGGUGUCUUUUUACUUGUUUUUUACUGGGUUAUUGACAUUUGUUCCAUAGAAUAAAUUUCUUUGAUUUUAGGGUUCUAUAUGUAUUUUUUUUAUUUAUGAAUUUGAACUUGAGUUAUCCAUAAAAAUUCGACCUUUAAUCUCAAUAUAUUUAUAGUCUAUAAAUUUUGACUUUUCUUCCAAUAAUAUAUCUCCAAAAUUCUAACUUAACCUUUUUAAACUUUGUCAUGUCAUUAUUAUUAGAGUUAAUUGCACCAAAUAUCUCCAAACUAUGGUUCUUCUUCUAAAAUAGUCCUCAAACUCAAAAUAUUGUAAAUUACAUUUCCAAAUUAUCAAUAUUAUAUCAAUAAUGUUCUUCUAUUGCUAAAAUCAUGAAAUGAGACGUCAAAUCUUAUCAGACAUAAUUUAAAAUAAAAAACUUAAAAAAAAUAAUUAUUGUAAAAAUAUUGAUUUCAAGGUUUUCGAAGUUAUUACAAAAACUAUCAUUCAUUUUCUCUUUCACUUUAUUUUUAAUUUUUAUUUUUAAAAGUUGUAUCAACAACAUUUUACUUUUCUCUAAAAAUAUCAUUUUUCAUUAAUAGUUUCAAUAAUAAAAGGAUGAGAUAAAUAGUUUAAAAUAUUUUAAAGUUGGGAGAAUAAUUUAAAAUAAAGAUGCAAUAUUGUUAAUCUAGUACUAUUUCAUAAUAUCAUUUUAUCGUUUCAAGUUUUAAAGACAACAUUUUUUUUUUGAAAUAUUUUAAAGACAACAUUUAAAGAUUGACUAUAAUAAUAUUGUUACAUGGAAAAAGAAUCCCACGUCAGCUAAAUGGCUUACGUCUGACGUGUGCUUAGUGUUAUUAAAAAAGUCAAAGGUUGAGAAAGUCUGAGGCGAGUCACACAUAUCACACGCCAUGCACAGGUUUCCUUAUUUCGAGGCUAAAAUACCAAAAUACCAUCACAUUUCUCGUUAAAUUUACCACUUAAUCAACGAUCCUCUAAAAAUGAUGUAAGGACAUAUUAGAAAUUUUAAUCACAAUAAUAUCACCAAAUCUGAAAAAUUACAAAUGAGGCAAAAAAAAAUACGAGUAAUAUUUAGCCAUAAAAUGUAUAUAUUCAUUCCCUCUAAACCAGGUGGUUAAGCCUCACAAUCCAACGUAACUGUAAACCUUUCUUGGCAGCCAUGAAAUCAGUUCUAAAAUCCCUUGCAAACUCAAUCUUCCUUGUUCUUUCCAUCAUCUUUUCAUCUUCUACUCCACUUGUAUUGGCUCAAUGUGAAGCAGAGACCAAGACUAAUGGAUGCCAUAACUACAGAGAAUCCAUGAAGCUAAAAAUCAUUGCCAUUGUCGCAAUUUUACUAUCCAGCAUGAUUGGCGUGAGUCUGCCAUUGUUUUCUGGUCAGGUUCCGUCACUUAAACCCGACAGGGACUUGUUCACCAUUGUCAAGGCAUUUUCCUCCGGUGUUAUUCUAGCGACUGGGUACAUGCACGUGCUACCGGAUUCUUUUAACGACCUUAUGUCCGGGUGUUUGCCUGAAAACCCAUGGAGGAAGUUCCCUUUCACAACCUUCGUCGCAAUGCUGUCGGCUGUGUUGACCCUUAUGUUGGAUUCAUUUGCAAUGAGUGUAUACAAGAAACGUUGCGGUAAAGCUCUAAUGGCGGAUGCUAACAAUGGUGGUGGAUUGGAAAAUACGAACGUUGUACAAAUCGAUAAUUUUGAACACGGCCAUAGCCAUUCACUUGAGAUGAAUGACGACGUAUCAUCACAAUUGUUAAGGCAUCGAGUUAUUGCUCAGGUAUAUAUACAUGUUUGAAUCCUCAAAUUCGAUGGUUUUGCUUUUCAAGUCUUUACAUUAUAUAUUUCCUAAAUGUAGGUAUUAGAGUUGGGAAUUGUAGUUCAUUCAGUGGUGAUUGGCCUUGCCAUGGGAGCCUCUGGCAACCAAUGCACCAUUCGAUCACUCAUUUCUGCCCUUUGCUUCCAUCAAAUGUUUGAGGGGAUGGGACUUGGUGGAUGCAUACUGCAGGUAACCCCCAACAUUGCACUAUUUUCUCAUUCAAACAUCCAUUUAGUGUACAAUAUUGAUUAACAUUAUGUUUGAUAUGUGCAGGCUGAAUAUGAGAUAAAAAUGAAAGCAAUCAUGGUAUUCUUCUUUUCAGCCACAACGCCACUUGGAAUAGUUCUGGGAAUUGGUUUGUCCAAGGUUUACAGUGAGACGAGUCCAACUUCACUUAUGGUGGUGGGACUACUUAAUGCUUGCUCAGCAGGGUUGCUGAAUUACAUGGCACUGGUUGAUCUCCUUGCAGCUGAUUUUCUGGGCCCUAAGCUUCAAACAAAUAUGAAGCUCCAGGCUUGGUCAUAUGUUGCAGUUUUACUUGGUGCUGGAUUUAUGUCUUUGAUGGUAAAAUGGGCUUAGUCAUGUCAACAUAUACAUGUCUUUUUGUAGUUUUUUAAUCUUAUUCUUCUUCUUCUUCUUUUUUUUUGUUUCAACAGAUGAGUUUAUAGUGAAUCAACACUUAUUCAAUCAAUUAUAAAAUUUAGGCAAAGAAUUUAGGCAACAAGGCUUGAACAUUGAUCUUUAAGAUCGUUUACUCCAUAUUGCAGGGCUCAUCACAAAGUAUAUAUAUCAGAAAAGUAUGCAAACUUCAAUUUUGUGUCAAUAUCAUUAUAAUUUAAACUGUUUAAUGUUACAUCAGAUGUAGAUGUCUUUAAGCCAAUGCUUAUAGCCACAAAGUCUCUUUGGUGCAAGCUAUAAGUACAGAGUUAUGCUAUAAAUAAACAAUUAAAUAAUUUGUAUUUAAAAUAUCAAAUACUAAAAACCAAUAAAUAAGAUUAGAAAACCAAAAAUCGGAUAAAGAAUCAAAUUUUUCUAGAUGUUGGGGCUUGUUUUACACAGUUUCCUUAAGAUAGAUUUGUCUACUCCUACUGUACUUGGUGAAAUGUUGGGAGACUAUCUAAUAGGAUACAACAAAACAAUGAUCGAAAUAAUAGCAUCUCUACAGAGACCAAUGAACAACCUUGCCUUUUUCUAUCACCAGAACAUUGGAAAAUAUAGAGAGAAAAAGAGAAGAAUUUUCGAGAGCAAAAUAAACUUGGUUUUAGAGAGUUUUUUAGUGUAAAAAAAUUUGAAGAAUUCUUAAGCAUUCAAGAUGGAGGAAUUUUGGAAAUAUCCAUAAUUAAAUAUACAAAAUCUGUAUUAAAUGAGCAAUUAAAUCAUAAUAUAUGUCCUUUUUAAAUUAGAUUUUAUAUAUAUUUGUUGAGAAAAUUAAAUUUUGUGUUGGGCUUAAAAUAUCCACAGGCCCAAUUGACUGGUCUAGACAUUUCACAUCGCCCAUGUAGUGCGAGUGCGCUUCAACCCCGAUGGGUUCGGAUCUACACCCCCCUCGCGUGGGACAAAGUUUCAAACUUAGUCAUUCAAUUAUCCUUCAAGUGGGUUCUCAUAUAUAAACACAUCUCACAUUUGGUAUUUAAUCAAUGUGAGAUCUAAGCUUUUCUUUUCCUCAACAAAUAUUCACAACUUACUUUGAGCAUUAAUUUCUCGCUCAUCACUCAACCAUUUUGAGCAUACGAUAUACUAUUGUAAAGGUAUCAUGGAGUAGAAUAUAAAAUCAUAAUUUUAUGAUUCAAUUCUCCACUUAUACCAAUUGAGAAUAUGCUUCAAAGUUUCUAAAAGUUACAAUUUUUUCAACAUUUUAUACAUCUACUUUAAAGGUAUAAUCAAGCCCAGCAGAGCCCGAAUAAUGACAAGCUUGAACUUGACUCAAACAUCACUUUUUAAGCUCAAUCUUGAUUCAAAACAUAAUUGAGCUGAUUAAGCUCGUUUAUCAAUUUUUAUAAUCAAACUCAUUUAUAAUUAAGCUCUUUUUAUAUAUCAAGGAUAAAAAUGUAAUUUUAUAAAUAAAAAAUAUUUAAAUGGAAUGCUUAAUUAGGUUUGUGGGCUACUUGAAUCAAGUAUUACAAUAUUUAAAUUCAGCUUAAUCAAUAGCUCGAGCUCUACUCAAUAAUUUUUGAUAAAAUUUUAAGAUUUUUUGAAUCCAAUUAGAAUAGCUUGCAAAUAUAAUGUAUCAUUGUACUCUUAAUUUUAAGUUUACAUUUUUAAUUCUUAAAAUAAUAUUAAAAAGUUCUUUCUUUCUAAAAAGAAACACCCAAUCAAUUGAAGGCUUUUUAGAAAGUGGUGGCAAAGUGCAUCCUUUACUUUAAGUCUCACUAUAUCUAAAAAGAAAUUAAUGCGAACUGUAGAAAGUGGUAGGAAUGUGCAUCAUUAUUGCUUUAAAAGAAUUUCAAUCUUUAAACGGAUAGAAUUAAAUUUUCAUAAUUUGGAAGAGUUAAAGUGUAAUUUUUUUAUUUUAAAAUUUUAAAAUUUUUUAAAGAGUUCAAAUAAUAAUUUUUUAUUUUAAGAGAGCCGGGCUCCUGUCAACUCCUGGAUUCGCCUCCGUAAUUUUCAAAAUUCAGUUAAAUUAUGUUAUUUUGAAUAAAAAGUUAAUUGAUAAAGAAAUUCUUUUAGUUUCGAAAAUUCAAUUUUUUUGUUUUAAAAAAAUAUUAAAAUUUAAAAAUUAAAAGAUUAAAGUAAUAAAAUUUCUCCCAAUAUCAAUGACUUUUUGAUACAUGCACGAAUGAAGUGAAAUUUAUUAGAUUCCAAUCAUCAAAACUACUAAUUUUCAGGCUUGGGAAAUUAGCAGACUUGCAAUGACUUUUUGGAUGGGAUUCUGGCAUUUUUGGGUUGAGAUGUCUCAUGGCAUUUGAAGAUCAAUCUCUUAGCUUUGAAACGCAUUUUGUAUCACUCGAUUUUGAGUUCGGGAGCUCAAGUUAUGACUGUUUUAGUGAAGAUUGCGCGAGCAAAAUUUCUGAACGAGAUUAUGACGGGAAUUACGAAUUUUGGGCUUUUAAUUCGUGUUUAAAUCAUAUUGAGUUCAGGUUUUAGACUUAAUUUUUAUUAUUAUAUAUGAGCCUAAUAUUAUAGUUGUUAGAUCUUAUUAUUUUAUUCCAAAAUUUUGAUAAUUAUUAAGUAUUUUAAGUUAUUUAGGAGUUUUAUAUUAACAAGAAAAUUCAAUUUAAAACUCCUUCUUAUUUAGAUUAAAUUAGAGUUCUAGUAUACUUAAAAGUUUUAUUUAGAUUUAUUUAGCUAGUCUAUAUGUAGGCCUUAUUCAUUAUUAUUCUAUUUCUCUUUUAAGUUAAUAAAUUCUCUCUGGGUUUUUUUUUUUCAAGAAUUUCUCUUGAGUUUCUUUUAGAAGAGUUUUAACAAUCAUUUUAGAUUGUGAGGAUCAUUUUCAAACUUUUUGUUGCCAAGGUUUCUAUCUUGAAGGGGAAAUUAGAGCCGCUUGAAGGAGGUUAUGAAUUAUUCGUGUUUCCAAGGCUUAUUAGGACUUCUACACGUCACGUUCUAUCUUUUCAUUUAUCUUCUUUAUUUGCUUCCUUAAUCUUUAAUUUAUUAUUUUAUUUUAGUUAUUUAUUUUAAUUGUUUUAUCUGACUUGGAUUCAAUUUCGUUUCAGGUUGUGUCAAAAUCAAAUUUCUUUUCGAACGUUUAGAACCCUAAGUCAAAUCCGUGAUUUUGACAAAUUUUAUGAUCCACUUUCGCGUUCAUCCUUCUCAUCCUUUAUCACUUUUGCUACUUUUCUUGCUUCUGUCGAUGCAUAUCCUGACAAGCCUUUAACUAUCAUGAGAAGCAAAGGAGAGAAGCAAAGGAUAAAUACACUACGUAUGAUAUAAAUAUGAUUAAUUUUCCUUGAAAUAUUAAUUAUUAAAUACAUAUUAAAAUAUAGAUAUGGGAAUACAAUCUUUUAUAAUAAUCACCCACUAUGACACCAUUUCGUUGUAAUUAUUAAUUUUUUACUAAAAUCGAUAUUAAUAUUUUAUUUUAAUCUUCUAUAACAACUUUUCACUUAUAAUAGCAAUAUCCAUAUACAUUCUUUAUUAAACUAUUUCUCUAUAACAUCGUAUUGUUUAAAUCUUUAAGUAAUAUAACGACCACCAUUUUAUAAAAGAUAAAAUCUAGACAGACAAGUUAAGUAAUUUUAGUUUAGUAAAUUGUAUUUUUUUUCUGAAUGAUUUAGAUUAAUUGCUUUUUUCCAACACCAUGAAAAGCUGAUUUCAAACACAAUAAUUGGCGAUAGUGUGUUCCUUCUUUUGUCACCUUUACCAAAAGGGAAAAUAAUUGGCGAUAGAGUGUUGCUUUCGUUUGUCAACUUUUCAGCUGUAGCCACCAAAUGAUAAGAAUCCAUGAAGCUCCACUCUCAAGUAUUUGUGUUUCUUUAGGAUUCUAUUGUUUACAUUUCAAAUUUUGUUUAGAUUGAGCUGCCCUUUGUCAAAUUACUUCUCGCAUUACUCCGUUAAGAAUAUUAUCUUUUCGCUCGUUCGUAACUGCGACAACUAAUCGCUGAAUCCUUCUCUUAUACGUUGGAAAGGUACGCCAUCUGCUUUCAUUUUGGUUGAUUUGGUCUUACUUCUUGGUUUACGGAAGCUUUACUUUUUGCUCGUUUUAUUUGUAACUUUUUCUUCUGAUUUUGUUUUGGUCUUUGUUGUCGCUGUGGUUAUUCAGUUUACUUCUUGUUUGAUCUCUCAAUGGAGUUUGUUACUACCCUAGUUGGCUCUAUUGUCACUAAAGCUGUAAAGUAUACGAUCUCUCCUAUCAAAAACCAUAUCAAAUACCUUUCCAAUCAUCAACAAUAUGUUGAGACCCUCAAGGACUAUAUGUUUAGUUGGUAAAAAAAGGAGAAAAAAAGAAGAAAGAAAACCACUUUGCUUAGUUGGUAAAAGCCAAAGUUGUGAGUAUUGAAUAAUCAGAUUCGGAAUUUAGAGUGAUAGCAUAUAGAAUAUUUUCCCAUUAAAAUAUGUUUUGGUAUACGACAUUUUAGGGUUGUUGGCUAGUCAUUACUGAGCUGCUUCCUUUCUUUUAAAGUAUGAUGAAGUCAUCUUUCUCAAAUCACUACUUUCUGGGUUUGCUCUGUUAAGAACAAGAAAAAAAGAAAAAAAUUGGAAGUUAUCGAUCACAGCCAAAAGGUACGCCAUCUGCUUUUCUUUUCCCUGCUUUGCUCUUACUCUUCUGAAAUACUUGUCGGUAUAAAUAAGCUUAGGCAGGCAGUUUUAACCAUGAAAAUGGACUUCUUUUAUGCUUUAAAUCUAUUUAGCCCUUCUAUUUUAGCUUUAGGAUUUCGAGUCCUGUACUUUUUCGAUUUAAAAUCUUCAUCUUUCCAUUCAAAUUUACCCUUAGUGUUGUUGACCUGACAUAUAUAAAAAGAUCAAAUAAAUUUUUUAGCCUUAAUUUGAUCUUUACUUUAUAAAAUUACAUAAAAAUUCAGAAUUAAAAAGAAAACAUAUUUCCACUAAAAUCCAUUAAAAAAUUGUGGAAAACACUCUUUAAAGUUCGUGGAAAAAAGGGAUAAGAAGGGGUGACUAUUAGGAAAGCUGCAUAAGCACUUUUGUUUGUGAUCUAUCAACAAAUUGUGGCUUCCACAUACUGCAAUAUGGUUAUUAAGAGGUUGAGUACUGCUUUAUCUUGUAGAAGGAGGAUUUGUAGUAGAUCUAAUCAUAAGUUGGGUUAAUAUAAAAAUUUUAGAUUUGUUUUUAGGGUCCGGAUCGCCUCAACUAAAAAAAUGCGCUAAAAUUUUAUUUAAGUUCAACCCAGAUAAAAAAUACUAAAUCUGAACCCGUCUGUAUUAGAUUAUUUUUAUAUAAAAAUAAAUUUAAAAAAUAUAAUACAUCAAAUACUCUAAAAAUAUUAAAAUAAAUGUUUCUCAACGAAUUGAAAAUAUAUUUAAAAAAAUUCUUUAUACUUAAAUAAAACUAACAUAGUUGCAACUUAGCAAACAAAUGUUUCUAAAAUAAUAGUAAAAUUAAAAAUAAAAUAAGAGUUAUACAAUAUCUAAAUAAUAGUAGUAAAAUAACAACAUAACAGCAAAAAACAACAACGUAAAAGCAGUAAACAGCAGCAAAAAAAUAGUUAAAUUUGGGUUAGGUCCAAACUAAAAAAAUCUUACCUGAAGCUCAGCCUGUUUAAAACGAGAAUUUAUUUUUUUCGAAGUUUAUUUUUUGGGUUUGUAUUAUUACCUAAAAUAUAAUGAUUGUAUUAUUAAAAUAUUAAUCAUAUAAAUAGUUACGGAAGUGUGUAAAAUUACUUUAAUUUUUACAUUGUGUAAGUAGAUCAUUCCCCUUAAUAUUAAUAAAUUUUCAUUUUGUUAUAACAUAAUAUUUAAAAUAUGAAUUAAGAUUAAAAAUUAAAUUAAAAAUAUGAAUAUAAAUAGGGUGAGGAUUUAAUACUUUUUGUUAUUCCACAAGUAACCUUAAAAAAUUGACAUGUCUCUCUUUCCUUUAAAUAUUUUAUUAUACUCUUAUAAAACACUUGUCAAUCCCUUGGUCCUGCUAGUGGAGUCUAAAAACUCCAUUGGCAGUGUACUAAGUGAUUUCUCAUAAUUUAUUAUUGAAUUUUUUAAAUUCCACAAGGAAAGUCAAGAAGUUGAUAAAUGUCUUUUUAGAAGUAUAGUAAAAUAUUUUAAAAAAAUUAAAGAUUUUAAUACUGCUUGUAGAAUAAAUAUGUACAAGCCCAAAUUUACCAGGGGCCCAAAAACCCAAUUACAACCAAAACCAAACCCAAAAGACCUAGCCCAAUACCCCUAACCCAACCCAAACAACAGACCCUAAACAUUUAAAAACCAAGCCCAAUUACAAUACCCGACCCAAUAACCCUAAGCCCGAUUAACAGUAGCCUAAAGCCUAACAUCAAAUCAGAAACAGACCCCCUGCUGCCGCUGCCGCGCCACUUGCUCUGCCACCGCCGCGCCUACUUCACCCACUUGCCUACAGAGAAAUGACAAGCAAAAAAUAUUGUAAAAAAUGGCUAUAAAGCCAUAACAACUAUUGUAAACGGGGUCUUCUUCCCCCCUUUUUUUCCACGAGCAUGAAAUAAAAAAACACAACACUUUCAAGGUUUUUUCUUUUUUCAUUUUAGGUACUUAUUUUGGUUAUAUAAUCCUUUUAUUUAUUUAUUUUACAUAUAUGAAAAUAUAAAAAAAAAGAGAGAAAAGGGAAAGAACCUACCGGAGUCAAUCCGCGUCUUUGUCGUCGGAGACCUCUUCUCUGGUGCCUAAAAUCAGUCGUUGAGAAUGUUGAUGGCCUCUUGCCCUUUGUUUUUUUGGUUGUUUUGAGGCCGGAUCCGAACUCAGUGGGUUAGUAUCUAAAAAAAGGACACUUUUUUACCCUCGUCGGCCUCCGUGCACGGUGGCAUCGAUGCUGGCGAUCGACGGCCGACACAGUGGCCUUUGAUUGAACGCUCGGCCGGAGUGUGGGGGAGUAGAGAGGAUUUUGCUUAGUUGUUUUAAGGGGGAGGGUGAAAAUGAAAAAAUUCUAAAAAUUUUGGCUUUUAUAGCCUAUGGGAAACGGCGCCGUUUCAUCCGGCCUCCACAGGCGCCAAAACGGUGUCGUUUUGGGGAGGCCGACCCGAACCUAACCUGUCUGCUCUAAGAUCCGCGCGUUUUAAGAUGGAAGGGCUAAUUGCACUUUUAGCCCUUCCGCCUUCUUUAUGUUUUUAAUUAAGUAUUUUUGUUUUUUCAAUUUUGCACAGUGAUUUUUUUGCGAUUUCGAUUUAGUCCUCGCUAAAACGAUGUCGUUUUGGGGGAAAGAGAAAAUUACCCUUUCAGUCCCUCCAUGUUAUUCGCGUGUUCAGAUUGGUCCUUUCCUUUUAUUUUACUUUUGAUUUUGCCCCAAAUCUUUUCCUUAUAAUUCAAAUUAGUCCUUUUUUGUUAUUUUAUUAUUUUAUUAAUUAACUCAAUUAUUUUAUUUAUUCCUCAUUAUUGUACUAUUAUGUUGUGUUAUUAUUGUUAUUAUAUUUCCAAUUUGUUUAUUGAUCUAAGUUUAAAUAUUUUUAAUCUCAUUAUUAUUAUUAUUAUUAUUAUUAGUUACUCAUUUGUACCUUUUUAAUUUUAGAUUUAAUUAUAUACAUACAUAUCUUUGAUUUAUAUAUAUAUAAAUACUUAUAUAUAUAUUUUUUACAUUUUAAAAUAUGUAUAUUUUUAUAUUUUUAUUUUUAUUUUUUUUAUGAUUCACAUAGAUAUAUAUUUAUAUUUUAUAAUUUUUAUCGAUAUUCUUUGUUGUUAUAAUUGCUUCACUUGGUGUUCACUUAUUUAUUUAUUUACAUGUCCAUUAUUAUUAUUAUUUUUAAAUGCUUUAGUUUUUAUUUGUUUAUUACUUGUUAUUGUGUAUACAUGAUUGAUUUUUUUAUAUAUAUAUUUGUCUUCUUAUUUAUUUAUCUUUUUGUUUUUGCUCGUAUUAUUUUUACUUACAUUAUCAUAAUUGUUAUUCCAUUACAUCAAUUUUUACCAGAUUUGUAAAAGAGAAAAUUUUGAAAAUAAAGGCAAUACUCAGUAUUUGGGAUCUUCGAGAGGAUUGAGCCCUAACGUAUUGGGAUCCAAUUUUCUUCGUUGAAUCUAAAUAAUCGAGAAUGCUCUUUAAUAAAAAACAUAAAUAAAAAGCUCAUUAUCGGGAAUUCAAUACGUUGUGUCCUAACACAUUGGAUAUGACAUGUUGUUUUCUCGAGAUGAGGAUUUUUCUAAAAAAAUAAUAAAGGCAAUAUUCAAUGUUUAGAAUUUUGAGAAAUUGUGCCCUAACGUAUUGGGCUGCGAUUUCUUCAUCUGACUUAAACAAUUGAAUAUCCUUUUAAAUUUUAUUGCACGAGUUUUUUGGACAAGCUCAUUUUUGAGGAGGUGAAAUGUCAUGCCCUAACUCAUUGGGUGUGACAUUUUAUCUCUCCGAAAUGAGAGGGUCUUAAUGGGUAAUUUGUUUUAUAUAAGUUUUUUUUUUACAAAAGAUCGUAUUUUUAAAUUUCUUUAAAGUUUUUAAUUCUCAACACUAAGACACUAAUUAAUCAACUAGGUACCAAUUUUAGGCGUUACGAGGGUGCUAAUCCUUUCUCGUACGUAACUGACUCCCGAGCCUAUUUUUUUGAAUUUCAUAGAACAAAAUCGUUGUUUUAAUAAAAUUAAAUUGUUUAUAAAAAACAACCAUUUUUCGAGGUGUCCCGAUCACACCUCAUCAAAAAGGAUUGGUGGCGACUCUAGUGUUCUUUUUGCAUUCAUUUCGUGCAUUUGCAUUACAUUACGUCAUGAACAUUAAAGUCCACCAAAGAGCCUAAUUGAUUAAAAUUAUUUCAGUUAAUAUGGAAAACCAACACCCUUGCGGUACCCGAACAGAAACUAAAGGAAUAGACCAAAGGUUGGAGAGGUUAGAGCAGAUGCAAAUAUAGAUGCUAGAGCAAUUGACCAAAUUUCAACAAGAUAUGAAGGAUCAGAUGCUAAAAGUCCAAAGAAAUCUGAUGAGCCAGUUAACCCAGUUAUUGGAUAAAGGGUUAGAAAAAGGAAAAAACCAAACGGUCUACUUUAGAGAUGAUAAUGAAGACCCUGCUCAUUUUCCAGACUUUACCCCAACAAACAUCCAAGCACAACCGAAUACAUAUCCACAAAGGGUAACUGUUAACAUCCGACCACAAUACCAGACUAGUACCUCGACACCGGUGAAUUUCGCGACAGGCUCAGGUUCCAACCUUAAGGGCAAUUUAACUAAUCCCGUUGUCCUUGAUGAUCUAGCGGGAGUAAAACAGGCGAGAGUGGAGUUCUCAAAACAAUUUGGAGAUAGUUACAAACAGAAAGGGCAAAAAUGGAGCCCCCAAAUCAAUACUUCGAAAGCACCGAAGAAGAGGAAAAAUGAGGUGAAUGAUGCGAGUAGGUAUAACGAGGGUUAUUCAAAGGCGAUUACUGCAAGCCAGCCAAGGACGGUUGCUUCUAGCCAUUAGAUCCCCCAGAGACAAGAAUCCGGCACAAAGCAAAACAUUGAGAAGUCCCAAUUUACACCAAUCCCAAUGUCAUAUCGGGAGCUGUAUCAGAGUUUAUUUGAUGCACACGUUAUUUCUCCUUUCUACGUGAAGCCUUUACAACCUCCGUACCCCAAAUGGUACGACAAAAAUGUGCAAUGUGACUACCAUGCGGGAAUUACGGAGCAUUCUAUAGAAAAUUUCCCUACCUUUAAAAGGUGGUUGAAAGGCUCAUCAGUAUGGGCAUUGUUAAGUUCGAUACAGAAAAUUUGUUGCCCAAUCAUAUUGAUAAUCGGGGUGAAUGCGAUGAAUGAAGAAAUGUUGGGAAAUGUUCACAUCAACGUCGUAUACAAAGAAACAACUGAAGAAGAGACCUUGUUAGAUAUCCACCUUUAUAAACUUGGGAGUCUUCUAAAUAAAUCGGACUGUAGAAGAAAUCUCUGUAUCAUUUAAAGCUUAUUUAGAGUAAUGUUCAAAACACUUUUGUUGCUUUUGGCCUAGAUGCAGUAAGAAUGUCUAUGUGAAAUAGGCUCAUGUCUGAAUAUUAUCAUUUUAAUGAAAUCCAUUAUUGUGAUUAUUUUGAGCUAGUAUUCUUUCAUUCUUUACAAAUAAUUAUGUUUGAUUCUUUCAUUCUUUUGGAUUUUCUUCCACAUCAUUCUUUCAUUUAUAAUUAUAUUGUACAAAUAAUUAUUCAUAAAUUCAUACAUUCUUUUUAUAUUCUUUUGUACCUACAAUGGGUCCCUAGAUAUCAAUGACAUGAGUGACGCUGCUACAGACUCAGAAUUUCCUUUUGAGCGAGACAUGUGUUUAAAGGGAUCUCAUUACUUUAUUAAAAUUUUUUUGGGUGCAGCCUGACCAAUGGGCAACACUAGACUAAAAUGUGAUGAUCUAAAAACUCUAGGGGCCUUAUAUGUCAAAUUUUCGUUUUUAUUGGCAAUUGAUUCAAAGGGUGUCGCAUGACAGGCGGCACCAAACUUUAAAAAGGAUAAAUUCACCCUAAAUCCCCCUUAUUUAUUAUUUUUCUUUAACACCAAAAAUAGAUUGCCUUUUAUAAAUUAGUCUAAAUUUUUUUUACCAAAAAGUAUUUUUGUAAGUAAACCGUUUCCAUUUGGAAAUAAUUUUAUUUCUUUUUAGAAAAUAUUUAUAAUUUUAUUAUCAAAUUGAUUUAUGUACACGGUAUAAAAUUAUAAUUAUAAAAGCUUUAGAAAAAUCUUAUUAUGUAUAAAUUAUAAUUAUUAGUUAAAUUUAUAGUUUCAAAUAUAAUGAGAGAAAAAGAAAACUACUAUAAAUAUAGUUAAUUGUAAUGUCAAACAUAAUGUGAAUUUUUUGUUUGAAAAAUAAAUAAAAGUUAUUUUGAGUUGGAAUCGACUUACUUUCAAAAAUACUUUUGGUAAAAAAAAAUUAGACUAAUUGAUAAGAGGCCAAUUUAUUAUUGGUGUUAAAAGAUAAUAAAAAUUAAUAAUAAAUAGGAGGUUUAGGGUGCAAUUUACCCUUUUAAAAUUUGGAGCCGUCAUACAGGCGGCACCCUUGAAGAGUUUUUCGACUGUCAAUUAAAAUGGAAAAUUUCCAUAUAAGGUCCCUGAAAUUUUUAGAUCAUCUCAUUUUAGCCUGGUGUGGCCGAUUGCUCAGGCUGCACCUGAAUUUUUUUUAAAUAAAGUGAUGCUGUCGAUUGGUUAGGCGGCACCGAUAUUUCACCGUUUCAUUUGACUAUUCUCAUAAAUAUUAAUCUCUUUAUCCUAUUUUGUAUUUAUUUAUUUAUUUUAUAUUAUUAACGUAAAAAACCCUAUAUUGUGACUUGCGGAAACGUGGAAUGAAAACCAAUUAGGUUUUUUUUUUAAGUUUUUCUUGAAUUAAAAUGCAACCAAUAAAAAUAAUUGAUAUUUUAAUUUAAUAAAAAUAAAAUUAAUUAAUAUUUGAGUAUUUAAUUUUAAAAAUUAUCAAGAUGUAAUUACAACAAUUAAUUUUAAAAGUUAUUAAAGAUAUUUAUAUAUGUCAAUUUUUUAUAAUUAUUAAUGACAUACAUAUAAAUUAAUCAAUUAAUAGUGUGUCUCUCAUAGAUGAUAUUGACAGUAGCGGAGUCAGAAAAUGUUUUUGAAAGACCGGAAUUAAUGUAAAAAUAUAUAAUUUAAAUAAUUUAAUAGCUUUUAUAAUAUUUAAAAUAUUAAAUCAAAAUUUUUUAUCAUUUUAAAGAAGAACAAAGUAUAAUUUUACUUUUAUUAAUUUAAAAUUUUAUAAAUUAUAAAAAUUAUAUAUGAAACCGGAUACUGUCAGCCCCUAUGACUAUGUAAGCCUUGAAAACAUCCUUCCUUAUUGAAUGUCUUUUUCUACUUUGGCAGUGGUGUGCUUUCUUUGAUUCUAGCAGCUCCUUUUAAAUAAAAUUUCCAAAAAUAAUAGAUAUUAUAUGAGGAAUAGUUGGUUGAAGAAAGAAACAGCAAAAAAAUAAAAAAAUUGGCAAAUGACCUUUCAAGAGCUGCAUUUAAUACAUGGAUACUUAAUAAUUCAUUUAUUUAAGGGUAAACUAUAAAAAUAGUCACUUUUGUUUACCUCAGAUUACAUUUUAGUCACUUAUGCUUGAAACGUUACGGUUUAGUCACUUACGUUUUCGUUUUGUUACGAAGCAGUCACUCUACCGUUAAGCUUUGUUACCUCCCUAACAGUGGUCCUACAUGGUAGUCCAAAUGAGUUUUAAAUGCCAACUUGAAUGUCCUACAUGACAGUCCAAAUUAAAUUUAUUUAAUUACAAACUUAUUUUCAUCCCAGCAAAUAGACAUCCAAGUUAACAUUUAAAACCCAUUUGGAUUGCCACGUAGGACUAACGUUAGGGAGGUAAUGGAGUUUAACGGUAGAGUGACCACUUCGUAACAAAACGAAAACGUAAGUGACUAAGACAUAACAUUUCAAACAUAAGUGACUAAAAUGUAAUCUGAGGCAAACAAAAAUGACUAUUUUUAUAAUUUACCCUUUAUUUAAUAAAUUAUUUUAGGGACCGAACAUAUAUCUUUUUCAUUUCGUCGAAAAUCAAUUUUACAGUAUAAACUCCUACGACCUCCCCUCCUAUACCAUGUAGUAAUGAUUCCUCUAACAAUUUCUCAAUUCAAUAAAAGAAAAAAGAAAAGAGGGUCUUAAAUAAUGAGAGAUAUGUAAAAAGGAACUCCUUUUUUACUUUCUAGUUUAUUUUCUAUUUUAGUAUUUUUUUUACAUCUAAAUUAUAUAGAAUUUUUUAUAUAGAUAUAAAUUUUAAAAUGAAUGAUUAAAAUAGGGAAAUGCUGUUGAGCAAAUAAAAUAUUUUAUGAUUGAAGUUAUUGAAUACUCAAGUAGUGUUACCUUAUAAAUCUCUCAUGUCUUCUGAGAAACAAAAUAACAAAUUAUAUUUCUAAUCUCAUUCCAAAGCAGUCUUAAUCAUAAACUUUGUUCCCACUUUGUUUGUUUUCUUUCAAAAGUUAGACAGAAACUAUGAACUUCUCCACUCUUCAUAAUUCACAAAACAAAUCCCAGUCUACCAUUAUUAACUAAAUCUGUAUUAACUAAUCUCAAUUUCCUAAUCCAACACUGUUUUCUCUUUUUUCAUUUCUUUAAAAACUGUUCCAUUUUUAUACUAUAUUACUCCAUUAUAUUGUGGUCAAGUGAAACAAAAGUAAAAUGUAGUGUAUUUUAAAAAUAAUAUAUAUUUAUUAUAAUUCGGGCCGGCCGGGCUGGGCCCAGGCCAAAAAAGUUUUGCUCAAGGCCCAGCUCAUUUUCUAAAUGGGCCCCUUUUUUUAUCCAAACUCAUACUUCGGGCCUAUAUUUUUACCCGAACCCUCCCAGAACACCUCUAAUUUGCACCAAUUCAUCCCAUUUAAUGCAAACAUAUUAAAUAUUUAUAUGUCCAUAAAAGAGUAUGGUUGGAAAGGCAUUUCGACUACUAGAAAGAAUGAAGGAGAAGAGGAUUCUGGUUGUGUUGGAUGAUAUUUGGGAAAAGUUAGAUAUUGAGGAAGUAGGGAUUCCUUUGGGAGAUGAACACAAGGGAUGCAAGUUGCUGUUAACUUCUAGAGAGCUCAAUGUUUUAGUAAAUGGGAUGGAUGCUCAGAAAAAUUUUCCCAUUGGGUUUUUAAACGAAAAGGAAGCCUGGGACCUGUUCAAGAAGAUGGCUGGAAACUGUGAUGAAAGUUGCGAUUUGAAGCCUAUAGCUAUGGAGAUAGCCAAAAAUGUGCAGGAUUGCCAAUAGCCAUUGCGACAGUUGCAGGGGCUUUGAGAAACAAAAGGUUGUUUGAAUGGAAGAAUGCUUUACGAGAACUGGAGAGGCCUUCUUCAAGCAACUUCACGGGGAUAACUGCGGCACAUUCAGCUAUAGAGUGGAGUUUUAAUUAUUUAGAAAGCGAGGAAGUUAAGCUGACUUUCUUGCACUGCAGUGUAAUAGGCCAUAAUGGUCUCGUUGAGGACUUGGUAAGAUAUACUCCAGGUUUGGGUUUAUUUGAUGGUCUCAAAACUAUGGAAGAAGCUAGAAAUAAAGUAUUGACGGUUGUGGCUAAUCUCAAAGCGUCUGCCUUGUUGCUUGAUAGUUAUGAUGAUGAGCGCUUUGAUAUCCAUGAUGUUGUUUGGGAUGCUGCUUUAGCUAUUGGAUUGAAGGACUAUCGUAUGAUUGUUUUGAGAGAUCAUGUUCCAAAGGAGUGGUCCGAUAAGGAGAAAAUGAAUAGGUGGAGUGUGAUCAGCUUACGUUGUCCUCGGAUUAUAGCUAACCUUCCAAAGGAGAUGGAGUGUUCAGGUCUUUCCUUCUUCCAUAUGGCCGGUGCAGUUAAAAUUCCUCCUAAGUUUUUCAAACAAACCGAAGGCCUCAAAGUCUUAGAUUUGUUCGGAAUGCAGUUUCCAUCCCUACCUGAAUCAAUUAUUCACCUCACGGACCUUCACAUGUUGUGUCUAAAAGAAUGUGCAGUUGAUGACAUAACCAUCCGUGGAGAGCUCAAGAAUUUAGAAAUCCUCGACCUUUCUAAGUCAGGUAUCAAAGAACUACCUAUGGAGAUGGCACAAUUGACUCAAUUAAGGUUGUUAGAUUUUAGUUGGUGUACAAAACUCGAAAUCAUCCCACCAAAUGUCUUAUCAAGUUUGUCUAAAUUAGAAGAAUUAUAUAUGGGUGGAAGCUUUGUUGAAUGGGAAAAGGAAUGAGUAGUUGAAACUGAGAGCAAAAAUGCAAGCCUUGACGAAUUAAACAAUUUGCCUUGUCUAACUACUUUAUAUGUUCAUAUUCUUGAUGCUUAAAUGAUUCCAAAGCAUCAAUUCGUUGAGACAUUGGACAAAUACAAUAUUUGUGUAGGUGAUUAUAAUAGGUUUGUAUGGGUCCAAAAUAAUGAAUUUUCAAGAACAUUGAAGCUCAAGUUAUGUACAAACAUUUAUUUGGAGAAUAGGUUGAAAAUGUUGCUGAUAAAAACAGAAGACUUGCGCCUAGAGGGACUUGAAGGCAUCAAAAAUGUAUUUGUGGAGUUAAAUAAUGAGAAAGAUCUUCCACAUUUAAAGCGACUUCAUGUCAAAAAUGGUAUGCAUGUCCAAUAUAUCAAAAUGGACAAAAUUGAGUUUUCUGAAUUAUACUUCAUCAAACUUAAAAAUCUACCGUAACUCAUUAGCUUUUGCUCUCAAGACGAAAGGUGUUCCAUGAGUUCCAAGUUACUACAACUUUUCAAUAAACAGGUAUUUGCUUGGCUUUAUUCAUAUUUUCUUAUACAAUUUUUAUUUAUAUGCCCAUUGUUUCAUAAUACUUCUAAUAAUAAAAAUAAAUAAUAUUAUGUAAUAGUUUUCGGGGCUCAAAAAUAAAUUUCAAACUCAAAACAUAUGGAAAUUUAAUUUCUAAUCCAAACUUAUUGAAAGUCCAAAAUCAAUUCAAUACUCAAAAUUUAAACCCAACAAUGUUUUUUUUUUAAAUUCUGAAAAUGAAAUUGGAACCCACAAUUCGAACUGAAAUUGUCUUUCAAAUCGAAAAUCAUAUUUCCAAAUUUAUGUUACUAUCUUUCCCUUUCCCCUCCUUUUAGAUUUUUAAGAGAAAAAAAGAAUUGUGUGUAAAUAUGUGCAAUUUGUUUUCCAUCACUUGGAAAGCUUGUAAUUGUGUUCCAUUAACACCAAAAUAAUAUGGCACAACCAGACAUGUCAUUUAUUGGAUUACGAAUUUGAGGAGCUUGAUCAUCAAAGGAUGCGGCAAGUUGGAGCAUCUGUUAUCACCCUCUCUUGCUAGAAGUCUGGUGCAGCUCCAAUGCUUUAAGAUAGAGGAUUGCAAGUGCUUAAGGGACAUAAUACUUAUAGAGGAAAUUGAAGAAGAAAGGAAAGAUGUGAUUUGUUUCCCUCGAUUAAACUCCCUGUGUAUAGAUGGUCUUCCAAACCUCAUCUUCUUCAGCUCAGGAAACCAUAAUAUCGAGUUCCCAUUGUUGGAAGAGCUAUGGAUUGAGCGUUGCCCCAAUUUUAUGGAAUUCAUUAGUCAGAGUAGCAAUGAGUCUGGCAUGCACGCUCUCUUCAGUGAGAAGGUGAUUUAUUUCAUUACUCUUAGGCUCUUAUAUAAUUCUGUUGAUUUGUCCUUGUUAUUUUGUCGGGCAUUAUAUGAGCUAACUUUUGUACCGGCACGAAUUAUAUGUAGGUUGCAUUUCCUAGGUUGGAAAAGAUAACAAUCAACAAGUUGAGAAAUGUGAAAAUGAUGUUUCAUAAUAACUUUGCACCAGGUUCUUUUCAAAAUCUACGAGAAAUAAGAGUUGAGGGAUGUGGGAGUCUGAAAAAUCUAUUUCUAGUGUCAAUAGCCAAAGAUCUUCCACAACUUGAAGAUUUAUGCAUCACUAAUUGUGGAGUGGAGGAGAUUGUAUCGAAAGGGGAAGGAGUGGAGGAGCAGCCUGUGAGGUUUUAAUUUCCGCUAGUGUCUUCCCUUGAGGAUACAUCCCUAAAAGAGCUCCAAUGUUUCUAUGAAGCGCAACAUACAAUAGUCUGGCCCAUGUUGAAAAAUUUGAAAACAGAUUGUUCUGCUUUGCUAAAGAUAGUGGCUUCGGAACAUCUUAGAUUAAUCCAAGGAAAUGAGCAGCCAGUUUUGUUGGUUGAAGAGGUAUGUAUAUCAUUACAACUAUAUUUCUUUUCAUGAUUUAAGCCACCGUCACAUCCAUCUCUUGUUGAUAUAUAUAUUAUUUGAAACGGUGGUUGCUUAUCCAUUUUAAUUCGGAUUUUUUAUGCACUUCUUUCAGCUUAUUUUUAUCAUUUUUUAUUUCUAAGGUAUUGUGUUUCUUAAAACAAAAUAUUCAUCUAUUUUGGAUUGGUUUGAUUUAAUAUUGAUUUUGUUGAGAUUUAAUCAUCGAUAUCAAACACCAAAAUUGUAGAUCUUAUGUUCUUUUUAAGCAUAUAGAUCAACAUUGUGCCUAACUUGUUUAUGUUUAAUUGGUUUCAAGGUCAUUCCCAAUUUAGAGGAACUUGAGUUAUUAAAUUUUGGUGAUAUGGACCAGUUUCCACCAGCCUUGGCAAACUCGACAGCAUGCAGGCCAUGAAGACCAAGUCAUGCAGGAGCUGCUGAUACAAGCUUAUUUUGUUUAUUUUGUAAUUCCCAGUCAAUGAAAUGUAAUCUUAGUUCAUUUCUAACUAAGUUAGAUUGUUGACUGAUGUAAUUAGCUUAUGUAUGAGCUGUAAACACAACUUUGUGUAAGUUUACAAGCCAAAAUUUCAAGUUUCCAUGUCAUUAGUGGAGGUAGGUGAUGUUUAGGUAAUUACUUACUGUUUUUGACAAGCUUAGUGCCUGUUUUAUGUAUUGGCAUUGUGCCAUUAUGCAUUUUAUGAAUGAAGUUCAGUUUGUUCAUCAAUUUCUCUAUUCAUUUUUCUUAGCUUUUCUUCCUUUCUCUUGCUCGAAUUCUCUUGUUUGCUCAGCAAGUCUCGAGACUUGCUUAACAAGUUUGCACUGAAUCUGUUAGUUUCAGUUACAGCACCAACAAUUGGUAUCUAAAGCCUAUUUUCUUAAGGGACCUGUUACACAAAUCCAUGGCUUCAUCAAGCUUUUCACCAGCUGCACCUCAAGUCUUCAAUGGAGAAGGCUAUCACAUAUGGGUGGUCAAAAUGAAGACCUACCUGCAGGCUUUCGAUCUGUGGGAGGUGGUCAACUCUGAUGUUGAACCAGAGCCACUUAGAGCUAAUCCAACAGUGGCUCAGAUCAGGCAGCAUGCUGAUGAAAGGACCAAGAGGCACAAGACUAUGUCUUGCAUCCAGAACUCAGUGUCUGAUGUGAUUUUCACAAGGAUUAUGGCCUGUGAAUCACCAAAACAGGCCUGGGACAAGUUGCAGGAAGAGUUUCAAGGGACAGAGAGGACAAGGCAGCAACAGUUGUUAAACUUGAGGAGAGAUUUCAAGAAUUUGAAGAUGAAGGAAGAAGAAACUGUCAAGCAAUAUUCUGACAGGAUUAUGGCUGUGGUUAACAGCAUCAGGCUCCUUGGAGAGCAGUUCAAUGAAGCUAGGAUAGUGGAGAAGGUUAUAGCAACUCUGCCUGAGAGGUAUGAGGCAAAAAUCUCAUCUCUCGAGGACUCAAGGGACCUGUCCACCAUCUCCCUGACAGAGUUUAUCAAUGCUCUAUAUGCUCAAGAGCAGAGGAGAGCAAGCAGACUGGAGGAGCACCAAGAAGGUGCCUUUCAGGCAAGAACAAAUACUACCUACAAAGGCAAGAAGGCCUGGAGAGACAAGCCAAAGAAUGAUGCUGCAAGGAAAGAAGGUCAGACUUGCAAGCACUGCAGAAAGGCUGGUCAUUCAGAAGAAAAAUGCUGGUUCAAUCCAGAUGCUGUGUGUCAGCAUUGUAAGAAGAAGGGUCAUGUUGAGAGAGUCUGUAAGAGCAAGGCCAAAUCAAGGCACAAUCAGUUUCAACAGAUGAAAGCUGAGGCUCGAGUAGCUAAGGAGGACAGUGACCAAGAGAAGCAAGUUUUUGCUGUGUCAUGCUCAGCUGCUCAGGAAAGGUCCUCAUCUGGUUGGCUCCUAGACAGUGGAUGCACCAACCACAUGACACCUGAUGCUGCAAUCUUCAAGUCUUUAGACAGAAGCUGCAGAACUAAGGUCAAGAUAGGAAAUGGUCAUUUUAUUCAAGCUGAAGGCAAGGGUGAUGUGCUAAUAUGCACCCUUACAGGUACCAAAGUGAUUUCAAAUGUGCUGUUGGUGCCUGAAAUUGACAGAAACCUGCUCAGCAUAGCUCAGUUGCUGGAAAAAGGUUAUUCAGUUGUGUUUAAAGACCACCAGUGCCAAAUCAGUGAUCCAAGUGGAUCCAAACUGAUGGCAGUCCCCAUGGCUGAUAAGAGCUUUGUGGUUGACUGGACAAAGAAGUCAGACAUUGCCUACACAGCCACUUCAGAUGAAUCCAAGCUGUGGCAUCAAAGACUGGGACAUACCAACUUCAUAUCGAUGGCCCGAAUGAUCAGAGAAGACCUGGCUGAAAACUUCAUCAACUCAGUGGACCAUGAUGAUGUAUGUGAAGUAUGUCAGCUAGGAAAGCAGGCCAGACUCCCAUUUCCCUCGAAUCAAGCCUGGAGAGCCUCUGAAAAACUCCAACUGGUGCAUACUGAUGUGUGUGGCCCUAUGAAGACUAAGUCAUUAAGUGGAAACAGGUAUUUCAUACUGUUCAUUGAUGAUUUCUCGAGAUAUUGCUGGAUUUACUUCUUAAAACAGAAAUCAGAGGUGGCCACUGUGUUUUGGAAGUUCAAAACUGCUGCUGAGACUGAAACAGGCUGCAAGGUAAAGUCCAUAAGGUCUGAUAAUGGGACUGAGUACACCUCAGCUCAGUUCCAAGCCUUCUGUGAUAAGGCAGGCAUCAAACAUCAACUUACCAACACAUAUACACCUCAGCAGAAUGGGGUAAGUGAAAGGAAGAAUAGGAGUUUGAUGGAUAUGGCCAGGUGCUUGAUGAUUCAGAAGAAUCUGCCUAAAGCACUAUGGGCAGAAGCAGUUAACACUGCAACAUACAUUCAAAAUAGACUUCCAACCAAGGCUUUGGAUCAAAAGACCCCAUUCGAGGCCUGGUUUAGCUUCAAGCCAUCACUGGCUCAUCUGAAGGUCUUUGGAUGCAUCUGUUAUGCACAUGUACCUGCUGUUAAAAGGGACAAAUUGUCUGAAAGGGCUCGACCUGGUGUUUUGGUGGGCUAUAGCACUGUUAAUAAGGGCUAUAGGAUUUUAGAUCCUUCAACAAACAAAGUGUCAGUAAGCAGGGAUGUGGUAUUUGAUGAGAGGUCAUGUUGGAACUGGGAAAGACAUGAACCUGAAGAAGUUUCUGAAGAACUUGCAACAGACCAAGCUGAGCCAGACCAAAAUGUCCCUGAAAUGGAUAUUGAUGAUGAACCAGUCAGAGGAACAAGGCCAUUGGCUGAAAUUUAUGAAAGGGCUCAUGUAGCCAUAGCUGAACCAAACAACUUUGAAGAGGCUGAGGCUCAGCAAGGGUGGAAGCAGGCAAUGGCUGAGGAGAUCAGCAUGAUUGAGAAGAACCAGACCUGGGAAUUGGUUGAAAGGCCAGUCAAAAGGAAGGUGAUUGGGGUGAAAUGGGUGUACAAAGCCAAGCAGAAUGCUGAUGGUACCUUGAACAAGCUGAAAGCAAGGCUAGUUGUCAAGGGGUUCAGUCAGAGGUAUGGCUUGGACUACCUGGAGACCUUUGCACCAGUGGCCAGGCUCGACACCAUCAGACUGCUGAUUGCCUUAGCAGCACAGCUCGAAUGGAAGAUCCAUCAACUUGAUGUGAAAUCAGCCUUUCUGAAUGGUUUCUUAGAUGAAGACAUCUAUGUUGAACAACCACAAGGGUUUGAAAUAGCUGGCAGAGAGCAUAUGGUCUACAAACUGAAGAAGGCCCUAUAUGGAUUAAAACAGGCUCCAAGGGCUUGGUAUAGCAGAAUCGAUGGCUACUUGACUGAUCUGGGAUUCGAUCGAAGCAAGAGUGAGCCAACAAUGUAUGUCAAGAAACAAGGGACACAAAUACAACUCAUUGUGUCCCUGUAUGUUGAUGAUCUUCUGGUGAUAGGAGGAGAUCGAGUAGUGCUGGCUGAUUUCAAGACCAAGAUGCAGGAAGUGUUUGAAAUGUUUGAUCUUGGGGAGAUGUCAUACUUUCUUGGAAUGGAAGUGUCUCAAGUACAGAAUGAGAUAUUUCUAAGCCAGAGAAGCUUUGCCACAAAGAUUCUGACCAAGUUCUCCAUGCAAAACAGCAAGGCAACUAAAACACCUGUUGCUGUUGGAGAAAAACUAUCGAGCCAAGGUGAUUUUAAGAAAGUUUAUGAAACAACCUACAGGAGUCUAGUUGGUUGCUUGCUAUACUUGACUGCCACUAGACCAGACAUCAUGUAUGCUGUAGGAUUACUCUCAAGGUUCUUGCAUUGCUGCAAUGAGAAGCAUUUCCAAGCUGCAAAAAGAGUGCUGAGAUAUGUCAAAGGCACUUUAAACUAUGGUUUGAAGUACAGCAAAGAAGGAAAUCUGAAGCUGGUUGGCUACACUAAUAGUGACUGGGCUGGCUCGAUAGAUGACAUUAAAAACACCUCAGGGUAUGCUUUUAACCUUGGUUCAGCCAUGUUUUGCUGGAGCUCAAAGAAGCAAAGUCUAGUAGCUCAAUCUACUGCUGAAGCAGAGUAUGUGGCAACAGCAAGUGCUGUCAACCAAGCCAUAUGGCUAAGGAAAAUAUUGGCUGACUUGAAUGUGCAUCAAGAGGAAGCUACUGAGAUCUUCUGUAACAACCAAUCUGCAGUAGCAAUUGCUAAAAAUCUAGUGUUCCAUGGAAGAACAAAACAUUUCAGCAUCAAGUUGCAUGUUGUUCGAGAAAUGGAGCAAGCUCAGGAAGUAAAGCUGAUCCACUGUAAUUCAGAGGAUCAACUUGCAGACAUUUUAACCAAAGCCCUUAGUGUCACAAGGUUCGAAUGUCUAAGAAAGAAGCUAGGUGUUUGCUCUAUGCAAACCAAGGAGGAGUGAUGAAGUUGGUUCAGCAUGCAGCAAACUCGACAGCAUGCAGGCCAUGAAGACCAAGUCAUGCAGGAGCUGCUGAUGCAAGCUUAUUUUGUUUAUUUUGUAAUUCCUAGUUAAUGAAAUGUAAUCUUAGUUCAUUUCUAACUAAUUUAGAUUGUUGACUGAUGUAAUUAGCUUAUGUAUGAGCUGUAAACACAACUUUGUGUAAGUUUACAAGCCAAAAUUUCAAGUUUCCAUGUCAUUAGUGGAGGUAGGUGAUGUUUAGGUAAUUACUUACUGUUUUUGACAAGCUUCGUGCCUGUUUUAUGUAUUGGCAUUGUGCCAUUAUGCAUUUUAUGAAUGAAGUUCAGUUUGUUCAUCAAUUUCUCUAUUCAUUUUUCUUAGCUUUUCUUCCUUUCUCUUGCUCGAAUUCUCUUGUUUGCUCAGCAAGUCUCGAGACUUGCUUAACAAGUUUGCACUGAAUCUGUUAGUUUCAGUUACAGCACCAACAGUUUUUGAAGUGCGUGGUGGUGGUGGCUCUCGAUCUUCUAUAUUUCCUUUCGUUCGAAGAUUUUACAAUUUGGAUAGUUUUAGGCUUCCUUCGAAGAUUUUACAGUUUGGAUAGUUUUAGGCUUCGUGAUUUUGAUUUCAAAUAUGUAGUCCCUUGUAAAGGACACGUUGGGACUCUCACACCAAUUAGAAAUCUGAUAUUGAAUCGUGCCAUAAAUCUUAAACAUAUAUGGAGGAAAGAUUCGGAGUUUGACUAUAUUCUUUCUAAUCUUCAAACACUCAAAGUUCAUAAUUGUGAUGAUUGGAUAAAUAUUACAGUCUCCUCAUCUUUACAAAAUCUCACGACUUUGAAUGUGUCAUUUUGUCAUUUUUUUUUAGGAUGAAUUCUAUGAGGGAGACUAUUUGAACAUCUCUGACACAUUUCCCAAGUCAAUAGAAAUAUGGAUUAGAAACCCUCAAGAAAUUUUGGAAUUCAAAAACCUUGUUUCGUUGCAUUUUUAUAAAUGUAGUAGCUUGAAGUACAUAUUUACUUCGUCUAUGCUUUUGAGCCUCAAUCAACUACAAGUGAUAAAAGUAAAAGAAUGCAGUUCAAUGGAACAAGUGGUUAGGGAGGAAGCAAUGACAGAUAAAUUCACAUUUCUUGCACUCUUCUCCAUAAGAAUUGAGUUGUGUUCCAACUUGACAAAUUUCUAUUUGGGAAGUCAAGCUCUUGAAUUUCCACAGCUGAGAAAUAUCACGAUAGCUGAGCGUCCAAAAAUGACUACAUUUUCUUUCUCAGUUUCAAGAGGAAGUGGUGAUGCAAGUGAAAACGUGGUUGGCGAGGGGGGCGCCUAUGAUAACCCUGCAAUAUUUUUCAGCAAUAAGGUAAGUUUAGUAUUCAAUAUUUAUCUGCACAACUUAUUUCACGUUUUCCUUUUAUUUGAUUAAUUUAUAUGAGUGUGUCUGGUCUAUAUAUAUAUUAGUAUUAAUGUCACGUGAUACGUGUUGUAAAAAAUUAAUAUAAUAAAAUCCAUAAAAAUAUUAAUAAAUAAGAUAAUGUUUUUUAAUUUGAAGUUUAAAGUAUAAAUAAAUAUAUAAAAUAAGAAUAAAGGAAAAACUUAAAAGUGAAAUACUAAUAAACAAUAAGAAUUUAAGAGAAGUUUUAAAGUUAAAUACUAAUGGACAAUAAAUAAUAAAAUAAUAAUAGAAAAUAAAAUAAAAAACUAAUCUUCAUAUAUUUUAAUUUGAAGAAUAUUUGAUGUACUAGCGGUACACAAGCUUCAUGUAUCAUCGGUGAAUAAGAACAUACAAUUAUCAUUAAAUACCACAAAAAUAUAGUAAAGGGUUUAUAAAUAAAUACUAAUAAAUUUAUCUAAACAUAAUUAAAUAAAAAUUAAUUGUAAUUAAAUAUCAAAACCCUAAAUCCUAAACUUGAAAUUCUAAGCCCUUAAACAUAAGAUCUUAAAUCCGAAAGUUAUUAAUAUUUAUUUAUAAUAGCUACGACUAAGGUUAAAUAAAUUUUUCAUCUCUUUUUGCUUUUGAACUUACAUUUUUAUCAAAUCACCUCAAAAUGAAAGAGAAAGUUUAUAUUUGUUAACUUCACUUAUGUGACAAUCCAUGUGUAUGCAAAGUUAGCAAUUAAUUAAUUUUUAAAAUAUUGUAUAUAUUUUUAAAUAUUUUUAUAAAAUUUUCAAAAUAAAAUAAAAAUUAAUUGUUGACAUGUCAUCUACAGCCAAUCCAGUGUAUAUAACAUCAGCAAAGUUAACAAAUGUCAAUUUUUUUUCUCUACUUUGAAUGAUUUGACAAAUAACACAAGUUCAAAGGAUAAAAGAAAUAAAAAUAAAAAUAGAGAGCUAAAAUGAAAAUUUUUUUUUUAUAAAGUUGGGGGUUAAAUAAAUUAUCUAUGCCUAAGUCUUUUUUAAGGUAACUCAUUAAAUAACUUAAGUAAUUAAUGUAAAUCAUUAAUGGAAACUACAUAAAUAUGUGAGUCCAACUUAGUUAGAAACAAGCAUAUUCCCCUAUUCAAUCGCAUCAAUAAUAAUCAUUCAACAAUCAUUAUAGUAUAUAUGAAAGCUCCAAGUUGUAUAGAAAAAGGCUUCUUUCUUUAAAAAAAAAUUUGCUUUAGGUUAGAUUUAUGCUGCUGAACAUUUCAACUAAACAAAAAAGGUCCACGUCUGCUAGCUAUAUUUAUCAGUUUAUAAAUCUUCAUACUCAUCUACUCUUUUUGAUUGUGUUUAUAAGUAAAGAAGGAAGAGUUAUGAUGUUAUCUUAUAAUGAAAUUUAUGUCAACAGGUUGUCAUUCCUCCUUUGCAGCAUCUGGAAUUGUCCGUCGUUAACAUUCAUGAGAUAUGGCACCACCCAUCCUCCCCAUCUGUCGGAUGUCUAAAUUCCUUGCAAGUGAAGAGGUGUCACAAUUUGAAAUACCUGUUCCCGUCUUUCUUGGUAAAAGAUCUUGUGCAACUCCGACGCCUUGAAAUUUUGGACUGUAAUAUGAUGGAACAAGUAAUAUUCACGGAUGGAUUGGUUGAAGAACAUCAAGGGAGGAAUCAGAUGUUUUUCUCUGAACUAGAAUUGCUGUGGCUAAAAGAACUUCCCAAACUCACAAGUUUAUGCUUUGGGAAUUGCUUUGAAUUCCAAUGUUUGACAGAUUUAGAACUAACAAAUUGUCCAUUGCUUAAAACAUUCAUCACUAAAUGUGUAUCUGAAGAUGAACCUAAAAUUGGCCAACAUGUACAAGCGAGUAACUUGGAGGUUCAUAACUCAUCUCUCCUCAAUGAAAAGGUCAUUUCUUUAUGGGUUCUCCUUUUAAUUUGUGUUGCUUCCAUUGCUCUUAUUCAUUUGAAGUUCUUUCUUUUCCAUGCAUAUUUCAGUUAUUAACCUAAUGAAAUGAUUUAGCAGGUUGUUUUCCCUAGUUUGGAGAAUGAUGAAGUUGGUUCAGCAUGCAGCAAACUCGACAGCAUGCAGGCCAUGAAGACCAAGUCAUGCAGGAGCUGCUGAUGCAAGCUUAUUUUGUUUAUUUUGUAAUUCCUAGUCAAUGAAAUGUAAUCUUAGUUCAUUUCUAACUAAGUUAGAUUGUUGACUGAUGUAAUUAGCUUAUGUAUGAGCUGUAAACACAACUUUGUGUAAGUUUACAAGCCAAAAUUUCAAGUUUCCAUGUCAUUAGUGGAGGUAGGUGAUGUUUAGGUAAUUACUUACUGUUUUUGACAAGCUUCGUGCCUGUUUUAUGUAUUGGCAUUGUGCCAUUAUGCAUUUUAUGAAUGAAGUUCAGUUUGUUCAUCAAUUUCUCUAUUCAUUUUUCUUAGCUUUUCUUCCUUUCUCUUGCUCGAAUUCUCUUGUUUGCUCAGCAAGUCUCGAGACUUGCUUAACAAGUUUGCACUGAAUCUGUUAGUUUCAGUUACAGCACCAACAAUUGGUAUCUAGAGCCUAUUUUCUUAAGGGACCUGUUACACAAAUCCAUGGCUUCAUCAAGCUUUUCACCAGCUGCACCUCAAGUCUUCAAUGGAGAAGGCUAUCACAUAUGGGUGGUCAAAAUGAAGACCUACCUGCAGGCUUUCGAUCUGUGGGAGGUGAUCAACUCUGAUGUUGAACCAGAGCCACUUAGAGCUAAUCCAACAGUGGCUCAGAUCAAGCAGCAUGCUGAUGAAAGGACCAAGAGGCACAAGACUAUGUCUUGCAUCCAAAACUUAGUGUCUAAUGUGAUUUUCACAAGGAUUAUGGCCUGUGAAUCACCAAAACAGGCCUGGGACAAGUUGCAGGAAGAGUUUCAAGGGACAGAGAGGACAAGGCAGCAACAGUUGUUAAACUUGAGGAGAGAUUUCGAGAAUUUGAAUAUGAAGGAAGAAGAAACUGUCAAGCAAUAUUCUGACAGGAUUAUAGCUGUGGUUAACAGCAUCAGGCUCCUUGGAGAGCAGUUCAAUGAAGCUAGGAUAGUGGAGAAGGUUAUAGCAACUCUGCCUGAGAGGUAUGAGGCAAAAAUCUCAUCUAUCGAGGACUCAAGGGACCUAUCCACCAUCUCCCUGACAGAGUUGAUCAAUGCUCUAUAUGCUCAAGAGGAGAGGAGAGUGAGAAGACUGGAGGAGCACCAAGAAGGUGCCUUUCAGGCAAGAACAAAUACUGCCUACAAAGGCAAGAAGGCCUGGAGAGACAAGCCAAAGAAUGAUGCUACAAAGAAAGAAGGUCAGACUUGCAAGCACUGCAGAAAGGCUGGUCAUUUAGAAGAAAAAUGCUGGUUCAAUCCAGAUGCUGUGUGUCAGCAUUGUAAGAAGUAGGGUCAUGUUGAGAGAGUCUGUAAGAGCAAGGCCAAAUCAAGGCACAAUCAGUUUCAACAGAUGAAAGCUGAGGCUCGAGUAGCUAAGGAGGAGUGUGACCAAGAGGAGCAAGUUUUUGCUGUGUCAUGCUCAGCUGCUCAGGAAAGGUCCUCAUCUGGUUGGCUCCUAGACAGUGGAUGCACCAACCACAUGACACCUGAUGCUGCAAUCUUCAAGUCUUUAGACAGAAGCUGCAGAACUAAGGUCAAGAUAGGAAAUGGUCAUUUUAUUCAAGCUGAAGGCAAGGGUGAUGUGCUAAUAUGCACCCUUACAGGUACCAAAGUGAUUUCAAAUGUGCUGUUGGUGCCUGAAAUUGACAGAAACCUGCUCAGCAUAGCUCAGUUGCUGGAAAAAGGUUAUUCAGUUGUGUUUAAAGACCACCAGUGCCAAAUCAGUGAUCCAAGUGGAUCCAAACUGAUGGCAGUCCCCAUGGCUGAUAAGAGCUUUGUGGUUGACUGGACAAAGAAGUCAGACAUUGCCUACACAGCCACUUCAGAUGAAUCCAAGCUGUGGCAUCAAAGACUGGGACAUGCCAACUUCAUAUCGAUGGCCCGAAUGAUCAGAGAAGACCUGGCUGAAAACUUCAUCAACUCAGUGGACCAUGAUGAUGUAUGUGAAGUAUGUCAGCUAGGAAAGCAGGCCAGACUCCCAUUUCCCUCGAAUCAAGCCUGGAGAGCCUCUGAAAAACUCCAACUGGUGCAUACUGAUGUGUGUGGCCCUAUGAAGACUAAGUCAUUAAGUGGAAACAGGUAUUUCAUACUGUUCAUUGAUGAUUUCUCGAGAUAUUGCUGGAUUUACUUCUUAAAACAGAAAUCAGAGGUGGCCACUGUGUUUUGGAAGUUCAAAACUGCUGCUGAGACUGAAACAGGCUGCAAGGUAAAGUCCAUAAGGUCUGAUAAUGGGACUGAGUACACCUCAGCUCAGUUCCAAGCCUUCUGUGAUAAGGCAGGCAUCAAACAUCAACUUACCAACACAUAUACACCUCAGCAGAAUGGGGUAAGUGAAAGGAAGAAUAGGAGUUUGAUGGAUAUGGCCAGGUGCUUGAUGAUUCAGAAGAAUCUGCCUAAAGCACUAUGGGCAGAAGCAGUUAACACUGCAACAUACAUUCAAAAUAGACUUCCAACCAAGGCUUUGGAUCAAAAGACCCCAUUCGAGGCCUGGUUUAGCUUCAAGCCAUCACUGGCUCAUCUGAAGGUCUUUGGAUGCAUCUGUUAUGCACAUGUACCUGCUGUUAAAAGGGACAAAUUGUCUGAAAGGGCUCGACCUGGUGUUUUGGUGGGCUAUAGCACUGUUAAUAAGGGCUAUAGGAUUUUAGAUCCUUCAACAAACAAAGUGUCAGUAAGCAGGGAUGUGGUAUUUGAUGAGAGGUCAUGUUGGAACUGGGAAAGACAUGAACCUGAAGAAGUUUCUGAAGAACUUGCAACAGACCAAGCUGAGCCAGACCAAAAUGUCCCUGAAAUGGAUAUUGAUGAUGAACCAGUCAGAGGAACAAGGCCAUUGGCUGAAAUUUAUGAAAGGGCUCAUGUAGCCAUAGCUGAACCAAACAACUUUGAAGAGGCUGAGGCUCAGCAAGGGUGGAAGCAGGCAAUGGCUGAGGAGAUCAGCAUGAUUGAGAAGAACCAGACCUGGGAAUUGGUUGAAAGGCCAGUCAAAAGGAAGGUGAUUGGGGUGAAAUGGGUGUACAAAGCCAAGCAGAAUGCUGAUGGUACCUUGAACAAGCUGAAAGCAAGGCUAGUUGUCAAGGGGUUCAGUCAGAGGUAUGGCUUGGACUACCUGGAGACCUUUGCACCAGUGGCCAGGCUCGACACCAUCAGACUGCUGAUUGCCUUAGCAGCACAGCUCGAAUGGAAGAUCCAUCAACUUGAUGUGAAAUCAGCCUUUCUGAAUGGUUUCUUAGAUGAAGACAUCUAUGUUGAACAACCACAAGGGUUUGAAAUAGCUGGCAGAGAGCAUAUGGUCUACAAACUGAAGAAGGCCCUAUAUGGAUUAAAACAGGCUCCAAGGGCUUGGUAUAGCAGAAUCGAUGGCUACUUGACUGAUCUGGGAUUCGAUCGAAGCAAGAGUGAGCCAACAAUGUAUGUCAAGAAACAAGGGACACAAAUACAACUCAUUGUGUCCCUGUAUGUUGAUGAUCUUCUGGUGACAGGAGGAGAUCGAGUAGUGCUGGCUGAUUUCAAGACCAAGAUGCAGGAAGUGUUUGAAAUGUCUGAUCUUGGGGAGAUGUCAUACUUUCUUGGAAUGGAAGUGUCUCAAGUACAGAAUGAGAUAUUUCUAAGCCAGAGAAGCUUUGCCACAAAGAUUCUGACCAAGUUCUCCAUGCAAAACAGCAAGGCAACUAAAACACCUGUUGCUGUUGGAGAAAAACUAUCGAGCCAAGGUGAUUUUAAGAAAGUUUGUGAAACAACCUACAGGAGUCUAGUUGGUUGCUUGCUAUACUUGACUGCCACUAGACCAGACAUCAUGUAUGCUGUAGGAUUACUCUCAAGGUUCUUGCAUUGCUGCAAUGAGAAGCAUUUCCAAGCUGCAAAAAGAGUGCUGAGAUAUGUCAAAGGCACUUUAAACUAUGGUUUGAAGUACAGCAAAGAAGGAAAUCUGAAGCUGGUUGGCUACACUGAUAGUGACUGGGCUGGCUCGAUAGAUGACGUGAAAAGCACCUCAGGGUAUGCUUUUAACCUUGGUUCAGCCAUGUUUUGCUGGAGCCCAAAGAAGCAAAGUCUAGUAGCUCAAUCUACUGCUGAAGCAGAGUAUGUGGCAACAGCAAGUGCUGUCAACCAAGCCAUAUGGCUAAGGAAAAUAUUGGCUGACUUGAAUGUGCAUCAAGAGGAAGCUACUGAGAUCUUCUGUGACAACAAAUCUGCAGUAGCAAUUGCUAAAAAUCCAGUGUUCCAUGGAAGAACAAAACAUUUCAGCAUCAAGUUGCAUGUUGUUCGAGAAAUGGAGCAAGCUCAGGAAGUAAAGCUGAUCCACUGUAAUUCAGAGGAUCAACUUGCAGACAUUUUAACCAAAGCCCUUAGUGUCACAAGGUUCGAAUGCCUAAGAAAGAAGCUAGGUGUUUGCUCUAUGCAAACCAAGGAGGAGUGAUGAAGUUGGUUCAGCAUGCAGCAAACUCGACAGCAUGCAGGCCAUGAAGACCAAGUCAUGCAGGAGCUGCUGAUGCAAGCUUAUUUUGUUUAUUUUGUAAUUCCUAGUCAAUGAAAUGUAAUCUUAGUUCAUUUCUAACUAAGUUAGAUUGUUGACUGAUGUAAUUAGCUUAUGUAUGAGCUGUAAACACAACUUUGUGUAAGUUUACAAGCCAAAAUUUCAAGUUUCCAUGUCAUUAGUGGAGGUAGGUGAUGUUUAGGUAAUUACUUACUGUUUUUGACAAGCUUAGUGCCUGUUUUAUGUAUUGGCAUUGUGCCAUUAUGCAUUUUAUGAAUGAAGUUCAGUUUGUUCAUCAAUUUCUCUAUUCAUUUUUCUUAGCUUUUCUUCCUUUCUCUUGCUCGAAUUCUCUUGUUUGCUCAGCAAGUCUCGAGACUUGCUUAACAAGUUUGCACUAAAUCUGUUAGUUUCAGUUACAGCACCAACAGAGAAGUUGCGGAUUCAGAAUUGUGAUUCGUUAGAACAAAUUAUUGAGCUGCAAGGAGUCAUUGCUGAUGAGUCACAGUCAACAUCAGCUGCUCAAUCUAUUAUGGCUGAAACAGAGACGACCAAGUUUGUAUUUCCCAAACUAAUAAACCUCGGAUUGGAUAAGGUGCCGAGAUUGAAAAGUUUCUACUCUAGGAUGCAUACCACCCAGUGGCCUUUAUUGAAACAAAUGGACAUUAUUGAAUGCCCCAAAGUACAGAUAUUUACUCCACAAUGUCCUGAGAGUCAGGUUGGAAUCUCAAACCAACAACCCUUGUUUUGCGUUAGCGAGGUGAGCUCACUAACAGUUUCAUACUCCAUGUUCAUUACUUGAGAUUACCUAUAAAAUGCCUUUUGAAAUAACUAAUAUUCUCACCUUCCUUUUAAAUUUAUGAGAAAGAAAAUGGAAAUUAUAUUCAUUCUGUAGUCUAGUUCUUACUAAUUGAAAACUCUUUGAUCAAUGUUUAAUAUAUUCGUUGCCAUCCAGGACACUUUCCCUGUAUUAGAAGAACUAACACUGAAGACGAAUGAUAUGGUGGAGGGGAUAUGUGAUGGACAACUCUCAUUGCAGUGUUUCCAAAACCUUAAGCAUCUUAACCUCCAGUUCUUUACUGAGACAUCCACUACUCUUCCGUAUUCCUUCAUUCGGUCUCUACCAAUGCUUCAUAAGCUUGUUAUAGACAAUGCUUCCAUUUGUCAAAUAGUACAAUCUGAAGGACUCAGCGACCAGGAAAGGCAUACAUCAGCAUUCUAUCAGCUAAAGGAAUUAAGUUUGUCUCAUCUUCCAGAGUUGACGUUAAAGACUUUUGAACCAUCUUUGCUGUCUUUCAAUAAUCUAACAACACUGGAAGUUUCAAGAUGCCAUGGGUUCAUCAAUUUAAUCGUAUGCUCAACAGCUAAGUGCCUGACGCUACUGGAAAGAUUGAGCAUAGAUGAUUGUGAGAUGAUAGAGGAAAUUAUAGCGUGUGAGGCUGAAGAAAUACAAGGCGGCAUUGUAUUUCCCAAACUGAAGUAUUUGCAACUAAGCUGUCUGCCACGUCUAGCAAGCUUUUCCUUGGCCCAUCACUCGUUGGAAUUCCCAGUCUUGCUAAUGGUGAAGGUGACAAAGUGUCCCAAAAUGAGGAAUUUCUUCCAAGGAGAUUUAAGCACACCAAGGCUGGAACAAAUGCACUUAACAAGAGAUGAGGAACGUGAACUACAGUGGGAAGGCGACCUUAACACUACCAUAAAACAUAUGUUCGAUGAAAUGGUACAAAUCAUUUAAAGGAUUUAAAUUCAUGUGUUUUUACAUACAUACAUAGUUAACUAAAUAAUUCUUGGUUUGUUAUGAUCAUGCACAGAAUGUGCAAAAUUCUGAGGUGACUGAGGUUACUGAUCGGUUGCCCAAGCUGGAAUAAGGAAAUAUGUUUGGGUGCUUAUGCGAAAAGCUCAAUUUCGUUUCAAACCAAAACGAAUGGUAAUUGACCCUUCUAUUUUCAUCAUGGCUUAACUAAAGAUUUAUAAAGUGACCAUAGAGACGCCCUUUUCAUUGUAGGUUGAGUUGCUCUACUGAAGCACAUGGCUGCAUCUGUUGGUAGAACGUGAAAGGUUAUUUCAGUUUUUGUAAAACUACUAUUUGAACUGUUCCAUUUCGCAUUAUAACCUCACAAUUGUAUUUCAAGUGCAUCAUGCAUGGCAUUGGGAACUACAAACAUGUAAACUUUUACUAGUAAGCAAAAUAAAUAAAAAAAUCAUAAAUUAGAGUAUGAAAGUAAACAUAUUAAAGCAUACUUUUUGGUUUCAGAAUUUAAAUGAUUUGAGUUAAUUUGAAGCCAUAAAAAAAGAUAAAUUCAAUUAUAAAUUCUGAUAUUUGAAAAUUUUACAAUAAUAAUAAAUAAAUGCUUAAUGAAAUAAUUAAGAUUAUAAGGCAACAAGCUUAAUUAAGAGGGGUAUUUGUAAAUAUUAGUAAAAUUUACGGUAAAUAUUAUAUGAAAUAAGCAAAUUUAUGUUAUUAAUUAACCAAAUAGUUGUUUUUGGGUAAAAAAAAUGUAGUAAUAUGUUACAAUUUUUAGGGUGUUAAAUUAAUAUGAUUUGUCUUGAUUAAAUGUAUUAAAUUUAAUGUAACUAUUUUGAAUUUUAUUUCGGGAAUUGAAUUGAUCCGCAAAUCAAUAUAUUAAAAAAAUAAUAUUUUAAAUUUGGGAAGGUUUACUAGUAAUAAUGCUAUCUAUCUAUUGAUAAAAAUAUAUUAUAAUCAAAAUAAUAUUUUCAUGGUAAGCUUAGCUAUCCUUUACCGUCAACAUCCUUUAUGGGUUGCUUAGAGUAUUAUAUAUAGAUGAAGCUUUAGUUCAACACUGAUCUUAAUUUAAUAUUUUGAUUUUACAUAUUGACAGAUUAAAAUUCUUUUUGAAGUUUUAUAAGUCAGAAAUUUUUUUAUUUUGAAUAGUCAACUUACAUUUUAAUUCAUUUAGGGUGAGUUUGGAUGGGCGGUGUAUUUACCUGCGGUUAGUGUAAAAACAACGGUGGCGGUGAGAUUAGAUACUGUAGUGAUACUGUAGCGUGAGACAAAAAGUAUGCUAAACACACCACACCGCACCCAAUCGCCCAUCCAAACCUACUCUUAGUAUGUUUAAUCACUUUAGGUACAAAUAUAUUUCGUGUACCAAUCUAAUCAUGCACUAUAAUAGCUAAUUUUAAUUAUAACUUGAUGGUUGGUGGUUGUUGUUGGAUUUGGUGAACUCUCAAGUGCUCGAGUCUGUUGAUCUAAAGGUUGUGGCCUUUCAUCUUUAAUUUCAGGGUCAGCAAAGGUUUGAGAAGGUUGCUAGUCAUCCUAAUUCCAAGUGUUCUCCCCAUCAAAAAUUACGUCUUGGGUAAUCACAAUUUCUUCGUUAAAGGAUUAAACAGUUUAUAUGCUUUAGAUGUUUCACUUGCACCUAGAAAGACACACUUUUCUCCCUUGUUAUCAAGCUUCUUUCUCUUUGCAUCUGGAAUACGUGCAUAAGCAAUGUAACCAAAAAUUUUGAAGUGAUCUACCGUUGGUGGUCUCCUUCGACACCAAGCUUCUUCAGGUGUCAUGUUUUGAACAACAAAAGUUGGGCUUCUGUUCAAAACAUGGAUGCUCCAAUUUACUACUUCUAGCCAAAAUCGUUUUGGGACCCUUCCACCAGAAAGCAUGCUCCUCACCAUAUUAAGUAUGGUUAUGUUUUUCCUCUUUGAUACGCCAUUUUGUUGGGGGGUAUAUGCAGUAGUAAGCUCUUUUCGAAUGCCAUGACUCUCACGAAAUGCUUCAAAUUCCUUGGAGCAAUAUUCUCCUCCACAUUAAGUGCAAAGAGCUUGAAUGGUUUUCCCGAUUUCAUUCUCAACAAAUGCCUUGAAGCUAGUAAAUGCACUAAAUGCUUCUAAUUUCUCCUGUAAGAACUAAACUCAUGUUUUCCGAGAAUAAUCAUGAAUGAAAGUAAGGAAAUAUUUUUUUUACCUCCAUUAGAUGAUGGUUUUAUUGGCCCUUAGAUAUUUGAAUGAACCAAUUCCAGCCACGUUUUGCUCUCAAAGACUUUCCUUUGGGAAAUUGUUCACGAUUUUGUUUGCUAACAACACAAUCUUCACACACAUGGGAAAGAAUGACAAUCUGAGGAAGGUCGCUGACCAUUUCUUUCUGUCUAAGAGUCUUCAAACCCCCAAAAUUAAGAUGACCAUAGUGGAAAUGACAAAACCACGAGUCAACCUUCACUUUAGCCAUCAAGCAAGGUUUUAAAAUAUCUUUGCUUCUUCCCAAAGGUCUCAAAGCAUGUUAUGGAGUUUGAGUCUGAUUCAAUGGUUGCGUUAUGUGGCUUGGCUGUAGUUUAUUGCACCUUUGUACUUCUUUCUUUUAUGAAUAAAAUCAAUGCUUAUUAGAAAAAAAGAAAACAAAAACAAAUAGUAGAUAGCAACAAACAAAGAAAAAAAAACCUUAUGCCCCACUAACAUUUUUUUUGUACGUUUAGUCAAAAUGAAUAUAAUUAAAAAUAUUAAAUAGAUGCCAAUUGAGUUUUAGUGUAGUUGGUAUUGGUAUUAUUAACUUUGCUUAGUCCAUAUCCCCAUAAUAUGCGAUGGUCAUAUGUGACUUUUAAUCCAUUUAAUCUAAUUUGUUGGCUUUAGUACUGAUUGUACUGACUUUUAUUCUUGUUGUGGUCUAAUGAUUUGAUUCUAUUUUGUAAUUCCUUAUAUCAUUCGUGUUGUAAUAGUUUGAUACUUGUAACAAACAAAUACAAUUUAAAAAAUGGCUAGUAUUUGGUACACUGUUAGAAUAUUAUUAUGAGAUAUUAUCUUUUUGGAAUAUCUAAAUAUAUUGUAUAUUAUUAUAUAUCUUUUAAGCAUAUAUUUAGGAAUAUAUUAUCUAUCUUUCCUAUUUCUACAUGACUAUUGUUAUAUAAAUAUUAUGUAUAUUCUUGAAGCUUAUCAAUAAGAUUGAAAUGAAUUACCCUAUUCUUGUCAUGGUAUCUAAGCUUGGUGUUUAACACAAAAAAAGAGAAAAAUUUAAUCGUUUUCAAUGGCUGGUAGUGAUUCUACUUCUCCACCACCAGGGGCAAGAUAAUCAUCAGGGGAAGGGCGACACUUCUUGGUUUUACUGCUGAGCAAUGACAAUCUCUUCUGGUGGUGUUUGGUAAUACACAAUCCACUACCAAUCAGUUGAAUGGACAUUCAUUUUGAGGGGGUUGAUUAGAGCGGGUGAGAGACGAGAUGGACUUUAUUACUCUGUUGGUUAAUAAGAAUGAAGUUUUCAAGCAGGGGAGAAGGUAGAAAAUUUUUCUAAGAGGGUCGAAAUUAAAUUGUAAUUUUUAAUAGUCUAUAUUUUUAUAAUUUUUAAAGGAUUAAAUCAAAUAUUAUCAUUUUAAGGGGACUAAAGUGUAAUUUUACCUUUACUAAUUUAAAAUGUUAAAAUUUCUAAAGAGCCUAAAUGGAUGAUUUUCCAUUUUAGGGGGAUUGGGGCCUUUGCCAACCCUUUAGAUCCGCCACAGUUUUCAAGAUUUUCAUGUCAUUUAUUACUAUGAUUCAUCGUCAUUUUUCUUAAUUAAUAGAUAAAGUUUGUUAGAAGUGAUAAUGAGACUGAAUUUAAUUGCCUUCGAGAUUAUUUUCUUACAAAUGACAUUAUUUUUUCAAACAUCUUAUGUUGGUACUCCUCAAAAAAAUGGGAGAGCGAAGAGGAAACAUCAACAAAUUUUAAACGUGGCUCGUGUUUUGCGUUUUCAAGGUAAUCUGUCUACAUUGUUUUUGGGGAGUGUGUUUUGCUGCAUAUAUUUAGGAAUAUAUUAUAUAUCUUUCCUAUUCCUACAUGACUACUGUUGUAUAAAUAUUAUGUAUAUUCUUGAAGCUUAUCAAUGAGAAUGAAAGGAAUUACCCUAUUCUUGUCAUGGUAUCUAAGCUUGGUGUUUAACACAAAACAAGAGAAAAAUUUAAUCGUUUUCAAUGGCUGGUAGUGAUUCUACUUCUCCACCACCAGGGGCAAGAUAAUCAUCAGGGGGAGGGCGACACUUCUUGGUUUUACCGCUGAGCAAUGACAAUUUCUUUUGGUGGCGUUUGGUAAUACAUAAUCCACUACCAAUCGGUUGAAUGGACAUUCAUUUCGAGGGAGUUGAUUAGAGCGGAUGAGAGACGAGAUGAACUUUAUUACUUCCGGCAAGUAUCAAUGGUCAAAGUGGUUUCGAUUAAAGCUUUAUCCUCUUUGGAACUUUGGCAUAGAAGAUUGGGUCACCCUUCCGAGAAAGUAGUAAAGUUAUUUCCUUACGUUAGUAACUCUAGAGAUUAUUUGAAUAAAGCAUGCAAAAUUUGACAUCGUGUUAAACAAACAAAAAAUAGUUUUCCAGUUAAUGAACAGAAAGCCACAUGUAUUCUUGAGUUAGUUUAUUGUGAUUUAUGGGGUUUUUAUGAUACUCUUUCAUAUUGUGGAUCUCAUUAUUCUUUUACAUUGGUUGAUGAUUUCUCUUGUGCUAUUUGGGUAUAUCUAUUGGUUAAUAAGAAUGAGGUUUUCAAGCAGGGGCGAAGGUAGAAAAUUUUUCUAGGAGGGUCGAAAUUAAAUUGUAAUUUUUAAUAGUGUAUAUCUUUACAAUUUUUAAAGGAUUAAAUCAAAUAUUAUCAUUUUUAAGGGGACUAAAUUGUAAUUUUACCUUUAUUAAUUUAAAUUUUUAAAAUUUCUAAAGAGCCUAAAUGGAUGAUUUUUCAUUUUAAGGGGCUGGGCCUUUGCUAGCCCCUUAGAUCUGCCACAAUUUUCAAGAUUUUCAUGUCAUUUAUUACUAUAAUUCAUCGUCAAUUUUAUGAAUAGAUAAAGUUUGUUAGAAGUGAUAAUGAGACUGAAUUUAAUUGCCUCCAAGAUUAUUUUCUUACAUAUGACAUUAUUUUUUCAAACAUCUUAUGUUGGUACACCUCAACAAAAUGGGAGAGUAGAGAGGAAACAUCAACAAAUUUUAAACGUGGCUAGUGUUGUGCAUUUUCAAGGAAAUCCGUCUAUAUUGCUUUUGGAGAGUGUGUUUUGCUACUUUUUAUCUUAUUGAUUGAACUCUUUCACCUCUUCUUCAUCAUAAAACACCCUAUGAAAUGUUGUUUGGUAGACUUCCUUUAAUUGAUGAUUUUUGUGUGUUUGGUUGCUUAUGUUUUGUUCAUAAUUAACAUUCUAAAGGUGAUAAGUUCAAUAGUCAGAGUAAAAAAGUAUGUUUUUGUUAGCUAUCAUUUUGUCAAAAAUAAAUAAAAUAUAUUUUAAGCUAUCAUUUUGUCAAAAAUAAAUAAAAUAUAUUUUAAUAUAAGACAUUUUGGGACUGUUGGCAUGUCAUUUCUGAGUUGUUUCCACGAAAUGCAAUCGAUACAUAAAUUAAUCAUUUUGUCAAAGAUGAUAUCUAAACCUUGAAAACAUUUCCUUAUUUCUUGUCUGUUUCUACUUUGGUGGUGAUGUGCUUUGUUUGAUUCUAACUACUCCAUUAAAUAAAUCAUCCAAAAACAUAUAUUAUAUGAGGAAUAGGUGGUUGAAGAAAGAGAAAGCAAAAAUAAUAAUAAAAGAAGGAAAUUAAUUAGGAAAAUGACGUUAUAUGAAAACACUCAUACAAUUGGAUAACUCACUCACUCGACCUUUAAGAGGAGAAAAAGAAAAACCUUGUUUAUGUAAUACAUGGAUACCUAAUAAUUCAUUUAUUUAAUAACUUAUUUAUACUUUGGUAUAAGACAUUUUGGGUUGUCAUUUCUGUGCUGUUUCCAUGAAAUACAAUCCAAACUUCCUUUCCUACUUUUAAAGUAAGUAAGAAGUCGUCUUUCUCAGUUUACUACUUUCUGGCUUUGCUCUGCUAAGAAGAAAAAAACAGAAGGGGGAAAACUAUCGGUUAUUGAUCAUAGCCAAAAGGUACGCCAUCUGCUUUUCCUUUCCCUGCUUUGCUCUUACUCUUUUGAAAUAAGCUUAGGCAGGCAGGUUUAACCAUGAGAAUAGACUUCUUUUAUGCUUUAAAUCUCUAAAAAGCUCUUUAAAAUUCGUAGAAAAAAAGGGGUGAGUAUUAGGAAAGCUGCAUAAGCAUUUGUGUUUGGGAUGUACCAACAACUUGUUGCUUCAUGGUUAUUCAGAGGUUGGGUGAUUUAUCUUGUAGUCGACCACCUUUUUUUUAUUCGAUGCUUUAUUUCCAUUCAAAACUAUAUGUGGUUGGAAAGCUGGUUUGAUAGUCCACUAAAAUUAUAUGAAAAAUCAUUUAAAAAACAGAUUAAAUAUAUAAUUUUUAUAUAUUUAAAAGUGUUUGUUUAUAUAUUAUUUAGAAAUUGCUUUUAUAACAUAAUUAUUAUUUUACUAUUUUAAAUUUUGAAAUUUCAAUAUUUAAAAAUUUAACUAAUUUAAAAAAUGUGCAGCGAACUAAAAAAAACAUUAAUAAACAAAAAAAUUAGCAUAUAUAAAAAUUUAAAAUAGGAUUUGAAAUAUAUUGUUAAUAUUUUCAAUCUAAAUUUUAAAAUAUUUAAAUUAUGAAAAUAUGUUGAUUUAAAAUUAUUAUAGAACUUAUAUUCCAAAAAAAACCAUUAUAAAAAGUAUUUAUUCAAGAAAAAACUUUUUGUUUUGGCCUAUUUAUAUAGUAUUAUAAAAUGUCGAUUUUAAAAAAUUAUUAAAAAGUAAUACUAAAUAACUAAUUUAUAUAUAAAGAAAUUAUAGUUUCUUAAAAUCUGAAUUAAAAUGCUUUAAACUAAAACUAAAACUAAAACCAAAAUUUUCUUGUAUUGUAAAAUUAUUGUUAGAAAUUUUUAGUAUAACAAAAAGAUAUUAUUGAUAUUAGUCACUUAAAAACUAAAACAGUUUUAUAGACUUUAGUAAUUAUUUAUAUGAUUAAUAUUUUAACGAUUUAACCGUUUAAUUUAUCAAUAUAAUUGUACUUGUAAUGCAUGUAAAUUUUCGAACCGAUUCGAUAUCUCUAUCGUAUCGAUCUAAAAUACUCUAUAUACUAAUAUAUAAUCAACGAUUGAAAUUUUUUUACAAAACGAAUAUAGUUAGAAGUUUUAAAUUUACAUUAAAUUUGACAUGUAUAAUCUGCAUGAAUAGACUAUAAAAUAUAACAGUUGGAUCGUUAAAAUAUUAAUUAUAUAAAUAGUUAGGUAAGUGUGUAAAAUUCCUUUAGCUUUUACAUAUAUAUAAGUGGAUCCUUCUCCUUAAUGUUAAUAAAUGUUAAUUUUGUUAUCACAUAAUAUUUUAAUUAUGAAUUAAUAUUAAAAAUAAAUAAUAAAAAAAAUAUAAAUAUAAAUAGGGCGAGUAUUUGGUACACUGACAAUGUACUUUUUUUAUUCCACGAGUAAUCUUAAAAAAUUGACAUAUUUCUCUCUUUUUUAAAUAUGUUACGACACUCUUAUAAGAUAUUUGUCAACCUCCUGACCCUACUUGUAGAGUCUAAAACCUCCACUUACUAAAUAAUUUCCACAAUUUAUUAUUAAUGUUUAUUAGACAAAACACGUUAGCGAACAAAAUAAAUAAAUUAUAAAUAAAUACAUAUGAAAUAAAAUAUAAAUAGAAUGAUUUAUAAUUAAUUUAUUAAAUAUGAAUCAAAUAAAAACAUAAGAAAAAGUUGAAAUAAAGAAGAAUUGAGAUUUUACGAAACGUUGAGGCCUUUGAAACACAGUUUCCUUAAAACAUAUUCGGCCGCUCCUACAGUACUUGGAGAAAUGUUAGUCGAAAUUCUCCCAGGAUACAACAACAAAAGUAAUCAAAGUAGUAGUACAUCUACAACAAUCAACGAACAAAUUUUGUUUUUUUUAUCACCGAUAUGUAUGAAAAAUGGAGAGAAAAAGGAAGAGUUUUGAAAUGAACAGAAUUUCAUUUGAAUAUGUGUUUAAUCCUUUAGAAUACACAGCCUUUUCUAGGCAUUUAGGAUAAGGAGCCAAAAAUCAAUUUGAUUUAAAAAUUAAAUCAAAUUAGAUACUGUCCAUAUAUAAGCAGAUUAUGUCUGCUGAGGAAAAAUAAAUUCGUGUUGAGCUUAAAAUAUUCACAUGGGCCAAACCAGUUUGAACAUUUUGUGUCACCCACGUCAUACAAGUGCGCCCAACCCAAUCAGAUUUAGACCUACACCACCCCUACGCAUGAGACAAGGUUGCAAGCAUAGUUAUUCAAUUAAUUUUAGAGAGAGUUUACAUAUAAAAGCACAUCUCACACUUGAUAUUUAACCAAUGUAGGAUCUAAGCCUUUACUUUUUCUCAACAAUAUUUUCAAGUAGCUUACUUUAAGCAUCAAUUUCUCAUUCACCACUAAACCAUUUUGAGCAUAUGAUAUACCAUUGUAAAAGUCUCAUGGGGUAGAAUAUGAAACCAUAAAAUUAUGAUUCAACUCUCCACUUUUACCUAUUAAGAAUAUGCCUCAAAGUUCCCAUAAAAGUAAUUUUUCAGACAAUGUUUUUAGACUCCAUCAGUAAAGUCAAGGGAUUAACAAGUGUCCUAUAGAAAUAUAGUAAAAUAUCAAAAAAUUAAAUAUUUUAAAAAAGAGACACAUAUAAGUUUUUUAAAACGACUUGUGGAGUAAAUAAAAUAUUGUUAGUAUACCAAAUAAUCACCCAUAAAUUAUUGCUUUAAUCAAAAUAUAAGAACUAGGUAUAAUUUUGAAUUAGUUUAAAUUAAUUUAAAAGAAAUUUAAUUUAAUGAUAAAAAAAUUAUAUUUCAAAAUAAUUAGAAAGAUUUUAUUUUUUGAAUAAUAAUUAAAAACAAAUUUUUAAAAGAUGUGUUGUAAAAAUAUUCAAAGUGUAAAAAGACAAUUUAUUCCUUCAAUGCUUAGCAAAAAAUAUUCCUUAAAAAAAGAUAAUUAUUAGAAAAUAUCAUUAGAUAUAUGUCUAUAUUAAUAAAAAGUUAUCUAUUAACAAAAUCACUUUAAUUGUCAUAAAACUAAAACAUUAAUCACAUAUUUAUAAUUUUAAAAUUUUAACUCUUCAAUGGUAGUUAAGAUUAUGCAAAUGAGUUCUUUUUAAAAAAUAUAUAAGAUAAUUCAAGUUUUGGUCUUUGUUAUCGCUGUGGUUAUUCAGUUUGCUCUCUCAAUGGAGUGUGUUAUUGCCAUCGUUGGUUCUAUUGUCGCUAAAGCUGUAGAGUAUACGAUCUCUCCUAUCAAAAACCAUGUCAAAUACCUUUCCAAUCAUCAGAAAUAUGUUGAGACCCUCAAGAACCGAGCUAAUAGGCUAAAAGAUGCAAGGGACGGAGUGCAGCAUUCUGUUGAUGCAGCUAAGCGAAACGGUGAAGAGAUCGAAGGUGAUGUUGACAAAUGGCUGUCUGCAGUCGACAAAAAGAUCCUUGAACAAGUAGAGAAAGUGAUGCAAGAUGAAGAAAAAGCAAAUAAAAAGUGUUUCAUUGGUUUGUGUCCUAAUUUCAGGACUCGUUACAAGCUUAGCCUGAAAGCUGAAAAGGAGGCAAAGGCUGUUGCCGAGCUACUUGAACAUGGAAACUUUGAAAGGGUUUCCUAUCGUGCAGCUCCGAAAGGUAUCGUGGUUGCACCAGUUAAAGGUUAUGAGGAAUUCGAGUCAAGAACGUCGAUUCUGAACGGAAUAAUGGAGGCACUAAAAGAUGAUAGCGUCAGCGUUGUUGGGGUGCAUGGUAUGGGUGGGAUUGGAAAAACAACGCUGGUCAAAGAAAUCGCUAGAAAGGUCAAGGGCAAGUUGUUUGAUUCGGUUGUCAUAGCAACCGUAACUCAAGCCAUCGAUAUUGAGAAGAUUCAGAACCAAAUUGCAGACUUCUUGGGCUUGAAAUUUGAGGAACAGAGUAUGGUUGGAAAGGCAUUUCGACUACGAGAAAGAUUGAAGAAAGAGGAGAGGAUUCUGGUUGUCUUGGAUGACAUUUGGGAAAAGGUUGAUAUUGAGGAAGUAGGGAUUCCUUUGGGAGAUGAACACAAGGGCUGCAAAUUACUAUUAACUUCUAGAGAGCUCAAUGUUUUAUCAAAUGGGAUGGAUGCUCAGAAAAAUUUUCCCAUUGGGUUUUUAAAUGAAAAGGAAGCCUGGGACCUGUUCAAGAAGAAGGCUGGCGACUGUGAUGAAAGUUGCGGUUUGAAGCCUAUAGCUAUGGAGGUAGCCAAAAAAUGUGCAGGACUGCCGAUAGCCAUUGCGACAGUUGCAGGGGCUUUGAGAAACAAAAGAUUGUUUGAAUGGAAGAAUGCUUUACGAGAACUGGAGAGGCCUUCGUCAAGCAACUUCACGGGGAUAGCUGUGGCAUAUUCAGCUAUAGAGUGGAGUUUUAAUUAUUUAGAAAGCGAGGAAGUUAAGCUGACUUUCUUGCUUUGCUGUGUAAUAGGCCAUAAUGGUCUCGUUGAGAACUUGGCAAGAUAUACUUUAGGUUUGGGUUUAUUUGAUGGUGUCCACACUAUGGAAGAAGCUAGAAAUAAAGUAUUGACGGUUGUGGCUAAUCUCAAAGCGUCUGCCUUGUUGCUUGAUGGUUAUAAUGAUAAGCGCUUUGAUAUCCAUGAUGUUGUUUGGGAUGCUGCUAUAGCUAUUGCAUUGAAGGACUACCGUAUGCUUGUUUUGAGAGAUCAUGCUCCAAAGGAGUGGUCCGAUAAGGAGAAAAUGAAGAUGUGGAGUGUGAUCAGCUUACGGUGUCCUCAGAUUAUAGCUAACCUUCCUAAGGAGAUGGAGUGUUCAGGACUUUCCUUUUUCCAUAUGGCCUAUGAUGGCGCGGUUAAAAUUCCUCUCACUUUUUUCAAACAAACCGAAGGCCUCAAAGCCUUGGAUUUGGUCGGAAUGCAGUUUCCAUCCCUCCCUGAAUCAAUUAUUCACCUUGCAGACCUUCGCAUGUUGUGUCUGAAAAAAUGUGCAGUUGAUAACAUAACUAUCCUUGGAGAGCUCAAGAGUUUACAAGUACUCAACCUUUCUCAGUCAGGUAUCAAAGAACUACCUAAGGAGAUGGCACAAUUGACUCAAUUAAGGUUGUUAGAUUUGCGCUCGUGUAGAGAACUCAAAAUCAUCCCGCCGAAUGUCUUAUCAGGUUUGUCUAAAUUAGAAGAAUUAUAUAUGAGUGGGAGCUUUGUUGAAUGGGAAAAGGGAGGAGUAGUUGAAAAUGAGAGGAAAAAUGCAAGCCUUGAUGAAUUAAACAAUUUGCCUUGUCUAACUACUUUAUAUGUUCAUAUUCUUGAUGUCCAAAUGAUACCAAAACACCGGUUUGUUGAAACAUUGGACAGAUUCAGGAUUUUCGUAGGUAAUUAUGGUGAAUAUAAUUGUUUCCACAAUUAUGAAAUAUCUCCGAAAGCAUUGAAGCUCAUGUUAUAUAUAAACAAUGAAUUGGACAAUGGGAUGAAAAUGUUGUUGAUAAAGACAGAAGAUUUGUGCCUAGAGGGACUUGAAGGCGUCAAGAAUGUACUUGUGGAGUUAAAUAAUGGGAAAGAUCUUCCAAAUUUAAAGAGACUUCAUGUCAAAAAUGGUAGGCAUGUCCAACAUAUUAAAACGAACAAAAUUGGAUUUUCUGAAUUAUGCUUUAUCACACUUGAAAAUCUACCGCAACUCGUUAGCUUUUGCUCUCCAGACGAAAGGUGUUCUACUAAGCCCUUUCUACUUUUCAAUAAACAGGUAUUUGUUUGGCUUUACUUAUAUUUUCUUAUACAACUUUUAUUCCCAUUAAUACAACUUUUAUUCCCAUUAUAUUUUUGGAGCUCAAAAAUAAAUUUCAAAUCCAAAACAAAUGAAAAUUUAAUUUUUAAUCUAAACCGAUUGAAAGUAUAAAGUCAAUUCAAUAAUCUAAAUUUAAACCCAACAAAGAUUUUUUUUUUAAUUUUGAAAAUGAAAUUUGAACCCACAAAUCGAACUAAAAUUAUCUUUAAAAUCGAAAAUCAUAUUUUCAAAUUAUGUUUCCCUAUCGAAAAAGAAUUGUGUGUAAAUAUGUGCAAUUUAUUUUCCCUCACUUGGAAAGCUUGCAAUUGUGUUCCAUUAACACCAAAAUAAUAUGGCACAACCAGAUAUGUCAUUGGAUUACGAAUUUGAGGAGCUUGAUCAUCAAAGGAUGCGGCAAGUUGGAGCAUCUGUUAUCACCCUCUCUCGCUAGAAGUCUGGUGCAGCUCCAAUGCUUUAAGAUAGAGGAUUGCAAGUGCUUAAGGGACAUAAUACUUACAGAUGAAAUUGAAGAAGAAAGGAAAGAUGUGAUUUGUUUCCCUCGAUUAAACUCCCUGUAUAUAGAUGGUCUUACAAACCUCAUCUUCUUCAGCUCAGGAAACCACAAUAUUGAGUUCCCAUUGUUGAAAGAGCUAACGAUUUGGCGUUGCCCCAAGUUAAUAGAAUUCAUUAGUCAGAAUAGUAAUCAGUCCGGCAUGCACGCUCUCUUCAGUGAGAAGGUGAUUUAUUUCAUUAGUCUUACACUCUUGCAUAAAUCUGUUGAUUUGUCCUUGUUUUUUUUUCUGCCUUCAUUAUUUGAGCUAAUUAACCUUAUUAUGGGCAUGGAUUAUAUAUAUAUGAAUAGGUUGCAAUUCCUAGCUUGGAAGACAUGAGUAUCUUCGACUUGAGUAAUCUGAAGAUGAUAUUUUAUAAUGACCUAGCAGCAGGUUCCUUUAAAAAUCUUCGAAAAGUGUGUGUUUGGCGAUGUGAGAGUUUGAAAAAUCUAUUUCCAGUAUCAAUAGCCAAAGAUCUUCCACAACUUGAACAUUUACGCAUCACUGAUUGUGGAGUUGAGGAGAUUGUAUCGAAAGCGGAUGGAGUGGAGGAGCAGCCUGUGAGGUUUGAGUUUCCGCAAGUAUCUUACCUUGAGGUUGCAUUGGUAGAAAAGCUCAAAUGUUUCUAUGAACGGCAACAUACAAUAGUCUGGCCGAUGUUGAAAAAAUUGAAAACAGAUAGUUCUGCUUUGCGAAAGAUAGUGGCAUCGGAACAUCUUAGAUUAAUCCAAGGAAAUGAGCAGCCAGUUUUGUUGGGUGAAGAGGUAUGUAUAUCAUUACAACUAUAUUUCUUUUUAUGAUUUAAACCACUGCAACAAGCAUCUCAAGUUGAAAUAUGCCACGAUAAUACAUUUCUAAUUAUUAUAUUUUGUUUGAUUUGAAUUUUUUCUUGUAUUUUUGAAUUUUUAAUAUAUAUUUUAAAUUUUUUGUUACACUUAUAAUUAUUUUUUCAAUUUUUAAAAACAAGACUGAAUAAACAUAAUAGGUAAAUAUUGAGUGUUAAUCUUGACUUUUUAGAAUGUAGUUCAAUUUGAUAAAAUGUAUAAAUGUUGAGGGUUAAAUUUAUUAUUAUGCGAAAAAAAAUGCAACAUUAGCAUCCCGUUAGGGACUUUGUAGCAUAGCAAUUAAGAUAUUCAAUUUCUCUAACGACAGUGAUUAAAUUGAAAUUUUAUUUGUUUUUAUGUGACCAUAAUAAAAAUAUUUUAACACUUAAGUGGCUAUAUAUGUAAUUUACCCUGUAUUUAAGUAGUGGGUCGAAACUAAAUAGAAAGUUUACCUUGCUAAAAAAAAUCGCCACUCAAUAAAAAGUCAAAAUUUUAAAAGUUAAUUACACUAGACAUAUCAAACUAUAACCUUCAUUUUAAAUUAGUCCCAAAAUUUAAAAUAUUCAAAUUACAUUCUUAAACUAUUGAGGUUAUAUCAAUUAGGUCUUUCUGUUAUUUAAUUCAUUAAUUUAACCAUCAAAUUAUAUUAGUGUAAUAUUUUAAAAUCUUGGUGUUUUAUCUACACUGUUCUGCUUAUAUUUUUUAUCAUAGAAAUAUAUAUAUAUAUAACAAUGGUUGUUUCUCUAUUGUAAUCUAAAUUUGCUACUCUUCUUUCGGUUUUCAUGUUGUGUAAUUUUUAUCGGUUCUUAUUCUCAAGGUAUUGUGUUUUCUUAAAACAAAAAAUUCAUCUGGUUUGAUUUAAUAUUGAUUUUGUUGGGAUUUAAUCAUCAUAAUCAAACACUAAAAUUGUAACUCUUUUGUUUGUUUGUUUGUUUUUUUAAAGCAUAUACAUCAAUAUUGAGCCUAACUUGUAUAUAUUUAAUUGGUUUCCAAGGUCAUUCCCAAAUUAGAGGAACUUGAGUUACGAACUUUUGGUGAUAUGGACCAAUUCCCACCAGACUUGUUUCAACAUAUUAAAGUUUUUGCACUGAGAGCUGGCUCUCGAUUUUCUUUAUUUCCUUUCGUCCGAAGAUUCUACAAUCUGGAAAGACUUGAGUUGUCUUAUUUUGAUUUCAAACAUUUAGUCCCUUGUAAAGGAGAUGCCGGGACUCUCCCACCAAUUAGAAAUCUGAAAUUGGUUUCUGCCAGAAAUCUUAAGCAUAUUUGGAGGAAAGAUUCGGAGCUUGACCAUAUUCUUUCUAAUCUUCAAACACUCACAGUUCAGAAUUGUGAUGAUUGGAUAAAUAUUAGAGCCUUCUCAUCGUCUUUACAAAAUCUCACAAUUUUGAAUGUGUCACGUUGUGAAAUGAUGACAAACUUAGUUACACCCUCAGUACUUAAGAAUCUUGUGCAAUUAACGACAAUAAAGGUAGAAGACUGCACUAAAAUGACAGAAAUAGUGGGAAACGAGGGAGACUGUCAUCAGACAAUAGUUGUUAGUAAAUUGAAAUGUUUACAACUAUGCAAUUUGAAUAGCCUCACAAGCUUUUGUCCAUGGUAUUACAACUUCGAGUUUCCUUGUUUGGAAGAAUUAGUUGUGGAACAUUGUCCUAGGUUAAAGAUCUUUUCUGAUGGAGUUUUAAGCACCCCACAAUUACAGAGAAUAAAACAGUCGCGUUUCCGUGGGAAAUGGAGGUGGACAAGUGACCUUAAUACCACCAUACAACAGCUCUACACAAAAAAGGUACAAAGUUAAUAAGUUCAUAAUGCUAGCUAGAUUUCUCGUGUCCUAAUACAAUUAAUUUUAUUGCUACUUCAAUAACCAUUGAAGAGUGUUAAUCGUUAUUUUGUUAUUGUCUGCAGUUUCUAUUUAUGAUCCUUAUCUAGUGGAAUAAUAUCAGAUUAAUUUUUAGGAUGGACUCCAUGACCCAUAUGAUUUCAACAUCUCUGAAACAUUUCCGGAAUCGAUAGAAAUAUGGACUAGAAACCCUCAAGAAAUUUUGGGCUUCAAAAACCUUAGCAGCCUGCAGUUUUAUAAAUGUAGCAGCCUGAAGUACAUAUUUACUCCGUCUAUGCUUUUGAGCCUCAAUCGACUACAAAGGAUAGAAGUGGAAGAAUGCAGUUCAAUGGAACAAGUAGUUAGGGAGGAGGAGGAAGCAAUGACACAUAAAUUUACAUUUCUUUCGCUACUCUCCUUAAAAAUUGAGUCGUGUUCCAACUUGACAAAUUUCCAUUUGGGAAGUCAAGCUCUUGAAUUUCCACAGCUGAGUGAUAUCACGAUAGCUGAGUGUCCAAAAAUGACUGCAUUUUCUUCCUCAGUUUCAAGAGAAAGUGGUGAUGCAAGUGAAAACGUGGUUGGCAAAGGGGGCAUCUAUGAUAACACUGCAACUUUUUUCAGCAAUAAGGUAAGUUCGGUAUUCAAUAUUUAUCUGCACAACUCAUUUCACAUUUUCUUUUGAUUUGAUCAACAUGAGUGUGUCUGGUCUAUAUAUACAUACUAGUAGUGCUACACCUUGUCAAAAUUUAAUAUAAUAAAAUCCAUGUAUUAAUAAAUAAGAUAAUAUUUAAAAAAAAUUGGAGUUUAAAGUAUAAAUAAAUAUAUAAAAUACGAAUUGAAAGGAAAACUUAAAGUGAAAUACUAAUAAACAAUAAGAAGUUUAAAAUUAAAUAGUAAUAGACAAUAAAUAAUAAAAGAAAAACGAAAACUAAUCUUCCUUUAUUUUAAUUUGUGGGUGUAUAAGAAGGACAUAAUUGUGGAAGACCUUCACAAAGGUCAUUUGAGAUCAAAGGAGAAGAAGCAAGAAAACAAAACGUGAGGAGUUUGAAGGAGAAUUGAAGUGAGAGAGUGGAUGGGUUUUAUUUAAAGAUUUAAUGCUUUUUUUUAAUCUCAUAUAUAGAAAAAAUCAUUGAAAGAAAAAAAAUUUAAUAUAAUUAUUUCAAUUUACAUGUCGGGUUUUUAUAAAAGUAACUCAAAUUUUUUAUUAAUUAUGAAAAUGACUCAAUUUAAAAAUUAUGUACAUAAAUUAUUCGACUUCUAUAGUAUUUGUUGGUGCCGCUAGACACAAUGGCGGCACCUACCUACCAUCAUCGACAAAUGAUUGUAUUUUAUUUCAAAAAUAGUAGUCUUGUAAUAGUGUCGUUGGAAAAAUUGGCGAUAUCGAACUGAAGUGUGAUUCUAUAAAAUGUUCAUGGACUUGACGAAGUAAUUAUCCUUUUUUAAUUAGCGGAAAAAGGGGUCUUCCCGUGAAUUUGGGGCACCAAAUUAAAUGCUUUUUAUCUUUUAGUCUAUUUGCAUGUUAAGUCUAUCCUCUUUUGAAAUUAAAUUUAAAUAACCCCUUAAGAAAUAUAAGAAUAACAAAAAUAAAUCAUAAUCAUUUAUUUUAUUUUAUUUUUAAAAAAUAAACUUAAAAAAUUAUAUAAAAUUCUUAUUUAAAUUACCUAAAUAUAUCCCUCACAAAAUUUCCUCAAGUUUAUCUAAAUUCAAGCAUUUUCAAUUCAUUCCCUAGCAUAUUUAAAUUUAGAUAAACUUAAAGGAAAUUUUUUGAGGAAUAUGUUUGGGUUGUUUGAAUAAGAAUUUUAAAUAAUUUUUUAAGUAUUUUUUCAAAAAAAUGAAAAUGGUUUUUUUUUUGUUAUUCUUAUAUUUUUUUAAGUGCUAUUUAAAUCUAAUUUUAAAAAAGGAUAAACGUAACAUGCAAAUAGGUCAAAAGUUGAAAAACAUUUAAUUUGGUUUAGAUACCAACGACACCCCUUUUUCAACUAAUCUAAAAUGUUAACCGCUUCAAAGGAUCCCUGCACGUUUUAUAUAAUCACAUUCAGUCUGGUUCCGUCAAUUUAUUAAGCAGCACUACUACAUUUUUUUUUAAAAAGCAAUUAUUGGAGGAUGAUGGUGGCCGGUGUAGUAAGCACUGUAGAAAUUAGGUCAUUUAUGUACAUUAUUUUUGGAAAAUUUUUUUAAUUAACCAAAAAAUUUUGGUUACUUUUAACUGUCUAGUUGAUGUAUUAACCUUUAGAUAAGUUUAUAAAUCUUCAUACUCAUUUUGAUUGUCUUUCAAAGUAAAGAAGGAAGAGUGAUACUAUCUUAUAAUGAUAUUUAUGUCAACAGGUUGUCAUUCCUCGUUUGAAGCGUCUGGAUUUGUCCUCCACCAACAGUCAUAAGAUAUGGCACCACUCAUCCUCCCCAUCUAUCGGAUACCUAAAUUUCUUGCAGGUGAAGAGGUGUCACAAUUUGAAAUACCUGUUCCCGUCUUUCUUAGCAAAAGAUCUUGUGCAACUCCAAGUCCUUGGAAUUUCGGACUGUAAUAUGAUGGAACAAGUAAUAUUCACGGAUGGAUUGGUUGAGGAACAUCAAGGGAGGAAUCAGAUGUUUUUCUUUAAUCUACAUUCGCUGUGGCUAAAAGACCUUCCCAAACUCACAAGUUUGUGCUUUGAUAAUUACUUUGAAUUUCACUGUUUGGCAUAUUUAGCACUAAUAAAUUGUCCAUUGCUAAAAACAUUCAUCUCUAAACGUGUACCCGGAGAUGAACCUCAAAUUGGCCAACAUGUACAGGCAAGUAACUUGGAGGUUCAUAACUCAUCUCUCCUCGAUGAAAAGGUCAUUUCUUCAUGGAUCCUCCUUUUAAUUUAUGUUACUUCGAUUUAUCUUAUUCAUUUGAGGUUCUUUCUUUUUCAUACAUAUUUCAGUUACUAACCUAAUGAAAUGAUUUAUUAGGUUGUUUUCCCUAGUUUGAAGACGUUGCGGAUUACGGGUUGUGAUUCGUUAGAAGAAAUUAUUGAGCUGCAAGGACUCAUUGCUGAUGAGUCACAGUCAACAUCAGCUGCUCAAUCUAUUGUGGCUGAAACAGUGACGACCAAGUUUGUAUUUCCCAAACUAAUAAACCUUGGAUUGUAUAAGGUACCGAGAUUGAAAAGUUUCUACUCUAGGAUGCAUAUCACCCAGUGGCCUUCAUUGAAAAAAAUGGACAUUAUUGGAUGCCCCAAAGUACAUAUAUUUACUCCACAAUGUCCUGAGAGUCAGGUUGGAAUCUCAAACCAACAACCCUUGUUUUGCGUCAACGAGGUAAGCUCACUAGCAGUUUCAUAUUCCAUGUUCAUUACUUGAGAUUACCUAUAAAAUGCUUUUUGAAAAAACUAAUAUUCUCUCCUCUUUUAAUUUUAUGAGAGUCUAGUUCUUACUAAUUUAAAACUUUUUCAUCGAUGUCUAAUAUAUUCAUUGCCAUCCAGGACACUUUCCCUGAAUUAGAAGAACUAACACUGAACACGAAUGAUGUGGUGAAGGAGAUAUGUGAUGGACAGCUCUCAUUGCAGUGUUUCCAAAACCUUAAACUUCUUAACCUCCGAUUCUUUCCUGAGACAUCCACUACUCUUCCAUAUUCCUUCAUUCGUUCGCUACCAAAGCUUCAGAAGCUUGUUAUAAACAAUGCUUCCAUUUCUGAAAUAGUCCGAUCUGAAGGACUUAGCGAAGAGGAAAGGCACACAUCGGUAUUCUAUCAGUUAAAGGACUUAAGGUUGUCUCAACUUCCAGAGUUGACGUUAAAGACUUUUAAACCAUCUUUGCUGUCUUUCAAAAAUCUAACAACACUGGAAGUUUCAAGCUGCCAUGGGUUCAUCAAUUUAAUCGCAUGCUCAACAGCUAAGUGCCUGACGCUACUGGAAAGAUUGAUCAUAGAUGAUUGUGAGAUGAUAGAGGAAAUCAUAGCGUGUGAGGCUGAAGAAAUACAAGGCGGCAUUGUAUUUCCCAAAUUGCAGUAUUUGCAACUAAGUUGUCUUCCAUGUCUAGCAAGCUUUUCCUUGGCCCCUCACUCGUUGGAAUUCCCAGUCUUGCUAAUGGUGAUAGUGACAAAGUGCCCCCAAAUGAGGAAUUUCUGCCAAGGAGAUUUAAGCACACCAAGGCUGGAACAAAUGCACUUAACAAGAGAUGAGGAAGGUGAACUGCAGUGGGAAGGCGACCUUAACACUACCAUAAAACAUAUGUUCGAUGAAAUAGUACAAAUCAUUUAAAGGAUUUAAAUUCAUGUGUUUUUACAUACAUACAUACAUACAUACAUACAUAGUUAAUUGAACAAUUCUUGGUUUGUUAUGACCAUGCACAGAAUGUGCAAAAUUCUGAGCCGACGGAGGUUACUAAUCAGUUGCCCAAGCUGGAAUAAGGAAAUAUGUUUGGGUGCUUAUGCGAAAAGCUCAAUUUCGUUUGAAUUCAAAACAAAUGGUAAUUGACUCCUCUAUUUUCAUCAUGGUUUAACUAAUGCUUUAUAAAGUGACCAUAGAGACGCCCUUUUCAUUAUAGGUUGAGUUGCUCUACUGAAGUACGAGGCAGCAACUUUUGGUAAAAUGUGAAAGGUUAUUUCAGUUUUUGUAAAACUACUGUUUGGACUGUUCCAUUUCACAUUAUACCCUCAAAAUUGAACUUCAAGUGUAUCAUGAAUGGCAUUGGGCUACAAACAUGUAAACUUUUACUAGUAAGGUUGACCCCUGUUUUAAGGAUUUGCCAACUUUUGAUGGUUACCAUAUCAAUGUCAACUUAAAGCUAUCAAGUAUCUUCACAAAUAUUGUUGACACCAUUUUUUGGAUGAAAAAAAAACGGGGUCGACUUGGGUUUUGACAAAAACGAAAAAACGGGAGUCGCCACCAAUCCUUUUUAAUGAGGUGUGAUUGGAUCACCUCAAAAACUAGUUGUUUCUAAUAAACGGUUUAAUUUUAUUAAAACAACGAUUUUGGUCCACGAAAUUCAGAAAACGGGUUCGGGAGUCGGUUACGUACGAGGAAGGAUUAGCACCCUCGUAACGCCCAAAAUUGGUACCUAGUUGAUUAGUUAAUGUCUUGAUGUCGAAAAUUGAUAACUUAAAAGAAUUUUAAAAAAUACGAUCCUUGAUUAAAACGUUAAGAGAAAAUUUUUUUGAGAAAAGAAGCACAUUUCACGUUAAUUGAGAAAUAUACGUCAUAUCCAGUGAGUUAGGAUACAAUGUCUCGAAUUCUCGAUGCGUAAAAAUGCUUGUUUAAAAGACAUUUUAGCUAUCUCGGAUUUAAAAAAGGAGAUCACGACCAGUAAGUUAGGACGCGAUUUUUUUUUUAAUUCCCGAUAUCAUUUAAAACUUGAGUUUAAAAAAAAUCGUGUAAUAAAGUUUAAAAGAAUAUUCAAUUGUUUAAAUCAAAUGAAGAAAUCGCAACCCAAUACGUUAAGGCACAAUUUCUCAAAAUAUUAAACAUUGAAUACUGCAUUUAUUUCGGAAAAAAAAAACCUCGUCUCGAGAAAACAACGUGUCACAUCCAAUGCGUUAGGACACAACGUAUUGAAUUCUCGAUAACGAGCUUUUUAUCAUUUUUAAAAGAGUAAUCUCGAUUAUUUAAAUUCAACGAAGAAAAUCAGAACCCAUUAUGUUAGGGCUCGAUUCUCUCGAAGUUCCAAAUACCGAGUAUUACUCAUAUUUUUAAAUUUUCUUCUUUUUUGAAAUCUAGAUAAAAAUAGGUGUAAUGGAAUAACAAUAAUGAUGAUGUAAUUAAAAUAAUACAAGCAAAGGCUACGAAGUAAAAUAAAUACAGAGACGAACUAAUAUAAUAUACAAUCACAAGCAUAUAAGCAAUAAAAUUAAAACAUUCAUUCUAAAUAAUGAAAAUGUAAAUGAAGAAAUGAACAAAGAAAAUGUAUAAAACUAUAAAAAAAUAAAACAUACAUAUGUGUAUAUACAUAAAAUUAUGGAAAUAUAAAAAAUAUAUGUAUGUACAUAUUUUAAAAUCAUUAUAAAAUAUAUAUAAGUAAACAUAUACAUAUAUACGUAUGUAACUAUCAUAAAAUAUAAAAAGUAUAUAUAUAGAUACAUAUAUAUAUAUGAGUCAUAGAAUAUAAAUAACAUAUAUAAGAUACAUAUUUAAAAUAUGAAGAAUGUAAGUAUAAAUAUAUUUAUGAAAAUAGAAUACAUAUAUAGACAUGUAUAUAGAUGUGUAUAAAAUUACGAAAUAUAAAAUAUAAGGGUAUUAGUAUGUGUAUAUAUAUAUAGACAGAUAGAUAGAUCAUAAAAAAAAUAUGGAUAUUAUAUAUAUAUAACAUGAAAACGCAUAUAUGUAUAUAUAACAAAGAUUCCAAAUAAAAAAUAAAUGAACAACUUAAUAAUAACAGUAAUAAUAUUAUUUUAUAAAAAAGGGAAAUAAACAAUAACAAAAGGACUAAAUUAAACAUUGAAACAAGAUUUGGGGUUUAAAAUUGCAAAUAAAAGGUUCAAGGGCUGGAAUGAAUCACGCACAAAGUGCAAAGGACUGAUCGGACAAUAUGCCCAAGUCCUGAAGGCACAACAUUCGUGCGCUGAUUAAAUUGAAUCAUAAAGAAAUUUCGUGGGGCCAAAUUAAAGAAAAUAAAUAAACAAGCAAAAGGACUAAAUUAAAACAAUCAACAACGAGGAAGGGCCAAGGGCAUAAAUAGCCCACUUCAUGAAAACGCGCGGAUCCCCUCCUACCGGGUCGGGUCGCACGCGGGUCCAGAGGCAGAACGAUGUCGUUUCGACGCCCAUAUGCAGUCACAAAACGGCGCCGUUUCUAUUAUGGUAUUUAAGCCCAAUUUUCUACAAAAAAAAUUUCAGCAACUGUUUGUUUUAAGAAAAAUCCAAAAAAAAAAACCUUUCCUCCUCCCCUCUCAAACAUCCGGCCUUUAGGUCUCCUUAGCGCCGCCAUUGCGCCACCGUGGACGGUGGCCGGCGUUGCGCAAAAGGGGCAUUCUAGUCUCGGUUUUGAGACCCGAUCGAAGGCUUUACUCGCAUAGCCUGAAGAUCAAGAGGCAGGACCCCCUAACUCAAACUUUCGGGGCCGAUUUCAACGACGGGCAGACCCCGACGGCAACGCAACCGAAAGACGAAACGGGUAAGUCCUCCUCUUCCUUUUUAUUUACUAUCUUUAUAUAUAUAUGUAUGUAAACAAAAAGAAAAGAGAACAAAAAAAUAACUUCAAAACUGAAAAGAAAAGAAAAGAAACCUUGAAUCUGUUUUUGUUUCCUUUUUCUCUAUUAAUGCCUUUUUUCUUUACAAAAAUCGAAACCCCCUUUACAAAGGUUUUUCAAUCGGUUUUUGAACCAAAAAUAAUACCCCCCGUUGCUUGUUGUUGUUGUUCUCUUUAUUAUUUACAGGUGAAGCAGGUGGCGAUGGGAUAAGGUGAACGGCGGUGGCAGAAGGCUAGGCUGCAAAAGGCGUACGGUGCUGAGCAAGGCAGGGAACCCUAGGGUUCCUUGAUGCUUGUUUAAUUUUUGUGCCCAAUUGGGCCAAUUUAGAUUUUGGGCAUUGGGCCUUGUGUUUUGGGUUGAAUUUAGCUUGUUAGGCUGGGGUAUUUUGGGUUAAUGGGCCCCGGGAAAAUUUAGGCUUCUACAGCUGCCUCUCUUUGCUCGUUGUCGUGUAACGAGAACAGAGCAAAGACUAAGAAAGACCAAAUUUGCCCAGUCUUGCCGAGUCUUGACUUCUCUUGACGCUUCUCUUCUUCACGUAGCCUCAUUCCAGUCUACUGUGUCUUGUCGUUUCGAUCCACUCCACUGCACCUCAGAAAGAUCUGACUUGUAGCUUCAAUCUUCUUCGCAACAACUUCAGAGAGAGAAGAUCGGUGGUUUUGAUCCGCUCCACUGCAACUUCAUAGAGAUAAGACUGGAUGCGGUCUGCUCUACUGCAACUUUAGAGAGAUAAGAUCUGUGGUUUUGAUCCGCUCCACUACUGCUUAAGGAGGAUAAGAUUGAUUUCUUCAAUCUGCUCCACUGCAACCUCAGGGAGAUAAGAUUGGAUGUGAUCUGCCCUACUGCAACUUCAGAGAGAUAAGAUCUGUGGUUUUAAUCCGCUCCACUGCAACUUCAGGGAGAUAGGAUUGGCUUCUUCAAUCUGUUUAACUGCAAUGUCGGGGAAGUAAGACUCGCCGUCGUAGCUUCAAUGUAUUCCACUACACCGUCAGGGAAAGUAAGAUUCGUCAUUGUGGCCUUGAUCUUUUAAUUGCAAUGUUGGGGAAGCAAGAUUCGCCGUUGUAGCUUCAAUGUAUUCCACUACACCGUCAGGAAAAGUAAGAUUCGCCGUUGUGGCCUCAAUAUUUUAAUUGCAAUGUCGGGGAAGCGAGAUUCGCUGUCGUAGCUUCAAUCUGUUCCGCUGCAUCACCUGGGAAGUAAGAUUUGCCUUUGUGGCUUCAAUCUUUUAAUUGUAAUGUCGGGGAAGCAAGAUUCGCCGUUGCAGCUUCAAUCUAUUCCGCUGCAUCCCCUGGAAAGUAAGAUUCGCCGUUGUGGCUUCAAUCUUUUUAACUGCCGGGGAAGCAAGAUCCGCUGUUGUAGCUUCAAUCUGUUCCACUGCAACGCUAGGAAAGUAAGAUCCGCUGUUGUAGCUUCAAUCUUUUUAAUUGCCGGGGAAGCAAGAUCCGCUGUUGUAGCUUCAAUCUGUUCCACUGCAACGCUAGGAAAGUAAGAUCCGCUGUUGUAGCUUCAAUCUUCUUAAUUGCAAUGUCAGGAAGCGAGAUUCGCUGUCGUAGCUUCAAUCUGUUCCGCUGCAUCACCUGGGAAGUAAGAUUUGCCUUUGUGGCUUCAAUCUUUUAAUUGUAAUGUCGGGGAAGCAAGAUUCACCGUUGUAGCUUCAAUCUGUUCCGCUGCAUCGCCUGGAAAGUAAGAUUCGCCGUUGUGGCUUCAAUCUUUUUAACUACCGGGGAAGCAAGAUCCGCUGUUGUAACUUCAAUCCGUUCCAUUACAACGCUAGGAAAGUAAGAUCCACUGUUGUAGCUUCAAUCUUUUUAAUUGCCGGGGAAGCAAGAUCCGCUGUUGUAGCUUCAAUCUGUUCCACUGCAAUGCUAGGAAAGUAAGAUCCGCUGUUGUAGCUUCAAUCUUUUUAAAUGCAAUGUCAGGGAAGUAAAAUCUGCUGUUGUAGCUUCAAUCUAUUCUGCUGCAUCGCUAGGAAAGUAAGAUCCGCUGUUGUAGCUUCAAUCUUUUUAAAAGCAAUGUCAGGGAAGUAAGAUCCACUAUUGUAGCUUCAAUCUGUUCCACUGCAACACUAGGAAAGUAAGAUCCGCUGUUAUAGCUUCAAUCUUUUUAAUUGCAAUGUCAAGGGAGUAAGAUCCGCUGUUGUAGCUUCAAUUUGUUCCACUGCAACGCUAGGAAAGUAAGAUCCGCUGUUGUAGCUUCAAUCUUCUUAAUUGCAAUGUCAAGAAAGUAAGAUCCGCUGUUGUAGCUUCAAUCUGUUCCACUGCAACGCUAGGAAAGUAAGAUCUGAUGUUGUAGCUUCAAUCUUCUUAAUUGCAAUGUCAGGGAAGUAAGAUCCGCUGUUGUAGCUUCAAUCUGUUCCACUGCAAUGCUAGGAAAGUAAGAUCCGCUAUUGUAGCUUCAAUCUUUUUAAUUGCAAACUAUGGUUUCUUCUAUCUGUUUCGCUGUCAGUACAGGAAUGCAAGAUUUGCUAUCUUCAUUCUGCUCCGCUGUCAGUACAGGAAAACAAGGCUGGUGUCUUCGAUUUACUUCACUGCCAGUACAGGAAGGCAUGAUCUGCUAUCUUCAUUGAUCUGUUCUCUGGUGAACAUGACCUUUAUGUUCUAUUUUAUAAACCUAAUUGUGCCUAGUGAUUAGGAUGACAUGAUCAGAACGAAACAAAUGCUCCUAACUAGAUGUGUAUGAAUGACAUUUGAAUGAAUGCAAAAUGUCAUGAAAAUGAUUCUUUAAUGCUUAGGUUAUCAUCACGCAAAAGCUUAUUAAGGUUAUAUCACUGACGUGCUACAAUGCCUUCUUGCUCAGCUAACAUAUCCAAAGAAACACUUAAUCUGAUUGCCCCCCACUGUGAACGUCAAAGUUCAAUCCACAGGGACAUAAAAUUUGUACCAUCAAUCUCCCACUAUAACCCAAGGGUAGAAAGAUAUGGCUUUUCUCAAUCUUCUCCUAUCGCAAUUCAAGGAUACAAGAUCUAAAUCCUUCUGGUCCCUUACACCAUUCCGAGGGUGUCGUAUCAAAGACUCAUGUGCAAAUGAGGGUUCUCUUCCCCGAGGUAACCUCUUCCUAUUGCCUGAUGAUCAUUGCUUUCUUGUUUAUUCAAGCUUUGUCACCAACAUGGCGUCUUGUCAAUCAACGCAUUUGACAACAAAAAAUCUAAAGAAAGUCUAAAUUUAGACUAUUCCUUCCCAAAUUUCCAACUUUAAAUUUGGUGUGUUAUAAACAAUAGUCAUGCUUUAGGCUCCAAUAUUAUUUAGAAACUUUUCAGAGUAAUAUGCAAAACUUCCUUUGUGAAAGUUUUAUUAGUCCAUUAAUCAUUAUUCUAAUACAACAUGCUUUGCAAAAAGGGUCUUAACAAUGAAUAAGAAUAAAAUUGGUUCUGAGCAUAGCUCGAAAAGAAUAAAUUACCAAAAAUAAUAAAGAAGGAUAAUGAAGAAAUUGAUCGGGAAUGUAUAUCUUGGAAAAGAAAAAGGUAUUCCAAGAACAACAAAUUUAAUAUAGAUAAUAUGAUAAUUGGGUGCCCAGACAUCGCAGCUUGAACUUCUCUGUACGAACUUUCUGAAGACCAUUUUGAGUUGGACAUGUGCUUAGGAGAUCUACAAUGCUCUGUCGAUACCCAAGAUGUCGCCUAUCCUUUCUUGUUGAUUCAGGCACAGCAAGAUCACCACAUGCCCCAAUAUGAUCAAAAUUCGAAUCGCUCUGAUCGCCUCAUGCCCCAUUCUGAACAAAUAUUUGAGCCGCCCUUUUCGGGUUUUCAACUCAAAUCCCCUUUGGCCUAAGGCGCCCUUUUUCGGGUUUUCCCCUUAGCCUCUCCAUUUUUCAUUUUCAUUUUUCAUUUUUCAUUUUUCAUUUUUCAUUUUUCAUUUUUCAUUCUCAUUUUUCAUUUUUCAUUUUUCAUUUUUCAUUCUCAUUUUUCAUUUUUCAUUUUUUUUACUUAGAGUGCUCUUUGCAGGCUUUCACAUUAGUCAUCUCUCCUUCUUUAAACGAAGUAUUUCUUGACUAGAUCUGAGUUUAUAGGACUAGAAAUCUCACUCAGGAUCAACGCUCUUCUGAGGAAUGUCUUCUUUACAACGUAGGGACAUUCCCAGUUUGGCAUUCAUUUCCCUCUGGAAUCCUUUUGGAGAGGAAUGAUCUUUUGACAUCCAACCCUCUCGUGGAAUUCUCUGAGAUGACACUGUUCGUUAUGGGCUCGUAUCAUUUGUUUCCGGUACAUCCAACCCUGAAGAAUAGCUUUUAACCUUUUUCCUAGGUUCAACUGAUCGCAUCGCGAUUGAAUCCAUUCUGCUUCAUCCAAUUCUAGCUCAACUAAUACUCGGAGAGAAAGGAUUUCAAUAGGUAAAACUACCUAAACCCUGCAAACCAAAGAGAAAGGUAUUGCCUCGGUAUAGAUGCUCGACAAGCAAGGAAGACAAAUAGUAAUUUCUCAUGCCAGUCUCUGUCAUUUUCCUUCAAUUUUCGAUGUUAAACUCUAGGCAAUUCAGUGGCGAAUCGUGGAGUCCACUUCUGAGUUGAUUUGAGAACUCAGCUAUCGUGAUAUUGUUUAAGCUCAAUGCAUUCUCCAAUACCCUUUUCUCUGAAAUUUUGUAUCGGAAUACGAUGACUUUUGAUCAUGAAGUAGCCUCUCAAAAUGAAGCAAUGCCCAUUAGAAGUCUUCGAUAAUGGUGAUGUCCAUGCCCCAUUGUGCUCGAAAUUUGAGUCGCCUUUUUUGGGUUUUCAACUCAAAACCACAUUUGGUCACAAAGCGCCCUUUACAGGUUUUCGCUUUGGCCUCUCCUUUUUUCUUUUUUAUUCUGAUUUUUUCAUCCAGAUUUCUCUUUUUCAUUCUUCUUUCUUUUUCUCAUUUUCAUUUUGAUCUUGAUUUUGAUUUUUUUCUUUCUUCUUUUUUUUUGAUUUUUUUCAUUUUCAUUUUCAUUUUCAUUUUGACUUUGACUUUGAUUUUGAUUUUUCUUUUUCUUCCCUUUUUGAUCUGAGCCUUUUGGUGGGCAACUUCGACAGAAAACUUUGGAUCUUCCUCUUUAAUCAGGAUGGACCCAACAACAACUUGAAGAGAUAGAAAUUUGACUUCAAAUGGGCAAAGCUAUGCUGACUCCACGUGAAAGGCAUUGCCCCGGCAAAGAAUUACAUCGUUCAUACUGCAAAUUUCUGACAUCGUGCUGUUGUGCAGAUUUCAUUAUCGGCGUUUAACCCGGGGCAUAUCCUGGUAUGAUCAUACGAAGACAUCUAUGAACCUUAGAGGUCACUCAAUAAGGUGUUGCUUCGUCUUUGCGGUCAAGUUAAUUCUAAUCUUCACCAAGUCCACAAUUCCUUAUGAGGUAGGAUCUGUCUAUCCUCUUAUUCUACCAUCCUCAACAAGUUCGGAGCUAAGCUACGAUCUAUGUCAUUUCCAAAGUCGUGAGAUCCGUCUAAACACAUACCUCUCUCAAGAGGAAAAUCUGAGUCUGUAGCAGUAUCACUCAUGUCAUUGAUAUCUGGGAACUCAUUGUAAGUACAAAAGGAUAUACAAAGAAUAUAUGAAGUUGUACAAUAUGUUUAUGAAUGCAAUAGUGAUUUGGAAGAAAGAAUAAAAGAAUACAAAUAAUCAUUGAUAAGAAAUGAAGAAUAUUGAUUCAAAAAAGAUCGCAAAGAUGCAUUCCAUUAAAAUAAUGACAUUCAGACUGAGCCUAUUUCACAAAAGAGUUCUUAUUGCCUCUAGGCUAAAAGCAACAAGUGUGUUCUGAAUAUUACUCUGAGUAAACUCUAAAUACUACAGGGGUCUCUUCUGCAGUCUAAUUAUUCAGAACACUCUCAAGUUUAGAAGGGCGAACAUCUAAUAAGAUAUCUUCUCCAAUUGUUUCUUCAUAUUCGGCACGGAUGUGAACAUUUCCUAACAUUUCUUCAUUCAUCGCAUUCCCUUCAUUAUCCAUAUGAUUGAGCAGCGGGUUUUCUGUACUGAGUGAAUCCUCAAAUUUAACAAUGCCCAUAUUGAUAAACCUUUCGACCAGCUUUUUAAAGGCAGUGCAUUUUUCUAUAGAAUGCCCUGUAAUUCCCGCAUGAUAGUCACAUCGCGCAUUUGUGUCGUACCAUUUGGGAUACGGAGGUUGUAAAGGCUUCAAGUAGAAAUGGGAGACAACAUGUGCGUCAAAUAAACUAUGAUACAACUCCUGGUACGACAUUGGGAUUGGUGCAAAUUGUGACUUUUCAGUACCUGGUUUCACUCCAGAUUCUUGCUUUAAAGGGCUCUGAUGGCUAGUGGUCUUCGUCUUUGGUUUGCCCACAGUGAUUAGUUUUGAGUGGCCCUUGUUAUAUUCGCCUGCGUUUUCCUUUUUAUUCCCCUUCUUCCUUGGGGCCUUUAUAGUAUCUGGGUACUCUACCCCCAUCUGCUUUAUUUCGGCUAGAUUAGCAAUAGGAUUAGCUAAAUCGUUCCUCAAAUUGGAUCCUAAGCCUGUCAGGCAAUUCACUGGUGUCGAUGUACUAGUCUGAUAAUAUUGGGAUCCGAUAGUAAAGAGUGCCCCUUGUGGGCGCCUAUCUGGCUGGACCUGGACACUUGUCGGAGUACAAUCUAAGGAAUAGACAAGAUCAUCAUUAUUAACCCUAAAGUAAACCACUGGGUCUUGCACUUCUUUUGACUUUCCAGCUAGCAAUCGGUUGAACUGGUUUAUCAUAGUUCUCCGUAAUUCUAGCAUCUGAUCUCUCAUCUCUUUUUGAAAUUUAGUCAUUUGCUCCUGCAUCUGGAUCUACAUUCGCUCUAAUUUUUCCAACCUUCGUUCCAUUUCUCUAGCCUUUGCUUGGAUAUCGUAAUGGUGUUUGGUUGUUUGGUUUUCCAAGUUAGCUGAAAUAAAUUUACUCAUUUAGACUCUUUCAAUGGAUUUUAAUGCAUGUAAUGCAAUGUGAUGCAAAUGCAUGAAAUGAAUGCCUAAAGAGACGUUGAUUCUGAUUCAAUUACAUUUAGAAAACUUUUCUAGAAAGCAAAUUCCCUUACAUAAAACAGAUACAUGUACGGCCUCACCCUCAUACUCCAAGAAACAACAUCGGUCUUUUUCUUCAUCCGCUUGUUUGAGGUAAUCUCGCCAAUAGAUGCCAUUGCUAGCUCCUUUUGAUCUUGGUCGUGAUCCAUCAUCUGCCCAUCUUCAUAAGGCUCGUCUGCUUCUUGGAACGUCGAAGGCUCUUAGACAAUCGCUUUGAAUCCUCAGGCCACGAAGCAGGGUCACGAACUCUUCCAUCGCCCUUCUUGCGUUCUUCAGAAUAUAUUUGGGAAGUUGUAUUAUUUUCCACCUUAUCAAGGAAUUCGUAUUCCAUGACAAGCUUUCUAAUUUAGUAAUCGAACUUGAAUCCAUAUCUCUUUCCUAAGAUGCAAAUGCAAUGUAAUGCAAUCAUAAUCAAAACACAACAAUAGGGGUUAGUACAAAACAUAAGCAAGCACAGAAAACAAAAAGUACCUAAUCAGGUAGAUACUAGGGGUUUGGAGUGGCUCUACCUAGGUUAAGUUCCUAAGUCUACUAUAUGAGGGUUGGUUCUAAAGUCAAGGUACCCGAACCAACAGAUUCCUCGAUCUUCACCCAUUAUAGGCUCAUACAGACAGAGUUCGGUUCAAGGGAAUACAUUUCCCGAUGGCUGCACGGAGAUGAAAAUCUCACGAAAGCAUAGGUACAGAUGUAUUCCGGAAGCGAUCCACUAUCCUGCACGAAGGUGAAAACCUCAAGAAGGACUAGUUUCUCACUCCCACCUAAAAGGUAAUAAUCGAGCGAUAAUGUAAUGCAACAUGCAGAAAUAUAUCAAAAUUCAAACCAAUAGAGCAAAUACAAACUGAAGUAAGGAUAAUCGUAACAAAAACGGACAAACAUACAACAAAAUGACCGUAGAUUUGAACCAAGCUUUCGGGUGACCUCUAGGCAUUUGGUGUGGUUCUACCUAGGGUAGGCUCUUAAGGCUCAUUAUAUGCGGUUCGGUUCUAAAGUAAGGGUACCUGAACCAGCAGAUUCCUCGAUCCUCACCCAUUAUAGGCCCAUACGGACUGAGUUCAGUUCAGGGGGAUACAUUUCCCUAUGGCCAUGCGGAGAUGAAAAUCUCACAAAUACAUAGGUACAGAUGUAUCCCGGAAGCGAUUUACUAUCCCAUGCGGAGGUGAAAACCUCACGAAGGCGUAGUUUUUCAUUCCCACUUAAAAGGGUGUGACCAACGGUCAUACAAUGCAAUGUGCUAAAAUAUACAUCUAAACGCAGUAAUUAUAAACAAAAUUAUAAAGACUGAAAUAAAAACGAAUGAAAUGCAACACAAGGAUCGUGUGAAGUUUUCAAUCUUUGACAAAAGACAAAAAGUAAUCAACACAUGGCUUGACUCUCGUAUUUUUCCCCAGCGGAGUUGCCAAGCUGUUGACACCAUUUUUUGGAUGAAAAAAAACGGGAUCGACUUGGGUUUUGACGAAAACGAAAAAACGGGAGUCGCCACCAAUCCUUUUUAAUGAGGUGUGAUUGGAUCACCUCAAAAAUUGGUUGUUUCUAAUAAACAGUUUAAUUUUAUUAAAACAACGCUUUUGGUCCAUGAAAUUCAGAAAACGAGUUCGGGAGUCGAUUACGUAUGAGGAAGGAUUAACACCCUCAUAACGCCCAAAAUUGGUACCUAGUUGAUUAGUUAAUGUCUUGAUGUCGAAAAUUGAUAACUUAAAAGAAUUUUAAAAAAUACGAUCCUUGAUUAAAACAUUAAGAGAAUUUUUUUGAGAAAAGAAGCACAUUUCACGUUAAUUGAGAAAUAUACGUCAUAUCCAGUGAAUUAGGAUACAAUGUAUCGAAUUCUCGAUGCGUAAAAAUGCUUGUUUAAAAGACAUUUUAGCUAUCUCGGAUUUAAAAAAAAUAGAUCACGACCAGUAAGUUAGGACGCGAUUUUUUUUUAAUUCCCGAUAUCAUUUAAAACUUGAGUUUAAAAAAAUUCGUGUAAUAAAGUUUAAAAGAAUAUUCAAUUGUUUAAAUCAAAUGAAGAAAUCGCAACCCAAUACGUUAAGGCACAAUUUCUCAAAAUAUUAAACAUUGAAUACUGCAUUUAUUUCGGAAAAAAAAACCUCAUCUCGAGAAAACAACGUGUCACAUCCAAUGCGUUAGGACACAACAUAUUGAAUUCUCGAUAACGAGCUUUUUAUCAUUUUUAAAAGAGUAAUCUCGAUUAUUUAAAUUCAACGAAGAAAAUCAGAACCCAAUAUGUUAGGGCUCGAUUCUCUCGAAGUUCCAAAUACCAAGUAUUAUUCAUAUUUUUAAAAUUUCUUCUUUUUUGAAAUCUAGAUAAAAAUAGGUGUAAUGGAAUAACAAUAAUGAUGAUGUAAUUAAAAUAAUACAAGCAAAGGCUACGAAGUAAAAUAAAUACAGAGACGAACUAAUAUAAUAUACAAUCACAAGCAUAUAAGCAAUAAAAUUAAAACAUUCAUUCUAAAUAAUGAAAAUGUAAAUGAAGAAAUGAACAAAGAAAAUGUAUAAAACUAUAAAAAAAUAAAACAUACAUAUAUGUGUAUAUACAUAAAAUUAUGAAAAUAUAAAAAAUAUAUGUAUGUACAUAUUUUAAAAUCAUUAUAAAAUAUAUAUAUAAGUAAACAUAUACAUAUAUACGUAUGUAACUAUCAUAAAAUAUAAAAAGUAUAUAUAUAGAUACAUAUAUAUAUAUGAGUCAUAGAAUAUAAAUAACAUAUAUAAGAUACAUAUUUAAAAUAUGAAGAAUGUAAGUAUAUUUAUAUUUAUGAAAAUAGAAUACAUAUAUAGACAUGUAUAUAGAUAUGUAUAAAAUUACGAAAUAUAAAAUAUAAGGGUAUUAGUAUGUGUAUAUAUAUAUAUAGACAGAUAGAUAGAUCAUAAAAAAAAUAUGGAUAUUAUAUAUAUAUAUAACAUGAAAACGCAUAUAUGUAUAUAUAACAAAGAUUCCAAAUAAAAAAUAAAUGAACAACUUAAUAAUAACAGUAAUAAUAUUAUUUUAUAAAAAAGGGAAAUAAACAAUAACAAAAGGACUAAAUUAAACAUUGAAACAAGAUUUGGGGUUUAAAAUUACAAAUAAAAGGUUCAAGGGCUGGAAUGAAUCACGCACAAAGUGCAAAGGACUGAUCGGACAAUAUGCCCAAGUCCUGAGGCACAACAUUCGUGCGCUGAUUAAAUUGAAUCAUGAAGAAAUUUCGUGGGGCCAAAUUAAAGAAAAUAAAUAAACAAGCAAAAGGACUAAAUUAAAACAAUCAACAACGAGGAAGGGCCAAGGGCAUAAAUAGCCCACUUCAUGAAAACGCGCGGAUCCCCUCCUACCGGGUCGGGUCGCACGCGGGUCCAGAGGCAGAACGACGUCGUUUCGACGCCCAUAUGCAGUCACAAAACGGCGCCGUUUCUAUUAUGGUAUUUAAGCCCAAUUUUCUACAAAAAAAAAAUUUCAGCAGCUGUUUGUUUUAAGAAAAAUCCAAAAAAAAAAAACUUUCCUCCCCUCUCAAACAUCCGGCCUUUAGGUCUCCUUAGCGCCGCCAUUGCGCCACUGUGGACGGUGGCCGGCAUUGCGCAAAAGGGGCGUUCUAGUCCCGGUUUUGAGACCCGAUCGAAGGCUUUACUCGCAUAGCCUGAAGAUCAAGAGGCAGGACCCCCUAACUCAAACUUUCGGGGCCGAUUUCAACGACGGGCAGACCCCGACGGCAGCGCAACCGAAAGACGAAACGGGUAAGUCCUCCUCUUCCUUUUUAUUUACUAUCUUUAUAUAUAUAUGUAUGUAAACAAAAAGAAAAGAGAACAGAAAAAGAACUUCAAAACUGAAAAGAAAAGAAAAGAAACCUUGAAUCUGUAUUUGUUUCUUUUUUCUCUAUUAAUGCCUUUUUUCUUUACAAAAAUCGGAACCCCCUUUACAAAGGUUUUUCAAUCGGUUUUUGAACCAAAAAUAAUACCCCCCAUUGCUUGUUGCUGUUGUUCUCUUUAUUAUUUGCAGGUGAAGCAGGUGGCGAUGGGACAAGGUGAACGGCGGUGGCAGAAGGCUAGGCUGCAGGAGGCGUACGGCGCUGAGCAAGGCAGGGAACCCUAGGGUUCCCUGAUGCUUGUUUAAUUUUUGGGCCCAAUUGGGCCAAUUUAGAUUUUGGGCAUUGGGCCUUGUGUUUUGGGUUGAAUUUAGCUUGUUAGGCUGGGGUAUUUUGGGUUAAUGGGCCCGGGCAAAUUUGGGCUUCUACAAAUAUAAUAUAUAUAUUAUUCCUUAAUGUGGGAUAAAAGUAGGCAGCUAUCUAUUAAUGAUACGGCUGAUUCUGAAAAGACGGCUGAAAUUGAAUCAAUGAGUUGUUGGUAUUUGCCUGAUGGAAGAACAGGGCCUAAUGUUACGUGGAUUCUGAUCAAGUUUUAAUUUUUCAGUUGUGGGCAUGACUGAUUGUUGCCAUUUGGUUGUUGAUCCUCUGAUUUUACGGUUGACUAUCUUGCUUAUACGUUGCUAUUGGUUGGCGGGUCUCAAGUAUGAAUUUCCAAGCCGGCUUUCAUCCAUAAUUAACUAGGUGUUCCAAUCCAUGGAGUUUAUGGUUUAUUAGUGUAACUGUCCAUUUGGUUAUGGAUUGGUUCUUAAGGUGUUUUGAUGCUUUGUAUGUUACAGUGUUUGCUCAACACCCUUUAAUUCUAAGGAAUUUUAUUCGUUGAGGAAAAAAAAAAUGAGGAUUACUCUGAUAUUUUAUGUUUGGGUUUAUGAAGAUUUUUGUAUGUUUAAUGAAAGAAAGCAAAUUAAAUAGAGACGUACAAGAUCACAUCCAUAGAUCAACAAAAGGGUUUAAUAUUUCCAUAAAAUAUUGUCCCAAAAAGGCCUUUUAAUGAGAAUUGAUCAUAUAAACUAAUGAAGGCCAUUGAAAAUAAAGCUUGUAAAAAAUUACAAAAGGAAUUGAUGAGAAUUUGUUGUGAUAAGAGUUUAUGGCCCUGUAGGAGCCUCUCCCCAAAUCGCUAGCAAAUGAAACAAAAGGAUUAAUGCACUUCGAUAAUGGCAGAUUUAUAUUUGUUACGAAAGGUCAAGAGCCCAAGCCAUCUCAUGCCACAGCUUUCCCUUAAAGCAUUCGUGGCUGAGUCUAGUAUUAAUUUUUAUUUGUAUCUUUUAUAUCCGUUUUAUAAUUCAUAUUUGGGAUUUGUAUUAUGCACUUAAUAUUUCAUUAUUUAUUGUCUAUGUUGCUCAUUGUUGCAAAAAGAAGAACCAAACACAAUGCAUGCAUAAACCAUAAAAAAGAGAAAAAAACAACAUAAGCAACUAAUAAUGAAAUAUAUUAAAAUGAAGAAUGGCAAUUGAUUUCAGAAUUACCCCAAUUUCGGUAAAUAUAUUAAAACAUGUGUCUCUAAUCUUUUUCAAUUUUGAUAUUGAAAAAAUUGGUAUUUCUAAAAAUAUCAGAGUUAUUCAAUCAUUUUCAUUUUUGAAAGUGAUAAGUCAAAGACAAUUAAUUACAACAUUAAUGUUUUUCAUCAAUUAUACAUAAUUUUCUUGGUAUAAUAAUAAAUUUAGCCCUCAAAGUUGACACAUCCUAUCAAUUUGUUAUUGAUUUAACUAAUUUAACCCACAAUAUUUACACAUUUUGUCAAUUUGAUCAUGAUUUAACAUAUUUAACCCGUAAUAAUUACACAUUCUAUCAACAUUUACACAAAAUAUAUAAUCAUCAAUGAUUAAAUUUAUUUUUCUACUAAUCAAAAUUAUGUAUAAUUAACAGAAACUACUAGCGCUUGAUUAAUUGUUCAUGGUUACUUUCAAAAUUGAUAAGGAUUAAAUUACUCUAUUUCUUUUAGAGUGACCAAUUUGUUCAAUAUCAAAAAGAUAUUUUUUAUUUAUUUUAAUUUCAUAGGUAAGAAAAUCUCAAAAAAGAAAAUCUUUGAAAUAAAAAAAAGUAUGUUUUAUAUAAUUAUUUAAAGUUACUCUCACAUUAUUUUUUACCCAUUCAAAGCUAGCAAGUCUUUUAUGUACAAAUGGUGUAGCUCUGCAAUUUGGAUUAACAUGUUGGUGACCUCCAUGUGAAGUGAAAGAAAAUAGACAAUGUCACACAAUUAUUAUUUUUCCCUCCGUACCCCUAUGCCACCAAAGAAAGUUGAAUUAUCAAGGCACAAAAGCACUAAGGAGUAGGAGCUAGAAAAAGAGGGGCAUGAAAAUAAAAAGAGUCAAAUUAUUAUUUGACGGAAACGUUAAAUUUUGAAAUACAUAUAACAAUCCACGUGUGUUUCAUAUAUAUCUUUUUAAUUUUUAUGAUUUUUUUUGAAAUUUUGAUUUUUGAAUACUAUUAGAAAAUUAUUUGGUACAUUGUUAGUGGAGUUUUUAAACUCCACCAACAAAAUCAAUGGGUUGACAAGUGUCUUACAGAGGUAAAUAAAAUAUUAAAAAAUAAAUAUUUUAAAAAAAAGAUAUAUGUCAAUUUUUUAAAGUUACUUGUGAAAUAAAAAUAAUAUAUUAUCAGCGUACCAAAUACUCACAUUUUUAAUUAAGAUUUAAAAAUAAAAAAUAUAUAGUUACUAAAAUGAAUGGGUUGCAAAUUGAGAAAUUUGAUAUUGAAUAUUAAAAUUUUCUUAAAAAGAAGACAAGAUACAAAAGUUAGUGACUUAUUUGAUUUUAUUUUAAUUUUUAAAUUUAUGCAUUUUAUUAUGAAUUUUUAUUCUUUGUGUACUCUGUAAAAUUUGUCUGAAAUUUCUAAUUUUUAAUUUUUCACAUGAGUUUAAGAUAGAAAAAAUUUACUCUUAGGAUUGGUGAAACAAGGGUUACAAUCGAUACAAGAGUUCAGUUUACGAUAUGUAGAUGAUUUUGUUCUUCGAAAUAUUGUCUACAGGUAGGAUAUCGGAAAUCUAUUAUCAUAGUUUUGUUAAAAGGUCGAGAGUUCUAUUUUGGCCUAAGACUCUAGGAAUUCUAUUAUCGAUAUUCUAAUUAUGAUCAUGAUCUGUAAAAGAUAUGAGUAACAUGUGAUAUGUAAAUGAAGAGUUUUAUGGUAUGAUAAGCCAUAAAUUAAGUGAAAAUGUAAGGAAGUGUAUGAUUAUAUGAAAGACAAAAAUAAUUAAUUUAGUUUAAUGAUCUGUAAAAUUGAAAAGUGAAAUACAUGAAUUAUAUAAGAGAAUGUUCAUGAUCGACAUGCGGUGUGUAAAUGAUAAGGAAAAAAUUAUAUGACCAAAAUAGUAGAAAUGAAUAAUGAAAUUAGUUAAAUACUUUGUAAGUUCAAAAGUAGGUUGCAUUAAAUAAAUAGAUUUAUUAGUCAGAAUAGUAAUCAGUCCGGCAUGCACGCUCUCUUCAGUGAGAAGGUGAUUUAUUUCAUUACUCUUACACUCUUGCAUAAAUCUGUUGAUUUGUCCUUGUUUUUUUUUCUGCCUUCAUUACUUGAGCUAACCUUAUUAUGGGCAUGGAUUAUAUAUAUAUAUGAAUAGGUUGCAGUUCCUAGCUUGGAAAAGCUGAAUAUCUGGGACUUGAAUGUGAAGAUGAUAUUUUAUAAUGACCUAGCACCAGGUUCCUUUAAAAAUCUACGAGAAAUAAUCGUUUGUGGAUGUGGGAGCUUGAAAAAUCUAUUUCCAGUAUGAAUAGCCAAAGAUCUUCCACAACUUGAACUUUUAUGCAUCAGGGGUUGUCGAGUUGAGGAGAUUGUAUCGAAAGGGGAUGGAGUGGAGGAGCAGCCUGUGAGGUUUGAGUUUCCGCAAGUAUCUUUCCUUGAGGUUAGAUGGGUAGCAAAGCUCAAAUGUUUCUAUGAAGGGCAACAUACAAUAGUCUGGCCGAUGUUGAAAAAAUUGGAAACAGAUAGUUCUGCUUUGCUAAAGAUAGUGGCAUGGGAACAUCUUAGAUUAAUCCAAGGAAAUGAGGAGCCAGUUUUGUUGGGUGAAGAGGUAUGUAUAUCAUUACAAAUAUAUUUCAUUUUAUGAUUUAAACCACUGCCACAAGCAUCUCAAGUUGAAAUAUGCCACGAUCAUGCAUUUCUAAUUAUUAUAUUUUGUUUGAUUUUUUUUUUUUGAAUUUUUUGUUACAUUUAUAAUUAUUUUUUCAAUUUUUUUAAAAACAAGACUGAAUAAACAUAAUAGGUAAAUAUUGAGUGAAUGCAGUUCAAUUUGAUAAAAUGUAUAAAUAUUGAGGGUUAAUUUUAUUAUUAUGUAAAAAAAAUACUAAAAAUAAAAAUAAAAAUAUUUUAUCUGUUUUUAAGUAACCAAAAUGAAAAUAUUUUAACACUAAGUGACUAUAUAUGUAAUUUACCCUGCAUUUAAGUAGUGGAUCGAAACUAAAUAGGACCUUUAAUUUGCUAAAAAAAAAUUGCCACUCAAUAAAAAAAUCAAAACUUUAAAAGUUAAUUACACUAGACAUCUCAAACUAUGACCUUCAUUUUAAAUUAGUCCUAAAAUUUAAAACUAUUGAGGUUAUAUCAAUUACGUCUUUCUGUUAUUAAAUUCGUUAAUUUAACCAUCAAAUUAAAUCAGUGUAAUAUUUUAAAACCUUGGUGUUUUAUCUCCACUGUUCUGCUUAUAUUUUUUAUCAUAGAAAAUAAAUAUAUAUAUAUAUAACAAUGGUUGUUUAUCUAUUUUAAUCUAGAUUUGCUACUCUUCUUUCGGCUUUUAUGUUCUGUAAUUUUUAUCAGUUUUAAUUCUCAAUGUAUUGUGUUUUCUUAAAACAAAAAAUUCAUCUAUUCUGGAUUUGUUUGAUUUAAUAUUGAUUUUGUUGGGAUUUAAUCAUCAAAAUCAAACACUAAAAUUGUAAAUUUUUUUUUGUUUGUUUGUUUGUUUAAAGCAUAUACAUCAACAUUGAGCCUAACUUGUUUAUAUUUAAUUGGUUUCCAAGGUCAUUCCCAAAUUAGAGGAACUUGAGUUACUAAAUUUUGGUGAUAUGGACCAAUUUCCACCAAACUUGUUUCAACAUAUUAAAGUUUUUGCAGCGAGUGAUGGCUCUCCAUUUUCUAUAUUUCCUUUCGUCCGAAGAUUCUACAAUCUGGAAAGACUUGAGUUCACUUGUUUAGAUUUCAAACAUGUAGUCCCUUGUAAAGGAGACGCCGGGACUCUCCCACCAAUUAGAAAUCUGGAAUUGUUUUCUGCCAGAAAUCUUAAUCAUAUUUGGAGGAAAGAUUCGGAGCUUGACCAUAUUCUUUCUAAUCUUCAAACACUCACAGUUCAUAGUUGUGAUGAUUGGAUAAAUAUUAGAGUCUUCUCAUCAUCUUUGCAAAAUCUCACAAUUGAAUGUGUCAUUUUGUAAAAUGAUGACAAACUUAGUCACACCCUCAGUACUUAAGAAUCUUGUGCAAUUAACGACAAUAAAGGUAGAAUACCGCACUAAAAUGACAGAAGUAGUGGGAAACGAGGGAGACUGUCAUCAGACAAUAGUUGUUAGUAAAUUGAAAUGUUUACAACUAUGCAAUUUGAAGAGCCUCACAAGCUUUUGUCCACGGUAUUACAGCUUCGAGUUUCCUUGUUUGGAAGAAUUAGUUGUGGAAGAUUGUCCUAAGUUAAAGAUCUUUUCUGAGGGAGUUUUAAGCACCCCACAAUUACAGAGAAUAAAACAGUCGAGUUACCGUGAGAAAUGGAGUUGGACAAGUGACCUUAAUACCACCAUAAAACAGUUAUACACAGAAAAGGUACAAAGUUAAUAAGUUCAUAAUGCUACCUAGAUUCCUCGUGUCCUAAUACAAUUAAUUUUAUUACUACUUCAAUAACCAUUGAAGAGUGUUAAUCGUUACUUUGUUAUUGUCUGCAUUUUCUAUUUAUGAUUGCUAUCUAGUGGAAUAAUAUCAGAUUAAUUUUUAGGAUGGACUCUAUAACCCAUAUGAUUUCAACAUCUCUGACACAUUUCCGGAGUCGAUAGAAAUAUGGACUAGAAACCCUCAAGAAAUUUUGGGCAUCAAAAACCUUAGCAGCCUGCAGUUUAUAAAUGUAGCAGCUUUAAGUACAUAUUUACUCCGUCUAUGCUUUUGGGCCUCAAUCUACUACGAAGGAUAAAAGUGAGAGAAUGCAGUUCAAUGGAACAAGUAGUUAGGGAGGUGGAGGAAGCAAUGACACAUAAAUUUACAUUUCUUUCGCUACGCUCCGUAACAAUUGAGUCGUGUUCCAACUUGACAAAUUUCCAUUUGGGAAGUCAAGCUCUUGAAUUUCCACAGCUGUUGAAAAUCACGAUAGCUGAGUGUCCAAAAAUGACUGCAUUUUCUUCCUCAGUUUCAAGAGAGAGUGGUGAUGCAAGCGAAAACGUGGUUGGCAAAGGGGGCAUCUAUGAUAACACUGCAACUUUUUUCAGCAAUAAGGUAAGUUUGGUAUUCAAUAUUUAUCUGCACAACUUAUUUCACAUUUUCUUUUGAUUUGAUCAACAUGAGUGUGUCUGGUCUACAUAUCCAUACUAGUGCUACACCUUGUCAAAAUUUAAUAUAAUAAAAUCCAUAAAAAUAUUAAUAAAUAAGAUGAUGUUUAAAAAAAAAUUGGAGUUUAAAGUAUAAAUAAAUAUAUAAAAUAAGAAUUGAAGGAAAAACUUAAAGUGAAAUACUAAAAAACAAUAAGAAUUUAAGAGAAGUUUAAAAUUAAAUAGUAAUAGACAAUAAAUAAUAAAAUAAUAAUAGAAAAAAGAAAACUAAUCUUCCUUCAUUUUAAUUUGUGGGUGUAUAAGAAGGAGAUAAUUGUGGAAGACCUUCACAAAGGUCAUUUGAGAUCAAAGGAGAAGAAGCCUGAAAACAAAACGUGAGGAGUUUGAAGAAGAAAGAACCAAAUAUAUAGAGGAGAAUUGAAGUGAGAGAGUGGAUGGGUUUUAUUUAAAGAUUUAUUGCUUUUUUUUUAAUUUCAUAUAUAGAAAAAAUCAUUGAAAGAAAAAAAAGUUUAAUAUAAUUAUUUAAAUUUACUUGUCGGGUUUUUAUAAAAGUAACUCAAUUUUUUGAUUAAUUAUGAAAAUGACUCAAUUUAAAAAUAAUGUACAUAAAUUAUUCGAUUUCUAUAGUGUUUGUCGGUGCCUCCAAACACAAUGGCGGCACCGACCUACCAUCAUCGAUCAAUGAUUGUAUUUUAUUUAAAAAAUAAUAGUUUUUUAGUAGUGUUGUUGGAAAAAUUGGCGAAAUCAGACUGAAGUGUGAUUAUAUAAAAUGUUCAUGGACUUAAUGAAGUAAUUACCCUUUUUUAAUUAGCGGAAAAAGGGAUCUUCCCGUGAAUAUGUGGCACCAAAUUAAAUGAUUUUCAUCUUUUGGUCUAUUUGCAUGUUAGGUCUAUCCCCUUUUGAAAUUAAAUUUAAAUAACCCUUAAGAAAUAUAAGAAUAACAAAAAUAAAUCAUUCUCAUUUAUUUUAUUUUAUUUUAAAAAAAUAAACUUAAAAAAUUAUAUAAAAUUCUUAUUUAAAUUACCCAAAUAUAUCCCUCACACAAUUUCCUCAAGUUUAUCUAAAUUCAAGCAUUUUCAAUUUAUUCCCUAGCAUAUUUAAAUUUAGAUAAACUUAAGGAAAUUUUUUAAGAAAUAUAUUUGGGUAAUUUGAAUUAGAAUUUUAUAUAAUUUUUUAAGUAUUUUUUCAAAAAAAAAAAGGGAGGAAUUGGUUGAAGAACAUCAAGGGAGGAGUCAGAUGUUUUUCUCUGAACUAGAAUUGCUGUGGCUAAAAGACCUUCCCAAACUCACAAGUUUCUGCUUUGAGAAUUGCUUUGAAUUCCAAUGUUUGACAGUUUUGGAACUAACAAAUUGUCCAUUGCUAAAAACAUUCAUCUCUAAAUGUGUACCCGGAGAUGAACCUCAAAUUGGCCAACAUUUACGAGCAAGUAACUUGGAGGUUCAUAACUCAUCUCUCCUCAAUGAAAAGGUAAUUUCUUCAAGGAUCCUCCUUUUAAUUUAUGUUACUUCGAUUGAUUUUAUUCAUUUGAAAUUCUUUCUUUUUCAUACAUAUUUCAGUUAUUAACCUAAUGAAAUGAUUUAUUAGGUUGUUUUCCCUAGUUUGGCGAAGCUGCAGAUUCAAAAUUGUGAUUCGUUAGAAGAAAUUAUUGAGCUGCAAGGACUCAUUGCUGAUGAGUCACAGUCAACAUCAGCUGCUCAAUCUAUUGUGGCUGAAGCAGUGACGACCAAGUUUGUAUUUCCCAAACUACAAAACCUUGGAUUGGAUAAGGUGCCAAGAUUGAAAAGUUUCUACUCUAGGAUGCAUACCACCCAGUGGCCUUCAGUGAAACAAAUGAGCAUUAUUGAAUGCCCCAAAGUACAGAUAUUUACUCGACAAUGUCCUGUGAGUCAGGUUGGAAUCUCAAACCAACAACCCUUGUUUUUCGUCAACGAGGUAAACUCACUAGCAGUUUCAUAUUCCAUGUUCAUUACUGGAGAUUACUUAUAAAAUGCCUUUUAAAUUUAUGAGAAAGAAAAUGGAAAUUAUAUUAAUUUUGUAGUCUAGUUCUUACGAAUUGAAAACUCUUUGAUCGAUGUUUAAUAUAUUCGUUCCCAUCCAGGACACUUUCCCUGUAUUAGAAGAACUAACACUGAAGACGAAUGAUAUGGUGAGGGGGAUAUGUGAUGGACAACUCUCAUUGCAGUGUUUCCAAAACCUUAAGCAUCAUAACCUCCAUUUCUUUCCCGAGACAUCCACUACUCUUCCGUAUUCCUUCAUUCGGUCUCUACCAAUCCUUCAUAAGCUUGUUAUAGACAAUGCAAGAAACUUAAAACAAUUGAGCCGUGUUCCAACUUGACAAAUUUUGUUGAAAAUGGACUGUAAAGCAACAAAGGAGCAGCUUGGUGCAUUUUUGUUUCUUUAUUUUGUUUAUUUUGUUUACUUUUAAUAUUUGUAAUCUUUUGUAAUUGAAACAAGUUGGUGUGCAACUUGGUUUCAUAAUGAUAGCUAUAAUUGAAACAACAUAAUGAUAGCUAAUAUGCUUUCAUAAUGAUAGCUAAUAUGCUUUCAUCUUUUUAAUUAUUAAUUGGCAAGUUGCCAAAUUUAGUGGAAAUUGUUAGGUAAACAUUCCACUUUUGUAACUCUAUAUUUUGAAAUGAAAUGAAAAUGGUAUUAUCAUUCGGUUUCAAUCAAACAUAUUUUUUUUCCUUUUGCUUGUUAACCGAGAGCUUAUGCUCUUGAUGCUUUGUGUUUUUCUGCUUGCUGUUUGAAGAGCUUAUGCUCUUAGUGUUUCAUUGUUUGGUUGUUGCUGCCAUUUUAUCCAACAAAUGGUAAUCAGAGCAUCCUAUCUUUGAGGACCUUUGUGGUUUUGUUUUAGUUUUCAAAACAAAGUCAGUUUUGUUUUUGCAAAAUCAGUUUUCAGCAGCAUGAGUUUUUCUCCUCCUCCACCACCAGUUUUUGUUGGAGACAACUACCAUAUUUGGAUUGUCAAGAUGAAGACAUAUCUUCAAGCACUUGACCUCUGGAGUGCAGUUGAGAGUAAUGUUGAGCCAAAACCAUUAAGAGCAAAUCCUACCAUUGCUCAGAUCAAGCAACAUGGGGAGGAACGAGCCAAGAAACACAAAGCAAUAGCCUGUUUGUAGAAUGGAGUGUCAGAUGUUAUCUUCACUCGCAUUAUGGCCUGUGAUUCCCCUAAGCAGGCAUGGGACAGGCUUAAAGAGGAAUUUAUGGGAUCGGAUAAGACCAGGCAGCAACAGGUCAUUAACCUGAUAAGGGAAUUUGAAAACUUAAAAAUGAAAGAGUCAGAAACUAUUAAGCAAUAUUCUGACAGAAUUAUGGCAACAGUGAACAAUAUAAGACUCCUAGGAGAAGAUUUCAAUGACAGCAGAGUGGUUGAGAAGGUGAUUACAACUCUUCCAGAGAGGUUUGAAUUAAAAAUCUCCUCAUUGGAGGACUCAAGGGACCUUACAAAGAUUUCUUUGUCUGAAUUGGUCAAUUCUCUCUAUGCACUCGAGCAGAGGAGAUCUACCAGACAGGAGGAGAACCCUGAAGGAGCUUUCCAAGCAAGGACCAGAGAAGGAUCUAGCUUAAACUAGAGAGCUAAGAAACCUUGGCUUGAAAGAAAGGACAAAGCAAGGAGAGAAGCAUAUAGAGAAGCAGGCAGAAGGAGGUUUCCACCAUGUUUUCACUGCAAAAAGACCAAUCACCUGGAGAAGUUUUGCUGGACCAGACCAGACAUACAGUGCAAAAGCUGUAAAAAGUAUGGCCAUCAUGAGAAAAUUUGCAGGAGUCAUGAUAAGGCACAAGUACAGCCAGUUCAAGCCAAAACUACUGAGGAUGUGCAAGCUCAGGAGGAGCAUGUGUUUACUGCUUCAUGUUUUGCAGUUAACAGCAAGUGCAGCUGGCUUGUGGAUAGUGGUUGCUCACACCACAUGGCUGAAAAUGUAAGCCUUUUCAAGAACCUUGACAGGAGCUAUGUCUCAAAAGUCAGGAUAGGUAAUGGCAACCUGAUUGAGGCAAAAGGCAAAGGUGAUGUGGUGAUUCACACUGGUUCAGGUAACAAAGUUAUUUCUGAUGUACUCUAUGUGCCAGAAAUAGACCAAAAUUUGCUAAGUGUAGGCCAGUUAGUUAGGAAAGGCUAUUCACUAGUUUUCAAGAAUGAUUCUUGUGUUAUAAGUGAUGCCUAUGGUAGGGAGAUAGUCUCGGCACCUAUGGCAGACAAAUGCUUCAUGUUGGAUGUUAGUCAACUUGACAAAAGAGCUUACACAAGCUCAGUGGAUGAUACUGAUCUUUGGCAUAAGAGAUUUGGCCAUGUUAACCUCAAAUCACUUGAUUUGCUGCACAAAAUGAAUAUGACAGAGGACAUGGUGAAGGUAGACACAAGUGAAGGUGUUUGUGAGGUGUGUCAGCUUGGUAAGCAGACCAGGCUACCAUUUUUAGCUAACCAGGCAAGGAGGGCUCGAGACAGACUUGAGCUGGUGUACUCAGAUGUCUGUGGACCAAUGAAGACACCUUCAUUGAAUGGCAGUAAGUACUUUGUUUUGUUUAUUGAUGAUUUGACCAGAUGUUGUUGGGUGUAUUUCAUGAAACAGAAGUCGGAAGUGUUUGACAUGUUUGUGAAGUUCAAGGCUUGGGCAGAAAAUCAAGCAGGCUGCAAGAUUAAGGCUCUAAGGACAGACAAUGGCACAAAAUACUUGUCUGAGAAAUUCCAGAAGCUAUGUGAGCAGGCUGGAAUCCAUCAUCAGUUGACUACAGUCUACAUUCCUCAACAAAAUGGAGUGAGUGAGAGAAAGAACAGGACUGUGAUGAAUAUGACAAGGUGCUUGCUGUUCCAAAGCAAACUNNNNNNNNNNNNNNNNNNNNNNNNNNNNNNNNNNNNNNNNNNNNNNNNNNNNNNNNNNNNNNNNNNNNNNNNNNNNNNNNNNNNNNNNNNNNNNNNNNNNNNNNNNNNNNNNNNNNNNNNNNNNNNNNNNNNNNNNNNNNNNNNNNNNNNNNNNNNNNNNNNNNNNNNNNNNNNNNNNNNNNNNNNNNNNNNNNNNNNNNNNNNNNNNNNNNNNNNNNNNNNNNNNNNNNNNNNNNNNNNNNNNNNNNNNNNNNNNNNNNNNNNNNNNNNNNNNNNNNNNNNNNNNNNNNNNNNNNNNNNNNNNNNNNNNNNNNNNNNNNNNNNNNNNNNNNNNNNNNNNNNNNNNNNNNNNNNNNNNNNNNNNNNNNNNNNNNNNNNNNNNNNNNNNNNNNNNNNNNNNNNNNNNNNNNNNNNNNNNNNNNNNNNNNNNNNNNNNNNNNNNNNNNNNNNNNNNNNNNNNNNNNNNNNNNNNNNNNNNNNNNNNNNNNNNNNNNNNNNNNGCUAGAUAAAAGAGCUCAAGCAGGGAUCCUGAUCGGCUAUAGCUUGGUUAAAAAGGGCUACAGAAUCCUAGAACCUGCUACAAACAAGAUAUUGGUUAGUAGGGAUGUUGUUUUCAAUGAAAAAGGACACUGGAAUUGGGAGAAGGCUGAACCAGAGGCAGUGGCUGAAGAUCUGGCAUUGGACCAAGUUGAAAAUGAUAAAAACACACCUGAAAUGGAUGUAGAUGAUGUUCUAAUCAGAGGCACUCGAUCACUGGCUGAUGUUUAUGAAAGAGCACAAGUGGCUACUGUUGAACCAAGUUGCUUUGAAGAAGCAGAAAGACAGAAGGACUGGAAGCAAGCUAUGAUUGAAGAAAUCAGGAUGAUUGAAGAAAUCAGGAUGAUUGAAAAGAAUCAGACCUGGAGUCUGGUUGAUAGACCAACAAACAGGAAGAUUAUUGGUGUCAAAUGGGUUUAUCGAGUAAAGAACAAUGCUGAUGGUAGCCUAAACAAGUUAAAGGCUAGAUUGGUUGUGAAAGGCUUCAGUCAAAGGUAUGGAUCAGACUACCUGGAAACCUUUGCACCAGUGGCUAGGCUAGACACUAUUAAACUGCUAGUUGCCUUAGCAGCACAAAAAUAGUGGCUGAUACACCAACUUGAUGUAAAAUCAGCAUUUCUGAAUGGAUUCCUUGAAGAGGAGAUUUAUGUGGAGCAACCUCAAGGUUUCAAGGUGUCUGGCAAGGAACAAAUGGUGUACAAACUCAACAAAGCCUUGUAUGGCUUGAAACAGGCUCCAAGGGCCUGGUAUAGCAGAAUUGAUGGAUAUCUGACCAGUUUGGGAUUCGAGAGAAGUCUAAGUGAGCCAACUCUCUAUGUUAAAUUGACUAGUACUGAAAUUUAGCUCAUUGUGUCAAUAUAUGUCGAUGACUUACUGGUGACAGGAGGAGAUCGAGAGAUGCUAAUCAGCUUUAAAGCUAAAAUGCAAUAGCACUUUGAGAUGUCUGACUUGGGAUUGAUGUCUUACUUCUUAGGCAUGGAAGUAACUCAAGCUGAAAAUGGAAUUUGGCUUAGUCAAAAGACCUUUGCUAUAAAGGUUCUCAACAAAUUCUCAAUGGAGAAUUGCAAAGCAACUAGCAUACCAAUUGCUGUUGGAGAAAAACUCUCGAGCCAAGAUAAGCAUGAAAAGGUCUGUGAAACAACCUAUCGAAGUCUAGUUGGAUGUUUGUUGUAUUUGACUGCUACCAGACCUGAUAUAAUGUAUGCUGUGAGUCUACUCUCAAGGUUCAUGCAUUGCCCAAAUGAAAGUCACUUUAGAGCUGCAAAAAGAGUUCUAAGAUACAUCAAGGGAACUUUGUCCUAUGGAAUGCAAUUUACCAAGGCUGAGAACUUAAAGUUAGUUGGCUAUUGUGAUAGUGAUUGGGCAGGUUCUUUGGAUGAUAUGAAGAGCACAACAGGUUAUGCAUUCAACCUAGGCUCUGGUAUGAUUUGCUAGAGUUCAAAGAAACAGGCAGUAGUAGCACAAUCUACUGCAGAGGCUGAAUAUAUAGCUGCUGCAGCAGUUAAUCAAGCCAUAUGGCUUAGAAAAAUCUUAGCUGAUCUUAACCAUGAGCAGAAUGAAGCAACAGAGAUAAUGUGUGACAACCUAUCUGCUGUUGCAAUUGCAAAGAACCCUGUCUUUCAUGGAAGGACCAAGCAUUUCAACAUCAAACUUCAUGCAGUUCGAGAAAUGGAGCAAGCUCAUGUUAUCAAAUUAGUUCAUUGUAGUUCUGAAGAGCAAACUGCUGACAUUUUGACAAAGGCACUCAGUGUUUCCAAGUUUCAACACCUAAGAACUAAGAUGGGAGUUUGCAACAUGCUAACCAAGGAGGAGUGUUGAAGCAAUGGUCAGCAUGCAGCAACCAAGACUGUCGAGGGCACUACAUGCAGAAGCUGCAAGUUCAUCAAGUCAGCAAGCUGUGUUUUUACUUAUUUUGUAUUUUUAAGUUAAUGCAAUGUAACUUAGUUGUAUUUCAACUAUGUUAGGUUUAUAUUUAAUGUAAAACUGAUGGUGAUUGAGCUGAUUAAUCAGCUUUGUUGAUUUGUACAAGUUAAUUAGCUCAAGUUACUAAGUUUGUUAGUGGUAGUAGGUGAAGUUUAGGUUAACCUACUGUUUUGUCAAGUUGUAAGCUUGUUUAUGUAUUGGCUUUGAGCCAUAUUCAGUUUUUUGAAUGAAUUCAACAAGUUUUCAUCCAUAUGCUCUCCGUUUUUAGUUUUGCUUCAAAAUCUAUUUGAGUUUUCUGCAUUGUUUCUGCUGCAAGUCACGAGACUUGCUCAACAAGCAUUCUGUUGAAGCUUGCUGCUGUUGCACUUAGAUCCAACAAAACUACAUAAAUAUGUGAGUCCAACUUAAUUAGAAACAAGCAUAUUCCCCUGUCCAAUCGCAUCAAUAAUAAUCAUUCAACAAUCAUUAUAGUAUAUAUGAAAGCUCCAAGUUGUAUAGAAAAAGGCUUUUUUCUUUAAAAAAAAAAACAAAUUUUGCUUUAGGUUAGAUUUAUGCUGCUGAACAUUUCAUCUAAGUAAAAAUGGUCCACGUCUGCUAGCUAUAUUUAUCAGUUUAUAAAUCUUCAUACUCAUCUACUCUUUUUGAUUGUGUUUGUAAGUAAAGAAGGAAGAGUUAUGAUGUUAUCUUGUAAUGAAAUUUAUGUCAACAGGUUGUCAUUCCUCGUUUGGAGGAUCUGGAAUUGUCCUCCAUUAACAUUCAUAAGAUAUGGCACCACCCAUCUUCCCCAUCUGUCGGAUGCCUAAAUUCCUUGCAAGUGAAGAGGUGUCACAAUUUGAAAUACCUGUUCCCGUCUUUCUUGGUAAAAGAUCUUGUGCAACUCCGACGCCUUGAAAUUUUGGACUGUAAUAUGAUGGAACAAGUAAUAUUCACGGAUGGAUUGGUUGAAGAACAUCAAGGGAGGAAUCAGAUGCUUUUCUUUGAACUAGAAUUGCUGUGGUUAAAAGACCUUCCCAAACUCACAAGUUUCUGCUUUGAAAUUUGCUUUGAAUUCCAAUGUUUGACAGAUUUAGAACUAACAAAUUGUCCAUUGCUAAAAACAUUCAUCACUAAAUGUGUAUCCGAAGGUGAACCUGAAAUUGGCCAACAUGUACAAGCGAGUAACUUGGAGGUUCAUAACUCAUCUCUCCUCAAUGAAAAGGUCAUUUCUUUACGGGUUCUCCUUUUAAUUUAUGUUGCUUCGAUUGAUCUUAUUCAUUUGAAGUUCUUUCUUUUCCAUGCAUAUUUCAGUUAUUAACCUAAUGAAAUGAUUUAGCAGGUUGUUUUCCCUAGUUUGGAGAAGUUGCGGAUUCAGAAUUGUGAUUCGUUAGAACAAAUUAUUGAGCUGCAAGGAGUCAUUGCUGAUGAGUCACAGUCAACAUCAGCUGCUCAGUCUAUUAUGGCUGAAACAGAGACGACCAAGUUUGUAUUUCCCAAACUAAUAAACCUCGGAUUGGAUAAGGUGCCGAGAUUGAAAAGUUUCUACUCUAGGAUGCAUACCACCCAGUGGCCUUCAUUGAAACAAAUGGACAUUAUUGAAUGCCCCAAAGUACAGCUAUUUACUCCACAAUGUCCUGAGAGUCAGGUUGGAAUCUCAAACCAACAACCCUUGUUUUGCGUCAACGAGGUGAGCUCACUAACAGUUUCAUACUCCGUGUUCAUUACUUGAGAUUACCUAUAAAAUGCCUUUUGAAAUAACUAAUAUUCUUACCUUCCUUUUAAAUUUAUGAGAAAGAAAAUGGAAAUGAUAUUCAUUCUGUAGUCUAGUUCUUACCAAUUCAAAACUCUUUGAUCAAUGUUUAAUAUAUUCGUUGCCAUCCAGGACACUUUCCCUGUAUUAGAAGAACUGACACUGAAGACGAAUGAUAUGGUGAAGGGGAUAUGUGAUGGACAGCUCUCAUUGCAGUGUUUCCAAAACCUUAAACUUCUUAACCUCCAAUUCUUUCGUGAGGCAUCCACUACUCUUCCAUAUUCAUUCAUUCGGUCACUACCAAUGCUUCAUAAGCUUGUUAUAGACAAUGCUUCCAUUUGUCAAAUAGUACAAUCUGAAGGACUCAGCGACGAGGAAAGGCAUACAUCAGCAUUCUAUCAGCUAAAGGAAUUAAGUUUGUUUCAACUUCCAGAGUUGACGUUAAAGACUUUUGAACCAUCUUUGCUGUCUUUCAAAAAUCUAACAACACUGGAAGUUUCAAGAUGCCAUGGGUUCAUCAAUUUAGUCGCAUGCUCUACAGCUAAGUGCCUGAGGCUACUAGAAAGAUUGAGUAUAGAUGAUUGUGAGAAGAUAGAGGAAAUCAUAGCGUGUGAGGCUGAAGAAAUUCAAGGCGGCAUUGUAUUUCCCAAACUGAAGUAUUUGCAGCUAAGUUGUCUGCCAUGUCUAGCAAACUUUUCCUUGGCCCAUCACUCGUUGGAAUUCCCAGUCUUGCUAAUGGUGAUGGUGACAAAGUGCCCCCAAAUGAGGAGUUUCUGCCAAGGAGAUUUAAGCACACCAAGGCUGGAACAAAUGCACUUAACAAGAGAUGAGGAAGGUGAACUGCAGUGGAAGGGCGACCUUAACACUACCAUAAAACAUAUGUUCGAUGAAAUGGUACAAAUCAUUUAAAGGAUUUAAAUUCAUGUGUUUUUACAUACAUACAUACAUACAUACAUACAUACAUACAUACAUACAUACAUACAUACAUACAUACAUACAUACAUACAUACAUACAUACAUACAUACAUACAUAGUUAAUUGAACAAUUCUUGGUUUGUUAUGAUCAUGCACAGAAUGUGCAAAAUUCUGAGGUGACGGAGGUUACUGAUCGGUCGCCCAAGCUGGAAUAAGGAAAUAAGUUUGGGUGCGUAUGCGAAAUGCUCAAUUUCGUUUGAAUUCAAAACAAAUGGUAAUUCAUCUUCUAUUUUCAUCAUGGCUUAACUAAUGCUUUAUAAAGUGACCAUAGAGACGCCCUUUUCAUUGUAGGUUGAGUUGCUCUACUGAAGUACGAGGCUGCAACUUUUGGUAAAAUGUGAAAGGUUAUUUCAGUUUUUGUAAAACUACUAUUUGAACUGUUCCAUUUCACAUUAUACCCUCAAAAUUGAAUUUCAAGUGCAUCAUGCAUGGCAUUGGGCUACAAACAUGUAAACUUUUACUAGUAAGGUUGACCCCUGUUUUAAGGAUUUGCCAACUUUUGAUGGUUACCAUAUCAAUGUCAGCUUAAAGCUAUCAAGUAUCUUUACAAAUAUAAUAUAUAUUAUUCCUUAAUGAGGGAUAAAAGUAGGCAAUUAUCUACUAAUGAUACGGCUGAUUCUGAAAAGACGGCCGAAAUUGAAUCAAUGGGUUGUUGGUAUUUGCCUGAUGGAAGAACAGGGCCUAAUGUUAAGUGGAUUCUGAUCAAGUUUUAAAUUUUCAGUUGUAGGCUUUAUUGAUUGUUGCCAUUUGGUUGUUGAUCCUCUGAUUUUACGAUUGACUGUCUCGCUUAUACGUUGCAAGGUUGGCAGGUCUCAAGUAUGAAUUUCCAAGCCGGCCUUCAUCCAUAAUUAACCAAGUGUUCCAAUCCAUGGAGUUUAUGGUUUAUGGUUUAUUAGUGUAACUGUCCAUUUGGUUAUGGAUUGGUUCUUAAGGUGUUUUGAUGCUUUGUAUGUUACAGUGUUUGCUCCAAGCAACACGCUUUAAUUUCUAAUGAAUUUUAUUUGUUGAGGGAAAAAAAUAUGAGGAUUAAUCUGAUAUUUUUAUUUGUAUAUUUUAUAUCCAUUUUAUAAUUCAUAUUUGAGAUUUGUAUUAUGCCCUUAAUAUUUCAUUAUUUAUUGUCUAUGUUACUCAUUGUUGCAAAAAAGAAAAAAAAACAAACACAGUGCAUGCAUAAACCAUAAAAAAAAACAUAAGCAACUAAUAAUGAAAUAUAUUAAAAUGAAGAAUGGCAAUUGAUUUCAGAAUUACCCCAAUUUCGGUAAAUACAUUAAAACAUAUGUCUCUACUCGAUUUCAAUUUCGAAAUUGAAAAAAUUGGUAUUUCUAAAAAUAUCUAAGUUAUUCAAUUAUUUCUAUUUUUGAAAGUGAUAAAUUAAGGACAAUUAAUCACAACGUUAAUAUUUUUCAUCAAUUAUACAUAGUUUUCUUGGUAUAAUGAUAAAUUUAGCCCUCAAAGUUUACACAUUCUAUCAAAUUGUCAUCGAUUUAAAAAAUUUAACCCACAACAUUUACACAUUUCGUCAAUUUAAUCAUGAUUUAACAUAUUUAACCCGUAAUAAUUACACAUUCUAUCAACAUUUACGCAAAAUAUACAAUCAUCAAGGAUUAAAUUUAUUUUUAUACUAAUAAAAAAUAUGUAUAAUUAACAUAAACUAUUGGCGCUUGAUUAAUUGUUCGUGGUUACUUUCAAAAUUGAUAAGGAUUAAUUGUUCGUGGUUACUUUCAAAAUUGAUAAGGAUUAAACUAUUCUAUUUCUUUUAGAGUGACCAAUUUGUUCAAUAUCAAAAAAAUAUUUUUUAUUUUUUUUAAUUUCAUAGGUAAGAAAAUCUCAAAUCACACAAUUAUUAUUUUUCCUUCCAUACCCCUAUGCCACCGAAGAAAAUUUACAAUGUCACACAAUUUGGCUUUAAACCCUUAAAAAAGAGUUGAAUUUAAUCAUCAAUUUUUUAAAAAGAAUUAAAUUAUUAUUUAACGGAAACAAUAAAUUUUGAAAUACAUAUAAUAAUUCACGCGUAUUUCAUAUAUAUUUUUAAUUUUUAUGAUUGUAAUACCAAUUUUUUCUGCCCGGGCCUAUACAAAAUAAAAUACAGCAGGCCCAUCUACAGACCAAACCCAUAUUCAAAAAAAACCUAGCCUAAGAAGCAGCAAGCUUCAGCCGCAUGCCCAACAGCAGCCUCCCUAACUGCCGUCGCAUCCUCCGCGCACGUACACCUCUUCCACGGCCUCCAUACCUACGAGAAAAGCGGAUCCAAACAGCAAUAGACGCAACAAAUAAUGAAAUAGGAUUUUUUACUUUUAUUUUGCUGUAAUUUUGGCUAUAAAAAGCCAUCAAAAAUCUGUAAAAUGGGGGGAACCAAUAUUGUAUUGAGAGAAUACUGAAAUACAAAAAUAGGGAGAAAAUAUUGAGAUUACAAAGAGAUUUUUGAAGGUGAAUCGUGUUUAUUUUUUUCCAUUUUUUCCAUUCUUUUUUAUUUUAUUUUUUAUUUAUUUUUAAUUUAAAAUAUAAAGAAGGGAGGAAGGACUUACCUCUCUCGCCGGAUUCGUAUAUAUAUUUAUAUAUAUAAAAAAUAUUUCUCUAAUACAUAUACAUAUUUUUAUAUAUAUAUUGUUAUUAUUUCUUUUUUAGCUUUUAUAUACAUAUAUACGUAUAUACAUUUAUAUUUCUAUUAUAUUUAUAUAUACAUUCUUUUAAAAUUAUUAUAAACAUUUUAUUGUUCUACACAUUCCAUUAUUUUCAUAUUGCACCUAUAUAUAUAAGUAUCUAAAUAAGUACAUAUUUUCAUGAUUGACCUACUUAUAUACUCAUACAUUUUUAUUUUGUAAAUAUAUGCACGUAUACAUAUGUUUUUUUAUUUUUAUCUUCACAAUUUUCACAUACAUAUGUACAUGCAUAUUAUUAUAAGUUUUGUUUUGUAUAUUUCAUUCCCUUUUAUGUACACUUAUAUUUUUUAAAAUGUAUGCAUAUACAUGUUUUCAAAAUUCAUUUAUGCUUUAUACUUAUAUUUUGAAAACACAUAUAUACAUAUAAUUUAAAUUAAAAUAUUUGUAUCAUAUUGUACAUUACCUUUUUAACGUACCCUUUUUGAAAAUAUGUUUUGGUUUUAACCAUACAUCAAAGUUAUUUUCUCGCUCCAAAGGUUUUUUUUUUUGAAUAAAAGCAAUGUUCGAAGCUUGAGAUUUUCGAGGGAAAUUGAGCCCUAACGUAUUGGGUUCAGAUUUUCUUUGUUAAUCUUAAAUAACCGAGGAUAUUCUUUAUUCAAAAUGCAUGAGCAUAAAAAUCAUUUUUGGGAACUUAACUUGUCGUGCCCUAACGUAUUGGGUGUGGCAUGUUACUUUCUCGAAAUAAAUAUUUUCGCAUGAAAUAAAAGUGAUAUUCAAAGUUCGGGGAUUAUGAGGAAUUGUACCCUAACGUAUUGGGACUCGAUUUCUUUACAUGACUUGAACAAUUUGUUAUCCUUUUACAAAUUUCAUCAUUCAAGCUUAUUUUAAAAUCUUUUUAACUUUCGACACUAAGACAUUAAAUGAUCAAUUUGGUACCGAUUUUGGGCGUCACGAGGGUGCUAACCCUUCCUCGUGCGUAACCGACUCCCGAACUCGUUUUCUCAAAAUUCGUAGACCAAAAUAAUUUUUAAGGUGACCCGAUCACACCUUAAUAAAAGAUCGGUGGCGACUCCAGUUUUGUUUUAAAAGUCGACAACUAAAAUUUUUGUUUUUCAAAAAACGGUUUCGACAGCUUGGCGACUCCACUGGGGACACUAAAGAGUCGAGCCAUAAAUUGGUUAUUUGUUCGUCUUGUGAUCGAAAAUCAAAUUUGGGUUUUAAAAUCAUGAUUUCCCUUCAUUUUUUUUACCAUGGAAUGUUGGUAACCUUGCAUUUGCAUUUUGCAUUUUACCCUUAAGUGGGAGCGAGAAACUAGUCCUUCGUGAGGUUUUCACCUCCGUGCAGGGUAAUGGACCGCUUCCGGGAUACAUCCGUACCUAUGUCUUCGUGAGAUUUUCAUCUCCGUGUAGCCAUAGGGAAAUGUGUCCCCCUGAACCGAACUCGAUCCACAUGAGCCUAUAAUGGGUGAGGAUCGAGGAAUCUGCUGGUCGGGUACCUUUACUCUAGAAACUAAACCUCAUAUAGUGAGCUUUAGGAACUUACCUUAGGUAGAAGUACUCUAAACCUUAGGAGAUACCUGACUAGGAGUUUUUAUUAUUUCUUGCUUAUAUUGGAUUUAAUGUUUAUACCCGAUACUAACUCGUUGCAUUUUGUUUUGAUUGCAUGACAUCAUGAUCGCAUUGCAUUUUCAUCAUAAAAGAGGUGUUGAUUCACGUUCGGUUGUUAAUAGAGAGCUUGUCAUAAGGAAAUGGGUUUCUUGAUAAAAUAGAAAAUAAUACGGUUGCCCGAAUAUGUUCCGAGAAAACACAACAAGAGAAAGAUGAUAGUUUAAUGGAGGACUACAUAACCAUUGCUUCGUUGCCCGAAGACUCAAGCUGAUGAAGGCUAUUCGAGAGCCGCUGAACUUUUUGUUUAAGGGAAGCCAACGAGCAUCACGACGAUAAAGGAGCAACGAAGAACAGUCCGGAUCAAGUAAAAUGGAGAUAGAAGAGACAUCUAUUUUGAAGAAUUCACAAGAUUUAUCUUAGCAUCCAGAUGAAGAAGGAGAAGAUGUCCUCGCUUGGAGCAUGAGGGCAAAGCCGUAUAUAUAUAUCUGCUUUAUGUAAAGAAAUUUAUCUUCUAGAAAAGUUUUCUAAAUAGAAUUGAAUCAGAAUCAACGUCUCUUUUUGCAUUCAUCAAAUGCAUUUGCAUUACAUAGCAUCAUAUGCAUUAAAAUCCAUUGAAAGAGCCUAAUUAAUUAAAAUUAUUGCUUAGUUAACCUGGAAACCAACCAACCAACCCGACACCGAUACGGCACUCGAGCAAAGACAAAAGAUAUGGAUCAGAGAUUAGAGAAGCUCGAACAGUACCAGAAGGAGAUGCAAGACCGGCUUCAGCUACAAAUGCAGGAACGGUUAGACAAGAUGAAACAGGAGAUGUCUGAGAAGAUGCGGAAUCUCAAGAGGACAUAGUGGCAAAGUUAACCCGAUUGAUAACUAAAGGAGGUGAUAAAGGAAAGGGCCCCAUGGCAGAUGUCGAUGAGGGAAAUGAUGAUGAACUUUUCUAUCCUCCAGGUUUCAUCCCUCCACAUGAGCGAACUCAAGCUGAAUACCCGUGCAAAUCUACUGUCACCAUCAUGCCUCAGCAAUUUCGAGCUGGUAUUUCGAACCACCAAACUGGGCCGAGCUUUAAUCCUGAAAAUAAUCCUAUUAACUCUGCCAUUCCUGACUUUGAUGAAGUGGUUGAGAAGGAAAGAAUGAAGGAAAAGUUACCGAAACAGUUGGAAGAAAGAUACAGGUGGCUCGAAGAGAAGUUCAAGGCGAUGGAAGUCACUGAAAGUUAUCGAGGCAUUGACGCAAAAAAGCUGAGUUUAGUGCCAAAUUUAGUACUCUCUCAUAAAUUUAAGAUGCCUGAAUUUGAAAAGUACAAUGGGACAAGCUGCCCAGCAGCUCACAUCACCAUGUUCUACAGGCAAAUGGCUGGAUACGUUAACAAUGACCAACUAUUGAUACACUGUUUCUAAGAUAGCCUAGCAGGGGCAGCAUCUAAGUGGUACAAUCAGUUGAGUCGUGCCACGGUUGGUUCAUGGAGGGACUUGGCGCAAGCAUUCAUGAAACAAUAUAGUCAUGUGACAGAUAUGGCUCCUGAUAGAAUCACCCUUCAGAAUAUGGAGAAGAAGCCGAGCGAAAGCUUUAGGCAGUAUGCACAGAGAUGGAGGAAGGUCGCAGUCCAAGUUCAGCCACCACUCUUGGAAACGGAAAUGGCCAUGCUAUUCAUUAACACCCUAAAAGCACCUUUCAUCACACAUAUGUUAGGAAGUGCCACAAAAAGCUUUCCUGACAUAGUCAUGAAUGGUGAAAUGAUUGAGAGCGCUAUAAGGAGCGGGAAAAUUGAGACAGAUGAGAGUAAUAAGAGGUCAAUCUCAAGAAGAAGAGAAAAUGAGGUGGACAACACGGGUUACUCUAAAUCAGUUACUGUGAGUCAAACAAGAAAGGUGGUUGGUAAUCAACAGAAUUCAUCGAGGCAAGAUUCCGGCAUAAAGACUGAGAGGCCCCAAUUCACGCCAAUUCUGGUACCGUAUAAGGAACUGUAUCAAAAUUUGUUUGAUGCACAUGUUGUUUCCCCUUUUCAUGUGAAGCCUCUACAACCGCCGUAUCCUGAAUGGUAUGAUACGAACACACAAUGUGAAUAUCAUGCGGGAAUUACGGGACACUCGAUUGAGAAUUGCACUGCCUUCAAGAAGCAAGUUGAAAGACUUAUCAACAUGGGUAUUGUCAAGUUUGGUGACUCGUCCAGCGCAGGAAAUCCGCUACCCAAUCAUGAUUGAGGAUGGAGGGACUGCAAUAUAUGAAGAAGUGGUGAGAAAUUUGCACAUCGAUGCGGACACAAUUAAAAGGGUCCUUGUUAGAUAUUCGCCUUAGAGGUGUUCUAAAUAAUGGGACUGCAAAGGAAACCCCUAAAAUAUUUAGAGUCUGUUAGAGUAAUGUUAAGAACACACUUGUUGCUUUCAGCCUAGAAGCAAUAGGAGUUUCUUUGUGAAAUAGGCUCACGUCUGAACAUUAUUAUUUUAAUGAAAUACAUUAUUGCAAUCAUCUUUGAGCAAAUGUUCUUUCAUUCUUUACGAUUUCUUUAUUUUUUUUCCUUUCAGAUUUUUUCUGCCAAAUUAUUCGUUCAUUCGUUCAUAUUAUUCAUACAUUCUUUUGUAUAUUCUUUGGUACCCACUAUGGGUCCCCAAAUAUCAAUGACAUGAGUGACGCUGCUACAGACUCAAAUCGCCUUUUGAGUGAGACAUGUGUUUAGAGGGAUCUCAUGGCUUUGAAGAUGUCAUAAAUUGCAGCUUAUCUCCUAACUUGUUGAGGAUGGUAAAGCAAUAAGAGAAACAAAUGAGACAGCAGAGACUACGACCUUGAGAAAACAUGCAUGACCGAAGAAUAAAGCAAGACGUUGCUGAGUUACUUCAAGCAUCCAAAGAUGCCUUCGCAGGGUCAUACCAGAAUGUGCCCGGUUUAAGCGAGGUCAUUACAAUCUGAACAACAGCACGAUAUCAAAAGUUUGCAACAUGUUCAAGGUGAAUAUCAUGAAUGGUGCAAUGAAAACUCUACCGGGGCAAUGCCACUCUUUCCAGUUUAUCACGUUUUUUCAUUGAAGUUGAAAUUCUUUCUAUUCGAGUUUUGGCUGAGCUAAGGUAGGAUGAAGAUCCAAUCCCGAUACGAUUAGUUGAACUUAGUUGAAGAAAAAGGCUAGAAACUAUUCAUCAGGCUCAGAUGCACCAAGAAAUGAAUGAUGCGAGCCUAUAGCAAAAGGUUUGUCCCAGAGAAUUCCACGAUGGCAACCUAAUGCUAAAGAAGAUCCUCACUCUACAAAAAAAUAUAACGGAUGCCAAAUUGGGAAAAAAAUUAUGUUAUAGAGAAGGUCUUUUCCAAAGGAGUUUUGAUUUUGGGCGAGAUGGAUGAUAAACCUGCAAAGUCCUGUAAACUCAGGUUCAGUCAGGAAAUACUCCGCUUAAAGAAUGAGAUGACCAAGGUGAAAACCCACAAAGGGUGCUUUGAGUCCAAAAAAAUAAAAAUAAAAAAAGAGAAAAAGAGGAAAAUGGAGAGGCUAAGGUGAAAACCCGUAAAGGGCGCCUUAGACCAAAGGGGAUUUGAGUUGAAAACCCGAAAAGGGCGGCUCAAAUAUUGAUUAGAAUGGGGCACGAGAUUAUCGGAGUAGCUCAAAUACUGAUCAGAAUGGGGCAUGCAAUGGUCUUGCUAUACCUAAAUCAACAAGAAAUGGUAGGCGACAUCUUGGGGCAUCGACAAAGUAUUCCUAAACGCAUGUCAAACUCAGAAUGAUCUUCAGAAAGUCUGUACAGCAAAGUUCAAGCUGCGAUAUUUGGGGCACCUAAUUCUUAUAUUAUUUUUUGUUAUUCUUGGAACACUUCAUUCAUUUCCAAAAUACGCAUUCCUAAAUCAAUUUCUUUAUUAUCCAUCUUUAUUAUAUUUGACAAUUUAUUCAUUUCGAGCUUUGCUCAGAACCAACUCUAUUCUUAUCCAUGGUCUUUUUGCAAGCAUGUUUCAUUAGAAUAAUGAUUCAUAGACUAAUAAAACUUUCACAAGGGAAGUUUUGCAUAUUACUCUAGAAGUUUCUAAAUAAUAUAGGAUCCUCAAACAGGACUAUUGUUUAGAAUGCACUAGGUUGGAAAUCUGAUAAGGAAAAGUCUAAAUUAAGACUAUCCCUUUGAAUUUUCUUGUCUAAAGUAUUAAUUGAACAAAAUGGCAAGAUGUCGUGUUGGUGACAAAGCUUCAAUGAACAAGCAAGCAAUGAUCACCGGAUAAUAAUAAGAAGUUGUUCUUGGAGAAGAUUACUUUAUUUGUGCAUGAGCAUUUGGUACAACACCCUGGGAAUGGUGUAAGAGACCAAAGAGUUUCACAUCCUUGAAUUGUGAUAGUGGAGGAUUAAGAAAAGGCCAAAACUUUUUACUCUCGGGUUACAACGGGAGGAAGAUGGUACAAAUUUUCGCAUACCAUUGAAUCAAACUUGGAGGUUUACAGUGGGGGCAACCUGGUCAAGUGUUUCUUUGGAGACGCCAGCCGAGCAAAAGGUGCUAUAGCACAUUAGCGAUGAAACUUUAAAUAAACUUUGAGUAAUGAUAACCUAAGUGAAAAUGAGGGAUCAUUCUCGAAAAAAUGACAUUCUGCAUUCAUUCAAAUGUCAUUCAUACACGCCUAGUUAGGAGCAUUUGAUUCAUUUGAUCAUGACAUCCUAAUCAUUAGGCAUAGUUAGGUUCAUAAAGUGAAUUAUACAGGUCAUGUUCCCUAGAGAACAGAUCGGUGAAAUCAUAAAGCCUUAUCUCCCUGAACAAUAGUGGAGCAGGUUGAAAAGCAGCAGGUCUUGUCUUCCUAUAUUGGUAGCGAAGUGGAUCGAAUAUACAGAUCUCGCCUUCCCAUACUGGUGGCGAAGCAGAUCGAAGGAAAAAACAGAUCUUGUCUUAUGGCGUGAAGUAGAUCAAAGAUAACAGAUCUCGCCUUCCCAUACUGGUGGCGAAGCAGAUCGAAGGAAUACAGAUCUUGUCUUCAUGUACUAGCGUGAAGUAGAUCGAAUAUACAGAGCUCGCCUUCUCAUACUGGUGGCGAAGCAGAUCGAAAGAAAGUAGAUAUUGUCUUCAUGUAUCAGCGUGAAGUAGAUCAAAGUCAACAGAUCUUGUCUCCCCAUACUGGUGGUGGAGUAGAUCAAAGAAAGUAGAUCUUGUCUUCAUGUAUCGGCAUGAAGUAGAUCAAAGUCAACAGAUCUUGUCUCCCUAUACUGGUGGUGGAGUAGAUCAAAGAAAGCAGAUCUUGUCUUCAUGUACUGCAUGAAGUAGAUCAAAGAAACAAAUAUUGUCUCCCCAUACUGGUGGUGGAGUAGGUCGAAGAAAACAGAUCGUGUCUUCAUGUACUGGCGUGAAGUAGAUCAAAGAUAGUAGGUCCCGUCUUCCUAUAUUGGUAGCGAAGUGGAUCGAAUAUACAUCUUCCCAUACCGGUGGCAAAGUAGAUUGAAGAUUACAGAUUUUGCCUCCCUAAGCAGUAGUGGAGCAGAUCGAAGAUGGCGGAUUUUACCUCCCUGAAGUUGCAGUGGAGUAUAUUGAAGCCAGUAAUUCUACCUCCCCGGUCGGCAGUGGAAUCGAUUGAAAAAGCAGAUCUUGUCUUCAUGUAUUGGCGUGAAGUAGAUCGAAGAAAGUAGAUCGAAGAAAGCAUAUCUUGUCUUCCCAUACUGGUGGUGAAGUAGAUCGAAGAUACAAGUCUUAUCUCCCUGAAGUUGCAGUGGAGCAGACUGAAGUAACCAAUCCUAUCUCAUUGAAGUUGCAAUGGAGUUGAUUAAAACCGCAGAUCUCAUCUCUCUGAAGUUGCAGUGGAGCAGAUCGCGCCAGAUUUAUCUUUAAGUUGCAGCAGACCAAAUUGAAACUAUAAGUCUUGUCUCCCUGAAGUUGUAGUGGAGCAGAUUAAAGAUAGCAAAUUUAGUUCUUUUGAGAAGCUACAAUGUAUGAAUCCUAUCUCUUCGACAUUACAGUAGGAGUGGAUUGAAGCACCAGUUCCUAUACCUCUGGAGAUGUAGUGGGAAGGAACGAGGCUACUAACGCUAAGGUCCAUAUGGCCGGGCAAAAAUUGGUCUUUUUAAGUCAUUGCUCUAUUCUCGUCACACGAUAACGAGCAAAGAGGGGCAGCUGUAAUACCAAUUUUUUCUGCCCGGGCCUAUACAAAAUAAAAUACAGCAGGCCCAUCUACAGACCAAACCCAUAUUCAAAAAAAACCUAGCCUAAGAAGCAGCAAGCUUCAGCCGCAUGCCCAACAGCAGCCUCCCUAACUGCCGUCGCAUCCUCCGCGCACGUACACCUCUUCCACGGCCUCCAUACCUACGAGAAAAGCGGAUCCAAACAGCAAUAGACGCAACAAAUAAUGAAAUAGGAUUUUUUACUUUUAUUUUGCUGUAAUUUUGGCUAUAAAAAGCCAUCAAAAAUCUGUAAAAUGGGGGGAACCAAUAUUGUAUUGAGAGAAUACUGAAAUACAAAAAUAGGGAGAAAAUAUUGAGAUUACAAAGAGAUUUUUGAAGGUGAAUCGUGUUUAUUUUUUUCCAUUUUUUCCAUUCUUUUUUAUUUUAUUUUUUAUUUAUUUUUAAUUUAAAAUAUAAAGAAGGGAGGAAGGACUUACCUCUCUCGCCGGAUUCGUCGAGUCGGCGCUAUCUCCGUCACAGUCGGAGCCUUGGCGCGAGGCUGAGCGACGGCGUUCGAGGGUUGAGGAAACCCUAAAAGGGUCUGGUUUCUCCUCUGGAAAGGGAAACCCAAAAGAACAAAUAAAUGUUCUUGUUUAAUUUUCUUUUGUUCUUUUAGAAGCUAAAAGAUGGACAAAGCAGGCCGUUUGGUUUUUGGGGUGGGGUCCGCGCAUAUCAACCUUAAAUGGGAGAUUUGCGCUACUAAUCCCUCUUUUUUUUGUGACGUGUUUUAAUCAAGUCCACUGUUUUUUAAAAUUUGGCCCAAAUAUUUUGCUCGCGUGACGAUUUAAUCCAUGUCACUGCACAGUGCUUCAGCGAUUUGGGAAAAUUACUUUUUAAGUCCUCCUCUCAUGGCGCGCGUAUCAUUUUGGUCCUUCCUGGUGUUUUCUAUUUUUAAAUUUGGCCUUUUAACUUCGUUUAGCUCUCAGUUUAAUCCUUAAUGGUGCUUUUUAAGGUUUUUUUUUGUAGUUUAUUUUUUUAGUUUUUGUUAUUAUUAUUAUUAUUAUAUUAUAUAGUAUUAUAAUUAUACUUACAUAUAUACGCAUAUGUAUGCUAAUAGAUAUAUAUAUAUAUAUAAAAUAUUUCUCUAAUACAUAUACAUAUUUUUAUAUAUAUAUUGUUAUUAUUUCUUUUUUAGCUUUUAUAUACAUAUAUACGUAUAUACAUUUAUAUUUCUAUUAUAUUUAUAUUUUUUUUUUCAUAUUUUAUAAUAUAUAUACAUUCUUUUAAAAUUAUUAUAAACAUUUUAUUGUUCUACACAUUCCAUUAUUUUCAUAUUGCACCUAUAUAUAUAAGUAUCUAAAUAUGUACAUAUUUUCAUGAUUGACCUACUUAUAUACUCAUACAUUUUUAUUUUGUAAAUAUAUGCACGUAUACAUAUGUUUUUUUAUUUUUAUCUUCACAAUUUUCACAUACAUAUGUACAUGCAUAUUAUUAUAAGUUUUGUUUUGUAUAUUUCAUUCCCUUUUAGGUACACUUAUAUUUUUUAAAAUGUAUGCAUAUACAUGUUUUCAAAAUUCAUUUAUGCUUUAUACUUAUAUUUUGAAAACACAUAUAUACAUAUAAUUUAAAUUAAAAUAUUUGUAUCAUAUUGUACAUUACCUUUUUAACGUACCCUUUUUGAAAAUAUGUUUUGGUUUUAACCAUACAUCAAAGUUAUUUUCUCGCUCCAAAGGUUUUUUUUUUUUGAAUAAAAGCAAUGUUCGAAGCUUGAGAUUUUCGAGGGAAAUUGAGCCCUAACGUAUUGGGUUCAGAUUUUCUUUGUUAAUCUUAAAUAACCGAGGAUAUUCUUUAUUCAAAAUGCAUGAGCAUAAAAAUCAUUUUUGGGAACUUAACUUGUCGUGCCCUAACGUAUUGGGUGUGGCAUGUUACUUUCUCGAAAUAAAUAUUUUCGCAUGAAAUAAAAGUGAUAUUCAAAGUUCGGGGAUUAUGAGGAAUUGUACCCUAACGUAUUGGGACUCGAUUUCUUUACAUGACUUGAACAAUUUGUUAUCCUUUUACAAAUUUCAUCAUUCAAGCUUAUUUUAAAAUCUUUUUAACUUUCGACACUAAGACAUUAAAUGAUCAAUUCGGUACCGAUUUUGGGCGUCACGAGGGUGCUAACCCUUCCUCGUGCGUAACCGACUCCCGAACUCGUUUUCUCAAAAUUCGUAGACCAAAAUAAUUUUUAAGGUGACCCGAUCACACCUUAAUAAAAGAUCGGUGGCGACUCCAGUUUUGUUUUAAAAGUCGACAACUAAAAUUUUUGUUUUUCAAAAAACGGUUUCAACAAUGAUUUUUUUUCAAAAUUUUGAUUUUUGAAUAUUAUUAGAAAAUUAUUUGGUACAUUGUUCGUGGAGUUUUUAAACUCCAACAAAAUUAAUAGGUUAACAAGUGUCUUACAGGGGUAUAAUAAAAUAUUAAAAAAUAAAUAUUUAAAAAAAAGAUAUAUAUCAAUUUUUUAAAGUUACUUGUGGAAUAAAAAUAAUAUAUUAUCGGCGUACCAAAUACUCGCCUUUUUAAUUAAGAUUCAAAAAUAAAAAAAAGUUAGUAAAAUGAAUGGAUUGCAAAUUGAGAAAUUUGAUAUUGAAUACUAAAAUUUUCUUAAAAGAAGACAUAACAAGAUACGAAAGUUAGUGACUUAUUUGAUUUAAUUUUAAUUUUUAAAUUUAUGCAUUUUAUUAUGAAUUUUUAUUCUUUGUUGACUUUGUAAAAUUUGUCUGCAAUUUCCAAUUUUCAUUUCUCAUAUGAGUUUGAGAUAUAAAAAAAAUUACUCUUAAGAUUGGUGAAAUAGGGGUUACAGUCGAUACAAGAGUUCACUUUAUGAUAUGUGUAAUGAUUGUGUUCUUCGAAAUAUUGUUUACAGGUAGGAUAUUGAAGUUUUAUUAUUAGAGUUUCGUUAAAAGGUCAAGUGUUCUAUUUUGGCCUAAGACUCUAGGAGUUCUGUUAUCAAUAUUCUAAUUAUAAUCACGAUCUGUAAAAAAUAUAAGUAACAUGUGACAUGUAAAUGAAAAGUUUUAUGGUAUGAUAAGCCAUAAAUUAAGUGAAAAUGUUAGAAAGCGUAUGAUUAUAUUAAAGACAAAAAUAAUUAAUUUAGUUUAAUGAUUUGUAAAAUUGAAAAGUGAAAUGCAUGAAUUAUGUAAGAGAAUGUUCAUGAUCGAUAUGUGGUAUGUAAAUGACAAGGAAAAAAUUAUAUGACCAAAUAGUAGAAGUGAAUAAUGACAUUAGCUAAAUACUUUGUAUGUUCAAUAGUAGGUUGCGUUAACAGGCCUGCCCUCUAUGUGGCUUGGCUGUAGUUUAUUGCACCUUUGUACUUCUUUCUUUUAUGAAUAAAAUCAAUGUUGAUUAGAAAAAAAAGAAAACAAAAACAAAAACAAAUAGUAGAUAGCAACAAACAAAGAAAAAGAAUCUCAUGCCCCACUAACAUUUUUUUUUGUACGUUUAGUCAAAAUGAAUAUAAUUAAAAAUAUUAAAUAGAUGCCAAUUGAGGUUUAGUGUAGUUGAUAUUGGUAUUAUUAACUUUGCUCAGUCCAUAUUCCCAUAAUAUACGAUGGUCAUAUGUGAGUUUUAAUCUAGUUAAUUUAAUUUGUUGGCUUUAGUUUUGAUUGUACCGACUUUUAUUCUCGUUCUGCUCUAAUAAUUUGAUUCUAUUUUGUAAUUCUUUAUAUAAUUCGUGCUGUAAUGUUUGAUACUUGUAACAAACAAAUACAAUUUAAAAAAUAGCUAGUAUUUGGUACACUGUUAGAAUAUUAUUAUGAGAAAUUAUCUUUUAGGAAUAUCUAAAUGUAUUGUAUAUUAUUAUAUAUCUUUUAAGCAUAUAUUUAGGAAUAUAUUAUAUAUCUUUUCUAUUCCUACAUGACUACUGUUGUAUAAAUAUUAUGUAUAUUCUUGAAGCUUAUCAAUAAGAUUGAAAGGAAUUAUUACCCUAUUCUUAUCAUGGUAUCUAAGCUUGAUGUUUAACAAAAAAAAAAAAUCGUUGUUUGGUAGACUUCCUUUAAUUGAUGAUCUUUGUGUGUUUGGUUGCGUAUGUUUUGUUCAUAAUCAACAUUCUAAAGGUGAUAAGUUUAUUAGUCAAAGUCAAAAGCGUGUUUUUGUUAGCUACCAUUUUGUCAAAAAUAAAUAAAAAUAUAUUUUAAUAUAAGACAUUUUGGGACUGUUGACAUGUCAUUUCUGAGUUGUUUCCACGAAAUGCAAUCGAUACAUAAAUUAAUCAAUAGAAUAGCAUCGACUCUCAAAGACGAUAUCUAAACCUUGGAAACAUUCUUCCUUAUUUCUUGUCUUUUUCUACUUUGAUUGUGAUGUGAUUUGUUUGAUUCUAACCACUCCAUUAAAUAAAUCAUCCAAAAACAUAUAUUAAUGCGAGGAAUAGGUGGUUGAAGAAAGAGAAAGCAAAAAUAAUAAUAAUAAAAGGAAAUUAAUUAGGAAAAUGACCUUAUAUGAAAACACUCAUACAAUUGGAUAACUCAUUCACUCCACCUUUAAGAGGAGAAAAAGAAAAACCUUGUUUAUGUAAUACAUGGAUACCUAAUAAUUCAUUUAUACUUUGGUAUAAGACAUUUUGGGUUGUUAUUUCUGGGCUGUUUCCAUGAAAUAGAAUCGAAACUUGCUUUCCUACUUUUAAAGCAACUAAGAAGUCGUCUUUCUCAAUUUAUUACUUUCUGGCUAUGCUCUGUUAAGAAGAAAAACACAGAAGGGGGAAAACUAUCGGUUAUUGAUCAAAGCCAAAAGGUACUCCAUCUGCUUUUCUUUUCCCUGCUUUGCUCUUACUCUUUUGAAAUAAGCUUAGGCAGGCAGGUUUAACCAUGAGAAUAGACUUCUUUUAUGCUUUAAAUCUCUAAAAAGGGAUGAGUAUUAGGAAUGCUGCAUAAGCACUUGUGUUUGGGAUGUAUCAACAACUUGCUGCUUCAUGGUUAUUCAGAGGUUGGGUGAUUUCUCUUGUAGUCGACCACCUUUUUUUUAUUCGAUGCUUUAUUUCCAUUCAAAACUAUGUAUGGUUGGAAAGCUGGUUUGAUAGUCCACUAAAAUUAUAUGAAGAAUCAUUUAAAAAAACAAAUUAAAUAUAUAUUUUUUAUAUAUUUAAAAGUGUUUGUUUAUAUAUUAUUUAGAAAUUGCUUUUAUAACAUAAUAUACUAUUUUGAAAUUUGGAAUUUAAUAUUUAAAGAAUUAACUAAUUUAAAAAAUGUGCAGCGAACUAAAAAAAAAGAACAUUAAUGAACAAAAAAUUUUUUCUUAUAUAUUGUAAAAUUAUUGUUAGAAAUUUUUAGUAUAACAAAAAGAUAUUAUUGAUAUUAGUCACUCUUAUAUAAUGUAAAAACUAAAAUCAAACUUCCGUAAUUAUUUAUAUGAUUAAUAUUUUAACGAUUUAACCGUUUAAUUUAUCAAUAUAUAUAUAAUUGUACUUGUAAUGCAUGUAAAUUUUUGAACUGAUUCGAUAUCUCUAUCGUAUCGAUCUAAAAUAAUCUAUACACUAAUAUAUAAUCAACGAUUGAAUUUUUUUUACAAAAAUAAAAUAGUUAGAAGUUUUAAAUUUACAUCAAAUUUGACAUGUAUAACCUAUAUGAAUAGACCAUAAAAUAUAACAGUUGGAUCGUUAAAAUAUUAAUUAUAUAAAUAGUUACGGAAGUGUGUAAAAUUCCUUUAGCUUUUACAUAUAUAAGUGGAUCCUUCUCCUUAAUGUUAAUAAAUUUUAAUUUUGUUAUCACAUAAUAUUAAAAAUAUGAAUUAAUAUUAAAAAAUAAAUAAAAAAUAUAAAUAUAAAUAAAGUGAGUAUUUGGUACACUGACAAUGUACUUUUUUUAUUCCAUAAGUAGUCUUAAAAUAUUGACAUAUGUCUCUAUCUUUUAAAUAUAUUACUAUACAUUUGUAAGAUACUUGUCAACCUCCUGACCCUACUUGUAGAGUCUAAAACCUCCACUUACUAAAUAAGUUCCACAAUUUAUUAUUAAUAUUUAUUAGACAAAACAUGUUAUCGAACAAAAUAAAUUAAUUAUUAAUAAACACAUAUGAAAUAAAAUAUAAAUAGAAUGAUUUAUAAUUAAUUUAUUAAAUAUGAAUCAAAUAAAAACAUAAGAAAAAGUUGAAAUAAAUAAGAAUUGAGAUUUUACGAAACAUUGAGGCCUGUGAAACACAGUUUCCUUAAGAUAGAUUUGGCCGCUCCUACGGUACUUGGAGAAAUGUUAGUCGAAAGUCUCCCAGGAAACAAUAACAAAAGUGAUCAAAGUAGUAAACGAACGAAUUUUGCCUUUUUCUAUCACAAGAAUGUUUGAAAACAGAGAGGAAAAGGAAGAGUUUUUAAAUGAACAGAAUUUUGGCAUAAAAAAUUAUUUGACUGUGUUUAAUCCUCCAGAAUACACAACCUUUUAUAGGCAUUUAGGAUAACGAGCAAAAAAUCAAUUUGAUUUAAAAAUUAAAUCAAAUCAGAUACUGUCCAUAUAUAAGCAGAUUAUGUCUACUGAGGAAAAAUAAAUUCGUGUUGGGCAUAAAAUAUCCGCAAGGGUUAAAAUAUCCGCAUGGGCCCGACCGGUCCAAACAUUUCGCGUUGCCCACGUCAUGCAGGUGCACUCAACCCCAUUAGAUUUGGACCUACACCCCCCUUACGCUUGAGACAAUGUUACAAGCUUCGUUAUUCAAUUAUUUUUAAAGAGAGUUCACAUACAUAAGCACAUUGGUAUUUAACCAAUGUGGGAUCUGAGCCUUUACUUUUUCUCAACAAUAUUUUCAAGUAGCUUACUUUGAGCAUCAAUUUCUCAUUCACCACUCAACCAUUUUGAGCAUAUGAUAUACCAUUGUAAAGGUCUCAUGGAGUAGAAUAGAAACCGUAAAAUUAUGAUUCAACUCUCCACUUUUAACUAUUGAGAAUAUGCCUCAAAGUUUCCAUAAAAGUAAUUCUUCCAACAAUAUUUUUAAACUCCAUCAAUAAGGUCAAGAGAUUGACAAGUGUUUUAUAAGAGUAUAGUAAAAUAUAAAAAAAAUUAAAAAUUUUAAAAAAGAGACACUUAAACUUUUUAAAAUGGCUUGUGGAAUAAAAAAAUAUUGCUAGUAUACCAAAUAAUCACCCAUAAAUUAUUGCUUUAAUCAAAAUAUAAGAAAUAGGUAUAAUUUUGAAUUAGUUUAAAUUAAUUUAAAAGAAAUUUAAUUUCAUGAUAAAAAAUUUAUAUUUCAAAAUAAUUAGAAAGAUUUAAUUUUUAAAUAAUAAUUAAAAAAAUUUAAAAGAUGUGUUGUAAAAAUAUUCAAAGUGUAAAAAGGCAAUUUAUUCCUUCAAUGCUUAGGAAAAAGUAUUCCUUAAAAAAAGAUAAUUAUUAGAAAAUAUCAUUAGAUAUAUGUCUAUAUUAAUAAAUAGUUAUCUAUUAACAAAAUCACUUUAUUUGUCAUAAAAGUAACAUUAAGCACAUAUUUAUAAUUUUAAAAUUUUAACCCUUCAAUGGUAGUUAAGAUUAUGCAAAUGAGUUUUCUUUUUCUUUCUUUUUUUUAAAAUAUAAGAUAAUUCAAGUUUUGGUCUUCGUUGUCGCUGUGGUUAUUCAGUUUGCUCUCUCAAUGGAGUUUGUUAUUGCCAUCGUUGGCUCUAUUGUCGCUAAAGCUGUAGAGAAUACGAUCUCUCCUAUCAAAAACCAUGUCAAAUACCUUUCCAAUCAUCAGAAAUAUGUUGAGACCCUCAAGAACCGAGCUAAUAGGCUGAAAGAUGCAAGGGACGGAGUACAGAAUUCUGUUGAUACAGCUAAACGAAACGGUGAGGAGAUCGCAGGUGAUGUUGACAAAUGGCUGUCUGCAGUCGACGAAAAGAUCCUUGAACAAGUAGAGAAAGUGAUGCAAGAUGAAGAAAAAGCAAAGAAAAAGUGUUUCAUUGGUUUGUGUCCCAAUUUCAGGACUCGUUACAAGCUUAGCCUGAAAGCUGAAGAGGAGGCAAAGGCUGUUGCCGAGCUACUUGAACAUGGCAAGUUUGAAAGGGUUUCCUAUCGUGCAGCUCCGCAAGGUAUCGUGGUUGCACCAGUUAAAGGUUAUGAGGAAUUCGAGUCAAGAACGUCGAUUUUGAACGGAAUAAUGGAGGCACUAAAAGAUGAUAGCGUCAGCGUUGUUGGGGUGCAUGGUACGGGUGGGAUUGGAAAAACAACGCUGGUCAAAGAAAUCGCUAGAAAGGUAAAGGGCAAGUUGUUUGAUUCGGUUGUCAUAGCAACCGUAACUCAAGCCAUCGAUAUUGAGAAGAUUCAGAACCAAAUUGUAGACUUCUUGGGCUUGCAAUUUGAGGAACAGAGUAUGGUUGGAAAGGCAUUUCGACUACGAGAAAGAUUGAAGGAAGAGGAGAGGAUUCUUGUUGUCUUGGAUGACAUUUGGGGAAAGGUUGAUAUUGAGGAAGUAGGGAUUCCUUUGGGAGAUGAACACAAGGGCUGCAAAUUACUAUUAACUUCUAGAGAGCUCAAUGUUUUAUCAAAUGGGAUGGAUGCUCAGAAAAAAUUUCCCAUUGGGUUUUUAAAUGAAAAGGAAGCCUGGGACCUGUUCAAGAAGAAGGCUGGCGACUGUGAUGAAAGUUGCGAUUUGAAGCCUAUAGCUAUGGAGGUAGCCAACAAAUGUGCAGGACUACCGAUAGCCAUUGCGACAGUUGCAGGGGCUUUGAGAAACAAAAGAUUGUUUGAAUGGAAGAAUGCUUUACGAGAACUGGAGAGGCAUUCGUCAAGCAACUUCAUGGGGAUAGCUGCGGCAUAUUCAGCUAUAGAGUGGAGUUUUAAUUAUUUAGAAAGCGAGGAAGUUAAGCUGACUUUCUUGCUUUGCAGUGUAAUAGGCCAUAAUGGUCUCGUUGAGGACUUGGUAAGAUAUACUCUAGGUUUGGGUUUAUUUGAUGGUGUCCUCACUAUGGAAGAAGCUAGAAAUAAAGUAUUGACGGUUGUGGCUAAUCUCAAAGCGUCUGCCUUGUUGCUUGAUAGUUAUAAUGAUAAGCGCUUUGAUAUCCAUGAUGUUGUUUGGGAUGCUGCUAUAGCUAUCGCAUUGAAGGACUACCGUAUGCUUGUUUUGAGAGAUCAUGCUCCAAAGGAGUGGUCCGAUAAGGAGAAAAUGAAGACGUGGAAUGUGAUCAGCUUACGUUGUCCUCAGAUUAUAGCUAACCUUCCUAAGGAGAUGGAGUGUUCAGGACUUUCCUUUUUCCGUAUGGCCUAUGAUGGCGCGGUUAAAAUUCCUCCCAAUUUUUUCAAACAAACCGAAGACCUCAAAGUCUUAGAUUUGUUCGGAAUGCAGUUUCCAUCCCUACCUGAAUCAAUUAUUCACCUCACGGACCUUCGCAUGUUGUGUCUAAAAGAAUGUGCAGUUGAUGACAUCACCAUCCUUGGAGAGC